CUUUUGCCCUGGUGGUGUGAACCUUUAUCCUUCGCCAUAUCCCAUAUAAUUCUGUCCAUAACUGGGAUUCAUUCCUUGGCCAUGUGCACUACCAGUACCCUGCCCUUGAAAUCCAUCAGAACCCUGCCCAUAUGUUCCACUAGGAGCAGGUGCAUAGUUCCGAUUGUCGCUCCUAUAAUCAUUCUGCACUGGAGGUGUAGAGCUCCAUCUAUCUCCUUGUGGCAGGUCUCUCUGCUGCUAAUAGUAACUGUUGUUAUGACCCUGUUGAUUGUAGUUUCCCUGGUAUGAAGGUACUGGAUCCCUCCUCUGCCCUUGAUAUGGAUCCCUUCUACCAGGGGCACAAUUCAUAUUGCCCAUUGGCAUGGGAUUUCUUCUUUCACCUUGCCUUGGGGGACCAUAAGUUUGCUGAGGAGGAUAAUUUUGUGGAGCAUCCCGAUGCAUAGGUCCUUGAUAACCAUAUUGGGGGCUCCCUUGUCUGUUCGGCAUUUGACCUCCUUGCUGGUCAUAUCUAGGUUGGUCAUAAUUUCUAUUGCGGUCACGCCCUCUACCUCCCGGCCUCCCAUACUGAACUGGUGGUGGUCUAUGCGUUAUUACUCCAUUUUCAUAUUUGUCACCUAAUAAUUAGAAAGUUCAACAAAAUAACAAGCGUUCCAGGGUUAUCAUAAACAUGUCUGUUGACACCUAAAUUUUUUGGGUUGAUUUAAAAAAAAAAUGGCAUAUAGUUUAGAAACAUUUUAUUUUUAUUUUUAUUUUGUUUUAUUUUAUUUAGGCCGCCAGUGAACGGAAGAUUUUUCACAUAUUCCAUUUAGAUUUUUCAUAUUUUUAGGUAAUAUACACUAAGAGGUGUAUUUUGUGCAAAGAGGGAAUUUUUCUGGAUAGAAUAUGCGAGAAAUACAAAAGGGGAUAUUGCGCAGGGUGUGUAUAUUUCAACGACAUAUUUAGGGGUAUCGUGCGCAAGUAAAAAGGAAAAAAUAUAUGUCGCGAGGAUACAUUUUUUAGACCUAUAAAAUAAAUUUCGCGCAAAGUAAAAAAGGGUUCCUUUUUCUCGGGCAGUAAAAAAGAACACAAAAAGCAAAAAGGUGAAAGGUGAGUGACGUGAGAGAGAGAAAAGUAAAAAAAAAGGAAGACCCAUUGUCUUCCUCGAGAGGGGGAAACCCUUGACGGCGACGGCACACCUGCGUCGGCAACCGAGCCACCGGCGACCCCUCCCUUCAAUCGCACCAGCGACCAAGCCGCCCGCCGCCGUGAGCAGCACCGCCGCCCCGCUGAUCGGCUACCAAAGCUGCAGCCCGCAAUAGUCGCAACCCGAUCCCUCGUGCAGCCGCGCCGCCCUAUCGCCGAUCUGCAGCCGGAGUCCCAGCGCCCCUGCUCGCCUUCGCCCCGACGCUCGCCGCCGUCGCUCGCCCUUUGCAGCUUCGACGCCCGCAGCUCGUGCCACCCCGACGCUGCCUCUGCUCGUCGCCUGCAGAUCCGAGAUCCCCACAGCAGCCGAUCCAGAUCCGAUGUUGCCCUUGCCUCCCCGUUCGCUGCCCUAGAGCCCCGACGGUCGUCGUUCCGUGUUAAAAAACUUUGGAUGUGUGCACUGCGGAAGCAUGGCUUUGGUAUUGAUGUGUGCAAGUGUAUGUUAUAUUUUGUAGAGAAUGGACAAGGGACAAGAUAUGAUAAUUGAAAGAUAAAGGACAUGAGAUAUGGGGGAAAAUAGUUUCAGUAGUUGAACAAAAUAGUUUGAUGGAGAUUGGUGGAGAUCUAAGACCUCUCACGGUGGAGGGUUUUCCCACAUAAGGUGGACCUCUCACGCCUUUACAUUUGUUGAACUUACAUGCCUAUUAUAGAGACUAAAUACAACAUUCUAGAAUAAUGGAGAAUGUUGUCCACUUAGGCUUAUUCUAGGAAAUUCUAGAUUGUAAUUCUUCUAGAGCCUUCUACCUUCUACACUUUUCUUUUGCCAACUAAGCUAGAUUUUCUUAAGGAUUUUUCUUGACUUUUCUAGCUCAAAUCUUUCAUGAAGUUUCUAGAAUUGGAUCACAAAUUCCAACAUUCCGAAUCCGAUGCCAUCCUUGCUCCGCCCGUGAAAUCGCCGCCGCUGCCGAGCCGAGAUCGGAACGCCGUGUUCGAGCUCGGCCCUGCUCCCUCAAAGCCAGUGACCCGACGCCUCCAUUCGCCAACUACGCCCCGCUGUUGCCGCGCCGGAGUUCCCCCUGCACCCAUGACUGCCUCGCUGGAACCCUCGCCAGUGACCCCCCCCCCAAAAACCAGCGGCCAAGAUUUCCUUUUUUAAAAAAAUUUAAAUUAGGUAUUUUUGCUUUACUUUAUUAGGCAAGUUUACGUUUUUUCUUUAUUUAUUGUUAUUAUUAUCUCUUUAUAUCUUGUUUUCUUUGGUUGAAAUACUUAUCUAUGCAUAAUAAGAAAUCCCAAUAUAUCACCUGAUUUGCAACCACGCCAAGGUUUUUUAUUUCAUCUAUGAGGCUUGAGAUGAUAUAAUUAAUCAAGUGGGAAUAAAAUUGAUAUUUUGAUCUUUAAGGCUUAAGAUCAAUUUAUCGAUUUUAUUAGCAAAAUAUUAUCCCUUGAUCUAAACGAUGUGUGAUAUUUUUUUUGUAAUUUUGAAUGGUCUUGAUUGUUUUAUUUAUCUUGAAAUAUGUAUGAGUUAGAAUAUUGCAUGUUUUAGGGUUAUUUGCAUAUUUAAGUUAAACAUGCUAUUUAUCAUGAAUUUUAAAAAAAAAUAAAAAAAUAAAAAAAUAAAAAAUUCAAAUCAAUUAAUUUAGGUUGCUAGUUUUUUAACUUGAAUUGCAUGUUUAAUUAUUUGGCAAUUGUUAAUUUCGAAAUUAAAAAAAGAAAAAAAUCCAAAAAAUGUUGAAUUAGGAUUAGGUUUGUUUUUUUUGUCUUGCAUAUUUAGAAUAUGGAUUUUAUUUUGAAUAAUGAAAAAGAAAACAAAAGAAAGUACAUUCAUUUAGGAUGCUAGUUUUAUUAUUAUUUGAAUUGCAUGUUAAAUUUUAAUUUGGGAAAAAAGGAAAUGCCACAAAAAAAUCAUCAUGCAUAUGUCAUGUAAAAUUAGGGGCAUAUUUUGUACGUCAUGGCAUAUUAAGGUAAAAUUGCACUUAGUUUAAUUUUGAUAAUUGUUGCGAAAAGACAAGCGAUCGAACAAUAAUUUAAACGAAAGAAGAAAAUAAAUCAGAUACCGGAUUUACGUGGUUCGGUCGUAAAGACUUACGUCCCCAGUAAUAAUAUUUUUCUUAAUUUAUUAUAAGUUUAGGUAUUUCCUUAAAUAGAUUGCAUUUUAGGAUUAUUUGGGUUAAGAUAAUAUUUUAGUUUAAAUUAGGAUUUGGUUUACCUUAAUUCCUAAUCAAAUUGAAUAGGAUCUUAAUCUAGCUAGAUAAUUUUCACAUUUUAUCUAAUUUCGAAUUUCAUGAAAAAAAAACACAAAAAUGUCUUAGAAUAAAUUAGCUUUAUUUUCUAGGAUAAAUUGCAUUCUUUAAAAAAAAAAAGAAAAAGAAAAAAUGUCAUAUGCAUGUCAAUAGGAUUAGAUUCAUGAAAUGCAUGCCAUUUAGUGAUUGUUGUUAGGUCCAUUUAAUUAGAAAUUGCAUGUCAUUGGAAUUAGGUCAUUUAGUUAAUAUUGCAUUGCAUAUUGCAUGAUUUUCAUUAAUCAAGUUAAAGCAAAAAAGAAAUUGCGUGUUAAUUAGAAAUCAUAUCUAGGGUUGUUGAUGUGGAUUCUAAUUUAACAUUGCAGAUGCUUACGUUGUUUUGAGGUAAGAUUUUUUUUUUACAAUUUAUUAAUUAUUUAUCUGGGUGUUAAAUUGGUAGUUUGUGUACCCGCAUGAUCACCUCACAUGUUAGGAAAAUAGAUUUAAAAUCAAUUUAAGCUGCCUGCAAAAACAUUUUUGAAAAUAAAAGAAUGGUACCGAAAGGGCAUUAGAGAAAUCUAGUGUAACCAAGUCCCCGUACCCAUAGUCUCUGGUUCGCAGGAGUAAAGUAAAACUCCCGUUAUUUUACUUGGGUUUCUAAUCGACCCAUCAAGAAUAAAUUAGUGACGACUCCUAAUUAAAAAAUCAAUUGCAUGUUAAGAACUUGAACAUAAGUCGUGAAUUGGUAUGGGCUUGGGAGAGCCCGAGUUAAGUCUAGGCUUAACAAUCCAUUAGCCAAACUCUAGGUGAAUUACCCAAAAAAUUGAUCGCAACAGCUUGGCGACUCCGCUGGGGAUUUGUGUUAAAACACUUAGUGGACUUAGGCCAAAUUUUUUUUUUUGAAAAAUAUUUUUGUUUGACAACGAGGAUUCCAGGUACGUCCCUAACAUUUAGGUGUUAAAUGUUUUUGCAGAUUGGGAGGUAUAAGGGAAGUAGUGAUUGCUAACUUUUGUUUUGUAGGGAGGUGUAGGAAUGUAUGGUGUGUUCUCAUGUUGAAGUGUUGUUUGAUAUAAAUUGCCGUGCAUGCCUUGCAUUUACACUACACUUUUGCACACAACCUGCCGCCGGACCUGGGCCGCACUAGGUCACUUAGGAUGGUAUUGAGUUGGAUACGACUUCGACCGCGAGGCCAUGUAGUAGAGGUUGCCCAACUCAAUCCCGAAAGUUUUUUCUUGGUGUCAAGAAUAUUUACCUCUGCUCGCGAGGCUACAUCGCAUUGGGGUAUCAUUCUUGAUUGAGCCGAAGUUCAGAGGGCUUGAGUUAGUAUGCGAGGCUGCAACUAAGUCAUCCCACCCUUUUAACUCCAUUUUGCUUAGCCUUCCUAGUUAGAAAUCGAACCCCACAUUUCAUGCACUUAUCUAUGUGGUUGCUUUAAUCGUCUAGUAAAGUAAGCUCCCUACCAUUUACUCUUGCAAUUUACUUACUUUAUUAUGUCUUUGGUUAGUCCAUGACAUUAGGUUGGUCGAGUCUUGGUCUAUAAACAAUGGGAAGAUCUGACAUUCGAUUCGUGCCUGCACCAAAGGUUGAACUCAAAUCAUGAUAGGAUCAUCUAAGCCACGAUGGUCAAAGCUAUGUGGAAGGCAGACUUGGUCGCCUUGUUCCCCUCCUCGACAUCGAUGUCUAGAGUGGCGUCAUGCAAGCACUUCCUCAUUUCUGGAGCCCCCGAACAUCAACGUUCAUCUUUGGUAAGCACGAGCUGACUCCGACCCUAGAAGAAUAUAGCAUUGCCAUUGGAAAACCCUUGGAAUUGGAAUUGAUAAAUGCGGCAUCCCAAAAUUCAUAACGACCUCUAGUUACAUUAAAGUCUAUGAAUAUGUGAUGGAAGUAUCAUUAAGUUAUUUUAUAGCUAUUUAAUCCAUAAUUUGCAAUAAGAUUUAUGGCCAAGCUUUUAAUGGAUAAUUAUAUGAUAGGAAAAGAAAAUUCUAUCAUUGGCCAUGUGCAUUAUAAAUUGGAAUUUAUGAAUUUGUGACUACAAGUUUUAUGGCCUUAUUAAUUUUGCAAGUAGAUUCCUAAAACCUACUCUUUGCUUGCUGUAAAGUGUGUGUAGAAGAUGAUAAAUCGUGGUUGUGGUAAGUGGUGCAAUUUCGGAGCUUUGAGGAGAGGUUUGUUGGUCUUGCAUGCUGUUUCUGGAAAAUCAGCUUGACUGUUCACGAGUUUGGGGGUUGCAUGCGACUUUGUAUUUGGAAUUUCACUUCGACCUCUUCACGAAAGUUGUAGAAAACAUCUCAAAGUAUAAUAUACUAAAAUUUGAGACAAAAUUUCUGAGUUUUAAGGGGUGAAACCCUUCCUCUACAAAAAACGCUAGAUCUGAAACUGUUUUGUUGAUCUCUUGGUGGUUUUGUGCGUUGCAUGUCACUUUUUACUGAGAAUUUCACUUCUACUUCUUCACGAAAGUUGUAGAGAACAUCCUGAAUACUAACAUACUCAAAUUUGAGGUAAAACUAACAAGUGUAGCCUAGUGAAACGAUUUUUCCUUUGAAGAUGAUAGAUCUGGAAGUAUUGUACUGGACUCCAGCGACUUCGUGAACUAUAAAGUGACUAUCCGUUGAGAAUCUCGCCUAUAUCCCUUAAUGAAAGUUGUAGUGGAUCUCUUGAGGCAAAACAUAUCAAAAAUUCAGAGGAAAUGAAGGAAGAUAAGUAGGUGAAACCUUGAUUUUUCGGAGACAGCUAAACCUGGACUGUUCGGUACUAGGAACAGGGGCUUCGACCGUCCAUAUUUAAUUAUCUGGGGCGAAUCUGGCAUGGAUGUCUUCAUGAAAAAAUCUACCUUAGGGUCUUGAAUAUCACCUGGUAAAAUUUCAUAAUUUUUGGAGGCCAUUCGGGUAUUUAAAUUGAAAUAUUUCAAGAACUGCGCAAUCUGAUUGUAUCCGAAUUUUGCAAGCUGUAAUGUGUGAGCUAUAUCUUUUUGUGUGAAGUUCUUUUGGGCAUGUGUUCUUCAUGGAGUUGCUACCUCUAUGUCUUGCCUAUCACAUGUUCUGAUUUUAUAAUUUUUGAAGAUCAUAUGGAUAUUUAAUUUAUGUGUUUUCCGAAAUUGUGCAAGCUGGAAUUUGGUAAAUUUCAAAAAGUCAUGAUGUAUGGAUUAUUCUAAGUUGUAUGGACCCCAUGGAUUAUAUUGUCAUAAGUGAUUGGAUCUUGCUGCAUAUAUGAUGAUGAUUGGAACUACAUAUAAGAAUCAAAUGCUGAAAAUGAUCUUGUUUGCCAUCAUAUCAUAUACUCUGUUGAAAUUGAGCCAUAAUUGUGAAUGUGAAAUUGAAAAUGAGAUGUAUGGGAAUAUGCAUUGUGGUGAUGAGAAGACCGUCGGAGGUGUAAGCCGACGAUGCCCCAAGAGUGUCGGGAUGCUCGGAAUGUGGGGGUGCCGGAUGCCCGGUGGCUUAGUGGCUUAAUUCCGGAGGGUCCUCAGGAGUUUCGAGAUGCCCGGUGGUAUACGGUACGUAAUUCCAUAGAGGGGGAAUCCUGGUGGUAUGUCGGUACGUAAUUCCGGAAGCCCUGGAGGUUUGUGCCCAGGGGGAUGCCUCGUGAUGCUAGUUGGGAUGCGAGAUGCCCGGAGGUGUGUGCCGGAUGCCCGGUGGCCUUAAAUGGCUGAAUGCUAGAGGUUCCUGCAAUGUCUGGUUGGAUGUGAGCGAUAAAUUGUGGGAUGCAAACAUUGGUCCCUGAAAAGAAAAACUGAUGAAAUCCUUAUGAAAGAUAAGAAUUGAAAAUGAAUCAUGGGCAUGGGUGUAAGCAUAUGGCAUGAUGCAUGAUCUGCUUAUGAAAAUAAAUUGAUGCUAUUUGACAUUGAGAAUGCGGUCAUGAAGGCUUGAAUGGAUCUCAUGGUGAUGCAUGCUUGAUAGCAUGGAUGAUACGAAUCAUGGUGAUAUAUGCAUGAUGGCAUGGCAAGAUAUGCAUGACUGCAUGGCAAUAUAUGCACGACUGCAUGGUGAUGCGUGCUUGAUAACAUGGAUGAUAUGAGUGCAUGGUGGUAUAUGCACGUUGCAUGGUGAUAUAUGCAUGAAUGCUUGAUGAUGAGUGCAUGGUGAUAUAUGCACCAAUGGCAUGAGUAUGCAUGAAUGCUUAAUGAUGAGUGCAUGGUGAUAUAUGCACAAAUGGCAUGAGUAUGCAUGAAUGCUUGAUGAUGAGUGCAUGGUGGUAUAUACACAUAUGGUAUGGGUAUGCAUGAAUGCUUGAUGGUGAUGGCAUGAUAAUAUAUGUAUGGUUGCGAGGUGAGGUAUGCUUGAUAUGCAUGAAUGAUAUGUGCCUUGUUAUGAUGCCUUGAUUGUUCUGUUUGAUGCAAUGAGUAGUUUGGUGGAUCUUUACUGCUGAGUAGUUGUACUCACCCCUUUUGGGGAAUAAUAUUUCAGACUAGAUAAAAUACCUCUGCUGCCACUGCUACCAGUAGAUGGAUCAAGUGGUUGGAUAUGACCGCGAGGAGGAGGAUAACAAAGGAAUGAACUUUUGGUCGCCGACACUGAUCGAUGGACUUUAAGUAUAUGACUGCUGGAGGAGGUGUCGGUCAUCUUUUGAAGUAUAGCCAAGUAUAGAGAACCAUGGCAUUUUGAUGUACCGAUGAAUGAUGUCCAUCUAGUUUAAGUAAAUAAAAGUGUUCGGCUUUUACCUAUAAAUGUUUAGUUGGUGUGCAUUAUUUUUUGAAUAUAAGGAAGGGAGUUGAUGGAUGUGCUUCCGCCAUAUGAACUGCGCAAGGGACCGAUAAUAAAAGAUGUAAACCCCCAUGGUUGUAUGGACCCACUGCAAUUGAAAUGGUAUCAGAGUGACAUGUUAUCAGGUCAAGCGAAUGGUAAGCGAACUGUGGCGACCUUAACGGAUCGGGAGCUGUUGAGGGGUGCCACAAUAAAUCCACCCCUUGGAUUACAACCAGAAUCAAUUUUGUCUGAUUUUCUUAGAAUGGAUAAGAAUCUGAUAAAAAGAGUACUGAAAGAUAAUUGUCUUGCAUGUCCUUUUUCUUUCCUAGAUCAGAGUUUUGCUAGUGCUAACACUCUCUUAAAAAGUAGGAUCUUCCUCCUAGCUUUCUUCGGGUUUAUUGUUUUCCCUCUUCGUAAAGGCGCUAUUAAUCCUUCUGUCGCAUGGGUGGUUAAACAAGUGUGUGCUAGAAUUAGUUUUGUCAACACUAUUCUAGCUGAAAUAUUUUUAUCACUCACCCGAUUUAAGGAAGAUGAAGAUAAAACCUUUCGUGCACCAAUUGAACUUUUACAAAUUUGGUUCUUCUCUCAUAUGAGUAAGAUUGAUAUUCGCAUGAAUAUUAUUAAUGUCACUAAUUCCCAUCAUCCCAUCAAGGUAUUCAAAAAUAAUCAGGAUUCAACUCCAAAUCUUUCUUACUCAAAAUGGGUCAAAUUGUUGAAAAAUCUGAAUACCAAGAUUUUCCUAUGGUAUGCUAAAUGGUUCCAAGUCUCCAAGGCACGUCUCUCUCAUGGCGAUAAUGAGCCGAUCCCGCUAUUGGGGAUCACCAGUGCCAUUUCCUACUACCCACUCCGAGUGGCCCGUCAAUACUGAGUUGUAUAGGAUCUACCACCCCCUCUCAAGCUGGGUUUGUUCCAAGUCCGAUUCACUGCUAAGGAUGGUGAUCACAAAGAGGAGCUUCGCUGUGUAGAACAAGCUUGGCUCGCAUGUCGCAAACAAAAGUUGAACUUGCUUGAAGAUGAGCUUGAGGGGAAGGAAAAGACUUACUAUGCCACGGCUCGAUACAUCCGUCAGCACAAGAUUCCGAUUGAGUAUCUCCCGAAGGUGCCAGAUGUGACUGAAAAACCCACUCGGCAAGCGGAGCUUAAUCGUCACAAGAGGAAGAUUGAAGAACUCGAGAAGCAAGCCAAGAAGAACGCUAAGGAGAAGAGGCAGCUACGUCGAGCGUUGGCUUCCCAUGUGUUUAUAGAUCGGGCCAAAUAAAGUGGCUUGAAUCUAUUUGGAUUCCCAUGCGUUGGCUUACUUUAGAUUAAUGUUUAAGAAGUUGACUCAUUUACUUGAUCAGUUUAUUUGUCUAGGGCCUUGCAAGUUUCUUUACAUUGUUAAUGUCAAACAAUUUUAUUAAUGAAUAAAAACAGUUAGACUUUCAUCAUGGACCGACAUUGUUUGAUAUGAAGUGCUUAUGUGUAUUCAUUUCUUCAAAUUUAGGUGAUAACGGAUUCUCCACGCUCUCCCAUCAUCACGCAAUUAAGAGCUAGAAUGGCCAAUCAAACUGAAAUGCGCGAUCGUAUCUCCACUAUGGAAGAACAACUUCAACAGUUAACCACCUCCAUGCAGCUUCUGACGACUCAAAUCCAAUUCCUUCGAGCAAAUCCGACUCCUGCGCCCACUCUCCCUGAGAUAAUUGUCUCGAAGGCUCAAAUGGGUGAUGAUCACAUGCCUGACCUGGAAGAUUAUCCACCAUUGAUCACCACUAAAAAGACAAAGCCAAAUAAUGUCCCUAAGGUGGAGCAAGAUGAACGCUUCACAAAGCUAGAAGAAAACUGAAACAAUUGCAAGAGUCAGAAAAUUCACUCCCGUUCGACCUGUCUGUGUAUGAGAAUGUCAAGAUGUCAAAGAAGUUCAAAAUGCCGGAUUUUGAGAAGUGCGAUGGUACUUCCUGCCCAAAAGCUCAUUUGCAAAUGUACCAUGUGCAUAUGGCCCAAUAUGUCAAGAACGAGCCUCUCAUGAUCCAAUCGGUUCAUGCGAGUUUGACUGGACCUGCACUAAACUGGUAUGUCAUGAAGAAUGUGAACCUUCUCGACACCUGGAAUGAAGUGGCCAACGUAUUUCUCAAGCAGUACAAGUUUAAUAUGGAUAUUGCACCUUCCCAAGAGGAUCUUGAGAUGAUGGAGAAAAAGAGAAGCGAAUCAUUCAAAGAGUAUGCCGUGAGAUGGCGAAAUCUGGCAGCUCAAAUCACUCCCGAGCCUACUAACAAGGAGCUGAUGAAGUUGUUUAUCAAAACCCUCUCGUCUGAGUUCCGUAAUCGAAUGGCCAGCACAUACGUUGAAAACUUCAAUCAGCUUAUUCCUAUGGGAGAAAAAAUUAAGGUGGGGUUAAGGGAAGGAUGAUUUACUAAACCAUCGACUAGAAGGUUCUCUGCCAAGAAGGAGAAGGAAGUUGCUGUAGACGUGAAUGUGGCUUAUGGCCAAGAAAGUACCAAUCGUGCCCUGGCUAUCCAGACGAAUCAAAGGCAACAACAAACUGCCGGCCAUCAAACAUUUGCCCAAGCAAGAAGACAGUUCACCCCUCUCCCUGGAUCUCCAUCCCAAGUGUUGGCAAUCCUAAGAAAGAAAGGUUUGCUCACUAGUGAAUUGAAGCGUCCUAACCGUGAAAGCAUUCGAGGCUACAACCCGAUGAAGAAGUGUGAUUACCAUAACAGCGAAUUGGGGCAUUCAACUGAUGAAUGUUUCACUCUCAAGCAUAAGAUCCAAAACCUCUUGGACACAAAGGCCUUCUCAUUUCAAACUGCUCGGUCGAACAUCCAAAAGAAUCCACUACUAGAGUAUGAAGGUACGGUCAAUGCUAUUUUAGAGCCUGAAGUCAAAGGUGCACAUGGCAGAUGCUUACAAUGGGCUAGUGAGAGCUGGAUAUUAUCUAGAUCAUGAGGAUGUUCCUCUAUCACUUAUGAAGGAAAGAGUCACCAGGAUGGUGGAUGAUGGCAUCAUCGUCUAUUCUGACCAUAACUGCAUAGUUUCCACUAUUUCCCCCAUCAUUAUCGAUUGGGAGGAGGAGCAAGCUGCGCUCAAUGCUGAUAAGGAGGAAGUUGAUCCUUCACUCGUGGACAUACCCCCACUUGAAGAUGCAUCCAACGAUGAGAUACUGAUUGAAAUGCCUCAACCGUAUGAAUAUGUCAACAAUAAGGCGGUCCCUUGGUCCUAUGAUCUAGAUGUUGACCUCAUUACAAGAUUUGGUCAAACUUAUCCUCAAGCCAAUGCUCAACCUGCGAAACCUAUCACCGAUGAAGAGGUAAAGGAGUUUCUGGCCAUGAUCAAAGCAAGCGAGUAUAAUGUGGUCGAACAGUUACGAAAGAUGCCCACCCAGAUUUCUUUGCUCGAACUCCUGCUUACAUCCCCUAUGCAUCAAAAGUCGCUGAUAAAGGUGCUGAGUGAAAUUCGUGUACCCGAGAUGGUCGAGACGGACAAGCUAGAAGAUUUUGUGGGAUCGGUCCUUCUCAAGGACAUGAUUGCCUUUUUCUGAUGAGGAAUUCCCUCUUGAGGGCAGGGGGCAUAACAAGACACUCUAUAUAUCUGUCAAGCAUAAGGCUUCUCAUGUGUCCCGAGUACUCAUUGAUAAUAGGUUCACCUUGAACAUAUGUCCACUGGCCACUCUUCAUCGCCUCAAGGUGGACCCGUCCAAGAUACAUGUUGCAAAGACUACUGUUCGAGCUUUUAAUGGUACGAAGAAGGACGUGCUUGGGGAGAUUCAUCUCGAUGUGCAGAUAGGGCUGGUGGUUUUCAAUGUUCCUUUCCAAGUAAUGGAUAUCCCUACUACCUUUAAUUUUCUGCUGGGUCGUCCCUGGAUUCAUACUGCUGGAGCUGUACCGUCAAGUCUGCAUCAAGCUAUGAAGUUCAUGAUUAAAGGGAAGUUGGUCACUGUCUAUGGUGAAGAGGAUCACUGAAUUUAUCAUGAGACGGCUAUUCCCUAUAUAGAGCCAGACUCUGAGUUCGAGUCGAGUUACCACUCAUUUGAGUUGGUGUCCACCAUACAUGCAUCUUGAGGCUCACCACCACCCACUCCUGAAGUUUCAAAUGUUGCCCUUAUGGUGGGAAGGGUGAUGGUUGGGAAUGGUUUUAUUCCUGGUAGUGGCUAUGGAAGAAAUGGUUAGGGGAUUCAAAACCCCAUUGAAGCCCCUCAGAGGUCCCGUGCUGCUGGAUUAAUACCAAGGAAGAGGUGGGGAAAGUUCUAGAGAAUGAAGACAGGAAAGGUGGAACCCGCCACCUGACCAAGGGCAAGGAUGGCAAAACCCAUUACCCCUGAACAUUCACAAGACAUUCCCUGGUCUUCCAAUAAUGAUGCAGGAUGAAGUAGAAAUAAUGGACACCCUGGGGCAGCCAAGCGGAAAACUCGACUAUCUAGUGAAGUAUUCAGCUCCUCCCAGUUUCUACAUUGAUCCCCGCGACAUUGUCCCAGAUGGAUGGGGGGGCAUGGAUGAUCCGACACCCCCAGAGAUAGAAAACCCCGAAGAUGCAUUGGAAGGAAUCACUAGUCUCUUCGAUGACGUCUUCAUAGGGACCAUUGACGAAGGACCUUCAAUGGAGAUGGGCUCUGGCCCACAAGAGUAACUCAUUUACUGCUUUCUCACAUUCCCCUGCGUGGGAAUUUUUAUCGCUUUCUAGGGCUUGUUUUCGAUAUCUUUUUUUUUUCGCUUUCUUUUUAGGGCUUGAAAAUCACAUUUACAUUCAAUAAAUGUAAUUGAUUGAUGAAUAUCAAUAAAAUUACAAGUUUUAUUUUGAGGGCAUGAUGAGGUACACCAAACCAGCCCGGUGAUGAUAUCCAGCGGAUCAAAGAAAAAGAAAAUCCAAUGAGAGCUCUGAGACCUGGGCUUCAUCAUGCUUUCUCGUGUAAAAAAAAAUGUUUUUGCCAAGAUUCUUUUUAAAAAGAAAUUAAAAAAACAAAAACAAAAACAAAAGAUAUAGAUUACUCCAUCUGUCUUUCUAAUUUAUUUACUUCAUGUUUCAAGAGCAAUCUUAUGACAUACAAAGGUAUGAAAAUGGUCCAACCCAAUGCAACAAAUGAUGACAUUGACGAUCUCAAGGACUUGAGUGAAGAUUCCAUUGAGGUGUAGCGAACUUGGGAACAACAUGAAAAAGCCAAGACUCUCACAUCCGAGCAGACUGUCACUAUUAAUUUAGGUGACAUAGAAAAAGUCAAGGAAGUUAAAAUUGGGGCAAAUCUCCCCAAAGACGAGGCCGAGCGCCUAAUUUAGUUACUAAAGGAAUAUCAUGAUGUCUUUGCAAGGACAUAUGCUGACAUGCCUGGUUUAGACCCAUCGAUUGUCGAGCAUUGCUUGCCUACUAACCCGGACGUGCCACCUAAGAAGCAGAGGUUGCGAAGAACUAAACCUGAGCUCUCGAAGAAGAUAGAGGAAGAGGUGAUGAAGCUUUUGAAGGUGGGAUUCAUUGAAGUCUUGCAAUACCUUGAAUGGGUGGCUAACAUCGUGCCAGUGAUGAAGAAGGAUGGUCGAGUUCGAGUUUGUGUUGACUAUCGAGAUUUGAACAAGGCCAGCCCAAAAGAUGAUUUCCCACUGCCUCACAUAGAUGUCCCCGUGGACAGUACUGCUGGAUUUGAACUAUUCUCGUUUAUGGAUGGGUUUUCCGGGUACAAUCAGAUAAGGAUGAAGGAGGAAGGAGGAAGACAAGGAGAAGACUGCAUUUAUCACCCCGUGGGGAACCUUUCAUUACAAGGUCAUGCCCUUCGGACUCAAGAACGCAGGGGCAACUUACCAACGAGCCAUGGUAACACUAUUUCAUGAUAUGAUGCAUUAGGAGAUUGAAGUCUAUGUUGAUGAUAUGAUUGCAAAGACUCGGCCCAGAAGAAGCCAUGUGGAAACCCUGAAGAAUUUGUUUGAUCGACUUCGUGAAUUCAAGCUUCGGCUAAAUCCCGCUAAAUGCAUGUUCUGGGCAACAUCUGGUAAAUUACUCGGAUUCAUUGUAAGCAGUAAGGGGAUUGAGAUCGACCCAUCCAAGGCUAAAGCCAUAUGCGAGUUGCAACCUCCAUCAAUAGUGAAAGAAGUUCUUAGCCUUUUGGGAAGACUGAAUUACAUAGUUCGGUUCAUUUCCCAACUCUCUAAAACUACCAAGCCAUUCUUCAAACUCCUAAAGAAGAAUGCACGAAUCAACUAGGAUGAUGAGUGCCGAGAAACGUUCAAUAAGUUGAAGCAGUACUUGAUAAAUCCACCAGUUCUUGUCCUGCCAUCACCGCGACAUCCCUUGAUUCUUUACCUCACCAUUCAUAGUGAAUCGUUGGGCGCGAUGUUGGCUCAGGAAAGUCCUGUUGAUAAAAAAGAACGAGCCAUUUAUUAUCUGAGUAAGAAGUUCACUAUAUCAGAGCUAAAGUAUUCUAAUGUUGAAAAGACUUGUGCCGCAUUGGUAUGGGUAUUGCAUAGAUUGUGACAAUACACACUGUAUUACCAGACGUUCCUCGUGACUGAGAAUGACCCCAUCAAGUACUUACUUGAUUGGCCAGCUUUGGUGGGUUAGUUGGCCAAAUGGCAAAUUUUGAUCUCCGAAUUUGAUGUUCAAUUCAUGCAACAAAAGUCGGUUAAGGGUCGAGCGAUCGCUGAUCUAUUAGUUGAGAAUUCAGGAGUCUCUAAUGACGAUGACAGUUUCCUUGAUGACCAUGUCUUGAGUGUAAAUGAAGACUCAUGGAAGAUGCUCUUUGAUGGAGCCGUAAAUUUGUCCGGUUCUGGUACUGGGGCAAUUCUGAUAUCCCCAGAUGGACAGCACUACCCGGUAGCUGCAAAAUUGACAUUCUCAUGCACCAACAAUGUGGCCGAGUAUGAAGCUUGCAUCUUCGGACUUUAAGCUGCAAUUUAGAUGGGUGUGGCCAGGUUAAUGGUAUUCGGAGAUUCAGCACUAAUCAUACUGCAGACUGUAGGUGAGUGGAAGACCAAGGAUGCCAAAUUGCUCCCAUACCACAAGUAUUUAAAAGGUCUCAUGAAGCAAUUCAAAGAAAUAUCGUUUGAAUACUUGCCAAGAUCUCACAACCAAUUUGCUGAUGCACUCGUGACUUUGUCGUCCAUGUUACAAGUCACUGAUGGGUUAGAAGUCGAGCCAUUGAAGAUAGAAGUUUUGCCGAAGCCAGCUUACUGUAUGAUCAUAACUAAAGAACCUGAUGGAAAACCAUGGUAUUACGAUAUCAUGAGCUACAUUAAAAGGCAGGAAUUUCCCGAAGGAAGCACUCCCGCUGAUAGGAAGUACAUCACAAAGAUGGCCUUAAAAUUCUUCGUCAGUGGUGAGAAUCUUUACAAGAGAUCCUAUGAUUCAAUCUUGUUGCGAUGUGUGGAUGUAGCUGAAACCACUCAGAUCAUGCAAGAAGUGCACGAAGGAAUAUGUGGCCCUCACAUGAAUGGGCAUAUGAUGGCUAAGAAGAUCAUGAGAUUAUGCUACUAUUGGCUCACACUAGAAAGUGACUGCAUCAAGUAUGUACGAAGUUGUCACCACUGCCAGAUUCAUGGUGAUAAGAUAAAUGUUCCUCCAACUGAGCUGUAUUAGUUUUCCGAGCCAUGGCCCUUCUCAAUGUGGGGCAUUGAUGUGAUUGGCCCGAUAAAUCCUAAAGCCUCAAAUGGGCAUAGGUUCAUCUUGGUAGAGAUAGACUAUUUCUCUAAAUGGAUCGAAGCUACAUCCUUUGCAAGUGUCACCGCUCGUAAUGUUGCGAAGUUCAUUAAACGCGACAUAAUUGCUCGUUACAGCAUUCUGAAGCGAUCGUCACCGACAACGGAACAAACUUGAACAAUAAACUCGUUGAUGAAUUGCUCAGCGAUUUCAAGAUCAAGCAUCUAAAUUCGUUUCCUUACUACCCUAAAAUGAACAAGGCUGUUGAAGCAGCCAAUAAGAACAUUAAGAAGAUCUUGGCUAAAACAGCCGAGAAUUAUUAAGAUUGGCAUGACAGAUUACCUUUUGCACUAAUGGCAUACCGGACAUCGAUCUGCACUUCUACUGGGGCAACCCCUUUUGCUCUAGUGUACGGCAUGGAAGCAGUUCUGCACGUGGAGGUGGAGAUUCAUUCUCUGAGAGUUUUAUCCCAAGUGGACUUGUCUGAGGUUGAAUGGAUGCAGCAAAGACUUGAGCAAUUAAACUCGAUAUAUGAGAAAAGACUGAAGGCUCUUUGUCAUGGCCAAACUUAUCAGUUGCCAUAUCCUUCAACCGAAAGGUAAGAAAGAGACAUUUUGAGAUAAAUGAUCUUGUUCUAAGGAAACUGUUGCUGAUUUUUCCAAAUCCUGGGGGCAAGUUUGCUCCAAAUUACGACGGCCCAUAUGUGGUAAAGAAGGUACUUCCUGGAGGUGCCCUAAUCUUGGCAAAAAUGGAUGGUUGUGAGUUUUCUGCUCCAGUCAAUACUGAAGCUGUCAAAAAGUAUUAUCCAUGAUAAAAUUUGCUAGGUCUUGUCUUGAACUACAAUUAUUUUAUGAUGAAUAAGAUGCCUCAAUGAGUUGAAUUGUUCAAAUUUGUCAUAAAUCUUGCAUUUUUCUUCCUUAAUGAAUUGUGUGAGAUAAAUUGAAUGUGUCAAAUGGGAUACCUUGGAAUGAUGAAAGGCAAACCUUAUUCCAUACACUAUCCCAUACACUAAUUCUCAGUGAGUUGUGUGGAGAAAUUCCAUGCUCGCAAGGAAAAGGGUGAUCUCACAAAGGGUACGUUAACCAAGGUGAUGCGAGGCAGUUUCUUCUUCUACCUAAAACACUACAGGUAUACCCAUUGUUUAGCCCUUUGAGCCCAUACACAUGAAGAGCUUUUUAAAUUAUCCCUGUCAAGGAUCAUCCCAUAUUGAGACAAAAUUUGAAAUGAAUAAUAGGAAUUUUCUUACUCACACUUGCAUCAAUCUUCGAACAUUGCUUUUGCAUUGUAACUCAUACGAUAGUUUGAAGUGCCUUAGGAUGAUGAAGAGCAGUUAUUUUUCUAUCCUAUACACUUUUAUCCACUGUAUAGCCCACUUGAGCUUAUGAAUUCAUCUCAUAUUAAGCCAAGUUGGUGAUCAUCCCCCCACACUGGGGCAAGACAAAAACAUUCAAGUAGCAUGAACUAGAAUGCCGACAAAAUGGAGACUCUUCAAGGAAAAUAAGUGUAAAAAAUGGGGCAUGAAAAAGCAGUGUGAUUGGUAAAAGCAAAGCCAAUGCCCAAAGAAAAAAAAAGGGAGAAGAAAAAUCAAACUCUUGAUAUAAUGAGUCGUAUCCCCAACAAGGCGGUACCAAAACUCAAAUGCUGUUGCAAUUAAUGGAGAUUUGAUGAGAGAAAAUCUUCGAUAGUGGAGAAGGAAAGUAGUGGAAAUGUCAAGAUGAUCACCAACUUUGACUCCCUAAACACCUUUUUGAGCCUAAUGAUCCAUUCGUUUAUCAACCCAUGAACCAAGCCUACAUUACGUCCCUUACAAAGUCUCUUCAGAUUAUGGCACUUGAAUUAACGUAAGAGUUCAUAUGCUUGAAAGCAUUGCUUGACGAUGUGUGAGUAAGAUAAUUUCUACCUCAUUUCGUGUGUUUCUUGACUUGUAAAUCCCAAGACAAUUGCGAAAUGUCAUCUUUCAAUAGCUUCGACUCAAAGAGUCCUCUUUGUUAAGCCAUUGACCAAGCCGACAAUAUGGUCCCUGUUAAAGACCCCUCAGAUUGGUAAGGUCAUACCACUUGCGAGAUAGCUCAAACCCUUGUCUGGCAUGAUGAUGGUGAGAUAGAAUAAUUGUCAAGAUCCUGCAUCAAAGGUCAGGAUAAAACAACCCAUUUUAAAGAGGAAGAGUGAAAAGUCCUUUUAGACUGAAGGAUCUCUCAUUUGACAUAUCCAUGACACUCAUACGUUCAGAUUCGAAUCAUCUUUCGAAAUCAUUUCUAUUGGAAUUAGGGUGAUGCAUGGUUGAUAGAAAUCAUUACGCAUGAACCUUACUUGAAUUAAUGCAUGUCUAUGAUUAUAAAUGCAUGUUGCCUCUCCUACGAUCAUGUUUUGCAGGAGACAUAUAUCCAAGGAACAAAGAUGUCACCACGUAAGUAUAUCCCUAUCCAUACCUUAAAUAUUUGUGAUUGCACAGGUAUUUCCCUUUUAAAUACAUUGACACUGUUGACACCUAAAUUUUGGCGACCGGUUUAUUCAUUUAUCGCAUUAAAAAAUUAGGGAAUAAUUUUAACCCCUAAAAAAAUAUAUUAGUUAAUUAACUAAUUGCAUAGAAUAUAGAUUUAGGUGCAUUUGCAUUUUUUGCACCGGUGGUGGAUGGGUUUGAAUUAGUGGUUCUGAGCUUUAAAUUGACAAGCCGGACUAAGCCCACGAAGUGAGCAAAUUGGCCCAGGCCUUUUUUUUUUUAUAAUAAAGAAUCUCGUGAAAAAUAGGAAUUUGAAAUUUUUCCAAAAUAUGAUGAAUUUUUUGGAUAUGGUAAAUGUGAAAAGCAAAUAUUGCAUUUUGAAAAAGAAUCUUUGUGGAUAUGAAUUUGGAAAAAAUUAAAACUCUAAUCCUCACCCUAUAAAUAAGUUGUUUGCAUAGAGUUUCAAAGGGGGCCACACAAUAGAAAGAUACGGCCACGAUGGGGGUUUUCUCUCGAUUGCCAGAAGAAAGAAAAAAUCGAGCUCAAGCAAAGAGAGAGGUCCUUCGGUUUUUAGGGUUUAUGAGAGGAGAAGGUCUUGACUUUUUCCUUUUGCAAAUUUAAUGCCACAGAAAGUACGAAGGGAGCAGAGAGAGACCGGUGAGUGGGACGUGAGAUAGGCAGGAGGAGAGAGAGGGAAAAUUGAAAAAAAAAAAAGAGAAAAGAAGAAGAACGUUGUUCAUCUUCUCCGGCGUGCUUGCUGCCAUUUGCCUGAGCUUCGGCCGUUGCUCGCCGGACGUCGUCGUCUCGCCACACAAGAGCCACCCAACUCCUACUCUGCCCUGUCUUGCCAGAAACCACGACCCACCGCACCAGCAACGACGCCCCGGCUCCGCCUCUGCCCUGUUGCCGUCGGAGCACCGUUCGCCCACGCCUAGAGCCUGACCCAAGCCGGAUCGUAGCCCCUCCGCUCCGACGACGCCACUGCUGUUCUUGCUUUGUUCGCGUCUACAGCCCUCCGCUCAGCUCUGCUCCGUGCCUCUGUUCAGGCUUGAAGCCAGUCGCUGCACCUCCUCACUCAAGCGACCACCCGAGCCGCUUCCAUCGCGCCAAAUCUGGGCGCCGAGCAGUACGUCCGUCUGACAUCUCGCCCCUGCGACCGUCUCCACUCCACCCGACGACCCGCGACCCUCUGCUCUGACUCGACUCCAGCAGCACCGUGCGACCUGACUCCAGCCCGAAGCUCCGCUAGCCAUUGUUGCACUCACCGUCUGCAACCCGCGGGCCAUCCCGUCCCUAAAGCCCAGCAACGACGCCGCCUUCGUUCAAUCUCAUCGCGCCUCGCCUACCCGCCGCGACACCAGCAACUCGCGAAGCCACCACUGCGUCACCGUCGCAACCCGCUUGCUCGCGAGUCUGAUCUACCAUCUCUGGUCCGACAUCAUCAUCCCCCUGCAGCAAAGCUUGAGCCUUUCGUUCACUGCUGCUCCUCGCUGGCACCUUCAUCCUUGCUGGAGCUCCAACCGGCGUUGCCCCCUUGGUUGAUUAGGCUGCCAAGCCCUAUUUGGAAGGAAAAAGAGGAAAAAAGGGGAAAAAUUAAUAUAUGUAGUUUUAUUUUAUUUUAUUUAUUUAUUUAUUUAUUUAUUUAUUUAUUUUGUUUUUUAGUAUAUUUGUUCCUUAAUGUAAGAUUGAAGCUCCCGACAUGAAAUUGCCUCUGAGAUUUGGGAUUGACAGUUCGAUUUUCGCGCCCGAAAUCCGACUCGCAAUCACAAUUGCUUGAAAAAUCGUCAAUCCGAUCUUCCGCUCGAGAUUUGAUUCGCGAUUUAUUUAAAAAUUGGUCAACCUGAUCUCAUUCGCGAGAUAUGGUUCGCCAAUUUGUGGAUAUCGAUCCUAUCUUAUUUUAUUUGCUAUCAUGUUGGUUGAAUCAAUUUUAUUUAUUUAUUUAUUUUUUUUUUUGGUAAAGGGUAAUGAGAAUCAAUUUUAUUUUGUUAAGUAAAAAUUCCAAAAAAAUGCAUUCAUUUAGGAUGUUAGUUUUUGUUUAAUUUAAGUUGCAUAUUUAAUUACGUGUCAAUUUUUAAUUUCGAAAUUAAUUAAAAAAAAUCACCAUGCAUAUGUCAUGUAGAAUUAGGGCAUUCUUUGCACGUCAUUGCAUAUUAGGAUAGAUUGCAUGCUUAUUGAGAAAAUAAAAAUCAUGUGCACGUCAUAUGAGAAUUAGGUUCAUGAAAUACACGUCAUUUAGUAAUUGUUGCUAGGUUCUUUUAAUUAGAAAUUGCCCGUCAUUAAGAUUAAGUCAUUUUGGUUAAUUUAUAUUGCAUAUUUAAUUAUUGCAUAUUCAUUAAGAAAACACAACAAAAUUAUUUUACUCAUGUCAUAUAUUGCCAUGUCAUAUCAUUUCAUUAGUAGCAUGCAUUGCAUGAUUCCUAUUAAAAAAAAUGAAAACAAAAAUUGAACGAUUGCAUGUUAAUUAGAAAUCAUAUCUAGGAUUGUCGAUAUGAAUUUUGAUUUAACAUUGCAGGUGCUUUCGUUGCUAUGAGGUAAGUCUUGCAAUUUAUUAAUCGUUUUAUCUGGGUGUUAAAUUGAUGGUUUGCGCACCUACAUGAUCACCUCACAUGUUAGGGAAAUAGAUUUAAAAUUAAUUUAAGCUGCCUGUGUUAGGGAAAUCCCUUAUGAUGUUUUGAAGAUGACAAAAUAAAUCAAAGGCUACUAACAUGUUUGAUGGUUGAGUAAUAGACCAUGCAGAUAAUAGAACAUGUAAAGGAUAUUAUCAAAGUCUGAAGACUGCCAGACUCAAGACUCAAAGUCUGAAGAUUGCGAGACUCAAGACUCAAAGUCUGAAGACUGCCAGACUCAAGACUCAAAGUCUGUUCUACAUCAGAAGUCUGUCAACUCUGACUAAUUCCAGACUGAACGUGAAUGCUGAACCAGAAGACAGACUCUAUGCUGAAGCUGAACUGGGUACAGACCUUAAAGCUAAAUCUGUUCAGAAGCAGAUAUGUUCAGACCCAGAUUGUAAAGUCUAGAGACUCAGAUUGUAAAGUCUAGAGACUCAUAUUGUAAAGUCUACAGACUCAGACUUUACAUCCAGAUUCAAUGAAUCGUAACUUAAGCCCAAUCAUACAACGGCUAGUGAUCUGGUUUGGAUUCCACAUCAAGAUUGAUUUGAUUGAUUCAAUCUAAUUGAUUGACGAUUGGAUGUUGAAGACAAGAUCUUUGUAUACGAAGAAGCUUUACUUAUGGAAACCAAGAUUUCGUUUGUAUGGGCGAUCGGAAUCAAUUUGGGAUUCUACCUUUGUCACUCAACGGCUACCAAAUCUUCUAGAUACAGAGCUGUCCAAUGGGUAUAUUGGAAGACGAUUCUCCGGGAUACUGUCCAACGGGUAGUUUGGAAGUGGAGGAGUAUUUAAGGAGAUGAAGGACCGAUGAGCAAGUAAGAGACGGAGCGUAGAAUUUAUAAUUCCAAAGUCUGAGCGACUUUAGAUCAUAUACUUGUCUCUUGAGAGCUUAAACGUUUGUAAUCGUGAGAGAAAUACCAAGAGAGUGACUUAGUGAGAUAGUGUGAUCUACUAAGUGUUUGCACUCGAAGUUGUAAUCUCUUGUUGAUUGCAUAUUGGAAUCCAGCCAAGAAGGCUGUUAUCGUGGGAGAGUGGACGUAGGCUUGGAUUAAGCCGAACCACUAUAAAUCUUGUGUUCUUAUUCUCUUCCCUAACUCCUUUAUUUUGUUCAUACUAGCACUCUCAGCCUGCCAAAGCAUUUUUGAAAAUAAAAGAAUGAUACCGAAAAGGCAUUAGAAAAAUCUAGUGUAACCAAGUCUCCGUACCCAUAGUCUCUGGUUCGUAGGAGUAAAGUAAAAUUCUCAUUGCUUUACUUGGAUUUCUAAUCGACCCACCAAAAAAUAGAUUAGUGGUGACUCUUAACUGAAAUAUCAUUUGCAUGUUAAGAACUUGAACCUAAGUCGCGAAUUGGUAUGGGCUUGGGAGAGCCCGAAUUAAGUUUAGGCUUAACAAUCCAUUAGCCAAACCCUAGGUGGUUCACACCCGAAAUUUAGGUCGCGACAGCUUGACGACUCCACUGGGGACUUGAGUUAAAACUCUUAGUGGACUUAGGCCAAUUUUCUUUUUUAAAAAAUGUUUUUAUUAAGCAGCAAGGAUCCCAAUUACGUCCCUAACCUUUAAGGUGUUAAAUGUUUUUGCAGGAUGGGAGGUAUAAGGGCAGUAGUGAUUGUUAACCCUUAUCUUUCAGGUUGAAGUUAAGGAUGAAUGUUUUAAAUUCAAGUUAUUGAAGUGUUGUGUGAUUUAAACUAUUGUGCAUGCCUUGCAUUUGCAAUACACUCUUGCACACACAACCUGCCAUCGGACCCCUGCCGCAUUGGAUCAUUUAGGAUGGUAUUGAGAUGGAUACCACUCCGACCACAUGCUUGCAGUACGAGUUGCCCAUCUCAGUCCCGAAGUCUCUUUCAUGAUGUCAAGAGUACCCACCUCGGUCCGCAUGCCUGCGACCUAGGUCGGCUCUUUGACCAAGCCAGAGUCAUGAGGACUCGACAUAGUUCACAAGCCCGUGGCUAGUCUGAUCAUUCUUGUGGCUCCACCUUGAUAAGCCUUAUAGACUAGAAAUCGAAUCACUUACCAUGCGCAUGUCUAUGUGAUUGCCGUCGAUUUGUCUUGGUGAAGUAAGUCUUCUAUCUCUAUACUGAUGCAAUUUACUUACUUUGUCAUACUCUUGGUCCGUUCAUGACAAUCUAGGUCAAUCAUUGAUUUAAUUUAUUUGUCAAUUAGAAAUGAAAUGAGGAAAUUGCCAUGCAAUGAAUCAUUUGGAAAAUAACAAAAAAUUUGGUGAAUUUGUUUUCAAUUCAUGUCUAGGAAAUUUGGUCUUGUUAGGGUGUCUAUCUUUAUUUUCCUAGUCCAUUUUUUAGGAAAUGCCCUUCUUGUACGAACUUUUCAUGAAUAAAUAAAAAAAAAUAGAAAAAUCAAUUAGAUCAUUGUCAUAGAUUGACUUUCUAUUUACCCUCAUUCUUACAUGUUCUCGUUCAUUUGAACUAAGUGAUUAUGGAACAAUCUCGCUCACCCAUCUGUUCACGAUCAAGAGCCCAACUGAUGGAUCAAGAACAGCUUAUCUCAUCAAGCAAAAGUGUUGCGAUCUAUCUUUAGUGAGAAAUUGCAACUCCAAAAAGAGAGCCAAGAAGACUUUUUGACUCGUCUCAUUUUCCUAAGGUAGCCGAAUUUGAUGCCACCAUGAAGAGACUAGUGACAUAUCCAAAGGGAAGAAUAUUUGACUUGAAGGGUUCGUAUCACAAGAUCAAUCAGGGUGAAGAAUUCAAGUAUACAUGAUUCAUGGUCCUAAGUAGUUCAAUUUUCUCAUUUAGUCAGGGGCAUGCACCUUCCCCUGCGUGGGAAUUUUUAUCUCUUUUUAGGGAUUGAUUUCAAUUUCUUCUAUGCUUGAACAAUCCAUUCCAAUAAAUGUAAUUCGAUUGAUGAACAUCAAUAAAAUUACAAGUUUUGUUUUGAGAACAUGAUAGGGUACACCAAAUCAAUUCGAUGACGAUAUCCAACGAUGAAAAGAAAAUAUCAUCCAUGGAGAAAUUUUGAAGACCGGGCUUCUUCAUGCUUCCUCAUCCAAAAUAUUCCUAAAAAAAAUCAUUUUUUAAAGACAUUUCCAAAAGCAUGCAUUAGUUUACCCUUAUUUGUUUUUCUAACUCAUUUACUUUAUGUCUCAGAACAUAACAGAGAGGCGUUUGAAAAUAACACUUCAAGUUCUAGUGAUAGUGGGCCUGUUGAUUUGGGAACAUACAUCUGAAGGAAAAAUAGAUGUGGGGGCAAAGGAUCAUUUCCUAGCUAAUCUUGAUAACAUCUCCCAAGAAUGAAGAAGACAUUAAGCACUACUUAUCCUCUUACUUGUUCUGAGCGAUUUCCUUGCACAUUAAUAAGAAACCGAUGGUAAGUCAAAAGAAGAUCAUUUAGAUUCCAAAGUGUGAUGUGUGACACAAAACAUCUCAUUACGAUUUGUGUGAGAUGUCAAAUGAAGUUUUGAGAAAAUGAUGGAACAAGUCAAAAGAGGAUCAUCCGUCUUGGAUGAAAUGGAUACAUUGUGUUCAUGAAUAUAAUUAAUUUUGAAAUUGACACUCUGUUCUUUUCAAUGCAGAUAAUGAAUUGGGGCACUACAAAUUUUAGUAGUGACAUAACUGAGACAAAAUCUCAAUCCGAGCCAAAAUGAUUGUGCAAUUUGAAUUUACUUUGAUAUUGCAUGGUAUUAUUUUCAUGCAUGUUCUUUUGCGCCGAGGCAAAAGUGGAUUUUCAGUCUUGAAUGAUAGGGACAAUCCAAGGACACCCAAUUGCUGAGAUAGUCCCUUCGUGGGACAAUACCUUGAUUGAAUGCUUGAGAUCAUGUUUUUCAUACUUAUGAGAGCAUGUUUUGUCUGUUUGAAAUCACAAAAGUUUUUCAAGCUUAAAGUUGUUGGACUCUUUUGAAAAGAGAAUUUUCAUAUUGAUUUAGCUCACCAAUUUCAUGAGGAGAUUUGUCAAGAUAGACAACUCAAUGGAGAGACACCAAUGCUUAAGAAUGCUGAAUGAGACAUAUCAGGAUGAUGAAAGGCAAGCUUUAUCCUAUACAUAGUCCCUUACUUAUACACUUGUGAGAUGAGUGUAGAAAGUUCCAUAUCCACAAGGUAAAUAAUUCUCUCGCAAAAGGUACGAUAACCGAAAUGAUGAGGGGCAAUUUAUUUCUCUAUCCUAAACACUACAAGUGAUCCAUUGCUUAACCCCUUUGAGUUCCAUACACUUAUGAAAAGUCUUUUCAAAUUAUCCCUGUCAAGAACCACCCCACAUCGGGGCAAAUUGGAGGUAAGACAGCACCAUAAGGUAAAGAAAAUGGAAAGAAAUUUUCUUGCUCUCACUUGCAUCAAUCUUCAAGUCGUGCUAUUACAUUAAAUUCAUGUGAUAAUUUAAGUGCCUUAAGAUGACGAAGAGCAUUUCUUUCUCUAUCUUACAUACUUAUAUCCUUUGCAUAGCCCACUUGAGCCUGCAAUUUCAUUUCUUUAAACCCAGUUGAUGAUCAUCCCCCACAUGGGGCAAGGCAAAAGGCAGAUGAAGACUCUUAAAAAGUUCGAACGUCAUUCAAAGUCUAAUUGUUUAACGCAUGCAUUGUGCACAAGAAUUGAAUUCGAAAUAGGACUAAGGGACAUGAAAAAUCAGUGUGCCUGGUAAAAGCAAGGCCAAUGCCCAUGAAAAAGAAAUGAAAAAAAAAAAUGAAUGAGAACUAGGGGCAUGAAAAAGCGGUGUGCCUGGUAAAAGUAAGGUCAAUGCCCAUAGAUGAAAAUGAAAAAUGAAAAAAAAAAAAAAAAGAGUCAAGAUAGAUGACUAUCAGUUGCAAAGAUUGUAUCCCAAUGGAGCAGUACUCAAAGAGUCAAGAUCAAUAGGGUGCCUUAUGAAGACCAUCCCCGAUGGUAAAAAAGAAAAUUGGUGGCAAUACCAAGAUGAUCAUCAACUCUCACCAUUCACAUAUAUUUUGAGCCUAAUGAUCAUUUCAUUUCUCAAUCCAUGAACCCAGCCUACAUUAAGUCCCUUGCAAAGUCUCUUCUAAUUAGAGGACUUGAAUUAACGUAGGAAUUCAUAUGUUUAUAAGUAUCACUCGAAGAAGUGCGGGCAGGAUUAUUUCUUUAUCAUUUUACAGGGUUCUUGACUUGUAAACCCAAAGAUGUUUGAAAAGUUGUUCUUUCAAUAGCCUUGACUCAAAGAGUCCCUUUGUUUAGCCGUUGACCAAGCCCAAAAUUAGAAAUUGCCCGUCAUUAAGAUUAAGUCAUUUUGGUUAAUUUAUAUUGCAUAUUUAAUUAUUGCAUAUUCAUUAAGAAAACACAACAAAAUUAUUUUACUCAUGUCAUAUAAUUUAGGUUAUAUUGCCGUGUCAUACCAUUUCAUUAGUAGCAUGCAUUGCAUGAUUCCCAUUAAAAAAAGUGAAAACAAAAAUUGAACGAUUGCAUGUUAAUUAGAAAUCAUAACUAGGAUUGUCGAUAUGAAUUAUGAUUUAACAUUGCAGAUACUUUCGUUGCUAUGAGGUAAGUCUUGCAAUUUAUUUAUCGCUUUAUCUGGGUGUUAAAUUGAUGGUUUGCGCACCCGCAUGAUCAUCUCACAUGUUAGGGAAAUAGAUUUAAAAUUAAUUUAAGCUAUCUACCAAAGCAUUUUUGAAAAUAAAAGAAUGGUAACGAAAGGGCAUUAGAGAAAUCUAGUGUAACCAAGUCCCUAUACUCAUAGUCUCUGGUUCGUAGGAGUAAAGUAAAACUCCCGUUGCUUUACUUGGGUUUCUAAUCGACCCACCAAAAAAAUAGAUUAGUGGCGACUCUUAACUGAAAUAUCAUUUGUAUGUUAAGAACUUGAACCUAAGUCGCGAAUUGAUAUGGGCUUGGGAGAGCCUGAGUUAAGUUUAGACUUAACAAUCCAUUAACCAAACCCUAAGUGGUUCACACCCGAAAUUUAGGUCGCGACAGACACUUAAUUGAGUUGUCUUCAAAGAUUUUUCUCCAGAUUUAGUCUGAUUAAGGCGACCGAAGAACGGUUUGAGUCCUGGUCAAAUAAUCUGUGUUGCAACGUUAGGCGACCGUAGAAUGGUACGGAUCAUAAACAACAUUUAUUGCUCUAAUAGGCAAUGGUAUAAUGGCACGGGUCCUGGAAAAGCAAUUUCCCCAUUCAGGCGACUAUAGAAUGGUACGGGUCCUAAAAGGUAAAUCCCCGUUUAGGCCACCAUAGAAUGGACCAGGUCCUAGACAACCUCUAUUUCCCUAUUCAGCCGACUGUAGAAUGGUAUGGGUCCUAGAAAGUGAAUCCCCCGUUUAGGUGACCGUAGAAUGGUAUGGGUCCUAGACACAACCGAGCAUUGACAUACUGGGCGACCAUAGAAUGGUACAGGUUUUGGACAUGUAACACCAACUACCUUGAACUACUCUAUCUUCCUUGAAGGUAAGUUAUUCUAGGUAGGUUCAUUUAUCAUUUGCAUUACCAUUUCUAUGCAUCAUAUAAAUUGCAUUUGAAAAUGGAAUUCAUUUUCAAAAAAAAAAAAUCAUUCAUUGCACGUACAUGAUAAAAAAUUUAUAUCUCAAUUUAUCUUUGAAGGCAACCUCUGCGUGAUCACAUUCAAAGAGAAGCAGCUAUUGACACCUAAAUUUUUGGGAUUGAUAAAAAAAAAAACACAUAUUCAUUUUGUUUAGAAACAUUUUAUUUUUAUUUUCAUUUUGUUUUGUUUUAUUUUAGGCCGCUGGUGAAGGGAAGAUUUUUCACAUAUUCCAUUCAGAUUUUUCAUAUUUUUAGGUAAUAUAUACUAAGAGGUGUAGUUUGUGCAAAGAGGGAAUUUUUCUGGAUAGAAUAUGCGAGAAAUACAAAAGGGGAUAUUGCGCAGGGUGUGUAUAUUUCAACGACUUAUUUAGGGGUAUCAUGCGCAAGUAAAAAGGAAAAAAUAUAUGUCGCGAGGAUACAUUUUUUAGACCAAUAAAAUACAUUGCGCGCAAAGUAAAAAGGGAUUCUUUUUUCUUGGGCAGUAAAAAAGAAAACAAAAAGCAAAAAGGUGAAAGGUGAGUGACGUGAUAGAGAGAAAAAGUUAAAAAAAAAAAAGGAAGUCCCAUCGUCUUCCUCGAGAGGGGGACACCCUCGACGGCGCCGGCACACCUACGCCGGUAAUCGAGCCACCGGCGACCCCUUUCUUCGACCGCACCAGCGACCAAGCUGCCCGCCGCUGUGAGCAGCACCGCCGCCCCGCUAAUCUGCUGCCAGAGCUGUAGCCCGCAGUAGUCGCGACCCAAUCCCUCGUGCAGCCACGCCGCCCUGUCGCCGAUCUGUAGCCGGAGUCCCAGCGCCCCUGCUCACCUUCGCCCCGACGCUCACCGUCGUCGCUCGCCCUCUGCAGCUUCGACGCUCGCAGCUCGCGCCGCCCCGACGCCACCUCUGCUCGUCGCCUGCAGAUCCGAGAUCCCCACAGUAGCCGAUCCAGAUCCGCAGUGCCCUUGCCUCCCCGUUCGCUGCCCUAGAGCCCCGACGGUCAUCGUUCCGAAUCCGAUGCCAUCCCUCCUCCGCCCGCGAAAUCGCCGCCGCCACCGAGCCGAGAUCGGAAUGCCGUGUUCGAGCUCGGCCCUGCUCCCUCAAAGCCCGUGACCCGACGCCUCCAUUCACCAGCUACACCUCGCCAUUGCCGCGCCGGAGUUCCCCCCGCGCCCACGACUACCUCACCGAUGCCCUCGCUGGAACCCUCGCCGGCGACCCCCCCCCCCGGCCAAAACCAGCGGCCAAGAUUUCCUUUUCUUUUAAAAAAAUUAAAUUAGGUAUUUUUGCUUUACUUUAUUAGGCAAGUUUACUUUUUUUCUAUAUUUUUUAUUAUUAUCUCUUUAUAUCUUGUUUUCUUUGGUUGAAAUACUUAUCUAUGCAUAAUGAGAAAUCCCAAUAUAUCACCUGAUUUGCAACCGCGCUAAGGUUUUUUAUUUCAUCUAUAAGGUUUUAGAUGAAAUAAUUAAUUAAGUGGGAAUAAAAUUGAUAUUUUGAUCUUUAAGGUUUAAGAUUAAUUUAUCGAUUUUACUAACAACAUAUUAUCCCUUGAUCUAAACUAUGUGUGAUAUUUUUUAGGUAAUUUUGAAUGGUCUUGAUUACUUUAUUUAUCUUGAAAUAUGUCUGAGUUAGAAUAUUGCAUGUUUUAGGGUUAUUUGCAUAUUUAGGUUAAACAUUCUAUUUAUCAUGAAUUUUCAAAAAAAAAUCAAAAAAAAAAAUUCAAAUCAAUUAAUUUAGGUUGCUAGUUUUUUUAACUUGAAUUGCAUGUUUAAUUAUUUGGCAAUUGUUAAUUUCGAAAUUAAAAAAAGAAAAAAAAUCCAAAAAAUGUUGAAUUAGGAUUAGGUUUGUUUUUUUUGUCUUGCAUAUUUAGAAUAUGGAAUUUAUUUUGAAUCAUGAAAGAGAAAACAAAAAGAAAGUACAUUCAUUUAGGAUGCUAGUUUUAUUAUUAUUUGAAUUGCAUGUUAAAUUUUAAUUUGGGAAAAAAGGAAAUGCCACAAAAAAAAUCAUCAUGCAUAUGUCAUGUAAAAUUAGGGGCAUAUUUUGUACGUCAUGGCAUAUUAAGGUAAAAUUGCACUUAGUUUAAUUUUGAUAAUUGUUGCGAAAAGGCAAGCGAUCGGACAAUAAUAUAAACGAAAGAAGAAAAUAAAUCAGACACCGGAUUUACGUGGUUCGGUCGUAAAGACCUACGUCCCCAGCAAUAAUAUUUUUCUUAAUUUAUUAUAAGUUUAGGUAUUUCCUUAAAUAGAUUGCAUUUUAGGAUUAUUUGGGUUAAGAUAAUAUUUUAGUUUAAAUUAGGAUUUGGUUUACCUUAAUUCCUAAUCAAAUUGAAUAGGAUCUUAAUCUAGCUAGAUAAUUUUCACAUUUUAUCUAAUUCCGAAUUUCAUGAAAAUAAACACAAAAAUGUCUUAGAAUAAAUUAGCUUUAUUUUCUAGGAUAAAUUGUAUUCUUUUUAAGAAAAAAAAAAGAAAAAUUGUCAUAUGCAUGUCAUUAGAAUUAGAUUCAUGAAAUGCAUGCCAUUUAGUGAUUGUUGCUAGGUCCAUUUAAUUAGAAAUUGCAUGUCAUUGGAAUUAGGUCAUUUAGUUAAUAUUGCAUUGCAUAUUGCAUGAUUUUCAUUAAUCAAGUGAAAGCAAAAAAGAAAUUGCGUGUUAAUUAGAAAUCAUAUCUAGGGUUGUUGAUGUGGAUUCUAAUUUAACAUUACAGAUGCUUGCGUUGCUUUGAGGUAAAUUUUUUUUGCAAUUUAUUAAUUAUUUAUCCCGGUGUUAAAUUGGUGGUUUGCGUACCCACAUGAUCACCUCACAUAUUAAGAAAAUAGAUUUAAAAUCAAUUUAAGCUGCCUGCAAAAAUAUUUUUGAAAAUAAAAGAAUGGUAUCGAAAGGGCAUUAGAGAAAUCUAGUGUAACCAAGUCUCCAUACCCAUAGUCUUUGGUUCGCAGGAGUAAAGUAAAACUCCCGUUACUUUACUUAGAUUUCUAAUCGACCCACCAAGAAUAGAUUAGUGGCGACUCCUAAUUAAAAAAUCAAUUACAUGUUAAAAACUUGAACAUAAGUCGUGAAUUGGUAUGGGCUUGGGAGAGCCCGAGUUAAGUCUAGGCUUAACAAUCCAUUAGUCAAACUCUAGGUGGAUUACCCGAAAAAUUGGUCGCGACAAUGUCACAAAGUUGGGAUUAAGGAAUUAGAGGCUGAAGAGAUUAAAUAAAUGCAAAAGUUGUGCAGAGAUGUCUAGUAGAUUAAUUUCCCUGUGUAGUCAAAUCAUGCCUCCGUACUCCUUGUUUUGGGGAUCAAUGUAGGAAUCUGGUAAUAUAAAGACAACUCCAGGUAGAUCUGUUUAUAGCUCAAUAAGUCAGUGCAGAACGAUGAUGAGAUACUAUCAUUCAUUGAUUCCAAUGAGAAACUGAUUAAAGACACUUGCCUCUAAAUUGCUCUGACUCUGCUUCAGUCAUCACAGCCUGAAACCCCUGAUAAGUGGUGGUGCUACAGGCAUAAAUUCUCUUUUUUGCUUCUUCCAAACUGAAACACAAAAAAUGUCAUCUCAUUCAACAUGCAACUAAGAAAUAUCAGCAAUGAUUCAACAAAAAUUGGCAUAUCUAGUGUAAAUGCAGAGAACAAAUUUAAUUACCUAACUUUCAACUAUGAGAAUCAUUCACUUGACAUUUACUUAAGAAAAUUACAAAAUAAGAAAAAGCCUUACGAUGACAGUCCUAAGUAAAGGGAGGAGAAAUGCUGUCAUAAGGAUAAAAAGGGACAAUGACGCUAUUGUCCCUAAACUUUAGCCCAAUGUACGAUGCCAUCCUUACUUUUAAUUCGUUCAAUGUGGUUCUUGAACUACUUGUAAAGUAUAAAGGACCAUGGGAAAAUAUCACCACAAGUCCCUCAAAUUACAAUUCGUUCUAUCUAAUUCCUCAACUUUUCAUUACAAAGUCAAAUAAGUCUUUUGUACAAUUCACACGGAUCGUUAACUAUAAUAUAUAUAUAUAUAUAUAUUGAUUUAGAAAAUAAAUUGAAAUGAAAAGAUGAUCGUCAAUUAGGACAAUACUACAAUUAUGAAAACUUGAGAAUGGUACCACAUGACCAAUUUGAUUUUGUUGUGGAAAGGUGAGCGACUAGAUUGACAAAUUGAAAGCUUAGGAACUAGAUUGCACAUAAUGCGAUAGUUAAGGGACAAAUGUUUGACUUUCUCCCUCAUUCAAUGAAACAAAAAGACUACAUUGUAGCAGCAAGUUCAAAGGAGACACGAAAUGAAUUAAAAGCCAAGGAUGAAAAUGCAGAUUAGACCAAAGUUUAGGGGCUAUUAGUAUCAUUUACCCCCACAAAAAAUACUCAAUUCAGACCCUGAACAUUUUUUGGCUUCCAGUCUGAUUAACUUAUUCAUUCCAAUUUGGUUCAUCUGCACGGCCCCUAUUGGGUGGACAGGCGCAGACACUCGAGUAGCUUCAAUGAGUUAUGAGAACAAGUCAAACCUCUAGCCUAGAGGCUGACCACCCAAGUUGCAACCUGUUAGGAAAGAGAGAAACUUCAGCCUCUUCCAAAAUCACUAGCCAAUUCUACAAGAUAUGUCACCUUACACCACUGACAUUCUGCCUCAACUACCACAUCACCUCUUCCCUGCAUCCGAAGAGCCUCCCAAUUUCCCAGGAAUCCCUUCUUUUACUGUUGAGGAGGGCUUCAAUCCCUCCCAUAAAUUAGAGUUCAUUAGACUUCCAACCUGUAUUGGCAAUGCUUUUUGGCAACACCUGACUUAUCCCUAAGCAUUGCCGGUACUGAGACACCCAUUAAUCUCUAAGCAACACUCAUUUUCAAAUUUUGCAUCUUAUAAAUUAAACAUAAGGCUCCAAAGCCUCUUGAUGACACUCCAUUUCCAUCUUCAAUUGGCAAUACUCGAGCUACCACUAAUGGAUAACAAUAUAAUGGUGGCUUUGUCACCAAAAUUGGAAAGGCACUAAGUUAAACACUUUGGACUAGAUCUAGUACUGUAUACUCCAUCGUCUGGCCAUACAAACAAUUAAAUAAACAUGUCAACCAAUCAUUCUAAGGGACAUGUCUUUCUCUUGGGUUUACGCGCAUGGAUAAAAAGAAAAGGACAUGCACAUACAUGUGCAUAUGAAUGGAAGCAUGCACCACAGAAAGAGAGAGACGGCAGGCAAACAAGAAUUCCUGUCGCUUAUUUUAUUGCUAAACUAAGCUCAGUAAUAUUACAACUCUUUUUAUCAUGUAACCGAGGCAUAGACUCAGCAUCCCAUAUUUGCUUGCUUAAAUUAGUUAACUCUAAACGUCAUCUAGCAUUUGUUCCACGUACUUCCAUAAAUGCCUAAUACCGACGAGGCAACACAUUAACCCAAAAAAACAUGGUGUUGUCAACGAAGCACAUGAAUUAUAGUCUCAAACAUAGGACGCAAUACCUACAAUAAGGCGUUGUUGACACCUAAAUUUCACAAAUUUAUUUAGGACCUAAUCGCAUAAAAAAUUAGGAAUUAGUCACUAAAAAAAAGAGAGAAAAAAAAAUCUCUUAGGGGCCGGGUCGGGCCGGAUCAACCAUGGCCCGGCCCGACUCUCUUCCCUUUCCCCCUGUGUGGGGCCCGGGCCCCUUUUCUCCUGCGCCCCAAGCCAUCUCCCCUUUGGCCUGGCCCAUGCUAGCUUCUUCCUCCUCCUAUCCAUCUUCGCGCCCGGAGCCUGCAAAAAGAGAAAGGAAACUUGUAGAAAAGGGGAGUAAGACAGAAGAGAGAGGGGGAGGCGAACCGUGAGAGAGGGGACCAGAGGGGAGGCUUGGAGGAAGCAGCUCGCCACCCAAGCCACCCGCAAGUCCGCCCCGGCCACCGGUGGCGUCAAGAAGCCCCACUGCCAGGCCACACCUCUCUAAUGGACACCAUGCCUUGACACCUCGCCCCAAUGCCGUCCAGAUCUGAGUGAGUGGGUUUUGGAGAGCAAGGGUUCUGAUGCCGUUCCUGCUGCUAUUGCCGCUGCCACCGGAUGCCAGAUCUGGAGGAGGGGAGACUCACGAUUGCUGUGCCGAACUUCCGCCAUGUUGCUAAUGCCCAGCGAGUCAAAACCCUACAACUGUGCUGUCCCGGCCACCCCCCAACAAUGUCGCUGCAUCGGAUUUCCGCCGUGCCACUGCCGUUCGACCACCAACGACGGUGAGAGAUAGCAUCUGGUUACCGCCGUUCCAUCCCUCGACGCCGUCGCCACUAUUGAACCCUAGACCAACCACCUCAAGAUGUGCCGUCGUUCCCCUUGUCGUCAUCGCUACACCAGAUCUCCGUCGUUGCCGUUGCAGCAACGGUCACUAGGCCCGACGCCUCUACUGCCAACGAUGCCAUCUGCUCGCAAUUCCGUCGCCCACUUCCGGAUCCGCGACGUCCCCAAUGACCUGCUGAGGCCCCUGCCGUGUUGGGCUGCUGUUGCUCUCAUCCGUCACAACGCCGUCGUUCACUGCGAAGCCAUUGUCAAAUCCCUACCCUGCAAUGUGCCAGCCAACCCUCGACGCCGCGGAUCGCCAAACUCGAGGGUUCCAGAAUCUGGGUCCAGGAAGAAGAAGCCAAGUUGGAUCCGAGUAGGUUUUUUCUUAAGAAUUGGGUCUCGGUUUAGGAUCCGGGUCGGGCAUGGGUCGUGAACCGAACAAUUCGAGCCGGAUACCUAAGUCGUGUCUAGGCUGUUUUGGGACGUGGGCCGUGGGCCUGCAUUGGGUCCAUUUUGCAAAAGAGGGAUUGGGCCUGCCAGCUGGGCCUAACCCAAUUUUAAGUAAGGGCCCGACCACCUCUAGUCGGGCCCAGCCCUUUUUCGGGUGGGCUGUCCGGCCCGCCUCGGACCGGAUUUGGGCGGGUUUGACCGGCCCGCCCAAUUCGGUCAAACCCGAGUUAGGUCAGACCAGACUCUACCCGGGCCGGCCCAAAAAAAUUAAUUAUUUUUAAAAAUUAAAAAUUAAAAAAAUAAAUAAUUUUCUAAAAUCCAAAAUUUGUAGGGUUUGGUUAGAAAUUGCUAUGUAUUUUCCUUUUAGUGUAAUUGGGUCUUUAUUUGCUCGUAUAUUAAUUAUAUCACAUGUUUAGUUUGCAUAUAUUGUUAAGUUUAAUUGCACAUGUUUAAUUUUAUGGCAAUUAGGAUCUUGGUAGCUAUAAGUAUUAUCUUAAUGAUUGUGCACCCGCAUGAUCACCUCACAUAUUAGUGGAUAGGUAUGAAAUAAAUUCAAACUGCCUGACAAAAAUCUUUUCUCUUAAAAUGAACAAGAUUAGGUACCGAAAGGGCACUAAUUUAUCAAUUAGUGUACUCAAGUCCCCAACCAUAGAUUCUCUGAUUGCGUAGGAAGUGAGGUACACUCCCAUACCUCACUUGGUUUCUAGCCGACCCCAAUAGGCUAGUGACGACUCAUUUCUGGGAAUUUUUUUUUUUUUAAGAAUAUCCCAACGUCACGAGGGGUAUGGGCUUGGGAGAGCCCACUCCUAAUCAUAGGCCUUAGGCCCGUCCUUUAGGCAAUACCCCUAAACCCGUUCCCUACCCUUGAGGGGUAAGUCGCUACAGCUUGGCGAUUCUGCUGGGGAAUUAGUUUUAAACCUUAGAGAAUUUAGACCAAAAUUAAUCUUGUUCAAAAAUAUUUUUAUUUGUCAGCAAGGAUUCUAGAUACGCCCCUAACAUUAAAGGUGUUAAAUGUUUUUAUAGAAUAGGAGGUAUAAGGGGAAGUGUUUGCUCACCUUUGUCUUGUAGAGAGGUGUAGGAAUGUAUGGUUUAUUUUUUUAUGUAUGAAGUGUUGUUUACCCAUAAAUUGUUGUGCAUGUAUCAUUUGCAUUGUACUACACCAUAGCACACACUACCUACCGCUGCACCUGGGCCACAUAGGAUCACUUAAGAUGGUGUUGAGGUGGAUACCACUUCAACUACAAUCAUGUAGAAUGAGUCGCCCAUCUCAAUCCCGAAAUUUCUUUCUUGAUGUCAAAGGUCCCCACCCUAGUCUGCAACCGCGCUACACGGGUCGAUUCUUUGACGAAGCCGAAGUCAUGGGUAACCCGACCUAGUUGCAACCUUAUUGGUUUGGUUCAGUGAUCCUAUGGCUCUAUUUUGAGCCGUAUAGAGUAAAAAUCGAACCACAUCUCAUGCGCAUGUCUAUGUAAUUAAAAAAAAAAAAGAAACAGAGAGAAAAGUCGUCCCCCACUGUAAGUAUCAUUCUUUUUUUAUUCGCUUUUUUUUUAAUUGAAUUUUCGUCUUGAAAUUCGCGGAAAUUAAUCGAAUGCCCUCAGUGUUGUAGGCUUAUGAUUAAAAAAAUUGGCAAUCACUCUUGAUAAGUGAACAUUGAAUGCAAGUUCUAAGCACUUUGAUUUGGCCCUGUUGAACACAUAGUUUUAUUUAAAUUUCUAGUUAUGGGCUCAAAAUUGUAUUUUAAAAAAAAAAAACUUUCAAGUUGUGAUUAUACAUUGGGGCACAAACAAAAUUGAAAUUGCAUUUUUAAUCAAAUUCUCUCCAUUUUGUGUAUAGAUUUCUCAAAACAAGAGUCAUCUCAUUUUUCUAUGAGUAAAAAUCACAAAUUAAUCUUUCAAAAAUCAAUGCCACUUUUACAUAUGAAACUUUUGGAAUAGAAUGGACAUUCGAUUGAUAGCCGCCGAUCGAUCCUUUAAUGAUGCCCCUUCUCUUAUGACAAAUCUUGGUGAAAUACCAAAAUCCCAUAAUAUGGACUAUGGGGCAGGUACCGUCAUAAGAGGCGACCUCAUUGAAAGAUCAAUUUUUCAUUCACACACUAACAUUGUCUUCUUUUCGCAGGUCAUGCGUGAUGACACUUCUUGACUUCACUCGCUUGAUCAUGCCAAGAAGUCGACUUUAGAAUUAGGAUGAGAAUGGAUUUAUACUCUCAUAUAUGCAAGCGUAUUUUGCAAUAAAUGGGUAAAGCAUCUAAAGAAUAAUAUCCCCAAAUGUGGAAACAAUGAGCAAUCCUCAUCCUUUCAAAAGAAGGAUCUUGAAAAACACAUCUAAUGAUCCAUAUUUAAAUUUUUCAAGCUCCUUGUCAAUUAAACGUCUCUUCAAAAAGAGCAUUUGAAAAAAGCAGGAAUUGAACUUUGUAAUUGUUGUAUACAAUAAAGAAGUGAUUUUCAUGGAUAAAAUCAGGGCCUCAUAGCCAUUUUUCAGUCAAUCCUAGCCACUUCGGUGAAGUUCAUACUUGAAGAACAAAAAUGCGUGAAGGGUAAAUUGUGUCAAUUCCAAUUGCUCAUUUCGAUAGCGCCUUUGACAUGAUCCUUUUUUUUUUUCCUUUGAUAGGAAGACAUCAAACUCUUAAAGGCAAAUGCAAGUGAAGGGUACUGUCGAGUUACCAAAUAUCCACAAGCAUGAAUUCAAGAAAUGUUAGCACUCAAAGGAUAAAAGCGGGUGAAUGGUAAUAAUGUAUCGUUUCCAACAUUUCAAUCCCUAAAGAUUUUUACACUAACAUAUUCUUUUACAUUCUUUACAAGGUUACCACGUCACCAUGCCACAGGUAAGUACCCUUCUUCUCAAAAAAAAAAAAAAACAAAGAAUUUCCAUUACAAAAAAAGAACCUUUUGUGCUUUCCAAGAGACAAGCACAAAAAUGAAUAAUUGAAAAAAAAAAUUUCUACAAACUUUUUGAACAUCCUUUUUAUUUCAAAAUUGUUUUCUUGUUUUAUAGAUUAUUCAUUUUGAAUCAAAAUUCCCUAUGGAGAUUAAUCUACUCAAACGAUCUCAGCAGAGUGAAGUGGAGAUGAUAAUCAUGCCAAGCAGAGGAUACUUAGGAUGAAGAAAUGCAAGCCAUUUCCAAACACAUCCUUUAAACACUUUUGAGAGUUGAGUGAAAGGCAACAUUCUCUUAGGAUGAAUGAUUCAUUCGCAUUGAGCGCAAAUAUCAAAAUGAUAAAGGCAUUUCCUUCAUCAAUCCCAAGUACCAUACUAAUCUCUUGCUAGCCCUUUCGGCUGAAUAAAGAUGAUCCUUCAAAAUACCCCUGUCGAGAACGACCCUACAUUAGGGCAGCAUAGGAGAUUACGAUCGUGUUGUAGAGCGAAGAAUUGAGAAAAAUUCUAUUACUUUCACUUACAUCAAUCUUCUGGUGAUAGCUUCAGAUGAAUUCUCAUUAGAGCUUAACUCAUCCCAAGGUGAAGAAGAGCAUUUCCUUCCCUACCCAAACACUGAUACCCAUUGUUUUAAUCAAUUUUGGCCUGAUUAUUCAUUUCUGAACCCUGAGUGGUGAUCAUCUCCCUUCACUGGGGCAAGGUAUAAGAAUUGACCAAAUACAAUUGAAGUUCACGAGAAAAUGUGAAAAGCAUCUUAAAAGUCAUAAGAGCUACAAAAGUUCAAAGAGCAAAAAGUUCGACAAACUAGGGGGCAUAAAAAAGCAGUGUGCCUAGUAAAAGUAAGGCCAAUGCCCGUCAAGAAAAAGAGCCAAAAGGCUACAUCUUAAGUGAAAAAAAUUAUCAAAGUCCAAGUGCCUGCAUAAAAAAAUCAUCGCAACUACAAAGGAAAUUAGAAAAAGGAGCAAAGCUCUAUUGCAGAAAUGAUUAGUCAAAAAACUUUCGAGGUGCGCUGUGUUUCAAAAGCCAAAUGAUUUUGAAAGAUCGAGUGACUUGGUCACGAUGCCAUGAUGAUCACCGAUUCUUAAAAACCCUCUUGAAAAUUUUAAGCCUUUCGAGCCUCUCCCAAGACAACAUUACAAUCCCCUUCUGAAGUCUCUUCUGAUUGGGAUAAUUUGAGUGAAAAUGAGAAUGCCACAAAGAAGCUACUGCUUGAAGGAGUUGAGGUAAUUAUGUUUUGUCUUAUCUUCCAAGUUCUCGACUUGUAAACCCAAUGAAGAUAGCGACAAAUGUUUCUUUGUUGGCCUCAAAACAAUAAUUCCUUUGUAUAAGCCCUAACCGAGCCUAUAUUGCGGUCCUUUCAAAAGACCUUUUUGAUCGAUCAGAUUGUGCUUAUCGCGAAUGUUUCUGAAAGCCUUUGACAUGGAUUAUGUGAGAUACCCUCAGCAAUUAGUUACUUCCCACGCGAAUAAAUGGAAUCAGGCAGCCAUUUUAUCGAGAGUGUGUGAGAAACCCUUUCUAACUAAGAAGCUCUAGUUUGGCAUGCUUAAUGAGCCUAUUUCAUGAGUCGUAGCCGUUCUGAUAAGAACUUGACUCCCAGAGAAUUUGACGAAUAAUGAUAUAUCCCCGAGCAAGAUGACAGUUUUGCGCCACAUGAUGAUAAUUGACAUUGAAUGUUUCUUAAGGCAAUUAGACUUAGCUUGAUUAGCUUGUUCAAUUAAUGCUGCAAUAUUGCCAAUACGUCUCUUGAUGACGUCUCUAAUGACAUUUGCUCAAGUUGAUUUGACAGGAUUCCUCAGCGACGCCAUGCAGUUUUCAAGGUGUUAGCGGGUGCUUCCCUAAAAACCAAAGGUUCAUGGUCAGCCUUAAACCAUUCCAUCUCCAAAGGUUCAUGGUUAGCCUCAAACCAUGUCAUCUACAAGGUUCAUAGUCAGCCUUAAACCAUGCCAUCUCCAAAGGUUCAUGGUCAGCCUCAAACCAUGUCAUCUACAAGGUUCAUGGUUAGCCUUAAACCAUGUCAUUUCCAAGGUUUGUGGUUUAUCAUUAAACCACAGGGUUGGUGGUUUUUCCUAAAUCACAUGGUUCGUGGGUCAUCCUUAAACCACAAGGUUGGUGGGUAUCCUUAAACCACAAGGUUGGUGGUUCUAUCCUUAAAACCACGGGGUUGGUGGCUUUUCCUAAACCACACAAUUCGUGGGUCAUCCUUAAACCAUAAGGUUGGUGGGUCUAUCCUUAAAACCACGGGGUUUGUGGCUUUUCCUAAACCACACUGUUCGUGGGUCAUCCUUAAAUCACAAGGUUGGUGGGUCUAUCCUUAAAACCAUGGGGUUGGUGGCUUUUCCUAAACCACAAGGUUCAUGAGUCAUCCUUAAAUCACAAGGUUUGUGGGUCUAUCCUUAAAAUCAUGUGGUUGGUGGCUUUUCCUAAAUCACGCGGCUUGUGGGUUCAUCUGUAAACCACGCUUGUCCGCAUUCGGUUGAAACCCGUUUUUACACGGUGAGACAUUUCUUCCAGUCGAAACUCGUUUGUACAUGGUGAGACUAUCAUCCAAACACAGUGAGACUAUCUUCCAAUCAAAACCCGUUUAUACAUGAUGAGACUAUCAUCCAGUUGAAACCCGUUUUUACAUGGUGAGACUAUCACAUCCAGUCGAAACCCGUUUUUAUACGGUGAGACCUUUCUUCAAGUUGAAACAUGUUUGUAUACGGUGAAACUAUCAUCCAGUCGAAACCCGUUUUUACACGGUGAGACUAUCACAUCUGGUCGAAACCCGUUUUUACACGAUGAGACCUUUUUUCUAGUCGAAACCCGUUUUUACACAAUAAGACUACCAUAUACAAUUGAAACCUGUUUUUACACGGUCAAACUAUCACAUCUGGUCGAAACCCAUUUUUACACGAUGAGACAAUUCUUCCGGUCAAAACCUAUUUAUACACGGUGAGACCAUCAUAUCUAGUCGAAACCCGUUUGUACACGGUGAGACUAUCAUAUCUAGUCGAAACCUGUUUAUACAUGGUGAGACUAUAAUAUCCGGUCGAAACAUGUUUUUACACGGUGAAACCUUUCUUCCAAUCGAAACCCGUUUGUACACGGUGAGACUAUCAUAUCCAGUCGAAACCUGUUUUCACACGGUGACACUAUCACAUCCGGUCAAAACCCGUUUUUACACGGUGAGACAUUUCUUCCAGUCGAAACCUGUUUGUACACGAUGAGACUAUCAUAUCCCGUCGAAACUCGUUUUUACACGGUGAGACUAUCACAUCUAGUCGAAACUCGUUUUUACACGGUGAGACAUUUCUUCCAGUGGAAACCCGUUUGUACACGGCGAGACUAUCACAUCCAGUCGAAACUCGUUUUUACACGGUGAGACUAUCACAUCCAGUCGAAACCCGUUUUUACACGAUGAAACAUUUUUUUCCAGUCUAAACCACAAGGUUUGUUGGUUCAUCCUUAAACCACAAGGUUCGUGGGUCAUCCUUAAACCACACAGUUCAUGGGUCUAUCCUUAAACCACGCUUUUAAAAUGUUUAUGAGUCUAUCUUUAAACUGUUGGAGAAAUCUUCUUGAAGAGUUUUGAAGCUGACAAAACGUUUCCAUCAGUCUAGUCUGAAGGUUUGCAGACUCUGCUAUUUAAAGUCUGAAGACCUCCGAACAGCUAGACUCAAGACUCAAAGUCUAUCCUCAUUGACAGUCUCUAAUCCGUUGAAGAAAGGUUAUCUAGAACUGGAUGUUUCAUUAAGGAUAUGACCUUAUCGACUGGAGAAGAUCUCUUGACUGGAUAUGACAUAACGGAAUCCUUUGAUUGAUUGAGAUUGAUUCGAAGACUAAGGAUCCGAUGAUUGGCAAAAUAUUCUUGGAAGGUUCUACUUAUGGAAACUGAGAUCCUGAUUGUAUAGGCGAAUAUGAUUGAUGGGCUAUCGACACGUUCUUUUAAUAGCUCGAAUAAUCUUCCUAAUUGAUUCGGUCCAACGGGUAGAUUGGAGGAAUUCCUUUGGUAAGUGCCAACAGGUAUGAUGGCAUAAAGGAGUAUAUAAGGAAGACGUUCUAAGCUGUUCGAGAGGUGCGCGAUAGAAGAAUUCCAAAGUCUGAAGCUUUUUAUUGUUUUAGCAAAUCACUUUGAGCGAAAUCUUGUACACAAAAGAGAGUCUAUAUUUGUGAGAAACCUUGAGGAGGUGUGGUAGAACAUCUACACUGUGGAAUCAAGGAAAAGCUGUGCUGUAACUUCUCUUUUGUUUAUAGUGAAAUCCAGCCGGUGGGCUGUCAGUGCGGAAAAGUGGACGUAGGCUUGGAAUAAGCCGAACCACUAUAAACCUUGUGUUCAAUUUUUCUCUUCCCUACUCUUUACUUUACUUUGAUCGUACUUCAUUUUGUUAAUUAAAAAAGAACUCCCUUUCUAUCGUUUGAAUCGCUUCCGUAUCUUGAAAAAUUAUUUGUGCACCUAUUCACCCCCCUCUAAGUGCUUAUACUAGCUAUCUUAAUUGGUAUCAGAGCUCGUGUACUCACUUUGUUUGAAGUGUUUUACUUCAGAGUUAAAGAUCCAUGGCUAGUAUGUUGGCUCCAGGACUGGUAGAAGGGCAAAGCAAUACCAGACCGCCUUACUUUGAUGGAAAGGACUACAACAUAUGGAAAAACAAGAUGAAGGCGUUCUUAAGAUCAAAGGAUCAUCUGGAAUGGGACGUUGUAGAAAAAGGAAUCAUUCCUAAAGCUGCACCUGUUUCGGAAAGAGGAAAAGACACUGUUGAGUCUAGCGGAAUGACUCAGGAAGAGAUAAUCAAGAGACAAGCUCUUGAUGCAAAAGCAAUUUAUUCUUUAUAUUGUGCUUUAUCACCUACUGAAUAUAACAGAAUAUCUUCUUGUGAUACAGCCAAAGAAGUCUGGGAUAGAUUACACAUUACUUAUGAAGGAACCGAUCGAGUGAAAGAGACUAGAAUCAACAUUCUUCUCGGUCAAUACGAAGCCUUCAGAAUGAAAUCGGGAGAAUCUAUAACUGGCAUGUUUAGUCGUUUUACAGAGAUCGUGAAUGGUCUUGAAAAUCAAGGCCAACCAAUUUCUGAUCCCAUGAAAGUAAACAAGCUACUGCGUGGACUCUCCAAGGAUUGGAAUCACAUAAAGACCUCAAUCAGAGAGACCCAAAGAAUCAUGCCACUAUCUGUCGAUGAGUUGGUUAGGACUCUUCAGUCUUAUGAAGUAGAACGAAUCAAUGAAGACGAAGAUCCUAAAGGUAAGAAAUCCAUUGCAUUAAAAUCUAAUGAUGAUUCUGAUGCAACAGAUUCUGAAGACGACAUGGAUGAUGAAGAGCUUGCUCUCAUAAUAAGAAGAUUCAGAAAGCUGAACAGAAAAGGAAGAAGAUUCAACUCAAAGAAACAAAGUUUUCAAAAGCAACAGACCAAGUCUGCUGAAGAUGAUGAAUCAAACAAAGAUGUAGUCUGCUUUGAAUGUAAGAAAAAGGGACGCAUCAGACCCAACUGUCCUCUUCUGAGGAAGAAGAAAGGAAAGACUGAAAAGUAUCGAAAGGCUCUCAAAGCAGAAACCUGGAGUGAUACGAAGUGCGAAGAUAGUGAUGAUGAUUAUGCCAACAUUUGUCUAAUGGCACAAUCGGAUUCAGAGUCAAACUCUGAGAUAGAUUCAGAUUCGGAAAGUGAAUUCGAGGUGAGUAACUUCAAAAUCCCUAUUAAAGUUUCAAAAUACAUUGAUGAAUUGUGUUUUAGUCUUAAGACUUCUCUUAAAAGAAUUUCCGAACUCAAAAAGGAAAAUUCUAUUCUAAAACAACAAGAGAAUGUUUUGGAAGAAAAAGUGAAAUGCCUAGACCAGAAAGUUUCUUCUCUCAAAGAAAGUGAAGAUAAUCUUUUAAAAGAAAAUGCAUUCUUGAAAAAUGAUAUUUCAAAUAUUUCCAAAAGAUUUUCUCUAGGAUCUGAAAAACUGGAAAAAAUACUUUCUGUUCAAAGACCUUAUUUCAAUAAAUUUGGUUUGGGAAUGACUACUGAAACCAUUCCUUUAAUUGAUUUUCCUAAAGUGAAAGAAAGAAUCAAACAAAGACCCACAAGAGAUGCUUACAAAAAUCAUUUUAAAAGGACCUUUGUAAAACCAGUAGGUCGCAAUGCUCUCAGAUGUUCAAAGUGCAAUAAUGCAGAUCAUUUUGAAAAAGAAUGUCCUAUGGUGUGGAAACCUGUCAAUAAAGUUUGGGCAAAAACCGCAUAUCAUACUAACUCAAAAGGACCCAAGAAAAUAUGGGUACCAAAGAAAGCUUGAGUCUCUUUUUAGAUGAGGUCACUAUCAAGAAAAAGGUAAAAUGGUACCUGGAUAGUGGAUGCUCGAGACACAUGACAGGAGAUUCAAAGUGUUUCAUAAAGCUUGUUCAAGUGAAUGGUGGAAAAGUUUCAUUUGGAGGAAACAGUAAAGGAAAAAUUGUGGGAUUUGGAACUGUAAAGAUUGGGAACCUCACAAUAAGCAAUGUUUCUUUAGUUGAAGGGCCCAACUACAAUCUGCUCAGUGUCAGUCAGCUGUGUGAUGCCGGUUUCAGAAUCAACUUUCAAGAGGGUAUUUGUUCAGGAACCAGUAAAGACUCUACUCAGACGUUUAUGGGUCGAAGACAUGGAAAUAUCUACCUCUUGGACAUGAAACCAGAUGAAUCGCAAUGUCUAAUCUCAAUCCAAGACGAAGCGAACUUAUGGCACAAGAAGCUUGGGCAUAUUAACAUGAAGCAGAUAGCCAAAAUCUCAGCAAAGAAGCUUGUUCAUGGUCUACCCAAUUUAUCAUACCAAAAGUCUGACCUAUGUACACCAUGUAUAUUGGGAAAACAGGUAAGAAAUUCCUUUAAAUCAAUAAAUCAAGUUUCCACUAACCGUGUACUGCAGCUCUUGCAUAUGGAUCUCUUUGGACCAACAAGAACGCAGAGCGUUGGAGGUAAGAAAUAUUGCCUAGUAAUUGUGGAUGACUACUCACGAUUCACUUGGGUAUAUUUCUUGGCAAGUAAGUCUGAAACUUUCUCUUACUUUAAAAAAUUUGCUAAGAAGAUUCAAAAUGAAAAGGGGUUUGUUAUUUCAAGUAUAAAAACAGACCAUGGAGGUGAAUUUGAAAAUCAAGAUUUUACAAAAUUUUGUGAUGAAUCUGGUUUUCAGCAUUUAUUCUCUUCUCCAUAUACUCCAGAGCAAAAUGGAGUUGUGGAAAGGAAGAAUAGAUCUCUUCAAGAAAUGGCUAGAACACUUUUAAUUGAAAGCAAUAUCUCUUUACGAUUUUGGGCUGAAGCAGUUUCAACAUCAUGUUAUAUUAUCAAUAGAGUUUUUCUAAGGCCUAUUCUUGAAAAACCCCGUAUGAACUAUUCAAAGAAAAGAAGCCUAUUGUUUCAUAUUUUCAUAUAUUUGGAUGCAAAUGUUUCAUACUGAAAAAUGCAAAUGAUCGAGUUGGUAAGUUUGAAGAAAAAUCAGAUGAAGGCAUCUUCCUCGGAUAUUCAACCACAAGCAAAGCGUACAGAGUCUACAACAAGAAGACUCAAACUGUGGAAGAAUCAAUGAAUGUCAAAUUUCAAGACUCUAUUCAUAAUGAAUCUAUUCAGACUCAUCUUGAAGAGACUGAACCUGCUCCAGACUCUAUAAAGUCUAAAUCUCAAGAAGCAGCUCAGACUUUGAAGGACCAGCAACAAGUGACUAUUGAAGAUUCAAGUGAAGGAAGUGAUCAUCAACCUGACAAAUCAACCAGCAACUGGAAACAUAAGUCCAGUCAUCCCAAAGAUCUUAUUAUUGGCGACAUCAAUGAAGUAAUUCGCACAAGAUCAAAAAGGCGCGAAGAGUCUAGUGUUGUGGCUCUUAUUUCUGAAAUUGAAUCCAAAAGCAUAGAAGAAACUUUAUCCGAUGAGAGCUAGAUUGAAGCCAUGCAAGAAGAACUCAGACAAUUCAGAAUUAAUGAUGUCUGGGAGUUGACUCCAAAACCAAAAGGUAAAUCAAUUGUGGGAGCUAAAUGGGUUUUCAGAAACAAAAUAGACGAGAAGGGAAAAGUCAUAAGAAACAAGGCUAGACUCGUGGCCAAGGGAUACACACAAGAAGAAGGGAUCGACUAUGACGAGACUUAUGCACCAGUAGCAAGGUUAGAAGCAAUUUGUUUAUUACUUGCAUUUGCUUGUCAUAAGAAUUCCAAGUUAUUCCAAAUGGAUGUCAAAAAUGCCUUCCUAAAUGGAUUCAUCCAUGAGGAAGUUUAUGUGGAACAACCACCUGGGUUUGAAGACCCAAGGAAACCAGACUCAGUAUUCAUACUCAAAAAGGCCUUAUAUGGCUUAAAACAAGCACCUCGAGCUUGGUACGACAGACUGAGUAAGUUUUUAAUUCAAAAUGGUUUUGUUAAAGGUAAAGUAGACACUACUCUUUUUAUUAAAAGAGAAAGCAAGAGUUUUUUGCUUGUUCAAAUAUAUGUCGAUGAUAUUAUUUUUGGAUCCUCUAAUGAAAGUCUGUACAAGAAAUUCUCAAAGACCAUGCAGGAUGAAUUUGAAAUGAGCAUGAUGGGUGAGUUAACCUUCUUUCUCGGUCUUCAAGUAAAACAACUGAAGGAUGGAACUUUUAUUCAUCAAGAAAAGUAUGCAAAUGAUCUUGUCAAGAAGUUUGGACUGGACAAUUGCAAAAAGGCUGAUAUACUAAUGUCAAGUUCCUUGAAGAUAGACAAAGAUGAAGGAGGAAAGAAAGUCGACCAAAAGUUAUACAAGAGUAUCAUCGGUUCACUUCUUUAUCUUACUACUUCUAGACCUGAUUUGUGCCAGAUUUCAAGCAGACCCUAAAGAAUCUCAUUUAAAUGCUGCAAAGCGUAUUAUCAAAUACAUUGCCUCAACUUCAAGCAUUGGUCUUUGGUAUCCUAAAAGAGGAGACUUUACUCUUCUUGGAUACUCAGACGCAGACUUAGCCGAAUGCAGAGUUGAUAGAAAGAGCACCUCGGGUACCUGUCAACUACUUGGAGGCAGGACAGUGUCUUGGUUUUCAAGGAAGCAGAGUACAGUAGCUCUCUUUACAGCAGAAGCAGAAUAUGUAGCUCUUGGAAGCUAUUGUUCACAAAUUCUGUGGAUAAAACAACAGCUAAGAGACUUUGGAAUUGAAGACUCAUGCACGGAAAUUAAUUGUGACAACACCAGUGCAAUCAAUCUUACCAAAAAUCCAAUUCUUCACUCAAGAGCAAAGCAUAUAGAGAUUCGACAUCACUUUAUUAGAGAUCAUGUUCAAAAUGGAGAAGUUUCAAUUCAAUUUGUUGAUUCAAAGAACCAACUGGCGGAUAUAUUCACAAAGCCUUUUGAGAAAAAUCAAUUUGAAACCAUCCGUUCCAGACUCAACAUUUUAAGGUAUGAGGAAAUCAAAGUCUAGAGACUCUCAGACUCAGACAAACAAGACCUUGACGGUAAGUUAUUCUCUCUCUCGAAUCUCAACUUGAAAAGGUACGAUCGUUAACUGUAUUUGAUUAUUGCUAUAACUAUUGUGACUUUUCAUUUUCAAAAAAGGAAGUUAUUUUUUGAAAAGACUAUUUUCACGGAAAAGGCAUUUAUUUUGAAAAGGCAUCUUUUUAUUUUCCUUUGUGACGAUCCGUAUACCUCCCAUUUUAACCGAUCGUACACUCUUCGCUUUACUCUCAAAAACCCUAGAAAGCAUCAAUCUUCCAUUCCUAUUUUCUUCCCUUGUUUAAUCUUCGAAAAAGUUGUCAUCUUUCUUGGGAAAGUCAAGCAAGGAAUCUUUCAAAGACUAAGAAAGAUGUCGUCUUCAAGAAAGUCUUCGAGAAUUGCAAGCAGGGGACCACGGCAGAUGAGUGAGGGGCCUACGCACUUCGAUCUCACCGAAGAAGAAGUUUCUCCCAAUCAGUAGCAGAGCCCACAACAUUCUCAACAGCGUCAUUCUCCUCCAUCUAGUCCUCAAGGCGUUGAUCAUCAACAAGAGGAAGAAAUCAUUGAGGAUGCAGACCCUGUAAGAGUUCAAAAGCCCGCUUUUAUUUAUAAGCUAUAUCGUGCUUUGAAAGGAACUCGUACUCCUUUGAACUAUGUCGAUGAUUUUCUUAAUGACAAAGGGUAUGGAAAUGAAUAUAUCUUUUUGUGAAAAAUGGAAAGUUUGGGAAUUGCUCGUAAAGGGGUGGCAGAGGAAACCCUUGCGAAUAUCCCAAGUGAUCCUCGUGAUUGGGGAGUUAAUCCUGUAGAUGGAAAUGAUGGUGACAAGCUGUUCAGCCAAUUUCAACCGAGAAUGGGUGUUGCGGCUGAAAAUCGAGGAAAAAUAGGAGAGUUGUUCAGAUUAAAGGAACAAAAAGAUCUAUACUCAAAAUUGUUGAAGCGUAGGGUAAUAAACCCUAGGAGUGUGGAUUUUGAUUUUCUGGAUGCUGUGAAUGUGAACUUGAGGGAAAAGUUCGGUUAUCUUCAACUUGAAAAGUUCUGCUCCGACACUACAGAGGCUUAUGCUGAACUAACCGCAUAUUUCUAUUCAAACCUUAGCUUCUUGGAUGCAAAUAGAUUUUCUUUCAGCGUCAAAGAUUAAGACUUUGUUGUGGAUAUGGAUAUGCUGGCAGAUGUGUUAGAAGUUGAGAGAGGAAGAUAUCAACCGAUCAAAGUUUCUAUUGCUCGGGCUACAUUGGAACUUGUGAAGGACAGGAGAACAGAGGAAAAGAUUUCCUACUUAAGGAUGAGUGCGUUCAACAUCUUGCUCCACAAGAUUGUGAUUAAUUGCCUCCGACCGAAAUCAACUUCCAAGACUGAUGUUUCAAGUUCAGAGGCAAAGCUGAUGUAUGCCAUCCUCACUGGUAAAAGGUUUUCUCUUCCUCACACUAUCAUGUUCCACAUGUAUAGAGCCAUGAUGAAAGACAGAGGUCAACUUCCUUACCCAAGUCUUGUGACGAAGUUAUUCAGACAUCUGAAUAUUCAGCCUCCGCAAAUUUUUUGUGCUCGAUCGUGCGAUCAUAUGGUAGUAGGACUGAAAAUGGUGACCAAAAUGCGUCUGAAGGAACUAAGCAAGGCAUUAGAGAAAUUCAAGGAGAAGACUCCAAUCAAACCUCAUCAAACCUCUUCUUCAUCAAAAAGGAAAGGAAAGGAGCCCUUGAUUUCUUCAAGGACGAAAAGAAGAACUCUCAUUGUUGAAGAUGAAGAUGAUGAUGAUGAAAACAUCACCAUUUCUGCAAUGGCUUUGAAGAAUCUGAGUCGUUCUGUUCCAGAGAAAGAAUCGGAACAAAGGACGAAAGAAGCAGAGGAGAAAGAAGCAGAGGAGAAGGGAGAAGAAGAAAGAGAUGCUGAGAAGGAAAGAGUUGAGAAAGAAGAAGAAGAGAAAAGAGAUCAAGAAGAAGAAGAACCUAAGGGACACUCUUCUCCACCUGAAGGCAUGAAAACAGGGGGAGAUCAAGAGAAAAGAGGAAAGUCCUCAUAUCUUGCUACAAGUGAGGGAGUCAGUCGCUCUCCAGCAGAUCCAGAGGACAUUUAUGCCUCUCAAUUUCUUGAGGAAGGUCAUGAUGUCUCAUCGCCAAAUCUGCGUGAUUAUGCUGAUCUACCAUCGUCUGCAUUUACUCCAUCAGAUCGUGCCGAAGCAAGUACUCAAAUUGAUAAUGCAGCAGAUUUUCGCAGAAUUAUGGAUAUUCUCUUGGAGAUGCGAGGUCAAAUUUAUGCUCUGGGAUGCGAUGUUCAAAACUUGCAGAACGCAGGUCAAGCUUCUUCGGUUUCAUUGAAUGAUCAAAUCCAAGCCCUCUCUGUUCAGAUUCAGGCCAAUGCCAAGGGUGAGGAAAUUGCACAACUAAAGGAAGACUUGAAAAGGCUGGAAGGCAUCGUUCAGUCUAUGGGGGAUUUCCAGCUUGUUCGCGUUCCCAAGCAAUCUUGACUUUAUCCCAUUUUCAUCUCAAACCUUUUUAAUGCUGACAAAAAGGGGGAGAGAUGCAAGAUUUGAAUCAAAACUUUGACUUUGAUCGUAUCGUUUGGAUUGGAUUGUUUUGAUGUUUAACUCUCUGUUUGACUUUAUUUUUGUGUCUGGAUAAGAACUGAACUUGACUUGGACUUGAUUGCUUAUACUAUCUACUAUUGAUAUCUUAUGAAUGGCUUUAUCGCAUACUAGACUAACCUAUUUUCUAUGGUUGCAGAUUCUAGUGUUAUUCAUUUAGCCAUUUAUCUCUAUAAGACAUGCAUAUGUGUUUAAGAAAUGUUUUACAUGUCAAAGUUGUCCAAAUCUGCAGGAAAGUUUUGUCACCAUCAAAAAGGGGGAGAUUGUUGGAGAAAUCUUCUUGAAGAGUUUUGAAGCUGACAAAACGUUUCCAUCAAUCUAGUCUGAAGGUUUGCAGACUCUGCUAUUUAAAGUCUAAAGACCUCCGGACAGCCAGACUCAAGACUCAAAGUCUAUCCUCAUUGACAGUCUCUAAUCCGUUGAAGAAAGGUUAUCCAGAACUAGAUGUUUCAUUAAGGAUAUGACCUUAUUGACUAGAGAAGAUCUCUUGGCUGGAUAUGACAUAACGGAAUCCUUUGAUUGAUCGAGAUUGAUUCCAAGACUAAGGAUCCGAUGAUUGGCAAAAUAUUCUUGGAAGGUUCUACUUAUGGAAACCGAGAUCCUGAUUGUAUGGGCGAACAGGAUUGAUGGGCUAUGGACACGUUCUUUUAAUAGCUCGAAUAAUCUUCCUAAUUGAUUCGGUCCAACGGAUAGAUUGGAGGAAUUCCUUUGGUAAGUGCCAACGGGUAUGAUGGCAUAAAGGAGUAUAUAAGGAAGACGUUCUAAGCUGUUCGAGAGGUGCGCGAUAGAAGAAUUCUAAAGUCUGAAGCUCCUUAUUGUUUUAGCAAAUCACUUUGAGCGAAAUCUUAUACACAAAAGAGAGUUUAUAUUUGUGAGAAACCUUGAGGAGGUGUGGUAGAACAUCUACACUGUGGAAUCAAGGAAAAGUUGUGCUGUAACUUCUCUUUUGUUCAUAGUGAAAUCCAGCCAGUGGGCUGUCAGUGCGGAAGAGUGGACGUAGGCUUGGAAUAAGCCGAACCACUAUAAACCUUGUGUUCAAUUUUUAUCUUCCCUACUCUUUACUUUACUUUGAUCGUACUUCAUUUUAUUAAUUAAAAAAGAACUCCCUUUCUAUAGUUUGAAUCGCUUCCGUAUCUUGAAAAAUUAUUUGUGCACCUAUUCACCCCCCUCUAGGUGCUUAUACUAGCUAUCUCAUAAACUACAAUUUUUCAAAAGGUUCAUGGUCAACCUUAAACCAUGUCAUCUACAAAGGUUUAUUGGUUUUUCUCAAAUCAUGCAUUUUCAACCCGGUUGAAACCCAUUGAUACAUGAUGAGACCUCAUUUCUUUAUUCCCCUUAUCAACACGACGCACUUCCAUAACCCCGAAUCCUUUCCGUUGACCUGGUGCAUGCCUAUGCACCCAGGGUCGCUUUCUCGUCGAAAUAAUUUAGGUGCCUACCAUCUUUGAAUGCAAUCUCUUCAAGACUACAUUCAAAGAGGGGCGACUAUUAACACCUAAAUUUUACCAAUUUAUUUAGGACCUAAUCGCAUACAAAAUUAGGAAUUAGUCACUAAAAAAAAAAGAGAAAAAAAAACAAAAACAACAGAAAAGAAAAAACGCUUAGGGGCCGGGUCGGGCCGGAUCCAGCCUUAGCCUGGCCCGACUCUCUUCCCUUUCCCCCUGUGCUGGGCCCGGGCCCCUUUUCUCCCACGGCCCAAGCCGUCUCCCCUUCAGCCAGGCCCAUGCCUGCUUAUUUCUCUUCCUAUUCAUCUUCACUCGCGAAGCCUGCAGAAAGAGAAAGGAAACCUACAGAAAAGGGGAGCAGGACAAAAGAGAGAGGGGGAGGCAAACUGUGAGAGAGGGGAUCGGAGGGGAGGCCUGGAGGAAGCAGCUCACCACCCAGGUCGCCCACAAGUCCGCCCUGGCCACCAGCAGUGUCAAGAAGCCCCAUCACCAGGCCACACCUCUCCAGCAGACACCGUGCCCCAACACCUCACCCCAACGCCGUCCAAAUCUGAGUGAGUGGGUUUUGGAGAGCAAGGUUCCGAUGCCUUUCCUUCUGCCGCUGCCACUACCACUGGAUGCCGGAUCUGGAGGAGGGGAGACUCGCGGUCGCUAUGCUAGACUUCUGUCGCAUUGCUAACGCCCAAUGAGUCGAAACCUUGCAACCAUGCUGUCCCGGCCACCCCUCGACGCUGUCGCUACAUCGGAUUUCCGCCGUGCCGCUGCCGUUUGACCACCAACGACAUUGCAGAUCGUGUCUAGUUACCAUCGUUCCAUCCCUCGAUGCCAUCGCCACUAUCGAACCCUAGACCAAUCGCCUCAGGCUGUGCCGUCGUUCCACUUGUCGCCAUCACUACACCAGAUCUUCGUCGUCGCCAUCGCAGCAACUGUCGUUUGGCCCGACGCCUCCACCACCGACAACGCCGUAUGCUCGCAACGCCGCCGCCCACUUCUGGAUCCACAACGUCGCCAAUGACCCGCUGAGGCCCCUGCCGUGUUGGGCUACUGUUGCUCUCGUCCGUCACAACGCUGUCGUCCACCGCAAAGCCAUUGUCGAAUCCCUACCCGACAACAUUCCAACCAACCCCCGGCGCUGCGGAUUGCCGAACUCGAGGGUUCCAGAAUCUAGGUCCGCGAAGAAGAAGCCGAGUCGGAUAUGGGUAGGUUUUUUCUUAGGAAUCGAGUCACGGUUUAGGAUCCGGGUCGGGCACAGAUCACGAACCGGGUAAGGUUUUGAACAAUUUGGGCCGCGUACUUAAGUCGAGUCUAGGCUGUUUUGGGACGUGGGUCAUGGGCUUGCAUUAUGUCCAUUUUGCAAAAGAGAGAUUGGGCCCACCAGCUAGGCCCAACCCCAUUUUAAGUAAGGGCCCGACCACCUAUGGUCAGCCCAGCCCCUUUUCAGAUAGGCUAUCUGGCCCACCCCGGAUCGAAUCAGGGCGGGUUUGACCGGCCCGCCCAACCGAGUCAAACCCGGGUCGGGUUAGACUGAACCCUACCCAGUCCAGUCCAAAAAAAAUUAUUUUAUUAUUAUGUUUUUAAGAAAAAAUUUAUUUUAUAAAAAAAUUAAAAAUUAAAAAAAAAGUAAAAAAAUUUUCAAAAAUCCAAAAAUUGUAGGGUUUGGUUAGGAAUUGCUAUGUAUUGCCUUUUUAGUGUAAUUAGGCAUUUAUUUGCUCGUAUAUUGAUUAUAUCGCAUGUUUAGUUUGCAUAUUUUGUUAUGCUUAAUUGCAUGUUUUUAAUUUUAUGGCAAUUAAGAUCUUGGUAACUAUAAGUAUUAUCUUAAUGAUUGCGCACCUGCAUGAUCACCUCGCAUGUUAGUGGAUAAAUAUGAAAUCAUUCCAAACUGCCUGAUAAAAAUCUUUUCUCUUAAAAUGAACAAGAUUAGGUACCGAAAUGGCAUUAAUUGGUUAAUUAGUGUAAUCAAGUUCCCGACCAUAGACUCUCUGAUUGCGUAGGAAGUGAGGUACAUUCCCAUACCUCACUUGAUUUCUAGCCGACCCCAAUAAGCUAGUGGCAACUUCUUUCUGUGAAUUUUUUUUAAGAAUAUCCCAAUGUCACGCAGGAUAUGGGCUUGAGAGAGCCCACGCCUAAUCAUUGGCCUUAGGCCCGUCUUUUAGGCAAUACCCUAAACCUGUUCCCUCCCCUAGAGGGGUAGGUCACGACAGACAUGCACAGUGUAAUUUAUCCAAGGCACGAGCAGAUUACCAACCACGAUAGACCUAACCUAUUUGAAAAUUUUUCAGUCUAAAAAGUUUGAAACCUUUUUUUUUUUUAAUACCCGGGGAACCCAGUAGUAGCCGGCGGGUAAACCCUGGAGCGACGAUAGCGGAGAACCCACCACCCCGACGUCACGCUUAAGACCCCGUGCAGCCAGCGGGAUUCGACCCCCUCCACUUUCGUUAGUUUCAUUAGCCAUAAGUGCUGAACUCAUGCUUUCUAGCCAAACAUUGCUUAACUCCGGCCUCUAACUAAUGAAGAACAAGCAUAUUGGAUAACAAAUUCCUUAACGAAGUACCCUCUCUUCAAUGAAUUUGACUAAAUGGCAGAGCCAUUUCCGACACACUGCGCGGAAAGAAACAACGCAAGCAAAAAGAAAGAUCAAAACCUAAUGUUGAGCCCUUUGGCGCAAGUCUUCUCGUAGGUGCGAACCAUCUCCUCUGGCGUGGGCUUGGGGUCCUUGGGGAAGUCCAUGGUGAUGAGCCAUUGGUUGAAGUCGCACCCCUCGAAGAGCACCGUGUCCGAAUCGAUCUUGUCAUCGUUGUUGUAGCCGUCGGCGUUGUAGGCCAGCGACCGCGAGAAGAACAGCCACAUCGCCGCCGCCGCUGCUGCCGACGAGGAGCGAGGCCGCAGCGCAGUUGCCACGAGAGGCGGCGUCAGACGGCAGACGGCGGCGCGGCGAGGGCUCGCCGGAAGCGGACCAAGCGCAUCACCAUGGCUGCCGUUGAAGAGAGAGAGAGAGAGAGGGUUCUAGAGGUUUUUUGGAGGAGCUUUUUCAGGCAAAUGCGACUUCCGAUUUGCAAGAGCAUGUUACGCCUCAAAAGAGCGAAAUUUUAUUUUUUGUGAUUUUCGACCUGGAAAUUACGAUUUGGCCCCAGAUUUUUAGGGUGGUUAUUGAUAUCGCCCCACCCAGUAUCUCGAGAUUUUGGCAUAAAUCCCUCGAUAUUUUUUACGAAUUGGUUUUUCAGUGUACGCCCGCCCCUUGGUCGGUCACGUGACCAAGGGCGGUGACGACUUCGAGGGCGAAAUCAUCUUUUUCGUUUCGAAUUCCUCGUGUUGAAUCGGUAGAACCAGCAAUUACCCUACUUCCUCUUUUGCUCUUAUUUUGGUCAUUUUUCUGGAUUUUUUUUUUAGCCUUUCUUGUAUUUGUUUGUAUUGGAGAAAUCUUGUGCUGCAGAUGAUGAAGGAUAGGGAAGGACCCAUCUUCUGAAUUUUACUUAUUUGAGACCAAAAGAAAGUAAUUUUUAGCAUAUUUGCACAAAGAAAAAUGAAGAAAAGUUAAUCGAUUUCAUAUAUCUUGGUUUCUGUUCUCUUCCUUCUUAAAACUCCCCAACCUGAAAAAGGGCACUAAUGAAGGUGUGGCACAGGAAUUAAACUUCAAUGAAAUUUAAAUAAUAAUAAUUAAAAACACCUAGCUUAUUUCCGAAUUGACCCUAAGCCAUUUCAGGGCCGAUAGGAUCGCUAUUCAAUUCCAUAAACUUUGAAUCGAUUCUGAUUGGGUAAAUUCCACCUGUAGAGUGAGAAUCGACCAAUCCUGAAACUGAUCAUCAUACGUUUGAUAUGACUUACUUAAAAAAUAACGUCUUCACAAUUUAACAUUUUAUUGAGCAGAUUCCUCCUUUUGCUUCUCAGCCUACGGGAUCUAACGAUACAAUAAAAAUGAGUAGUCUUUCAAUUUUUUUUAAUUAAAUAUAAGCUAAAUAAAUGGACAAGAGAGAAACUUUUCAGUUUUGACUAAUAUUUUCAUCAAAGAGAUGAUUUAUCUUUGAAAAAUAAGUAAAGAAAACCAUUUUACAAAUUUAAUCUGUCAUUUGUUAUCAAUAACUAUUUUUUACAAAUAUUAAAUAGAGUGAAAAAAGCAGAAGUUAAUAAAUAUAAUUUAUCAUGUGUCUUAAUAUUAGAAUUCUACAGAUCUUUUAGAUAUUGUUAAAUAUUUCUUUUGUAAAUUUUAUGUAUUUAUCAGUAUCUCCUUUCCAUAAUUUAAUACUUCAAAUAUUUAGCAAUGAAAUAAUUUUGAUUGAUCUUUAAAAUGUCAAUUUUUCGCAUACACACAACCAGUGUGCACAUUUUUUUAAAAAAAUAAUUCUAGAUAUGUGUGACAUUUAUUUUUACUUUAUCAACAAAUAUUUUGCAUUACCUAAUAAUUCAAAUGUUUCUUAAGAUGCGUUGCAAGUUUAUGAAAAUUUGCUAGACCCGUUUGAUAGGACAAAUGAAAGAGCUUGGAUUUUGCUCGGGAAAAUAACUUCGAAAUUGAAGACUUCACCAAUCAAAGAUAAUUAAUUUUGACGUUCAACACCAAAGAAUUAGAAUAAAAUGAAUUACUCGCUUGAGAAGAAUUCUCAUAUAUUAUCAACUAAAUUCUGAACUUUUACAAUUAAGAAUGCACAUCCUAUUUACGAACAGACUAAGACAUAAGAAUUUAAAAACAUUGAAUUAGGAAACAUUCAACUUUUAGAAACUCUAUCUUAUACCUUCUCCUCUUUGGUCCCAUCAAAUCAUGCUGUGGUCCAAAUUUCCAUUUGUCUGCGCAAAUAUCAAAUGGACCUACUUGAUUGCGGAGGUUUGAGAUGGGCUUGUGAGUAGGGGUGCACAAAGAAUUGAAACCACUGUUCCCAUGGGACUAGUCUAACUCCCGGUUCUAGUUGUGGAACUGCUCACCCAAACUGGAUUGGUACAUACAUAUAUAUGAUUUUUUUUUUAAAUAAAAAUUAUGCAAAGCAUCUAUAUGCUCUUGAGUUUGAUGUAUUUGGGCUUGGAGAUGACCAAAGUGAGUUCAAUUUUAGAUUUGGGGGCUCUUUUAGUGAGUUCAAUUCUAUGGGCUAGAUGGAAAACGGGAAACCUCUAGUGGGUGUUUUCCAUAAGUGGGCAAAUAACUUGAGUGCUAGAGGUAUCUUUGGUCCAACAUUUCUCAAACCUAAAAGGAGACAAGGAGGCAAGGAAUUAUUCACCAUAGGCAUUGAGGAGGAUUGAUUUGUGGUCCGAAGCAUUUUAGUAUGAUGGCCAAUGAUAGGAAGAGCAAAGAAAAUACUGAUUUCAGUGUAGAUGAAGUGUUGCGCCAAUCUAAUCACUUUCACAUACACUGUGUGAAUGCUCUUGUCUACUUUGAACUUCUUUCCACUGAUAAAAUUUUGCAACCAUGAAAAGAUUGAAAGAAGCAACAUUAUCAAUGUGGACUUCAAUCUCUAUUAAAAAACACUAAAAAUUGUGCGAAAAAAGAAAAAAAGAAAAAAGAAGAGUGGCUUUCUAACAUAAGCAAAACUUUUCAAGUCAUACAUAUAUAACGGCCAGUUGUAAAUCUACAGACAAGAUGUUAGUAGCUAAAACCUACUUGCUUUGUAGCUUCUUCAACGCUCUUCGAAAAUCCCUUUACAGAUCCCGAAUUGAUCGAUCUAAAGACCUAUGCCAACAUAAAAUAGAAGUGAAAGACGAUAGUUAAACUUCAUUUUCCUUACGAUUGAAGUCCCUUGAAAAUGCCAAUAAAUUUUAUGUAAAUUCUCCCGGCCUAUACAUGCCAGUUUUCUGGGUCAUGUUCGUCCCUAACUUGUACUUUUUUGUCGCCAUCGAGGCUUGUCGAGGGACAAAGUAUCCACGAAAUCUUGUCAAGCCUUAAGAGAGCAUUCUCAUGCCACGCCUGACGUUUUUCAACUUAAACUUGCGCCACUUCACCGCUUUUCUCCAUCUCUAUUCGAAAUUCUUCCAUAUGUCAAAUGCAGCUUGUCCCCCAACUUUUGCAAUGUAGAUCAUGCCAUGGUCGCCUUGGGACAUUGAUAGUAGACUACAGUCAUCACAGAAUAAAGUGAUGAUCACAUGAUCAGAAAAUAACAUGUACAUGUAAUUACAAUGCUGAAGCGACAUUAAUUUAAUUAUUGUGAAUGUGAGGUUGUGAAUGUCAUUCUUAAAGACAACGUCAAGAUCACUAAAGAGUCUAUGCUUGGGAGUGUCGUAUUGGCCAUCACAUAGAUCUAGCCCACCAAUGAAAGUUAUUAUUUUACAGCUGUUUCCUAGGCUUGAGUGUUGAGAACCACGCACUUUUGGUGGUGCGUGUAUGGGUCCCCACCACUUGGGCUACAAAAGAUCCAUACACCAACAAAUUAAACAAGGAAAGAACACCCCAAGUGCCAAAACUUGGCACGGAGAAACAUUUAAGUGCCAAAAGUUUGGAAAGUGACACUUAAGUGCCAAUAUCGGAAAAAAAAUGGAUCACUUAAGUGCUACUCCGGCCAAAAUGCCGACGUGGCAAUUUUCCGAUGAAGCAAGCGCAAAACGGCGUCAUUUUGCGCGUUCACAUGGCUAAAACGAUGUCGUCUUGUGCUGACGUGGUAAAAAAAUUGAUAUAAAAAUUAAUUAAAUUUAUUUAAAGAUUUUAAACAUAAAAUUAAAAUUAAAAAAAUUUAAAAAGAAAAGGGGGGGUUGGGCAAGCGGCUGAGGGCUGAGCCCUCGCCGCCGCCACCUCCCUGCCACUGCCGGAAGUGGCGGCGGAGGGGGGAGGGUCGGCCGGGAUCGCCGGGCCUUGGCCAAGGGACGGCAACCCCGGCUGACCGGCGGCGAGGGCUCGCAACCCUUGCCGGAUCUGGGCGAGGGCCGCAACCCUCAGCUAGGCCAAGUGGCUAGCGGCCCUUAGCCCAGCCAGGCGAGGGCCGUCGACCCCUACCAGAGCUGGUCGAGGGCCCAUCGCCGCCGGCCCUUUCGGCGGCAGCGGCAGCGAGAGCUCAGCCCUCAGCCACCUGCACCCACCCCCCCUUUUUUUAAAUUUUAAAAUUUUUGAAAUUUUGAAAUUUUUAUUUUAUUUUUAAAUAUUUUAAAUUAAUUUAAUUUUGAAUUUUAUUUUAUUAAUUUUUUUACCACGUCAACGCAAAACGGCAUCGUUUUAGCCAUGUCUGCGUGCAAAAUGACGCCGUUUUGUGCUUGCUUCGUCGGAAAAUUGCCAUGUCGGCAUUUUGGCCGAAUUUUAGCUGAAGUGGCACUUAAGUGAUCCAUUUUUCUCCGAUAUUGACACUUAAGUGUCACUAUCUAAACUUUUGGCACUUAAGUGUCCCUCCGUGCGAAAUUUUGACACUUGGGGUGUUCUUUCGUCCAAAUUAAAUCAAACACGAUAUCAUAUAGGACAGCAUGAGAUAGGUCAAUAAACUUCCGUAGAUUGUCUGAUGAAAGCAAAAUCUUUCCUAUGAAAUUAAACCCGAUUGGAAUAAUCAGGUAAUAUAUAGUAAAAGCAAUGCUUUUGGUGCAAUCCGAUGAUGAGAUUUUGAUUAAGAAUUGACCUGAACAUCUACGAAUACAUACAUAUUGCUUGAAGAUGCUAAGUUUGGUGCUUGCAUAUCGAGGAGCAAGCACACAGCAGACAUCAGAAUGUUGGAAAAACUUCUUCGUCUCUUUGUCAUGAGUUUGCAUCACGCCAUCUUGUGCGACAAUGUGGCACAUGCCGAGUCUUAAUUAAGAGAGAUCUCAAUAAAGAACUAUCUUUUCCUAAGGCAAUAAACGUACAGAAAAUCUAUCACAAAGGGCAUGGAUUUGAAGUUUGGCCAAAUGGUGGGUUACACUAUAAAUGAGGAUACUUAUUCAAGAAAGAGCCAUUAUGUAACAUAUUCUCCAAUUGCAUUUUGUUAAGGUAAGCCAAAAGGAAGAACCAUUAGAGGUCAAGCUUUUUUGUGUCGAAAACCAAAAAACUUCUUCUUUUGUAAACAUUCAUUAAGCCAACAGUAAAAGUGAGAAAAUCCUUCACUAGCUGUGCACCAUUGAGUAAAGGGUGCUCCUUAGGUGCAAUGCCGUUAGAAUAAAAAAUGUGUUGUGGUGAUGGGCUGAUGGGUCUGGGCCGGGGAUAAAACCAAUGGGUUGCUCUUGUGGGCCGCAUCAGUUGGACCAAAUUGUCCUUUUCUACUUGUUAUUUAUUUAUAUUCUUAUUAUUCUUAUUCUUUUGUUCUUUUUACUACCAUUCAUCGUUUUGAUGUUUUUUUUUUAAUUACAAUAAUGCGUGCUUAAUUUGUCAACGAAAUUUCAGGUGUUGAUAGUUACGAAUAUAUUUACCUUAAUAUAUGAAAAAAAAAAUAUCACGCUAUCCAAACAAACCAUAAGACGUUGCGUCAAAUCUUUGAUUGCCAAAGGCCAUAUUUGUUUCUUGAUCGAUGGGAGGGCUAAAAAAUAUGGCACAAUCCAGUUGAAUAGAACAUGUAUGCGUUGAUGAAAUAUCGACCCAUUUAAAAUAACUUGAUUUAUGACCCAUAUUCAUAUUAAGCCCAGAUCCUAUCUCGCCCAUUUGUUGGGUCAAAGUCCCAAAAAUCACUGUGAAGGCUUAAAGAAAGAGCAGUACAAGCGAAGAGAGAGAAUGAAAGAAAAAGAGAGAUGACAAAGAUUCUUUAGUGAAAGAUGAUUCCUUCAUCUUUUUGCUUUCCCCGUUUAGAGGAUUCUUUUUUACUUUACUUAAAAGGUUCCGAAUUAAAGAAAUGAGGAAAGGAUUGAGAAUUCAAAUCCUUUUUAAAAAUAUAUGACCACUAGCUUACUUACGAGGUUACCCUUAAGUAAGUUGUCAUUAUUAUUAGGAUUUUGUCAAUUUCUAAACAAAUUAGUAUAUCAUCACCUCUUCUGAAAUUUCACAAGCGUCUUUUUUAUAUAUCAAUAAUAUAAUAAAGUUAUAUAUAUAUAUAUAUAUAUAUAUAUAUAUCACUAAUACAGUGAUAGACCAAUUUCUUUGAAAUUUUACAACUUUUUUUUGGUAAAAUACCAACUCAAUAAAGAAUCUACCAACCUCACAAUAAAUCAGUGAAUUAUCAAGUUUUUUCAAGUUGCUAAUUAUUAAACUAACAAGAUGAGAUAAGAAAAAAAAAAGGAACAAAUAAAGAUGAGAUAACAUAGGAUAAAGACACGAAAAAGAGUCCAGGAAAAGCAAAUAUGUGGUGGGCCCACACAGUGGUGUAAGGAAAGACGAAACAGUUUUACGAGGAAUAAUUUUUCUGGGCCCCACAGGAACAGUUUUCUCUACCACUCUUUCCACUUCCCUCAACUUAUUGUAGCUCAAGGUAGGGAUGUACAUGGUCUGAGUGGGCGGUUCCCAGCCUAGAAUUGGGAACCGCCCGCUAAGAACUGGUUCCAAAAAGAACCGGGAAUCACCCGUUAAUUGCAUGGAUCCACCCGAGAACCGAACCGAUGGUCUGGUCCCCGGGUGGAUCCAUAGAACCGGUCUCACCAAUAAUAAUACCGUUUUCUAAAUCCCGCUAUAAGUACUCUUCAUAUCGAGUAAUAUUUUUCUUUAAAUCAAACCGGCUUAAUUAAUGGUACCAUUUUUCUUUAUUUUAUUGGAAAACACUACCAAAGAAGAUAAAUAGGUUUUUUUUCUUGUUUUUGAAUCAUUUCAAUUGAAAUCUAAAAUAUUUUUUAAGUUCAAGGUUAUGGAUGAUUGUCAUAUGUAGAUCGUCUUUUCAUUUAUCCCAUAACAGUGCUCAAUCUCUUACGACCUUUGCUUUACCAAAUUCUUUCUGUAGAAACAAUUCCACCGGUAGUCUACAUUUUUUUGAACAUGGUGUCCUAUGUGAGUCCCGGAAGUAUCCUUUGAAAGAGCUAUUUGUUGAGUUGUUGAAAGGUAGUUUACACACUUUACUAAAUUCUUAUAAGAACAUGGAAACCGUGAGAGGAGAUGAAGCCCUAAAAUUUAGGUUUGCUAAUUAGUAAUUUUGAAAUUUAUUUUAAUAUUAAAAAUCAGUCCGGUCCGAGUGGGCGGAUUCACCCAUGGAACCGGAAACCGGACCGAUACCCACCGGUUCACAUAAAUUGAAACCAGGAACCGAACCGGUUCCCUUAAGAACCAUCGAUUCUCAGCAGUUCCAGUCUGGUUCUGGGCGGUUUGGGCGAGUCCUGGUUUUUUUGCACACCCCUAGCUAGGAGUGUGUAUAAUCCGAGUGAAUCGAUUUCAAAAAAUUAGAAUUGGAAAUUGCAUAAUAGUUGCAUGGAUCCAUCUGGAAAUCGAAUCGUUGGUCUGGUCUGAUUCUCAAGUGGAUCCAUAGAAUGGUCCCACUAAAAGCUAUUUAAUAGUUAAAAAAAAUGUUUACCAGAAACAUGAAAUUGUUUUAUAUAAUAACCAACUAAAAGCCUAAAAACAAUCUCUUGAGCUCCACAAAAUUGUCUCAAUCUUUGAAUAGUGAUUACUUUGCCGAUAAUUGCUACAUGCCAUCACCUGUUCAUGUUCUCGUUUCCUCCUUUUUUUUCUUUGAACCUGCUUAUGUCGAUCGACAUCAUCACAUUUCACAUUUGCUAAUUUGUCUCAGUCCUCUCUCUUUAGCAAGGCUUGUCCCUGCAUGGUUUUUACCAUCUCCUUCAUUGUCCUCUCCUCACCCUCAAGCUGCAUUUUCAUGAUGGCCUCAGCCUACUUGUCAAUUGGCUUGAAGUACUCUUCAAUGGCAAACUCCUGCAUAGGUUAGCGGAGAGUUCAAAUUGAGAGAGACGAGAUGGAGAUUGGAGCCAUGAAUUUUAGAUUUGCUAAUUUCGAAAUGUUUUUAAUAUUAAAAAUUAAUAUAUUAUUAUAAUAUAAUUGGUCCAGUCUGGUUGGACGAGUGGGCGGAUCUGCCCAUGGAAUCGGAAACCAGACCAGUAUCAACUGGUUACCGUAAAUUGGAAUCGGGAACCGGACUAGUUACCUUAAGAGCCACCGGUUCCGAGCGAUUCCGGUCCGAUUCUAGGUGGUCCAGGCCGGUUCUUUUACACACCCCUAAUUCUAGCCCUACAAGGCAAGCAUUAUUUCCUUGUUUCUUUAUUUCCUCUCCUUUUAAUCCGAGUCCUAAAACCCGCUUUACUCUAUGAAAUGACUCAAUUCAAUUCUAUGGUCAUGCCAUUAGAAAAUGGGGGACAAUCACCUAUUGAAGAGAACCGGAUAUGUGUCAAUAAAAUAUUGGCCCUUUAAAAAUGAUUUGAUUUAUGACCUGGAUUCAUAUUAAACCCAGAUUUAAUCUUACCCAUUCGGUGAGUCGAAGUUCCAAAUAUCUCAAUGGAAGAUUAGGCGUAGAGUAGUACAAGAUGGGGGAGAGAGAGAGAUGGAAGGUGAAGGAUGAUUCUUUAGUAUUUUUCUGUUCUAUUUUGGAUAUUCUUUUUCACUUUUUCAAAGUUGUCCAAAGUGAAGAAAUGAUGAGAUGUUUGAGGAUUACAAUCCUAUAUGUAAAAAGAUCGAGAAAAUUGUCCAAAAAGUCCUAAACUUAGUAUACUUUUGCGAAGUUGAUUCUAAGCCUUUUUAAUUUUACCAAUAAAGUCCUAAACUUUUGACAAUUUGCCAAUUGAGUCUAUCCAGGCUGUCGGAAAUUGCUGACAUAAGCAUCGGGCAUCCUGCUUGGCACGCUAUCGUUGAAGUGGACAUUUUUAAUGACAUUUUUGAACUUUUCUGGUUUUUUUCUUCUUCUUUUUUUUUUUUUUUUCAUUUCUUUACUUUCUGUUUUGCCUAUCCCAGAUCUAACAAGAGUGUCACGACCCUCACUAGAUCUGGGCGAGGGCUCAUGCGCUCUCGCUUAGUGUUGCGACCCUAGCCCAAGCCUUCAACAGCCAUGACAAGGGCCAUUAUAGCCGUUGAGGAUUGCAAUGUCCUCACCCCAAAAUAGCGAGGAUCGCCAUCUGUCACUGUAAAAACCAAAAAAAAGUGUAAAAGGAAGAUAGUCCAGGCCAUCCAAGCACUCAUUCCUCAGGGUCAAUUCGAGAGGGUCUACUACGAGAGUGCUUCGCCAGGGCAUGUCGCUAGCCCUCCUGAGGUGAAUUCCUCUACCAGUGAUCGGGGUGACACUAUCACCGAUUCACGAGCUUCCUUCUUUGAGGGCACAAUGAAUGCUCUGGAUGAUGAGAAGCUCAAAGUGAUUGGGAUCUACGGGCCCAGUGGCGUGGGGAAGACGACGCUCUUGGAGGAAAUCUAGAAUAAACUCAGGAACGAGAAGAGACUGUUCCACCCGAUUGCCACAACGACUGUAUCGCAGACUCAAGACUUGAAGAAAAUCCAAGAUGACAUUGCUUACGCCUUGAGUCUGGAUCUGAAGAACGAGCCAAGCAAAGUCAGAAGAAGAGAUCUUCUGUUUCGGAAAUUACAGAGCGAUCCGACAAAGAAGGUUAUCAUAAUAUUGGAUGAUCUGUGGGGGCCACUUGAUUUGAAGGCGGUUGGAAUUCCUGCGGGAGACAAGAGCAGGGGAUGCAAGUUGCUGUUAGCAUCAAGAUUUAAAGAUGUGUUGGAGCAAAAGAUGCAUGUGGAUAAAACAUUUCGUCUUGAAGGUUUAAACAACGACGAAGCUUUCAGGCUAUUUGAAAAGAUAGUCGGCGACAAGCUCAAAGACAAGCAAUUGAAAGCAAUAGCAGCUCAAGUGGUCGAGAAGCUCCUAGGUUUGCCUCUUUUGAUUAUCUCCAUCGCAAGCACUUUCAAAUACAGCCUGUUAAGGAAUAUAAAUCAAAAACACCAACUGUACCAACUAUCUAUGCUGCUGAUAUUGAUAAUAGAGAAAAGAGGGUGAAGACAGAUAUUAAAAGAGAAAGAACAGAGGCUGAUAUUAGAGAGAAGGAAGAGCUGCAAAGCAACAAAGUGAGUAACACAGACUGGAGAAGACACAACAACUCAAAUAAACGAUCGCGAUGAAGGUUGAUAUGGAUCGUCAUCAACGGUGAAGAGUUUGUGAUGAAGACUGACACGGAUUGCCAACUCAUGAAGACACGUGAGCAGUUAUUCAGUUGAGGAUUGAAACAGAUUGAGAAACAGUCUUGUUAAAAUCAGUUUUUCUGUUGUAUCUUCAUCUUCUUCGAUAGGAAAAGAUAUAAAGAAGUCUUAGCAGGAUCAUCUUUGUUGUUGUUGAGGAAAACAGAUAGAGAAUUCCUAUAAAUGAAUGCUCUGUAUUUUACAGUAGAGAGAGAGAGAGAGAGAGAGAGUGUGAGAAAUUUAGAAGUGUAAAUCUUCUUUGUUCAUUGAUGAUCCGAGAUAUACAGACUUUGUAUUACAAUCUCGUUGAAACAGAAGAAUUCAAAGCUUCUUGAUUGAUCUUCAGUUCUUCAACAUAUCUCUUCAUCUUCACAUUCUCUAGUUCUUCAAUUCUAUUUCUUCAUCUUCACUUGGUAUCAGAGCAGAAGAUCAUACCUAUUAGAAAGGCUUAUUCAGCAAUCAUUCAUUGAAUCAAAGUGAAGAAACUGAAGUUGCAGCAGAUCGCAGUGUCACGGUAAUUGAGGUUACUAUCAUAAUAUCAUUGCUGUUAUCAUCUUCUUCAAAGCUGAGAGAAUAGAAUAAUGGCAGCAAGAACACAGAAGUAUCAUUUCCCAAUACAUGUGAAUAUCUCUAAUUUUGUCACAAUCAAACUUACCGAAGAUAACUUUCUGUUAUGGCAAGCACAGAUCCACAGAUUUGUGAGAAGCCAAGAACUCUUUGGCUUCAUUAAUGGUGAAUUUCCAUCACCUCCUCGAAUGCUGCAGAUUGAAAUAGAAGGGUGUGAAACUGAAGUUGUAAACCCAGAUUACACUGAUUGGACAAAGACUGAUCAGCUGAUAUCAUCGUGGAUAAGCGGAGCUGUCUCUGAAAACAUUCUGAGCCUAAUCAUUGGCUUAGAAACAUCUUAUGAGGUAUGGAAAACCUUGCUCAAUAGAUUUACACAAAAGUCUGUGGCUAGGGAAUUUGAGUUGAGAGGAAAGCUGCAAGCAUGUCAUAAACGAGAUCGAUCUCUGGCUGUGUAUCUUAGAGAAUAUAAAUCGAUCUGUGGUCAACUCAAUGCUAUAGGGAAGCCUAUAGAUGAAAUAACAACGAUGUUUGGAGUUUUGGAGGGUUUAGGAUCUGAGUAUGAAAAUUUUAAAACCACCAUCUAUUGUUUAAAACCUCAACCAGACUAUGAUGAGGUGAUAUCUCAGCUAGAAAGGUUUGAAGUGAGGUUACAAAGGUACUCAUUGAGUUCAUACAAUCCCAAUCUAGCAUAUUAUAGUCAAAGAAGAACAGAAGUUCAACAAAGGGAAGAACUUGACAAAGAACCUAUGCAGCACAAUUGUCACGCCCCGAUCCUCCGAGCGCGCGAACGUCCCACUCUGGUCGAUACAAAUGCGACUUCCCAGGACACGUCGCCGACCCAUUCAAUUUUUAUUAUGCAUGCGGAAGCGAAACAAAUCCCCUGACAACAUUUAACUUGGGAUAGAAAAGCAGGCAAUCAAUCACAACCAAACAAGCUUUCUAUAAACACAUAGGUUUAUAUACAACAUUGGAUUGACUACAAAAUAGAUAGGCUCAACAACUAGGGAACUGUCCUAUGACCAACUUGUCAGACACGUUCGCCGAUUCUUCAGCCUCCACCUUCCGAACUCCAGGACUUCCGGUCCUCCACGACCGUCAUCUAGGGACCUGAAAUAUUAUCCCACAACCGGGAUGAGACUACGUCUCAACGAGUCCUACCCUCUAAAACUCAAUUAGGGAGAAAAUACGCCUCAGGGCGCUCUAGCCACACAAAUAGAAUAGAGGACUUACCUCACCUCAGUCCCUUUCCUGCACGUUAGUACAAUUCAUAUUCAAACAAUGCUCGCACAAGCUGAAACUACCGACAUACCCAUCGGUCUAUCAAUUCAGUCAAUCCAAUUGAUAUCAUACAAUCCACACAUCUAUCAAUUCAUAUCAUCUAUUAAACCAUACCAUCUAUUCAUCCAUCAAUACAAUUACGGCUCGCACAAGCUGAAAUGGAUGCAAUGCUCUCACAAGCUGAUAUAGAUGGUAGCUCGCACAAGUUGAUAUAUGCAUAGAUGAUAGCUCGCACAAGCUGAUAUAUGGAUCAUUGCUCUCACAAGCUGAUAAACGAUCAUUGCUCUCAUAAGCUGAUAAAUGAUCAUUGCUCUCACAAGCUGACAUACAGUGCUCACACAAGCUGACAAUGAUGCUCACACAAGCUUAUACAUAUAUAAACCAAUUGCUCGCCAAAGCUGAUAAUUCAAUAAUAAACCAACUCAUAUCUCAAUUCAAUCAAUCAAUCAAUCCAAUCGAUUCAAACUGGUCAUACAAAUCAAUUAUGGUGCUAAAAGCCAACACCGGGUAUUUUCAAGUUAAAUAUCACAACUUCAUCAAUAUCACUCAAUUCCACAUUUUUGGAAUAAUUAACCAUAAUCAUCAAUCACUCAAUUUCUCAAUUUAAACAUACAAUUAACACAAACCGACCACACUGCUGCGAUCAACGCGAAAUUCUAACGACCGGCCAUCCCGGCAUAAUUUUCGAAAUUAUUAAAUAAUUAAAUUUAAUUCCGAAAAUUAAAUAAUUAAAUAUUAUAUUAUAAUAAUAUAAUUUAAUAAAAUAAUAUUUAUAAAUUCGAAAUAAUUAAUUAAUUGAAAAUAAUUAAUUAGGGCUUAAACAAGAUUACACUAAUUUAAUCAUACAAUUAGCCCUAAUUAAACACCCAUUAAACUAAUCAUACAACUAAUCUAAUUUACAUUAAAAUAAUCUAAUUUAAUCACAUAAACCUAAUUAGACUAAUCUAAACACCCCUUAAGCAUCAUUAACUCACUAAGCAAGAAUUAGAGGAUAAACUCACCCGAUUAACGAGCCGAACGGCUCAAAACGACGAGGACGAUGCGAGGGUCGAUAGUCUCCAAGGCGGGCCUAGCUUCCGGGGUCGGGAAGCCGACCAAAACGGGCCAAAUAGCCGCUACCAUACCCAUUUUCCAACUCUCUGUUCGCUGCUGGUUGAGGCCGGGAAAUGGCGGAUCCGGGGCUGGUUGGGGUCGGGAAUGGGCGGAGGAGCUGAACCGGACCUAGGCGGGGCUUCACGGUGGCCGGAGGGAGCUCCGGCGGUGGCUCACGGUGCUGGACAGCAGCUCUGGACGCACACCAGACAAGAACGACGGCUGGAAUGGCGGGCUUGGCGUGCGUGGACGGCGGGUGUCGCGAGUGGCGGACGGCGGGCAAGCGGGGCGCGACGGCGGCGGUCCAGCAGCUAGCUGGCUGCUCUGUCGUCUUCCCAGAUCUACUGGGUUUCGAACCACACAAGGAAGAAGGAGAAGAAGCCGACACCAGCAGAAGGGGGAGAGAGGGGCGGAGCUACGUGCGGAGCAGCGGCGAGCAGCGACGGCGAUCGGCGACGGGCGGAGCUGCUCUGGUUCACUGGUCUUCAGCUUCUUCAGCUUGCUGCGUUUCUUCGAGCAACAAGAAGAAGAUGGAGGGGAAAGGCAACGGGAGAGAGGGAGGGAGGAGAGAGAAGGAGAGAGAGAGAGAGAUGGGACCCCUUUCUUUCAUUUUCUUUUCUUUUUUCUUUAAUCCCUCACACAUGGCCCACCAUGACCUAGGAUGACCUCACAAUCCACUCACCCAAUCCUCCACAACCUCUUCCAAUGGUUGCAAUUUCAUUUUCCGCCGGGGUCCAAUUCUUGUACACUUAAUUUAAUCAAUUCUCAAUCAAUUCCAUUCAAUUGAAGCUCAAUUAAAUUAACCCAUGUGUCCUCGGCCUUCUCAUGACAUUUCCCCAUCAAAUGAUCCAACUUGCAUCCUGAAGAUUCGAUUAAAAAAUGGCCCUCUAACAAUCCCGAACAUAAACGGCCUUACUUUGCUUUUCUGCCAAAAAUCUCGGUUUGUAGAAAAAUCUUCUGGAGAUGAGUCGACAUUCCUAAAAUGAAUUGUGACUUGACAGAACUUCCAAUUUCUGUAAUCGGGUUCAAUUUCACGGUUAAAUUCAAUCUGGCGCAACUUUAGCACGUCCUAAUCUACCGGGUAGCUUUUAGGAAUUUUCUGUGCAAUUGACCUGUGGUUGAUUAUUUUCAAGCCACAAAGUGCAUCUUCGAUACAUUGGCGACUCUUGAUUGUCGUAGAAAUCUCGAGGUUUCAAAUACGGACACAGGGUACCAAAAUGACAGAGAAAUCGGUCUAGUGCCGAUCAAUAAGAAUUGUGCAAUUAGGUGGAAUCACCCACACUGAAUUACAUGGUUAUGUUGAAUCGACCUAUCUCCGGUCUCUAAUCGGUCUGUGCCGUAAUGACCCUUGCAGAUUAGAACGGUCGAGCAGUCGUUUCCUGGUCGAAUUAUUAAGUCUAUUGCGUUUAGAUUCCUUAACGGCUUCACCUGAUAGACUAGUUAUCUCGUGAGUGGCCAACUCAGAGAAGAAAGCUAUAAACGCGAAGAUGAAAUGCCCGACUUAUUUAAUUGAAACCAGAAUUGGAAAAUCGGGAUGUCACAACAAUUCUGGUUUUGGAACUUUAAGGGAGAACAGUCGUGGAGGCCGUAGGUAUGGAAGAGGAAGAUUUCUUAAUAACAGAGGUCGAGGCUUUAGAUAUCCUGGAAGAGAUUCAAGUUACAGACCAAAUAACAUCAAUUACAUACAAGAGGGUUACAAAGUUAAGCAAUUCCACAACCCCUCUAGUUCUAUUUCUAAUCCAGGAUUUCGCCCUUAUGCUGGUUCCUCACAGAGAUAUCAAGAAACAAGAUCCUAUCCCACUUCAAAUCUAACCUUUUCUAAGGAUUUGCAGGAUGAGAAAUCAGCUGACAACAUGAGAUUAGAGUGUCAAAUUUGAAAGAGACCAGGACAUGAUGCUUUACAUUGCUGGUAUCAUUUUGAUAAUUCCUAUCAAGCUGAGGAAAUUCCAACAGCUCUAGCAGCAAUACAUCUCGAAGACUCCAAAGGAAGUGAGUGGUAUCCAGACACUGGUGCAACUGCACAUAUCACAGCCAAUCCUGGUAUACUUCAUAAUCCUUCUAGAUAUACUGAUUAUGACACUAUUAUGAUUGGUGAUGGAUCAUGUUUGCCUAUCACCUAUACUGGUAAUACAUUACUACAUACUGAAAUAAAUUCAUUUCCUCCAAAUGAUGUGCUAAUUGUCCCUGAUAUAAAGAAGAAUCUUCUGUCAGUAUCCAAAUUAACAGAUGACUAUCCAUACUCAUUUGUUUUUGAUAAAUUUGGUGUCUAUGUAAAGGACAAUUGCACCAACACAACUCUGCUGCUCGGGAGGAAAAUUAAAGGGCUGUAUCGAGUAAAUUCACAAACAACAAAAGCAUUUCUAACUCAGAGACACAGAGUAGUAGGAGAGGAUACAUGGCAUCAACAAUUAGCACACACCAAUUUGAAUAUCUUGAAGUACCUGUAGAACCAACAACUAAUUCAGUGUAAUACUAGAAUGUAGAACAUGUGUAGUAGUUGUCAAAUUGCUAAGACCACAGCUUUGUCAUUUCCAUUAUCAGAAUCUGUAGCUACUAUGCCCUUAUAUAAAGUCCAUUGUGAUAUCUGGGGCCCUUCACCUGUUACUUCAUUUCAGAAUUUCAAAUACUAUGUUCUUUUUGUAGACAAUUUCUCUCGGUUUAGCUGGAUCUAUCCACUGAAGUUGAAGUCAAACUUAUAUAACGUCUUUGUUCUAUUUCAAAAGCAAGUAGAGAAUCAAUUUGAGUUGAAAAUCAAGAUAUUUCAGUGUGAUGGUGGAGGAGAAUUCAUUAGCCACAGGUUUCAGACUCAUUUGCAGAACUGUGGUAUCAAACAGCACAUCUCUUGUCUUUACACACCUGAACAAAAUGGCAUUUCUGAGAGGAAGCAUCGUCACAUUGUUGAACUAGGUCUUGCCAUGCUUUGUCAUGGCAGAGUUCCACUGAAAUAUUGGGUAGAUGCAUUCAUAACAGCUAACUAUGUUAUCAAUAUACUUCCAACACCAAAAUUGCAGAUGCAGUCACCUCACAGAAGAUUAUACCAAUAAGAACCAAGUUAUGAUCAUCUCAAGGUGUUUGGAUGUGCAUGUUAUCCAUGUUUACAACCCUAUGCCCAACACAAGUUUGAUCCAAGAUCACUCACAUGUGUGUUCAUUGGAUACAGUGAACGUCAUAAAGGUUACAGAUGUCUUGUGCCUACAACAGGUCGUGUGUAUAUUAGUCGACAUGUCCUAUUUGAUGAAAACUCUUUCCCUUUUACUAAAACAAGUCUAACAGAGUAUGCACCACUCACAACACUUUAUUGAUUAUGGGCUGAAGAAACUCAACUUAUGGAAUCAAUAAGCAAGGAAACAGCUCCUGUCUUUUUACAGAUAUAUGCAGAACAUUUGCAGACUAAUGGAGAUAUCACUACAAAUAAUUCUCAACCUUCACAGCAAGUUACAAUACCAUAUACUGAUCAUUCAUCAUUUCUGCCAAAUGUAACACAAGAACAUGGUACCUCUAUAAUAACAACACAAGAUGAAAUCUCUUCACCAGUACAGAACCAAGAGAUGCCUUCUACUGAAACAGCAACAUCCAAUGAUAUAAGUGUUGGAUCUGAACAUGUCAUUCCUCCUUAUGUCUCACAAGGAACAACUUCAAGUCAUUCUAUGCAGACUCGAUCAAAGUCUGGCAUUAUAAAACCUAAUCCCAGGUAUGCAUGUCUUGCUGUAUAUGAAGUACCCACUGAACCAAGAUCAAUUAAAUCAGCUUUAGCACAUAAAGGCUGGUAUAAAGCCAUGACAGAAGAAAUGGAUGCACUGUAUCAGAAUAAAACUUGGGAGUUAACUCCUAGAACUAAUCAAAUGAAUGUGAUUGGCUGCAAGUGGGUAUUUAAAACAAAACUUGCAUCUGAUGGUAGUCUUCAUAGACUAAAAGCUUGACUAGUUACUAAAGGUUUUCAUCAAGAAGAAGGCAUUGACUUUACAGAGACUUUUAGUCCUAUUGUCAAGCAUGCUACAAUUCGAAUAGUUCUCUCUGUAGCAACGAUGAAACACUAGCCAAUUCAUCAACUCGAUGUUAAAAAUGCAUUUUUACAUGGUACCCUAAAUGAGACAGUUUACAUGGAGCAGCCUCCUGGCUUUCAAGAUCCCAAGAAACAUCAUCAUGUAUGUCUCCUCAAGAAGUCUCUCUAUGGACUUCGACAAGCUCCCCGAGCCUAGUUUGACAAGUUCAGCAAUUUUCUACUUGAAUAUGGGUUCUUUUGCAGCUCAACUGACCCAUCCUUAUUCGUAUUUCACAUUGGUACAGACACAAUUCUUCUACUACUAUAUGUCAAUGACAUUGUCUUAACUGGAAGUUCCUCUCAGUUGCUUUCUAAUCUCAUCCAUUCUCUAAGUCUCCAGUUUCAUAUGAAAGACCUUGGCCCACUACACUACUUUCUUGGCAUUGAAGUUAAACAUACUUCUAAUCAUCUGUUUCUUUGCCAAACUAAAUAUGCUAUUGAUCUUCUUACUCGAGCUCAUAUGCUUGAGUGUAAACCAAUUUCAACCCCUCUGUCACUAAGACCAAUCAUUUUGACAAAUGAUUCUAUUCCUCUAUCCAAUCCUAUUGAGUAUCGAAACUUAGUUGGUGGUUUUCAAUACCUGACAUUAACAUGUCCUGACAUUGCCUAUGCUACGAAUUUACUGUGUCAAAAAAUACAAAAACCUACUGUUGCAGAUCUUCAUAAACUCAAGAGGGUUUUGCGAUAUGUUAAAGGCACCAUAAGUCUUGGAAUUUUCAUUCAUUCUCAAAGCUCUCUACAUCUGUAUGGUUUUUCAGAUGCAGACUAGGCUGGAUGUGCUGAAACAAAAAGAUCAACAACUGGUUUCUGUACAUACCUUGGCUCUAAUCUCAUCUCUUGGGCAGCAAAGAAGCAAUCCACAGAUAGUCGCUCCUCUACAGAAGCUGAGUACCGUGCUCUUGCUUCCACUUCUGCUGAACUUACUUGGAUCAGCUUUGUCCUUCUUGACAUAGGAUGCUCUCUACCUCGUCCAACUCAUCUCUUUUGUGACAAUAAAUCAGCCAUUGCUCUUACUGCCAACCCUGUUUUACAUGCUCGCACUAAACAUAUUGAAGUGGACUUCCACUUUGUUCCGGAAAAGGUCUCCUCAAGGUCACUCCAUGUGGGAUAUGUUCCAAGCAACUGUCAACUUGCUGAUAUUUUCACAAAAUCUCUGCCUCGCCUUACACAUUUUCAACUACGAAUCAAAUUGGGCAUUGGUUUUCCACCCAUUCCCAAUUUGAGGGGGGAUGUUAAGGAGUAUAAAUCAAAAACACCAACUGUACCAACUAUCUAUGCUGCUGAUAUUGAUAAUAGAGAAAAGAGGGUGAAGACUGAUAUUAAAAGAGAAAGAAUAGAGGCUGAUAUUAGAGAGAAGGAAGAGCUGCAAAGCAACAAAGUGAGUAACACAGACUGGAGAAGACACGACAACUCAAAUUAACGAUCGCGAUGAAGGUUGAUAUGGAUCGUCAUCAACGGUGAAGAGUUUGUGAUGAAGACUGACACGGAUUGCCAACUCAUGAAGACACGUGAGCAGUUAUUCAGUUGAGGAUUGAAACAGAUUGAGAAACAGUCUUGUUAAAAUCAGUUUUUCUGUUGUAUCUUCAUCUUCUUCGAUAGGAAAAGAUAUAAAGAAGUCUUAGCAGGAUCAUCUUUGUUGUUGUUGAGGAAAACAGAUAGAGAAUUCCUAUAAAUGAAUGCUCUGUAUUUUACAGUAGAGAGAGAGAGAGAGAGAGAGAGAGUGAGAAAUUUAGAAGUGUAAAUCUUCUUUGUUCAUUGAUGAUCCGAGAUAUACAGACUUUGUAUUACAAUCUCAUUGAAACAGAAGAAUUCAAAGCUUCUUGAUUGAUCUUUAGUUCUUCAACAUAUCUCUUCAUCUUCACAUUCUCUAAUUCUUCAGUUCUGUUUCUUCAUCUUCACAAGCCGUGUGUCCGCAUGGAAAAACGCAUUGAUAAAAAUAGAUGAGCCAAAAAUAGAAACUAUAGUGAAGUUGAGUUAUGAUCAUUUGGAGAGUGAGGAAGCGAAGUCCUUAUUCUUGCUUUGUGGUCUUAUUAGCGGGACCAUUAAAGUUGAACUUCUACUGGGACUAGGCAUGGGGUUGGGCUUGUUUGAGAGAUUCAAUGACACGAUAGAAGAUUCAAGGGAUAGAUUGAAUACUAUGCUCGAUAGCCUCCGUUCUGUUUGUUUGUUGCAGGAUGAUGGUGAUGACAUGGAAAAUGUCACCAUACAUGAUCUUUAUAGUAAGGUGGUCGUCUCAACUCCAUUUAGAAGUCAGGAUUCCUUAAUGAUGAACAACUAUUAUGUUUCGUGGCCAAAAGAAAAGCUUGAGAAAUGUUGGGCAAUAUGCCUUGUUAAUGAUUACAGUGAUAGCCUUGCUGAAAAAAUGCGGUGUGUGUUUCCCGACUUGGAGAUAUUCAUGUUGUCUCAACUAGGGUUGUUCGAGGCACCUAUACACCGACAUGAUGUGAGAGAUUGCUAUGGACUAGAUUUCACAGGCAUGGAGCAGCUCCAAGUCCUAUAUCUUCGCUUCAUACAUAUCACCAAUUUACAUUCCUUGAUUGGCACCCUUAGGAACCUCCACUCAUUAUACUUACACUAUUGCAUUGUGGACGAUGUGGCAAUUCUUGGCAAGCUCAAAACAUUGCAGAUUCUCAGCUUGGCAGGAUCUCAAAUUUCUAAGCUACCUAAAGAAAUUGGGGAACGUAGGAAUCUGAGAUCGUUGAAUCUAUAUGAUUGUGACUCGCUUAUGAUAAUCGAGCCCGGUGCCCUAAAAGGCUUAGUCAACUUGGAAGAGUUAUAUAUGAGGGGAAGCUUUAGUCAAUGGAUAGUCGAUGAUGAAAUACCAACGGAAUCGGAUAAUGGUAGGCUUGCUGAGUUGAAGAGCUUGAGAAAGCUACCCUCUUUGGAAAUAUCGAUUCAUGAUCCCACCGUACUCUUAAAGGAUGAUGACCUGCCAUUUGGGACCUUGAUCAGAUUUUGGAUCAACAUAGGAAAUGCUUGCGGAAGGGGAUUUCGUGGUUUGAGAACCAUGAAACUCCAAUUGGAAGGAUGCGAUGGUAUUCUCUCAAAGGAAUGGGUUCAGAAAACUCUGUAGAAAACUCAACACUUAUAUUUGGACGGAUUGGGAGAGUUCAAGGAGAAUGCUCACGGGUUGUGCAUUCGAGGAUUUACGCAACUGAAGCAUCUCAACAUUCAGAACAGCCCCUCAAUCAAGUACAUCGUCAGUUCAUUAAAUGACCUUCUCAUUGCAUUUACGGAUUUAGAGUCUUUGUUCCUUGAAAAUUUUAUUAAUCUGGAGAAGAUAUGCAAUGGCCCUGUCACAACAAAUUGCUUCAGCAAAUUGAAAGUUAUGUGUAUCAAAAAGUGCCACCAAUUGAAAAAUUUGCGGUUCCUCUCAGAGAUGCAAAGACGUGUGCAUUUGGAAGAGAUCAAAAUAUGUGAAUGUGACUCAUUACAAGCCAUUAUCACAGGUGAUGCAGGAAAAGUAGAAGUUGAUGUUGAUGACAUGAUUGAGUUACCUAAUGUACGACGUCUAGAUUUGCGUAAGUUACCAAAAAUGACGAGUGUUUGCACUAAAGCUGAGGGUGCUCCAAUUCAGGUAACUUUUUCAUUUUCUGGGUAUAAAUUUCUUUAAUUCUUAAUCUUGCAAGCAAUACCUAGAUUAUACUAUUAUAGGGGGAUUUAGGAUAAGAUGAUAUUGGUGUUCACCGAGCCUCAGUGAAUAUUGCAUUAAUUUUGAUUAUUUGUACAUCUUGAAACACAUAAAAAAUCCUUUCAAAGAAAACACAAACCAUACAUUUUUAUUCACAUCCAACUGUAGCUAGGGGAAGCCUUUUUCUACGAAUUUUUUUUCAAUUUAUUUCAGUGUUAGAUAAUUGCACUAAUUAUUUGGGCUUUAGCAUGGGUUUGUACUAUGACUAAUUUAUUACUUAUUUAACUUUUUUAAUGAGAAGAAAAAACAUUAUACGGAAUGAAUCUUAAACGAAUGCAUGAAAUUCAACAAUUUCAAAAUGAAGAAAGUGAGAAUAAAUAAAUAGAAGGCAAACUAGUAGCCACGUAACAAAGAAAGUCCACAUAAUUCAUGUUUCACCUACAUGCAAGUUAGCAAUUGAUUCUAACACUCAUGCCAACCUCACCAUGUCCACAUCGUUAUGCUUCUGUCAUCCCUUCGUCUCAAUUAAGUUUUUGACAUUUUUAAGAGACAUCAAACUCAUUCAUAUAUUUAAGUUUCUUUUAUUUCGCUGAAAAUUCAUUGUUGCUGAAAAAUGUCUUCCCGGCAAUUCAUUUUUCUUGUUUUCUUGUAUUUGGUACUGCUGAAAACACAAUCUGAGAGUAACCCAAAUAAAUCAUAUUUACCUGUUCAUAAUGAAAAGCAAUAAGUUAAGAAAUAAUUUAUUAAAAAUUACGAAGGAAAAGAUAACAAUUACGAUGACAAUUGUUUUGAAGAUCAGUAGAUGAUUUCAAAAGAAAAGAGAAAAAAAUUAUGGUCAUAGCUUUGAAGAUCAGCCAAAUCAAAGCUAAUAACUAUGAUGACACGUGGGAGCAGCAUGGUAGUGGUGAGGAUAUCCUCCUGAAAAUCAUUUUGCUUUUUACAGAAGAGAAAUUCAUUUUCUUGCAUUUUAGCCUGAGAUUUCAAUCAUUUUCUCGUAUCCAAACACAAGAAAAUUCUAAAAGCAUUUUUCUAAAAAUAGAUUUACUUGUAACUUACCUUUAAUGAGUUUGAUUGUGGCGCUUCGUUAGGUUUCAUUGCCUUGCUUGGAAUCCCUAGUAAUGGUUGGACUCCUUGGCCUAGAAAAGAUACUCUAUAGUGAUCCCUCAAUAAAAUACAGUGGUCUGAAAUCGCUAAAGAUAGAAGAAUCUAAAUCCACAUUGAGUAUUCCCAAAGAUUGGACAUUGAAGCUGCCAAAUUUGGAGUCAAUGGAAAUUGCGGGCUCUCCAUCAGCAGAAGUAGUUUUCGACCUGGAGGAGCUGAAAGUCAGUGGAGAAGUCGAGAUUCUCUCUCGGCUAAGUACAUUGGCAUUAUCUAAGUUGCCAAACCUGCAGCGCACUUUGAAACAAGACGUACAAUUACAAGGAAUAUCGAUAUUUCGAAACUUGAAGGAGCUCUCUGUCUGUGAAACAAGGCUGUCAUUUCUCUUUCCUGUGUCUGUAGCUAAAUGUCUUCGAGAAAUUGAAGACAUUAAAGUGGAGGACUGUCCAAAUAUGAAGACGGUGAUUGUGGAUGAAGAAGGAAUAGAUGAUAUUAUAGAGCUACCACUACAGAAGCGACUUUCUAUAACGCGCUAUCCCACAGAGAAAUUCUUCUCAUAUCCUCAUCGAAAGAAAGAGUUAGUAACCACUACUUCAUAUCGCAAGAUGCUUAUUUCGAUUCCUUCUUUGAUCAAAAGGUACAAAUCCCUUCUCUUGAGAUUAUACCCACAAUAGCCAUAAGCACAUGCUUUGCAAGGCAAGUAAUCAAAUCUCUUUGAAGAUCUUUAUUUGGUUUUAUUAAUUAAAAUGUGUUCAUAAUUUAUAACUAUAUUUGUCAGAUAGAGGCCACUAAUGGAAAAUUCAUUCUUCCACCACAUUAGAUAGAUUGUGGGGAUUAGGCCAAUUUCACAAAUUUUUCAUAGCUACAAUCUAAUGCAUAGCUCUUAUGAGCAGGUUAGUUUACCGAGCUUGGAGGAGUUAAAGCUUGAGUCAGAAGGAUCCUUCAAAAGAAUAUGGCACAAUGAACUUAUGGAAAAUUCCUUCUGCAAAUUAGCCACCCUCUCUAUUGGAUAUUGCUCUAAGCUACACAACGUCUUCCCUUCCACAAUCAUAGGGAGAUUGCACAACCUAACAAUUGUUGAGAUUGAAAACUAUCCCUCUCUGGAAUCAUUGUUGAUUGUGGGUCCACGAAGCAAACAUUGUGCAAACAACUGUAUUGCUCCCCAAAUCAGAAGUAAAGACGGUGAGGGAAGCAGGAAAGUUGAAAUGUACAGUGAAGAGCGACUCCCAAAUGAUUUUGAGUUUUCCUAGUCUUAAAAAAAGUCCGUGUUUGCAAUUGCUCCAACCUAAGAUAUCUCUUCCCCAGUUGUAGUGCCACAACUCUAGAGAAACUCGAGAGCCUAUGGAUUAGCAAUUGUGAACAGAUGAAGGAAGUGGUUCCUAAGGAGAUAGCCAAAGGAGACGAUGAAUCAUCACAACUGUUGUUCAAUGAGAUGGUUUGCUCCAUCCUUUACCAUGAUCAUCAGAAUUCUUGCAUUUCAUAUUUUAGAACGAACAAUCUAAUAAUUUGUCCUAUCUAUCCUCCUUUCUCACAUUAAACUCGUGCAGGCUAGAUUCCCCAAUAUAAGAAAACUACAAAUUGAAGGUGUCCGGUGCAAAGAGCUAUGGAACAAUCAAAUUCCCUAUGAUUCCUUUUGCAAACUGGAAUUUCUUCGAUUGGAGCACUAUGACAAUCUCCUAUGUAUUGCCCCAUCCCACAUGUGGAAGAGACCACAGCUUUGUCUCGACUUCCUAGAAGUGAGAUCAUGCCGUUUGGUCAAGAGCAUAUACAAAAGUGAUGGGACAGAUACAAAGAGUGGCAAAUUGAGGAGGUUGGCUUUGCAUGAUCUCGAAAACUUGAGGCACCCGUUCCCAAACUUGAGAUACGUAGAGGUUGUGAGGUGCUCUCAUUUGGAAAUUCUUUUCACAACCUUCAUGGCGAAAUUUCUCGGGCAAAUCGAAGAGCUAAUAGUAGAGUCAUGUGAAGAUAUAAAACUAAUUGCUGGCCAUAAAGAAUGUGAAGAAGCGGCCGGUACGACAAUCACCUUCUCCGAGUUAACUGCUUUUAGACUUUUUGAGUUGCCGAAAAUCAGGAGAAUCCUAGCUGAGAAAUACUCUGGGGAAUUCCCAUCCUUGCAAGUCUUUUGUAUGGUAAGCCGUGGAAUGGCGCCGGACCGAGGCCUUGAUGACUGGGAAAGGUACCAAGCCCGCAAGUGGUUUGACUUCAUGAAAUAUGGAUUUGAAGAAUAAUCGUUUCGGACUUCUGCAACGGAAAAUGGUGUUUGGCAAUAUAGAAUAAUGCAUCCGGUAAUAUGAUAUCAUGUUUCUGCGUUAUCUUGUAUAGUUCCCACAAAGUCUCUUGACUAUUUCCUUCAAUAAUCAUUGCUCUGGUUUGUCUCCUGUCCCUUGGAUCUAAGGCCGUGCUAAGGAAGGUCACUUGUUCAUUUCGACUGAGAAUGUAGAGUUGCUAUCAAUGCAUGAUUCUAAUAAAAUGACUGCCUAUUGAGACAUGGUCUCUUAGGGAGUGCAUGAUAACCAAAAUUUUUGUUCCAGAAAUAAUUUUUCUAUUCCAGACCUGUUUAUGGAAUAGAUUCCUGUUUGAUAAACCUACUCAGUUUUUUUAUUUCUGGAAUAGAUUUCUAUUCCAGAAAUUGAUUUGGAAGAGAAAUCAGAAAUAUAAAUUUUCUAUUUCUGAUUUCUGGAAGAGAAAUCAGAAAUAAUUUCUCUCACUAAACCCUAAUUUCGGUGAGUCCUCCCUCAUCUCCUUUACACCUCUGCCUCCUCCUCAUCCGCCUCUCCUCAUUUUAUUAAAAAUAAAAAUAAAUAUAUUCAUUUUAUUCAAUUAAAAAUAAAAAUAAAUUUAUUAAAAAUUAAUAAUUUAUUUAAAAUUUAUUAAAAAUUAAUAAAUUAUUUAAAAUAAAUAAAUUAUUUUUAUUUCUCAUUUUAUUUUUAGUUUAUUAAAAAUAAAUUUAUUAAAUUUAUUAAAAAUAAUUUAUUUAUGAUAAAUAAAAAUAAAUUAUUUUUAUUUGCCUUGAGUGUUUUGCCAGAUAAAUUUAUUUUUAUUUUUUAUUUUUAUUCAUUUUAAAAUAAAUUUAUUCGUAAAAUAAAAUAAAAUAGGAUAUUUUUAUUUUAUUUUUUAUGAUUUCUUUUAUUUUACUUUAUUUUAUUCUUUAUUUUUUGUUAUUAAAUCAUUUUUAUUUUUAUUUUUUAUAUUAAAGGUCGUCAGUCGUCGCCCUCGCCGUCCGAAAGGAAGAAAUUUUGUGUCGUUAUCAAAUGAAUUUCCAUUUUUAUAGUAGAAAUUUUGUGUCAUUAUCAAACGGAUAUUUUUGCUUAUAAACUCUUCUAGAAAUAGAAAUAGAAAAAUCUAUUUCUGUUCCAGAAACUAUUUCUGGAACAGAAUGGUUGUCAUGCGCGCCCUUAACUGACAAGCAUUUAACAAUUACUAGUGAGUCCCAGUUACUUCCUCUAAAUUUCUAAAGAGUCUUUCAUGGACAGUAACAAGUGCAUUGUUUCCAAUUUGUAACUGACAACGAGUACAUUAUUAAGCAAAUGACAUAUUCAAAUAUUUUUCAUCAUAAAUGACUAUCGGAACAAAAUAAUUCUUUUUUUUUAAUUCAAAUUUAUAAACGUGAAUAUUUUCUUAUUUUCGCUAACUAUUUACUACUUGAUGAUUGGAUAUUUUAAAAUGUGAUGUUCAUGAUUAGUAAAUAGAAAGUUACUCUUGCUAUUUUCUCGUUCAUAGAGUCAAUUUUACGAGUUAUUAACAAGAAAUUUUGCCCUAAACUCAUUAAUAGUGAAGGCAUUUAGUAAGCAAAAGGCACUUCUAAUAUAAUGUAUUACCAAGAGAUUCUCCGCCUAUACUUUUACUCUUCUCUUGACAAAAAGCUCUUCAAAUUUUAUUUGGAAAAGAAAAAAGCCGUUUUAUUAAAUAUGAAUGCAUCUAAUGUGCAAAAAUCAAUUUCACUGUUUUAUAUAUACCAGAUUUCAGGCUCUUUCAAGAAUUUCACGAAAUAGAUGAACUCCAUACACACGAGUUUACCAACUUAAGUACACUUCCAACAAUUUUGUCUCAUGAGAAAGAUCAAAACAGGUUUCUUCUCUCUCGAUCGAAUUUACUGGCUAACAAGGCCUCGUCACGUGGCCCUCGACAGAAUUCACCGGCUCUCUUCCUUUCUCUCUCUACAUCAAACGAUCUGAGUCGAUUCCCUUUCGAGAUCAGGCUCGGCGCGCUCUGCGGAGUGGGGCCAGAGCAUAAACAGAGCCACCUUCACACACGCAAAAGGAGCUCCACAAAUUCUCUCUAGCCCUGGUUGAAGGGACUCGCGUGAUUUUUGAGCAUUCAUAAGUCACUCUCUCUCGGAGAUUUCCUUCGAAUCCUUGCCUCUCGCUUCGUUGCUGAUCGUCACCGCUUCCCGAUCGCCGACAGUUCGGUCUGUAAUGGCGAAGUUCUCAAACUUUGGUCGCGACUGCCUGCUUCGACGAUUCCAAUCCUGGAUGUUGUUUCUGUUAUCUCCUUACUCAUAUCCGAUGUCAAUCGCUAUAGCUAAUCAUUCUUCUUUCAACUAAACCACAUUUGCUCUGUUUUCCGUUGCUUCAUAUACGAAGCAGAGGCUGAGUGCUAUUGUUACCGCCUGUGCGAAAACGGCUUCGACUGAGGCUGUAUUGAUGAUCGAACUUGCCGACUGCCUUUGUGAUGAUUUGGAUGCGAAUCACCUGUUUGAUGAAAUUCCUGAACUUAGUCAGUUUGUAUUUUGAUUCAAGUCUUGACCGAGAAUUUCCUUCAUUACUAGAUUAUUGAUUAAUUUCGGUCAUGUAAGCGUAUCUGAGGUCUGUUUCUUCGUAAAAAAUCAUAGGUAUUCAAUUUUGAACUUGCUUUGGAUCUGCUACAACCUGUCGAUACAUGCUGAUUCGUAACUAUUGCAGCCCUGAGCUGAUGUCAUUUGGUCCUUGAUAUUGAUUUUAUUCCACCUAAGUAAGCAUGUUUAAUGAAUUUCAUGUUCCCCUGAAAGGAAUUUAUGUCAUGAAUGAAAUAAAUUCUACCGGGAAUUGAUCCUUUUAUGUUGACCGUCUUAAAAUCCCUGAUUUAGUGUGUGUUUGAUUCCAAUUUGAGGCUAGUUUGGUUAUGGGAUCGUAUAUGCCCAUGCUAGGAAAGCAUUAUGGUGAAUCUCAUGCCGAUUUGCGAGAAUUGGGGUCAUCACCAAACUUGAAUAUGUUAGAAUGAAAGUAUUGCGUGCUGACCAUGCUUGCUUGCAUAAAUUCAGUAUUAAUUUGCCCCUUGAUUGAUGCCAUUUUGAUCAAGUAGACUUAUAUGCGCUGUAGGAAGAUAUGGCUUCAUUUUCAUGUUGAUUACUCAUCAAAAGAUCACAAUUUGCUGUCUCAUAUGCUCUGUUACAAUUAUGAAUGUCUGCUGGAAGUUGUGGAAUAAGCAUAAUUAGAUGGAUAAGAGAUAUGGUGUGUGCAAGUUCCUUGUCAAUUUCACAUGUUCAGAUGGCAAUUGCAUGAUUAAAUUGAUGUAUGUAUGCUUGCUAUUGCCAUGAGAGUCUUGGCCUGAUUAUUGAAUUAGAGAACUCCAAUGUUAACUGAACUUUAAUUCCAUGAUUCUUGCGAUUUCAAAGCUCGGGACAUCUAUUAAAUAAUUUGAAGAAUACUGACUUCGUUUAAAGGUGAUAUGGUAGACUAGCCAGAUUUGAGGAAAUCUCUCAACAAAACUGGUCACUGAGGCCCCAUCAAAAUAUCGCAUGGACGACACUUGCCAACAGAAUCCAAAUAUUCUCUCCCUCUCCUUUGACGCUCACCAUUUAAGGCUUAUUUAUAAGAGCUAUUUCUUAAACCUGACUGAUCCUUCAAGUUCAUGCACUUGUGCCAAUAUACUGUGCACAACACCAAUUGCAACCUAUUGACGCUACUGGAAAUAUCUUCGGGGAAGCUAGAACUCACAUUUGGUUGUGAAUUCCAAUGCGGCAAAUGAAGGGAUAUAUCUCUCUGUCCUUUCCUUCCUCAGAGUUCGCUGGCCAGUGCUGUUCAGAAUGAUGUUUCAAAUAUAUGUUUCUCAUUUCAUUGGAAUGCUCAUGAUAGACUGAUAGUCAUCUGCGUCAACAGCACUAAAGGAGCACGACAGAAGAUUAUCGCCAGUAGGGGGAGGGAAGCUUGGUCACCAGCGAUAAUUUAGUCACCUAUCCAAUUGUCAACAGUCCCAAGGACUAAAAUGCCACGGUACUCAAACUUUGGUCAUAAUUGCCUGCUUCGACAAUUCCAUUCCUUGACAUUGCUUUUGUUAUCUCAUUACUCAUAUCCGAGGUCAAUCGCUAUAGCUAAUCAUUCUUCAUUCAACCAAACUGCAUAUGCUCUGUUUUCCAUUGCUUUAUGUAUGAAGCAGAGGCUGGGAGCUGUUGCUCCCAUCUAUGUGAAAAUGGACUGUGAUUGAGGCUUUAUUAAUGAUUUGAACUUGCUGCAUUUCCUUUGCAAUGAUUUGGAUGUGAACCGUUGCUUUACUUUUGCAUCUAAGCUCCCUAGCUGAAAUGUAUACCACAUGUUUGAUGAAAUUCCUGAACUAAAUAAAUGUGUAAUUCCAGGUCUUGACUGAGAAUUUCAUUCAUUACUAGGAUUUCAUCAAUUUUGGUCAUAUCAGCCUAGUUGUGUUCUGUUUCUUCAUCGAAAAUCAUAGGCAUUCCAUUUUGAACUUGCUUUGGAUUUGCUGGAACCUUGUCAAUACAUGCAGAUUUGCAGCUGUUGCGGCCCUGGGCUAAAGUCCAUUGAUCCUUCAUUGGAUGCUAUUCCACUCAAGUAAGCAUGUGCAGUGACAUAAGAUUGUGUUACGGUAAAUUUCAUGUUUGCUUGGAAAAGAUAUUAUGUCAUGGAUGAAUUAAAUUAUACUUGAAAUCAAUCCUUGGAUGCUGACCAUGUCUUGGUAUCCCAUGAUUGGGUGUGAGUUUGAUUCCAACUUGAGGCUAGUUUGGUUAGGGGAUCUUAUAUGUUCAUGCUAGGAAAGUAAUAUGGUGAAUCUCAUGCCAACUUGAGGCUAGUUUGGUAAUCGCUUCAAUUUCACGUCAAUUUGUCAUCAAACAAUCACGAUUUGCAGUCUUGUAUGCUCUGUUACAAUUCUGAUUGCUGCUGGAAGUCGUGGAUUAAGCACAGAUUAGAUGGAUUUUGUCUCAACUUGCUUGUCAUUUUUAUUGCCCGUGGGCAAGUGAUAUCACGUGUUCAGAUGGCACUAGUUGGCUGUUAGUCCCACAAGAAUGAAAUCAAGGACUGCAUAUCAAAACAGAUAUGUAUUAACAAAGGGUCUCAAUUCCCCAAAAAAGCACAAACUUUAGGUUGACUCUCUGUUCUGAGUUAAACUUUUUUUUGUCUAGAAAGAAUCAACUUCCACUUAAGUCCCAAAUUUGAUCCCUGUUCAAUUGCCGUCCAAAAUCACUGUUGAAGGUCUAACAUGGCAGUCAGUUGUAAAUCCAUGUCAGCUAACUACUCACCAAAAAGAUGCUUUGUUGUUCUUAAAAUUUUGGAAAAAUCGAAACAAUUAUAGGUGGAUUCUUCAAUUCUGCAGACAAAAGUCUUCAAAUUUUGUGUUUGGGAAUCUUCAAUUCAUCGAAUAGACUCACGCUCGAGAUAGUUGGUUUGUUGAGCUUUUAACAAACCAAUUCUGAACUCUGCUGGUCUCGUGAUCCAAGGACAGGUGCUCGACCGAAGACAGCAUCUUCUGCAGGAUCAUUCUCAGUGAAUCGCCUGCAUUCAAGGUAUUUGAUUGAUUUUGAUUCUGGUUCUUCUGAAUCGAGGAUGGAUAGCUAUCUUCUUCAAUGUCAAAGCUCAUUUCAAUUCAUGGUUUUGCAUCUCAUGCGUUAUUCUUACUGAAAGAUGCGAGCUUGAUGUCCUGCUAGGUUGGCAAUCAUGUGCGGAAGAAUUACAUCCACAUAUUGUUCUCAUAUUUUGCCUAUCCGAAAACUCAAUGGAAUGGUGACUCUUCCACAUUGCACUGUUUGUCGUGCAUCAUUAAGCACUGCUGAUGCGGCUAUGUGUUUGACAAACAUUUUCGGAAUGUAUGACAGAUGACGGCUAGAAUGAUCAGAUCCUUCUUCAUUCAUUUGAUCUUUUUGUACUUUCAGCUCUGUGAGGAUGGAAAGUGUCUAUGCAUAUUGAUUCGAGUCUUCUAAGCCAUGGGUAGGGUGUUACUCAUCCACCAUUCUGCAGUAGAUGACCCCUUGAAAUUAUUGUCCUUAAACAAGGAUAAACUGAUUAGGCAAAAAUGUCAUUUUUGCUCUGGUGAUUAACUUCUCCAUUGUUUAGCGAGGACUUCUUAUAUAGUCUCAUCUAAUCACUCACUCCAGAUUGUGUAACCUUGCUUCAUAAACAACAAAUUGAGAUGAAUUAAUGUGUCUAUACGUGAAGUUAAGAUUUGCCCAUGAAACUAUGUUGCAGUAAGAAGCAGAUGCUGCCAUGUUGUUAGCUUGGAUCCUAGCAGUUGUUCUCAUGGCCUAAAGAACCCACAUCGUUAAAAAAAUUCUACCUGCAGAUCAGCUUAGAUCCUGACAAUUGAAUGUAAAUACUAAAAGAGAACAUUGAAGAGGAGGGUAUUGAUUGUUAUUAAUGCAAACUGUCCUCUCGAGGAAUUUCGCACUUUUGUUUUUUCAUAAACCAACUUCUGUUCUUGAAAAAUCUUUUUGCGAUGUAAGACUGUGCGAACUCAGUCACCUCAAUUGUAACCUGGGACGCAGUGCUUCGUCCACGAUCUCCUGCGAAUCUGUGGCUUUCAUACCGGGCGGGCCUUAUUGUUCAACAACCAACUCGACUACAUUAAUGCCACGCGGAACAUGCCGUGGUCCCUCGCCUGGAAGCUGGAUCGUUGGCAUGGGAGGAGCGGGGUUUAUAGCCGAUGGCAAGCUAAGUAGCAGGGGACAAUCGGGGGUUCCUCAGUGCCAGAUAGGCAAGUUACUUUUUGUCCAGCGUGGAUGCGCUUUCAUGGAGAAAAAGAUUGCGAGAUGGCUGGAUAGUUCUAGCAUUUUGGGAGAAAAUAUUGGGUGGGUUUUACCCUCCACGUAGGCGGUGGGUAAAACCACUCAGUGAUCGACACGUGGCGCCACGUAGGCGAGGACGUCAGAGGAGAAAAUAACUCUGUCUCUCUCCUCUCGCGUCUCUCCAUCUUCUGCGCUUCUGUCUCUCUCCUCUCUCCGAAAUAACUCUGGGCUGGUGGCUCGGCUCGGCUCGGCUGGCAGAAGAAAGGACGACUCCCGCUUAAAAUUUCUCUCCUCACUUGAAUAUUUUGGGUUUCGUCUCUCUCUCUCCUCGUGAAGAGCAGAGAACGAGCUGCACCUCCUCUCUGUUUCCUUUUCUCAGCGCAUCCCAACCCCACCCCACGAGCGGCCCCCGCCUCCGGAGGGGCAGCGCCUGAGCCGUGCGGCCGGCGGAGGAGGCGGUGGCGUUGUGAGCGAGGACGGGAAGGCGGAGGAGGCCAAAGCGGCGCGGCGGCCGUGGAAUCUGAGGCCGAGGAGGGCGGUGAACCCUUCGCCGCUGUCGUUGAGGAACGGCGAGGCGUUUCACGACACCGCGGGCGGCACGAUCAGCGGGGACAAGGAGAAUUACGCCGCGCAGCAGCAGCAGUUGCAGCUGCAGCCGAAAUCCGUGUGGUUACGAGACUUCAUGGGGGAGGGCGAGAGGAAGGAGAAGAAGAGGCUUCUCUGCGCCCUCCCUCUUUCCGACCGGCAACCGACGAACCACCGCACCGGACCGGCGAGAGGACCGCGAGACCUAGCUCCCUCCCUCUUUCCGACCGGCGAACCACCGCACGGGACCGGCGAGAGGACCGCGACCUCCUUCCCUCUCUCUCUCUACCCUCCCUCUGUCCGACCGACGAACCACCGCACGGGACCGGCGAGAGGACCGCGACCUCCUUCCCUCUCUCUCUCUGCCCUCCCUCUGUCCGACCGACGAACCACCGCACGGGACCGGCGAGAGGACCGCGAGCAAUCGACGAACCACUACACGGGACUGGCGAGAGGACCGCGACCUCCCUCUCUCUGUGCCCUCCCUCUUUCCGACCGGCGAACCACCGUGAGCAAAUAAGAUGUUUUUGUAGAGAUCUCCCAUCGUCGCCUUCAUCUUCUUUUCCCCCCUUUUUUGUUUUGUUGGUUUUUUCCCCUAGUGUUCUGAUGAUGGAUCUGGAGUUGCAUAUGCUCGACGGCUUCUUCGGCGACCUCCCUGAGGCCAGCGACGUCAUCGGCGCUUGCUCCUCGACGAACGCGUUGUCAUCGUCUCCAGGCUCGGGGCUCUCGUGGUUCAUCGAGAACAUCCUGAUGAAGGACAACGAGGACGGUAGAGUUGCCGGUGGCGGGAUUAGGGCUGAUUCGAGCCAGGAGUUCUGCGAUAGGUUCCUCGCUGACGUGCUCGUUGACUCCCCCGGAGAUGGGUCCGCGGAGAUAGCUGACGGGUCCAGCGACAAGGAGGAGCCUGGAUCGUCAUCCGACGGCUGGGUCAAGGCUGCGAAGGUUGAUGGGGCUAACGUUGGUGGUGAAGCCUAUGAUCCUGCUUCUAAGAAGCUCAGGAGGUACGUUGAUUAGGUUCUCUUGCACUUCUCGUGUGAUUAUUAAGCUUAUUAUAUGAUGCAUUCUGAUUGCUCAGGUGUUUUCACUAAAACCUGAGAAGGCAAUUUCUGAUGCCAUUUUACGACAAGCAAAAAGGCCUUGCAAUUAUUACUGUUGUGAAAGUUGGUAUGAUGGUACCGGCCUUGUGGUUGCUCGUAGGGAAGACGGCUCAUCGUCUCCACCUUCUACAAUUUCUUCAUGUGGAAUAGGGUGGGGAGCAAAGGUAGGCUCGUUUUAUCGUAUCCCUGGAUUUUGAUUUCAUCAACCUUAAGGGCCAAGCGUCGAAACCAACAAGUGUUUUUGGCUUUCAUGCAAUCUGCAGAUUAACCACGUGUAUCAACGUGCUCAAAAUGAUUGUUUAGAUAAUAAACAUCAAUUUGAUUUUUUACUCCAUCCGGAAUGCUUGACAUAUUGUCUGCUUCAUUUCCAUGGUCUCUGUGAGAAUUUUCCUUUGUAAAUGUCUGGUCUGUCAUCCUUCUAUUUCAUGGAAUGUGCCAUUUGUUUCUCCUUUCUGGAACUCUAUCUAAGAACAGUAUUUCUCAGGAUGAGAUUUGGACUUUUUGUUUGAUUAUCAUGUUGCCAUUGAGUUUUCAAGUUCCUUUCUGCAUCUCUGUUCCCUUUCUCUGAAUUUGUGUUUUGCUUUAUUGUGGAAGUGGGAGAAGUCCCUGAAUACCGACACAAGUUGGUUGACACUCUAUCCUCUUAAAACAUACUCAAGAAAAGAAAUCUAGUAGUAAUAUCAGAAAACCAAGUUGUACUAUUUUCUGUGUUCAUAGCACUCAAUAAAAAAUCCUGUCUUUUCCGCAAUAAAAUUGAUGAAGAGGAUUUUUUUUUGGUUAUAGCAUUUAUAGCGCCCUAUGCUUUUGAAAUCUCAAAUGAAAACAAAACAGUAGAUUCUACAAAAGAACUCUAGAGAAUCAAGUUCGUGGGAAUCAAUAUAACAAUGAAAUCAAAGGUUUAGCGUUUCUCUGGAGAUUAGAAAUCAACCUUUGCUUAUUAAGGAGGGAGCAACUGCCGCAUAAGUUAGCCUCUAUUGGAGCUACAAGGAUUCCAGGAAAAUUAAGCAUUGUAGGCAUGCAAAAUGCCACACCCUCCUGCUCUAUAAGCAAAAUGGAUAUUUGGUCACAGUGUAGCUCGCUGAUAUAUGCUUAUCACAGAGGAAUUUUUGUUUUUUUGGCUCUUUAUUGCACACUACAUCUCGUGCCUCAAAUGUCAGUUUAGCUGUCAAUAGUUCCCAUAUUUUUCAUUAAUCCUCUCCCUGCAGAACCAUUUAGCUGUAUAGGACAUGGCAUUUCUAAAUUAUUUGUUUAUGGAAUGAGGAAUUUUUUCUUACAGUACUGCGUGUGGGGGAUUGCAAAUCGAUCUGACUUUGACAAUACCCCUGCUUGGCUGCACAGAACUUUGCUUUAGAUUGUUUUCUUGAAUUCAAGUAUUGCGCUUGCUGGCUUUUCUAAAGUGAUUUACUAUCCAUGAUGUAUAGGAAAUUUUCGUCUGAUCUCUCUAUCUAAUUAAAUUGUAGUGGAAAAAUUUAAGUGCAAAUCAUCUUUUCAACUAUGAUACCAUCUGCAGAAAAAAUGCAGCGCGUUUGACGCAGUCCAUCUCCAUCUCCAUUGACAUUGUUCAAUGCUCUGUUUUCCCGCUUGAUAUAAUGGUGUUCAAUGCUCUGUUUUUCCGCUUGAUAUAAUGGUGUGUUUUUAAUGCCUGUUACUUCUAUGCAUUAAAUUGAGAUAAUCAUUUACGCUUUCAAUCAAACCAUGAACAUAUUCUUUACAUUAUCAUUUAUUGCAGAUAAUUUAUUUGUCUGGUGCUUCCAGUUCCAGUGUUAUAAACAGCUAGUACUCAGUUAAAUAACACCUAAUUUCAAGUGAUAUUGGUUUCCAGGUGAGAGAUGAACUGGAAGAACUUCUUGACGAUGAUGACGACAUGGCAGACCUUUAUUUGUCGAGGAAACUCACUGGAGGGUCUUCUCCUGUCAGCUGGUCUGGAGCUCCAGAUUGGUUCUUUGCCUCUCCUACAACUGGCUCAAAAUUAUCCAGAACAAGUAGGGCAAGUGCGGUAACAGCAAGAGAGGAAAAUGAUGUUGAGGAGCUUGAAAUGUUGCUGGAGGUUAGAUAAAUCCAAUCAAUGGUCUCAUUUUGCUCAUUGAGAGUCCAUAAGUAAUGCUGCUGCUUUUCUGCAGGCAUAUUUCAUGCAAAUUGAUGGCACUUUAAACAAAUUGUCAACGGUAUGCAUUGUCAUUGAUAUCCUUGUACGAGUUUGUUUGAUUAUGUUGCCUCAUAAAUUCUCCUGCAGCAAUUUAAGGAAAAUUUCUUAGAAGAUAAUUAUCUUGGUAGACUAAACUGUACUAUUCCUACAAGCUAAUUCUUUGUAUUCUCUUUCAGUUGCGCGAAUACAUUGAUGAUACUGAGGAUUACAUCAAUAUUCAGGUAAGCUUUUGGAGAAUUUGGAACCAUAUCCUCAACUAUGUGACAUGUAAUUUAAACUAUUUUUCUCUCACAGAACAUCAUUAGACUAUGUAGUAGUAACUAGUGACAUUUUGAUCUGUUUUUUUUGUCUUGUUACAGCUUGAUAAUCAUCGGAACCAGCUUAUACAGGUAGGAUUCACAAGAUACACAAAGCUCCACUAGGUAUUUUGGAAAUUGACUAAUGUUGGCACCCUAUGUUAUCAAACAAAUGAAUCUCCAUUGCACGAAAAAUUCAUGCUCAUUGCUAAUUUCUACUAAAUUUGAACUGGCCAUAGCUAGAGCUCUUCCUCAGUUCAGGAACUCUGUGCUUGUCUGUAUAUUCUCUGGUAGCAGCGGUAUUCGGCAUGAAUAUUCCCAACGUGUGGCAUGAAGGUCAUGGUUAUGUCUUCAAAUGGGUAUGUAAAUCUCAUCCCGAUUGCCUUCCCUGCGAAAGCCUAAUCCUUAAGUCUCACACGACAUUUUGUCUGAGAGCAAGACAUGAUGGAUGGUCUGGUUUUAUUCAUGUUAACGUUCACUGGGGAAACUCUCAGGUGGUCAUUCUCGCCGGAGUUUUGUCUGGAUCCAUUUUCCUGUCAAUAAUGUCCUACGCUCGGCACAAAGGUCUGGUUGGUUCUUGAAGCCAAAUUGAUUCAUUCGGGAGGGAGGUUUCUGCAAAGCUUGAAAUGUCUUCUCAGGCUACCGAAUUUAGGAUCCAUCCGAUGCGCCAGCUCUAGGACAUCAUGUGGACGACAUCACCCUAUUAGUUUCCCACAAAUUGUACCAACCCACGCCAACAAUGUCCACGAGAUGGAUGAGAUGGAAUGGACGCAUAUCUCCCGGUCAAACUCACCAUUCCCUGCAGGUGGUUAGAAACUAGCUGCCAUUGAAAAGUCCAAAGUAGCAAUUGGGGUCAAUUCAAGUGAAGACGAGUCGUUGAUGUUGUGCCAUUGAUGCUGUGCUGCUUGUUAUACGUACAGCUACAGUAAAGGUACUCAUCUAUAUAGCUAUUUUUCCUUUUAAACUGUGGAGUUGUCCUCUGGACUGAUUUUUGGGGUAUGUAUACAUUGCUAUGCAAAAAAACAUUGAUAGUAUCCUAUGAUAUUAACCGUUUUAAUGUGAUAGUAAUUUCUCUAUUUUUAUUAAGUCCUAAGUGGAUGCAAUAAUAGUCUCGGGACAUAGAAAAACUGCUCAUUUUGCAAAGGAUCUUGUUCACUCUCUUUCUUUCUUCCUCAUUUGUCUCUGUUGCUGAGGUGAGCUAUGUAGUCUAGCUUGUAUGGCAUGGGUAUCUGUCCUUAGGCAGUCAUGUAAAAGACUAUUCUCCGAUUACUUAAAAUACUCUUCUAGUUAUAUAUUCAAUAAAAUGAUGAUACUCUUUACCUUUUCAAGCUAUGUGAAGCUGUUUUCAUUAGAUCAUUGUUUGAAAAAGUUUCUACAAAGAGCAUUUCUUGAGAAGCUUGCUUGUUGCCCAUUUCUUAGUGCCAAAGAAAGGGGAAAAGGGAGAGACAUUAGUUGAGAAAGCUUCUGCAGGGAUAUUUUUGAAUAAGCAAUCAUUUGAGAGAACACCAAGCUUGAUUCGUCAUAGAUCCUACUUAAAUUGAGAUGCUCAUAGUAAAAAGUUGGAGAGGUUUAGAAUUUGUAUUUCUCAUUUUCCUAUCAUUUCAUUGCCAGCAGUCUGUGGGGGCUCGUUCCGCUUUCUGAAGUUCUUUAAUUGUUCUCAACUUUUUCAUAAAAUAAUUGGCAGGUGCUUUUGUUGGAUGCUCCCUUCAAGGCAGUGUGGUGACAACGCGGACAAGAGAAAAUUGCCAAUUUUAUGGCAGCCCGUCUAUAAAUGCAUUGUACAUACUACUUGGUUCAUUGCCGAGGCCACCAGCUGCUGCCAUCCUUUUUAACGCACUCGCAGACAUGUAUCAGAAGCUGGAGUGGUCAUCACCAUAUUAGUGCCGUACAGCUUGGCCAAUUGUCUCCGAUACUGCCUAUGGAAGUUCUUAACUGCAAUUCUUGCCACUGUAAAGUUGUCUAUUCUUAUCAAGUGUAUAGCAUGUUCAAACUCAUUGCUUCCCUCUCUUCGCCAGGGGGUUUCGGGAGAGGAAUAUGUAAAUAGUUAUAAUUGCUGGGAUCAAUCUUUGGAAUGUACAUAUAGCUAUACAUUUCAUAUUUGGUGUUUGCUCAGGGUAUUGGGGAAGACAAGCAAAAACCACCCUUCUUUUCAAAUUACUUUGAAGAUUGCUUGGGCAUGUCCUAGAUGAUGGAGGAAAUUUUAUGUGAUUGUUCAUGAUGAACCCAGAAAAACAGGUUGCGUGGUCACGACCUGAUAUACAGCUCUUCUAUGGAUCUUGUUCGGUACUGCACCGCGCAUUAGACUCGAGUCAAUGCAGUGUAAUGGAAGUCCACCUCCCCCCCUGUUUCGAAGUAGUGCAUACAGAUCAUUGCGAUUUCUUGUUAAUUAUCUUGUUGUGCUAGAUCUAUGUUCCCAUGCAAUUUCUCGUUAGUCGUCAAAUGGUGGGGGAACCGAGUGUGAUUAGGAAGGUGGUAAUGUUAAGAAGGAUUAGGAAGUGGCUCAAUAAAUAGACCAAGACUAGGCGUCCAAGAAAUGAACCCUACAAAAAUUUAUGUCCUGACCUAACGUAUAAUCGAAGAUUGACCUGAGAAACCAAAGCGAGAAUGGAGGCAUGAGGUUGCGGAGAACCUGUGGUUUGUUGCUUGUUAAAUUCAUCUCAUUGAAGACAAUGGCAAUGAGAGAGGGAACACGGUUUGCUCCGGCAAAUUUUCCAUCUAGAAUUGAGAGCCCGAUUGUUCAGAUGGUUAAUGGCCAGAAGCCUUUUUCAUCUACAUGUCUCUGCCUGACUAACGUAGGACUGGAACAUAUUAACUAGCACCUCGUGUGGAAUCUGCACUUGUAGGUCAAGAGCAGUUUGUCAUAGCAGCAACAAAGUCGUGAUAAACAACCUGGCGAACCAUAUCAGGAAGUGUCUGCUGGUUUGAUGCUCUCACUAGUCACAGCUCGAAACUAAAAACAUUGCCAUGUACUUGGAGAUCAUGGAAUGACAAGUUUAGCCUGAUCAACUAAGGAGCCAGCAAAAGUGAAACCUCUCCAACACGGCACAUGUAAGCACUCUUAAGAUCAUAUGGAUUGAGCUUCGCAACCAACGGCCCAAAGGCCGGCCACGCACAAAGCGAAAACAAGGGAAAAUUAAAGAUUCUGAGCUUCUCGGCUUGCACAAAUUUGAAAGAAAAUGUUGUUGACACCUCAAUUUUAAUUAGGUUAAUUUUAUUUUAUUAAUUAAGUUUUUAUUUUAUUUAUUUUGUCUUUUUCGGAAUAAUAAACAAAUAACAAAAACAACAAAAAAUAAAUAAAAACAAAGGAAAAAGCAAAAGCAACAUCCCCCUUUUUUUCGCGUGGGCUCGCACGACCUGGCCCCCCCCCCCCUUUUUCUCCUUCUUCUUCCUUCUUCUUCUUCAUCGCUCCUUCCUUCUCCGCCUCUGUAGUUCACGCGCAGCAACGACGACGCGCUCGAAGACAACCUAUGGCCGAGGAGGGUAGGCCGACGUCGGCCAGAAGAGACAGAUCUCGGGCGCCAUCAUGGAUUUCCUUCAAUGCCGAGCACGCCUUGUGGAGGAGCUCGGAUGGGAUGUUGGUUCGGCCGGCGGAGGCGGUUCGGCGUGCGAAGAUUGGCGGUCGAAGCUCCAUCGACCAGCCGCCCCCUCGCCUAUAAAUAGGCUUCUCCCGACGAUGGCAAAGCACGGCGAGCUCGGAGACUUUCCCUUGAGAGACUUCAAGGGAGACUCAAAGAGCGAGCGCGUGAGAGAAAUCCGGUCGCGAACUCGAACGACCUCCCCCCGAGAGACUUCGGGGGAGGCCGACGACAAGCGAACCCGGAGAGAGAGGAACCGAAACAGAGAUCGAAAGCUUGCGAGCACCGGAAGCUUCCCUCGAGAGACUUCGAGGGAGGUCCGAACGCCCGCAAGCCCAGAUCUGUGAGCAAUCGAGGCCGGAAGAGAGGAGAGAGUUCCAGAUCCGCGAGGAGGGGCUGGAGAGAAACCAGAAGGAGCCGCCUCGAGCUGUACCGCCGUCCUCUGACACUGAUUGCUUCAGCACCUACCCGCCGUUGCCAUCCCCUUUCGUCAGAUCUGCUGCAGCGAAGCUGCUGCCUGUUGCCAGCUACUGCUUCCGCCCCCUCGACGCAGAUCCAUCCCCGUGGACUUACUCCCCCGCCGUGCCGCGUCGACCAGAGCCACGCCAGGCACCGACUGAUGCAGCUCACCGCAGCUGCCUGUCGCCGCCGUUCGCCGCGUCGCCGGUGUCGAGUCAUCACCCAGUGACGUCCCAGCCAAGCCCCACCUCGGCGCCGCAAAUCGUCGAGCUCUAGGGUUCCCAAAAUCCGGUUCUACGAAGGAGAAGCCGGGUCGGAAAGCGGGUCGGGCAUGGGUCAGCGAUCGGGUAGGGUUUCCCCCCCGAUGUGGGCUUGCGUGUGUGGGCCGGUUAAUCCCUGGAUUUUUUUUUUUAACGAAAAUGGGCCUUGGUUAGUUCAUGGGCUUGGAAAAAGAAAAAAAGGGAGAAAAAUCUGAGUCGGGCCCGCGUUGCGAGCCCGUCCGCGUGCGGGUCGCCGGCCCGGGUCGAACCCAACCCACGGAUCCGACCCGGGCCGGUUUUUAUAAUAUUUUGAAUAAAUAAAUAAUUUAUUUUCCAAAAAAAUAUAUAUAUAUAUAUUUUCUUUCGAAAAAUAUUAAAAAAUAUUUUAAAUUUUCAAAAAAAGACAAAAAUAUCCAAAAAAUAUUUUAUUUCCAAAAAUACUAAAAAAUGUUUUAAUUUCCAGGAAAUCGAAAAAUAAUGAUAAAAAUAUUUUAUUUUCCAAAAAAUCAAAAAAAAUAUUUCAUAUUUUCCACAAAAUGCCAAAAAUAAAAAAAAAGCCAAAAAUUCAUGAAAAAGCCAAAAAAUUCAUAAAAAGCCAAAAAGACUUGUAUUUUUCCCCAAAAAAAAUACCAAAAAAUCCCUUUUGUGUCCAAAAAAAUUAGAAAAUGACUUAAAAAAUGUUUGUCCUUCCAAAAUGCGUGGAAAAUCCCUCGAACAUCCAAAAAGCCUCAAGGUUUAAACAAGAUUAGGUACCGAAAGGGCAUUAGUGAUUAAUUAGUGUAAUCAAGUCCCCGAUCCUAAUUUCUCUGGUUGCGCAGGAGCGAGUAUUUCUCCCGAUACUUCGCUUGGGUUUCUAAUCAACCUACCCCAAAUUGAUUAGUGGCGACUCCAUUUUAAAAAUCAACUUGCAGGUUAAAAACUUAGACUAUUAAAGUCGUGAAUUGGUGGACUUGGGAGAGUCCGGGCAUAAUUAAAUUCAGCCGAGCCAUUAGCCUCCUUUAGGCGCUCGCCCCUGAUGUGGGCGCCGAAAAAAAAAGAGGUCGCGACAGCUUGGCGACUCCGCUGGGGACAUUUGAAGACUUAGGCCAUUUUAUCUUUGUUUAAAUGUCUUGCUGAUUUGGUUUUUUUCUUUUGUGCAGGGUAAUAGCUUAAAGUUUUAUUCUGUUAAAAUAAAAUGUUUUGUGAUUAUAAAUUGCCGUGUAUCCUUAAAUGUUUUAGCACUACACAUGACACACACAACCCGGCCGCCGGACCUGGGCCGCCAUAGGAUUUCUAAGAUGGUGUUAAGAAAGAUACGACCUCGAACGCGAGACUGCGAUGUAGAGGUUGCCUUUCUUUUCCCCGAAUUUCUUAGCCGAGGUUAGGAGGGUAUGCUGCUAACGCGAGACUGCGACGGGCGGAUAUCCUUUUAAUCUCAACAAUCCUUCUCAGUUAGAAAUCGAGCUACACGUCUCACGCGCAUGUCUUUGUGCUUGCCAUUUUUCUUUAAAAAGCAAAAGUAAUUUCUUUACUGUUACUCAGUCUUUUUAUUUGGCCCAUGGCAAUUUAGGAUAAGCUUUUCAAGUCCCAGUUUAUAUGCGAUGGGGAAAGACGAUAUCCAGUUCAUUCCUACUCCCAAGGCGGAGCUUUUCAGAUGGUGGGGUCAGUUAGAUCAGUUUGCCCAAGAGCGCGUGAAGGCCAAAGUCGGUCAUCUCCUAUCGUUGAUUCAAAUCACUGUUCGUCCUGAAGUCAUACAAGCCAUGGCACAUUUUUGGUGCCCGAAGACAAUUACUUUUAUAUUCGGUAGGUUUGAGCUAACCCCAACCCUGGAAGAAUACAGCAUCAUCACUGGAAUGCCUCUCGAGAAAAAGCUUGUCAGGCCAUCGACAGGCGCCCUCCCAUGGCGUGGGUUAGCACGACUUUUAGGAACUGAAAUCCAUGUCAUGAGGCAAAUUCUUGAAGACAACCAUAAUACCUGCCCACUAGAAUUUAUGAAUGCCUGUUUCCAAAAUCAGCCUAUGACCCAGAAAAUUGAGAUUUUCCUCCUGGCCUUUUUCGGGCUCAUCAUCUUCCCCCAUCAAAGAAAUGCCAUAACUCCCAAGAUGGCAUGGAUAGUUGAUCAGAUCUUAAGAGGGGGGAAUUAUGUCAACAUGAUUUUAACUGAAACAUUCUUGUCCUUUAAUCGUUUAAAGACAACUCGGAGAAAAUCAUGCGAGCCUCUCCUGAAAUUUUACAAGUCUGGUUCUUUUCUCACCUAAGCGAAUUUCGAGACUUCAUGCGAUCGUCUGAAACAAAUGCUUUUGAAAAUCCAUUACAAAAAUUUAUGGUUUUAGGACCGUAUAUUCCCAAUCAAAGUUGUUUAAAUUGGGUAAGCUUCCUAAGAGACCCAGCUCCUGAGGCAUUCCAAUGGUGUGCUGGUUGGUUCCAUGAAAAGAGGGCUUGCUUUGCUUACAUACGCACCUGCCCAAUUCCGUUGCUCGGCCUCACCGGCGCCAUUCCCUAUUACCCGUAUCGGGUAGCACGACAAUAUGGAGCCCUUCAGGAGAUUCCACCACCUUUCAAGAUGAUGAUCCCUCCAGUUCUUUUCAACACAAACCGUGACUAUGCAUUCGAAAUUGCUACCGCUGAGGAAACCUGGAGCAGCUGCCAUCGCAAAAGGAUUGUGAUACCUGAAGGGCUUGAGGGAGAAGAAAAAGCCCACCACGCCUCCAUGUCCUACAUCCACAACCAUCGCAUCCCGAAAAGAUGGAAGCCAUUAGUCCCUCACUCAAUCAGCGAGAGCAGCCAACACGAGCAAGCAGAGCUCAUGGAGAGGGAUUUGGGAAUGGACUGGAUGCACACCUCAGAGCCAGUUCAAGGAAGCAGGCGUUCUCGCAAGAACAAGGCUCCCCGUCGCAUAUAAAUUGGCAAUCAUGUGCCCCUUAGUAUUAAUAGUGUGAAAGUUUUGUCCCAUUGUUUAGGGACUCUUGUUUAAUAUCUAGUAUUUCAUCCUGUCUUUUCAAUUUCAAGUUCUAGAUGUUAGGAGUUGGCAGUCUAUAAAUCCUCUUUUGAUAAAUAAGAAAGCAGUUAGACCAUUGCCAUGGGUCAAUCUUUGUUUACUGUCGUGCUCAUUCAUUGUUUUCACCACGAACAGGUAAUUAUGAAUCGCCGGCCACUAAUCGCCCGCGAAUGGCCUCAUGCAAUAGGGCCCGAUCAAAGUGAUGUACAAAAUCGUCCCAUUAACAUUGAAGACGGCGUGGGACAGAUGUCCAUUGUCCUUCAACAACUCUCGAGACAAAUGAAAUCCACUCAAGUCGAACCCAACUCUGUAGUUGCCUUAAACACCGUCAUGACACCCGCAAAUUUGCCAGAAAAUAGCCAGUACCAUAGACAGUUUGAAAGGAUCAUGAAAAAGUUAAGCCAGCUGCAGGAGCAGAAUCCCAUGGACCUGUCCAAUUACACCGGCAUUGAGAUCUCUGAAAAACUCAAAGCACCUGAAUGCGAAAGGUAUGCUGAUACCUCCCGCCCAGAGACCUACUUGCAGGCCUACUUGGUCCGAAGGAUGAUUCAAUCGUACCAAUCGAGCUUGACUGGCCCUGCCUUACGAUGGUACAUUAUCAGGAAGAUUAGUCCCCUUAAAACCUGGAGGGAACUAAUUCAUGUUUUUCACCAAGAGUAUAAUCUUGACAUCACCUUGCCCUACGAAGAACUGAUGAUCGUGGAGCACGAGGAACCGUUAGUCGCUGAGAUAGGAGAAGAGCAUGUCAAUGAAGCCUUGCAUGAUAAAUGGGCAGCUGAACAACACCUUGUUACUGGAAGAUUUCCCACUAGGAAAGGCAAGGAGCCUUUGUACGAGAUCAAAGACACAGAGCCUGUUCAAGACCGGGGCACGACUGGACAACUCCCCAAGCUUACUUCAAGAGCUAGGGUCCAAAGAAUACCAACCCCUAUCAACCUGGGAAGUGAAUCAGAUAGUGAAACUCCAAUGUCUCUCACUUCCUUUGACAGAAUCGAGCUGGCAAAACGAAGGGCCUUACUCAAAAGAUCUGGACCAGGGGCCAAGAAAAGAAAGCCUAAGCAGAUCAAUGCAGCAUCUGCCGACGAGCCACCGCACCAAAGCUUCGAGCAUUCCCAAGAAUACAACUUUGAAGGCUACCAUCCCCAAGAGUACAACCCUGAAGACUUCCCGGCCCUAGAAUACAAUCCCAAGGACUUCCAGCGUUAUUUCGACAAUGAAACUGACGAUUCAUCGUAUAACUGUUUCCUACUCUCACCCGGAGAUGAAGGCCCGUCAGAAGAGGAAGCAUACGUCUUUAUCCGCUACGAUCCUAACGAAGUACUAAGCUCGUCCUUUGACCAUGAGGAUAGCUUCAAUACUUCAUCCUCAUUCGGAAAUUUUGACCCAGAAGAAAGCAAUGGGGUAAUCUCGGUAGAGUCCAGCUUCCCUGAAACAGAAAAAUUCACCACUACAAUGAAUAUGCAGUGGGAAAACCAGUGGUCUAGCCAAGACAUACCAGGCUCGUCUUGCCCACGUAGGAUCAUGACCCCCAUAGAAAUGUGGAUACCCAAUCUCCGCAAGUAUAACGGCAUGACUUGCCCCGUGGCCCACUUGCAGUACCUCCAUGCUGAAAUGAGUCGAUACUAUGGCCCGAUGUCAUUCACAACUCAGGCUUUCCAAGAAAGUCUUACGGGGUCUGCAUUACAAUGGUUCAUCACAGCAGAUAUCUACCUCAUGAGAGAUUGGAAUGAGCUGUCUUCUGCAUUCCUGCUUCAGUAUCAAAGCCAGAUUGGGACUGAAGUGCCUUGUCAGAACUUGGUUCAUUUUAGAAGAAGACCAAUGGAGGAUUUUCAAGCAUAUGCAAAGAGGUGGGAAGCUUUCAUGAUGCAAAUCUACCCUCAACUGGCUGAAGAAGAAAUGAUAAAGUUGUUCAUAGGGACUUUGCCUCGCGAGCAUCGUUGUUGGUUGCAUGGGUUGUACUUCCAUAGCCUCAAUGAAGUGGUCCUUUCAUGUGAAUACUUCGAGUCUACUGGAGGCGAAGAAUUCAAAGACGCUUAGCUUCAAGACCAGCACUAUCAAAGCGCUCCUUUACACAGGGGUUUUCAUGAUUUUUACUUGUUUUUAUAAUUUCAUGUUUCUCAUCUUGUCUAGUGUGCUACUGUUGUAUUUUCCAUUCCAAGUACUCUAUUGUACAGUUCUAAUAUUUUGUUUUAAGAGCAUGAGGCGGUACUCCAAACCAGCCCAGUGAUGUUAUCCAACCAUGAAAAGAAAAUAUCAUCCAAGGAAAAUACUGAGGGCUGGGCUUCCUCAUGCUUUUUCUCCCCCAAAGACGUAUUUUGAAAAUAAAAAAUAUUUCAUUAUCUAAAAGCUUUUGUCAAAACAAGAUGAUAAAUUUAAGCACGUUUGUCUUUCUAGCCCUCUCGCUUUAUGUUUCUGAACAUCAUCCCCUUUGAUUUAGUGUGACAAAAGGUAUUUGAAACUAGCACAUUGUGUGAACAGACCAAACUCGAGAACACAUUUUCAAGAAAGCAGGGGCAAACAGAAAGGAGCAUCCCGUUUCCAAAAAGGGGUAAGUCUUAUUCCCUUAACAUAAUAGUGAGAAUGACAACCCCUCUCUUCUAUUUACAGGAAACGAAAAUAUGACGUAAUAGGUACAGGCAUACGGUUAAAAUCAAGCCGUCCCUAGGAGCUCUGUACACUCCACCUUGCUCCUGCCCAACUCUUUCACAAGCCAGAGCAAUAUCCUUUCCCCACAAUGUGCCUAAGCAACCAGAUGUUGUGGUUUCAUCAGCGGGACUGCCAGCUUCGACAAGCCCAGAAGCACAAGGAAGGGAUCUCUUCUCUUUCUUUGAAUUGGCUACUGUCAACAGGGAAGAAAUCCAGACAGUUGAAGUGGUCUCUAGCCCCUAUUCAAAAUGAGGACCUAGAAACCUGACUUCCUAUUCAGACGCAUGCUCUCGCAAGAAGUAAUUCCCAUCAGAGAAUUGGAGGUUUUGAUUGUCCAUCUCAGAUUCCAUAGAAGCUUGAGGUACAUGACUUUUGCCCAAUGAUGCUAUAGUUAAAGACAGAAGGAGAAAUUCCACAGAAGGAAGGCGUUGAAGAUGAAUCAACGACCAGCAAUCAUGCAUAUAUGGUCACAAGUGAGGAAGGCCAAUCGAAAGAAAUGCCAAAUUAUGCCAAGACGAAAAGGCUGUCAUCGACAUUCAAACAUCAUCAGGAGUCAGCAAAUACAAACUUUGGAGAAGAGUAAUUUGGUAUCGUUUCCAAUACUCCCCCUACUUGAACUCACAUUUGACAUAUUUUCUCCUAUUGACAGGAAGCAUCGGGAUUCAAGAACCAAGCUUAAUGGUUAAUUUAUGCCAAUCAAGUGACUCGUAUUUAAUUCACCUAACUUCAUGAAAAAGGAUGUGUUGUCUAGGAGCCGGUUUGGUUAAAUGAAAAAAGAAUCGUCCUACGGACACCGUCGGCGCCUCUAGCCGAGUGGUAUCCGGGAAGAAGCAAAAUGGUCCGAAGUCGGGGGUUCGAAUCCCCGACGCGGCAGUUAGCCGCUUGGUAAAAAAAUAAUAAAAAAAUUUUUGCUUAUCUUGCGCCUGCAAAUUACGAGAGAAUAAUUGACCUAACGAAACAAGGGACAUAGGACUUCGUGUCCCCCUUCUCACUUCAGGUUCACCCAAUCAUAUGCAAGCCAGUGAAGGGUAAAGUUGUAUCGAUUCCAGUUAUUCGACUCUUGAAAGAGUUCAUGACUAACACAUUCCCUCUUGUUUGUUGCAGGAUCACCUGACUGUCAAAAGCAAGGAUAAUGAAUCAAUGAGAAGCAUGUCUUGUUUGUUGCAGGAUUACUUGAUUGUCAAAAACAAAGAUAACAAAUCAAAGAGAGGCAUGAAACUCUCCCAAGCAAAAUGGCGUCUCAAGUAUUGCCAAAGCAAAUGACAGAAAAUCUUCAGGCCUCAACUCACAUUUGAUUUUGGCCAGACUAAUUGAGCUACUUAUACAUCUUCUCUUUCUGCAGGGGCAAAAGCAGAGAUGCCUGAUCAAAUUCUCAAUCCUUGGCUGAUCCUUCAUGUGUCAUAUCCCUAAUCAAUAGGGAUGACUAUCGACACCCAUUUGCGAAUAACCCUUUUGAUGUUCAAAAUUUAACAUAUUUGGAAACACCAUCAUGUUAAAGUUGUCAACAGGGUCUUUUUUGAGUCAAAACCAUUCACUUGUUUUGAAAAGUUCAAACUCCAUCAUAUUCAAAAUAUUGCAUGUCAUUUCCAGAUGAAUUCUGCAUGAUGAUUUUGUCUGUCUAAGUCACUGAUUCCACUAAGGAUUAUUAGAAUAGACAGCUAAGUGAAGAAUACAAGAUUGAUCGAGCAUGCUGGAUGAGGCACGUCAGGAUGAUGAAAGGCAAACCAUAUCCUACACACAAUCCCCCAUCUAUACACUUGUGAGAUGAGUGCAGAAGAUUCCAUGACUGUAGGGUAAAGAGUUCUCUCGCGAAUGGUACGAUAACCAAAACAGUGAGAGGCAUUUCAUUGCUCACCCCAUUGAGCCCCAUACACUGAUGAAAUUUCUAUCCUAUCCCUGUCAAGAACCACCCCACACUGGGGCAGAUCGGAGGCGAAGCAGCAUCACAAGGUGAGAAGAGAGAUAGAAAUUUUCUUGCUCGCACUUGCAUCAAUCUUCGGGUGUCCUUAUUGCAUAUGAACACUCACGUUAAUUUAAGUGCCCUAGAAUGACGAAGAGCAAUUCUUUCGCUAUGCACUUGUAUUCAUUGUACAACCCAAUUGAGUCUGUAAUUUCACCCUUACAUGAAGGCAAAAUAGAAGUUACUGCCAUAGCCCAGAGCGCCUAUUGAAGAUGAAGACUCAAGAGUCUAAUAAUGGUGCUUCGAUUGAACUUGCCUAGGCCGGUUCCUCUAAUGACAAAAAUGAAAAAAAAAACAUGGGCAUAAAAAAGCAGUGUACCUGGUAAAAGCAAGGUCAAUGCCCAUAAAUGAAGAACUGGAAUAAAAAAAGGGGCAUGAAAAAGCAGUGUGCCUGGUAAAAGCAAGGCCAAUGCCCCCUAGUCAAAAAUGCAGCCAAGAAAAUGUUGCUGUUGUGGUCCAUAGAACCUCCAUUUGACAGUGAGAAGAAAGACUGGUGACAAAUGCCAAGGCAAUCACCAGCUCUUACCCUUUUACACAUGAAUCAAGCCUACAUUGCAUCCCAUUGUAAAAGUCUCUUCAGACUAGGGGCACUUCAAUUAACGUAGGAUUUCAUAUGUCUAUAAGCAUCGCUCGAAGAAGUACGAGCAAGACUAUUCUAUCUCUUUUCGCAGGACUCUUGACUUGCAAACCUGGAGAUGAUCGUGCGGCACUUCGUUCAUGAGCCUUGACCUCGACGGUCCCAUUUGAUGAGCUAUUCUUCAUCAUAAUUUCAACAAAGACCUCUCACAUUGGUAAAGUCGUACCACUUGCGAGAAUACUCAGACCCCUGCUGACAUGAUGACAGUGAGAAGUGUGGUCCUUAUAAAUCCUGCAUCAAUGGUCAGGAUAGCCUUUUCCAUGAGAGUGAGUGAAAAGUUCUUUCAGACUGAAAGUCCCUCAUCUGGCAUGCUCAAGACAUCUACAUUCUAAAUGAAGGUUGUCUUUCAAAAUCUUCUCCAGUGAAACUCAGAUGAUACAAAACUGACAAAAUUGUCAUGCAUGAAUCGCAUUUAAACUCAUGAAUUUACAGCAUAUGCAAUCAUGUGUGCUUAUUGUGCAAAUAGCAGACAUACUCUCAGAGAUCAGAGAUAUUGCCAGGUAAGCAUAUCUCUAUCCCUAUUUGUCUUAAAGUACCUAUCACUGUCCAGGUACUCUCUUCUUGACACUCGACCUAUUCGAGUCGUCCCUUGAGUUUGGGUGCUUGCAAUUGUCUCAGUAUCCCAUGGUCUUUGAGUACCCACCACUUGCCGGGUACUCCCUCUUAACGACACUCGACCUGUUCAAGUUGUCUCCAGAGUAUUGAUACUUGUGCCUGACCAAGUAUCCCUUUAUCGUUGAAUACCUACUGCUGUCUAGGUAUCCCCACUGUCUUUGAGUACCGGCCACCGUUCGGAUACUCCCUUUUCCUGACACUCGACCUAUUCGAGUUGUCCCCAGAGUAUUGAUACUUGUGCCUGACCAAGUAUCCCUUUAUCAUUGAAUACCUACCACUGUCUAGGUACUCUCCUAUUGACACUCGACCUAUUCGAAUUGUCUUUUGAGUUUCGAUGCUUGCAACUGUCUUAGCAUCCCAUUGUCUUUGAGUACCGGCCACCGUUCGGAUACUCCCUCUUUCUGACACUCGGCCUGUUCGAAUUGUCCCCAGAGUAUUGAUACUUGUGACUGACCAAAGUAUCCCACUACUUUUGAGUGCCUUUCAUUGUCUAGGUACUCUGUUUCCGUGACACUUAACCUGCCUGAGUUGUCCCCAAAUAAUAUAGCAGCUGUUCAAGCAUUCCACUGCUUUAUGUGCCUGCGCCUACCCAGGUAUGCUUUCUUACACUUGGACCUGCUGAGUGGUCCCAGAUCAUGUCAUUAAAUACUUGUGUUCAUCCAAGUAUUCCGGUACUUUGUACUCCUGCGGCUACUCAGGUGUUUCAGCCCUUUUGAGUGCCUGCGGCCAUCCAGGUAAGCCUCGCGCUACAUUCAAGUUUAUGUUGCCAGGAGGUGGGAGACCUUCACGAAUAUGCGAGGCACGCCCUCGAUAUUCCCAAUUACCAGGAGGUGAGAGACCUUCACGAAUAUGCGAGGCACGACCUCGAUAUUCCCAAUUACCAGGAGGUGAGAGACCUUCAUGAAUAUCCAAGGUACGUCCUCGAUAUUCCCACUACCAGGAGGUGAGAGACCUUCACGUAUAUGCAAGACCCAUCCUCGAUAUUUCCACACGAAUAUCUCAGGUAUGCCUUGAUUCUUCCUUCAGAGUUUGUACCUGUGAUCGUCCAGGUACCCCUUCGAUGCUUGUGAUCAUCCAGGUAUCUCCCAAGAGUUUGUGCCUGUGAUCGUCUAGGUACCCCUUCGAUACUUGUGAUCAUCCAGGUAUCUCCCAAGAGUUUGUACCUGUGAUCGUCCAGGUACCCCUUCGAUACUUGUGAUCAUCCAGGUAUCCCCCAAGAGUUUGUACCUGUGAUCGUCCAGGUACCCCUUCGAUACUUGUGAUCAUCCAAGUAUCCCCCAAGAGUUUGUACCUGUGAUCGUCCAGGUACCCCUUCGAUGCUUGUGAUCAUCCAAGUAUCCCCCAAGAGUUUGUACCUGUGAUCGUCCAGGUACCCCUUCGAUGCUUGUGAUCAUCCAAGUAUCCCCCAAGAGUUUGUACCUGUGAUCAUCCAGGUACCCCUUCGAUGCUUGUGAUCAUCCAAGUAUCUCCCAAAAGUUUGUACCUGUGAUCGUCCAGGUACCCCUUCGAUACUUGUGAUCAUCUAGGUAUCCCCCAAGAGUUUGUACCUGUGAUCGUCCAGGUACCCCUUCGAUGCUUGUGAUCAUCCAAGUAUCCCCCAAGAGUUUGUACCUGUGAUCGUCCAGGUACCCCUUCGAUGCUUGUGAUCAUCCAAGUAUCUCCAAAGAGUUUGUGCCUGUGAUCGUCCAGGUACCCCUUCGAUGCUUGUGAUCAUCCAAGUAUCCCCCAAGAGUUUGUACCUAUGAUCGUCCAGGUACCCCUUCGAUACUUGUGAUCAUCCAAGUAUCCCCCAAGAGUUUGUAUUUGUGAUCAUCCAAGUACUAUCUCCCAACAAACAGAUGCCCUGAGAAAGGUCGGCGCAUCUCCCGUCAAGGCGACCGAAGAAAGGUUCGGGUCCUAGACAAAACAACUUAUUGCUCUAACAGGCGACCGAAGAAAGGUUCGGGUCCUGGAAAAGCAAUUCCCCGUCAAGGCGACCGAAGAAAGGUUCGGGUCCUAGACAAAACAAACUUAUUGCUCUAACAGGCGACCGAAGAAAGGUUCGGGUCCUGGAAAAGCAAUUCCCCGUCAAGGCGACCGAAGAAAGGUUCGGGUCCUAGACAAAACAAACUUAUUGCUCUAACAGGUGACCGAAGAAAGGUUCGAGUCCUGGAAAAGCAAUUCCCCGUCAAGGCGACCGAAGAAAGGUUCGGGUCCUAGACAAAACCAACUUAUUGCUCGAACAGGCGACCGAAGAAAGGUUCGGGUCCUGGAAAAGCAAUUCCCCGUAAAGGCGACCGAAGAAAGGUUCGGGUCCUAGACAAACUAACUUAUUGCUCCAACAGGCAACCGAAGAAUGGUUCGGGUCCUGGAGAAGCAAUUUCCUCAUGCAACAGGUAAGAUGACAUCUUGAUACUUGCCAAACUCGGGGUUCACACCCUAUCUCACUCACUCCCGGUAAGUAACUACAGGUAUCUUCUUAUCUGUCUCAGUAUAUGUAAAGUUAUAUUGCUCUUUUUUCCGCAUAGAAUAAUAGGUCCCAAAUAAAGUAUAAUCUGCUACGCAUGCAUGGAUAAAAUUGAGAUAUCAGUCUGUCUUUGAAUGCAACCUCUGCGAGCUCACCUUCAAAGAGGGGCAGCUGUUGACACCUCAAUUUUAAUUAGGUUAAUUUUAUUUUAUUAAUUAAAUUUUUAUUUUAUUUAUUUUGUCUUUUUCGGAAUAAUAAACAAAUAACAAAAACAACAAAAAAUAAAUAAAAACAAAGGAAAAAGCAAAAGCAACAUCCCCCCCUUUUUUUCACGUGGGCUCGCACGACCUGGCCCCCCCCCCCUUUUUCUCCUUCUUCUUCCUUCUUCUUCUUCCUCGCUCCUUCCUUCUCCGCCUCUGUAGUUCACGUGCAGCAACGACGACGCGCUCGAAGACAACCUAUGGCCGAGGAGGGUAGGCCGACGUCGGCCAGAAGAGACAGAUCUCGGGCGCCAUCAUGGAUUUCCUUCAAUGCCGAGCACGCCUUGUGGAGGAGCUCGGAUGGGAUGUUGGUUCGGUCGGCGGAGGCGGUUCGGCGUGCGAAGAUCGGCGGUCGAAGCUCCAUCGACCGGCCGCCCCCUCGCCUAUAAAUAGGCUUCUCCCGAUGAUGGCAAAGCACGGCGAGCUCGGAGACUUUCCCUUGAGAGACUUCAAGGGAGACUCAAAGAGCGAGCGCGCGAGAGAAAUCCGGUCGCGAACUCGAACGACCUCCCCCCGAGAGACUUCGGGGGAGGCCGACGACAAGCGAACCUGGAGAGAGAGGAACCGAAACAGAGAUCGAAAGCUUGCGAGCACCGGAAGCUUCCCUCGAGAGACUUCGAGGGAGGUCCGAACGCCCGCAAGCCCAGAUCUGUGAGCAAUCGAGGCCGGAAGAGAGGAGAGAGUUCCAGAUCCGCGAGGAGGGGCUGGAGAGAAGAGAAACCAGAAGGAGCCGCCUCGAGCUGUACCGCCGUCCUCCGACACUGAUUGCUUCAGCACCUACCCGCCGUUGCCAUCCCCUUUCGUCAGAUCUGCUGCAGCGAAGCUGCUGCCUGUUGCCAGCUACUGCUUCCGCCCCCUCAACGCAGAUCCAUCCCCGCGGACUUACUCCCCCGCCGUGCCGCGUCGACCAAAGCCACGCCAGGCACCGACUGAUGCAGCUCACCGCAGCUGCCUGUCGCCGCCGUUCGCCGCGUCGCCGGCGUCGAGUCAUCACCCGGUGACGUCCCAGCCAAGCCCCACCUCGGCGCCGCAAAUCGUCGAGCUCUAGGGUUCCCAAAAUCCGGUUCUACGAAGGAGAAGCCGGGUCGGAAAGCGGGUCGGGCAUGGGUCAGCGAUCGGGUAGGGUUUCCCCCCCCCCCCCCCCGAUGUGGGCCUGCGCGUGUGGGCCGGUUAAUCCCUGGAUUUUUUUUUUUAACGAAAAUGGGCCUUGGUUAGUUCAUGGGCUUGGAAAAAGAAAAAAAGGGAGAAAAAUCUGUGUCGGGCCCGCGUUGCGAGCCCGUCCGCGUGCGGGUCGCCGGCCCGGGUCGAACCCAACCCACGGAUCCGACCCGGGCCGGUUUUUAUAAUAUUUUGAAUAAAUAAAUAAUUUAUUUUCCAAAAAAAACAAAAAUAUAUAUUUUCUUUUCGAAAAAUAUUAAAAAAUAUUUUAAAUUUUCAAAAAAAGACAAAAAUAUCCAAAAAAUAUUUUAUUUUCCAAAAAUACUAAAAAAUGUUUUAAUUUCCAGGAAAUCGAAAAAUAAUGAUAAAAAUAUUUUAUUUUCCAAAAAAUCAAAAAAAAUAUUUCAUAUUUUCCACAAAAUGCCAAAAAUAAAAAAAAAGCCAAAAAUUCAUGAAAAAGCCAAAAAAUUCAUAAAAAGCCAAAAAGACUUGUAUUUUUCCAAAAAAAAAAUACCAAAAAAUCCCUUUUGUGUCCAAAAAAAUUAGAAAAUGACUUAAAAAAUGUUUGUCCUUCCAAAAUGCGUGGAAAAUCCCUCGAACAUCCAAAAAGCCUCAAGGUUUAAACAAGAUUAGGUACCGAAAGGGCAUUAGUGAUUAAUUAGUGUAAUCAAGUCCCCGAUCCUAAUUUCUCUGGUUGCGCAGGAGCGAGUAUUUCUCCCGAUACUUCGCUUGGGUUUCUAAUCAACCUACCCCAAAUUGAUUAGUGGCGACUCCAUUUUAAAAAUCAACUUGCAGGUUAAAAACUUAGACUAUUAAAGUCGUGAAUUGGUGGACUUGGGAGAGUCCGGGCAUAAUUAAAUCCAACCGAGCCAUUAGCCUCCUUUAGGCGCUCGCCCCUGAUGUGGGCGCCGAAAAAAAAAGAGGUCGCGACAAAUGUGGACCAAAUGAUCCUACUUCUAAGAAGCUCUAGGACAACAGCGACAUCCUCCUCGAUGGCGGGCAACACCAACACCACAACAACCCCCAUGGUGGUGGUCGUCUCCGUCGCAAUGGUCACUUAAGACCGCCGUAAUUGAGUCUCCAAUUCCAACUCCAACUCUCACUCCGGUAUUGAACCAUGAGAGUUCGCCAUCUUCGUAUUCCAUGAGUUCCGACCUCCACCAGUACAUGCUGUAGUCCUCAUCAAACAGUACAUGAGUAUUAUGCAAGAUUUAUUGCCAAGUUAAUAGGUAAGAGCAAAUAAAAGCUACAGAAAUUAGCAACAACAGGAUGGAUAAAUACCUGCAUUCCAGGUCUCAAUAUAAGAACACUCCUUCCAUAACGAUCAUGAAAACUUGCUCUGUAUACUUUUCCAGUUUCACCUUCAAUAGCAACUUCUUCCUGUUUUAGUAAGCAUCACAUUGUCAAAUGGAAGCAUUAUUCAGCGUCCCAAUAAGUACUAUUGCAUGUCUAACACAACCUGCUCAUUAGCCAUAUUGUCAACUAAAACGGUCUAAAUGAUGAUUUUGGAAACAGCAUGAGUCAAAAAAUAUAUUGGGACACUUAGUGUCCCUUGAACAAUAAACUCUCCAACACCUAAUGCUUCAUAUCACUGCAUCAUGGCAGUCUCAUAGAAGACACAAAAGUUGAGAGCCACUCAAUUAUUGUUGACUAACACCAAUCCUGCAUUCGCAUUCAUUCAGAAAAUCAGUUCUUUUCCAUACCAGGAACUUAGUCUACAAAAUAAAAUUAAUUAUCAGGUCAACACAAUAGUUAGGGUAACAAGGAUCGGAUGUCUAUUGAAGUUUAACAGGCAACAGCCAUCGGCAUAAAUUAUCUAUCACAAUACUCGCGCAGGUAUUCAUUCACCGGGACACUUAGCCAUCUUACCCAGCUGAUUUCCUCAGGCUUAAGAGUUGAUCUCCAUUUCAGUGUCUCAUCUCUUUGCUUUAUCUAUGUUCCAGUUUCAAGCUUCCAAGUAUCUCCUCAAGCAUGCAUCAUCACAAUACUUCAAACUUCGCCCAGAGAGUGGUCCCAUAGCUUUCUUAAGUCAUUCACCUACAUGCAAAUGGACUUAAAAUGUAACUGUAUUUCUCCAAUAUUCUAGGAAGGAACAUUGAUUAUCAUUCCACAACUCUAGAAAAUCAAUGCAUCAUGAGACAUUAAACACAUAUAUGAAAGGGGUACACAUCUCUGGCUCAGGGACUUUUUCUUCUUCCACAAUAAAGCAAAACACAAAUUCAGAGAAAGGGAACAGAGAUGCAGAAAGGAACUUGAAAACUCAAUGGCAACAUGGUAAUCAAACAAAAAGUCCAAAUCUCAUCCUGAGAAAUACUGUUCUUAGAUAGAGUUCCAGAAAGGAGAAACAAAUGGCACAUUCCAUGAAAUAGAAGGAUGACAGACCAGACAUUUACAAAGGAAAAUUCUCACAGAGACCAUGGAAAUGAAGCAGACAAUACGUCAAGCAUUCCGGAUGGAGUAAAAAAUCAAAUUGAUGUUUAUUAUCUAAACAAUCAUUUUGAGCACGUUGAUACACGUGGUUAAUCUGCAGAUUGCAUGAAAGCCAAAAACACUUGUUGGUUUCGACGCUUGGCCCUUAAGGUUGAUGAAAUCAAAAUCCAGGGAUACGAUAAAACGAGCCUACCUUUGCUCCCCACCCUAUUCCACAUGAAGAAAUUGUAGAAGGUGGAGACCAUGAGCCGUCUUCCCUACGAGCAACCACAAGGUCGGUACCAUCAUACCAACUUUCACAACAGUAAUAAUUGCAAGGCCUUUUUGCUUGUCGUAAAAUGGCAUCAGAAAUUGCCUUCUCAGGUUUUAGUGAAAACACCUGAGCAAUCAGAAUGCAUCAUAUAAUAAGCUUAAUAAUCACACGAGAAGUGCAAGAGAACCUAAUCAACGUACCUCCUGAGCUUCUUAGAAGCAGGAUCAUAGGCUUCACCACCAACGUUAGCCCCAUCAACCUUCGCAGCCUCGACCCAGCCGUCGGAUGACGAUCCAGGCUCCUCCUUGUCGCCGGACCCGUCAACUAUCUCCGCGGACCCAUCUCCGGGGGAGUCAACGAGCACGUCAGCGAGGAACCUAUCGCAGAACUCCUGGCUCGAAUCAGCCCUAAUCCCGCCACCGGCAACUCUACCGUCCUCGUUGUCCUUCAUCAGGAUGUUCUCGAUGAACCACGAGAGCCCCGAGCCUGGAGACGAUGACAACGCGUUCGUCGAGGAGCAAGCGCCGAUGACGUCGCUGGCCUCAGGGAGGUCGCCGAAGAAGCCGUCGAGCAUAUGCAACUCCAGAUCCAUCAUCAGAACACUAGGGGAAAAAACCAACAAAACAAAAAAGGGGGGAAAAGAAGAUGAAGGCGACGAUGGGAGAUCUCUACAAAAACAUCUUAUUUGCUCGCGGUGGUUCGCCGGUCGGAAAGAGGGAGGGCAGAGAGAGAGGGAGGUCGCGGUCCUCUCGCCAGUCUCGUGUAGUGGUUCCUCGAUUGCUCGCGGUCCUCUCGCCGGUCCCGUGUGGUGGUUCGUCGGUCGGACAGAGGGAGGGCAGAGAGAGAGAGGGAAGGAGGUCGCGGUCCUCUCGCCGGUCCCGUGCGGUGGUUCGCCGGUCGGAAAGAGGGAGGGAGCUAGGUCUCGCGGUCCUCUCGCCGGUCCGGUGCGGUGGUUCGUCGGUUGCCGGUCGGAAAGAGGGAGGGCGCAGAGAAGCCUCUUCUUCUCCUUCCUCUCGCCCUCCCCCACGAAGUCUCGUAACCACACGGAUUUCGGCUGCGGCUGCAACUGCUGCUGCUGCGCGGCGUAAUUCUCCUUGUCCCCGCUGAGCGUGCCGCCCGCGGUGUCGUGAAACGCCUCGCCGUUCCUCAACGACAGCGGCGGAGGGUUCACCGCCCUCCUCGGCCUCAGAUUCCACGGCCGCCGCGCCGCUUUGGCCUCCUCCGCCUUCCCGUCCUCGCUCACAACGCCGCCGCCUCCUCCGCCGGCCGCACGGCUCAGGCGCUGCCCCUCCGGAGGCGGGGGCUGCUCGUGGGGUGGGGUUGGGAUGCGCUGAGAAAAGGAAACAGAGAGGAGGUGCAGCUCGUUCUCUGCUCUUCACGAGGAGAGAGAGAGACGAAACCCAAAAUAUUCAAGUGAGGAGAGAAAUUUUAAGCGGGAGUCGUCCUUUCUUCUGCCAGCCGAGCUGAGCCGAGCCACCAGCCCAGAGUUAUUUCGGAGAGAGGAGAGAGACAGAAGCGCAGAAGAUGGAGAGACGCGAGAGGAGAGAGACUGAGUUAUUUUCUCCUCUGACGUCCUCGCCUACGUGGCGCCACGUGUCGAUCACUGAGUGGUUUUACCCACCGCCUACGUGGAGGGUAAAACCCACCCAAUAUUUUCUCGCAUUUUGGAGGCGGUAGGGCCCAAAAGGCAAUAUUAGUAUAAAGAAAUGGUGGAGGGGGUCCACUUAUUUCAAUCGAAAAUUGCAUGGCCAGUUGCGGGCCGGGGAUUUUGCUCUUCCGUCCAACAGCACCUUUGACCAUCUCUUCAACAGCUACUUUGAAAAUUGCAAUUCUGAAAAAAAAUAUUCAAAGCUUGCUGAAGGAUUCGGUUUCCGACUUCUUGAUAUUUUACAAGCGUGGUCAUAAACUGCCAAUACUCUGAAGAAUUUUGCCAACAUACGAAUGGAUUAAUAAAUUACCAACUUUUUAUCAAUAUUGUAAGGGAUUUAGUAAUAUCCAAAUAAAUUAGAUUUAUCAAUGUCAAAAUAAAUUAGAAAAUUAUUUAUUUUUUUUUUUAAAUUAGACAUGGUUCAUAAGUUUUUAGCGAUGUUAUUAAUUUACUUAUGUCAGAUUAAUUUGUAAGUAACCUCUUAGCCUAGUUAGUUAGGAUCCUUUGAUUCCACCUUCAAAUGCAUGUACUCAAUUCGGGCUUACUCGACUUCAAGGGAGGCUUUCCUCCUGGCGCCCCAUGAGGAUCUAUUAAUUUCUUUCAUUGAUCGAUAUACUUCAAUUUUUGUCCAUGAGGAUCUGUUAAUUUCUUUACUUGAUCGAUAUACUUCAAUUUUUUUCCUAAAUAAUCUAUUUUUCAGUAUAGAAUUUGCAUAUCAUGGAUAUACAUGUAAUUUGUACCUUUUUAACUAGAAUUUUUUCUAUAUUCACAAUCAAUACAAAACAACCUCUAUUGUGACACUGCAAUAUUUAUACAUAUAUGCUGACUAUCCAAUUAUGUUAGGUUAUUUAAAUUUCAGAGUACAUGAGUAAGUAUAUUUCAUAUACCAUUGAUUAAAAUUAUUUUUGUUUUGGGUGACUUACCGAAUUAGGAGGGUUGCUUUUUUAAGAAUAUUGGCUGCUGUUAGUCGUAAAACAAUUUGUACGAAUUUGGGACUAAAUAUAUAAUUGCGUAUGGUCAUGCACACAUUAACGUGACACUUUCAAGCUUUUUCAGCAAUUCCUUUUUAAUUUCUAUUUUACUAGGUAUCAUAUACCUGAAUAAAAAGAUAUUCUUUACUUGAAUAAUUUUAGCAUUCAGUUAUGAAGUCGCCCUACCAAUUCAAUUAUAUAUGUAAUUCAAAACCUGCACAUCGUCACAGGAUUAAUAGAUAUAUGUCUAUUUAAUAUCAAUAAGGUGUCUAGAACUCUCUGAGCAUCCAACUAAUCUCUAUUUGGUGUGAUGGUCCCUCCAUCUCACACACGUCAGGUAAUCACCGGAGACUUACAAAAGUGUGCUUAUGGGAGUGGCCACAAGAGAAUGUCCAAGUAUAGUGAUUUGAUCACAAGCUUUGACAAGAAAGAUAAACACACUUGCCACCUAUGAAGCACGGACACGUUGCCCGUGCUUCCAUGUCGUGUCCAACACUUGUCUGAGCGUGUCGGACACGUCAACACGCUAGGACACGGUCGGACACGCAGUCAACGCAUGUCGGAUUUUCCGACACGCGGUCAACGUUUCUCGACACAUUUUGACACGCAUGUCUGGAAGACGAUGGAUGGUAGAGGCAAGGGAGGGCGAGGGAGCAGAGAUGAGGCCGCGAGCGACGGUGAGAGAUGGCAAGAGAAAGAGCCAAACAAAGAGAAAGAAGAGAGAGAAAGCAAACUCCCUUAGAGUCAUAAUCAAAACAUCACAGCGUCAUGGCCUAGUGCGGUUGCAAAGAAAACUGAUCUCGGGCCUAUUUGGCUCGCGGUUUACUGACCAAAUCUACGAGAACCUUCAUAGAUAUUUUGAUGCGUAUUCAUAGAUCAUAUUCAUUCUCAGGUGUAAUUCCACUCCGAGGGCAGGUAUUUCUUUUAGGGAAUGAGCUUGACUAAAGUAGGGGCAAAUCUUUUUCAUUAGGGGCCUUAUUAGUGAUUCCCUCUUUUUGGUCCCCGGCCGACUAUUCUCUCCAUCGGUGAUAACAUAAUUCGACGUUGAGUUUUGUCAUCUGCUGUCACGGUUGCACCUCAUGGAGAAAUUUACUAGUUUCUUCUUGCUAUUCAUAAUGACUAUUUGACAUAUCGAUACAAGAGCAUAUUUAUUUUUCUAUAUGUCAUAUGUAGGUUAGGCUAGACGUUCGUCAAUAUGUACGUGUGAAUUGUAUUAAAAAAGUCUCACACCGGAUAAUUGAUGUGGUGUGAUUAGUUAAUUUAUCCGAGUUAAUCUAUAACUUAUUGGCUUAAAUUUUUUAGCUCAAAGUAGAUAUGUUGAUAGGUUCAAAUUUGGACUCUCUCUUGGCGACCACCCUGAACUCCCAAUGUGUGGUGUUUGGUAAAUAUCUCAAGGAACUCAAUGUGCAUCAAUAUUUGGUAAGUAUCUUAAGAAAGAAAUCUCGUGAUCAGUGGUUUUCGAGCAGCCUAGUGUUGUGGUGCAGCAUUGCAUUCUCGAUGGCAGUUCGAGAUGAAGGUUGGCAUUGUUGUAGUUGUUGUGACCUCACACGCAACAAAGUGGAGAUUCACAUGUGAAUUAAUGUAGAACAUACCUAAUAUUGAACUCACACCUGAAUGAGUGGGAGAUUGUUGAGUUGCACAUUUGCAUUGUAUUAAAAAAGUCUUACAUCAGAGAAUUGAUAUAGUAGCUAAUAUAUCAUAGUUAACCUAAAACUAGAUAUAUUAAAUGGCUCAAACUUAGACUCUCUUUGGCAAUGUCCUCAAGUGAAGCUAUCAAGCGUCCAACAGUUUUUGAGGUCAGUAGCUUUUUCCAAUGGCAUGCUUGAAAGGCAAUCGGAAGGUUUGAAGGCAAUGGUGCGGCUACAUUGUGCCUCUUAAUAGACUUUGUGAAGGUAUCAAAGUACAAUAGACAAUCAAGGACAGUUGCCUCGUAGAAGGAAGGAAAAAUAAUACAAAUAAUUCAUGAACUUUGGUCCAAUAUACAAUGUCAUCUUUAAUUUGUUUAACUUGGUUCAUGAACUAUUGGUAAAUGUUCAGUGUUAUCUUUGAACUUCUAAUUUAUUCAAUGUGACCUUUAAACCAUUGGUAAAUAUUUAAUAUAGUCAUUCUGUUUGUUCAAACAACAAUAUGAUGACAUGGAUUAUUAUAUUAUAUGCUGAGUUGGAUUUUUAAAAUUAAUGAGUCAAUAUAUCCGUCUUUUAUCCGUCUACUUUAAAAAAGGAAACAAACAAAUUAGGGACUUCAAAUAUCCCACGUGCAAAUUUCUUUUCCUAAUUUGAGAUAAAUAUUUUACGUGGAUAAUCCAUAUAUAAUUUGUCUACCAUUCAUAUUUAAUGGAAUGGAAGUCACGUAUUCCAUUAACUUGAAUUAACGAAAAGAUGACAUUAAAUAAUUUGAUAUAGUUAGGGAAUUAGAUUGAACAUUUAUUAGUAACUCAAAGUUCAGGACUACAUUGAACAUUUACAAAAGUUUAGACAUUAUAUUUAACAAAUUAAAAGUUCAUAAGUAACAUUGCAUAUUGAAUCAAAUUUUAAGGACCAUUUUUGCUUCAUUUUUCCUUAUAAGGAAAGUGAAAGUAGGAACGUCCUCUUUGGUUUCUUUGCAUCUUGCAAGGUGCUUCUCCUCCGUGAACCACCACUUGCAUGCACGACUGACGUACCACGCGUUUUCCAGUUGUCUUGUAGAUGUUUCAAACAUAUUUACCUUAUUAUUUGAAGAAGAAUAUCAUGUCAUAAUGAACAUAGUACAAGACACUAUAUAAUUUUUUUCAUUAAAUCUUUACUUAUCAAAGGCCGGCGAGUUAUUUCUCGAUCGAUGGGAGAAAUGGGCCAAAAAAUUGGGAAAAUCCAGUUGAAUAGAACCCGGUAUGUGUUGAUCAAAUAUUGAUCCAUUUGAAAUGACAUGGGUCGAAGUCCCAUAGAAUGUGGUGGAAGACUAAACAAGGAGUCGUAAAGGGAAGGUGGUGGGGGAAAGAGAGAGAGAGAGAGAGAGAGAGAGAGAGAGAGAGAGAGAGAGAGAGAGAGAUUUCUUUAGUGCAAGAUGAUUCUUUCAUAAUUUUUCUUUAGUGCAAGAUGAUUCUUUCAUAUUUUUAUUUUUCUUUAUUUAAAGGUUCCAAAGUGAAGAAAGGAUACGAUGGUUGAAGGAUUUUUUUUCUCGUCUUUCAGUUCAAAUACUUGGCUUCCAUGAUAGAGGAUUCUUUUUCCCUUCAUUUAAAGGUUCCAAAGCGAAGAAAUGAUGAGACGGUUGAGGAAUUUUUUUCUCAUCUUUCAGUUCAGAUACUUGGUUUCCACAAUAGAGGAUUCUUUUCUUCAAGCCUAGGGAUUCUUCCUCAAAUUAUUCAAAUUAUUAUUUUCUUCUUCAAAGUCAUCAUCUCCUUCCAACGCUAAAUCCAAACCCCAUGUCUCCCACCACGCUGACAUCUUAAUAAGCCACAGAUUAAACUAAUUCCUGCCGGUGAAGAUCUCUAACUCAAAUUUUCUAGAAGCCAUAGCGAUAAUUGCAUACAGACAAAAUAACCCUAGGCUUUGAUACUAGUUUUACAACUAAUGCGCAAACAAGAACAAAUGAAAAUGACUUAAGUAAAAUAUAAAUUGCAUAAAUAAAACCUGAACGCAGCGGAUUUACUUUGUCCAAUGGUAAAACCUACUUUAUGGGGAAAGUUAACAAGGUGGUUUCAUGAUAAUCGGCGAAAAAUGGAUUACGACCGCUCAAUUACACUCACUCAUAAGUGUUUCUCAAUCAUAGAGUUUCACAAGAAUCAGUCACAAGAAAUGAGUUUUCUCACACUCUCAGCUCUCUCGGAUGAUGAUUCUCAAUAGUCUCUAUGUCUCUCACAAGCUUUUAUACAUAUUAAGCACACUCAACAUGCUCAAAAGACCAACUGACCAAUAAAAUAGUUAUAUGCAAAGAAAUUAUCAGCCCGUAUUUGAUGACAACAUUGAUUUCAUCUUCAAUAAUGAAAAGAGUUAUUGUGAGAAAUUAAUGUCCCUUGUUGCAUCACCCACACUCCGAUUGGCAAGAGUCCAAUUUGGACUUCCUAAUAUGGCCUGAAUUGCUUUGCAAUUAAAUUAUGGGUCGAAUAUCAAAUCAAUCGGGAUUAACUUGGAUUCAUAAUCAACACAUAACAACGUCAUGGCUGAGUGCAUUUGAAGAGGCAAUUGAUCUCAAGCAUACUCGGCAAACUGAAUGUUAGCAAACAUCAGUUUAAGGGAGGGAUUGUUAAUAUAAUAGUUAUUUCCUUUUGCACGUGUUGUUGAUUUGGUUGUUCAGUUAUUAGAGUUAGUGGAGUCAUGUGUGUUGGUUAUCCUAGUUUUUAGGUGUUAGUGGGACAAGUGCUUUAUGGAGAACAUGGGUAGUUAUAGUUAUGGUGUGUUUUACGUUAUGUAUUUUGUCUUUUGUAAAAGACUUGGUUGUUCAGUACGUAAGAUGUUUUUUUAGUCUCAUCUCUCCUCCUUUUUAGCAAUUUAACAAAAUCUACAGGAAUAUUCGUAGAUAUUUUUAUGCUUAUUCAUGAAUCAUAUGUAUUCUUAGGGGUAGUUCCUCUGAGGCGGGUAUUUCUUUCGGUUAACGAAUUUGACUAAGAUAUAAGUAGGUGCGAAUAUUUUUCAUUAGUGGCCUUGUUAGUAAUUCCGGUUUUUUUGGUCCCUGGCCAACUAUUUUGUCAUCCGGUGACAACAUGAGUCAAUCUUGAGUUAUGUUGUCUACUGUCGCGGUUACACCUCUUGUAGAAAUCUACUUGCAAGGUGCUUUCAUUGGUCCCUUCUCUGAGAACCAUCACUUGUGUGCUCGGCCAGGGUACUGUAUGUUUUCCGUUAGUUCUUGUAGAUGUUUUAAAUACAUUUAUCCUAAUUUUAGAAGAAGAAUAUCGUGUCAUCGGGAACAAAGUAUAAGACACUGUAUGUUUCGUCACGUCAAAUUUUUACUUACCAAAGGCCAGAGUUAUUUCUCGAAGGGAGAAAUGUCAAAAAAACAAAAAACAUAAAAUAAAAUAAAAAACAAUAACAAAAGCGACAAUCCAGAAGGGUAGAACCUGCUUCAUAUUGACCCCAAAUCCGAUCUCCCCCAUUUGGCACGUCGAAGUCGUAGAAAUCACGAUGGAAGAUUAAAAGAGCAGUACAAGUGAAGAGAGAGAUUGAAAGAAGAAGAAAGGCGGCAGAGAUUUCUUUCGUGAAAGAUGAUUCUUUCAUAUCUAUAUUUUCCUGUUUCGAGGAUACUUUUUCGCUUUAUUUAAAGGUUCCAGGGAGAAGAAAUCAUGAGACGGGAGGAUUCUUUCAUUUAUUCCCUUCAUGUUGAGGAUUCUUCCUCACCUUUCAGUUCAGAUACUUGUCUUCUAUGACAGAGGAUUCUUUUCCUCCAGCAUGGGGGAUCCUUCUUCAAAUUAUUCUUUUCUUGGCCGAGGAAAAAUGAGAUGGUCUUCACGACCUUUCUUGGCCAACACCUUCGUAUAUAUUUUGGGAGUUUCACUCCAUCUCAUUCAGACAUCUGUCGCAUUUCCUAUCUCGAAUUUUCACCGUCCUUCACUGUCUUCUUCCAGCCAUUAGCGAUCUCUCUCUCUCUCUCUCUCUCUCUCUCUCGUUCAUUGUAUUCAUCCUAUUGAACCUUUCCUCUUCUUCAGUCGUUUCGUUUUCGGGAUCCAUCACUUCAGCCUUCCUCAGUAUAUAUAAAUUCUUGACUUCCAUUUCUCUCCAAAGAGGAAGGAAAGAAAAUCAGAAAGAAAUAAAAAAGCGGGAAAAUGGCGGAUAUUGUUCAGUCUAUAGCUUCCAAAGUGGCGGAAUACCUGGCGGCUCCAAUUGGUCGUCGAUGCGGCUACCUGAUAUUCUCCAACAGCUACGUUGGCCAACUGAAGGAAGAACUUGAGAAGCUGGAUGACGCGAUGGUUGGGCUGCAGCGCUCCGUCGAUGAUGCUGAAAACAACAUGAGGGAGAUAAAACGCGAAGUUAACAGAUGGAAGAAUGAUGCAGAGACUGUUGCCAACAAGGCACGCGGCAUGCUGGAUGACGAGGGAAGAGCCAAGAAAACUUGCUUCUGCGGGUGGCUUCCCAACCCAAAGGAGCGUUAUUGUCUCGGCAGGGACGCGAGGAAGACAGCCCAGGCCAUCCAGGCACUCAUCCCACAAGGUAAAUUCGAGAGGGUCUACUAUGAGAGUGAUCCACCGGGGCGUGUCGCUGGCACUCCUGAUGUGAAUUCGUCAGCUGGUGAUGGGGGUGACACUAUUGUGGACUCGCGAGCUUCCGUCUUUCAGGGCAUAAUGAAAGUUCUGGAUGAUGAGAAGCUAAGAGUGAUUGGGGUCUACGGGCCUGGCGGUGUGGGGAAGACUAAGCUAUUGGAGGAAGUCGAGAAGAACCUCAGUAAAGAGAAGGGACCGUUCCACAUGAUCGUUAAAGCAAAAGUGUCGCAGAUUCCUGUCUCGAAGAAUAUCCAAGAUGAGAUCGCUGACGCCUUGAAACUGGAUCUGAAGGACGUGCAAAGCGAAAGCGGCAGGGCAAAUCGUCUGAUGGAGAGAUUACAGCGGGAUCCAAGUGAGAAGGUUCUCAUAAUAUUGGAUGACCUAUGGGGGGAACUUGAUUUGAACGCGGUUGGAAUUCCUUCAAGAGACAUUAACGGGAAAUGCAAAUUGUUGCUCGCAUCGAGAUUUGAAGAUGUGCUGAAGAAAAAGAUGUCUGCCAAUAAAACAUUUUUUCUUGGAGGCCUAAACAACGACGAAGCUUUCGGGCUAUUUGCAAAGACGGUCGGCAACAGGCUCGAAGACGAUAAGGAUUUGAAAGCAAUAGCAGCUCAAGUGGUCAAGAAGCUUGCAGGUUUGCCUCUUUUGAUUAUCUCCAUUGCAAAAACCUUGAAAGAAAGCCCUGUGUCCGCAUGGAGAAUCGCACAGAUAGAAAUAGAUGAGUCAACUAAAGAAAUACAAGAAACGAUAGUGAAGUUGAGUUAUGGCCAUUUGACGACUGAGGACGCGAAGUGCUUAUUCUUGCUCUGCGGUCUUAUUGGCGGGACCAUUCAUGUCGAACUUCUAUGGGUAUUAGGCAUGGGGUUGGGCUUGUUUGAAAAAAUUAAUGAGACGAUACAAAAUUCAAGGGAGAGAUUGAAUAAUAUUCUGGAUAGCCUCCGUUCCAUUUGUUUGUUGCAGGAUGGAGGCGAUGAUAAGAAAAAUGUGACCAUACAUGAUCUUUACAGUGAGGUGAUCAUCUCAAAUGCAUUUAGUGAUCAGAAUUGCUUAAUUAUUAACAGCGAUUAUGGCUCAUGGCCGAGGGAAAAGCUUGAGAAAUGUUGGGCAUGCUUAGUGAAUGUUGGCAAUGGUAGGCGUGCUGAACUAAUGUUGCGUCAGUUUCCCCAUGUGAAGAUACUUAUGUUGUCGGAACAAUACGAUAUGCGAGAUUGCAGUAGAAUGGAUUUCACAUAUAUGGAGGAGCUCCGAGCCCUAUAUCUUUGCUCCAUGCAUAUCACCAGUUUACCUUCCUCGAUGGAAAUCCUCAGGAACCUCCGGUCAUUAGGUAUAAAUUGCUAUGUGGAGGAUGUGGCAAAUCUUGGCAAGCUCAAAGCACUGCGGAUUCUCAGCUUCGAUGGGUCUAUAAUUUCUAGACUGCCUAAAGAAAUCGGGAAACUAACAAAUCUGAGAUCAUUGAAUCUGAACCAUUGCUACUCGCUUAAGAUAAUCGAGCCUGGAGCCCUAAAAGGCUUAAUCGACUUGGAAGAGUUACAUAUGAAGAAAAGCUUUGAUCAGUGGAUGGGCAAGCAUGAAAUACCCUCGAAAUCGUGUCGUGUUGGGCUUGUCGAGUUGAAGAACUGGACAAAGCUAGCAUCUCUGGAAAUAUCGAUUUGUCAUCCCAUCAUACUCUUGGAGGAUGAUGACCUACCAUUUGAGAACCUGGACAAAUUUUGGAUCGACAUAGGAAAUAUUGGGUUUUGGACCGACAUACAAAGUUUUGGGUGGAGGGAAAAUGAAGGUUUGACAACCAUGCAGCUCAAUCUGGAAGGGUGCGAUAGUAUUCUUUCAAGAAAAUGGGUUAAGAAAAAUCUGCAGAAGACUCAAUGCUUAUAUUUAAGCGAGUUGAGUGAGUUCAAAGAGAGCCCUCGUGAAUUGUGCACCCAAGGAUUCCGAGAAGUGAAGUAUUUCAACAUUAAAGACAGCCCCUCAAUCAAGUACAUUGCCGGAUCAUCCAAUGGCCUCCCUCUCAUUGCUUUUGGGAAGUUAGAGUCUUUUUUCCUUGAAAAUCUUAUUAAUUUGGAGAAGAUAUGCCAUGGCCCCAUUGCGCCAGAGUGUUUCAACAAAUUGAAAGCCCUGAGGGUCAGACAAUGUGACCAAUUGAAAUACUUGUGGUGUCUUUCAGAUGUGCAAAGACUUGUACAGUUGGAAGAGAUUGAAGUGUGGAAAUGUGACUCAAUGCAAUCAAUUGUCACACACGAUGCAGGAGAAGAUAUAGUUUCUACCAAUAACAAAGUUGAGUUGCCUAAUGUACGUCAUCUAGCAUUGAAUGAGUUACCAAAUAUGACAAGCUUUUGCACCAAAGCUGAAAUCACUUUAGAGGAUAUUCCAAUCCAGGUAAUUUUCUUUCACUUUUUCCCUCUGUCAAUUUGUCCUAUUAGGAUGAGAUGAUAUUGGUGUUCACUCAACGUUAGUACAUAUUGCAUUUUAACUUUGAUUAUUCAUACAAUUUUAUUCGCGUUUUGAUUUACAAAUGAAAAAUCAUCUCAAAUAGAACACAGGUCAUAUUAUAAUUAGAGGGAAGCUGCUUUCCACAACUAAUUUUUUUUUUUUUCAACGGUAGAUAAUUGGACCGAUAACUAGGGUUUCUACUGUGACUAAUUUAUUAUUUAUUUAACAUUUUUAAUGAGUUGAAAAAAUAGUAGUGUGAUGAAUGAAUGAAAGCAAGAAUGAAUCUUGAAUGAAUAAAUAAAAUUCAAUAAUUUCAAAAUGAAGAAAGCGACGUCUAGAGAUUCAAUAAAUGGAUGGCGAGCAAGAAGCGACGUAACAAAGAAAGUCCCCAUGACUGUGCAGUUGUGCGGCACUAGCAGCAUGAUAGUGGUGAAGAUAUCAUCAUGAAAAUCAGAAGAGAAAUUCAUUGUUUUUUUUUUUUGUAUUUUAGCUCGAGAGUUUCACUUAUUUUCUCGUGAAAAUAACUUGAAUUGAACAAACUCACCUUUAAUGAGUCUCAUUGUGGUGCUUUGUUAGGUUUCUUUGCCUCACUUGGAAUCCCUGGUAAUGGUUGGAUUCAUUGCCCCAGAAAAGAUACUCUAUGGUGAACCCUUAAAAAAAAACAGCAAUAUGAAAUUGCUAAGGAUAGAAGAGUCUAAAUCCACGUCGAGUAUUCCGAAAGAUCGGAUACUCAAGCUGCCAAAUUUGGAGUCAAUGAAUAUUCAUUGUCGUAAUUCAUUAAAUAAUCGGUACGAGUGAACGAAAUUCAACAAUCUCAAAAUGAAGAAAGUGAGAUUAAAUGAAUGAAAUGCGAACCAAGAGCCACGUAACAAAGAAAGUCCACCUAAUUGAUGUUUCACCUACAUGCAAGUUGCAAUUGAUUCCAACACGUCAUGACAACCUCACCGUGUCAACAUUGUUCUGCAUCCAUCAUCCCUUUCUUCAGCUACUAAGGGGAUAUUUCCUUCUCCAUUCUUUCAGGCACGACAAAAAAUAUACAUGUUCCCCACUCUGAUCAAUUAAUUUUUGAAUAAAAUUAAGUUUUUGACAUUCUUAAGAGACAUCAAGCCCAUUCAUGCAUUCAAUAUCCAUUUGUUUCAUUGAAAAUUCAUUAUUGUUGAAAAAAGUUUUCUUGGUAAAUCGUUUUUCUAGAAAAUGAAUUGUUUUCUGUAUUUGGUUCUACCGAAAACGUAAUUUGAAAAGAUAUUUUAUGAUGUUUAUUAACGAAGCACAAAAAUUUACAAAGUGAAGACAAAAACUGUUAUGGAUCCUUAAUAGAAAAAAGCCCGAAUAAGUCAUAUUUACUUGUUCUUAAUGAAAACCAAUAAGUUAACAAAAAAUUUAUGAAAAAUUGAACUUUGAUAUGAUUUUGUUGUCAAUUUUGAAGUUCAAAAUAGAAAAAACAAAAGAAAAGAUAACCAAAUUAUGGUAGUUGUUUUGAAGAUGGGUAAAUGAUUUCAAAAGAAAAGAUAAAAAAUUAUGGUCAUAGUUUUCAAGAUCAGCUAAAGAAAAGAUAAAAAAAAAAAGAUGAUGACAGUUGAGAGAGAGAGAGAGAGAGUGUGUGUGUUGUGCGAUAGUAUUGCAUUUGCGACAUGAUAGUGGUGAGGAUAUCCUCAUGAAAAUGAUCCUUUUUCACAGGGAAUUCAUUUUUUCUGUAUAGUCAUUUUCUUGUAUCCAUGAGAAGUUUGAAAGCAAUUUCCUAAAAAUAGCUUUACUUGAAAGAAACUCACCUUUAAUGAGUUUCAUUGUGGUGCUUCAUUAGGUUUCAUUGCCUUGCUUGGAAUCCCUGGUGAUGGUUGGACUCCUUGGCCUAGAAAAGAUACUCUAUAGUGAACCUUCAUUAAAAUACAAUAAUCUGAAAUCGCUAGAGAUAGAGGAGUCUACAUCCACGUCGAUUAUUCUGAAGGAUUGGAUACUGAAGUUGCCGAAUUUGGAGUCAAUGAAAAUUGCACGCACUCCAUCUGUAGAAGUAGUUUUCGACCUAGAGGAGCUAAAAGUCAUCAAAGAAGUGGAGAUUCUCUCUCGGCUAAGUACAUUGCAAUUAUCUAAGUUACCAAACCUGCGGCACAUGUGGAAACAAAAUGUACAACUACAAGGAAUAUCGAUACUUCAUAACUUGAAGAAGCUCUUUAUCAAAAAUACAGGACUAUCAUUUCUCUUUCCGCUGUCUGUGGCUAAAUGUCUUAGAGAAAUUAGAGACAUUAAAGUGGUGAAUUGUCCAAAUAUGAAGGCGGUGAUUGUUGAUGAAGAAGGAAGAGAUGAUGGGAUAGAUGAUAUUGUAGAGUUCCCAUUAUUGGAGCGACUAUCUAUAAGCCGCUGUCCCACGGAGAAAUUCUUCUCACAUCCUCAUGGAACAAAAGAGUCAAUAACCACUACUUCAGAUUCACAAGAUACUUAUUUGGAUUCCUUCUUUGAUCAAAAGGUAUGAAUCCUUUCUUUAGAGCUUACGCCCAUAAUAGACACCCAUAAUAGUCAUAGGCACGCGAUUGGUGGGGCAAGUAUUAAUAUUUUUUUUUGAAGAUUUUUUUUAUUUGGCUUAUUAGUUAAAAUGUUUUUAUAAUUUAUAGCUACACUUGUUAGAGUAAGCCCAUUGAUGAAAAUUCUAUCCUCCACCGCAUUAGAUAGAUCGGUAUAUGAUUAGGUCAAAUUGUAAAAUUUUUCAUAGCUACCAUAUAAUGUACAACUCUUAUGAGCAGAUAAGUUUACCAAGCUUGGAGAAGUUAACACUCCACUCGCUAGGAUCCUCUUGCCGUGGCUAUGGGCUCGGCCUCGCCAUUGCUGGGCAAGGCGUAUGGCACAAUGAGCUUCCCAAAAGUUCCUCCGACAAAUUAGCCAAUCUCACCCCAAAACAAGAUUUGCAAUCACAAGGAACAUCAAUAUUUCAAAAUUUGAAGGUGCUCUCUAUCAACAAUACAGGGCUGUCAUUUCUCUUUUCGGUGUCUGUGGCUAAAUGUCUUAGAGAAAUUAGAGAGAUUGAAGUGGAGGAUUGUCCAAAUAUGAAUGCGGUGAUUGUUGAUGAAGAAGGAAGAGAUGAUGGGAUAGAUGAUAUUGUAGAGUUCCCAUUAUUGGAGCGACUAUCUAUAACCUACUGUCCCACGGAGAAAUUCUUCUCAUAUUCUCAUGGAAAAAAUGAGUCAAUAACCACCAGUUCAGAUUCACAAGAUACUUAUUCGGAUUCCUUCUUUGAUCAAAAGGUAUGAAUCCUUUCUUUAGAGCUUAUGCCCAUAAUAGUCAUAGGCACGCGAUUGGUGGGGCAAGUAUUAAUAUUUUUUUGAAGAUUUUUUUAUAUGGUUUAUUAGUUAAAAUGUUUUUUAUAAUUUAUAGCUACACUUGUUAGAGUAAGGCCAUUGGUGAAAAUUCUAUCCUCCACCGCAUUAAAUAGAUCGGUAUAAGAUUAGGCCAAAUUGUGAAAAUUUUCAUAGCUAUGAUCUGAUGUACAACUCUUAUGAGCAUAUAAGUUUACCAAGCUUGGAGAAGUUAAUACUCUACUCGCUAGGAUCCUCUCGCCGUGGCUGUGGGGCUUGGCCUUGCCAUUGCUGGGGGAGGCAUAUGGCACAGUGAGCUUCCCAAAAGUUCCUUCGACAAAUUAGUCAACCUCACCCCGAAACAAGAUUUGCGAUCACAAGGACCAUCAAUAUUUCAGAAUCUGAAGGUGCUCUCUAUCAACAAUACAAGGCUGUCAUUUCUCUUUUCGGUGUCUGUGGCUAAAUGUCUUAGAGAAAUUAGAGAGAUUGAAGUGGAGGAUUGUCCGAAUAUGAAUGCGGUGAUUGUUGAUGAAGAAGGAAGAGAUGAUGGGACAAAUGAUAUUAUAGAGUUCCCAUUAUUGGAGCGACUAUCUAUAAGCCACUGUCCCAUGGAGAAAUUCUUCUCAUAUCCUCAUGGAAAAAAUGAGUCAAUAACCACUACUUCAAAUUCACAAUAUACUUAUUCGGAUUCCUUCUUUGAUCAAAAGGUAUGAAUCAUUUAUUCAGAGCUUACGCCCAUAAUAGUCAUACGCACGCGAUUGGUGUUCAAGUAUUAAUAUUUUUUUGAAGAUUUUUUUAUAUGGUUUAUUAGUUAAAAUGUUUUUAUAAUUUAUAGCUACACUUGUUAGAGUAAGGCCGUUGGUGAAAAUUCUAUCCUCCACCGCCUUAGAUAGAUCGGCAUAAGAUUAGGCCAAAUCGUCAAAUUUUUCAUGGCUAUGAUCUGACGUAUAACUCUUAUGAGCAGAUAAGUUUACCAAGCUUGGAGAAGUUAAAACUUGAGUCGGUAGGAUUGUCAAAAAGGAUAUGGCAUGGUGGGCUUCCCAAAAGUUCCUUUGACAAAUUGGCCGAAUUCACCCUUGAAAAGUGCUCCAACCUACUUGAUGUCUUCCCUUCGACAAUCAUGGGCAGAUUGCAGAACCUCAAAAUAGUCGAAGUUUCAAGAUGUCCAUCCUUGGAAUCGUUGUUUGAUUUUGGAUCCCUUGAUUCAUAUACGGAACAAAAAAUUGUGUUGCUCCUCAAAUUGAAAAAAGUCGAGGUUUUAAGCUGUCCCUCCCUGGAAUCAUUGUUUAAUUGGGGGCCCCUUGAUUCAAGUAUGGAGCACAAAAUUUUAUUGCUCCCCAAAUUGGAAGAAGUGGCCAUGAGUGGAGUAGGAAGGCUAAGACACAUGGUGAUGAGUGAUUCCCAAACUGUUUUGGGUUUUCCUAAUCUAAAAGAAGUCUAUGUUCACAAUUGCUUUGAGUUGAGAUCUCUCUUCCCCAAUUAUACGAUUGCAACUCUAAAGAAACUCAACACCCUGUGCAUUCUCAAAUGCGAACAAAUGAAGGAAGUGGUUCCCAAGGAAGAAGGUGGUUGGUCCAAGGCAAAAGUGAUAAGUUUCCCUUCCUUAACUAUUUUGGUUAUUUGGCGAUGCCCCAACAUUAGAGCAUUCAUAUGGAGUCCUACAAGUGCCAAGAGGCAGUUAGGUGAAAUGAUUGAAGAAAAUGAUGAAUCGCUCCAACCGUUGUUCAAUGAUAUGGUUUGCUCUAUAUCUUAUUGUGAUCAUCUUUAAUCUCGCAUUAUCAUGUUUUAGAAUGAACAAUGUAAUAAUUUGUCCUACUUAUUUUCUUUUCUCACAUUAUCCUCGUGCAGGUUACAUUUCCCAAUUUAGAAAAACUAUAUAUUGGAGGUGUCCGAUGCAAAGAGUUAUGGAACAAUCAAAUUUCUGAUGAUUCUUUUUGCAAAUUGAAAUAUUUUAUAUUGAAGGAUUGUGACAAUCUCCAACAUAUUGCCCCAUCCCAUAUGUGGAAGAGGCUGCAGGACUGUCUGGAAACCUUAGAAGUGAAAUCAUGCCGUUCAAUCGAGAUCAUAUACGAGAGUGAUGGGACGGUGGCAAAAAGUGGUAAUUUGAGGACGCUGGAUUUGCGUGAUCUGGACAACUUGAGGCACAUUUGGCAGUACGACAAUCUCCCAAACAUCCCCUUCCUAAAUUUGAGAUACAUAAAGGCUGUGAGGUGCUCCCGUUUGGAUAUGCUUUUCGCCACCUUCACGGUGAAAUUUCUCGAGCAAAUCGAAGAGCUAGUGGUAGGGUCAUGUGAAGAUAUGGAACUAAUUGCUGGCCAUGAAGAAUGUGAAGAAGUGACUGGUGAGACAAUCACCUUCUUUGGGUUAAUCACUCUUAGACUUUACAAUUUGCCGAAAUUCAAGAGCUUCAUACCAGAGAAAUACUCUGUGGAAUUCCCAUCCUUGGAUGACUCGAGUAUAAUAGAGCUAGACCAAGGCAACCAAAGUGCGGAGGAAAGUGAGGGGGAAACUGAGCAGUUAGACCGCGUAAUUGAGGAGUUAGACAGCGAAAUUGAGGAGGUAGACAGUGAAAUGAGGAAGAGAGUGAGGGGCGAAUAAUUAGUUUUAUGAAGUGAGCCACAAAAGUUUGUGAAUGUUGCACCGAAUGGUGUCUGGCAAAACAAAAUGGACGUGUCUGGUAAUAUGAGAUUUUGUUUUUUUUUUCUUUUGCAGUCUCUUCUACACUUCCCGCAAAGUGUGUAACUGUUUUCUUGGCUAUUCAUUUCUUUGGUUUGUCUCCUGGGCUACAGUGAUGAGUGCCCAAUCAUUGGACCAUAAAUUGUGGGGUUAUGCUGUAUAAAUUCUAAUCAAGUGCAUUAUCAUGUUUAUAAAUUUUCCCGUAAUAUUAGAAAAUGUAUGUGCUAUUAUAUUAAGUAAUCGAAGUCAUGAUGAAUUACCUCAUGACAACCGUCACAAGAGGAAGAAGGAGAUCAAGGAGAUUGCAAUCUGGGAAAGCCCAUGUUCCUCCUCCCAUCUCUCUCUCUCUCUCUCUCUCUCUCUCUCUCUCUCUCUCUCUCUCUCUCUCUCUCUCUCUCUCUGUGACUAUUGAUGGAGGCCGAAACUAUUUGAGUUUGAGGGACGGUAGUAUGAUUUCGAGUUCGACAAAGGUUGAAUGUAAGUUGAAAUUGGUGAUAACAAGGAGUCCUUUGAGUGGGUUGAGUAUUUGAAUCUUCAUGAUUCUAAUCAAGGUAAACUUCGCUCUGUUUCUCCUGGAGGAAAGGAUCGAGUGCUUGAUUCCGCCGGCGUGAAAUCUGGAACUUACUGUCCUGAUGAACUCAUUCAGGUGCCCUUGACUGAAACACCUACCAUAUGUUUGAUUGAAUUCCUGAACGGUACUGGCAUGCAUAUUUUGCAAGUAUUCUUGCAUUGUGAUGAUUAUCUGGCAAUGGCGUGCUUAAAUUGAGAGUUCUCCAGGGCAUAUGGUAUUAUUUUCGUUGAUGUUGGUUGAACUCUCCCGGUUGUGCUCAAUGCUCCCAUGACUGAGAAUUUGAACAUGCCGUGUUGGCUUAAUUUACUUAGAAUUAUGUUUUCCUUAUCAAUCUACGAUGUUGUAUAUGGCUAUUUUAAUAUUCAAGACAAUGACCAUCUUUGAAUUGGAAAUUGUGAAAUCCUUCUUCGAAAUGUGCAUCGUUACUGUGUACUUCAAUGAAUUCCUGUGCGGACUUCAUCCUUUGCUUGAUCUCGCAUGUAAUUGGUUUCGUAUGCCUGGAUGAUUUUGCCUUGCAUUUCUCGAUCUGUUCAGUGAUACCUCAACCCCUUCACAUCGCCAAUGAUAUUCGGUUCAUUUUUUUGGGCGAAUGCAUGGGCCUGUACCUCUUUGAUUUUCUUCAUUUACUAAAGAUUCUGAGGUUCAUUCCUCGAUGUCAUUUGCUUGUAACUUCUCUGUGAAUGGCAUGUGGCACCCCUCGACAGCCCCUGAUCCGAUAGGGUCGCCACAGUUCGCUUACCUUUCACUUUCCCUAUUAACAUGUUACUUUGAUACCAUUUCAAUUGCAGCAGGUCCAUACAACCAUGGGGGUUUACAUUUUUUUUUUUUGAUAAGUCCCUUGCGCAAUUCAUAAAGCAGAAGCACAUCCAUCAACUCCCUUCCCUAUAUUCAAAAAACGAUGCACACCAACUAAACAUUUUAUAUAAGUCAAAGCCGUACACUCUUAUUUACAUAACUUGAUGGAUAUCAUUAAUCGAUACAUCAAAAUGCCAUAGUCUUUCUAUACUUUGCUAUAUUUCAAAAGAUGACCGACAUCUCUUCCAACAGUCAUAUACUUAAAGUCCAUCGAUCAGUGUCGGCGUUCAAAAGUUCCUUCCUCUGCUAUCCUCCUCCUCGCGGCCAUAUCCAACCACUCGGACCAUCUACUGGUGGCGGUGGCGGCAGAGGUAUGUUGUCUAGUCUGAAACGUUAGUCUCCAAACGGGGUGAGUACAACCACUCAGCAGUAAAAGAUUCAUCAAGCUAUAUCAAGCAUUACUAUUAAUAUCCAUAUUCAAGUAUGGUAGACAAAAUAGGCAAUCCAUAAAUGAGUAUGCAUCCCAACCAUAUAACUCUUCGAUGCAAUGACUAGUGCAUUUCCAACCAAUAAGAUGCAUCGUGUCCAGCCACACAAGUCCCGAUCAUGGGGCCAAACUGUGAUGACAUGUCCCAUUCCAUGCCUUACAAUUUAGUCCCAUAACCAGACCACACUCACACUUAAUAUAAUCAUCCGUUUUAUCAUUCAAAAGGUUUCAUCCCCCAGAGGACCAAUGUUUGCAUCCUUCUGGGAUUCCGCACCCAACCUGGCAUCGCGGAAGCCUCCGGGCAUGUAUUCAAAAUACAACCAGGCAUCCAAAGGGCAUCGGCUCAUUCGAACCUCUGGGCAUCUCGCACCCCACCUGGCAUCACGAGGAAUCACUGGGGACCAUAGACAUGGUUACCCCUAACCUUCGAGCAUGCAUCAUAAUACAACCCCUCACCCUCCGAGCAUGUAUCAUAAUACAACCGGGCAUCUCGACACUCCCGGGAAAAACCUUUGGGCAUGUAUUCAUAAUACAACCAGACAUCCAAAGGGCAUCGACUCAUUCGAACCUUUGGGCAUCCCGACUCCCGGGGCAUCGUUGACCCGAGGGUUCAACGGUAACAGUUUAGCAUUUUAAUUCACAAAAUAUUCUCAAAUGCUAAAACAAGACGUCUCAUGGACUCUCUAUCACAUCUCAAUAUUGCACAAAUAUUUACAGCCAUUACCAUCAUAUCACAUAGCCAUUCGAAAUACCUUCACUUUCGGAUACUUUUGUAAAAUUCAAGAGCAGAAUAGUCCAAUUUUUACAAUGCACAGUUCUGGUAGGAAUUUUGAAAUAAAUACUAAAUGGACUCAGAAAAUUACGAAAGUUUGACAUGUUAUCAAUGAGACCUAAAGGAACAAAUUUCAUGAAGAGCACAAAGUCAAAUUCCAUACACAUCGAGAGUAAAAACUUCGGUAUUUCUUGCUACAGUUUCUGUAAAAUUUCCAGACUUAGCAUUUCCGUAUGAAAAUCAUUUAGUCGGCAAAAUCUUGUCCAUUUAUGCUAAAUUUUUUAUAUGUUACUCUCACAGAUGUGUUCUCCAACUUUUGUUAAGACUUCGAAAUCAGAUUUUGGCUAGAAAAUUCCAGAAAAAUCGAGAAAUCACUGAUGGUCAUGCUGUUCUUGCGAAAACAGUUUACUAGCCUAAAGAGGACUCUUCCUAUACUUUGAGUUUCAGUAUCCAACUUCCACAACCAAGAUUUAGAAGCACGUUACACCACAAUACAGCCUCUUUACUUCUCAAAAAUUCACCAUAGCUAAAUCCUUGAGUUCUCAUUUCAAUUUAAAAGCAAAAUCCACCAGAAACUUGCUCCAAUACCUCGGCCAGCUUCAUCUCAUUCAUCACAAACAACAUGCAGCUCCAAAUCUCACAUUUUCUCACAUCUACCCACUCUUCACUAGAUAAAACAGCAAGCAAAACAUAGGUUGAAGAACUUCUACUUGCCUUAAACUCUCUCACUCGGUGGCUGUCCGAAAAUGGAGGUUCGGGGGUCGCGGCUUGACCGGUCGGCGACGGGAACCGGUGGCGAGGCGGCGGCAGCUCGAGCACGGCAGAAGGUGGUCCCUUCUUCUUCUUCGCCGUUCACCCACCUGCUGCUCACUCGCGAAUUUCCUCGCUCGAUAUCUCUCUCUCUCUCGGUUCUGCUCGGUCACUCUCUUUAGUUCACUUUCACGAGCAGAUUAGCUGCUGGUUUUGCUAAAAACCAGCCAACAAAGAGGGGGAUUUUCGGUGGAUGCAUGCAUGGAGGACAGGUGGAAGAAGUGUGUCUCCAGCUGGGUUUUCUUGACCUUCGCUGGUUGCUCCACACGAAGCAACAUGGCCUCCUCUGGCCUUGCUUCUCGAUUACCAUUUACCAUGGCCGCUGGUUUUUACUUAAAACCAGUCAACUUAAGGGGAGUUUUUCCAUGGUUUGGCCGCAUGAAGGGCAGCUGGAUUCGUACGUGUCCAGCAUGCAUUUCUUCCUUCGACACCUUGCUCCUCCUUGCAACGUGUCUUCAGCUAUUUAAUUAAUUCUUUUCUUAAUCCCAAUUUGCUGGCCGACCGUGAGAAAGCAACGUGGCAUCAAUGGUCAGAAAUUUUCCUCUCAUAGUUGACUAGGGUGUCGACCAAAUGGAGAGAGGUUCGGGCAGCUUUUGGGCGCAGACGAUUCCUCCUUUUCCGCAUGGGUGUGCAUGUCCCUCAUGCACGGCUGAAUUCAAUUUCUUCGGCUCAGAAUUUUAAUUAAUAGAAGUCCAAAAUUUUCCUCUCAUUUCGUAUACAUUUUGGUGGUACAAUUGUGUAGUGUCAUCAAAGAAAUUUGCACAACUCAAUAAGGUUGAAUGUAGUACUAACGAUGACGAAUUCCAAUAGUAGCUUCAUCAAUCCAUGACGUUUCAUCAUCAUUCAUUUUUUUUUCUAAGAUCGACAAAAUAUGGAUGAGAUUGGUCUCACUAAUAACCUUAUGUAAAGAGGCUUCUGACAAUACUCUAGUCUAUCCCACAAUUGGACUAUUUUCUAAACGUGAGGUAUCGGUCCAUUAAUGAAAUAAAACGGAGUUCACACAUGGUGCCAACGACACCAUUCGACCGUACUUCCAUAAUCAGUCAUGGUCAUCACAUAUCCGAGGGUUGUCGAAAUUCUCGGGUGCCACAUGGCAUGCGAGUCCCUGUCAUACUGACAUUCGAUGGCUGAGUGCAUAAUGAGUUGUUUAUGCCAUGGCCGAAUGCUUUGCUCGAUUCAUUGUCCACAUUGCCGAUUUGUAUGCAUGUUCAGUUGUUGCUGAACGAGUCUCAUCCAUGAGAAUUGAUUGUAGAAUGUGGCUCAAUGUUGUUUUCCUGUGUUACGUUGCUAUGCGUUUCAGUUUUUGUGGCAUGACGUUCUUUGAAAAUGUCUCCGCUGGAGCCACCCGUGGGUAAUUAGAAUGCGGUCUUUAGCAUUUGGUCCCAAGAGUUCCUGUUGUGUAAAAUCAAAGUUGUUUCCAAGUUAUUCAAGUCACAUUAGCAAUAUAUGUUGGAUUCAUGUCGACUCCAUGUUGAUUUCUUAUAGAGUUCAAUGUGUUUUUUGCAUCAUAUGUGGGCUAGGAUUGGAUUUGAUAGAUCUUGGUUUCAUAUGAGGGUUAAUUCGGUAGCACAUGAUGGUACAUCGACAUGUAGAUGAUUUCUCAUCAUUUUGUAGUUACUAGUCCCUAUCUAUCUAAAUCAUGCUCAUGCAUCGUCAUUCUACUACUCGUGUUUCUCAAUUUUUAGUAGUUGAAAUUACCUCAAUAUCGUGAGCCAUAUUGCUUUAGAAUCCAAUGUGAUUAAUUUACAUAUUUGAUCAUGUUGUAAUCGUAUUGGGAAGAGUGGUGGGAUUUUAGGAUUUUGCCUCCCACCUAAGGAAAUGUUUGGAAACUAGCUGUCACAACCAAAAUUUCGGAUGCAUCACCUAAAAUUGGACUAAUGGAUUGUUAAGCCUAAACUUAGCUCGGCUCUCCCAAGCCUAUACCAAUUCGCGACUUAGGUUCAAAUAUCUAGCAUGCAAAAGGGAGUCGCCAUUAAUCAAUUUAAUGAAGGUCGAUUAGACACCUAAGUAAAAUAAUACUCCUACAAACCAUAUUUUGGGUACGGGGACUUGGUUACACUAGACUUCUCUAAUGCCCUUUAGGUACCAUUUCUUUUAUUUUUAAAAAUAUUUUUUGCAGGCAGCUUGGAUUGAUUUUAAAUAUAUUUUCCUAACACAUGAGGUGAUCAUAAGGAUGUGCAAACCACCAAUUUAAUACUCAAUAAAACAAUGAAUAAAUUGUAAACUUACCUUAUAUUAACGAAAGCAUCUGCAACGUUAAAUCAAAAUUCACAUCAUCAAUCCUAGAUAUGAUUUCUAAUUAACACGCAAUCACUCAAUUUUUAUUUUCAGCAACCACUCAAUUUUUAUUUUCAUUUAUUUAACUUAUUUAACAAGAAUCAUGCUUUAUGCAAUGCGUGCUACUAAUUUAAUAUGAAAUGAUAUGAUAUGGCAAUAUCACCUAAACUAUAUGACAUAAUAAACAUGCAGUCUAUUCAAAAGAAAUGCAAUAAUUAAAUGUGUAAUCUAAAUUAACCUAAUGACUUAAUUCUAAUGACGGGCAAUUUCUAAUUAAAUGAACCUAACAACAAUUACUAAAUGAUGUACGUUUCAUGAACCUAAUUCUAGAUGACAUGACUUUUUUUGUAUUUUUUUUAUGAAAAUUCGUAAUUAAAUCACUACAAAAUAAAAAUCUAACUAAAGUGAAAUGCUAUCUAUUCUAAAUGCCUUCUAAACAUGCAUUUAAAAAAAAUAAUAACUAACCUAUCAUGCAAUCAAUCCUAAUCUACAUGAAUGCAAAUGCAAUUUUUUGUAAUUUUGGGAUAAACAAAACAAUUAAAAGAUAAACAUCAUGAUCAUCAAAAAUGCUAUCCACCAUUUGAAUCGAAAUUCAAACUUGACUAUUUCGCUAAUAAAAUCGAUAAAUUGAUCUUAAACCUUAAAAAUCAAGAUAUCAAUUUUACUCCUGGGUGAAUAAUUAUUCCAUUUAAAGCCUUAUGGAUGGGAUUAAAAAUUCGUGCGGUUGCGAAUUGGAUGCUACGAUUUCAAUUAGGCAUCAAGAAAUAUUUCAAACAAUGAGACAAAAUAUCAAAAACUAAAUAAGAUCAAAUAAAUCUACCUAAAAUAAAUCUCUACCUAAAUUUGAAAUUUUACAAAAAAAUCCAAUUGGUAGAAUGGACAACGAUGGAGGCUCGGCACGGCAUGGCUCAAGGGCAGCGGCUGUGGUGAAAGGUCACCCAAGGAAAGGUUGUUGCUAGUGGUGCUAAAGGACAAGUAUUGCUCGAAAAUUCGCUGGGAUUGCCGGGGCGGUGACUGGAUUUGGUCAAGGAAGACCUACAAUAAUAAAAUUCAAACGAAAGCAAAAUAACUGGAUCGGUGGAGGUCUCGGGCACGUCAAGGACGCCUGGAAAAUCUGCAAGAAAGUCGUCAGGUGCGGCCAAGCUGCAUGCGCAUGUCAGAAAGGGACGGGCUGGUGUGGCAAAAUUGGCCGAGAAAGCUGAAGAUCAUGCAAGAGCAGACAUGCAAAGAAGCAUAUGGGCUAGAUUUUGCUAUGGUUCAGAAAUAUGUAUUUUCUCUCAUUCCAUAUUGAUCUCCAAGCAUCGCCAAGUGGAGCCUUGUUAGAGCCGCCAAAAUCUGAUCGUUGUGAGCUUUCAACCAUCGUCAUCGGAGGCUCCUUGGCGUGUGAUCAUCCGAAGGUCGUACCUCGGCUGGACAGCAAAUCGUCAUGGACUCUCGGGACAGCAACUUCGUCAUCGGCACAGCAAAACCAGAGCAGCGGUGUUGUCCUACGGCAGCGGAAGACGUCUCGUCCAGAGGGAGCGCGGCAAGAGGAACGUCCCAAUGGUGCGGCCUCUCUGCCGUGCUAUGGGUUCCGAAUUGCCGGCCCUCUCUUUGUUGACUAUUUUGUCCUAUAGCCGUCUCUAUUUUUCACGAGAUUGUGGCCAUCAUGAUGGUCAGAUAAUGGGAUAACCCAUGUGACCAUCCAUGAUAACGAUGAAUUGUAAAAACAAUAUAGUGGAGUAUGUGAUUUGCUCGAAGAAAAAGGGGGCAGAAGCGUGAAUGUGAUGAGGGGAGGAGAGAAAUAUUGUAAAAAGUCUGAAUUGACACAGUCGCUUCUCUCUCUCUCUCUCGCUACCUCUCACACUUUUUCUCUUUUUUCGUGAAUGAACGCGCUCUCCUCAACGUGGCCGCUUGUAUCAAUUGUGUGGCCCCAAAACUGUACGUGAACAAUCUAGGGUUUCAAUUUUUCCAAAUCAAUAUCUACAGAGAUUUUUUUUUUCAAACGCAAUAUUUAUUUUACCGAACGCAAUAUUUACUUUUCCACUUGCUCUAUCCAAAAAAGAAUUCAUCAUAUCCUAAAAAAUUUCAAAUUUCUAUUUUCACAAGAUAAUCUUUUAUCAUUAAAAAAAAGGGAGCUUGCACCAAUUUGCUCACUUUGUGGGCUUAGUCCGACCUGCCAAGUUAAGGUUCAAAAUCAUUAAUUUGAACCCAUCCAUCACCGGUCCAAUAAAUAAAUGCAAAAAAAUGCAAAUUAAAAAUAAAUGCACAUAAAUCUAUAUGUUAUGCAAUUAAUAUUUUUUUAGAAUUAAAAUUAACCUCUAAUUUUUAAUGCGAUAAAUGAUUAAAUGGGUUGCUAAAAUUUAGGUGUCAACACUAGCCAAAGGACCAACUUUACCGUCUUGGCUCAAAUGGAUCGGAUAUUGCAUUAGGUGGCCUCUCAUUUCCAUGGGAUUAUGUUGGUCCUCAUCCGCAUAAGCCCUCCAAUUCCGUUUGGCUAUUUUGUUCACCCUCUUCAUGAGUUCAAUGCUUUGCAACUCCCUGAAGCUGUCCUCUAAAUCUCCCAAGUGCUCCACCCAAAGCGACAUCCUAUAACCAUAAGCCUGCACAACAUCAUUAAAACAUUAUUAGUCACAAGCUUGAGUUUUUGAUAAAUGUCGAUGCACUCGCUGGGUGUUCAGCUAGUACCUGCUAUUAAAUAGAUGUAACCACAUGGAAAUAUGACAUACUUGAACUUCAUACACAAUUCCAUUGUUGUGCCCUUUGAAUCCAAAAUCAGUGGUAUUAGCUAAUGCAAAAUUCUCAGUGGGACCCACAUACACUCUACAUCUCGCGGCCCUCUGCAGAAUUCUCUGCCUCUCUUCCUGUCUCUCCACAUCUAAUGAACUGAGUCGCUUUCCUUUUCAGCUCAGGCUUGGCGCGCUCUGAAGCAGGGGGCCAGAACAGAAACAGAGGACCUUCCAACACGGAAAAGGAGCUCAACAAAUUCUCUCUAGCCCUCAGUUAUUCCUUUGAUCUUCAUUCCCUCUUCAUUGUCCUCUCUGUCACCCUCCAUCCACCAACAGCUGCUGCCACACCUCCAUCGCUGGCCACCACAGGACAUGUCACACUGAGAAGGGGCAAGAACAAACAGCGUUGAUUAAAGGAACUCGGGUGAUUUUUGAGCAUUUAUAAGGCUGAGAAGAACAGAGGGCGAGCUUUAAUUGACACCGUAGACUGAUGCUUCAACGAGGAUUAUCACCGUAGACAAAUGAUGUGGACAAACAUGAAGAGAUUGUUAAGAUGGAGCUGACUGAAUAGUGAUGGCUAUGUUCUUUUUACUGAAGGCAACGGGAAAGAUACAGUUGGAGUUUUGAUUUGGAUCCCUCUUCCUUGGUGGCUCUUAUACCAUGGAAAUAUUUCUAUGAUUUGCAAGCGAGAGAGAGAGAGAGAGAGAGAGAAUCAACAAAUACUACACCUUUACUCAAUAGCCGAAUAAAAGAGGAUAUAGUAGCUCCACUUAUAAAGCAUGAGAGACAUUAACAAAGCUUCGAUUACCUUAUUUGUGACCACCUGCUAACUGUCGACUAAUUUUCAUAAAUAUACUCCAACACAUAUCACAAUUGGAGCAAAUACUUGACAGUGUUUUUGCAUGUUUUUCCAGGAUGUUAGUGCGUCAUUUUCAAAUAAGUAUCCACAACUGUACAAGGAGGGAAUACAGAAUUCAUACUUCAACUGUAGAGUUGUGGCAGCCUGGUCUGUUUCUGCGGUCUACCAGUCUCUCGUCCUUUUUCACUUUGUGACAGCUUCUAGUUCUACUGGUCUAAAUUCAUCGGGAAAAAUGUUGGGCCUCCAGGACGUCAGCACAAUGGCAUUUACCUUUAUGGUUGUCACUGUAAACUUACGCCUUCUUAUGAUGUGGAAUUCAAUAACAAGAUGCCCUCAUUUCGCUGUCAGUAGAAGCAUCCUUGGGAUGUUUGUUUUAUUUUAUAUGUUCACUUAUGAUGGUGAGUCUUCUCCCUUUCUGGGGGUUCUUUUCUUCCCUUCACCUCAUCUAGUCCUCUUUUGGAUAGCAAUUAUUCUGAUAUUCGUCUUAUUACUUGUAUGCGCAAGAAAGUCUCUACCAUGUCAUCCACGUAUUAAUGAGUACAGUCUACUUCUACCUGACAUUUCUUCUGGUUCCAAUUGUCGCAGUACUUGGUGACUUCUUAUGCCAAGGGCAAGGUUUCAGACUCAUAUCUGGCCCAACAAAAAACAGUCGGGCUUUUUUGUUCUUAGACAUAUUUCUCGUUUAGAAACAGAGAGAAACACUGUAACAUAGUUCUCAAGUAAAUUUGCUCAAGAAUACUGAUUGCGAAUCUGCAAUUUCGCUUUUCUAAAAGUAACAAAUGUCGUUUGUCAUGGAAAUUAUAAUGGAGGACCUCCUUUUUCGCUCAAAUAGCCUUCAUUAUCUUCAUUGUCGAUUUCGUGGGUCCUUUUUUCCCUAUUUGCUCCGAGACAAGAUACAGGGCUUGUCAUGUCCGUACUUUUCCAGUUUCUCAGAUGGUUCAUCAUUUGGGAAUUGUAUCUGCUUCUCUCUCUCUCUCUCUCUCUCUCUCUCUCUCUCUCUAACCCCUCUUCCUCCUCUCUGGGCUGAAGAUGGUCUUAUUUCCGGAAUGCGGUUACAGGAUAAAUCCAUAUAUCAGCCUUAAUUGGUAUAAGUAUUUAUUGGCUUGUGGGAACUUGACAGCUCGCUCAUCUCACGCGAUUGAUUUCUGGGUUCACCAUAUUCUAUUUGGCGGAUUCUGUUUAUUAGCAAUGAGUGUUUUCUUUAAGUAAUUGCAAUGGAUACUUCCUCUGAUUAGUUUCUUUUUUUUCCUUCUUUUUUUUCACGCACUAAUUUUUCAUGCACUUGGUUAUAGGAUUCAAAGGUGGUUCUUCCCAUAUGAUUAUCAGAUAUUAUAGGAAUUUCUAUGGGCACAAGCCACGGGAUGAGGACAAAGCCGAAGACAUUGCCCAGGAGCUCUGAUUUACAGAUAUGUUUCUUAGUACUGUAAAAUGAAAUUUUUAGAUUGUUCGAGUUUCUCUAUUAUUGUCAGAAUCACAAGCAUACGAUCUUUAGGAUUCUGCCUUCCAAAAUUCGUACCCAUCCCUAAACGGAAGGAAAGGGAGGGAUGUGAUGAUAACAGACUUCUGGACUCCUUCCAGACGCCAAGAGUAUCGCACGUUUCAGAGCAGUAGGAAAGCGGCUUACGUUAAUUCUGUUCGUGCAUUUAUGGGCUAGUUCUAGCCCAACCGCAAAGUCCUAAAUGCUUUUCAGUAAACGUUUUUUUUUAUAUCUUCCUGUUCAUUGUUUCUUGACAAAGCUCGCUUCACAAAGGAGGCUUACCUUUUAUUACGAGCCACGCUGCUCAUUUCUCGCAUUGUGACUGCUUAUAUGGCUGCAAUAAGGAGUUCCUUUGCCUGUUCAUUAAUUCUCUGGUCGCUUUUUCUCUGGUUGAGUGGGAGAUCUGUUAACUGUUAGGUUAUUUUAGGUGCUACUCUGGGACCCAUCGCUGGCUGCAUCCCGAAGUUGUUUGAGGAUGACAAACUGACCAUGCCUCUGUCGAAAAAGUCGGGUGGUUUCCUAGGAAUUGCUAAAAGUGUGAUCGUUGAAAGCACCUCAUUAGUUGAAGAAGGACAUUUUCUCAGAUUUUUAUAACUGAUUCCAACCGUGUCCUAUGAUCCCCUUCCAACACAGAAGUCUAUUAUAUUCUGUAAGCAAAAGCCGUUGCAAGAAUCGCAUAUAAUCACCUUAACGAUGGACCAAAUAUCUCAUGAGGAGCUGAUGAACUUGGCCAAGUUUCUGAGACACUUGACUGCUGGGAUUCGUCCAACUGUUCUUCAUUACCAUCGUCGCCAUCAUCAUUCUCGAAAACCAUCUGUAUCCCAUGCUUUUUCAGCGAGAGCCCAGGAAAGUAUGGUGGGUCUCGCAGGACUAUAUCUAUUCCUGUCUCCUUUGAACAGCCGAACCAUUGGCUUGAAUUCUGGAUGUCUAAUCUAGUAAAGCUGGUCUUGGCUUGUGUCAUUUAAUGUCUGACGUGUCUUGGACCUUCAAGCCUAAGAAGCCUUCCUUUAAUGUCCUCGAUUGCUGGUAGCAGAAUGUUUGCCCGGUUUGCACUGUCCAUAGAGACAACAACAGCGAAAAUCAUUCCCUCUAACCUCGCGGUUCUUCUUCGGAGCAGCAAAAUGAGGAACUUCCUGAGAAAACCAUCCAGGAAUCUCACUCCCAGGGACACUCGAGUUGUGAAAAUGCUUUAGAGCAACCUGAAAUUUCCCAUGGAAAAAACACAUUUUAAGGUCAAACUAUCUGCAUUCAUGAUUGAAGAUACUGAACAAAGGUGGAGAAACUGAACUGGUGAUCUUCAUCCAUCUUUUUGCCACAGUUCAAGUAGUUUUCCCAAAAUGGGAGUUAUGAGUUAUCUUUUUCACCUUUUCAAUUCGUCUCUCCCAAGAGUAAAAGCCUCAGAGAUUUCAAUAUCCGGAGACCAGUGACGUCAACUAGAUUGCUGCAAUCAGUAAAGUUUGGCUCCUUCAAAUCAGUAGAAUUCAGAUGAUCGGCGUAAAUUUGAAAUUGAUUAACCUCAACUCGGGAUAGUUCUCGGAGAUGAUGGCCACGACUGCGCUGAGUCGCGGAUCGCCUCCAGAAGGCCCAACGCUAUCUCCUCCCCUCGCUUGAGGCCUUCUUCAUCGAGCCGGAGCUGCAGCACGCUGCUGAGCUCGUGCUUGCGGUAGAGGCAAUCCACGAUGCCAUGGCAGGGGUGUCGGCGCCGCAAGAGCUGAGGAAGACGUCGCAGCGGAAGCGAGAUGAGAACAUAGCGUCGUCCUCUUCGGGAUCGUCUGUCAGCAUCGUUGUCUUCGGCUUCUUGGUCGGCCUCACUUGGGAGUCGCCGGUCUUUUGACAGAGGCGGUCCAUGCAUUGAUUGGGGCACCACUUAACGAUGAGCAAGGAGCAACGAGCACCUUACUGAUAGAUUUGUGUUCCCUUUGAAAAAACUAAAGAGCGAUUUCCACAGCAUGGGAAAUGUGCUGUCUUAAUUUUUAAUUGACAAAUCAUGGCAUUCUCGUUAGUUAAAGGAAAAAUUAUCAAUGUAUGGUGAUCAAUUCAAUUUUAAAUUUAUGUAUUAAUUUAGUAUUAAGCAGUCAUAAAUAAUUUAAUCGUGUCAAUUUAGUCUUAAAUUUUUUAAAAAUUAUAAAUGUAAUCUUUUUGGGUAAUUUUUGUUGGAAAUUUUCUUUCUUUUUAUUUUAUAGUUUUCUUCUUAAGGUCAGCAAGUCCACCGGUCACUGGCCGAGGGCCAGCAGCCCAGACACCCCUGUAAAUAAAAACAAGGAUGGUAAAGAAAAUUAAAAGUUUUAAGGAAAAAAAAAUUCAAGUACUCAGAUUGAUAGUUUAUGCCAUGACAUAGCAACAUGUCUCCUCGAUACGUAACAAAAAUUAUCACGACAAGGAUGUUCAUAUCUACUCCGGUUAAAUGUAGGAUCGCAAGUUUGUCAAUUUAGCCUGAUUUGGUUUUCAAUUUCAAUCCUUUAGACUAAAAUUAAUUUGACCUUGGGGCUGCACGCCUUGCACGUGCUGGUGUCGGAGAACGUCAGCACCUCCCUGCACCGACGGUUGCGGCACGCCGACGUCUUCUUCUCCCUUGGAUCGCAGUCCCCGAACCUCUCUUGCCUCUACAAGAUGACCUCUCUGGUCUUGAUCUGCACAUGAUUUGCUCGUUUGCAUGUAAAAAAAAUGUGCGAUUCAGGAUCGAAAAAUUAUUGAACAAAUCUUUCUUUUCGUAUAAAUUUUUAAUGGAUUGGCCACCAAAAUCACAAACUCGAUUGCGUCAUGAUCCGACGGAAGCAAUCGAAGUGAUGAAUUACCUCACGACAACCGUCGCGGGUGGAAGAAGGAGAUCGAGGAGAUUGCAAUAUGGGAAAGCCCAUGUUCCUCCUCCCACCUCUCUCUUUCUCUGACAAUUGGUUGAGGCUGAAACUGUUUGAGUUUGAGGGAUAGUAUCAUGAUUUCGAGUUUGACCAAGGUUGAAUGUGGGUUGGAAUCGGACAUAACGAGGAUUUCUUUGACUGGGUUGAGUAUUUGAAUCAUCAUGAUUCUUAUCAAGGUAAACUUCGCAUGCUCUGUCUAUGCUAGAGGUGGGGACCGAGUGCUUGAUUCUGCAGGCGUGAAAUCUGGUUGAGUCCAAGAUUGUCCUAAUGAACUCAUACACGUUUCAAUGAUUCAGUGAUUGUUUGGAUGCGCACCUCUUCCUUAUCAUUGCAUUUAGGUGCCUCUACCGAAACGCUUACCCCAUGUUUGAUUGAAUUCCUGAACGAUAUUAGCAUGUGUAUUUCGCAAGCAUUCUCGCAUCGUGAUAAUUAUCUAGCAAUGGCGUGCUUAAACUGAGAGUUCUCCAGUUUAUGUGACAUUAUUUUCCUUGAUGUUGGUUGAACUUCUAAAGUUGUGCUCAAUGCUUCCAUGACUGAGAAUUUGAACGUGCCGUGUCGGCUUAAAUUUACUAGGAAUUAUGUUAUCUAUAUCAAUCUACGAUGUUUGUUUGUGGCUAUUCUAACAUUCGAGACAAUUACCAUCCUUGUACUGGAAAUGGUGAGAUCCUUCUUCGAAAUGUGCAUCAUGUGUUGUGUACUUCAGUAAAUUCCUAUCCUGACUUCAUCCUUUGCUUGAUGUCGAAAGUAAUUGGUUUCGUAUGCUAGGAUGAGUAUGCCUUGCAUUUCUGGAUCCGUUCAUUAAUACCUCGAUACCUUCUGUAUAUUAAUAAUAUUUGAUUCUUUUUUUUUAGGCGAAUGCAUGGCCUCUACCCGUUUGAUUUUCUUCGUUGACUGAAGUUCAUUCCUUGAUGUCAAAACUGACAUUCGAUGGCUGAGUGCAUAGUGAGCUUUUUAUGCCAUGGCCGAAUGCUUUGCUUGAUUCUUUGUCCAUUUUGCAAUUUGUAUACAAGUUCAGUUGUUGCUGAAUGAGUCUCAACUAUGAGAAUUGACUGUAGAAGGCGGCUCAAUGCUGUUUUCCUGUGUUUAUGGGUAGACAGGCAUGCGGCAUGCUGGAAAACGACAAAAAGAGCUAAGAAAACUUGCUUCCGCGGGUGGCUUCCCAACUUGAAGGCACAUUAUCGUCUCGGCAGGGAGGGGAGGAGGACAGCCCAGGCCAUCCGUGCAAUCGAAUCGUAGAUUAAAAUAAUAAUCUAUUUCUUCUAAAAAUAAUUUUCUAGUUCACCACAUGCAAGACAACAUUUUAAAGCUUUGGCUUUUAAGGGCGUCCGACUUUUUAGACCUCAAAGAUUUUCUCGGGCAAAUCUAUUGCUGUUGGUAAUUAUUUUCAUAUAGUUAGUGAAAUCUUAAAUAGAGCGGUAACUUGAGAUAAAUGAAAUAACUUGUACUCGGCAUCCACAAAUUUUAUUGUUGACCUUUAGUUUUCUCUAAAUACGUUGUUGAUUUCAAUACUUGUCUGGAUUCCCUAUUCAAUUUUUCACCUAUACUUUCAAUUUGCUUGGGAUUUCAAUUUCCUGCAUUUCGACUCGAGUUGCUUAUUGUUUCAUAAAAAAAAAAAAUUCAUGUAAUUUCCCGAAAACAAAUACCAAGUGUAGAAAACAAAGGUAAGAGAUGCAAAGGAAAUCUCAGUGAUUGAGGCUAGCUUUCUCUCAGUAAAGAAUAAGACUCAAAUGGCUAACUUCAAAAUUUUCAAGUCUGAUUCCAAGGGAAGAAGGGAACUCUGGAGUCAAUUUCACUUGCAUAGCUCUUUUGCAUCAAAGGGAUUGAGUCGACUAAACGUUCUAUUGACAUCUUAAUUUUUAUCGACAUCUAAAUAUCCAUUUAUUUCGAAAAAAAUAUAUAUAAAUUUAUAAAAAGAUAAAAAAAAAAGGAAAAAAAAGAAUAAUGAAUAAAAAUGGAUCAAAUAAAUUGAAUGAAUGAUGAAAAAUGAAGUCGUGUGGGCAGGCGUGUCUAGCCCACUUGGUUAUUUUGAGCUCACCCCUUACCCAGGCUUCCCAUUCAGAAGGGAAGAACUUAUGUGAGUGUCUCAAUUUCAAUUCAAACAUGGGUUUGGCCCAUUUUCCUUCUUUUCUCUGGCCCACCAGAGCCUAAAAAAGAAGCCCAGCCCAUCACUCUUUCUCCUUGCGCGCGCGCGCGCUCGUGAGAAGAGCGUCUGUGACGCAAGGAGGAGAGAAGGUACAGUGACGGUCACCGAAGAAAUGCCCGUGAGCGAGUGAUGAGAAAGGAACCUAUGAAUCUUAAUCGAUAUACUCGCUGCUCAACCCUGCGAAAGCGAAAUAUAUUCGUGCGAGAUAAUGGAACCUGUCGCGUCGUGUUUUGUUUGGAAAAUAGUGUCAAAGCUGAAUCAAAAACCUGCUCUCGUAGCUGAACAACAUGUGUUCGACAAAAUGCUCGAAUGAUGCACCGAAAUCCAUGUUAUCCGAUCGACGUUAAAAGUUUAGUUCGAGGCUUGAUCACGCAUAUGUUGUUGACGCACGUCUGCUUUCUUCGUUUUUUGCUAUGUUUUUGCUUGAUUUCACGGCCCACCUUUUGAUAUUCGUUAAUGGCCAUGCAAAACCGAACUUGGUUCUGCCGUGGCCAGCGAUAGGCAGACGGCGAGGGCCGGAGAUGUAAUCUGGUGAUGGUGUGUAGUGGUGUGAGCUCCGGUGUCCGUAGAUGGCAUCUAGUUGUACGGGUUCAAAAAAUGGAGAAGAAGACGAAGGUUGGGAGUGAAAAAAUGGCUUCGGGGAAGAAGAGGGGAAGAAAAAGAAGUGGUGCGGUAGAAGUGGACUUAAUGAGGAAAAAGACAAAAGAGAAAAAAAUUCAAAAUAUUUUUGAAAAAUUCGUUUUCUAUAUCCCACCAGGUCGGAUCCGGUAGACGGGUUAGGUCAAUGGGUCGGAUCGGGUUUACGGUCCAAACGCAUUCUCCGAAUAUAAUAAUAAUAAUAAUAAUAAUAAUAAUAAUAAGUAAAAAAUCGAAAAAAUUAAAAAUAUAAAAAAUAUAAAAAAUUCUGAAAAAUUCUAAAAAAUAGUAAAAUUUUAGAAAAUUCGAAAAUCAAUAAAAAUAAAAAUUUUAGAAAAUAAAAAUAUAAAAAAUCUGGAAAAGUCAUAAAGAUACAGAAAAUACUAGAAAAUCCAAAAAAAUAAUAAAAAAUUGGAAAAUUUCUAUAAAAAAAAAGUAAAACCAAAAAUUGUACAAACCAAAAAAAAAGUAAAACCAAAAAAAAAAGUAAAACCAAAAAUAAAAAUGUCAGCUCCAUGUUGAUUUCUUAUAGAGUUCAAUGUGUUUUUUGCAUCAUAUGUGGGCUAGGAGUGGAUUUGAUAGAUCUUGAUUUCAUAUGAGGGUUAAUUUGGUAGCACAUGAUGGUACAUCGACAUGCAGAUGAUUUCUCGUCAUUUUUUAGUUACUAGAGUCUCUAUCCAUCCAAAUCACACCACUUACUUGGUCAUGCUCAUGCAUUGUUUUUUACUCCUCAUAUUUCAAAAUUUUAAGUAGCUGAAAUAACCUCGAUACCCUGAGCCAUAUUGCUUUAGAAUUGACUGCAACUAAUUUACAUAUCUGAUCAUGUCCUAAUCGUAUUGGGAAAAGUGGUGGGCGAUCCAAGAAUUUUGCUGCCCACUUGAGGAAAUGUUUGGAAACCGGCCAAAGGACCGACUUUUCCAUCCCUCUUCACAUUGAUCGGAUAUUGCAUCAGGUGUCCUCUCAUUUCCUUGGGAUAUUGCUAUUUUGUUCACCCACUUCAUGCAUUCAAGUUGGAUUGUAAAAUUCUACGAAAGACCUUUGAUUGUAUGCAACGACAUGAUACUCUCCGAUGGCUAUGUUCGCAAACCUUCAGGGGGAAGCUGUGCAGUUAACUAACGCGAGACAAAGGAUGCAGCAUUCUGUCGAUGAAGCUCAAUACAACACGAAGCCAAUCGAAGCCGACGUCUAGAGAUGGGAGGCAGGCACAGAAAUCCUCGCUUAUGAGGUGCGCAGCGUGCUGGAAAACGAGAAGAAAACUUGCUUCCGCGGGUGGCUUCCCAACCUCAAGGCGCGAUAUCGUCUCAGCAUAGAGGCGAGGAGGACAGCCACGCCAUCCAGGCACUCGAAUCGCAGAGUGAAUGCCAAAACGUCUACUAUGAGAAUUCUCGGCUAUAUAUCAAUAUAUAAGGACUUAAAAGAUGGUUUUAAUCAUCAUGAUGUACUUAGGGAUUUUUAAUUGACCAUAUUAAACUAAUAACCCGUUUCUUUUAGAGAUAGUUGUUUAGUUCACCACCUACGAGACAAUAUUUUAAAGCUUUGACUAUCAAGGACGUCUGAUUUGUCAGACCUCAAUGAGUUUCUUGGAAAAGUCUGUCUCUAUUGGUAAUUUUUCGCAUGUACUUAGUAAAAUCUUAAAUAAAAGUAACUUUUAUUCGGCAUCCGUAAGCUUCAUUGUUCACUUUAAGUUUUCUCUACAUAAGUUGUGGAUUUCAUGACAAGACUAGAUUCCAUAUCCAAUUUUUCACCUAUACUUUCGAUUUGCUUGCGAUUUCAGUUUCCCAAUAAUAAGUCUCUUUAAACGAUGGACGUUGCAAUUCUUAUUUGUCUGUUCGAUUUUUUACCCGCAUUGCUUUAGCUAGUUCAAUUAAGGAGGAUCACUUUUGGGGUAUGAACUAACAGAUGGCACUAUUGAUUAGUAAUUCAGACAGUAGCUAUUUUACUGGUUAAUACUGAAGAAUUCUGAGGGUCGUGUCAUUUUGCGAGUUAAACACAUUGAAGCCUUAUUUUCUUGCAUAACUGAGCUCCUUGGCUCCUCACUUCUGCCUUUUGUUGUCCUUGGCAGAUUCCUGAAAAUGCCGGUUGCAUUGCAAGGACAUGUGCUGCGUCGGCCAUCGGCUUGCAUCUUGUUGGGGUGCUUAGUUGUUCCAACCACUCGAGCUUCUCUUUAGGGUACUUUGAAGACAUUCCUCAGUGAAACAUAUGUUGACGAGUCACUGAUGAUUUGUGAUUGUUGCAUCACCAUCCAGUUUCUUUUGAUGCCUUCAGAGUUUAAACUAGUGAGCCAUGUUUUAGUAAUAUAUUACUAAUUGAAUUCUUAAUCAUACCAGAUAAAAGUACCAUACUACUACUUAAAAUCUAGAUCUUAACAAAAUGGUGAUGAAACUAUCCAAACUUUGUAUGGAGUACUGUCAGGCCACAGGCUAUUUUGGAUAAGUGCUGGCAUUUAGUAUAUAUAAACCACUGCUAUAAGAACAGUAAUCAUCGAUGCAUCACACGUAACAAUAAUCAUGGUCGUGCCAUUUUGAUAUAAGCAAGAUCAUCUAGAAGCAGUUUUGCCUAGAUAACAAAAGGACCGUAUAAGAAGAAGCAACGGCAGGACAUCAAUUGGAGCUUGAAUCAACAGAAACAAGCGGCGGUGGCAACGAUCUGCAUCUGGCGCACCUGAAAGUCUUCCAGACAGAGACAUUGCUAGCCAUAGACAACGAACGUGACUUGGAAUCUCUGUCUACACCAAGCUCAGCGUCAAGGCAGAGCGAGCGGCUCCUUUCUUUGGUCAGGUCGAUUGUGACGUCCUCGCAAGGCGGAGGAGAAGGGGAGAAAAGGCCAGGCCAGGGGAAAAAGCUGAAAUGUUGGGGUGAUGGGCGGGUCUGGGCCGGGGAUAAAACCAAUGGGUUUGCUCUCGUGGGCUGCGCUGCGCCAGUUGGACCAAAUCGUCCUUUUCUAUUUGUUAUUUAUUUACAUUUUUUAUUAUUCUUUUCAUUUUGUUCUUUUUACUACCAUUCAUUGUUUUUAUGUUCUUUUUUUUUUUUUAUUACAAAAGCGCAUGCUUAAUUUUUUGACUAAAUUUCAGGCAUCGACAAUUAUGAAUAUAUUCACCUUAAUAUAUGAAGAAAAAUAUCAUUCCAUCCGAACAAACUACAAGAUGUUGUAUGCUGUAUUGCGUCAAAUAUUUAAUUACCAAAGGCCAUAUUUGUUUCUUGAUCAAUGGGAGAAGUGGGCUAAAAAUAUGGCACAAUCCAAUUGAGUAGAACAUAUAUGCGUUGAUGAAAUAUCGACCCAUUUAAAAUAACUUGAUUUAUGAACCGGAUUCAUAUUAAGCCUAGAACCUAUCUUGUCCAUUUGUGGGGUCAAAGUCCCAGAAAUCGUUGUGCAAGAUUAAACAAAAAGCAAUACAAGUUAAGAGAGAGAUUAAGAGAAACAGAGAUGGCAAAUAUUCUUUAGUGAAAGAUGAUUCUUUCAUCUUUUUUCUUUCCCUCUUUCAAGGAUUUUUUUUUACUUUACUUAGAAGGUUCCGAAUUGAAAAAAUGAUGAAAAUGUUGAGAAUUUGAAUCUUAUUUGGAAAAAUAUAUGACUGCUAACUUACUUAUUAAAUCACCCUUAAGUAAGUUGUCAUUUAUCAGGAUCUUGUCAAUGUCUAAACAAAAUAGUAAAUUAUCUCUUCUUCUGAAAUUUCACGAGCGUCUUUUUCUUUGUUUAUAUAUUAGUUAUGAUAAAGUUACCUAUAUUUCACUACUACAGUGAUUGAUCAAUUUCUUUGAAAUUUUAAAACUUUCUUUUGGUAAAAUACCAACUCAAUAAGGAAUCUACCAACCUCUCAAUAAAUCAGCGAAUUAUCAAGUUUUUUCAAGCUGCUAAUUAUUAAACUAACAAGAUAAUAUAUAAAAAUAAAAAAAGGAACAAAUAAAGAUGAGAUAACAUAGGAUAAAGACAUGGAAAAGAGUCCACGAAAAAGCAAAUAUGUAGUGGGCCCAUAGAGUCGUGUAAGGGAAGAAGGAACUCAUUUUGCAUUUCCCGUUCUUUUUUUUUUUUUUUUUGGUAAAGGGUAAUGAUAUAUUGAGCUAUAACCAGCAAAUAUACAGGAUCCGGCACCACAAAACUUGCACUCAACAAGACAGAAGCCUCUAAUCGAGUGAAAGGGCGCCAGACACAAAACACCGCAAAGCGGUCAACUCAAGCAAGGGCCGAAACAGGAAGCCCAAAACAGCGACGCAGGGUCGAAGCAACAACUAAAAACAGACAGACUAAACAAAAGGCCACGAAGGGCCAAGGAGAAACAACUCGCAAAACUAGACUAAGGCGACCUCGACGAUCGGCAUAGGAGAGUUGAAGAUAGAUGGGUCAAGGCCCCAGUUUCUUUGUAACCUCCUAUUCCUUGGGCAAUCUUCCACGCUUUUGAACGUUAAGGCUUUAUCCUUCACAACUUUAAUGAGAUGCUUCUUGAUAGCCGCAACCACAACCGGAUGAUCUCUAAAGAGGAUGUCGUUUCUAUACUUCCAAAUGAGAUGGCACAAAGCUCUAAAAGAGAAGCAACCAAUGGCGUGAUAGAAAUCCUUACCUGUAAGGAAUCUCAUUGCCCACUGAAGAUUUUCUGUCCAAGUCCCAUUUCUCCAUGGGAGAUUGCACCUGGCCGCCCAAAAGUAGGCCAUGCUAGCCGUGAUGCAGCAACUAAAGAAGAGGUGGUCAAUAGAAUCCGGCGUGAGCUUGCAAAAUGCACAUACUUCAUUCCCAAUUCUCCCAUAAGACAUAAGAAAAGCUUGGGUAGGAAGUCGGUUCUUAGUGAUCAGCCAGAGGUUGAAUUGGUAUCUCGGAGUGAUGGCCUUGUUCCAAAUAAAGGAUGACCAUACCACCUUGUCUUUCCUUUUUCUGAGUAAAUGCCAAGCUGAGGCAAUCGAGAAGACCCCGGAAGGAUCAUCUCUCCAUACAAAUCUAUCCGGAACCCUAGUGAGAAGAGGAAGGGGAUGGUUCCAAGAAUCCAUCACUAGCCUGAAUUCCCGACCCGCCGAAGAAAAAAGGUCUGCGACAACUGCAUACCACGGUAGUCCCGAAUCAGAGAUAGUCUGCUCAGAACAUAUAAGAUCCAGCGGACCUCUCUGAUGCCAAUGGUCAAACCAAAGGGAUGUCCCCUGGCCAUCUCCAAUCUUCCAGUGGAAGUUGAGGCGGAAUUCGGAUCUAAGGUGGAGGAUCCUCUUCCAAGCCCAUGAGCAGCUGCCCGGCGUCUUAGCCACCCAGAAGUUCGCCUUACGAAUAAAAGUAGAGUGAAUCCAUUUGCACCAAAGAGACUCAUUGUCCGUGAAUAGGAUCCAGAUGUGCUUGAGCAUUGCCGCCUUAUUGCACUCUCGCAAACAUCGAAUCCCAAGGCCCCCUUCUUCCCUUGGGAGACAAACAUCCUCCCAGGAAACCUUAGCUCCUCCCCUGCCAAGGCUGGGUCCCUUCCAUAAGAAUUGUCUAAGAAUCUGCUUGAUACGGUCCAGGACUCCUACAGGAAUAAUGAACACACUAGCCCAAUAGGCUUGAAUUGCAUGGAGCACUGACCUUAUGAGCUGAACUCUCCCUGCAAAUGAGAGAAAUCGAUGGGUCCAAGAUUGCACCCUAGCCAUUAUGCGAUCGACUAGACCUACACAAUCCGCCUUCCCAAGCCUCGAGGAAAUAAUCGGUGUUCCUAGAUAACGUACCGGCAAUUUUCCUUCCACAAAACCGAAUGUAUCCUUUAUAUGGCCUCUCAAUUCAUCCGAUCCCCCUGCAAGAAAUACCUCACUUUUGCUAUUGUUCGGCUUGAGUCCACUCCACUUCGAGAAGGUAUCCAGCCCAUCCUUUAGCAGCCGGAUGGAGACCAUAUCCGCAUGGCAAAAGAGGAAGACAUCAUCCGCAAAAAAAAGAUGAGAUAACCGAGUGGCCUUGCACCUCCAAGAGAACUUGAAACCCGGCUGCUCCGCACUAGAAGUAAGGAUCCCGGAGAAGACUUCCAUAACCAAGGUGAAAAGAUAAGGAGACAUUGGGUCACCCUGUCGAAGGCCGCGGCUACUAGGGAAGAAUCCAUGGAAAUCCCCAUUCAAGGAGAUAGAAAACAUCGGGGUACGAACACAUAUCAUGAUAAGGCGAAUGAAGUGGUCCGGGAACCGAAAGGCACGAAGAGCUGAUUCGAGGAAAUCCCAAUCCACUGUAUCGUAAGCUUUCUGAAAGUCUACCUUUACCGCACAUUUGGGGAGAUAUGGCUGCAGGUGAAAGCCGGCAAAUAACUCCUGGGCUAGGAGGAUAUUAUCACUAAUCCGUCGACCCUUCACGAACGCAUUCUGAAAAGGGCUAUGGCAUCCUGGAGUACUGAGGCGAUGCGGUUAGCCAAUACCUUGGUAAUGCAUUUGUAGAUCGUAUUGCAGCAAGCGAUGGGCCUAUAAUCAUUAACCGAGGUAGCAUUAGGAAUCUUAGGGAUCAACACCAGGAUGGUGGAAUUAAUUUCCCUUAAUAGUCUCCCCGUAACAAAGAAAUCUUUUACAGCUUCAACCGUCAACGGUCCAACAAUAUCCCAAUUACUCUUGAAGAAUUCGACACCAAACCCAUCCGGACCCGGUGCCUUCCCACGUGCUAGAGAAAAGAUAGUGUCCUUAAUUUCCGUCUCCGAAAAGGGACGACCAAGAGAAGCGAUUUGAUCCUCUGAGAGCGGACGACGGAUGGCUUGCUGAAGGUCUCCGAAGGCCGGUCCAAUAGGAGGAGAGCGUGAUGCAAACAACUCCUUAAAAUGAGCGACAAAUGUAUCCUGAACAAGGCUCGGCUCGGAGACAAGGUUGCCAUUCCUAUCAAGAACCGAUAUAACCCUAUUCCUUAGUUGCCUCGUAGUCACAGAGUGAUGAAAGUAUUUAGUGUUUUUAUCACCCCUCUCAAGCCAACGGCUUCUGGAUUUCUGUCUGAAGAAAGCCUCCUCCUAACUCCUCAACUCAACGAACAUCCUCCGAUGACUUUUUUCUAGCUCUGCCAAGAGGACAUUGGUCUGGUCGUGCUGAAGGGCCACUUGAGCUUGUGUAAGAGCAUUUCUGGAUUGAGCAACCCUCUCGGACAGGUUGGAGAAAGAGUCUCUAUUCAACUGCUUAAGACGCCCCUUGAGUGUUUUCAAUUUGGUAACCAACCUGAAGAUGGGUACUCCAUCACUCGGGGUCUGCCACACCUGGGUAAGAAUAUCCUGAAAAGAUGGGUGCUCCAUCCAGAAAUCAAAGAAUUUGAAGGGCUUUCUUCGAAAAACUGGCUGGAUCACCUUGACCACCAUAGGAGAGUGGUCUGAAAUACCAGAAGGUAAAAAGGAAGCUUCUGAGUAAGAGAAAUACAAGCUCCAGAGAGCGUUAACUAGAACCCGAUCAAUCUUCCUCGCUUUCCGAUUAGCCCCCGAAGACGUCGACCAAGUAAACCUAAGUCCAACAUAUCUCAAAUCCUCAAGCUCUGCCUGAUGCAGACACUGAUUAAACUCAUCAAAGCAGGGCGGCCAGGCAUUAGUACCCCCUAGCCUAUCAGACGGGUCUCUUAGGGCAUUGAAGUCACCCGCCACCAUCCACGGUAAGUCGAAAAUACAAGAACUCAUCCUGAUCAAGUCCACCCAUAGAGGUCUCCUACGAACAUAAGAAUUCUGAGCAUAGACUACCGAGAUACAACAACAAGAACCUGUCGAGAUCAGUCUAACUCUUCCAUGAAUAACCUGAUCAUUGGAGGAUAUCUCCUCAAAACAGACCAGCGAAGGGUCCCAGCUGAUCCACACCCUGCCCCCCGGAGAAGAAUCAUAGUUGGCAAUCCACGUCCACCCCGAUAAUAGACUCGACGACAGAGAGCCAAAAAGAUGUUCCGGGACUUUAGUUUCCAAUAACCCAACCAAACAAAGGCCACUAGAGAGAGCCCACUUACGGACCUCGGCUCUCCUCAAAGGAUUCACGAGACCUCUAAUAUUCCAAUAACCGAAAUACAUCUAAGCUAUGUACAAACUACUCUAAACAACGAAGAGCAAAGGGCAGCAAGGCCUACCUCAAUUUCUGAGGCCUGCGGCGCGAAACUCCGGACGGCUCAACAGUCUCCACCGGCUCCGGGACAGGGGCUAAGGACAGCAACCUGUGUUGGAUUGUUUCGACUGAUGUAUCUAUCAAGCGAGGAGGCUGACACGGCGCUUCUGGGGAGGAGAUAUCAUCAUCCUCUGAGGAAGAGGCAACCUCUUCCAAACGCUUUCCAGAGUCCUUCAAGGAUGGGGCACGGGUAGGUCGGGACCCAGCCGUGAGAGAGGAGACGACUUUAGGGGGAGCACUGGCGCCCCUAGCCCCCUUGCGAGCAGAGGCGGAAGGAGGGGGAGCUGCUACCAGCGGUCUGUCCCCAGAAGGCUGGUCAGCAGCCGAAGGGAGAGGGGAUUCACCUAUCUUGAGGUCCUUAUUCCUCUUCCUCCUGUUCUUCACCCUUCUCCAAGGUUGAUCCUGGUCGGGCAAAGUUGGAGUCGGUUGAGGGGAGUCGCUAACAUCUGUGAGGGACGCCUGCACAGAGACCGUGGAAGGUUGCAACCGAACCGGAUCUAUAUCAGACUGAGGUGGGAUGGGGGCAUCCACCGCCCGAGGCAGACUCGGAUCAACUUCUGGCCUCUGCACAUCCUGUUCCAAGACAACAGGCGAAGGAGGAGUGGCCGAUCGCGGAUUUGGAGCAUGGACGACCGGCUGAGCAGGAGCAACCGCAUUCUGCCUAGCUGGAUGACAGACAGCCUGUCCUGCAUUCUGUGUGCGCCUCGUGGGAUUUUCCGGGGGGGGGGGGGGGCAGUUGUGGCCGAAGGCGUUGCAAUCCGGACACGCAAUCGGGAGCCAUUCAUAUUCAAUAUUAAUGACCCGAGAGACACCCUUCAAGGUGAUUUUGGCCUUCUCAACUCUUGGCUGAUUGGCCGUGACCUCGACACAAACUCUUGCGAAGGAGACCAUCUUCAUUUCGUCGGUCCGUUGAUCCACAUACAACGGCUUCCCCGCCACACUAGCUAUGGCACUCAUGGCUGGCACUGUCCAAAUGUCAAACGGAAAAUUCCGUAGGCGAAUCCAAACGGGUAUGGUGGAAUGCUCUUCUCUCUUCAAAUCCAUGAGAGGCUUCCACUGCCGAAGUAUUAACGGCACCCUUGCAAUCGUGAUCGGCCCAUCUUCAAGGAUCUUUCUUCUAAAUCCGGGGUCCGGGAUUUGGAGAAAGAGGAAUCCUUGAUCGUCGGCAAAGAUUUCACCAAUCUUGGAGCCCCACGUUUUCCUCAGCACUUGCUCCACCAAUCCGAAUGGUAGCCUCCUUUUCGCAACCAAUUGGCCAACCAAGCAGUCAUGUCAUUUCGGGUCCAUAGCAUCAAGUGCUUCAUCCAGGAGAUUCACAACAGCCUCUCCCUCCACAAAGGUGGGUGGAACAUAAGACAAUUCGGAACCUUUCACAGCCAAUCUAGCCACAUUUGCCCAAGAACGUGCCGGGGCUUCAUGGUGACCAGCAGGUGCUUUCCCUGGGUGCUUGGAAGUUGAGCGAAAUCGGCUUCGUCCUCUCGACCGACGAGCGCGAAGGUCAGACUCCUUCGAAGCUUGCUGCCUAUUCUUCAUUUCCGGACUAAAGUCAGCAACACCCCUGGGUCCAGAAGAGACCAAGCUCGCACGGCAGAAGCACUAGAAAACCAGAGCAGCUCGAAUCUGCAGCUUGCUGGGAGACAACAGCAGGAGAAGCCAAGCUAGGAAGCUGUAGGAGAAUCCCCCGGCAGAACCGAAUCCCUAGCCGUUUCCCUUCAACCCGCAGAUGAGGAGCGAACAGCAGCUCCCACGUACAGUCACGCGCAGCAACUUAUCCGGAUGGAAUUCCUCAACCAGCUCAACCCAACCAGGGACAUUCGGAGGGUGCGAAGGGCUAAGUCUGGCUAGACUCUCUUCCGAGACUCAACCAAAAACAGCCAUGGAAUCUCACCAAACGAACAGCAGAACAGUCGGACAACCAGAGGAGAAAACUGCAGAAAUUCGUACCCUAGGCCAGACGAUUUCUCUGCAUGCAGGCCUUCUAUUGCGAAACCGUUCGGUGGAAACGUAGAGGGGACUGAGCUGAAUCUUCCUUCCGAAAAUCAGCCGAAACCACCCAUCGUAACUCCUCAAACGAACAACAGAUCAGCCAGAAACCAGAGAGAAAAACUGGGCAGUAAUUCGUAACCUAUGCCAGACGAUUUCUUUGCACACAGGCCAUCUUAUGCGAAACCGUUCGGUGGGAAUGUAGAGGGGCCUGAGCUGAAGCUUCCUUCCGAAAAUCAGCCGAAGACACCCAUCGUAGCUCCUUCAACGAACAAAAACAGCCGAGAAACCAGAGGAGAAAACUGGGCAGAAAUUCGUAACCUGGGGCAGACGAUUUUUCUGCAUCUAGGCCAUCUUUCGCGAAACCGUUCGGUGGGAAUGUAGAGGGGCCUGAGCUGAAGCUUCCUUCCGAAAAUCAGCCGAAGACACCCAUCGUAGCUCCUUCCACGAACACAAGAACAGCCGAAAAACCAGAGGAGAAAACUGGGCAGAAAUUCGUAACCUAGGGCAGACGAUUUCUCUGCAUCUAGGCCAUCUUUCGCGAAACCGUUUGGUGGAAACGUAGAGGGGACUGAGCUGAAGUUUCCCUCCGAAAAUCAGCGCAUUCCGACACCCAUAGCCACGGGAAUCAGCAACACACCAGACGGAUGAACAGUGACUCGGGAAUCCGAGUUGAGAGCAUAGUUUUGGAGAACUUUUUGCAUUUCCCGUUCUUUUUUCCCACUUUAACGAGGAAUAUAUUUUGUGGGCCCCAUAGGAACAGUUUUGUCUACCACUCUUUCCACUCCCCGCGCUCUUGUUCUAGCCCUACAAGACAAGCAUUAUUUCCUUGUUUCUUUGUUUACUCCCCUUUUAACCCAAGUCCUAAAACCCGCUUUACUCUAGGAAAUUAUCCGAUUCGAUUCUAUAAGGGUCAUGUCAUCAAACAAAGGGGGACAAUUGCCUGUUGAAUAGAAUCGAAUAUGUGUUGAUAAAAUAUUGACCAUUUUAAAAUGACUUGAUUUAUGACCCGAAUUCAUAUUAAAUUUAGAUUCGAUCUGAUCUAUUUGGUGAGUUGAAAUUUAAGAUAUCACGAUGGAAGAUUAGACUUAGAACAAUACAAGGAGGGAGGGGGGGAGGGGGAGAGAUAUGGGAGGUGAAAGAUGAUUCUUUCGUAUUUUUCUUUUUCCAAUUUGAGGAUUCUUUUUCACUUUUUCAAAGUUUUCCAAGGUGAAGAAAUGAUGAGAUGCUUGAGAAUUACAAUCUCGUUUGUAAAUGGAUCGAGAAAACUAUCCAAAAAGUUCUAAACUUAUUAUAUUUUAUCAAUUCAAUUCUUAAUUUUUUUAAUUUUACUAACAAAUUCAUUAACAUUUUGACAAUUUGCUAAUUGAGUCUAUCCAAGCGACCGGAAAUCGUUAACAUGAACACUAGGCAUCUUGCUUCACACGUAGUCAUUAGAGUGGACAUUUUUAAUAACAUUUUUGAAUAUUUUAUUCCCAUUUCUUUACUUUCUUUUUUAUUUUUGGAGUGAUGGCCGACCAAAGCAAGGGUGUGUGAGCCCUUGCCUAUGCAAGGGCUGCCAAACCUUCGCCUAGCCUAGAUCUAACGAAAGUGUCAUGGCAUUCAUUAGAUCUAGGUAAGAGCUCGUGAGCUCUCGUUUAGUGUCGGGGACCUAGCCUAGGCUUUCAACAGCCAUGGUGAGGGCCCAUAUGGCCAUUGAGGAUUGCAAUGCCCUCACCCAAAACUAGUGAGGAUCGCCAGCCAUCACUCCAAAAACCAAAAAAAUAAAUAAAUAAAGAAUAAAAAAAAAAAAGCUAUUUGUCAUCGUUGAUAGCAAUGUGUGUUAACUUGACUAUAGAUGCUACGAUAAGAACAGAGAAAUAGAGAUGAGCUGUUAAUGGUAUGCGUAAAGAAACAAGGUGGAUGAACGCGAUGACUUCUUCAUCCUUUGCAAUGGCGCUGAGAUAUUUUAUAUAGGAGCGAGAGGUUGUUUUGAUUUCUUUCGUUGAUCAAUAUCUUGUAAUUGUUUAUCUUACAUUACCUGUUUUUCAAUAUAGAACUUGAAUAUCACGGCUACAGAUGGAAAAUAAACCUUUUUAACUAGAAUUUUUUACUAGGUUCACAGUUGGUAGAAAAAUCUUCUGUUGCAGCAUUACAACAAUUAUGCGUAUAUGAUGUCUAUUUGAUUAUAUCGGGUGAUGUAAAUUUAUGGAUUAUAUGUAAGUAUUUUUUCCCGUCAAUUAAAACUAUUUCUGUUUUGGAUAAUUGACCGAAUUAAAUGGUUGUGCACACAUUAACGUGAUGCUUUCUAGCUUUUUCCAGCAAUUCCUUUUGAAUUUCUAUUUUACUGGGAGUACAGGGAGAUACAUGUACGUUUUUUCUUUUAUGUAGUUGGAUUGACGAUAUCUUUACUCUUAUUUUCCGAUGACUGAGUUUUGACUUCUUUCGAUGCAAUUGACUAUAUGCUUGGAGAUGUAGGGGCUAAAUAAUUUCAUAAACAUUUUGUCUUUUUUAAUUUCAUAAACUUUUCAUAUGUCAUUAUCUUAAAUUCGCAUCUAAGUAAAAGAAAGAACGAUAUUCAAAGUCCUUAGUAAUUGUCAUUCAAAUGAUGAGGUAUGAUCAAUUAAAAUCUAACAAUAAAAAUUUUGGAUCACUGGCUUGGAAGAACUUGUGAUUGAGGGUUGUAGCAUAAUUAGCUUAAAUAUUAAAAUUAUAGGAAAACUGAGCGCAACUCUCGUGGACCUUAUCUUCAUUACGUUUCAUCAAAUAAAUUGGGUGUAAUCAGCUGUGCAAUUGAUGUAGCCUCGUACCCCCGUCGGCAGCUUGAGGUUGACAUAACACAAAGCUUUAAUAAUUCCCAAGGGACGGACGACGGUGAAAAAGCAACUUAACUCCACCCUGGUUAACUUUUAGCCUCACUUUGCGCUGUCUCCUCCACCACCUCCUCCUGGUCUGUGUUUUAGAGAGAGAGAGAGAGAGAGUGUGUCGUUGGUACGUGUUAUCAACGUGUGGCUUUGUGAAUUGUUACAUCGCUUUGCCUUGAACGAAUCGGAAAGAGGGUCAUUCCACGGAGGUUAAUAGCGAAGGGAGGUCAGCAAGAGAGAGAGAGAGAGAGAGAGGUGGUCCCAUAUAAUCCAUGAAAUAGGAUGACAUUAUCGAGUGCAAGCAGCACCGAUAUGGAGUUCAUGAUCCCCUCAAACAUACAUAUAAUUACAUAAAAAAUACUUCAUAUUAACUAGAUCCAUGGUGUGAUCAAUCAAUGAGAUUGGAUUCUUUAGAACUAUUAAAUCGAGGUUUCAAGAAGUAAAUGAUGAUUAUAACAAAGGCAUCUUCCAUGAACUUUCAAUUUCUCUCAAUCAGAUGGAGGCAUUUGCUCUUUUGGAGAUUCCGUAGAUGUUGUGUAAAGAUGAUCAUAUGAAGCAUUACACUAUCCAUGUAAGCGCGGCCACCGUGCAUGCAUUAACAAAAGUAUGAAAUGGAGCUCAGGUUCGCAGAGUCCAUGUAAAAGAAAUACAGGUAAGUUCACUGUUACCAAGCUUUUGAUGAAAGAGAGCAUCAUAUUGAUAAAAGAUCAAAAAAACCUCAAUACAAGUAGCCAGAUUUUCUAAAUGUGAGAGGGAAGUUCGAAGUUUUAUAUAUGAUAUGUGUCGGCUGGCCUUUAUUUAGUUUGCGAAAAUGGUGGUCUUUUCAGUUCAUGCUUUUAUCUAAGAACGAUUAGAGAUUCUUCUAUAAAAUUUCAUAUGAUAUUUUAUCCAACAAUUUAUACUUUUAGAAUAGUUCAUAUUAUAUUUUAUCUGACAGCUUAAACUUUUAAAACACUUAACAUAACGCACUAAAACUUUGAUAAUUCCCAAAUGACCACUAAUGGUCAAAAGGCAACUUUACUCCACCUUGUUAACGUUUUAUGUAUUAUAUUUUCUCUGACGAGAGAGAGAGAGAGAGAGAGAGAGAGAGAGAGAGAGAGAGAGAGAGAGAGAGAGAGAGAGAGAGAGAGAGAGAGAGAGAGAGAGAGAGAGAGAGUGUGUGUGUGUGUGUGUGUGUGUGUUAUGUAGGGAGAGACACAGAAGCAUUUGGAAGUCUGUAGUGAGAAGUUUCAGCUUUGUGAACUGUUUCGUUGCUUUUGCUUAGAAUGAAUCGGAAAGAGGAUCAUUCCGUGGAGGUUAAUAGCAAAGAGGUCAUAGAGAGAGAGAGAGAGUCCCAUAUAAUCCAUGAAAUAGGCUGAUAUUGAGUUAAUGAUCCCCUUUAACAUACAUAUAAUUACAUACAAAUACACUUCGCAUUUAUUGGAUCUAUGGUGUAAUCAAUCAAUGAAAUAUUACCUAGAAUUAUUAAAGUGAGGUUUAGAGAAAUAAAUGAUGAUUAUAAUAAAGGCAUCUUCCAUGAACCUUCAGUUUCUCUCAACAAAGUUUUGUAUGUUGCUCUAAACCUAUGCAUAUUCACAAGAUUAAUAAAUAGGUGUCUUUUAGUUACCAAUGGAGUAUCUAUGACCUCUUUAGUUGCAUUUGGCAAUCAAGAUCAGAUUCAAGAUAUGAUAAAAUAUAUCAUAUCUUGUGUUUAAUGCAUGCUUAAGACAGGAUAAAGUCAAAUAUAAAUAGAUAUAAAUCAAAUUAAAUUAUCUCAUGGGGGGAGGUAAGAUAAAUGUGGAUAAGAUUUCUAAUAUCCAUAAUAGAAAAGUUAUUUUUAUGAAUAACAAACUUCUUAAAUUAAGAAAUUAAAAUUAUAUUUAAUAUAGUUAAUAUUUGAAUUCUAAUAUGAGAAGUUCAAAAUAACAAAAAAAAUAAUAAUUUAGUUAUUUUAUUUUUAUCUUAUUUUUAUCUAUAUAUUCGAAUUUAAUUAUAUUUUAUAAUAUAAAUUCAAUAUAUAAAUAUAGAUAUACAUUUAUAUUUAUUACAUAUUUUAGGUAUAUUUGUACAGUUUACUAUUUAAUAAAAAUUUAUUAUAAAAUGAUGGAAGGGUAAGAAAGAAAUAAAAAAGAAAUUAAUUAAAAAAGAGAGGAAAAUAAAAUAAAAAAAAAGUAAAAAAGAGUGUCCCGAAAGAUUUUUAACAUAUUCAUUUGUAAAAUUUUUAGUUCAUUUUUACUAAUAUGCCAUUUUUACUAAACAAUGUAUAUGAUAUAAUAUGAAUAUAUUUGACUUUUAUCACUACAAAUAUCAAACAAUGGAUAAGAUAUAUCAAAAACCCUGGAUUUCAUAUCCUAUCCUAGUUAAAAAUUCGAACAAUCAAAUAUAAUCUUUAAGCAUUCGAUUGAUUUUCAUCAGGUGUGACAGUCACUGCAUUUCACACCUACCAAAUAAUUACUAGAGACACGGUUUUUAUAUUACAUUCUUUUGAAAAACUAUUAGUUGCCACACUUGAUUUUUUUAUCUCAAUUUCUAUAUGAAGUUGGUUUUGGCAGCUUAACGUUCUAAACUUGGGAGCUAAGUGCCUUGUCCUUUUUUGUUACUCCUGGGAAGGUUUUGUGAAUAUUUUUUCUAUACUAGAAACAAUUACUUAUCUAAUUUCUAACCUUAAUCUUGCAUUACAUAUGUCCUUUUUUUCAUGUGAAAAAAUAAGAUAUAAUUCGUGCAUACCUAUAGGGACCAAAAAUCUACGGAUAAGUACAUUGGAAACCCUAAGACUUAUCAUAAAAGUGCAAUUGAGUUCUAAAAUUUAUCAAAAGUGCAAUCAAGCUCUAAAAAUUGUCAAAUUGAUACAAUCAAAUCAUUCCAAUAACUCCAUCCAAUUAGACUAAGGUGACUUUUUUAAUAUUUUCCCUUCUACGUGGCAUUAUCUUAUUAAAACAUGAAAGACAGGACUAAAAUGAAGUUGUUUUGAUAUAAAUCCUACUUUUUUAAUUGAAAAAUCAAUUAAAUGAGAUCAAGAAAUAAAAGAGGUACUUGGCAGACUUAUUACAUACAAGAUGCUUUUAUAAGGAAAAUAAUACAAACUUUCAAUGAGAAAAGCAUUUUGGUCAAGACUAGUGGUGAAGUGAUUGGAAUUGGAGUGUAUUAUCUGAAUCGAAAUCUGGCCUUCGGCUGCUGUUGAUUUGCUGGAGUCAAGCACGGCUCUCGUAAUUUUGAGCUGGCGGGGCCUGAAGUCAACUUCAAUACAAAAGAAGUUGGGGAGUGAGCCCUUUUGUUUUCAAUCAAACGUAAUCAGAUGAAGGCAUUUGCUCUUUGGGAGAUUUCAUAGAUGUUGUGUAAAGAUAAUCAAACGAAGCCUUGCACUAUACAUGUAAGCUCGGGCACCUUGCAUGCAUCGACAAAAGCACAAAAUGGAGCGAAGGUUCGCAGAGUCCCUACAAAAAAAUAAAAAAAUACUGGUGAGUUAAGAGUUACCGAGCUUCUGACCAAAAAUAACAUCAUAUUGAUAAAUGAUCAAGGGAUCCUCAAUACACGUAUCGGGAUUUUCUCAAAUGUGAGGGAAGUUGGAAGUUUUAUAUACGAUGAUGGCAUGAUGGCAAACGGCCUUUGUUUUAUUUUGCGAAAAUGGUGGUCUCUUCAAUCUACAUCUUCAUCUAAUAAUUUAAAACUUUUAGAAUAGUCAGUAUCAAAUUUCACAUGGUAUUUCAUCCAACAGUUCAAGCUUUUACAAAAUUACACAUAUUAUUUUAUCUCAGAGUUUGGGCUUUUAGAACAAUUGACAGUGGUUCUAUAAAUUCUCAUAUGGUAUCAAAGCUAGGAGGUCUUGAGUUCAAAUCUUCCGUGCUCCUAAUUACCUCUCCUUAAUUGAUCUUUUUUGGAAGUCAUGACAUUAGAAAGUCUUAAUUGGAUCUCUGGUAUGACCAGAAAGCAUCAAUUGCACAUGUACCCUAUGGUUAAUAUGUAUGCAGCUCAGUGGAAGAUAUUCAGCUAUUGCCAUAUCUAUGUGCUCUUGAGAUUAUUAUUUCAUAACAUGCUUGUCCUUUAAUCAAAAUUAGUGAUGGACGGUAAAAAACAUAGUACUAAAGCCCAUGGUGAUUAAUGAUGAGUCCAUCAAAAGAUGACCUUCAGAAAUUAAUGUUUACUUUACCUCCACAUCUGACAAAUGGAACAUAGUUCAGCUAUCGUGAUGAAGAAGAGAUCCCAUAGGAUGCCAAGGAAUAACCGAUGAUAAAGCCUUUUUCUAAAUUCUAAUAGAAUACUAAUCGAGGGGCUCCAUUUGAUUCCUCACAUGAAGUACUUUCUUUCAAAAAGUUUUAGGGGUCACGUGAUAUCCAUUAUAGCUUUGUAACAAAUACAGUAGCUACUCUGAUGACAAAAUACUGUGAUAAGUAAUAUGUUCGUGGUAGUCGUGCUAUAUAUUAAGUAAUCUUUAGGUGUCAUUGUGUACGGCAGAUUUAUGCAUGUAAAACUCAAAUGGCUCUUCAUUAACUCGACCGGUUUGGAUUUAUGACUGAUACUGCUCCACCAUGGAAUGAUGAAUUGGGAAAUUUUGAUCUCAAGAAAAGGAUAAUCUCUAGGGAAAUGCUCAUCUCGUUUCAUCGGAGUCCAGCUAUCCCGAAAUAGAACGAAAUUGUGGACUGCCUGGGGAUAGAACGAAAUUGUGGACUGCCUGAAUCAAAACAGAUGCACAUCUACAAAAGGGUCUCAAGACUCUCAACCACCAGAGGUCACGUCAAUUUCAAUACUUGAAAAUCUUUCUACGGUGUAAGACGGUGUCUGAAAUUGCUCACCUCAAGCUAUGGUGAUGGGAGGGUAUCCUCGGGAAAAUAAAAAUUUAUGUUAGUGGACAUGGGCCCAGGGGUGGGUUUAUGUGUAACUUGGUAGCGCUCUCUCUAUUAAAGCCAGAUGCUCCUCUUUCUGAGCGUUGCAACUCUCAAUGAUCUCUUCCUCCCUCUAGAUUUCCAUCUCCAUUUACGCCUAUUGCUGGAAGCUGUCUCUUUUCUCCUAAUUUUUCGUGGUUGUGGAUUCAUCCUGCUGAAUCUUUCCAGUUCAGUCAUUUCGUUUCGUUUCCGGGUUCCAUCAGUUCAUAUAUCGAGAUGGCGGAUAUCGUUCUGUCUGUAGCUUCCAAAGUGGCAGGGUACCUGGUGGCUCCGGUCGGUCGUCAAUGCGGCUACGUGAUAUUCGCCAGCAGCUAUGUUGACCAACUUGAGGAAGAACUUGACAAGCUGAAAGACGCGAGUCAAAGGGUGCAGGAUGAGGUCGAUGUAUUUGAAAACAACAUGAAGCCGAUUCAAUCCGACGUCAAGAAAUGGGUGGAAAAAGCGAAGACCGUCAUCAACAAGGCUACCGUGCUGAAAAACGAUGGAAGAGCCGAAAAAACUUGCUUCUGCGGCAGGCUUCCCAACCUGAAGGCGCGUUAUUGUUUUAGCAAAGAGGCGAGGAGGACGGCCAAGGAGAUCCAGGCACUGAUCCUACAGUGUCAUUUUGCCAAGGUUGCGUACGAGAAUCCUCCACCGGGGCUUGUUGGCGGUGCGCACGAGGUGAAUUCGUCGGCCGGUGAUGGGAGUGACACUGUCUCUGAUUCGCGAACUUCCAUCUUUCAGGGCAUAAUGAAAGCUCUGGAUGAUGAGAAGCACAAAGUGAUUGGGGUCUGCGGGCCUGGCGGCGUGGGAAAGACUACGCUGUUGGAGGAAAUCGAGAAGAAACUCAAGAAAGAGGGGAGACCGUUCCAAAUGAUUGUCAAAGCGACAGUCUCGCGGACUCCAGACUUGACGAAAAUCAUAUACGACAUCGCUUAUGGCUUGAGUCUAAAUCUGAAGGACGUGCCGAGCGAAGACGGAAGAAAAGAUCUUCUGUCCAAGAGACUAAAGGACUUGAAUGAGAAGGUUCUCAUAAUAUUGGAUGACCUGUGGGGAGCACUUGAUUUGAAGGCGGUUGGAAUUCCUUCGGGAGACGAGAGCGUGAAAUGCAAAUUGUUGCUCACUUCGAGAGAUAAAAGUGUGCUAGAGCAAAGGAUGCGUGCCGAUAGAACAUUUCAUCUUAAAGGUUUAAGCGACGAAGAAGCUUUCAGCCUAUUUGAAAGGAUGGUCGGCGACAAGCUCAAAGACGAUGAGGAACUGAAAGCAAAGGCGGCUCAAGUGGUAAGGAAGCUUGCAGGUUUGCCCCUUUUGAUUACCUCCGUUGCAAGCACCUUAAAAUGUAGCAAUGUGUCCACGUGGGAAAGCAUGUUAAUAAAAGUAGAAGACCCAAAUAACGAGAGAAUAGUGAAGUGGAGUUACGACCAUUUGCAGUAUGAGGACGCCAAGUGCUUAUUCUUGCUUUGUGGUCUUAUUGGUGGGACCAUUGAAGUCGAACUUUUGCUGGGGCUAGGCAUGGGUUUGGGCUUGUUUGAGGGAUAUAACGAAAGAGUACAAUAUUCAAGGAAUAGGUUGAAUGAGAUGCUCGAUAGCCUCCAUUCCUUUUGUUUGUUACAAGAUGGUGGCGAUGGCAAGAAAAAUGUGACCAUACAUGAUCUUUACAGCGAGGUGGUUGUUUCACGUGCAUUUGGAGGUCAGAAUUCUUUAAUGAUGAACAGCAAUUAUGGCCCAUGGUCAAAGGAAAAGCUUGAGAAAUGUUGGGCUAUACGCCUAGCUUGUGUUGACAAAGAUAGGCUUGAUAAACUAAUGACGUGUCAGUUUCCUGACUUGAAGAUACUCAUGUUGUCUCAACCAAAAGGCUGGAGUUGGAUGCAAGUACACGAACAUGAAGUGGGAGAUUGCUCUGGACUACCAGAUUUCACAUACAUGAAGGAGCUCCGUGUCCUAUAUUUUCGCUCUAUGCUUAUCGACAGUUUACCUCCCUCGAUUGGAAUCCUCGAGAACCUCCACUCUUUAUACUUACAGCAUUGCAAUGUGGAGGAUGUGGCAAUUUUUGGCAAGCUCAAAGCAUUGCAGAUUCUCAGCUUUAUGUGGUCCACAAUUUCUAGGCUACCUAAAGAAAUGGGGGAACUUACAAAUUUGAGAUCGUUGAAUCUAAGCAACUGCAAAAAGCUUCAAAGAGUCGAGCCUGUUGUCCUAGAACGCUUAAUCAAAUUAGAAGAGUUACAUAUGAAGGGAAGCUUUAAUCGAUGGAUGGGCAAAAAUGAAAAACCAUCGGAAUUGUGUAAUGCUGGGCUUGCCGAGUUGGGGAGCAUGACAAAGCUAAAUUCUUUGGAAAUAUCGAUUCGUGAUCCCAUCAUACUCUUGGAGGUUGAUGACCUGCCAUUUGAGAACUUGACUAGAUUUUGGAUCAACAUUGGAAAUGCUGAAGGAAGGGAAUUUAAAGGUUUGAGAACCAUGAAGAUCAAAUUGGAAGGGCAUGAUGGUAUUCUUUCAAAAAAAUGGGUCCUGAAAACUCUCCAAAAGACUCAAUACUUGCUUUUGGACGGAUUGGGAGAGUUCGAGAAUGCUCACAAGUUGUGCAUUCGAGGAUUUUCACAACUGAAGCAUCUCGACAUUCAGGAUAGCCCAUCAAUAAAGUAUAUUGCCAGUUCAUCCAAUAGUGCUUUUACGAUUUUGGAGUCUUUGUUCGUCAACAAUCUUAUCAAUCUGGAGAAGAUAUACCACGGCCACAUCGCCGCAGAGUGCUUUAGCAAACUAAAAGCUUUGAGAGUCAAAGUGUGCAACCAAUUGAAAUACUUGUGGUGUCUUUCACAAAUGCAAAAUCUUGUACAGUUAGAAGAGAUUAAAGUAUGGAAAUGUGACUCAAUGCAAGCCAUUGCAAGAAAAUAUAUAGUCCCUGCCGAUUACAAAGUUGAGUUGCCUUACCUUCGUCGUUUGGAUUUGGCUAAGCUACCAAAUAUGAUGAGUUUUUGCACAAGAGCUGAGAUGACUUCGGAAGGUGCUCCAAUUCAGGUAACUUUUUCAUUUUCUCCCGUGUCAGUUUGUCUUAUUGAGAGGGUAUAAGUUUCAUUCACAUACUACACAUUUUCAUUCACAUUCAACUAUAGGUAGAGGGAAGCCUCUUUCUAUGACUGUUUUUUUUUUUUUCUAUUUUUUUCUAUUUUAGAUAAUUGCACUAAUUAAUUGGGUUCAAGGGUUUCUACUAUGACUAAUUUAUUACUCAUGUCACAUUUUUAAUGAGUAGAAGAAACAGUGUAUUGAACGAACGAACCUUCGAUGAAUGAACGAAAUUGAAUAUUUUCAAAAUGAAUAAAGCAACCUCCGGAGAUUAAAUAAACCGAAGGCGAACGAAGAGUCACAUAACAAAGAAAGUCCACGUGGUUCAUGUCCCAACUUCAUGCAAGUUGGAACUGAUUCCCACAUAUCAUGCCAUCAUAACCGUGUCAACGUCAACUACUUUGGGGAUUUUUCCUUCUUCAUUUUCUCAGGCUUGAUGGAAGAUCUUAAGCUUUCCCUCUCCAUCCAAUUGAGUUUUAAAUAUUUUAUACCGAUCGAUUAAGUUUGCGACAUUUUUAAAAGCAAUAAUAAGCCCAUUCAUACACUUUGGGUCCAUUCAUAUUCUUUUAGGCAGGGGUUGUGGAUGGAGGAGGAGGAGGAGAUGAAGGGACAGAGCUAGUCACCACUACUUCAGAUUUACAAAAUACCUAUUCAGAUUCCUUCUUCGAUAGAAAGGUAAAUAGCCCUUCUCUUGAGAUUUUACCCACAAUAACCAUAGAUACUCAGUUUGCUACGGCAGGUAACAAUAUCUUUUUGAAGAAUCUUAUUUGGUUUUAUUUGUUAAAAUGUGUUAACAAUUUAUAAGUACAUUUAUCAGUGAAUAUUAAUUCUUCCACCACAUUAGAUUGGUGAUUAGGAUUUGCCUAAAUUGUCAAAUUUUUCACAAUUGUAAUCCAACGCAUGACUCUUAUGAGCAGGUUAGUUUACCGAACUUGGAAGACUUAGAGCUUGACUCAGUGGGAUCCUUCAAAAGGAUAUGGCACGAUGAACUUUCCAGAAGUUUCUUUUGCAAAUUAGCCACCAUGAGUGUCAAGAAUUGCUCCGACCUACUCCACAUCUUUCCUUCGACGAUCAUAAGGGAAUUGCACCACCUGAAAAGUGUUGAGGUUAAAAACUGUCCAUCCUUGAAAUCAUUGUUUGAUUGUAGAUCCCUGGAUUCAAAUACGGAACAAGCUAUGGUGUUGCUCCCCGAAUUGUUUAGCAUCAACGUUGAAAGCUGUCCCUCCCUAGAAUCGUUGUUUAAUUGUGGGUUGCUUGAUUCAAAUGCGGAACAGAAAAUUAAAUUGCUCCCCAAAUUGGAAGAACUGAGAGUGAGUGGAGCAAAAAAGUUGAGAAAUGUGGUCAUGAGCCACUCCCAAAUAGUUUUGGGUUUUCCUAGUCUUGAAAUUGUUAGUGUUGAGAAUUGCUCUGACCUGAGAUAUCUCUUUUCUAAUUAUAUGGCCACAAAUUUGGUGAAACUUGAGAGGCUAGAAAUUAUUAAAUGCGAACGGAUGAAGGAAGUGAUUCUCAAGAAAGAAGUUGGUCAAUCAAAGGCAGAAGUGAUGAGUUUCCCUUGCUUAAAAUAUCUAAGAAUUGUGGGGUGCCGUAACUUUGGAGCGUUCAUAUCGAGUCCCACAAGUGUCAAGAGGCAGCUAGGUGAGACGGCCGAAGAAAAUGAUGAAUCGCCACAACCGCUGUUCAAUGAGAUGGUCCGUUCUAUUAUUUAUUGUGAUCAUUUGGAUCCUCACAUUAUCAUGUUUUAUAAUGAAGAACAUAAUAAAUUUGUCUUACUUAUCCUCCUUUCUCACAUUAUCCUCGUGCAGGUCACAUUUCCCAAUAUAAGAAGUCUAGAUAUUGAAGGCAUUCCAUGCAAAGAGCUAUGGAACAACCAUGUUCUCAUCGAUUCUGUUGUUUGUUCUCAUCGAUUCCUUUUGGAAAGUGUCGAGGUUAAAAAUUGUCCAGCCUUGAAAUCAUUGUUUGAUUGUGGGCCCUUGGAUUCAAAUACGGAACAAACAACAGUAUUGCUUCCCGAAUUGGCAAGCAUCAACGUUGAAAGCUGUCCCUCCCUGGAAUCGUUGUUUAAUUGUGGGUCCCCUGAUCCAAAUGCAGAACACAAAAUUAUAUUGCUCCCCAAAUUGGAAAAAGUGAGAGUGAGUGAAGCAAAAAAGUUGAGACAUGUGGUCAUGAGUCACUCCCAAAUAGUUUUGGGUUUUCCUAGUCUUGAGACUGUCAGUGUUGAGAAUUGUUCUGAUCUGAUAUAUCUCUUCCCUAAUUAUACGGCCACAACUUUGGUGAAACUUGAGAGGCUAGAAAUUAGUAAAUGCGAACAUAUGAAGGAAGUGAUUCUGGAGAAAGAAGUUGGUCGAUCAGAGGUAGAAGUGAUGAGUUUCCCUUGCUUAAGUGAAUUAAUACUUAAGGAGCUUGAUAACCUGAUUAGUUUCGGUUCGGGAAGUUGUUCAUAUUAUUUUUCCUCCUUAAGAAAUCUAAGAAUUUUGGGUUGCUGUAACUUUGGAGCAUUCAUCCCAAGUCCCACAAGUGUCAAGAGGCAGCUAGGCAAGACGACCGAAGAAUUUGAUGAAUCGCUACAACCGUUUUUCAAUGAGAUGGUUCGUUCUAUCAUUUACUGUGAUCAUUUGUAUUCUCGCACUAUCAUGUUUUAUAAUGAAGAAUGUAUUGAAUUUGUUCUACUUAUCUUCCUUUCUCACGUUAUCCACAUGCAGGUUACAUUUCCUAAUAUAACAAGUCUGGAAAUUGAUGGCCUUCAAUGCAAAGAGCUAUGGAACAAUCAAAUUCCCACUGAUUCCUUUCAGAAGUUGAAAUUUCUCAAAUUGAAUAACUGUGACAAUCUUCAACGUAUUGCCUCUUCUUAUAUGUGGAAGAAGCUGCAGCGUUGUCUCAAGGAACUUGAAGUGGUUUCAUGCCGUUUGAUCGAGAUCAUAUACGAUGGUGAUGGGACAGAUACUGAGAGUGGUGAAUUGAGGAGGCUGGUUUUGCAUGAUCUCGAAAACUUGAGAUGCGUUUGGCAGUUAGACAGUCUCCCAACCAUCCCGUUCCCAAAUUUGAGAGAUGUAAAGGCCGUGAGGUGCCACCGUUUGGAAAUGCUUUUCCCUAUCUUCACAGCGAAAUUUCUCGGGCAAAUCGAAGAGCUGAUGGUGGAGUCAUGUGAAGAUAUGGAAAUAAUUAUUGGUCAUGAAAAAUGGGAAGAAGCAAUCGGCACCACAAUCACCUUCUCCGAAUUAAUUGUUCUUAGACUUCUUAAGUUGCCGAAAUUCAGGGGCUUCUUACCUGAGAAAUACUCUCUAAAAUUCUCGUGCUCCGAGGACUUCCCAUCCUUGCGAGUCUUGAGUAUAGAAAGCUGUGGAGCAGAGCCGGACCAAGUCCUUGGUGACUGGCUGGACCAAAUGCAACGAGAAUUGUGCAUGCUCGAAAGAAUUGAGGUAUUCCUUCAAUAUUUCAUUUCUCAGUGAACCCACACGUACUCUACAUCAUGUAGCCCUCUCUCUUCCUUUCUCUCUCUAGCUCUCUUCCUUACUCUCUUCAACUAACGAUUUGUCGAUUCCCUUUUAUACUCAGGAAUAGUGCCCUCUGGAGUCCCCUUGAUCUUCAUUCCUUGUUCAUUCUCCCUUUCCGUCGCCUUCCAUCGACCAACAGCCGCCAUCAAGAGUCCAUCGCUGGCCACCACACGACGUGGCACGCUGAGAAGGGACGAAUGACAAAGAGCAUUGCUCGAAGGCUCUUGGUGAUUUCAAUUGAAUCCUUUCCUCUCACUUUGCUGCUGGUCGUCACCGCUUCCCGAUCACCACCUGUUUCGCUGCCGCGAGGAAGUUCUGUAAUGCCGGAGUGCUCAAACUUUGAUCAUGACUGCCUGCUUCCACGACUCCAUCCCUUGAUGUUGCUUCUGUUAUCUCCUGGCUCAUGUCCGAUGUCAAUCGCCAUAACUAAUCGUUCUUCAUUCAACUAAACCAUGCAUGCUCUGUUUUCCAUUGCUAUUGCUACUAUCUGCGUGCAAAUUGACUGUGUGAUAGAGGCUAUAUUAAUGAUUUGAACUAGUGCUCCUCCGCUGAAAUGUGUACCAUCUGUUUGAUGAAAUUGUUUUGAACUAAAUUUGUGUGUAUUUUGAUUUAGUUCUUGACUAGAUUCUUGAUCUAUUCUGGUCAUACAAGCGUAUUUGAGUUUUGUUGCUUCAUAAGAAAAACCAUAGGUAUUCAAUUUCAAAUUUGUUUUGAAUUUGUUGGAAACUUGCCAGUGCAUGUUGAUUUGUGGCUAUUGUGGCCCUGAACUGAUGUGAUUCUGCUCAAGUAAGCAUGUGCAGUAAUAUAAGAUUGUGUUAUGGUGACUUUCAUGUUCGCUUGGGAAAGAAAUUAUGGCAUGAAUGAAUGAAAUUCUAUUGGAAAUCGAUCCGUAGAUGCAGACUCUGUCUUGAUAUGCCUGAUUUGGCGGGUUAUUGAUUCCAUCUUGAGACUAGUUUGGUCAUGGGAUCGUAUAUUUUCAUGCUAGGAAAGUAAUAUGGUGAAUCUCAUGCCAAUUUUGUGAGAAUUAUAGUCAUAUGGCUUGUAGGAAGAUAUGGCUUCAAUUUCAUGUCUAUUAGUCAUCAAAUGAUCACGAUUUGUAGUCAUGUAUGCUCUGUUACAAUUCUGAACGUGUGCUAGAAAUUUUUGGAAUGAGCAUGAAUCACAUGGAUUUUGUCUUUGGUUUGGUUGCCUUUUUGAUUGCUUGUGGAUAAAUGAUAUCGCGUGUGCAUUAUUAGAUUGAUGAAAUGCGUGCUUAUUCUUGGCCUUAUAAAUGAUUUAGAGGACUCCGAUGUUAAUUGAAGUUUAAUUGCAUGAUUCUUGCAAUUCCUCUGCUAGUACACAUAUUCUAAAGGUGAUCUGGUAGAUUGAGCUAGAUCCGAGGAAAUCUCUCAACAAAGCUGGUCAAUGAGACCCCUUGAAAUAUCGCACGUACGACGCUUGCCAACAAAGUACAUGUUUUCUCUCCCUCUCCUUCAAUGCUCACCUUUCAAGGCUUAUUUAUAAGAGCUAUUGCUUAAUCUAAUCGAUCCUUCAAGUGUGUGUGUUUGUGCUAACAUAGUGUACACAACACCAAUUGGAACCUACUCAUUCAUGAUGUCCUUUCCUUCCUUGGAGUGUUCACUGGCCACUGCUGUUCAAAAUGAUGUUUCAAAGAUACGACUUUUGUUUUCCUCCCUCCCUCAUAAAACUCGCAAAAGCAACCCUCACCAACACUACCAGUACCCCGCCCUUGAAAUCCAUCAAGACCUGCCCAUAUGUUCCCCCUGGAGUAGGUGCAUAGUUCAGAUUGUCUCCCCUAUAAUCCAUUCUGCAAUGGAACUGUAGAGCUCCAACUAUCUCCUCGCAGUAGGUCUCCCCAUUGAUUGUAGGUCCCCUGAUCUGAAAAAGUUGAAUCUUUCCCUCUAAGAGGUUCAUGCUAUAAAUCUCGAAUGGAAAACAUUUAGGCAAGAACUUGAUGAACCAUAUGAAUUUAUCUUAAUGUCCACACGAUAAUGUCAACUCAUAUGAAGCAUUUUAUACAACAAUGGCAUCGUGUGUCCUUUCCACAACUUGCUUUAAUUAGUAGAGAGUAUCUAUUUGAAUCAUUACUUUGUCAUGCUCAUGAAUGCUCAUUGCACUCAUAUUUCUUCAUUUCAACUGCUCAAAACAAUGAGAUUUAACCCAAAAUCACUAGAAAAUUUUGUUAUAUAUUAUUGCAUUUGUACACCGUCAGAAUCAAAUGCCACUAAUUUGACAUGAUUGAUCAUGUCGUGAGAGCAUCGGGAAGAGUGGUGGGCGAUCCGAGGAUUUUGCCGCCCACAUCAGAAAACCUUUCAAAACUGGCCAAAGGAUUGACUUUACCGUCUCUGCUCACAAGGAUGGGACACUGCAUCAGGUGCCCUCUCAUUUCCCUGGGAUCAUGUUGGUCCUCAUCCGCAUAAGCUUUCCAAUUCCGUUUGGCUAUUUUGUUCACCCUAUUUACACAAUCAAUGCUUUGAGGUUCCCUAAAGCUGUCCUCUAAAUCUCCCAAGUGCUCCACUCAAAGUGACAUCCUAUAAUCGUAAACCUGCAUAGCGUAAGUCAACAUAAUUAUACAAAAGCUUAAGGUUUUUGAAUGGAUGUCGCUGCACUCGCUCGGACAUACGCUUUGUAUAUGCUAUUCAAAUGAGAGGCUAACCCGAUGUAACUAACCUGGCCACGCGGAUGCCUCUUUUUCCCAGCCCAAGUGUGGCAUGGCUGAUAAGCCCCCAUUGCAAUUUCAGUGUCUCUUGAGCCAUCCAGAGAUCUUUGGUUGAUAUUUGCCGAUCCCAUGAUCACAUACUCAUCAUCUACUAUCAUUCCUUUGGCAUGCACAUAUAUCAUGAAUCUGCGAAAACUUUUGAACCAACGCUUGCAUGGAUAGAAACAACAGCAUGCUUCAACCAAAAGUCUUUUUACCACUCAUGCUCUUAAUGACUUUUUUCGUUUUGUUUUUUUUAACGGAUGAGUCAAAGGAAGAAUCCCUGAAAAGAGUAUAGACAUAUACCACGGAAUUAUUUUCGGAUUGUCGAUUCAUUGCUUGGAAUGAAGACUGUGAAGAGGACAGGGGCUCCCGCUUGCCUAGUCAGUAGAAGUUCAAGUAAUCCAGGGGAUGGUACUUGUGUGACAACCCGGCUCUUUCGAGAGCCUGGGCGAUAAUUUUGUACAUCAUUGUCAUGGUUUGUCCCUAUCCACAUUAUAUAUACACAUACGAUAAUAGUGAAUAUUAAUAUUUUUACAUCAUCAUAUCAAUAUUUUUACAUCAUCAUAUCUCUUGGAGAAAAAUACUAAAAUGACUGAAAUGGGGUCGGGUCCCAAAUUUCCCCUCUAAGUUUCUCGGCUUGGUCUGCUUGCAUCACUUCGUUUUUUGCUUAAUUCCGUUGGCAUGUUAUUUAUUUUCGAUUUGCUUGGACAUCAUCGAUUUACAUGUGUCAUCACUAUUUCUUUACAAGAUGAAAGAAUUUAUCCUUGAUCUGACCUGCCAGAAGAGAAUUUCCUGCACUGCAGCACUAGUAGGGGCACCCUCCGGCCAUGUCGAUAUCACUAUAUACAUACAGAAGCGCUCGUCUGCACUGAUCUUGCUUGCGAUCUUCAACGCCAGCUCCAUCAGCACUAAAUUAUUUGCAGCUGCAUGUCAAAACCAAAUCAAGCGUUGGUUGCCAUAUAAAAUUGAACUCAAGAAAUUAGAUAGGCCAAGACAAAACUAGAAAAAAAGGAGGAAAAAUAUGCAUUUAAAAAGUUCAGAGAGUCGGUCUCAAAAAUAUAACAUAUUGAAUCAGAAUGCACGCUUAAUGUCUUAUACAGUGAGUUCUAGCGAUUAUUAGCUGACACACAAUCCUCAGAGGGAGCCAAAUCCAUACACUCUUUACUGGAGGCAUUGUUGCUCGGUCAACUCAGUCGGUCGAAAUGAAUAGAAACGGGCAUCUUAUACCUGCAUUUUUGUAUGGUGGCCAACGAUAGCAAGAGCCAAGCAAAUAUUGGUUUUCAAUGUAAAUGAAGUGUUGUGCCGAUCUAAUUGCUUUCACAUACGUCUUGUGAAUACUCUUGUCUACUUUCAAGUUCUUUCCACAUAUAAGAUUCUGCAACCGUGAAGAGAUUGAAAGAAUGAACAUUAUUAAUUUGGAAUUCAAUCUCUACUCAAAAACACUAAAAACUCUGCAUAAAAAAGAAGAGUAACUUUCUAAUGUAAGAACACUUUUCAAGUUAUGCACAUAUAACAGCCAAUUGCAAAUCUAUCAAAAUGGUAUUAGCAGCUAAAAUUACUCGCUUUGCAGCUUCUUCAAUGCUCUUCGGGAAUCCCUUUACAGAACCUGAAUCAAUCGAUCUAAAGACCUACGCCAACAAAAAAUAAAAAUGAAAGAUGGUUGUCACACUUCAUUUGUUUACAAUUGAAGUUCCUUGAAAAUGGUAAUUAAUUUGAAGUAAAUUCUCCCGACCUGCACAUGCCAAUUUUCCGGGUUGUCUUCGUCCCUGACUUGUACUAUUUUUUCGCCAUCGGGCUUGUCAAGGGACAAAGUAUCCACAAAAUCCUGUCGAGCCUUAAGAGAGCAUUCUCAUAUGCCAACGCCUAACAUUUUUUGGCUUAUACUCACGCCACUUCACUGCCUUUCUCCAUCUAUGUACAAGACUCUUCAAUUUGUGUACACAGCUUGUCCCUCAACUUUGGAAUGUAGAUCAUGCCACGGUUGCCUUGGGACAUUGAUGGUGGACUAUAAUUAUCACAAAGAGCGAUUCCUUCUCAUGAUUAGAACAUAACAUAUACAUGUUAUUACAAUGCUAAAGGUAAACAUUAGCAUACUACUGUGAACGUGGGGUUGUGAAUGUUAUUCUUAAAGACCGUAUCAAGAUCGCUAUAGAGUUUGUGCUCCAGAUAGUCAUAUCGUCCAUCACAUAGGUCUAGCUUGCCAAUGAAUGUGGUUAUUUUGUAGUUGUUUCUCAAGGCUUGAGUGUCAAGAACCACAGACUUUUGGUAAUGCAAGGACAAGGUCACCCCACUUGGACUACAGAAUAUUGUAAAAUUCCCUUUUAGAACCGUCCUAAAUUUAUGUCAUUAGGUUAGAAAACACUUGAUAUGAUCUAGGACAGCAUGAGCUAGAUCAAUGAACUUUUGCGGAUUGCCUAAUGAGAGAAAAUCUUUGUUAUAAAAUUAUACCCGAUUGUAAUAAUCAGGUAAUAUACAACAAAAGCGGUGUUUUUGAUGCAAUCUAACGAUUAGAUUUUGAUUAAGAAUUGACCUAAACAUCUAAGGAUACAUACCUGUUGCUCGAAAAUGCUGAGUUUGGUACUUGCAUAACGAGGAGAAGGCACGCAGCCGAUGCCAGAGUGUCGGACAAACUUCUUCAUCUCUUCAUCAUGAGUUUGCAUCAUGUCAUCCUAUGCCACAAUAUGGCACGUGCCAAGUCUCAGUGAUGAGAGAUCUCAAUAAAGAACUAUCAUUUCCUAAGUCAUGGAUUUGAAUUUUUUUGGCCAAACGGUGCAUUGCACCAUAAAUGAGGAUACUUUUUCAAGAAAGAGCCAUUAUAUAACAUAUUUUUCCAAUUGCAUCUUGUAAAGGCAAGCCGAAAGAAAGAACCAUUAGAGGUCAAGAAUUUGUGUUAAAAAAAAAAUAGAAAACUUCUUAUACUGUAAACGUUCAUUAAGCCGAUAGUAAAAGAUGGAAAAUCUUUCACUGUCUGCGCACCCUUGAUAAAAGGAUGAUCCUUACUCUAUUGCACUAGCCCAACAAAUCAACAGUGAUGGAAGCCACAAGCGGGCAAAUUUUCUCAACCUAGUAGUACUCCAAUCAUCCCAAAAACCAUAGAGACAUUUCCAUGUUUUAGCGAUGCUUAAUUACACGUGAGUAUAGUCCAGUAUUACUGUCUUCAAAAGGAUCAACUCAAGCCGAACGCAGCGUGGUCAUUCACACAUAAAGUGCUCAUCUUGCAAGGGUUCUUAUAGGUCGGGAUUAUUGACACUUGAACUGUACCAACAAUGAAACAAUAAAAAGAAGAAUAACAAUAAUCAUAAAAAAUUUGUCAUACGCGACAGCUAAUGUGAUAGAAUUUUUCGUUCCCUAGGGCCCACCGCCGAUUUUCCCUUAUCUCUUGAAUUCGGUUAACCAAAGGGACAUUUUCGUCGUUUAAAUCAGGGCACUUUCGUCAUUUGGUGAGGAAGUUCUCGAUUCUGCUUCGCGUCCGUAGCCUUUACCGUCCUCUCUAGCUUCACCGAUGGCCGCUGGGUCCACCGGAAGCCGCCGUCGGCCUUCCGUCUCCGAUCACGGCAGAUGCACGGAGGGAGGCACACAACACACACGCACAAGAAACAAAGCUUGAUCCUGGAAUCCAAAGUUCAUUGUCGUUGAUUCGAGGUUCGCCGGAGGUGAAUCGACGUCGAUUCCACUGUUCAUGACUUCGAUUGCGGUUCCGGUGUCGUCUGGUUGCAGUUCCGAUCGCGUGCUGUUCUGACCACGAGGCGUUCCUGCGAUUCGUUCUUUCGUUUCAGUGAUCGGCGGAAGUUUUCGGUAGAUUCGAAUCGCAUGGAAAAGGACGCCCCGUCUCAGUUGACUCCAACCAUCGCUUACGAAUCUUCUCUCCACCGAUUGAGCUCUUCAAUUCUUACUCUAAAUCAAGCCCAAGAGUCGUCAUCUCGUCGAAUGAAUGUACGGAUAUUGCUCAGGAAGUGUUCAAUGAAAUGACUGAAGGAAUCCAUCCGUUAUUCUGUCCUGUUGGUGGCCGUUAGAAUCAAUGCUAUGAUAGUGAGGCUGUGCUCGCCGUCUGGAAAGUCGCUAAGUCGUCAUCUCGAGCUCGCGCCCUCCUCGGCACCAAUUCAUCAGGUCGUCUCUUCUCCAAUUAAACUUCGUUAUUGGUGUCGAUUUGUUCUAGACUCGUCUCUCUUGAUCUCUGUUCUGUUUAUUUUUUUUUUCCUCGCCUUUCACUUCUACCGCUUCGUCAUUUGCUGCGUCGUUGUGCCGAGACACUCCUCAUCGCCAAAAGCCAGAAGCAAGACUGCGACGGCAGAAGCCAAGGAGAUGCGGUCGCGAUUGCUUUCGAUAAUUCCGCUUGCGUAGCUCACUGCACAGAGGAAUCUAGUCAACUAAAACCUUCUACAAAGAACAAUAAUCAUUGAUGCAACACACGUAACGGUAAUCAUCAAUGUGCCAUUUUGAUACUAGCAACAUCAUCUAAAAGUAGUUUCGUCUGGAAAGCAAACCGACCGAAUAAGAAGGAAGCAACUGGAAUGACAUCAGCUGGAGCUUGAAUUCACGGAAACGAGCAGCGGCGGCAAUGAUCUGCAUCCGACGCUCCUAAAGGUCUUCUGGUAGAGACAUUGCUAGCCGAAGACAAUGAACGUGACUUGGUAUUCUGUCUACUCCAAGCUCAGCGUCGACGCAGAGAAGGCCAGGCCAGGCUAGGGGAAAAGGUUGAAAGGUGGGGAGUAACGGGGCUGAUGGGUCUUGGCCGCGGAUCAAAUCAAUGGGUUGCUCUUGUGGGCCGUGCCAGUUGGAUUAACUUUGGCCUUUUCUAUUUGUUAUUUAUUUUUAUCUUUCUAUUACUCUUUUUCUUUUGUUGUUUUUUACUUCCAUUCAUUGUUUUCAUGAUCAUUUUUAUUAGAAAAACGUGUGCUUAAUUUUUCGAUUAAAAUUUCGAUGGUUUCGAAUAUGUUUACCCUAAUUUUUUAAGAAGAACGUCAUGACAUCUCGAACAAAGUACAAGACGCUAUAUGUUUUGUUGUGUCAAUCUUUAGUAACCGAGGGCCAAAGUUGUUUUUAGAUAAAUGAGAAAUGGGCCCAAAAAAUGGGACAAUCCAAUUGAACAGAAUCGGGUAUGUGUUUAUGAAAUAUCGAUCUAUUGAAAAUGACUUAAUUUAUGAACUGUAUUCAUAUUGACCCAAGUCCAAUCUCACAAAGAGCACUACUACUACUACUACUACUACUACGAGAGAGAGAGAGAGAGAGAGAGAGAGAGAGAGAGAGAGAGAGAGAGAGAGAGAUGGCUGAGACUUCUUUAGUGAAAGAUUAUUCUUUCGUAUUUUUCUUUUGCUGUUUGUGGAUUCUUUUUUAUUUUCUUUAAAGUUUCAAAAGUGAAGAAAUGAUGAGAUGAUUGAGGAUUCCCCCAUCUUCUUUGUAAAAAGAUAUGACCACUAAUUUAUUUGUCAGAUCACCCAUAAAUGAGUAAUCAUCAUUAUCAGGAUUUUACCAAUGUAUAAAUAAAUUGGUAAAUUAUGAGCUCUUCUAUUAUUUUACAAGUGUCUUUACCAAUAUAUCCAAUAAUAUAAUAAAGUCACCAAUAUUCCACUAAUAUAGAGGCCGACCGACUUCGUUGAAAUUUUACAAAUGUUUUUAGUAAAAUACCAACUCAAUAAGAAAUCUGCCAACCUCCUAAUAAAUCAGCGAAUCAUCAGUUUUUUCCAUGUUGGUAAUUAUUAGACUAACAAGAUGAGGAAGAAAAAAAGAAGGAACAAAUAAAGAUGAGAUAGUGAACAUAGGAUUUAAGACAUGGCAAAGAGUCGAGGAAAAAGCAAAUAUGUUGUGGGCCCACGGAACUCAUCGCGUAAGGGAGGAAGGAACUCAUUUUGUAUUUGCCCCUCUCUUUCCUCCCACUUUUAAGAGCAAUAUAUUUUGUCUACCAUUCUUUUCACUUCUUCCGCAUUUAUUCUAGCCCAACAAUGGAAGCAGUUCCUUCGAUCUUUAUUUUUGAUUCCUAAAACCCGCUUUAUUCAAUGGAAUGGCCCGAUUCGAUUCUUUUAUGCGUCGUGCUCUCAAAAGAAAAAAUUAAGGAGGCGAACAUUUUUUUUUUUGGUAAAGAGGAGGCGAACAUUUGGAGUGGCUUUUUAUCCAUAAAUAAUAUCUUCAUAUUGAUGUGAAAUUUGAAAUGUACAAAUUCCUCUAUAAAUAUGUGUUCUCAUCGAUAGCAAUGUGUAUCGACUUGACUAUAGAUGCUAUGAUAAAAAUGAAGAAGUAGAUAUAAGCUAUAGAUGGUAUGCGUGGAAAAACAAGGUGGAUGAGCGAGAUGACGUCUUCAUCCUCUGUAAUAGCGCAUAAAGGUAUUUUAUAUAGGAGGGAGAGGUUCUGAUUUCUUUCACUGAUCAAUAUCUUGUAAUUAUUUAUCUUAUAUUACUUGUUUUCUUAAUAUAGAACUUGAAUACCACGGCUAAAUAUGGAACAUAUAUCUUUUUAAUUAGAAUUUUUAAUUAGGUCCACGGUCGGUAGAAAAACAUCUUCUAUCACGUCGCUACAAUAAUUAUAUGUGCAUGAUGACUGUUUGAUUAUAUCAAGUGAUGUAAAUUUAUGGAAUGUAUGUAAGUAGAUUUUCCCAUCAAUUAAAACUAUUUUUGUUUUGGGUAAUUGACCGAAUUAAAUGGUUGCGUUUUUUUUUUUUUUUUUAAACUUGCUUCUGUUAUUCGUAAAACAAUAUGUACAGAUUUGGGACUAAAUAUGUCAUUAAAUAUGGUAGUGCACAUAUUAACAUGAUGCUUCCAAGCCUUUUCAGCAAUCCUUUUGAAUUUAUAUUUUAUUAGGUGUAUAGGUAGAUGCAUGUAUUUUUUUUUUUUUUUUUGUUCUUGGAUGAAAGAUAUUCUUUACUCUUAUUUUCCGAUGAUUGAGUUCUGACUACUUUUGGUGUAAUUAAUUAUAUGCUUGGAGAUCUAGGGACUAAAUAAUUUCAUAUACAUUUCACAUGUCAUUAUUGUAAAUUUGCAUCUAAGUAAAAGAAAGAACAAUAUUUACAUUUCAAUCAUUCGAUUUAAUUAAAGAAACUGAAAGAAAAUGCACAAAUUAUACAAAGUCCUUAGUAAUUGCCAUCUACAGUGUGAGUUUGACAUAACGCCAAGCUCCACCAUGUUCGACCAUUAACAUCAGUCUGCUCUUUUCUUCUGUUUGGUGUAGCGCCGCGUUUGUCUUCCUUCUCCUCCUCUGCGUUUUAGAGAGAGAGAGAGAGAGAGAGAGAGAGAGAGAGCAGCGGCAGCAGCAGCAGCAGCAGAACAACGAUGGUGAACGUGGGGUUGGUACGUGUUAGGGAGGGAGAGACACGUAAGAAUAUGGAGUUUGCAAAGAGAAGCGUCGGGUUUGUGAUGAAUUGUUCACGUUAUAUUCUGCGGAGAAGAGGGUCGUUUACGUGGAGGUUAAUACCAAAGAGAGGUCAGAAAGAAGUGGUCAAGCUCGACUGUUGGAUAAUCUGUGAAAUAGAGUCACAUUAAGUUGACGGUCUGUGAGGAGAGAACCUUCUUGGAGCACUGAAUUCUCCAACUCACUCCAUCCUCUUUUCUCAAUUUGACCUCCACCGAACCUUAAGAGAAUAUCUUGACCUCAGCAAAUCCCACUAUCUCCUCCCAAAAUGGCCGAGAAUCAUGUGCCAAAUAUGUGGCCAUAUAUCAUUCCCUUUUGUGAUGAUUCCUCUUGUUGGCCGAAUGAAUCAAUCGCCUACCAUGAUGGGCAAUAGCUUAAGAGUUAUUCACAUUCUUUCCUUGUCGAUCUUAUUCUCUAAUUGGAAGCAUCACUCGACAUGCAUGCGAAAACUUCGGCUAAGCCAAAUGGGGUUUGGCUGAGUUCAUUCGUAGGGGUCCAUACUCAUGUGGGCUUAGUCUUAAAAAUUCAAAUGAGUCCAAAGUCAAGCUUAUUUUGCAUGUUGGGUUAAUUCGAAUGCAAUUCAUGACUGGACCAAUUUAGAUGAAAUUUAUUUGAUGUGGACAUGCUAUUACUAAACGAAAGAUGUUCCCAAUGCCUAAUUGCAAUGUGAAUGCAAAAUUACGUCUUUUUGUUUAGGGUGAGCUUGAUCCCUAAUUUUCCAAUGAGUAAAUGAUGAAUUUACGAGUCAAAAAUUAGGUGUUAGCAGAGAUCGACCAAGAUAGGGAUGUAUUGGAUGUCUCUAGGAUCUACCAACCAAAAGAAGAACUUAUGAAAAUUGAUUCCUCAUAUGGUAUCUCAUCGAUUUGAUGGUUGAUCGUAAUUUGGACAUUUUAUAACCAAGGAAGUCCGAAUUAUAUGCAUGGUAUGAACAAAAGGCAUCAAAUGCACAAGUAUCAUAUGGUUAAUGUGUAUGCAACUCAGUGGAAGAGAUUCAUUUAUUGACAUAUCUAUGUGUUCUUGAGAUUAAUAUUUCAUAAAAUGCUAGUCCUUGAAUCAAAUUUAGUGAUUCAUGGUAAGCAAAAUUAGAAAGUGGUUUUUCUUUUUUGUUGUUGGUGCCGAAUGUGAUGUCCGAUGCAUAUAUUCAAUUGAAAUAAUCAAAAAAGAUGUGAACACCUUAGAAAUCAAUGUCUUCUCCAGAUUUGACAGAGAUAACAUAAUUUUGCUGUAGUGAUCACGAAUAGAUCCUAUAGGAUGUCAAGUGCCAAACAAUAGUAAAGCCUUUUCCUAAAUUCCAAUAGAAAUAUCAUCCAAAAAGCUUCAUUUGUACUUUCUUCCAAAAGUUUUUUGAAUCUUGUUGUGACAUCCUGAUUUUCCAAUUUUGGUUUCAAUUAAAUAAGUCGGGCAUUUCAUCUUCGCGUCUAUAGCUUUCUUCUCUGAGUUGGCCACUCACGAGAUAACUAGUCUAUCAGGUGAAGCCGUUAAGGAAUCUAAACGCAAUAGACUUGAGAAUUCGACCAGGAACCGACUGCUCGACCGUACUAAUCUGCAAGGGUCAUUACGGCAUAGACCGAUUAGAGACCGGAGAUAGGUCGAUUCAACAGAACCAUGUACUUUGUGGCUUGAAAAUAAUCAACCACAGGUCAAUUGCACAGAAAAUUCCUAAAAGCUACCCGGUAGAUUAGGACGCACUAAAGUCGCACCAGAUUGAAUUUAACCGUGAAAUUGAACCCAAUUACAGAAAUUGGAAGUUCUGUCAAGUCACAAUUCAUUUUAGGAAUGUCGACUCAUCUCCAGAAGAUUUUUCUACAAACCGAGAUUUUUGGCAGAAAAGCAAAGUAAUGCCGUUUUUGUUCAGGAUUGUCAGAGGGCCAUUUUUAAUCGAAUCUUCGGGAUGCAAGUUGGAUCAUUUGACGGGGAAAUGUCAUGAGAAGGCUGAGGACACAUGGGUUGAUUUAAUUGAACUUCAAUUGGAUGGAAUUGAGUGAGAAUUGAUUGAAUUUGAUGUACAAAUGUAUGAAAUUCGUAUACCAUGGGGGGAGAGCUAUUUUGCACCUAUUGGCAAGGUUGUGGAGGAAGAUUGAGGAGAGAGAGUGGAUGAUGUCAUGUGAUGUCAUGGUGGGGGCAAAGCAAAUGAGGUUUAGACAAGUGUUGAGCUCUAGUGAGCCACCAAGGAGGCCCCCCUCUUCAGCAGACCAUCUUCUUCCUUCAUUCAUGGCUUUCUCCAUGGUUGAGGCUUAGGAAAAGCUCAAGAGAACCAGAGGAAACCGAGCUCACCAGCCCCUCCAUCGUCGCACGCCCGGAAGGCCACCGUCGGCCGUUUUCCUCCCUUGUUUUCCCCUCGUUCCAGUUUCUGCUCCAGCCGACCUUUCGCCAAAGAUCCGAGUAAAAAGUUAACUUCCCGGUUGAAUCAGCGAACGAGCCACCCAUCGCCGCGAAGAAGACAUCCAGACCGUUCCGGAGCACCUCGCCGCUCGCCGGAACGAUUCUCCAGCCGUCCCGUACGGCCGCCCGAAGCUGCCGCUCGCCGGACCGUCUGGUUCCGCCCUGCUCCGCCUGUUCCGCGUUUUCUUGCUGUUUCGCCCCUUUCCGACCCUUCCUUUGCCCAUCCCAACCUCCUACAAGAUCCCCAAGACCCCCGGGAGCCAUUGGUUGCCAACCACCCGCUUGCCGGAGCUCCGAUCGGCCCGUUUUCGCCGUUGAAGUUGCUGGUUUCUUCUCUGCAGUUCAGUCCAGAUCAGAAGCAGAAAACCAGAAAGCCGAGAGGUCUUCGAGGCCCGUUUUCAGUGUCUUCCCGGCCUUGGUUGGUGUCGCCGCCUUGAGGUUUAUCGCCCGCCUUGGUGUCGGGGUCGCCGUGAACUCACCGGCGCGCAAAACCGGUGAGUUUAUCCUCUAAUUCUUGCUUAGUGAGUUAAUGACGCUUAAGGGGUGCUUAGAUUAGUCUAAUUAGGUUUAGGUGGUUAGAUUAGAUUAUUUUAAUGUAAAUUAGAUUAGUUGUGUGAUUAGUUUAAUGGAUGUUUAAUUAGGGCUAAUUGUAUGUUUAAAUUAGUGUAAUCUAGUUUAAGCCCUAAUUAAUUAUUUUUAAUUAAAUAAUUAUUUCGAAUUUAUAAAUAUUAUUUUAUUAAAUUAUAUUAUUAUUAUAAAAUAAUAUUUAAUUAUUUAAUUUUCGGAAUUAAUUUAAUUAUUUAAUAAUUUCGAAAAUUAUGCCGGGAUGGCCGGUCAUUAGAAUUUCACGCUGAUCGCAGCAGUGCGGUCGGUUUGUGUUAAUUGUAUGUUUAAAUUGAGAAAUUGAGUGAUUGAUGAUUAUGGUGAAUAAUUCCAAAAGUGUGGAAUUGUGUGAAAUUCAUGAAGUUGUGGUAUUUAACUUGAAAAUACCCGGUGUUAGCUUUUAGCACCGUAAUUGGUUUGUAUGACCAGUUUGAAUCGAUUGAAUUGAUUGAUUGAUUGAAUUGAGGUAUGAGUUGGUUUAUUAUUGAAUUAUCAGCUUUGGCGAGCAAUUGGUUUAUAUAUGUAUCACCUUGUGUGAGCAUCAUUGUCAGCUUAUGAGAGCAAUGAUCAUUUAUCAGCUUGUGAGAGCAAUGAUCGUUUAUCAGCUUGUGAGAGCAACGAUCCAUAUAUCAGCUUGUGCGAGCUACCAUCUAUAUCAGCUUGUGAGAGCAUUGCAUCCAAUUCAGCUUGUGCGAGCCAUAAUUGUAUUGAUGGAUGAAUAGAUGGUAUGGUUUAAUAGAUGAUAUGAAUUGAUAGAUGUGUGGAUCGUAUGACAUCAAUUGGAUUGACUGAAUUGAUAGACCGAUGGGUAUGUCGGUAGUUUCAGCUUGUGCGAGCAUUGUUGAAUAUGAAUUGUACUGACGUGCAGGAAGGAAUUGAGGCGAGGUAAGUCCUCUAUCCUAUUUGUGUGGCUAGAGCGCCCUGAGGCGUAUUUUCUUCCUAAUUGAGUUUUAGAUUGAGACGUAGUCUCAUCCCGGUUGUGGGAUAAUAUUUCAGGUCCCUAGAUGACGGUCGUGGAGGACCGGAAGUUCUGGAGUUCGGAAGGUGGAGGCUGAAGAAUCGGCAAACGUGUCUGACAAGUUGGUCAUAGGACAGUUCCCUAGUUGUUGAGCCUAUCUAUUUUGUAGACCAUCCAGUGUUGUAUAUAAACCUAUGUGUUUAUAAGAAAGCUUGUUUGGUUGUGAUUGAUUGCCUGCUUUUCUAUCCCAAGUUAGAUGUUGUCAGGGGAUUUGUUUCGCUUCCGCAUGCGUAAUAAAAAUGAAUGGGUCGGCGACGUGUCCUGGGAAGUCGCAUUUCUAUCGACCGCAGAGGGAUGUGCGCGCGCUCGGAGGAUCGGGGCGUGACACUUGUAAUAUAUAUUACGGCUUUGUAACAACCGUAGUAGCUAUCGCAGCGAGAAAACACCGUAACAUGUGGUACAUUUGUGGUAGACUUGCAAUAUACUAAUUAUAUUGCUUUGAACAGGCCAUAUAAUUGACAACUAAUUCUUCGAUUGAUUAAUAUGUUUUGUCAGGGAACAUAAAUUUCAACCUAUGGGAUUCGGCAACUGUCAAGGUGGUUAGUGAAUUUGAUAUGAAAAUUAAGUAUCGAUAUAUCAUGGUUUUAUACUAUGUAUUUUUUUUUUUGACAAUGAUAUUUAAGUUUACACGUUGAAAAAAGUGGAUAUGCAUCCAUUUGCAACUUGUACUAUUCCAAAGCAACUGAAGAGUUUCUUGGAUCAUAAGUAACAUUCAACAUACAUGCAGUAAGUAACUUUUCAACUACAAAAGUGGUAUCAAUAAAUGUAAGGUUUGUAAUUAUUGAGCAUCAAUUAGUAACUUUUCUUAGUAACUUUUCUUAUUUAAAAGGUGAGUUUGUACCCUUUUUCUAUGACAAGGAAGCCCACCCUCCUAAGUAAAACAUGAACCCAUAAAAAUACCCUACUAAUAUCAUAAAUCAUGUAAAAUGUGAGUUAAGAUCCAGAUAGAUGGUCCAAAUAUAAUAUUAUUUGUAUUUGGUAGUGUGGGAAGAUGGAUAUUUGUAACCAUUUGUAAACUAUACCAUUGAUGAUGGUUUGUAUGUUUAUACGAGGAAAAGAAACUUCUCCAAGUGAUUAGUAAUUUUUCACGUAGAAAAGAUAAUUUUAAAUUGCCAAGUAAUUACGACAAAUUAUCUUUUUAUUUGAAAAGUAAGUUUCUACCCCUUUUUCUAUGACAAGGAAGCCUACCCUGACUAGUAAUACAUGAACCCAUAAAAAUACUCUAUUGAUAUCCUAAAUCAUGUAAAAUGUGAGUUAUGAACUAGGUAGACAGUCCAAACAUGAUAUUAUUUGUAUUUGGUAGCAUAAGUAAAUAAAUAUUUGUACCCAUUUAUACACUACUAUUCAUGAUGAUUAGUACGUUUAUAUGAGGAAAAGAAAUUUCUCGAAGAGAUGAAUAAUUUUUCUCAUUGAAAAGUAAAUUUCAACUUACCAAGAAAUUAGGACAACUUUUUUUUUUUUUUUUCGCAACGGUGAGUAGCUUUAAAUCUUGACAAAAGUAAUGGAUGAUUGUAGUUUACCAGUGUCUUGUGAAUUGAUUAGUAAAUUUUGUUAAUCAAAUGUAACUUUCAAUCUAUUAGGAAUCAGAUGCUGAAUAGGGAGACGAACCCUGAGACCGGCCAUUGUCGGUUAAAGAGCUGUCCUUUUUAGAUUCUUCUGGGAGAACUGGUGGAAUGGCGGCAACCUGCCACGCGUUACCGGCUAUUCGCGGUUGCUCCUUUUCUUAAGCUUCACACAUCCGCUUCGCCUCGUCUCUCAGCCCUGUUCUGUCUCUGUUAGCGUUUGAUUUUCAAAAGAUGAUAUUCUCUGUUUGAUUCUCUGGUCCCAAUUUGAUUUUUGCCCCCACCAAGUUGUUGCCUUCCAGCUCCAUUUCUUGUCAGAUCAAAAAAAAAAAAAAAAAGCUCCAUUUCUUGAAGGUAAUUCAAUAUUCUUCUUCUCUUUCUGUUCUCUUUCCUCUUCCUAAGUCAUUUCCUUUGUGGGUUCUGCAGUCCCGCCUUCCUCGGCAUAUAUAAAUUUUUAACUUUCUUCCUCCACAAAGAGAAAAGAAAGAAAACCAGACAAGUAGAAGUCGAAAAGGGGGAAAAAUGGUGGAUAUUAUUAUAUCUGCAGCUUCCAAGGUGGCAGAGUACCUGGUGGCUCCAGUCGGUCGUCACUGCGGCUACGUGAUAUUCUCUAACAGCUAUAUUCGCCAACUUAACGAUGAAGUUGAGAAGCUGAAUGACGCCAGGGUCGGGAUCCAGCGUUCCAUCGAUGAUGCUCAAAACUGAUAUUGCUAGUGUAAACACCUAGAGGGGGGUGAAUAGGCGCACAAACUAUUUUUCUCAAAUACGUAUGCAACAGAUUGAAAUACGAUCGAUGUAGAGAGAGUAAGGAAGAGAAAAUCAAACACAGGAUUUAUAGUGGUUCGGCUUAUUCCAAGCCUACGUCCACUCUUCCGCACUGACAGCCCACGGGCUGGAUUUCACUAUGAUCAAAAGAGGAGUUACAGCACAGUUUUGCCUUGAUUCCAUAGUGUAGAUAUUCUAUCACACCUCCUCAAGGUCUCUCACAAAUAUAGACUCUCUUUUGUAUACAAGUAUUCGCUCAAGAGAUUUAUCUAAACAAAUAGGAGCUUCAGACUUUGGAAUUUUUCUAUCGCGCACACUCUCUUAAACAACUAAGAACGUCUUCCUUAUAUACUCCUUUAUGCCAUCAUACCCGUUGGCACUUUCCAAAGGAAUUCCUCCAAUCUACCCGUUGGACGGAAUCAAUUAGGAAGAUCGUUCGAGCUAUUAAAGGAACGUGUUGAUAGCCCAUCAAUCCUGUUCGCCCAUACAAUCAGGAUCUCGGUUUCCAUAAGCGAAACCUUCCAAUAAUAUUUAGACAAUCAUCGAAUCUUCAGUCAUUGAAUCAAUCUUGAUCAAUCAAAGGAUUCUGAUACGUCUUCUCUAGCCACGAGAUCUUCUCCAGAUGAUAAGGUUAAAUCCCAAACAAAACAUCCAGUUCGGGAUAACCUUUCUUCAACAGAUCAGAGACUGUCAAUGAGGAUAGACUUUGAGUCUUGAGUCUGGCAGUCUGGAAGUCUUCAGACUUUAACUGGCAGAGUCUGCAGACCUUCAUACUAGACUGACGGAAACAUUUUGUCAACUUCAAAACUCUUCACGAGGAUUUCUCCAACAAAAACAACAUGAAGGAGAUAAAACGCGAAGUUGACAGAUGGAAGAAUAAGGCAGAGACCGUCGCCGACAAGGCGCGUCGCAUGCUGGAUGAUGAUAGAAGAGCCAACAGAACUCGCUUCUGCGGGUGGCUUCCCAACCCAAAGGAGCGUUAUUGUCUCGGCAGGGACGCAAGGAAGACAGUCCAGGCCAUCCAAGCACUCAUUCCUCAGGGUAAAUUCGAGAGGGUCUACUACGAGAGUGCUCCGCCGGGGCAUGUCGCUAGCCCUCCCGAGGUGAAUUCCUCUACCAGUGAUCGGGGUGACACUGUCACCGAUUCACGAGCUUCCUUCUUUGAGGGCAUAAUGAAUGAUCUGGAUGAUGAGAAGCUCAAAGUGAUUGGGAUCUACGGGCCUGGCGGCGUGGGGAAGACUACGCUCUUGGAGGAAGUCCAGAAGAAACUCAGGAACGAGAAGAGACUGUUCCACCUGAUUGCCACAACGACUAUAUCGCAGACUCGAGACUUGAAGAAAAUCCAAGAUGACAUUGCUUACGCCUUGAGUCUGGAUCUGAAGAACGAGACAAGCGAAGUUGGAAGAAGAGAUCUUCUGUUUCGGAAAUUACAGAGCGAUCCGACAAAGAAGGUUCUCAUAAUAUUGGACGAUCUGUGGGGGCCACUUGAUUUGAAGGCGGUUGGAAUUCCUGCGGGAGACGAGAGCAGGGGAUGCAAGUUGCUGUUAGCAUCAAGAUUUAAAGAUGUGUUGGAGCAAAAGAUGCAUGCGGAUAAAACAUUUCAUCUUGAAGGUUUAAACAACAACGAAGCUUUCAGGCUAUUUGAAAAGAUAGUCGGCGACAAGCUCAAAGACGAGGAAUUGAAAGCAAUAGCAGCUCAAGUGGUCGAGAAGCUCCUAGGUUUGCCUCUUUUGAUUAUCUCCGUCGCAAGCACUUUGAAAUACAGCCGUGUGUCCGCAUGGAAAAACGCAUUGAUAAAAAUAGAGGACUCAAAUAUAGAAACCAUAGUAAAGCUGAGUUAUGACCAUCUGAAGAGUGAGGACGCCAAGUCCUUAUUCUUGCUCUGUGGUCUUCUUGGUGGGACCAUUCCAGUCGAACUUCUGCUGGGACUAGGCAUGGGGUUGGGCUUGUUUGAGGGAUUCAAUAACACGGUAGAAGAUUCAAGAAAUAGAUUGAAUACUAUGCUCGAUAGCCUCCGUUCUGUUUGUUUGUUGCAAGAUGAUGGUGAUGACAUGGAGACUGUGACCAUACAUGAUCUUUAUAGUGAGGUGGUUGUCUCAGCUCCAUUUAGAAGUCAGAAUUCCUUAAUGAUGAACAACUCUUAUGUUUCGUGGCCAAAAGAAAAGCUUGAGAAAUGUUGGGCAAUAUGCCUUGUUAAUGAUUACGGUGAUGGCCUUGCUGAAAAAAUGCGGUGUGCGUUUCCCGACUUGAAGAUAUUCGUGUUGUCUCAGAUAGGGUCGUUCGUGACACCUAUACACCGACAUGAUGUGAGAGAUUGCUGUGGACUAGAUUUCACAAGCAUGGAGCAGCUCCAAGUCCUAUAUCUUCGCUUCAUACAUAUCACCAAUUUACGUUCCUCCAUUGGCACCCUCAGGAACCUCCACUCAUUAUACUUAGACUAUUGCAUUGUGGACGAUGUGGCAAUUCUUGACAAGCUCGAAACAUUGCAAAUUCUCAGCUUGGCAGGAUCUCAAAUUUCUAAGCUACCUAAAGAAAUUGGGGAACUUAGGAAUCUGAGAUCGUUGAAUCUAUAUGAUUGUGACUCGCUUAUGAUAAUCGAGCCUGGUGCCUUGAAAGGCUUAGUCCACUUGGAAGAGUUAUAUAUGAGGGGAAGCUUUAGUCAAUGGAUAGUCGAUGAUGAAAUACCAACGGAAUCGUAUAAUGGUAGGCUUGUUGAGUUGAAGAGCUUGAGAAAGCUAGCCUCUUUGGAAAUAUCGAUUCAUGAUCCCAUCGUACUCUUAAAGGAUGAUGGCUUGCCAUUUGGGACCCUGAUCAGAUUUUGGAUCAACAUAGGAAAUACUUACGGAAGGGGAUUUCGUGGUUUGAGAACCAUGAAACUCCAAUUGAAAGGAUGCGAUGGUAUUCUCUCAAAAGAACGGGUUCAGAAAACUCUGCAGAAAACUCAACACUUAUAUUUGGAUGGAUUGGGAGAGUUCAAGGAGAAUGCUCAUGAGUUGUGCAUUCGAGGAUUUAAACAACUGAAGCAUCUCGACAUUAAGAACAGCCCCUCAAUCAAGUACAUCACCAGUUCAUUAAAUGACCUUCUCACUGCAUUUACGGAUUUAGAGUCUUUGUUCCUCGACAAUGUUAUUAAUCUGGAGAAGAUAUGCAAUGGCCCUGUCACACCAGAUUGCUUCCGCAAAUUGAAAGUUGUGUGUAUCGAAAAGUGCCACCAAUUGAAAAUUUUGUGGUUCCUCUCAGAGAUGCAAAGACAUGUACAUUUGGAAGAGAUCAAAAUAUGUGAAUGUGACUCAUUACAAGCCAUUAUCACAGGUGAUGUAGGAAAAGUAGAAGUUGAUGUUGAUGACAUGAUUGAGUUACCUAAUGUACGACGUCUAGAUUUGCGUAAGUUACCAAAAAUGACGAGCUUUUGCACUAGAGCUGAGGGUGCUCCAAUUCAGGUAACUUUUUCAUUUUCUGGGUAUAAAUUUCUUUAAUUCUUAAUCUUGCAAACAAUACCUAGAUUAUACUAUUAUAGGGGGAUUUAGGAUAAGAUGAUAUUGGUGUUCACCGAGCCUCAGUGAAUAUUGCAUUAUUUUGAUUAUUUGUACAUCUUGAAACACAUAAAAAAUCCUUUCAAAGAAAACACAGACCAUACAUUUUUAUUUACAUUCAACUAUAGCUAGGGGAAGCCUUUUCCUACGAUUUUUUUUUUUUCAAUUUGUUUCAGUGUUAGAUAAUUGCACUAAUUAUUUGGGCUUUAGCAUGGGUUUAUACUAUGACUAAUUGAUUACUUAUUUAACAUUUUUAAUGAGAAGAAAAAACAUUAUACAUAAUGAAUCUUAAACGAAUGCACGAAAUUCAACAAUUUCAAAAUGAAGAAAGUGAGAGAAUAAAUAAAUAGAAGGCGAACUAGUAGCCACAUAACAAAGAAAGUCCACAUAAUUCAUGUUUCACCUACACGCAAGUUAGCAAUUGAUUCUAACACGUCAUGCCAAUCUCACCAUGUCAACAUUGUUCUGCUUCUGUCAUCCCUUCGUCUCAAUUAAGUUUUUGACAUUCUUAAGAGACAUCAAACUCAUUCAUAUAUUUAAGUUUCUUUUGUUUCGCUGAAAAUUCAUUGUUGCUGAAAAAUGUCUUCCUGGCGAUUCAUUUUUCUUGUUUUCUUGUAUUUGGUUCUGCUGAAAACACAAUUUGAGAGAAACUAACCCAAAUAGAUCAUAUAUCACCUGUUCAUAAUGAAAAGCAAUAAGUUAACAAAUAAUUUAUUAAAAAUUUAACUCCGACAUGAAUUUGUCUUUAAUUUUGAAGGUCAAAAUAGAAAAACGAAAGAAAAGAUAACAAUUACGAUGACAGUUGUUUUGAAGAUCAGUAGAUGAUUUCAAAAGAAAAGAGAAAAAAAAUUAUGGCCAUAGCUUUGAAGAUCAGCCAAAUCAAAGAUAACAACUAUGAUGACACGCGGGAGCAACAUGAUAGUGGUGACGAUAUCUUCCUGAAAAUGAUUUUUCUUUUCAUGGAAGAGAAAUUCAUUUUCUUGAAUUUUAGCCUGAGAGUUUCAGUCAUUUUCUAGUAUCCAAAUACAAGAAAAAUUCUAAAAGCAUUUUUCUAAAAAUAGAUUUACUUGCAACUUACCUUUAAUGAGUUUGAUUGUGGUGCUUUGUUAGGUUUCAUUGCCUCGCUUGGAAUCCCUAGUAAUGGUUGGACUCCUUGGCCUAGAAAAGAUACUCCACAGUGAACCCUCAAUAAAAUUCAGUGGUUUGAAAUCACUAAAGAUAAAAGAAUCUAAAUCCACAUUGAGUAUUCCGAAAGAUUGGAUACUAAAGCUACCAAAUUUGGAGUCAAUGGAAAUUGCGAGCUCUCCAUUAGCAGAAUUAGUUUUCGACCUGGAGGAGCUAAAAGUCACUGGAGAAGUCGAGAUUCUCUCUCGACUAAGUACAUUGGCAUUAUCUAAGUUGCCAAACCUGUGGCGCAUGUUGAAACAAGAUGUACAAUUACAAGGAAUAUCGAUAUUUCGAAACUUGAAGGAGCUCUCUGUCUGUAAAACGAGGCUGUCAUUUCUCUUUUCAAUGUCUGUGGCUAAAUGUCUUAGAGAAAUUGAAGACAUUAAAGUGGAGGAUUGUCCAAAUAUGAAGACGGUGAUUGUGGAUGAAGAAGGAACGGAUGAUAUUAUAAAGCUACCACUAUUGAAGCGACUAUCUAUAACGCGUUGUCCCACAGAGAAAUUCUUCUCAUAUCCUCAUGGAAAGAAAUAGUCAAUAACCGCUACUUCAGAUUCGCUAGAUGCUUAUUUCGAUUACUUCUUUGAUCAAAAGGUACAAAUCCCUUCUCUUUAGAUUAUACCCAUAAUAGCCAUAGGCACAUGCUUGCAAGUCAAGUAAUCAAAUCUCUUUGAAGAUCUUUAUUUGGUUUUAUUAAUUAAAAUGCGUUCAUAAUUUAUAACUAUAUUUGUUAGAUAGAUGCCACUAAUGGAAAAUUCAUUCUUCCACCACAUUAGAUAGAUUGUUGGAAAUAGGCCAAUUUCACAAAUUUUUCAUAGCUACAAUUUGACGCAUAGCUCUUGUGAGCAGGUUAGUUUGCCAAGCUUGGAGGAGUUAAAGCUUAAGUCAGAAGGAUCCUUCAAAGGAAUAUGGCAUAGUGAACUUAUGGAAAAUUCCUUCUGCAAGUUAGCCACCCUCUCUAUUGGAUAUUGCUCUGAGCUACACAAUGUCUUCCCUUCCACAAUCAUAGGGAGAUUGCACAACCUAACAAUUGUUGAGAUUGAAAAUUGUCCCUCUCUAGAAUCAUUGUUUGAUUAUGGGUCCACAGAAGCAAAUACUACGCAAACAACUAUAUUGCUCCCCAAAUCAGAAGUAAAGAUGGUGAGGGAAGCAGGAAAGUUGAAAUGUACGGUGAAGAGUGACUCCCAAAUGAUUUUGGGUUUUCCUAGUCUAAAAAAAGUCCGUGUUUGCAGUUGCUGCAACCUAAGAUAUCUCUUCCCCACUUGUAUGGCCACAACUCUAGUGAAACUUGAGAGCCUAUGGAUUAUCAAUUGCGCACAGAUGAAGGAAGUGGUUCCUAAGGGGAUAGCUAAAGGGGAUGAUGAAUCAUCACAAACAUUGUUCAAUGAGAUGGUUUGCUCUAUCCCUUACUAUGUUCAUCUAUAUUCUUGCAUUUCAUAUUAGAAUGAACAAUCUAAUAAUUUGUGCUAUUUAUCCUCCUUUCUCACAUUAAACUCGUGCAGGCUAGAUUCCCCAAUAUAAGAAAACUACAAAUUGAAGGUGCUCGGUGCAAAGAGCUAUGGAACAAUCAAAUUCCUUAUGAUUCCUUUUGCAAACUAGAAUUUCUUCGAUUGGAGCACUGUGACAAUCUCCUAUGUGUUGCCCCAUCUCACAUGUGGAAGAGAUUGCAGCUUUGUCUCGACUUCCUAGAAGUGAGAUCAUGCCGUUUGGUUGAGAUCAUAUACAAAAGUGAUGGGACAAAUACAAAGAGUGGCAAAUUGAGGAGGUUGAUUUUGCAUGAUCUCGAAAACUUGAGGCAUAUUUGGCAGUCCGAUGGUCUCCCAAAUAUCCCGUUCCCAAACUUGAGACAAAUUAAGGCUAUGAGGUGCUCCCGUUUGGAAAUUCUUUUCACAACCUUCACGGCGAAAUUUCUCGGGCAAAUCGAAGAGCUAGUAGUAGAGUCAUGUGAAGAUAUAAACUAAUUGCUGGCCAUGAAGAAUGUGAAGAAGCAACCGGUACGACAAUCACCUUCUCCGAGUUAACUGCUCUUAGACUUUUCGAGUUGCCGAAAAUCAGGAGCAUCUUAGCUGAGAAAUACUCUGUGGAAUUCCCAUCCUUGCAAGUCUUGUGUAUAGUAAGCUGUGGAAUGGCGCCGGACCAAGGCCUUGACGACUGGAAACACUACCAAAGGUUCAAUAGUUAUAAACUCGAAGAAGUAUUGAAAUAUAGGUUUGAUGACUUCUCGUUUGGGACUUCUGCAGUAGAAAAUGGUGUUUGGCAAUAUAGAAUAACGCGUCCGGUAAUAUGAUAUCAUGUUUCUGGGUUAUCUUGUACAGUUCCCGCAAAGUCUCUUGACUAUUUCCUCCAAUAAUCAUUGCUCUGGUUUAUCUCCUGUCCCUUGGAUCUAAGGCCGUGCUGAGCGAGGUCACUUGUUUAUUCUGACUGAGAAUGUAGAGUUGCUAUCAACGCACGAUUCUAAUAAAAUGACUGUCCAUCUAGACAUUUUCUCUUAACUGACAAGCAUGUAAGAGUUACUAAUGAGUCCUAGUCACUUCCUCUAAAUUUCUGAAGAGUCUUUCAUGGACAGUAACGAAUGCAUUGCAUCCAUUUUGUAUCGAAAUGGUGGUUCUGCAUUAAUAAGCAAACGAAAUAUUCAAAUAAUUUUUCAUCAAAAAUAACUACGAAGAACGAAAUAAUUCUGUUUUUAGUCGAAUUUAAAAACGUAAAUAUUUUCUCAUUCUCACUAACUAUUUACUACUUGAUAGUUGGAUAUUUUGAGAUGUGAUGUUCAUGAUUAGUAUUUUAGAAAGUUACUCUUGAAAUUUUCUUGUUCAUAAGGUCAAUUUUACUUGUUAUUAACAAGAAAUUUUGCUCCUAAACUCAUUAAUAGCAAAGGCAUUUAGUAAGCAAAAAGCAUUCCUAAUGUAAUAAAUUAUCAAGAGAUUCUCUACCUAUACUUUUACUCUUCUCUUGACAAAGCUCUUCAAAUUUUAUCUGGAAAAAACAAAAGCCGUUUUAUUAAAUAUGAAUGCCGUUUCAAUGUGCAAAAAUCAAUUUUACUGUUUUAUAUAUACCAGAUUUCAGGCUCAAUCAACAAUUUCACAAAAUAGAUGACCUCCAUACAUGCGAGUUUACCAACUUAAAUACGCUUUUAUUAAUUUCGUCUCAUGACAAAGAUCAAAACAGGUUUCUUCUCUCUCGAUCGAAUUCACUGGCUAACAAGGCAUCAUCACGUGGCCCUCAACAGAAUUCACUGGCUCUCUUCCUUUCUCUCUCUACAUCUAACGAUCUGAGUCGAUUCCCUUUCGAGAUCAGGCUCGGCGCGCUCUGCUGAGUGGGGCCAGAGCAUAAACAGAGCCACCUUCGCACACGCAAAAGGAGCUCCACAAAUUCUCUCUAGACCUGGUUGAAGGGACUCGCGUGAUUUUUGAGCAUUCAUAAGUCACUCUCUCUCGGAGAUUUCUUUCGAAUCUUUGCCUCUCGCUUCGUUGCUGAUCGUCACCGCUUCCCGAUCGCCAACAGUUCAGUCUGUAGUGCCGAAGUUCUCGAACUUUGGUCACGACUGUCUGCUUCGACGAUUCCAAUCCUGGAUGUUGCCUCUGUUAUCUCGUUACUUGUAUCCGAUGUCGAUCGCUAUAGCUAAUCAUUCUUCUUUCAACUAAACCACAUUUGCUCUGUUUUCCGUUGCUUCUUAUACGAAGCAGAGGCUGAGUGCUAUUGUUACCAUCUGUGCGAAACCGGCUUCGAUUGAGGCUGUAUUGAUGAUUGAACUUGCCGACUGCCUUUGUGAUGAUUUGGAUGCGAAUCACCUGUUUGAUGAAAUUCCUGAACUUAAUCAGUUUGUAUUUUGAUUCAAGUCUUGACUGAGAAUUUCCUUCAUUACUAGAUUAUUGAUCGAUUCUGGUCAUAUAAGCGCGUUUGAGGUCUGUUUCUCCAUUAAAAAUCAUAGGUAUUCAAUUUUGAACUUGCUUUGGAUGUGCUACAACCUGUUGAUGCAUGCUGAUUUGUAAUUAUUGCAGCCCUGAGCUGAUGUCAUUUGGUCCUUGAUAUUGAUGUUAUUCCACUCAAGUAAGCAUGGGUAGUGAAUUUCAUGUUCCAUUGAAAGGAAUUUAUGUCAUGAAUGAAUUAAAUUCUACAGGAAAUCGAUCCUUGUAUGCUGACUGUGUCUUAAAAUCCCUGAUUUAGUGUGCAUUUGAUUCCAAUUUGAGGCUAGUUUGGUUGUUGGAUCGUAUAAGCUCAUGCUAGGAAAGCAUUAUGGUGAAUCUCAUGCCAAUUUGCGAGAAUUGGGGUCAUCACCAAAUUUGAAUAUGUUAGAAUCAAAGUAUUGCAUGCUGACCGUGAUUGCUUUGUGUAAAUUCGGUAUUAAUUUGCCCCUGGAUUGAUGCCAUUUUGAUCAAGUAGACUUAUAUGUACUUGUAGGAAGAUAUGGCUUCAUUUUCAUGUUGAUUAAUCAUCAAAGGAUCACAAUUUGCUGCAUCAUAUGCUCUGUUACAAUUAUGAAUGUCUGCUGGAAGUAGUGGAAUAAGCAUAAUUAGAUGGAUAAGAGAUAUGGUGUGUGCAAGUUCUGUGUCAAUUUCACAUGUUUGGAGGGCAAUUGCAUGAUUAAAUUGAUGUCUGUAUGCUUGAUAUUGCCAUGAGAGUCUUGGCCUGAUUAUUGAAUUAGAGAAUUCUGAUGUUAAUUGAACUUUAAUUCCAUGAUUCUUGCGAUUUCAAAGCUCGGGGCAUCUAUUUUUUGUAAUAUUAAAUAAUUUGAAGAAUACUGACUUCGUUUAAAGGUGAUAUGGUAGACUAGCCAGAUUUGAGGAAAUCUCUCAACAAAACUGGUCACCGAGGCCCCAUCAAAUAUUGCGUGGAGGACACUUGCCAACAGAAUUCCAAUAUUCUCUCUCUCUCUCUCUCUCUCUCCCCUUCGACACUCACCAUUUAAGGCUUAUUUAUAAGAGCUAUUGCUUAAACCUGAUUGAUCCUUCAAGUGUGUGCGCUUGUGCCAAUGUACUGUGCACAACACCAAUUGCAACCUAUUGACGCUACCGGAAAUAUCUUUCGGGGAAGCUAGAACUCACAUUUGGUUGUGAAUUCCAAUGUGGCAGAUGAAGGCAUAUACUCUCUGUCCUUUCCUUCCUUGAAGUUCGCUGGCCACUGCUGUUCAGAAUGAUGUUUCAAAGAUAUGUUUCUCAUUUCAUUGGAAUGCUCAUGAUAGACUGAUGGUCAUCUGCGUCAACAGCACUAAAGGAGCACAACAGAAGAUUAUCGGACAGAAGAUUAUCGCUGGUGGGGGGAGGGAAGCUUGGCCACCAGCAAUAAUUUAAUCACCUAUCCGAUUGCCAACAGUUCCGAGGACUGAAAUGCCACAGUACUCAAACUUUGGUCAUAAUUGCCUGCUUUGUCGAUUCCAUUCCUUGACGUUGCUUUCAUUAUCUCCUUACUCAUAUCCAAGGUCAAUCGCUAUAGCUAAUCAUUCUUCGUUCAACCAAACUGCAUAUGCUCUGUUUUCCAUUGCUUUAUGUAUGAGGCAGAGGCUGGGACCUGUUGCUACCGUCUAUGUGAAUAUGAACUGUGAUUGAGGCUGUAUUAAUGAUUUGAACGUGCUGCAUUUCCUUUGCAAUGAUUUGGAUGUGAAUCGUUGCUUUACUUUUGCAUCUAAGCUCCCUAGCCAAAAUGUAUACCACAUGUUUGAUGAAAUUCCUGAACUAAAUAAAUGUGUAAUUCCAGGUCUUGAUUGAGAAUUUCAUUCAUUACUAGGGAUUUCAUCAAUUUUGGUCUUAUCAGCCUAGUUGUGUUCUGUUUCUUCAUUGAAAAUUAUAGGCAUUCCAUUUUGAACUUGCUUUGGAUUUGCUGGAACCUUGUCGAUACAUGCAGAUUCGCAGCUAUUGCGGCCCUGGGCUAAAGUCCAUUGAUCCUUCAUUUGAUGCUAUUCCACUCAAGUAAGCAUGUGCAGUGACAUAAGAUUGUGUUAUGGUAAAUUUCAUGUUCGCUUGGAAAAGAUAUUAUGUCAUGGAUGAAUUAAAUUAUACUUGAAAUCAAUCCUUGAAUGUUGACCAUGUCUUGAUAUCCCAUGAUUGGGUGUGAGUUUGAUUCCAACUUGAGGCUAGUUUGGUUAUGGGAUCGUCUAUGUUCAUGCUAGGAAAGUAAUAUGGUGAAUCUCAUGCCAACUUGAGGCUAGUUUGGUCAUGGAUUGAUGCCAUUUUGAUCAAGUCAAUUUGUCAUCAAACAAUCAUGAUUUGCAGUCUUGUAUGCUCUGUUACAAUUCUGAUUGCUGCUACAAGUCGUGGAUUAAGCACAGAUUAGAUGGAUUUUGUCUCAACUUGCUUGUCUUUUUUAUUGCCCGUGGGCAAGUGAUAUCAUGUGUUCAAGUUCCUUGUCAAUUUCACGUGUUCAGAUGGCACUAGUUGGCUGUUAGUCCCACGAGAAUGAAAUCAAGGACUGCAUAUCAAAACAGAUGUAUUAACAAAGGGUUUCAAUUCCCCAAAAAAGCACAAACUUUAGGUUGACUCUCUGUUCUGAGUAAAACUUUUUUUUGUCUAGAAAGAAUCAACUUCCACUUAAGUCCCAAAUUUGAUCCCCAUUCAAUUGCCGUCCAAAAUCACUGUUGAAGGUCUAACAUGGCAGUCAGUUGUAAAUCCAUGUCAGCUAACUACUCACCAAAAAGAUGCUUUGUUGUUCUUAAAAAUUUGGAAAAAUCAAAACAAUUAGAGGUGGAUUCUUCAAUUCUGCAGACAAAAGUCUUCAAAUUUUGCAUUUGGGAAUCUUCAAUUCGUCGGAUAGACUCACGCCCGAGAUAGUUGGUUUGUUGAGCUUUUAAUAAACCAAUUCUGAACUCUGCUUGUCUCGUGAUCCAAGGACAGGUGCUCGACCGAAGACAGCAUCUUCUGCAGGAUCAUUCUCAGUGAAUCGCCUGCACUCAAGGUAUUUGAUUGAUUUUGAUUCUGGUUCUUCUGAAUUGAGGAUGGAUAGCUAUCUUCUUCAAUGUCAAAGCUCAUUUCAAUUCAUGGUUUUGCAUCUCGUGUUAUUCUUACUGAAAGAUGCGAGCUUGAUGUCCUGCUGGGGUUGGCGAUCAUGUGCAGAAGAAUUACAUCCACAUAUUGUUCUCAUGUUUUGCCUAUCCGAAAACUCAAUGGAAUGGUGACUCUUCCACAUUGCACUGUUUGUCAUGCAUCAUUAAGCAUUGCUGAUGCGGCUAUGUGUUUGACAAGCAUUUUCGGAAUGUAUGACAGAUGAUGGCUAGAAUGAUCAGAUCCUUCUUCAUUCAUUUGAUCUUAUUCAUUUUGUACUUUCAGCUCUGUGAGGAUGAAAAGUGUCUAUGCAUAUUGAUUCGAGUCUUCUAAGCCAUGGGUAGGGUGUUACUCAUCCAUCAUUCUGCAGUAGAUGACCCCUUGAAAUUAUUGUCCUUAAACAAGGAUAAACUGACGAGGCAAAAAUGUCAUAUUUGCUCUUGUGAUUAACUUCUCCGUUGUUUAGCCAGGACUUCUUAUAGUCUCAUCUAAUCACUCUCUCCAGAUUGUGUAACCUUGCUUCAUAAACAAUAAAUUGAGAUGAAUUGAUGUGUCUAUACGUGAAGUUAAGAUUUGCACAUGAAACUAUGUUGUAGUUAGAAGCAGAUGCUGCCAUCUGGUUCUAACUUUUAUGACCUACGUGCUUGGUUAUAGCAUCCUAGAUGAUUGAGUCAUGGUUUGUAAGUUAACACCAAUCUUCCUUACUGAUGACAGCUUUUUUGUUGUCAUCUUGGAUCCUAACAAUUGUUCUCAUGGCCUAAAGAACCAACGUCUUAAUUAAAAAAAUUCUACCUGCUCCUGGCGGUUGAAUGUAAAGACUAAAAGAGAGCAUUGAAGAGAAAGAGGGCUUUUGAUUGUUAUUAAUGGAGAAUGUCUUCUCGAGGAAUUUGGCACAAGUGUUUUUUCACAAACCAACUUCUAUUCUUGAAAAAUCUUUUGCAACGUAAGACUAUGUAUGAACUCACUCACCUCAAUUGUACUUGGGACGCAGUGCUUCGUCCACGAUCUCCUGCAAAUCUGUGGUUUUCAUAUCCAGCGGGCCUUAUUGUUCAACGGCCAAGUCGAGUACAUUAAUGCCACACGGGACAUGCUGUGGUCCCUCGCCCGGAAGCUGGGUCGUUGGCAUAGGCAGUUACUUUUUGUCCAGCGUGGAUGCGCUUUCAUGGAGAAAAUGAUUGCUAGAUAGCAGAAUAGUUCUAGCAUUUUGGAGGCGGCAGAGCUCAAAAGGCAAUGUUAGUAUAAAGAAAUGGUGGAGGCGGUCCACUUAUCUUGCGUCUAACGGCACUUUGACCACCUCUUCAACGGCUACUUUGAAAAUUGCAAUUCUAUAAAAAAGAUUCAAAGCUUGCUGAAGGAUUCGGUUUCCGACUUCUUGAUAUUUUACAAGCGUGGUCAUAAACUACCGAUACUCUGAAGAAUUUUGCCAACAUACGAAUGGAUUAAUAUAUUACCAACUUCUUAUCAACAUUGUAAGGGAUUUAGUAAUAUCCAAAUAAAUUAGAUUUAUCAAUGUCAAAAUAAAUUAGAAAAUUAUGUAUUUUUUUUUUUAAAUUUAGACACGGUUCAUAAGUUUUAACGAUGUUAUUAAUUUACUUAUGUCAGAUUAAUUUGUAAGUAACCUCUUAACCUAGUUGGUUAGGAUCUCACCCUGAGAUCCGAGAUCCAGGAGGUAAGGGGCUCAAAGCCCCUAAUAUUUAUCUUGUCAUUUAUCUUGUCCCUUGAAUUGAGGCGUGUGUUCACUGCUGCUUUGAUUCUACCCUUAAAUGCAUGUACUCAAUUCGGGCUUACUCGACAUCAAGGGUGGCUUUCCUCCUAGCGCACCAUGCGAAUCUAUUAAUUUCUUUCGUUGAUUGAUAUACUUCAAUUUUUGUCCUACAUAAUCUAUUUUUCAGUAUAGAAUUUACAUAUCAUGGAUAUACAUGUAAUUUAUACCUUUUUAACUAUAAUUUUUAUUAUAUCCACAAUCAAUACAAAACAACCUCUAUUUUGACACUACAAUAUUUAUACAUAUAUGCUAACUAUCCGUUUAUGUCAGGUUAUUUAAAUUUUGGAGUACAUGUGUAAGUAUAUUUUAUAUACCAUUGUUUAAAUUAUUUCUGUUUUGUGUGACUAACCGAAUUAGGAGGGUUGCUUUUUUAAAAAUUUUGGCUGCUGUUAGUCGUAAAACAAUUUGUAUGAAUUUGGGACUAAAUAUAUAAUUGUGUAUGGUCAUGCACACAUUAACAUGACACUUUCAAGCUUUUUCAGCAGUUCCUUUUUAAUUUCUAUUUUACUGGGUAUCAUAUACUUGAAUAAAAAGAUAUUCUUUACUUGAAUAAUAUUAGCAUUCACGUAUAUGAAGUCGCCCUACCAAUUCAAUUAUAUAUGUAAUUCAAAACCUAUGCAUUGUCACAAGAUUAAUAGAUAGAUGUCUAUUUUAUAUCAAUAAGGUGUCUAGAACUCUCUGAGCAUCCAACUAAUCUCCAUUUGGUGUGAUGGUCCCUCCAUCUCACACAUGUCAGGUAAUCACCGGAGACUCACAAAAGAGUGCUCAUGGGAGUGGCCACAAGAGAAUGUUCAAGUAUAGUGAUUUGAUCACAAGCUUUGACAAGAAAGAUAAACAUACUUGCCACCUAUGAAGCACAGACAUGUUGCCCGUGCUUCCGUGUCAUGUCCGACAUUUGUCUGAGCAUGUCGGGCACGUCAACACGCUAGGACACGGUCGGACACGAGGUCAACGCAUGUCGGAUUUUCCGACAUGCGGUCAACGUUUCUCGACACGUUUUGACACGCAUGUCUGGAAGACGAUGGAUGGUGGAGGCAAGGGAGGGCGAGGGAGCAGAGAUGAGGCCGCGAGCGAUGGCGAGAGACAGCAAGAGAAAGAGCCGAACAGAGAGAAAGAAGAGAGAGAAAACAAACUCCCUUAGAUUCAUAAUCAAAACAUCACAGCGUCAUGGCCUAGUGCGCUUGCAAAGAAAACUGAUCUCGGGCCUAUUUGGCUCGCGGUUUACUGACCAAAUCUACGAGAACCUUCAUAGAUAUUUUGAUGCGUAUUCAUAGAUCAUAUUCAUUCUCAGGUGUAAUUCCACUCCGAGGACAGGUAUUUCUUUUAGGGAAUGAGCUUGACUAAAGUAGGGGCAAAUCUUUUUCAUUAGGGCAAAUCUAUUUCAUCAGGGGCCUUAUUAGUGAUUCCCUCUUUUUGGUCCCCGGCCGACUAUUCUCUCCAUCGGUGAUAACAUAAUUCGACGUUGACUUUUGUCAUCUGCUGUCACGGUUGCACCUCAUGGAGAAAUUUACUAGUUUCUUCUUGCUAUUCAUAAUGACUAUUUGAUAUAUCGAUACAAGAGCAUAUUUAUUUUUCUAUAUGUCAUUUGUAGGUUAGGCUAGACAUUUGUCAAUAUGUACGUGUGAAUUGUAUUAAAAAAGUCUCACACCAGAUAAUUGAUGUGGUGUGAUUAGUUAAUUUAUCCGAGUUAAUCUAUAACUUAUUGGCUUAAAUUUUUUAGCUCCAAGUAGAUAUGUUGAUAGGUUCAAAUUUGGACUCUCUCUUGGCGACCACCCUGAACUCCCAAUGUGUAGUGUUUGGUAAAUAUCUCAAGGAACUCAAUGUGCAUCAAUAUUUGGUAAGUAUCUUAAGAAAGAAAUCUCGUGAUUAAUGGUUUCCGAGCAGCCUAGUGUUGUGGUGCAACAUUGCAUUCUCAAUGGCAGUUCGAGAUGAAGGUUGGCAUUGUUGUAGUUGUUGUGACCUCACACGCAACAAAGUGGAGAUUCACAUGUGAAUUAAUGUAGAACAUCCCUAAUAUUGAACUCACACCUGAGUGAGUGGGAGAUUGUUGAGUUGCACAUUUGCAUUAUAUUAAAAAAGUCCUACAUCGGAGAAUUGAUAUAGUAGCUAAUAUAUCAUAGUUAACCUAAAACUAGAUAUAUUGAAUGACUCAAACUUAGACUCUCUUUGGCAAUGUCCUCAAGUGAAGCUAUCAAGCGUCCAACAGUUUUCGAGGUCAGUAGCUUUUUGCAAUGGCAUGCUUGAAAGGCAAUCGGAAGGUUUGAAGGCAAUGGCGCGGCUACAUUGUGCCUCUUAAUAGACUUUGUGAAGGUAUCGAAGUGCAAUAGACAAUCAAGGACAAUUGCCUCGUAGAAGGAAGGAAAAAUAAUACAAAUAAUUCAUGAACUUUGGUCCAAUAUACAAUGUCGUCUUUAAUUUGUUUAACUUGGUUCAUGAACUAUUGGUAAAUGUUCAGUGUUAUCUUUGAACUUCUAAUUUAUUCAAUGUGACCCUUAAAUUAUUGGUAAAUAUUUAAUAUAGUCAUUCUGUUUGUUCAAACAGCAAUAUGAUGACAUGCAUUAUUAUAUUAUAUGCUGAGUUGGAUUUUUAAAAUUAAUGAGUCAAUAUAUCCAUCUUUUAUCUGUCUACUUUAAAAAAGGAAAAAAACAAAUUAGGGACUUCAAAUAUCCCACGUGCAAAUUUCUUUUCCUAAUUUGAGAUAAAUAUUUUACGUGGAUAAUCCAUAUAUAUAUUGUCUACCAUUCAUAUUUAAUGGAAUGGAAGUCACGUAUUCCAUUAACUUGAAUUAACAAAAAGAUGACUUUAAAUAAUUUGAUAUAGUUAGGGAAUUAGAUUGAACAUUUAUUAGUAACUCAGAGUUUAGGACUACAUUGAACAUUUACAAAAGUUUAGACACUAUAUUUAACAAAUUAAAAGUUCAUAAGUAACAUUGCAUAUUGAAUCAAAUUUUAAGGACCAUUUUUGCUUCAUUUUUCCUUAUAAGGAAAGUGAAAGUAGGAACGUCCUCUUCGGUUUCUUUGCAUCUUGCAAGGUGCUUCUCCUCCAUGAACCACCACUUGCAUGCACGACUGACGUGCCACGCGUUUUCCAGUUGUCUUGUAGAUGUUUCAAACAUAUUUACCUUAUUAUUUGAAGAAGAAUAUUAUGUCAUCAUGAACCUAGUACAAGACACUAUAUAUUUCUUUUCAUUAAAUCUUUACUUAUCAAAGGCCGGCGAGUUAUUUCUCGAUCGAUGGGAGAAAUGGGCCAAAAAAUUGGGAAAAUCCAGUUGAAUAGAACCCGGUAUGUGUUGAUCAAAUAUUGAUCCAUUUGAAAUGACAUGGGGUCGAAGUCCCAUAGAAUGUGGUGGAAGACUAAACAAGGAGCCGUAAAGGGAAGGUGGUGGGGGGAAAGAGAGAGAGAGAGAGAGAUUUCUUUAGUGCAAGAUGAUUCUUUCAUAUUUUUAUUUUCCUUUAUUUAAAGGUUCCAAAGUGAAGAAAGGAUACGAUGGUUGAAGGAUUUUUUUUUUCUCGUCUUUCAGUUCAGAUACUUGGCUUCCAUGAUAGAGGAUUCUUUUUCCCUUCGUUUAAAGGUUCCAAAGCGAAGAAAUGAUGAGACGGUUGAGGAAUUUUUUUCUCAUCUUUCAGUUCAGAUACUUGGCUUCCACAAUAGAGGAUUCUUUUCUUCGAGCCUAGGGAUUCUUCCUCAAAUUAUUCGAAUUAUUAUUUUCUUCUUCAAAUUCAUCAUCUCCUUCCAACGCUAAAUCCAAACCCCAUGUCUCCCACCACGCUGACAUCUUAAUGAGCCACAGAUUAAACUAAUUCCUGCCGGUGAAGAUCUCUAACUCAAAUUUUCUAGAAGCCAUAGCGAUAAUUGCAUACAGACAAAAUAACCCUAGGCUUUGAUACUAGUUUUAUAACUAAUGCGCAAACAAGAACAAAUGAAAAUGACUUAAGUAAAAAAUAAAUUGCAUAAAUAAAACCUGAACGCAGCGGAUUUACUUUGUCCAAUGGUAAAACCUACUUUAUGGGGAAAGUUAACAAGAUGGUUUCAUGAUAAUCGGCGAAAAAUGGAUUACGACCGCUCAAUUACACUCACUCAUAAGUGUUUCUCAAUCAUAGAGUUUCACAAGAAUCAGUCACAAGAAAUGAGUUUUCUCACACUCUCAGCUCUCUCGGAUGAUGAUUCUCAAUAGUCUCUAUGUCUCUCACAAGCUUUUAUACGUAUUAAGCACACUCAACAUGCUCAAAAGACCAAACUCACCAAUAAAAUAGUUAUAUGCAAAGAAAUUAUCAGCCCGUAUUUGAUGACAACAUUGAUUUCAUCAUCAAUAAUGAAAAGAGUUCUUGUGAGAAAUUAAUGUCCCUUGUUGCAUCACCCACACUCCGAUUGGCAAGAGUCCAAUUUGGACUUCCUAAUAUGGCCUGAAUUGCUUUGCAAUUAAAUUAUGGGUUGAAUUUCAAUCAAUCAGGAUUAACUUUGAUUCAUAAUCAACACAUCACAACGUCAUGGCCGAGUGCACUUGAGGAGGCAUUUGAUCUCAAGCAUACUCGGCUUGAGGUUUACCAACCCAAUCUACAGGAAUAUUCGUACAUAUUUUAAUGCUUAUUCAUGAAUCAUAUGUAUUCUUAGGGGUAGUUCCUCUCUGAGGCAGGUAUUUCUUUCAGUUAAUGAAUUUGACUAAGAUAUAAGUAGGUGCGAAUAUUUUCAUUAGUGACCUUGUUAGAAAUUCCGGUUUUUUUGGUCCCUGGCCAACUAUUUUGUCAUCCGGUGACAACAUGAGUCAAUCUUGAGUUAUGUUGUCUACCGUCGCGGUUCCACCUCUUGUAGAAAUCUACUUGCAAGGUGCUUUCAGUGGUCCCUUCUCUGAGAACCAUCACUUGUGUGCUCGGCCAGGGUACUGUAUGUUUUCCGUUAGUUCUUGUAGAUGUUUUAAAUACAUUUAUCCUAAUUUUAGAAGAAGAAUAUCGUGUCGUCGGGAACAAAGUAUAAGACACUGUAUGGUUCGUCACGUCAAAUUUUUACUUACCAAAGGCCAGAGUUAUUUCUCGAAGGGAGAAAUGGAAAAAAAAAAAAAAAAACAAAACAAAAGCGACAAUCCAGUAGGAUAGAACCUGCUUCAUAUUGACCCGAAAUCCGAUCUCGCCCAUUUGGCGCGUCGGAGUCGUAGAAAUCACGAUGGAAGAUUAAAAGAGCAGUACAAGUGAAGAGAGAGAUUGAAAGAAAAAGAGAGGCGGCAGAGAUUUCUUUCGUGAAAGAUGAUUCUUUCAUAUCUAUAUUUUCCUGUUUCGAGGAUACUUUUUCGCUUUAUUUAAAGGUUACAGGGAGAAGAAGUCAUGAGACGGGAGGAUUCUUUCAUUAUUCCCUUCAUGUUGAGGAUUCUUCCUCACCUUUCAGUUCAGAUACUUGUCUUCUAUGACAGAGAAUUCUUUUCCUCCAGCAUGGGGGAUCCUUCUUCAGAUUAUUCUUUUCUUGGCCGAGGAAAAAUGAGAUGGUCUUCACGACCUUUCUUGGCCAACACCUUCGUAUAUAUUUUGGGAGUUUCACCCCAUCUCAUUCAGACAUUUGUCGCAUUUCCUAUCUCGAAUUUUCACCGUCCUUCACUGUCUUCUUCCAGCCACUAGCUCUCUCUCUCUCUCUCUCUCUCUCUCUCUCUCUCUCUCUCUCUCGUGUUCAUUGUAUUCAUCCUAUUGAACCUUUCCUCUUCUUCAGUCGUUUCGUUUUCGGGUUCCAUCACUUCAGCCUUCCUAAGCAUAUAUAAAUUCUUAACUUUCAUUUCUCUCCAAAGAGGAAGGCAAAAAAAUCAGAAAGAUAGAAAUAAAAAAGCGGGAAAAUGGCGGAUAUUGUUCUGUCUAUAGCUUCCAAAGUGGCGGGAUACCUGGCGGCUCCAAUUGGUCGUCGAUGCGGCUACCUGAUGUUCUCCAACAGCUACGUUGGCCAACUGAAGGAAGAACUUGAGAAGCUGGAUGACGCGAGGGUUGGGCUGCAGCGCUCGGUCGUUGAUGCUGAAAACAACAUGAGGGAGAUAAAACGCGAAGUUAACAGAUGGAAGAAUGAUGCAGAGACUGUUGCCAACAAGGCGCGCGGCAUGCUGGAUAACGAGGGAAGAGCCAAGAAAACUUGCUUCUGCGGGUGGCUUCCCAACCCAAAGGAGCGUUAUUGUCUCGGCAGGGACGCGAGGAAGACAGCCCAGGCCAUCCAGGCACUCAUCCCACAAGGUAAAUUCGAGAGCGUCUACUAUGAGAGUGCUCCGCCGGGGCGUGUCACUGGCACUCCCGAUGUGAAUUCCUCAGCCGGUGAUGGGGGCGACACUAUCGCAGACUCGCGAGCUUCCGUCUUUCAGGGCAUAAUGAAAGCUCUGGAUGAUGAGAAGCUAAGAGUGAUUGGGGUCUACGGGCCUGGCGGCGUGGGGAAGACUACGCUAUUGGAGGAAGUCGAGAAGAAACUCAGGAAAGAGAAGGGACCGUUCCACAUGAUCGUCAAAGCAAAAGUGUCACAGAUUCCUGUCUCGAAGAAUAUCCAAGAUGAGAUCGCUGACGCCUUGAAACUGGAUCUGAAGGACGUGCGAAGCAAACGCGGCCGGGAAAAUCGUCUGUUGGAGAGAUUACAGCGGGAUCCAAGUGAGAAGGUUCUCAUAAUAUUGGAUGACCUAUGGGGGGAACUUGAUUUGAAAGCGGUUGGAAUUCCUUCAAGAGACAUUAGCGGGAAAUGCAAAUUGUUGCUCGCAUCAAGAUUUGAAGAUGUGCUGAAGCAAAAGAUGUGUGCCGAUGAAACAUUUUUUCUUGGAGGCCUAAACAACGACGAAGCUUUCGGGCUAUUUGCAAAGACGGUCGGCAACAGGCUCGAAGACGAUGAGGAUUUGAAAGCAAUAGCGGCUCGAGUGGUCAAGAAGCUUGCAGGUUUGCCUCUUUUGAUUAUCUCCGUUGCAAAAACCUUGAAAGAAAGCCCUGUGUCCGCAUGGAGAAUCGCACAGAUAGAAAUAGAUGAGUCAACUAAAGAAAUACAAGAAACGAUAGUGAAGUUGAGUUAUGGCCAUUUGAAGAGUGAGGACGCGAAGUGCUUAUUCUUGCUCUGCGGUCUUAUUGGCGGGACCAUUCAGGUCGAACUUCUAUGGGUAUUAGGCAUGGGGUUGGGCUUGCUUGAAAAAAUUAAUGAGACAAUACAAAAUUCAAGGGAUAGAUUGAAUAAUAUUCUGGAUAGCCUCCAUUCCAUUUGUUUGUUGCAGGAUGGAGGCGAUGAUAAGAAACAUGUGACCAUACACGAUCUUUACAGCGAGGUGGUCAUCUCAGGUGCAUAUAGUGGUCAGGAUUCCUUAAUGAUUAACAACAAUUAUGGCUCAUGGCCAAAGGAAAAGCUUGAGAAAUGUUGGGCAUGCCUGGUUAAUGUUGGCAGUGAUAAACUUGUUGAACUAAUGCUGCGUCAGUUUCCCCACGUGAAGAUACUUAUGUUGUCAGAACAAAACAAUAUGGGAGAUUGUAGUAGAAUUGAUUUCACAUACAUGGAGGAGCUUCGAGUCCUCUAUCUUCGCUCUAUGCAUAUCACCAGUUUACCUUCCUCGAUGGAAAUCCUCGGGAACCUCCGGUCAUUAAGCAUAAAUUGCUAUGUGAGGGAUGUGGCAAAUCUUGGCAAGCUCAAAGCACUGCAGAUUCUUAGCUUCGAUGGGUCUAUAAUUUCUAGACUGCCUAAAGAAAUCGGGAAACUAACAAAUCUAAGAUCGUUGAAUCUGAACCACUGCUACUGGCUUAAGAUAAUCGAGCCUAGAGCCCUAGAAGGCUUAAUCAACUUGGAAGAGUUACAUAUGAAGAAUAGCUUUGAUGGGUGGAUGGGCAAGCAUGAAAUACCGUCGGAAUCGUGUGUUGUUGGGCUUGCUGAGUUGAAGAGCCUGACAAAGCUGGCAUCUUUGGAAAUAUCAAUUCCUGAUCCCAUCAUACUCUUAGAGGAUGGUGACCUACCAUUUGAGAACCUGCACAAAUUUUGGAUCAACAUAGGAUAUUUGGGGUUUCGGAUGGAGAGGGAAUAUGAAUGUUUGACAACCAUGAGGCUCGAUCUGAAAGGGGUGGAAGGGUGCAAUAGUAUUCUUUCAAGAAAAUGGGUUAAGAAAAAUCUGCAGAAGACUCAAUGCUUAUAUUUAGGAGGGUUGAGUGAGUUCAAAGAGAGCGCUCACAAAUUGUGCACCCAAGGAUUCCAAGAAGUGAAGUAUCUCAGCAUUACAAAAAGCCCCUUAAUCAAGUACAUUGCUUAUUCAUCCAAUGCCGAUCCAUCCAAUGGCCUUCCUCUCAUUGCUUUUGGGAAGUUAGAGUCUUUUUACCUUCAAAAUCUUAUUAAUUUGGAGAAGAUAUGCCAUGGACCCAUUGCGCCAGAGUGCUUCAACAAAUUGAAAGUUAUGAGAGUAACUUGGUGCAAACGAUUGAAAUACUUGUGGCGUCUUUCAGAUAUGCAAAGACUUGUACAAUUGGAAGAGAUUUCAUUGUGGGAAUGUGAAUCAUUGCAAUCCAUUGUCACGCAUGAUGCCGGAGAAGAUAUAGUUUAUACCAAUAACAAAGUUGAGUUGCCUAAUGUACGUCGUCUGGGAUUGAUUGACUUACCAAAUAUGACAAGCUUUUGUACCAAAGCUGAAAUCACAUCAAAGGAUAUUCCAAUCCAGGUAAUUUUUUUUUUUCACUUUUUCCCUCUAUCAAUUUGCCCUAUUAGGAUGAGAUGAUAUUGGUGUUCACUCAAUGUUAGUACAUAUUGCAUUUUAACUUUGAUUAUUCGUACAAUUUUAUUCGCCUUUUGAUUUACAAUUGAAAAAUCAUCUUGAUUAUUCGUACAAUUUUAUUCACCUUUUGAUUUACAAUUGAAAAAUCAUCUCAAAUAGAACACAGGUCCAAUUAUAAUUAGAGGGAAGCUGCUUUCCACGACUUAUUAUUUUAAAAAAAAAUAAUCAAUGGUAGAUUAUUGGACCUAUAACUGGGGUUUCUACUGUGACUAUUUAUUAGUUAUUUAACAUUUUUAAUGAGUUGAAAAAAUAGUAGUGUGCUUAAUGAAUAUAAGCAAAAAUGAAUCUUGAAUGAAUAAAUAAAAUUCAAUAAUUUGAAAAUGAAGAAAGCGACGUCCAGAAAUUCAAUAAAGAUGGCGAGCGAGAAGCCACAUAACAAAGAAAGUCCCCAGAAUUCAUGUCCCACCUAACAUGCAAUUUUGUAACUUCCAACAUGUCAUGCCAAGUUUCCAAUGUCGCCAUGACAACAUGACCGUGCAAUUGUGCGGCACUAGCAGCAUGAUAGUGGUGAAGAUAUCAUCAUGAAAAUGAUUUUGCUUUUCACAGAAGAGAAAUGAUUUUAUUUUAUUUUUUUGCUUUUUAGACUGAGAGUUUCACUUAUUUUCUUGUGAAAAUAGCUUGAUUUGUAACAAACUCACCUUUAAUGAGUCUCAUUGUGGCGCUUUGUUAGGUUUCAUUGCCUCACUUGGAAUCCCUAGUAAUGGUUGGAUUCCUUGCCCCAGAAAAAAUACUCUACAGUGAACCCUCAAUAAAAUACAGCGUUGUGAAAUCGCUAAGGAUAGAAGAGUCUAAAUCCACGUUGAGUAUUCCAAAGAUAGGAUACUCAAGCUGCCAAAUUUGGAGUCAAUGAAUAUUUGUUGUCGUUAUUCAUUAAAUAAUCGGUACGAGUGAACGAAAUUCAACAAUCUCGAAAUGAAGAAAGUGAGAUUAAAUAAAUGGAAGGCGAACCAAGAGCCACGUAACAAAGAAAGUCCACCUAAUUGAUGUUUCACCUACAUGCAAGUUGUAAUUGAUUUUAACAAGUCAUGCCAACCUCACCAUGUCAACAUCAUUCUGCUUCCGUCAUCCCUUUCUUCAGCUACUAAGGGGAUAUUUCCUUCUCCAUUCUUUCAGGCACGACAAAAAAUCUACAUAUUCCGUCCUUUGAUCAAUUGAUUUUUGAAUAUUUAAUUUUGAUCAAUUAAGUUUUUGACAUUCUUAAGAGACAUCGAGCCCAUUCAUGUAUUCAAUGUCCAUUUGUUUCAGUGAAAAUUCCUUACUGUUGAAAAAUGUUUUCUUGGUAAAUCGUUUUUUUCUAGAAAUUGUUUCCCCGUAUUUGGUUCUACUGAAAACGCAAUUUGAAAAGAUGUUUUAUGAUGUUUAUUAACGAAGCGCAAAAAUUUACAAAGUGAAGAUAAAAACUGUUAUGGAUCCUUAAUAGAAACAAAGCUCGAAUAAGUCAUAUUUACUUGUUCUUAAUGAAAACCAAUAAGUUAACAAAAAAUUUAUGAAAAACUGAACUUUGAUAUGAUUUUUUUUUUUUUUGUCAAUUUUGAAGUUCAAAAUAGAAAAACAAAAGAAAAGAUAACCAAAUUAUGGUAGUUGUUUUGAAGGUACGUAAAUGAUUUCAAAAGAAAAGAUAAAAAAUUAUGGUCAUAGUUUUGAAGAUCAGCUAAAGAAAAGAUAAAAAAAUAUGAUGACUGUUGAGAGAGAGAGAGAGAGAGAGAGAGAGAGAGUUGUGCGAUAGUGUUGCAGAGAGAGUUGUGCAAUAGUGCUGCAUUUGCAACAUGAUAGUGGUGAGGAUAUCCUCAUGAAAAUUAUCCCUUUUCACAAAAGAGAAAUUCAGAAAUUCAUUUUUUUCUAUAUAGUCAUUUUCUUGUAUCCAUGAGAAGUCUGAAAGCAAUUUCCUGAAAAUAGCUUUACUUGUAAGAAACUCACCUUUAAUGAGUUUCUUUGUGGUGCUUCAUUAGGUUUCAUUGCCUUGCUUGGAAUCCCUGGUGAUGUUUGGACUCCUUGGCCUAGAAAAGAUACUCUAUAGUGAACCUUCAUUAAAAUACAGUAAUCUGAAAUCACUAGAGAUAAAGGAGUCUACAUCCACGUCGAUUAUUCUAAAGGAUUGGAUACUGAAGUUCCCGAAUUUGGAGUCAAUGAAAAUUGCGUGCACUCCAUAUGUAGAAGUUGUUUUCAACCUAGAGGAGCUAAAAGUCAUCAAAGAAGUGGAGAUUCUCUCUCGGCUAAGUACAUUGGAAUUAUCUAAGUUACCGAACCUGCGGCACAUGUGGAAACAAAAUGUACAACUACAAGGAAUAUCGAUACUUCAGAACUUGAAAAAGCUCUUUAUCAACAAUACAGGACUCUCAUUUCUCUUUCCACUCUCUGUGGCUAAAUGUCUUAGAGAAAUUAGAGACAUUAAAGUGGAGGAUUGUCCGAAUAUGAAGGCGGUGAUUGUUGAUGAAGAAGGAAGAGAUGAUGGGAUAGAUGAUAUUAUAGAGUUCCCAUUAUUGGAGCGACUAUCUAUAAGCCACUGUCCCACGGAGAAAUUCUUCUCAUAUCCUCAUGCACAAAAAGAGUCAAUAACCACUACUUCAAAUUCACAAGAUACUUAUUCGGAUUCUUUCUUUGAUCAAAAGGUACGAAUCCUUUCUUUAGAGCUUACGCCCAUAACAGUCAUAAGCACGCGAUUGGUGGGGCAAGUAUUAAUAUUUUUUUGAAGAUUUUUUUAUUUGUUAUAUUAGUUAAAAUGUUUUUAUAAUUUAUAGCUACACUUGUUAGAGUAAGGCCAUUGGUGAAAAUUCUAUCCUCCACCGCAUUAGACAGAUUGGUAUAAGAUUAGACCAAAUUGUAAAAAAUUUCAUAGCUAUGAUCUGAUGUACAACUCUUAUGAGCAGAUAAGUUUACCAAACUUGGAGAAGUUAAUACUCGACUCGCUAGGAUCCUCUCGCUGUGGCUGUGGGCUCGGCCUCGCCAUUGUUGGGCGAGGCAUAUGGCAUAGUGAGCUUCCCAAAAGUUCUUCCGACAAAUUAGCCAACCUCACCCCGAAACAAGAUUUGCAAUCACAAGGAACAUCAAUAUUUCGGAAUCUAAAGGUGCUCUCUAUCAAAAAUACAGGGCUAUCAUUUCUCUUUUCGGUGUCUGUGGCUAAAUGUCUUAAGGAAAUUAGAGAGAUUGAAGUGGAGGAUUGUCUGAAUAUGAAUGCGGUGAUUGUUGAUGAAGAAGGAAGAGAUGAUGGGAUAGAUGAUAUUAUAGAGUUCCCAUUAUUGGAGCGACUAUCUAUAAGCCGCUGUCCCACGGAGAAAUUCUUCUCAUAUCCUCAUGGAAAAAAAGAGUCAAUAACCACUACUUCAGAUUCACAAGAUACUUAUUCGGAUUCUUUCUUAGAUCAAAAGGUACGAAUCCUUUCUUUAGAGCUUACGCCCAUAACAGUCAUAGGCACGCGAUUGGUGGGGCAAGUAUUAAUAUUUUUUUGAAUAUUUUUUUAUUUGUUUUAUUAGUUAAAAUGUUUUUAUAAUUUAUAGCUACACUUGUUAGAGUAAGGCCGUUGGUGAAAAUUCUAUCCUCCACCGCAUUAGAUAGAUCGGUAUAAGAUUAGGCCAAAUUGUAAAAAUUUUCAUAGCUAUGAUAUGAUGUACAACUCUUAUGAGCAGAUAAGUUUACCAAGCUUGGAGAAGUUAGUACUCCACUCGCUAGGAUCCUCUCGCCAUGGCUGUGGGCUCGGCCUCGCCAUUGUUGGGCGAGGCAUAUGGCACAGUGAGCUUCCCAAAAGUUCCUCCGACAAAUUAGCCAACCUCACCCCGAAACAAGAUUUGCAAUCACAAGGAAUAUCAAUAUUUCGAAAUCUGGAGGUGCUCUCUAUCAACAAUACAAGGCUGUCAUUUCUCUUUUCGGUGUCUAUGGCUAAAUGUCUUAGAGAAAUUAGAGACAUUAAAGUGGUGAAUUGUCCAAAUAUGAAGGCGGUGAUUGUUGAUGAAGAAGGAAGAGAUGAUGGGACAGAUGAUAUUAUAGAGUUCCCAUUAUUGGAGCGACUAUCUAUAAGCCGUUGUCCCACGGAGAAAUUCUUCUCAUAUCCUCAUGAAAAAAAUGAGUCAAUAACCACUACUUCAGAUUCACAAUAUACUUAUCCAAAUUCCUUCUUUGAUGAAAAGGUAUGAAUCAUUUCUUUAGAGCUUACACCCAUAAUAGUCAUAGGCACGCAAUUGGUGGGGCAAGUAUUAAUAUUUUUUUGAAUAUUUUUUUUAUUUGGUUUAUUAGUUAAAAAAUGUUUUUAUAAUUUAUAGCUACACUUGUUAGAGUAAGGCCGUUGGUGAAAAUUCUAUCCUCCACCGCAUUAGAUAGAUCGGUAUAAGAUUAGGCCAAAUUGUAAAAAAUUUCAUAGCUAUGAUCUUAUGUACAACUCUUAUGAGCAGAUAAGUUUACCAAGCUUGGAGAAGUUAAUACUCCACUCGCUAGGAUCCUCUCGCCAUGGCUAUGGGCUCGGCCUCGCCAUUGUUGAGCGAGGCAUAUGGCAUAGUGAGCUUCCCAAAAGUUCUUCCGACAAAUUAGCCAACCUCACCUCGAAACAAGAUUUGCAAUCAGAAGGAACAUCAAUAUUUCGGAAUCUGAAGGUGCUCUCUAUAAAAAAUACAGGGCUGUUAUUUCUCUUUUCGGUGUCUGUGGCUAAAUGUCUUAGGGAAAUUAGAGAGAUUGAAGUGAAGGAUUGUCCGAAUAUGAAUGCGGUGAUUGUUGAUGAAGAAGGAAGAGAUGAUGGGAUAGAUGAUAUUAUAGAGUUCCCAUUAUUGGAGCAACUAUCUAUAAGCCGUUGUCCCACUGAGAAAUUCUUCUCAUAUUCUCAUGGAAAAAAAGAGUCAAUAACCACUACUUCAGAUUCACAAGAUACUUAUUCGGAUUCCUUCUUUGAUCAAAAGGUAUGAAUCCUUUCUUUAGAGCUUAUGCCCAUAAUAGUCAUAGGCACGCGAUUGGUGGGGCAAGUAUUAAUAUUUUUUUGAAGAUUUUUUUAUUUGGUUUAUUAGUUAAAAUGUUUUUAUAAUUUAUAUCUAUACUUGUUAGAGUAAGGCCAUUGGUGAAAAUUCUAUCCUCCAUCACAUUAGAUAGAUCGGUAUAAGAUUAGGCCAAAUUGUAAAAAUUUUCAUAGCUAUGAUAUGAUGUACAACUCUUAUGAGCAGAUAAGUUUACCAAGCUUGGAGAAGUUAGUACUCCACUCGCUAGGAUCCUCUCGCCAUGGCUGUGGGCUCGGCCUCGCCAUUGUUGGGCGAGGCAUAUGGCACAGUGAGCUUCCCAAAAGUUCCUCCGACAAAUUAGCCAACCUCACCCCGAAACAAGAUUUGCAAUCACAAGGAAUAUCAAUAUUUCGAAAUCUGGAGGUGCUCUCUAUCAACAAUACAAGGCUGUCAUUUCUCUUUUCGGUGUCUAUGGCUAAAUGUCUUAGAGAAAUUAGAGACAUUAAAGUGGUGAAUUGUCCAAAUAUGAAGGCGGUGAUUGUGGAUGAAGAAGGAAGAGAUGAUGGGACAGAUGAUAUUAUAGAGUUCCCAUUAUUGGAGCGACUAUCUAUAAGCCGUUGUCCCACGGAGAAAUUCUUCUCAUAUCCUCAUGAAAAAAAUGAGUCAAUAACCACUACUUCAAAUUCACAAUAUACUUAUCCGGAUUCCUUCUUUGAUCAAAAGGUAUGAAUCAUUUCUUUAGAGCUUACACCCAUAAUAGUCAUAGGCACGCGAUUGGUGGGGCAAGUAUUAAUAUUUUUUUGAAGAUUUUUUUUAUUUGGUUUAUUAGUUAAAAUGUUUUUAUAAUUUAUAGCUACACUUGUUAGAGUAAGGCUGUUGGUGAAAAUUCUAUCCUCCAUUGCAUUAGAUAGAUCGGUAUAAGAUUAGGCCAAAUUGUUAAAUUUUUCAUAGCUAUGAUCUGAUGCAUAACUCUUAUGAGCAGAUAAGUUUACCAAGCUUGGAGGUGUUAGAACUUGAGUCGGUAGGAACGUUAAAAAGGAUAUGGCGCAGUGAACUUCCCAAAAGUUUCUUCAACAAAUUAGCCAACCUCACCCUUGGAAAGUGCUCCAACCUACUUGAUGUCUUCCCUUCGACAAUCAUAGGGAGAUUGCACAACCUCGAAAGUGUCGAAGUUUCAAAGUGUCCCUCCUUGGAAUCUUUGUUUGAUUUUGGAUCCCUUGAUUCAUAUACGGAACAGACAAUUGUGUUGCUCCCCGAAUUGAAAAACGUUAAGGUUUUAAGCUGUCCCUCCCUAGAAUCGUUGUUUAAUUGGGGGGCCCUUGAUUCAAGUACAAAACACAAAAAUGUAUUGCUCCCCAAAUUGGAAGAAGUGUGCAUGGGUGGAGCAGGAAGGCUGAGACACCUGGUGAUGAGUGAUUCCCAAACUGUUUUGGGUUUUCCUAAUCUAGAAGAAGUCUUUGUUUUUAAUUGCUCUGAGUUGAGAUAUCUCUUCCCCAAUUAUACAGCCACAACUCUAGAGAAACUUGAUACCCUGUGCAUUCUCAAAUGCGAACAAAUGAAGGAAGUGGUUCCCAAGGAAGAAGGUGGUCGAUCCAAGGCAGAAGUGAUGAGUUUCCAUUCCUUAGCUAAUUUGGUUAUUUGGCGGUGCCCCAACAUUAGAGCAUUCAUAUGGAGUCCUACAAGUGCCAAGAGGCAGUUAGGUGAAAUGAUCGAAGAAAAUGAUGAAUCGCCCCAACCGUUGUUCAAUGAUAUGGUUUGCUCUAUAUCUUAUUGUGAUCAUCUUUAAUCUCACAUUAUCAUGUUUUAGAAUGAACAAUGUAAUAAUUUGUCCUACUUAUUUUCCUUUCUCACAUUAUCCUCGUGCAGGUUACAUUUCCCAAUUUAGAAAAACUAUAUAUUGGAGGUGUCCAGUGCAAAGAGUUAUGGAACAAUCAAAUUUCUGAUGAUUCUUUUUGCAAUUUGGAAUCUCUUAUAUUGAAGGAUUGUGACAAUCUCCAACAUAUUGCCCCAUCCCAUAUGUGGAAGAGGCUGCAGGACUGUCUGGAAACCUUAGAAGUGAAAUCAUGCCGUUCAAUCGAGAUCAUAUACGAAAGUGAUGGGACGGUGGCAAAAGGCGGUAAUUUGAGGACACUGGAUUUGCGUGAUCUAGACAACUUGAGGCACGUUUGGCAGCAUGACAAUCUCCCAAACAUCCCGUUCCCAAAUUUGAGAUACAUAAAGGCUGUGAGGUGCUCCCGUUUGGAUAUGCUUUUCGCCACCUUCACGGCGAAAUUUCUCGGGCAAAUCGAAAAGCUGGUGGUAGGGUCAUGUGAAGAUAUGGCACUAAUUGCUGGCCAUGAAGAAUGUGAAGAAGUGACUGGUAAGACAAUCACAUUCUCUGGGUUAACUACUCUUAGACUUUACAAUUUGCCGAAAUUCAGGAGCUUCUUACCAGAGAAAUAUUUUACGGAAUUCCCAUCCUUGGAUGACUCGAGUAGAAUAGAGCCGGACCAAGGCAACCGAAGUGCGGAGGAAAGUGAGGGGGAAACUGAGCAGGUAGAACACGCAAUUGAGAAGUUAGACUGCGAAAGUGAGGUGGAAAGUGAGGGGCAAAGUGAGGGGGAAUAAUUAGUUUUAUGAAGUGAGCCACAAAAGUUUGUGAAUGUUGCAACGGAUGGUGUCUGGCAAAACAAAAUGGACGUGACUGGUAAUGUGAGAUUUUGUUUUUUUCUUCCGUAUUCUCUUCUACACUUCCCUCGAAGUGCGUGAUUUUUUUCUUGGCUAUUCAUUUAUUUGGUUUGUGUCCUGGGCUACAGUGACGAGUGACUAGUCAUUGGACCAUAAAUUGUGGGGUUAUGUUGUAUAAAUCCUAAUCAAGUGCAUUAUCGUGUUUAUAAAUUUUCCCGUGAUAUUAGAAAAUGUAUGUGCUAUUAUAUUAAGCAAUCGAAGUUGUGAUGAAUUACCUCACGACAACCGUUGUAGGGGGAAGAAGGAGAUCGAGGAGAUUGCAAUCUGGGAAAGCCCAUGUUCCUCCUCUCUCUCUCUCUCUCUCUCUCUCUCUCUCUCUCUCUCUCUCUCUCUCUCUCUCUCUCUCUCUCUCUCUCUCUCUGACAAUUGAUAAAGGCUGAGACUAUUUGAGGUUGAAUGUGAGUUGAAAUCAGUGAUAACGAGGAUUCCUUUGAGUGGGUUGAGUAUUUGAAUCUUCAUGAUUCUUAUCAAGGUAAACUUCGUUAUGUUUCUCCUGGAGGUAAGGACCGAGUGCUUGAUACCGCCAGCAUGAAAUUUGGUCGAGUUCGGGACUAUCCUGAUGAACUCAUUCAGGUGCCCUUUAUUGAAACGCCUACCAUACGUUUGAUUGAAUUCUUGAACAAUACUAGCAUGCGUAUUUCGCAAGCAUUCUUGCAUUGUGAUGAUUAUCUGGCAAUGGCGGUGCUUAAACUGAGAGUUCUCUAGGUCAUAUGACAAAUUAUUUUCAUUGAUAUUGGUUGAACUCUCCCGAUUGUUCUCAAUGCUUCCAUGACUGAGAAUUUGAACAUGCCGCGUUGGCUUAAUUUACUCAGAACUAUGUUUUCCUUAUCAAUCUAUGAUUUCGUAUAUGGCUAUUCUAAUUUUCAUGACACUUACCAUCUUUGAAUUGGAAAUUGUGAAAUCCUUCUUUGAAAUGUGCAUCGUUACUGUGUACUUCAGUGAAUUCCUAUGCGGACUUCAUCCUUUGCUUGAUCUCGCUUGUAAUCAAUUUCAUGUGCCUGGAUGAUUAUGGCUUACAUUUCUUGAUCCAUUCAGUGAUACCCAACCCCUUUGCACUGCCAAUGAUAUUCGGUUCAUUUUUUUGGCAAAUGCAUGGGCCUCUACCUCUUUGAUUUUCUUCAUUUACUGAAAACUCUGAAGUUCAUUCCUCAAUGUCAUUUGCUUGUAUCUUUUCUGUAAAUGGCGUGCGAGUCCCUGUCAUAACUGACAUUUGAUGGCUGACUGCAUAAUGAGUUGUUCAUGCCAUGACUGAAUGCUUUGCUCGAUUCAUUAUCCACAUUGCCAAUUUGUAUACAAGUUCAGUUGUUGCCGAAUGAGUCUCAACCAUGAGAAUUGUUCCCGUGUUUAUGAUGUUGCGUUUCAGUUUUUACAGCAUGAUUUCUUUGGAAAUGUGGUCUUUAGUAUUUGGUCCUAACAGUUUUUUUUGGUGUAAAAUCAGAAUUGUUCCCAAGUUAUUCAAGUCAUUUUAUCAAUAUAUGUUGGAUUCAUGUUGACCCCAUGUUGAUUUCUUAUAGAGUUCAAUAUGUUUUUUCCGUCCCAUGUGGGCAAGGAGUGGAUUUGAUAGAUCUUGGUUUCAUAUGAGAGUUAAUUCGGUAGCACAUGAUGGUACAUCGACGGGCAGAUGAUUUCUUGUCAUUUUUUUAGUCACUAGAGUCUCUAUCUAAAUCAUGAUCAUGCAUGUCAUUCUACUACUCGUAUUUCUCAAUUUUCAGUAGUUCAAAUUACCUCAAUACCAUGAGCCACAUUGCUUUAGAAUCGAAUGUGACUAAUUUACAUAUCCGAUCAUGUUGUAAUCGUAUGAGGAAGAGUGGUGGGCAAUCUGAGGAUUUUGCCGCCCACCUGAGGAAAUGUUUCGAAACUGGCCAAAGGACUGACUUUACCUUCUUUGCUCAGAUGGAUCGGACAUUGCAUCAGGUGGCCUCUCAUUUCCUUGGGACUAUGUUGGCCCUCAUCCGCAUAAGCCCUCCAGUUCCGUUUGGCUAUUUUGUUCGCUCUCUUCAUGCGUUCAGUGGUUUGUGGCUCCUAGGAGCUGUCCUCUAAAUCUCCCAAGUACUCCACCCAAAGCGACAUCCUAUUACCAUAAGCCUGCACAGCAUCAUUAAAACAUUAUUAGUCACAAGCUUAAGUUUUUGAUAAAUGUCGAUGCACUCACUGGGUGUUCAGCUAGUACCUGCUAUUAAAUAGCUGUAACCACAUGGAAAUAUGACGUACUUGAACUUCAUACACAACUCCAUAGUUGUGCCCUUUGAAUCCAAAAUCAGUGGUAUUAGCUAAUGCGCAAUUCUCAGUGGGACCCACAUGCACUCUACAUCACGCGGCCCUUUGCAGAAUUCUCUGCCUCUCUUCCUGUCUCUCUACAUCUAAUGAACUGAGUCGCUUCCCUUUCAGCUCAGGCUUGGCGCGCUCUGCAGCAGGGAGGGCAAAACAGAAACAGAGUACCUUCCAACACGGAAAAGGAGCUCAGCAAAUUCUCUCUAGCCCUCGGUUAUUCCUUUGAUCUUCAUUCCCUCUUCAUUGUCCUCUCUGUCACCCUCCAUCCACCAACAGCCGCUGCCACACCUCCAUUGCUGGCCACCACAGGACAUGUCACGCUGAGAAGGGGCAAGAACAAACAGCGAUGAUUAAAGGAACUGGGUGAUUUUUUAGCAUUUAUAAGGCUGACAAGAACAGAGGGCGAGUUUAAAUUGACACCGUAGACUGAUGCUUCAACGAGGAUUAUCACCGUAGACAAAUGAUGUGGACAAACAUGAAGAGAUUGUUCAGAUGGAGCAUGUUCUUUUUACUGAAGGCAACGGGAAAGAUAAAGUUGGAUUUUUGAUUUGGAUCCCUCUUCCUUGGUGGCUCUUAUACCAUGGAAAUAUUUCUAUGAUUUGCAAGCGAGAGGGAGAGAGAGAAUCAACAAAUACUACACCUUUACUCAGUAGCCAAAUAAAAGAGUAUAUAGUAGCUCCACUUAUAAAGAUUGAGAGACAUUAACAAAGCUCCGAUUACCUUAUUUGUGACCACCUGCUAAUUGCCGACUAAUAUUCAUAAUUGUACUUCAACACAAAUCACAAUUGGAGCAAAUACUUGACAGUGUUUUUGCAUGUUUUUCCAAGAUGUUACUGCGUCACUUUCAAAGAAGUAUACAAAACUGCACAAAGAGGGAAUACGGAAUUCAUACUUCAAGUGGAGAGUUGUGGCAGCCUAGGCUUUUUUUGCAGUCUACCGGUCUCUUGUCUUUUAUCACUUUGUCACAGCUUCUAGUUCUACUGGUCUAAAUUCAUGGGGAAAAACGUUCGGCCUCUGGGAUGUCAGCACGAUGGUAUUUGCCUGUGUUGUCACUAUCAACUUACGCCUUCUUUUGAUGUGUAAUACAAUUAAAUUAUGGCGUCAUAUUGCUGUCAGUAGGUUGUCAAUGGGUCCUGAACGGAAGGAAAUUUUGUUAAUACAAUUACAGAUAUGUUUCUUAAUACUGUAAAAUGAAGUUUUUAGACUGUUCGAGUUUCUCCAUUAUUGUCAGAAUCACAAGCAUACGAUCUUUAGGAUUCUCCCUUCCAAAAGUCGUACCCAUCCCUAAACGGAAGGAAAGGGAGGGAUAUGAUGAUAACAGACUUCUGGACUCCUUCCAGACGCCAAGAGUAUCGCACGUUCCAGAGCAGUAGGAAAGCAGCUUACAUUAAUUCUGUUCGUGCAUUUAUGGGCUAGUUCUAGCCCAACCGCAAAGUCCUAAAUGCUUUUCUGGAAACGUUUUCUUAUAUCUUCCUGUUCAUUGUUUCUUGUCAAAGCUUGCUUCACGAAGGAGGCUCACCUUUUAUUCCCAGCCACGCUGCUCAAAUCUUGCAUUGCGACUGCUUAUAUGGCAGCAAUAAGGAGUUCCUCUGCCGUUCAUUAAUUCUCUGGUCGCUUUUUCUCUGGUUGAGUGGGAGAUCUGUUAACUAUUAGGUUAUUUUAGGUGCUACUCCGGGAGCCAUCGCUAGCUGCAUCCCAAAGUUGUUUGAGGAUGACAAACUGACCAUGCCUCUGUUGAAGAAGUCGGGUGGUCUAUUAGGAAUUACUAGAAGUGUGAUCGUUGAAAGCACCUCAUUAGUUGAGGAAGGAACAUUUUCUCAGAUUUUCAUAACUGAUUCCAACCGUGUCCUAUGAUCCCCUUCCAGCACAGAAGUAAUUAUGGACUCGGCUCGGUCCUUGCAUAAGUACCAGCGGCUCUGUACUUGAUCAUUUCAUCUUAUGCAGGGGAAAGGCAGAGGAUAUCUGUUGGAGCAGUAUCCUAUUCUAUUCUGGAAGCAAAAGCCGUUGCAAGAAUCGCAUAUAAUCACCUUAAUGAUGGACGAAAUAUCUCACGAGGAGCUGAUGAACUUGGCCAAGUUUCUGAGACACUUGACUGCUGGGAUUCGUCCAACCGCUCUUCAUUACCAUCGCCGUCAUCAUCAUUCUCAAAAACCAGCUAUAUCCCGUGCUUUUUCAGCAAGAGCCCAGGAAGGCAGGACUAUAUCUAUUCUUGUCUCCUUUGAACAGCAGCUCUGUACUUGCUUUUUCAGCAAGGCUUCUCAGACUUGAAUUCUGGAUAUCUAAUCUGGUAAAGCUGGUCUUCGCUUGUGUCAUUUAAUGUCUGACGUGUAUCGGAUCUUCAAGCCUGAGAAGCCAUCCUUUAAUGUCCUCGAUUGCUGGUAGCGGAAUGUUUGCCCGGUUUGCACUGUUCAUAGAGACAACAGCGAAAAGCAUUCCCUCUAACCUCGCAGUUCUUUGGAGCAGCAAAAUGAGGGACUUCCAGACAAAACCAUCCAGGAAUCUCACUCCCAGGGACACUCGAGUUGUGCAAAUGCUUUAGAGCAACCUGAAAUUUCUUCUGAAAAAACACAUUUAAGGUCAAACUUUUUGCAUUCACGAUUGAAGAUACUGAACAAAGGUGGAGAAACUGAACUGAUGAGUAGUUUUCCCAAAAUGGGAGUUAUGAGUGAUCUUUUUCACCUUUUCAAUUCUUCUCUCCCAAUAGUAAAAGCCUCAGAGAUUUCAAUACCCGGAGACCAGUGAUGUCAACUAGAUUGCUGCAAUCAGGAAAGUUUAGCUCCUUCAAAUCAGUAGAAUUCAGAUGAAAGGCGCAAAUUUGAAAUUGAUUAACCUCCACGCGGGAUAGUUCUGGGGGAUGAUGGCCACGACGGCGCCGAGUAGUCAAUCACCUCCGGAAGGCCCGGCGCUAUCUCCUCCCCUCACUCGAGGCCUUCUUCAUCGAGCCAGAGCCACGGCACGCUGCUGAGCACGUGCUCGUGGUAGAGGUCCUUAUUGAGGAGUCGCCGGUCUUUUGAAGGUGGUCAAUGCAGAGAUUGGGGCACCACUUAACAAUGAGCAAUGAGCAACGAGCACCUUGCUGACGGAUUCGUGUUCCCUUUGAAAAGAGCGAUUUCCACAGCAUGGGAAAUGUGCUGUCUUAAUUUUUAAUUGACGAAUCAUGGCAUUCUCAUUAGUUAGGAUAAAUUAUCCAAAAAAUUUAAAAUUUAUUGUACGGGAAUCAAUCUAAUUUUAAGUUUAUGUAUUAAUUUAGUAUUAAGCAGUCAUAAAUAUUUCAAAUGUGUCAAUUUAAUCCUAAAUUUUUUUAAAAAUUAUAAAUGUAGUCAUUUCGGGUAAUUUUAGUUGGAAAUCUCUGACGUGGCAUUCUAGUCAAUACUAGACAUCCUAUGUGAAAGGCUCAUAUGAAUGUGGAAAAUUGUGUUUAAUUUUAAAAGAAAAAACAAUUUUUAUUUUUUUAUUUUUUUAUUUUUCUUAUCUUAUCUUUCUUUUUAUUUUAUUGUUUUCUUCACAAGGCCGGCAAGUCCACCGGUCACUGGCCGAGGGCCAGCAGCCCUGCCACCCCUGUAAAGAAAAAAAAAAGAUGGUAAAGAAAAUUAAAAAUUUUAAGAAAUUAAAAAAAUUCUUAGUAUUCAUGAUGGAUAGUUUAUGCCAUGACAUAGCAACAUGUGUCCUCGAUACGUAACCAAAAUUAUCACCACCACAAGGAUGUUCAUAUCUACUGCAGUUAAAUGUAGGAUAACAAGUGUUGUCAAUUUAGCUUUGAGUUGGUUUCAAUUUCAAUCCUUUAGACUAAAAUUAAUUAGACCUUGAGGCCGCACGCCUUGCACGUGCUGGUGUCGGAGAACGUCAGCACCUCCCUGCACCAACGGUUGCGGCACGCCGACGUCUUCUUCUCCCUUGGGUCGCAGCCCCCGAACCUCUCUUGCCUCUGCAAUAUGACCUCUCUGGUCUUGAUCUGCACAUGAUUUGCUCGUUUGCAUGUAAAAAAUGUGUGAUUCAGGAUCAAAAAAUUAUUGAAGAAAUCUUUCUUUCCUUAUAAAUUUUUAAUGGAUUGGCCACCAAAAUCACAAACUCUAUUGCUUCAUGAUCCGAUGGAAGCAAUCGAAGUGAUGAAUUACCUCAUGACAACCGUAGCGGGUGGAAGAAGGAGAUCGAGGAGAUUGCAAUCUGGGAAAGCCCAUGUUCCUCCUCCCAUCUCUCUCUCUCUCUCUCUCUUUAUCUCUCUCUCUCUCUCUCUCUGUGACAACUGAUUGAGGCUGAAACCGUUUGAGUUUGAGGGAUAGUAUCAUGAUUUCGAGUUUGACGAAGGUUGAAUGUGAGUUGGAAUAGGAUAUAACGAGGAUUUCUUUGACUGGGUUGAGUAUUUGAAUCAUCAUGAUUCUUAUCAAGGUAAACUUCACAUGCUCUGUCUCUGCUGGAGGUGGGGACCGAGUGCUUGAUUCUGCAGGCGUGAAAUCUGGUUGAGUCCGAGAUUGUCCUGAUGAACUCAUACACGUUUCAAUGAUUCGGCGAUUGUUUGGAUGCGCACCUUUUCCUUAUCAUUGCAUUUAGGUGCCCCUACCGAAACGCUUACCCCAUGUUUGAUUGAAUUCCUGAACGGUAUUAGCAUGUGUAUUUCGCAAGCAUUCUCGCAUCAUGAUAAUUAUCUAGCAAUGGCGUGCUUAAACUGAGAGUUCUCAAGUUUAUAUGACAUUAUUUUCCUUGAUGUUGGUUGAACUUCUAAAGUUGUGCUCAAUGCUCCCAUGACUGAGAAUUUGAACAUGCUGUGUCAGCUUAAUUUACUAGGAAUUAUGUUAUCUAUAUCAAUCUACGAUGUUUGUAUGUGGCUAUUCUAACAUUCGAGACAAUUACCAUCCUUGUACUGGAAAUGGUGAAAUCCUUCUUCGAAAUGUGCAUCAUGUGUUGUGUACUUCAGUAAAUUCCUAUCCAGACUUCAUCCUUUGCUUGAUCUCAAAAGUAAUUGGUUUCGUAUGCUUGGAUGAUUAUCCCUUGCAUUUCUGGAUCCGUUCAUUGAUAGCUCAAUACCUUCUGUAUGUUAAUAAUAUUUGAUUCAUUUUUUUUAGGCCAAUGCAUGGCCUCUACCUAUUUGAUUUUCUUCGUUGACUGAAGAUUCUGAAGUCCAUUCCUUGAUGUCAAAACUGACAUUCGAUGGCUGAGUGCAUAGUGAGCUUUUUAUGCCAUGGCCGAAUGCUUUGCUUGAUUCUUUGUCCAUUUUGCAUUUGUAUACAAGUUCAGUUGUUGCUGAAUGAGUCUCAACUAUGAGAAUUGACUGUAGAACGAGGCUCAAUGCUGUUUUCCUGUGUUUAUGGGUAGACAGGCAUGCGGCAUGCUGGAAAACGACAAAAAGAGCUAAGAAAACUUGCUUCCGCGGGUGGCUUCCCAACUUGAAGGCACAUUAUCGUCUCGGCAGGGAGGCGAGGAGGACAGCCAAGGCCAUCCGCGCACUCGAAUCGUAGAUUAAAAUAAUAAUCUAUUUCUUCUAAAGAUAAUUUUCUAGUUCGCCACACGCAAGACGGCAUUUUAAAGCUUUUUUUGGCUUCCAAGGGCGUCCGAUUUGUUAGACCUCAAUGAUUUUCUCUGGCAAAUCUAUUGCUGUUGGUAAUUCUUUUCAUAUAGUCAGUGAAAUCUUAAAAUAGAGUAGUAACUUGAGAUAGAUGAAGUAACUUGUACUCGGCAUCCACAAAUUUUAUUGUUCGCCUUAGUUUUCUCUAAAUACAUUGUCAAUUUCAGUACAAGUCUGGAUUCCCUAUUCAAUUUUUCACCUAUACUUUCAAUUUGCUUGGAAUUUCAGUUUCCUACAUUUCGACUCAAGUUGUUUAUUGUUAGAGAAAAAAUUCAUGUAAUUUCCCAAAAACAAAUACCAAGUGUAGAAAACAAAGGUAAGAGAUGCAAAAGAAAUCUCAGUGAUUAAGACUGGCUUUCUCUCAGCAAUGAAUAAGACUCAAAUGGCUGACUUUAAAAUCCGAUUCCAAGCGAAGAAGGGAACUCUGGAGUCAAUUUCACUUGCAUAGGUCUUUUGCAUCAAAGGGAUUGAGUCGACUAAAACAUUCUAUUAACAUUCAAAUUUUUAUCGACGUUCUAAAUAUCCAUUUAUUUCGAAAAAUAUAAAAAUUUAUAAAAAGAUAAAAAAAAAAAGAAUAAUGGAUAAAAAUGGAUCAAAUAAAAUGAAUGAAUGAUGAAAAAUAAAGUCGUGUGGGCCGGCGUGUCUAGCCCACUUGGUUGUUUUCAGCUCACCCUUAACUGGGCUUCCCAUUCAGAAGGGAAGAACUUAUGUGAGUAUCUCAAUUUCAAUUCAAACAUUGGUUUGGCCCAUUUUCCUUAUUUUCUUUGGCCCACCAGAGCCUAAAAAAGAAGCCCAGCCCAUCACUCUUUCUUCUUGAGCGCGCACGCGCUCGUGAGAAGAGCGUCUGUGACGCAAGGAGGAGAGAAGGUACAGUGACGGUCACCGAAGAAAUGCCCGUGAGCGAGUGAUGAGAAAGAACCUAUGAAUCUUAAUCGAUAUACUCCCUGCUCAACCCUGCGAAAGCGAGAUAUAUUCGUGCGAGAUAAUGGAACUUGUCGCGUCGUGUUUUGGUUGGAAAAUAGUGUCAAAGCUGAAUCAAAAACCUGCUCUCGUAGCUGCACAACAUGUGUUCGACAAAAUGCUCGAAUGAUACACCGAAAUCCAUGUUAUGCGAUCGACGUUAAAAGUUUAGUUCGAGGCUUGAUCACGCAUAUGUUGUUGAUGCACGUCUGCUUUCUUCGUUCUUUGCUAUGUUUUUGCUUGAUUUCACAGCUCACCUUUUGAUAUUCGUUAAUGGCCAUGCAAGACCGAACUUGGUUCGGCCGUGGCCGGCGAUAGGCAGACGGCGACGGCCGGAGAUGUAAUCUGGUUAUGGUGUGUAGUGGUGUGAGCUCCGGUGUCCAUAGAUGGCAUCUAGUUGUACGGGUUCAAAAAAUGGAGAAGAAGAUGAAGGUUGGGAGUGAAAAAAUGGCUUCGGGGAAGAAGAGGGGAAGAAAAAGAAGUGGUGCAGUAGAAAUGGACUUAAUUAGGAAAAAGACAUUUGCUCAAAAAAAAAUUAGGAAAAAGACAAAAAAUAUUCAAAAUUAAAAAAAUAUUCAAAACAUUUUUUAAAAAAUUCGCUUUCUAUAUCCGACCGGGUCGGACCGGUAGACGGGUCAGGUUAACGAGUCGGAUCGGGUUGACGAUCUAACCCAUUCCCCCAAUAUAAUAAUAAUAAUAAUAAUAAUAAUAAUAAUAAUAAUAAGUAAAAAAUAUAAAAAAAUUAAAAAUUCUAAAAAAUUCUAAAAGAAGUAAAAUUUUUAGGAAUUUCGAAAAUCAAUAAAAAAUAUAAUUUUAGGAAAUCAUUAAAAAUUAAAAAAAUCCUGAAAAGUCAUUAGAAAUUAAAAAAAUCGAAAAAAAUUAUUAAAAAAUUGAAAAUUCAGAAAAUAAUAAAAUACAGAAAAUAAUAGAAAAUCCAAAAAAUUUUAAAAAAUUGGAAAAUUUCUAAAAAAAAGUAAAACAAAAUAUUGGACAAGCCUUUAGGGCUUUAAAAUAAGGUUAUUGGUUUUGUGCUGUCUUUUUUAUUUUUUAGGGACGAUAUUAGGAUGCUUGUAUGCCUUCCUUUACAAUUAAAAUUGCACAUAUCAAUAUUUUAGGUGUUACUUUCCUGUUCUAGAAUGGUUAUGACAAAUCUUUGAUUUCUUUUGGAUAGGCUGCUGUGGCAUUCGUUAACACAUAGUCAAUGUCCUGAAUAUAGAAUCUCUAAUUGCAAAAAGUAAGAUAUUCUCUAGUAUCUUAAUUUCUUGCUGAUCGAAAAGGCUAGUGGUGACUUAUUUGUCAAAAUUUAUGUAGGCUUAAUUGAUUUAAAAUCUGAACACCCGCUGUCACGUAAGGUACGAGCUUAGGAGAGCCCAAGUUAAUAGAAGCUCGUCAACCUGAAGUUGAUAAUAUCCCUAAACAUAACUCUCUCCCCCCAAGGGAUUAAGUUGCGACACCUUCCAGUAAGUACAAAUUGGCACAAUCUAGAACGAUAAUCAUUGGUGCAUCGCACGUAACGACAUCGAUGUGCCAUUUUGAUACUAGCAAGAUCAUCUAAAAGUAGUUUUGCCUGGAUAGUAAACCCAUUGAAUAAGAAGGAAGCAACAGGAAUGACAUUGGCUAGAGCUUGAAUUCAUGGAAACGAGCAGCAAUGGCAAGCGCCUGAAGGAGAUAUUACUAGCUGGAGACAACGAACGUGACUAGAAAUCUCUGUCUACUCCAAGCUCAUCGUCAAGGCAGAGCGAGCACUCCUUUCUCUGGUCAAAUCAACAGCGACGUCCUCGCAAAGCAGAGGAGGAGGAGGGGAUAGAGAAGGCCACGUCAGGGGAACAAGCUGAAAUGUUGCGUUAUGGGGCUGAUGGGUCUGGGCCGCGGAUCAAAUCAAUGGGUUUGCUCUUGUGGGCCAUGCCAAUUGGACCAACUUGGCCUUUAUUUAUUUUUAUUUUUUUAUUAUUCUUUUUAUUUUUGUUCUUUUUACUACCAUCCAUUGUUUUUAUGCUCUUGUUUUACAAAAAUGCAUGCUUAAUUUAUUGACUAAAAUUUAGGUGUUGACAGUUUCAAAAGCAUUUACCUAACAUUCGAAGAAAAAUAUCAUGUCGUCGCGAACAAACUACAAGAUGAUGUAUGUUUUGUUUCGUCAAAUCUUAACUUACCAAAAGCUAGAAUAGUUUCUUGAUCGACAGAAGAAAUGGGUAAAAAAUAUGGGACAAUCCAAUCGAAUAGAAUUGGGUAUGUUUUAAUGAAAUAUUUCCUACAAUGAUUAUAUGUACUCUUGCAUUAUCAUGUUUUAGAACAAACAAUACAGUAAAUUUGUCCUACUUAUCCUUUUUACAUUAUUCUCGUGUAGGUCACAUUUCCCAAUAUAAGAAGUCUAGAAGUUAAAGGCCUUCAAUGCAACGAGCUAUGGAACAAUCAAAUUCCCAGCCAUUCUUUUGGAAAUUAAAAUCUAUUGAAUGAAGGACUGUGACAACCUCCAACGUCUUACCUCGUCCUAUAUGUGGAAGACGUUGCACUGCUCUCUCUGAAUCCUAGAAGUGAUUUCAUGCCGUUCGAUCGAGAUCAUAUACGAAGGUGAUGGGAAAGAUACUGAGUGUGGUGAAUUGAGGAGGCUGAUUUUGCGUGAUCUCGGAAAUUUGAGGCGCAUUUGGCAGUCUGAUGGUGUCCCAAACGUCCCAUUCCCAAACUUGAGAGAAGUAGAGGCUGUGAGGUGCUCCCAUUUGGAAAUACUUUUUCCUACCUUCACUGUGAAAUUUCUCGAGCAAAUCGAAGAGCUGGUGAUGAAGUCGUGUGAAAAUAUGGAACUAAUUGAUGGCGAUGAAAAAGAGGAAGAAAGGACCGGCACAAUAGUCACCUUCUCCAAGUUAAAUAUUCUUAGACUUUUCGAGUUGCUGAAAUUCAGUAGGUUGUUCUAUGAGAAAUACUCCCUGAAAUUCACGUAUUCUUGAGGACUUCCCAUCCUUGUGAGUCUUGAGUAUAAGCAGCUGUGGAGCAGAGCCGGACCGAGGCAUUGGUGACUGGGAAAGACACCAAAGACAACAAGAACGAAAAAUAGCCUAUGCCUUUUCUGAGCAAGUGGGCGUCGUGUAUUAGCUAAUGCACAAUUCUCAGUGGGAACCACGCGGCCCUCAACAAACUUAUCGGCCUCUCUUCCUUUCUCUCUGCAUCUAACAAUCUGUCGGUUCCAUCUUAAGCUCAGGCUCGGUGCGCUCUGCAGAAACAUCACACCAACAGCCACUGUCGUUGGUGGUUCCUUUGAUCUUCAGCGUUGGUCGUAGGGACUCGGGUGAUUUCUGAGCAUCCAUAAGCCACUCUCUCGGUGAUUUCAAUUGAAUCCUUUCCACUCGCUUCGUUGCUGGUCGUCAGCGCUUCCCGAUCGCCAACAGUUCCGCCAAGCCGCGAAGAAGACUCGUUAACGUUGCUUCUGUUUAUCUCCUUACUCAUUCCCCAUGUCAAUCGCUCUAUAGCUAAUCACUCUUCAUUCAAAUAAACCACAUUUUCUCUGUUUUCUGUUGUUAUUGGUACCGUCUGUGUGCAAAUCGACUGUGAUUGAGGUUGUAUUGAUGAUUUGAACCGGUGACCCUUGGCCGAAAUGCAUACCACCCGUUUGAUGAAAUUCCUGAACUCAGUUGGUGUCUAUUUUCAUUCACUCUUCAUUACUUGAUUGUUGAUCUAUUUUGGUUAUGUAAGUGUAUUUGGGUUGUGUUUCUUCAUAAAAAAAUCAUAGGUAUUCAAUUUCGAACUUGUUUUGAAUCUGUUGGAACCUUGUCGAUACAUGCUGAUUCGCGAUUGUUGCAGCCCCGAGCUGAUGUCGAUUGGUACUUGAUUUUAUGCUAUUCCAUUCAAUUAAGCAUGUGCUGUGAUAUAAGAUUGUGUCAUGGUGAAUUUCAUGUUCGCUUGGGAAAGAAAUUAUGGCAUGAAUGAAUGAAAUUAUACUAGAAAUCGAUCUGUGGAUUCUGACUCUAUCUUGAUAUCCCUGAUUUGGUGUGCUUUUGAUUCCAGCUUGAGGCUAGUUCAGUUAUGGAUCAUAUAUGUUCAUGCUAGGAGAAAGUAUUAUGGUGAAUCUCAUUCCAAUUUUGCAAGAAUUAUAGUCAUAUGGCUUGUAGGAAGAUAUGGCUUCAAUUUCAUGUCUAUUAAUCAUCAAAACGAUCACGAUUUGUGGUCUUGUAUGCUUUGUUACAAUUCUGCAUGUGUGCUGGAAGUUGUGGAAUAAGAAUUAAUUAGAUGGAUUAUGUCUUAGUUUGGUUGCCUUUUUGAUAUCAUCUGUUCCAGUUCCCUGUCAAUUUCACUUGUUUGGAUGGUAAUUGCAUGAUUAAAUUGAUGAGAUUGAUGCUUAAUAUUGCCAUGAGAGUCUUGGCCAUUGCUGUUCAGAAUGACUUUUCAAAGAUUCGAUUUUUGUUUUCCUCCUCCCUCAUAUAAUUCACUUGAGGGUUGCUUCUGCGAAAUCUAGGGGGAAGGGAUGCCCUUGAAAUCCAUAAGGACCCUACCCAUGUGUUUUACCAAGAGUAGGUGCAUAGUUCCAAUUGUCUCUCCUAUAAACCAUGAUGCACUUGAGGUGCAAAGCUCCAUCUAUCUCCUUGCGGCAGGUCUCUCUGUUGCUGAUAGCAAUUGUUGUUAUAACCUUGUUAACUGUAGUUUCCCUGGUAUGAAUGCACCAGAUCUCUCCUCUGUCCUUGAUAUGGAUCCCUUCCACCGAGGGCACAAUCCAUAUUGCCCAUUGGCAUGGGAUUUCUUCUUUCACCUUGCCCCUUGUCUAUUUGCCACUCAACCUCCUUGCCCAUCAUAGUUUCUAUUGCGACCACACAUUCUAACCACCUAGCCUCCCAUACUGAACUGGAGGUGAUCUGAGUAAUUACUCCAUUUUCAUACUUGUGACCUAAUGACUUAGUAAGCUCAACAAAACAACAAGCGUUGCAGGGUCACGAAUCAUAGACGCAUUGGAAAGUUGAGGUUAUGGAAUUAGAGGAUGAAUGGAUUAAAUGACUAAGAAAAUGUGGCAGAGAUGUAUAGUAGGUGAAAUUCCCAGUGGAGUUGAGUCAUACAUCCGUACUUCUUGAUUUGGAAAUCAAUGGAGGAAUCUAGUAAUACGAAAACAACUCCUGGUAGAUAGGAAACUCAUCAAAGACCCUUGCUUCUGAAUUGCUCUGACUCUGUUUCAGUCCAUCACAGCCUGAGAAGUGGUCGUGCAACAUGCACGAAUUUUCUUUUGCUUCCUCCAAAUUCAAACACGAGUAUCAAUUGUCAUCUCAACUUUGCAAUGUAGAUCAUGCCGCUGUUGCCUUGGGACAUCGACAGUGGACUACACUCAUCACAAAAAGCACUUAAUUCUCAUGAUCAGGAAAUAACAUAUGCAUGAUGUUAUGGUGGUAAAUGUAAACAUCAAAUUAACUACUAGAAAGUGGGGUUGUGAAUGUCGAUUUUUAGAGAAGGUGUCAAGAGCCUGUGCCUAGGAGAGUCGUAUUGGCCAUCGCAUAGGUCCAACCCGCCAAUGAAAGCCGUUAUUUUGUGGUUGUUUAGCAAAACAAUUGGUUUGCAUUGAGAAAAAGUACACAAUAGGAACCCCCUACUUCAUUGAAUGAUUUUUUAAGGUUACAUUAUGCUUUUGAGUUAUUUUUCAAUAAAGAUAAAUUUUAUAUAAUUAGUCAAUGAAAAUUAAUUAUACACGUUGCCCUACUACACUUGUUAGUGAGGAUAAUUUGCUUUUAGAAAUAUGGAUGCCCGUGCUGAUUCAUUUUGCCAUACUUGUGCCCAAUUUAUUUAUUCUUAUUUAUCAUUACAAAUCCUUGUUUGACCAAAGAUCUCCAUCCUUACUACCUUAACAUCUUGUUUUAAGUCGCUUAAAUAUUUUCAACCUUUCCUCUCUUUUUCCGACGUGGAUAACUUCUUAAAAACAGAACAUAACUUCAUUUAGUAUUAAGCAGAUAUUGAUAUUUUCAAACUUUCUAGCAGGAAGGAGGGAGGGAGGGAGGGAGAGAGAGUUUAUGAAAUUAAAUGAAGGCAUAUAAAUGAGGAAUUAGUGGAAAGGAAGUAGAUAGAGCUGGUAACACAAGGGUGCAAAAUCCUUUGAUCAGAGUGAUACUUCACCAUUACAAUAUUAUUAUAGUAAGAGAACUCGUGAAAUUGAUCUGAAUAAAUUUUCUAUUGAAAAUAUCAAUAUGAUGAUCCAUGAAGUUUCAUCAAAAAAAUUAAAUUGAUUAGUUAAAUCUGACAAUCAAAAAAAUAAAUUAGUAAUGAAAGAGAUUGUUAUCUGCGUUGACUUUCGGGGAGGAUUUUGUUGGCUACAAAAGACUCUCGAGUAUUAUUAUUUUUCUAAUUUAAACAAAGAAGGGCGAUAAUCCAUCCAAAUUACAAAGUUCUAGUCGAAAUCAAUACCAUGAAAUGGAAAAGAAUGCUAUGAGAUAUUAAAUGAAAAUCAAAACUCUAAACUGAAAUUGAACGUGGCUUGAAAUAAAAGGUACAUUUGACUGCAAUCUGAUAGGGAGGAACUCAUUUUGCAUUUCCUUAUGUUUUCUCCCACUUUUAAGAGGAAAUAUUUUUGUGAGCCCACAAGAAAACUUUUCUCUGCCAUUCUCUUCUUCACUUCCCUCCCACUCAUUAGCAAACAGAGAAACUGACGCAGAGAAAGCGAUGCUUUGGAAAGAAUUCCAAAAGAUGGUGUUUAUUUUGAAUAAUGAAGUGCCGAUUACAAUAUCUUUGGCGCCUAUUUAUAAGAAGGUCGCCAUCUAGAAAAUAACAAAAUAACUUAAAUCUAGUAACAAAUUUGAAAAGAUAUUGAUAAACUAGAAAAUCUAAAAUCUAAUAACAAAUUAAAGAAACGAUAUUGAUAAACCAGAAUAUUUCAGAUAAACCAGAAUAUCUGAAAUCUAAUAAUAAAUAAAGGGAAACGCGUGAAUCAAAUAUUGUAAUCCCUUUUGCAAUCUUGAAGAUCACACAAUCCUCUUUGAUUUGUGGGACCGCCCGCUCUUAUGACGCUCCAUUGUUUCCAGAAAGGCAUUUGCAUAUUGUUCUACAUCAGUCUCCUCCACUUCAGAAGAACUCGACCCCGAGUUAUGAUUAGGAUAAAGAGGAGUAUCUGGAGGAUGAUACUCAAAUAGGUCCGCUACAUUGAAUGUCGGGGAGAUGUUGAGGUCACUAGGAAGAUCAACAACAUAGGCAUUAUCAUUGAUUUUCUUCACAAUUCGACAGGGACCAGCUUUCUUGUGCUUCAGCUUGUUAUAUGUACCAAUAGGAAACCGUUCCUUGCGGAGGUAGACCAUUACUUCAUCACCCUCAGCAAAGACCUUGAGGCGACGAUGUUUAUCUGCAGCAACUUUGUAAACUGUAGUGGAAGCUUCUAGCUGUUGCUUCACACCCUCUUGUAUCUCUUGUAAUUUUGUUGCUAAGUUUUCAGCCGCAACACUAUAUCCUGGGACUUUGGGCAAAGGCACGAGAUCCAGUGUAUGUUGUGGCGUUCGCCCAUAGAUAACCUCAAACGGAGACUUGCCCGUGGAACGGUUGACGGUGUUGUUAAAAGCAAACUCAGCAGGAGCAAGAUACCGGUCCCAUUGCUUUGGCAUGUCACUACAGAGACACCGAAUAAUAUCCGCCAUAGUACGAUUGACAACUUCAGUUUGCCCAUCGGUUUGAGGAUGAAAGGAACUGCUAUACUGCAAAUCCGUCCCAAAUAAACGCCAGAGGGUCCUCCAAAAAUGACUAAGGAAUUUGGUAUCACGAUCAGAGGUGAUAGUUUUUGGAACACCAUGCAAACGAACUACUUCUCGAAAAAAUAAACUCGCUACAUGAGAAGCAUCAGAAGUCUUCUUGCAAGGGAUAAAGUGUGCCAUCUUUGUAAACCUGUCCACUACCACAAAAACAGAAUCCAUACCUCAUUGGGUUCGGGGAAGCCCCAACACGAAAUCCAUUGAAAUGUCUAUCCAAGGUCUAGAAGGAAUAGGUAGAGGGGUGUAAAGUCCAGUGUUCUGAGAAUGGCCUUUCGCAGUCUGACAACUGUAGCACUUUCUCACAAAUCGUCCAACGUCCCGUUUCAAUUGAGGCCAAUAAUACCGCUCCUCAACUAAGGCAACAGUUUUAUCUCGCCCACAAUGUCCUCCAAGGGAGCCACCAUGCAGCUCUCGAAUAAGUUGUUCUCGCAAAGAGCUUCGAGGAAUGCACAACCUGUUGCCAAAGAAUAAAAAUUUGUCCUGAACGAUCAUGUCACCGUGAGAACCUGUCUCAAAACAUUUUUCCCAAAUUUCCUGAAAAUCUUCAUCAUCAGCAUAAAGAGCACAAAGGUGGUCAAAGCCCACAACGUCAGUGCGCAUGGUGACAAGUGUUGCAGCACGACGGCUAAGUGCAUCAGCGACUUUGUUCAAGUGGCCCGCCUUGUGUCGAAGCACGAAAUUGAAUUGCUCCAAAAAGGAGACCCAUCGUCCAUGCAUUCGAUUUAGAUGUCUUUGGCUCUUAAUAUAUUUGAGUGCCUGAUGGUCAGUGUUAAGGACAAACUCAUGUUGAUAAAGAUAGGGCUGCCAAUGCUUGAUAGCUCGUACUACAGCAAAGUACUCUUGCUCAUAAGUAGACCAUCGCUUGCGAACAUCAUUAAGUUUCUCGCUAAAAUAAGCAAUAGGCUUACCUUCCUGGGAAAGAACAGCACCAAUUCCUACACUAGAAGCAUCACAGUCUAGUUCGAAUACCUUUUCAAAAUUCGGGAGCAUCAGUAUUGGUGCCGUGGAAAGUUUUUCCUUGAUGAGAGCAAAGCUGGCUUCUGCUUCGUCACCCCAAUGAAAUUUUCCUUUCUUCAAGCACUCGGUAAUCGGAGCCAUAAUAGAACUGAAAUUCCGAAUAAAGCGUCGGUAGAAUGUCGCAAGCCCGUGGAAGCUACGCGCCUCCCCAACGGUUUGGGGAGUCGGCCAGUCGCGGAUGGUAGCUACCUUUUCUGCAUCAACUUGAAGGCCUUCUGCUCCGACAAUAUAUCCCAAGAAGCGAAGUCGAUCAGUCAUGAAGCUACACUUCUUCAAAUUAAUGUACAAUUGGUUCGUCUGCAAGGCCGAUAAGACGUCCCUUAGAUGCUCCAUAUGUUGUUGGUCAUCGGGACUAUAUAUGAGAAUGUCAUCAAAGUAGACCACCACAAAUUUGCCAAUAAAAGGUUUAAGAACUUGAGUCAUCAAACGCAUGAAGGUGCUAGGCGCGUUCGUGAGGCCAAACGGCAUGACAAGCCAUUCAUACAAACCUUCACUUGUUUUAAAGGCCGUUUUCCAUUCAUCGCCAGGGCGGAUGCGUACUUGGUGGUAUCCGCUACGUAGAUCAAUCUUUGUAAAGACCUUUGAUCCCGCAAGCCGGUCGAGCAUGUCAUUCAAGCGAGGGAUUGGGAAUCGGUACUUGAUAGUAAUCCGAUUAAUUGCCCGGCUAUCAACGCACAUACACAUGCUUCCAUCUUUCUUCGAAGUGAGGAGUGCGGGUACUGCACAAGGGCUCAUGCUUUCGCACAAGAAGCCUUUUCGAAGCAGCUCUCCCACUUGGUCUUGCAAAAUCUGGUUCUCCUUCGGAUUCAUCCGGUAGUGCGGCAAAUUAGGGAGGCUCGCUCCUGGAAGAAAGUCAAUCUCAUGUUGGAUAUCCCUCAAGGGUGGUAAUCCAACAGGUAGAUCCUCCGGAAUAACAUCGCUGAAUGCCCUCAAUAAGGGCUGAAGAGCCACCGGAAUUGGAAUAAUGGCUUCUUGAUUACCUUUCUCCACAAUCAUAUACAUGCCCUCACGUUUACGAACGUUUAGCAUAAUUCCUGCACUUUGCUUCUUUGGGGCCUGGGGAGUGUUACUCAUCGGCUUCAAAAUAAUUUUCGUCUUUUUCCACACAAAAGAAUAUGUGUUCUCACGAGCUCUAUGAGUGAUAUCAACAUCGUAUUGCCAUGGUCGCCCCAAUAGGACAUGACAUGCAUCCAUCUCCACUACAUCACAAAUUAUGGUGUCCUUAUAGGACUUUCCAAUUGAAAUAGGUAAAUGACAUACCUGCGUCACCUUGAGUUCGGCCCCUUUACGAAUCCACCCGAUUGUAUAAGGGGAGGGAUGUAACUCUGUCUUUAGUUGUAGAUGGUCCACCAAAGCCUUGGACACUAUGUUCUCACAACUUCCGCUAUCGAUGAUGACAUCGCAAACUUUGCCGUUGACGGUACAACGGGCACGAAAAAGACUAUUCCGCUGCGUGUCUUCUCUUCGCGGAGCGAGCAAUAGUUUCCUAACAACGCAAUUGACAUGCUCGCCCUCCUCAUCCUCCACUUCUUCCUCAUCAAUCCAGUCAUCUUCGUAAAUGUCAUCGUCGUGCACGACAACGUUGGCCAUCUUCCGCCGUGGACAAUCACUCGAACGAUGUCCUACUUCGUUACACUUGUAGCAUUUGAUUGGUGGUGGCUUAGCGUAUGGGUUCUGGGCACUCUGAUUGGCGUUACGGUUGUUUGCGAUGACUGGUUCCUUGCGCACCCCAGUACUACUUCCCGGAGUUUGGUUCAUAGUGUUGGUUUGCUGGUUGGAGGAUUCUGAAACAUCUAGUUGUCUCCCCUUUCCAGAUAAUCCUCGAGCGGAAUAAUUGUUAGCCCGAUUAAUGGGGCUAGUUCUCUCUAAUUGCAUCUCAACCUUUCGGGCCAUCUCUUGAGCAUCCUCAACAGAGAACAAACGAUGUAGCGAAACACGAUCUUGAAUAUUAAGUCGCAAACCAUUAAUGUACCUCGCAGUCUGUUGUGCCUCCGACUCAGCCAGGUUGUUACGGGCGGAAAGUCGGAGAAACUCCUCCGUGUAAGCUUGAACUGAUCGGCUUAGCUGCUUACAAUUUUGAAAUUGUUGAAAUAAUAAUUGCUCAUAAUCGGUUGGGAGGAACCGAACCUUCAACAUUUCCUUCAUCCGAUUCCAUGUUCGGAUGGGAGCUUUUCCUUGUCGACGUCGGGUCAGUUGCGUUUGCUCCCACCACGCUGAGGCACCGCCCUUCAAUUUGUAUGCCACCAAUUUUACUUGGCGAUCCUCUUCAAUCUCCAUGGCAUCAAAGAAUUUCUCGACUUCCCAAAGCCAAUCCAAAAAGUCUUCAAUAUUCAAAUUGCCAUUAAAGGUCGGAAGGUCAACCUUAAGUUGAUAUUGCUCGGGGUCUCGUCGAUAUCCCCGGUUCCGAUGGCCUCCACGAACAGGCCGAUCCAGGAACUCUUCUUCUCCUUCAGAGUCCUCGACAUAGGCUUGUCGCCUCUGUCGGGGAUUUGCCCCACGUUCCAUAGCUACUUCCGGGUCGCGAGCUGCCUGAUCAUGUUCAGCCAGAAGAACACCAGGUAUGGGGUUGGUAGACAAACGCUGGAUGGCGACAAGUAAUUCUUGAAACCUCCGUUCGGUUUGCUCCGCAAAUUGGUUGAACUCAUCCCGUGUAAUAGGCUCGUUUCUGCGGCCUUCAGCUACGGGGAGAUUGAACUUUUCUCUGCCAUUCUCUUCUUCACUUCCCUCCCACUCAUUAGCAAACAGAGAAACUGACGCAGAGAAAGCGAUGCUUUGGAAAGAAUUCCAAAAGAUGGUGUUUAUUUUGAAUAAUGAAGUGCCGAUUACAAUAUCUUUGGCGCCUAUUUAUAAGAAGGUCGCCAUCUAGAAAAUAACAAAAUAACUUAAAUCUAGUAACAAAUUUGAAAAGAUAUUGAUAAACUAGAAAAUCUAAAAUCUAAUAACAAAUUAAAGAAACGAUAUUGAUAAACCAGAAUAUUUCAGAUAAACCAGAAUAUCUGAAAUCUAAUAAUAAAUAAAGGGAAACGCGUGAAUCAAAUAUUGUAAUCCCUUUUGCAAUCUUGAAGAUCACACAAUCCUCUUUGAUUUGUGGGACCGCCCGCUCUUAUGACGCUCCAUUGUUUCCAGAAAGGCAUUUGCAUAUUGUUCUACAUCAGUCUCCUCCACUUCAGAAGAACUCGACCCCGAGUUAUGAUUAGGAUAAAGAGGAGUAUCUGGAGGAUGAUACUCAAAUAGGUCCGCUACAUUGAAUGUCGGGGAGAUGUUGAGGUCACUAGGAAGAUCAACAACAUAGGCAUUAUCAUUGAUUUUCUUCACAAUUCGACAGGGACCAGCUUUCUUGUGCUUCAGCUUGUUAUAUGUACCAAUAGGAAACCGUUCCUUGCGGAGGUAGACCAUUACUUCAUCACCCUCAGCAAAGACCUUGAGGCGACGAUGUUUAUCUGCAGCAACUUUGUAAACUGUAGUGGAAGCUUCUAGCUGUUGCUUCACACCCUCUUGUAUCUCUUGUAAUUUUGUUGCUAAGUUUUCAGCCGCAACACUAUAUCCUGGGACUUUGGGCAAAGGCACGAGAUCCAGUGUAUGUUGUGGCGUUCGCCCAUAGAUAACCUCAAACGGAGACUUGCCCGUGGAACGGUUGACGGUGUUGUUAAAAGCAAACUCAGCAGGAGCAAGAUACCGGUCCCAUUGCUUUGGCAUGUCACUACAGAGACACCGAAUAAUAUCCGCCAUAGUACGAUUGACAACUUCAGUUUGCCCAUCGGUUUGAGGAUGAAAGGAACUGCUAUACUGCAAAUCCGUCCCAAAUAAACGCCAGAGGGUCCUCCAAAAAUGACUAAGGAAUUUGGUAUCACGAUCAGAGGUGAUAGUUUUUGGAACACCAUGCAAACGAACUACUUCUCGAAAAAAUAAACUCGCUACAUGAGAAGCAUCAGAAGUCUUCUUGCAAGGGAUAAAGUGUGCCAUCUUUGUAAACCUGUCCACUACCACAAAAACAGAAUCCAUACCUCAUUGGGUUCGGGGAAGCCCCAACACGAAAUCCAUUGAAAUGUCUAUCCAAGGUCUAGAAGGAAUAGGUAGAGGGGUGUAAAGUCCAGUGUUCUGAGAAUGGCCUUUCGCAGUCUGACAACUGUAGCACUUUCUCACAAAUCGUCCAACGUCCCGUUUCAAUUGAGGCCAAUAAUACCGCUCCUCAACUAAGGCAACAGUUUUAUCUCGCCCACAAUGUCCUCCAAGGGAGCCACCAUGCAGCUCUCGAAUAAGUUGUUCUCGCAAAGAGCUUCGAGGAAUGCACAACCUGUUGCCAAAGAAUAAAAAUUUGUCCUGAACGAUCAUGUCACCGUGAGAACCUGUCUCAAAACAUUUUUCCCAAAUUUCCUGAAAAUCUUCAUCAUCAGCAUAAAGAGCACAAAGGUGGUCAAAGCCCACAACGUCAGUGCGCAUGGUGACAAGUGUUGCAGCACGACGGCUAAGUGCAUCAGCGACUUUGUUCAAGUGGCCCGCCUUGUGUCGAAGCACGAAAUUGAAUUGCUCCAAAAAGGAGACCCAUCGUCCAUGCAUUCGAUUUAGAUGUCUUUGGCUCUUAAUAUAUUUGAGUGCCUGAUGGUCAGUGUUAAGGACAAACUCAUGUUGAUAAAGAUAGGGCUGCCAAUGCUUGAUAGCUCGUACUACAGCAAAGUACUCUUGCUCAUAAGUAGACCAUCGCUUGCGAACAUCAUUAAGUUUCUCGCUAAAAUAAGCAAUAGGCUUACCUUCCUGGGAAAGAACAGCACCAAUUCCUACACUAGAAGCAUCACAGUCUAGUUCGAAUACCUUUUCAAAAUUCGGGAGCAUCAGUAUUGGUGCCGUGGAAAGUUUUUCCUUGAUGAGAGCAAAGCUGGCUUCUGCUUCGUCACCCCAAUGAAAUUUUCCUUUCUUCAAGCACUCGGUAAUCGGAGCCAUAAUAGAACUGAAAUUCCGAAUAAAGCGUCGGUAGAAUGUCGCAAGCCCGUGGAAGCUACGCGCCUCCCCAACGGUUUGGGGAGUCGGCCAGUCGCGGAUGGUAGCUACCUUUUCUGCAUCAACUUGAAGGCCUUCUGCUCCGACAAUAUAUCCCAAGAAGCGAAGUCGAUCAGUCAUGAAGCUACACUUCUUCAAAUUAAUGUACAAUUGGUUCGUCUGCAAGGCCGAUAAGACGUCCCUUAGAUGCUCCAUAUGUUGUUGGUCAUCGGGACUAUAUAUGAGAAUGUCAUCAAAGUAGACCACCACAAAUUUGCCAAUAAAAGGUUUAAGAACUUGAGUCAUCAAACGCAUGAAGGUGCUAGGCGCGUUCGUGAGGCCAAACGGCAUGACAAGCCAUUCAUACAAACCUUCACUUGUUUUAAAGGCCGUUUUCCAUUCAUCGCCAGGGCGGAUGCGUACUUGGUGGUAUCCGCUACGUAGAUCAAUCUUUGUAAAGACCUUUGAUCCCGCAAGCCGGUCGAGCAUGUCAUUCAAGCGAGGGAUUGGGAAUCGGUACUUGAUAGUAAUCCGAUUAAUUGCCCGGCUAUCAACGCACAUACACAUGCUUCCAUCUUUCUUCGAAGUGAGGAGUGCGGGUACUGCACAAGGGCUCAUGCUUUCGCACAAGAAGCCUUUUCGAAGCAGCUCUCCCACUUGGUCUUGCAAAAUCUGGUUCUCCUUCGGAUUCAUCCGGUAGUGCGGCAAAUUAGGGAGGCUCGCUCCUGGAAGAAAGUCAAUCUCAUGUUGGAUAUCCCUCAAGGGUGGUAAUCCAACAGGUAGAUCCUCCGGAAUAACAUCGCUGAAUGCCCUCAAUAAGGGCUGAAGAGCCACCGGAAUUGGAAUAAUGGCUUCUUGAUUACCUUUCUCCACAAUCAUAUACAUGCCCUCACGUUUACGAACGUUUAGCAUAAUUCCUGCACUUUGCUUCUUUGGGGCCUGGGGAGUGUUACUCAUCGGCUUCAAAAUAAUUUUCGUCUUUUUCCACACAAAAGAAUAUGUGUUCUCACGAGCUCUAUGAGUGAUAUCAACAUCGUAUUGCCAUGGUCGCCCCAAUAGGACAUGACAUGCAUCCAUCUCCACUACAUCACAAAUUAUGGUGUCCUUAUAGGACUUUCCAAUUGAAAUAGGUAAAUGACAUACCUGCGUCACCUUGAGUUCGGCCCCUUUACGAAUCCACCCGAUUGUAUAAGGGGAGGGAUGUAACUCUGUCUUUAGUUGUAGAUGGUCCACCAAAGCCUUGGACACUAUGUUCUCACAACUUCCGCUAUCGAUGAUGACAUCGCAAACUUUGCCGUUGACGGUACAACGGGCACGAAAAAGACUAUUCCGCUGCGUGUCUUCUCUUCGCGGAGCGAGCAAUAGUUUCCUAACAACGCAAUUGACAUGCUCGCCCUCCUCAUCCUCCACUUCUUCCUCAUCAAUCCAGUCAUCUUCGUAAAUGUCAUCGUCGUGCACGACAACGUUGGCCAUCUUCCGCCGUGGACAAUCACUCGAACGAUGUCCUACUUCGUUACACUUGUAGCAUUUGAUUGGUGGUGGCUUAGCGUAUGGGUUCUGGGCACUCUGAUUGGCGUUACGGUUGUUUGCGAUGACUGGUUCCUUGCGCACCCCAGUACUACUUCCCGGAGUUUGGUUCAUAGUGUUGGUUUGCUGGUUGGAGGAUUCUGAAACAUCUAGUUGUCUCCCCUUUCCAGAUAAUCCUCGAGCGGAAUAAUUGUUAGCCCGAUUAAUGGGGCUAGUUCUCUCUAAUUGCAUCUCAACCUUUCGGGCCAUCUCUUGAGCAUCCUCAACAGAGAACAAACGAUGUAGCGAAACACGAUCUUGAAUAUUAAGUCGCAAACCAUUAAUGUACCUCGCAGUCUGUUGUGCCUCCGACUCAGCCAGGUUGUUACGGGCGGAAAGUCGGAGAAACUCCUCCGUGUAAGCUUGAACUGAUCGGCUUAGCUGCUUACAAUUUUGAAAUUGUUGAAAUAAUAAUUGCUCAUAAUCGGUUGGGAGGAACCGAACCUUCAACAUUUCCUUCAUCCGAUUCCAUGUUCGGAUGGGAGCUUUUCCUUGUCGACGUCGGGUCAGUUGCGUUUGCUCCCACCACGCUGAGGCACCGCCCUUCAAUUUGUAUGCCACCAAUUUUACUUGGCGAUCCUCUUCAAUCUCCAUGGCAUCAAAGAAUUUCUCGACUUCCCAAAGCCAAUCCAAAAAGUCUUCAAUAUUCAAAUUGCCAUUAAAGGUCGGAAGGUCAACCUUAAGUUGAUAUUGCUCGGGGUCUCGUCGAUAUCCCCGGUUCCGAUGGCCUCCACGAACAGGCCGAUCCAGGAACUCUUCUUCUCCUUCAGAGUCCUCGACAUAGGCUUGUCGCCUCUGUCGGGGAUUUGCCCCACGUUCCAUAGCUACUUCCGGGUCGCGAGCUGCCUGAUCAUGUUCAGCCAGAAGAACACCAGGUAUGGGGUUGGUAGACAAACGCUGGAUGGCGACAAGUAAUUCUUGAAACCUCCGUUCGGUUUGCUCCGCAAAUUGGUUGAACUCAUCCCGUGUAAUAGGCUCGUUUCUGCGGCCUUCAGCUACGGGGAGAUUGACAUUAACGUUAUUAGCCAUCGUCACAGGAAAAACCUGCUCUGAUACCAAAUGACGCAGAGAAAGCGAUGCUUUGGAAAGAAUUCCAAAAGAUGGUGUUUAUUUUGAAUAAUGAAGUGCCGAUUACAAUAUCUUUGGCGCCUAUUUAUAAGAAGGUCGCCAUCUAGAAAAUAACAAAAUAACUUAAAUCUAGUAACAAAUUUGAAAAGAUAUUGAUAAACUAGAAAAUCUAAAAUCUAAUAACAAAUUAAAGAAACGAUAUUGAUAAACCAGAAUAUUUCAGAUAAACCAGAAUAUCUGAAAUCUAAUAAUAAAUAAAGGGAAACGCGUGAAUCAAAUAUUGUAAUCCCUUUUGCAAUCUUGAAGAUCACAAUCCUCUUUGAUUUGUGGGACCGCCCGCUCUUAUGACGCUCCAUUGUUUCCAGAAAGGCAUUUGCAUAUUGUUCUACAUCAGAAACCCGAGCAACAUUAUCUUUUCUUUCUACUAUAAAUUCCGAGAAUCUUUAUUAUUUUACUUAGACACCUGGGUGAAUCCUUUGCGAAUUUGUAAGAAACUCUUUAUUUAUUAAUAAAAUAAAAAUUACAAUUCAAUUCUAAUUUAAAGACGAAUAGAAUUGAUUAUCAUAUAUAUAUUUCUAUAUUUCAUGUAGAAAGAUAAAGAAGAAUAAGUCUCAUUUAUUUAAUUAUCCAUUUCUUGCACUUAUUAUUUAACAUAUAUACUCACUAAGAUAUACUCAAUAUAAUUAUAUACGAAUUAUAAUUAUUCUAAGAUAUCUUUCUAACUAUAACAAUUACAAAUAUUAAAUCAAGGUACCUGUUCUAUGAUAAUUUUUAACAACUUACCCUUUCUCUUUGUGCCUUUAGUGGGCCUCGGACUCAUCGGCUUCCACUCUAGUAGUGGCGAAUCACUUCACCACUUCUUCGCCUGCCCAGACAUCGACCACCGAGGCCUUCUACCUGUGGAAGACCACUCAGGCAACCUGUUAAAAUAUGUCUCGAGUUUAAGACCAAUGCAAAAUUACGAAUAUUCCGAAUUGGAUAUGUUGCGAAUGUUCGAAAUCGAGCAAAGAAGAUUCGAAUAUCAACUUCCCAAAUUUGAAUCUGCGUAGGAGAGUCUGGCUACUAAAAUAGGAAAGUCCAACUUUGACUAGGACUUGGAUUUUAUUUAAAAUAUACAAAUAUAUGUUUUGGAUAGGAAACAAAAUCCUAUGAGAAGUUGGCAAAAGAAUAAGGUUUUUACUUAUAUAUAGACUUGAGGCCGUGGGUGAUAGGUGUGGAUCACAAAUUGUCUUGAAGCGCCGCAUGAGUGCUUGGUGUUCCGCCGUUGAUCGUGAAUAAUUGGUCUUGAAGCGCCGCCUCGUUGUCGAGUGCUUGGGAGGGAUUUUCUUUGUUGUGAAUUACAUCCAAGAAGGUUUAGUGUUAAAGCCAAUUAAAUCUUGUGGUAAGAUUUGCGUGUAAUUCCUUCGUGAGAUUGAGAGAUUAUUUCUUGAGGAAUUUCGAUACUAAAUACUGUGUUUGUUAUUGGGUGUAACUGUGGCUUGGGAAACACCGAGUGAGUGUUUGAGUGACUUGAGUGUGUAAUCUCCUUGUAUCGCUUAAUCUAUAGUGAAAUUCGCCGAUGCUCUCCUCGUGGACAUAAGUCUUUACGACUGAACUACGUAAAUCUGGUGUCCGAUUUAUUUUUCUUUUUCUGUCUAUAUUAUUGUUCGAUCGCUUGCCUUAUCGCAACAUAACCAACUCCACCUCUCCUUUGAACAAGGGAUUGCCGCGGGGGACGUUGGCGGCAAUGAUAGUGGAGAUUAGGAUGGGGGACGGAUUCUGCUGGUUGGGGCAGCACCACAGACACUGCAAAGUAGAUACACCGCAAAUGUGGAUAGGGCACGGUGCACGUCGUGGUGAAGCAAGGUGGUGUGGCCGUGGCCACUGUGGCCUGUUGGUGUUGCGACUGCAAAUGUGCCUCUCUAUUGUUACGAACCACGCCGCCGUCUCUGCCGUUGCCCCCCGAGCCCCACCGUCGCCUGUCGAAGCCCCAUUGAUAGCUUCAAUUCGUCCCCUACCACUCUCUCUCUCUCUCUCUCUCUCUCUCUCUCUCUCUCUCCCGGAAAACGAUUCCACUUUACUCUCUCUCGUCCAGCAAACCACGCUUACGUUGUUGCCUCCCAAAUAAUAAUUGUUUUUUUUUAAAGAUAGUUUUCUAGUUCACCUCAUGCAAGACGACACUUUAAAGCUUUGACUUUCAAGGGCAUCCGAUUUGUUAGACAUCAAUGAUUUUCUCUGGCAAAUCUAUUGCUGUUAGUAAUUUUUUUCAUAUAGUUAAAAAUCUUAAAUAGAAUGGUAUCUUGUGAUAAAUGAAGCAAGUAACUUGUACUCUGCAUCCAUAAAUUUUAUUGUUCGCCUUUAGUUUUCUCUAAAUACGUUUGUUGAUUUCAGUACAAGUCUAGAUUUCCUAUUCAAAUUUUCACCUAUACUUUCAAUUUGCUUGUGAUUUCAGUUUCCUAUAUUUCGACUCAAGUUGUUUAUUGUUUCGAAAAAAAUUCAUGUAAUUUUAUCGAAAAGAGAAACCGAGUGUAGAAAACAGAGGUAAGAGACACAAAGGAAAUCUUAGUAGUCAAGCCUGUCUUUAUCUCGGUAAUGAAUAAAAUUCAAACCGCUGAAUUCAAACUUUUCAAGUCCGAAUCCCAGGGAAGAAGGGAACUCUGGAGUCAAUUUCACUUGCAUAGCUCUUUUGCAACAAAGGGAUCGAGUCGACUAAAACCUUCUGUUGACACCCAAAUUUUUAUCGAUGUUCUAAAUAUCCAUUUAUUUCGCAAAAAUAAAAAAUAUAAAAAGAUAAAAAGCAAAAAAAAAAGGAAAAUAAAAAAAUGAACAAUGAAAUGAAUGAACGAUGGAAAAAUGAAGUCGUGUGGGCCGACGUGUCUAGCCCACUUGGUUAUUUUCGGCUCACCCCUUAACCGGGCUUCCCAUUUACUUUAUUCUCUUUGGCCCAUUGUCCUUCUAUUCCAUCAGCCUACCAGAGCCUAAAAAAGAAGCCCAGCCCAUCACUCAUUCUUGCGCACGCGCGCGCGCUCGUGAGAAGAGCGUCUGUAACGGAAGGAGGAGAGAAGGUACAGUGACGGUCACCGAAGAAAUGCCCGUGAGCGAGGGAUGAGAAAGGAGCCUGUGACGGAAGCGGAUCCGAGAGCGUGAAUCUUAAUCGAUAUACUCGCGGCUCAACCCUGCGAAAACGAGAUAUAUUCGUGCGAGAUGAUGAUGUCUAGAGCCCGUCGGGUCGUGUUUUGGUUGGAAAAUGGUGUCAAAGCUGAAUCAAAAACCUGUUCUCGUGGCUGCACAACAUGUGUUCGACAAAAUGCUCGAAUGAGGCACCCAAAUCCAUGUUAUCCGAUUGACGUUAAAAAUUUAGUUCGAUGCUUGAUUGCGCAUAUGUUGUUGACGCACCUCUGCUUUCUUCGUGAUUUGCUAUGUUUUUCGUUUGAUUUCGCGGCCCACCUUUUGAUGUUCGUUGACGGCCAUGCAAAACCGAACUUGGUUCGGCCAUCGCUGGCGAUAGGCCGACGACGGCCGGAGAUGUAAUCUGGUGAUGGUGUGUGGUGAUGUGAGCGCCGGUGUCUGUAGAUAGCCUCUAGUUGUAUGGGUUCAAAAAAGGGCUUCGGAGAGGAAAAGGGGAAGAAGAAGUGCAGUAGAAAAGGACUUAAUAAGGAGUAAGACAAAAGAGGAAAAAAAAUUAAAUAAAAAAUGCAAAAUAUAUUUUUGUAAACCCGACCGGGUUGGAUCCGGGUAGACGGGUUGGAUCGGGUUUACGGUCAGAACCCAUUCCCCGAAUAUAAUAAUAAUAAUAAUAAUAAUAAUAAUAAUAAUAAUAAUAAUAAUAAUAAUAAUAAUAAUAAGUAAAAAAAUUCGAAAAAAUUGAAAAUUCAGAAAAUGAUAAAAAAUAAAAAAUUAAUAAAAUUCAAAAAUCAAUAAAAAUUUAGAAUUUUGGAAAAUCAUUCAAAAUUGAAAAAAUCUGAAAGGUCAUCAAAAAAUGAUAUUUCGAAAAAAAUUCAAAACCUUGAAAAUUCAGAAAAAUCAUAAAAAUUCAAAAAGUCCUAGAAAAUCCAAAAAAAUUCAAAAAUUGGAAAAUUUCUAUAAAAAAAGUGAAACGAAAAAAUAAGGUUAUUUGUUUUGCAUUGCCUUUUUACUUUUUAGGGCUAAUAUUAAGAUACUUGUAUAGUUCCCUUUACGAUUAUAACUGAUUGUGCAUUUCAAUAUUUUGAGUGUUACUUUCCUAUUUUAGAAUGGUUAAGAUGAUUCUUAGAUUUCUUUUGGAUAGGCUAUUAUGACGUUUGUCAACACAUAAACAAGUAUGUACUAAAAGGACGUCAGUCUUAAUGCUAACGUAAUCAAAUUCUCGAGUCUAGAAUAUCUAGUUACAAAAAGUAAGAUUCCUCUCAUAUCUUACUUAUCUUACUUAGUUUCUAGUCGACUAAAAAGACUAAUGAUGACUCCUUUGUCAAAAUUUGCAAUGCUAAAUUGAUUUAACAUUGAACGUUUGAUGUCGUGCGAAGUAUGAACUUAGAAGUGUCCAAAUCAAUGGAAGGUAUGACAACAUCCCUAAACAUAACUCUCCUUCCCCCGAGGGUUAUGUUGCGACACAUUCUAUUAAGAACAAUACGACAAAAUCUAAAACGAUAAUCAUAACAAUAAUCAUCGAUGUGCCAUUUUGAUACUAGCAAGAUCAUCUAAAAGCGUUUCGCCUGGAUAUUAAAAUGGCGGAAUAAGAAGGAAGCAACUAGAAUGACAUCAGCUGGAGCUUGAAUUCAUGGAAAUGAGCAGCGAUGGCAAGGGUCUACAUCCGGUGUGCCUAAAGGUCUUUCUGGCAGAGACAUUGCUAGCCGGAGACAACGAACGUGACUAGGAAUCUCUAUCUACUCCAAGCUCAACAUCAAGGCGGAGCGAGCACUCCUUUCUUUGGUCAAAUCAACAGCAACAUCCUCGCACGGCGGAGGAGGAGGAGGGUAAAGAGAGAAGGCCAGGUCUAGGGAAAAAGCUGAAAUGUUGUAGCGAUGGGGCUGAUGGGUUUGGGCCGCGGAUCAAAUCAAUGGGUUGCUAUUGUGGGCCACGCUAAUUGGACCAACUUGGCCUUUUCUAUUUGUUUUUUUUAUUUUUAUCUUUUAAUUACUCUCUCUCUCUCUCUCUCUCUCUCUCUCUCUCUCUCUCUCUCUCUCUCUCUCUCUCUCUCUCUCUCUCUCUCUCUCUCUCUCUCUCUCUCUCUCUCUCUCUCUCUCUCUCUCUCUCUCUCUCUCUCUCUCUGGGUUCUUUUUACAACCAUUCAUUGUUCCAUUCAUUGUUUUUAUGCUCUUUUUUAAGAAGAAUGUAUGCUUAAUUUGUCUACUAAAAUGUAGGGGUCGACAGCUUUAAAAAUAUUUACCUAAUAUUCAAAGAAGAAUAUCAUGCUAACACAAACAAACAACAAGACAUUGUAUGUGUCGUUGCGUCCAAUCUUAACUCACCAAAGGCUAGAGUAAUUUCUUGAUCAAUGGAAGAAAUGGGCCAAAAAUAUGGGAAAAUCCAAUCAAAUAGAAUCAGGUAUGUGUUGAUGAAAUAUUGACUCAUCUGUCGCGACCUCUUUUUUUUCGGCGCCCGUGAUCGGGUACGCGCGCCUAAGGAGGUUAAUGGCUCGGUUGAAAUUAGUUAUGCCCGGACUCUCCCAAGUCCACCAAUUCGCAACUUAAUGGUUCAAGUUUUUAACUUGUAAAUCAAUUUUAAAACGGAGUCGCCACUAAUCAAUUUGGGGUGGGUCGAUUAGAAACCCAAGCAAAGUAUCGGGAGAAAUACUUGCUCCUACGCAACCAGAGAAAUUAGGAUCGGGGACUUGAUUACACUAAUUAAUCACUAAUGCCCUUUCGGUACCUAAUCUUGUUUAAACCCUUAGGCUUUUUGGAUGUUCAAGGGAUUUUCCAUGCAUUUUUGGGAGGAAAAACAUGUUUUAGUCUUUUUUUUUCUAAUUUUUGGACACAAAAGGGAUUUUUUGGUAUUUUUGACAUUUUUUGGAAAAUAUGGAAUAUUUUUGAUUUUUUUGAUUUUUCGGAAAAUAAAAUAUUUUUAUCAUUUUUUUAUUAUUUUUCGAUUUUCUAGAAAUUAAAAAAAAAAUUAAUAUUUUUUGGAAAAUAAAAUAUUUUCUUUGGAUAUUUUUUUAAAAUUAAAAAUGCUUUUUUUAAAUAUAUAUAUAUUUUGAAAAGAAAAUAUUUUUUGCUUUUUUUGAAAAUACAUUAUUUAUUUAUUAUUAAAAUAUUAUAUUAAAAUAAAAACCGACCCGGGUCGGAUCCACGGGUUGUGCCCGACCCGGGCUGGCGACUCGAACGAGGACGGGCCCGACUCAGAUUUUUUCAUCUUUUUUCCCCUUUUUUUUCUUUUUUUGAGCGAAGGGACCCAAGUCCACAACGAAAUUGGGCCCUUCCGCGUAAAACAGGCCCGUGCGCAAACGAGCCCAGCUGACCCGGGCCUACGAAAAUACCCGCCCGGCUUGGAAACCGGGCCAGUCCCGGUCCGAGCGACUAAAACCCCAGGGGAACCGGGUCAUCCGCCCGACCCGAUUCCGCUCCACUUCGCGACUUCCUCUCUCUCUCUCAACUCGCGGCGCUGAAGGAAGGGCUGGGGCGGCAGCUUGCGGUGAUGACGACGGUGACGCAGAGGACGGCGGUAGCCGGUCGUUCGUCGAACUGGAGAGCGUGACUCAACAACAACAGCCGGGAUCUAUUUGGUCGGUCGGGACUAGGGUUUAGGGCUUCACGAACGGGGGGCCGACGGCAACGACGCGGUAAACAGGGACGGCGAGGGGUGGCGAGUGAAAACGACGACGGCCAAGAGGGGCUUGAUACCUGCUUAUGGAGAGGAUACGGCGCGGCGGCGUGGCUGGUUGGCGAGAUGGAAUCGUUGGUGGUGGAGGCUUCGUCGGUGGCGUCGAGGAGGGAUCACAGCAUGGUGGUGAACAAAUCCGAGCCUCCCCCUUCUGAUUUCCUUUCGCUCACCCCCCUUCUUCGCAGAUCUAACCCCUCGUGCUCGGAUCUCUCUCACUCUCGAUCAGAUCUCUCCCCCUCCGGCCAGAUCCGAGCCUCCACCGGCCGAAUCUGACCUCUUCGGACUCGCUCGCCGGCGGCCUCCCCCGAAGUCUCUCAGUGGGAGGUCGGCCUAGCUCGCGACCCGAUUCCUCUCUCGCUCGCCUUCUUCUCGUUCGCUCUUCAACCUCCUCCGAAGUCUCUCAGGAGGAAGCUUCCAAGCUCACGAUCUUCUGGCCUCUCCCUCCGUCAACGGUGGCCCCCCUCUAUUUAUAGGCGCGGGAGCGGCCGGUCGGCGAGGCCUUGACCCGCCGGUUGGACCGCCGUCCCAUCCACCAUCAUCACCUCCUCCGGUCAUGUCCCGUCGACGCCACCUGCUCCUCUGCUCCGCACGCAACUGCCGUCCGUCCACCCCCUUCCUCUCCAUCGCGCCCUCUGCACGUGCGCUACAGAGGCGCGAGGAAGAAGAAGAUGCGGUGGGGGCCGGGUUUGGCGGAAAUGGGCUGAGAGCCCAUGGAGGGGCUGCCCCUCUUUUGCUUUUUUUUUUUUUUUUUGCUUUGUUUUUGUUGUUGGUUUUUUGGUUUAUUAUCCGAAAAUCAAACAAAAUAAUAAUAAAGUCUAAUCUAAUUUUAGGCGUCAACAGCUGCCCCUCUUUGAAGGUGAGCUCGCAGAGGUUUCAUUCAAAGACAAAAUGAUGCCUAAAAUUUGGUUAUAUAUGCGUAGCGGAUUAUAUUUUAUUUGGGACUUAUUAUCCUAUGUAAAAAGAGCAAUAUAACAUUACAUAUUCUAAGACAGAUAAGAAGAUACCUGUAGUUACUUACCGGGAGUGAGUGAGAUAGGUUGUGAGCCCCGAGCUUUGGCAAGUAUCAAGGCGUCAUCUUACCUGGUGACAUGAGGAGGUUGCUUUUCCAGGGCUCGAACCAUUCUUCAGUCGCCUGUUAAAACAAUCAAUAAUUUGUCCAGGACCCGAACCUUUCCUCGAUUGCCUUGACAAGAAAUUGCUUCUCCAGGACCCGAACCAUUCUUCGGUCGCAUGUUGGAGCAAUUAGGGGUUUGUCUCGGACCCGAACCAUUCUUCGGCCGUCGUGACGGGAAAUUGCUUCUCCAGGACCCGAACCAUUCUUCGGUCGCAUGUUAAAACAAUCAAUGAUUUGUCGAGGACCCGAACCUUUCUUCGGUCGCCUUGACGGGAGAUUGCUCCUCUAGGACCCGAACCAUUCUUCGAUCACCUAUUGGAGUAAUCAAGGGUUUGUCUCGGACCCGAACCAUUCUUCGGUUGCCGUGACGGGAAAUUGCUUCUCCAGGACCCGAACCAUUCUUCGGUCGCCUGUUAAAACAAUCAAUGAUUUGUCGAGGACCCGAACCUUUCUUCGGUCGCCUUGACGGGAGAUUGCUCCUCUAGGACCCGAACCAUUCUUCGGUCGCCUGUUAAAACAAUCAAUGAUUUGUCGAGGACCCGAACUUUUCUUCGGUUGCCUUGACGAGAGAUUGCUCCUCUAGGACCCGAACCAUUCUUCGGUCGCCUGUUUGAGUAAUCAAGGGUUUGUCUCGGACCCGAACCAUUCUUCGGUUGCCGUGACGGGAAAUUGCUUCUCCAGGACCCGAACCAUUCUUCGGUCGCCUGUUAAAACAAUUAGUGAUUUGUCUAGGACCCGAACCUUUCUUCGGUUGCCUUGACGGGAGAUUGCUCCUCCAGGACCCGAACCAUUCUUCGGUCUCCUUGACGGGAGAUGCACCAACCUUUCUCAGGGCAUCUCAUUUGUGGGUGCCUGAUUUGUAUCGAGGACACCAGUUGGUACCCGACCUUUCUCGGGAGGAUGCACCGACCUUUCUCAGGGCAUUGAUUUGGGGGAUACCUAGACAUUCACAAGCAUAUCAAAGAGUACCUGGAUAUUCACAAGUACUAACCUAAAGGGUAUCUGGGCUUUUGCAGGCGUCAAAAUGGGUAUUUGGCUGACCAUAGGCAUUGAAUAGGUACUUGGAUGAUCACCAGUAUGAAUUAUUGGGGGAUACUUGGGCAUUCACAAGUAUCGAAUGGGUACUUGAUAAUUGGAAAUAUUGAGAACAUACAUUGGAUAUUUGUGAAGGUAUCCCUACCUCCUGGCAAUUGGGAAAUAUCGAGGGCAUACCUGGGAUAUUGGUGAAGGUCUCUCACCUCCUGGUAGUUGGAAUAUCGAGGACGUACCUUAGAUAUUCAUGAAGAUUUUUCACCGACUGGUAAUUGGGAAUAUUGAGGACGUGCCUCGCAUAUUCGUGAAGGUCUCUCGCCUCCUGAAUUGCCACAAGCACUUAAAAGGGGUGGAACACUUGGACAACGGUGAAUACUUGACGAUAUGGGGAUACCUAGACAGCAGUGGGCAUUCCAAGAAAUACUUGGUCAGUCGUGAGUAUCAACACUCUGAGGACAACUCGAACAGGUCGAGUGUCAGGAAAAGGGAGUAUCCGAAUGGUGGCCGGUACUCAAAGACAAUAGGGAUGCUAAGACAGUUGCAAGCAUCCAAACUCAAUGGACAACUCGAAUAGGUCGAGUGUCAAUAAGAGAGUACCUGGACAGUGAUAGGUACUUCAAGACAAAUGGGGAUAGCGAUAUGUUUACCUGGCAAUAUCUUUGAUCUUUGAGAGUAUGUCUGCUAUUUGCACAAUAUGCAUGCAUGAUUGUAUAUACUGUAAAUUCAUGAUUUAUGCAUGAUAACUUUAUCAAUUGCGUAUCAUUCGAAUUCCAUUGGGGAAGAUUUUGAGAGACAACAUUUAUUCGGAAUAUAGAUGUUUUGAGCAUGCCAGAUGAGGGACUUUCAGUCUGAAAGGACUUUUCACUCACUCUCAUGGAGAAGGCUAUCCUGACCAUUGAUGCAGGAUUUACAAGGACCACACUAUCUCACUGUCAUCAUGUCAGCAGGGGUCUGAGUAUUCUCGCAAAAGGUACGACUUUACCAAUGUGAGAGGUCUUUGUUGAAAUUGUGAUGAAGACUUGGUUAAUAGCUCAUCAAAUGGGACCGUCAAGGUCAAGGCUCAUGAACGAAGUGCCGCACGAUCAUCUCCAGGUUUGCAAGUCAAGAGUCCUGCGAAAAGAGAUAGAAUAGUCUUGCUCGUACUUCUUCGAGCGAUGCUUAUAGACAUAUGAAAUCCUACGUUAAUUGAAGUGCCCCUAGUCUGAAGAGACUUUUACAAUGUAGCGUAGACUUGGCUCACAUGUAAGAGGGUGAGAGUUAGUGACUGUCUUGGCAUUUGUCACUAGUCUUUCUUCACGGUCAGCUGGAGGUUGUAUCAUUUAAACAACAAUUUCUCUUGGGAAUACAAAUGGCUAUGUUUUUAUUUGGGGCGUUGGCCUUGCUUUUACCAGGCACACUGCUUUUUUCAUGCCCCUAUUUCUCAUCUUAAUUUUUCAUUCGUGGGCAUUGACCUUGCUUUUACCAGGUACACUGCUUUUUUCAUGCCCCAGUUUUUGUUCUUGUUGCUUGAUGAACUGAUCUUGACAAGUUCAAGCGAAUGCCUUUGCUAGACUAUGGAGUCUUCAUAUUUUGUUGGCACUUCUGAUUAUGUUGCUCAAGCGACAGUGGCUUCUGUUUUGCCUCCAUGUGAGGGUGAAUUUUCAGACUCGAUUGAGUUGUACAAUGGAUACGAGUGCGUAAAUAAAGAAUUGCUCUUCACGACUCAAAGGCACUUAAAUUAACGCGGGUGUUCAUAUGUAAUAAAGACACUCAAAGAUUGAUGCAAGUGCGAGCAAGAAAAUUUCUAUCCCCUUUCUCACCUUAUGAUGCUGAUUUGCUUUUGACUUGCCCCAGUGUGGGGGUGGUUCUUUGUCGAGAGUAUUUAUCAGUAUAUGGGGCUCAUAGUGAGCGAUGGGGUGCCCCUCACUGCUUUGAUCAUCGUACCAUUCGCGAGAGAACUCUUUACCCUAUAGUCAUGGAAUCUUCUGCACUCAUCUCACAAGUGUAUAGAUGGGGGGGACUGUGUGUAGGAUAUGGCUUGCCUUUCAUCAUUCUGACGUGCCUCAUCCAACAUACUCAAUCAAUCUUGUAUUCUUCAAUUAGCUGUCUAUUCUAAUAGUUCUCAAUGGAAUCAAUGAUUUAGACAGACAAAAUCAUCAUGCAGAGUUUACCUAGAAAAAUGCAUGCAGUGUAUGAUGUGAUGGAGUUUGGUACUCUCAAAAUAAAUGAAAGGCUUUUUACUCAAGAAGAACUUAUUAGCAGCUUUAGGGGUACUUAUUUGGUGGAACGGUAUUCACAAAUGUGUUGAAAUUUGAACAUUUAAAAGAGUUAUUUACAAAAGGUUAUUCACAAAUGGGUGUCGAUGGAUGUCCCUAUUGAUUUGAUUGGGUGUCUCUGCUCUUGCCCUGGGUUUGGAUCACUUGGUUUGCCCCAUUCAACCAUUAAGCCUGGCCCUUGAAUCCCAAUGCUUCCUAUCAAUAUAAGCUCAGAGAGUGAGUGCUAGAGAUGACACCAAGUUGCAUUUCCCCCGAGUUUAUAUGAGCUAGCUUCUAGGGAUACUUGAAUGUCGAUGAUGGCUUCUUUGCAGUUCCAUGCUUCUUUCGACCGGCUUUUCUUACUUGUGGCCACAUAGGCAUGAUUGCUAGCUGUUGAUUUACUUUCAAUGCCUUCCUUUUGUGGAACUUCCCCUCCUGUCUUUGAUUAGUAGCAUUGGGCAAAGUCAUGUAUCUCAAGCUUCUAUGGAAUUUUGAGAUGGCCAAUUAAAAUUUCCAUCUUUCCAAUAGCAAUUGCUUCUUGCAAGGGCACCCGUCUGGAACAAGAAAUGAGGUUUCGGGAUUCUAAAAUUGUUGACUGGGACAGAAGGUUCCUUCUAACCAGGCUGGCUCUUGAACGACGCAUCUUUUACACCAAGCUAGGCGAAAUUGACAUGGAUUACUCUUGUGUGUCUGCCUGGGUAAUGUCAAUUUGCUCAAGCUAUACCAUCGAGUUUGCUACUUGGUUUUUGACACUUCCUUAUGUGCUGGUGAUUACAAUUCAUUUUUCUCCAAAUACACGAUUUUCAUGACGGUGUAAAUACAUCACUCAUAUAUAAAAGGUGCAUAGGCAUUUUCAAAAUGAUAGAGAGGUGUUUGGCAAUGCCAGAUGAUGAACAUCAUUCAAGGGUAGUACUUUUUUACGGCAUCGGAAUUAACUGGCUUAGAAAACUCUCGCCCAUCCAUCUCGGUUAGGAUCAAGGCUCCUCCGAGGAGUAUCUUCUUUAUUACAUAAGGACCCUUGUAAUUUGGGGCGAACUUGCCUCCAGGCUCUGGAAAGAUUGGCAGCGUCUUUCUCAAGACUAGCUCAUUUACCUCGAAGUGCCUAGGUCGCACCUUUUGAUUAAAUGAUCGAGCUACCUUCUGCUGAUAACACUGACCAUGACAGAGGGCUUUCAGUCGCUUUUCAUCGAUCAUGUUCAGCUGCUCGAGCCUUUGUUGUGUCCAUUCCUCCUUAGAUAAUCCAGCCUGGGAUAAAAUUCGUAGGGAAGGGAUUUCUACUUCCACGGGUAAAACUGCCUCCAUACCGUAAACCAGGGAAAAAGGGGUCGCCCCAGUAGAAGUUCGAAUCGAAGUUCGAUAUGCUGUUAGUGCGACGAGUAGCCUCUCGUGCCAGUCGCGGUAAUUUUCAGCCGUCUUGGCUAGGAUUCUCUUGAUGUUCUUGUUGGCAGCCUCUACAGCCCCAUUCAUUUGCGGGCGAUAAGGGGAUGAGUUCAGAUGCUGGAUCUUGAACUUAGAAAAUAAUUGGUCAAUCAGCUUGUUGUUCAGAUUUGUCCCGUUGUCGGUGACGAUGGAAUCUAGCACGCCAUAUCGAGCGAUUAUGUCACGUUUGAUAAACUUCAUAACAUUCCGUGCAGUUACACUUGCAUAUGAUGUGGCCUCGAUCCAUUUCGAAAAGUAAUCAAUUGCAACCAAGAUGAACCGAUGCCCGUUUGACGCCUUUGGGUUAAUUGGGCCGAUUACAUCGAUGCCCCACAUUGAAAACGGCCAUGGCUCAGAUAACUGAUGCAGUUCAGUUGGAGGGACAUUUAUCUUAUCUCCGUGAAUUUGACAAUGGUGACAACUUCGUGCAUGCUGAGCACAAUCAUUCUCUAAGGGGAGCCAGUAAUAACCCAGUCUCAUUAUCUUCUUGGCCAACAUACGUCCAUUCAUGUGAGGGCCACAUACUCCCUCGUGUAUUUCUUGCAUUAUUCGUGUGGCUUCUGCCGCGUCCACACAUCUUAGCAGGACUGAAUCAUACGAUCUUUUGUAUAGAUUUUCACUGCUGACGAAAAACUUUGAAGCCAUUUUCAUUAGGAAUUUUCGAUCAGAGGGAGUGCUUUGUUUAGGGAACUCCUGCUUCUGGACGUAUUUCAUGAUGUCGUAAUACCAGGGUCUCCCGUCGGGCUCUUCAGUUAUGGCCAUGCAGUAGGCCUGUCUUGCCAGGACUUCGAUUUUUAAAGGCUCAACUUCUAACCCUCUUGUUGCUUGCAACAUAGAUGAUAGCGUUGCUGGUGCAUCAGCGAACUGAUUAUGAAUUCUAGGUAGGUAUUCAAACGAGAUGUCUUGGAAUCUUCCCGCCAACUUUUCUAAGUAACCAUGAUAAGGCACAAGUUUGGCGUCUUCUGUCUUCCAUUCGCCCAAUGUCUGGAGGAUUAUUAAGGUAGAAUCACCGAACACCUUUAGCUUCGUCACUCCCAUUUCAAUAGCCGCUUGCAGGCUGAGGAUGCAUGCUUCAUAUUUGGCUAUAUUGUUGGUACAUAGAAACAUCAAUUUUGCAGCCACAGGAUAAUGCUGUCCAUUUGGGGAUAUCAAGACUGCCCUAGUGCCGGAGCCUGAUAAAUUUACAGCUCCGUCAAAGAACAUGCUCCACGUGUCUUCUUCUACCGCGGAAAUUCGAUCGUCCGAGGGAUUAUCCUUGCAUACUUCUUUAGGACAGUCUACUAACAUAUCAGCAAUCACCCGCCCUUUAACUGAUUUUUGUGACAUGACUUGAAUGUCGAAUUCCGAGAUCAGGAUUUGCCAUUUAGCCAAUUUUCCUACCAAUGCUGGGCGACUGAGCAAAUACUUAAUCGGAUCACUUUCGGUUACGAGGAAAGUUUGGUAAUGCAAGCUAUACUGUCGGAGUCUAUGCAACACCCAUACUAAUGCGGCGCAUGUUUUUUUUUAUUUGGAAUAGUUUUGCUCUGACGUGGUGAACUUUUUGCUCAAAUAGUAGAUGGCUCGCUCCUUCUGGUCAUGGGGCUCCUUUUGUGCCAGCAUUGCACCUAAGGACUCACUGCUGAUUGUAAGGUAGAGAAUUAAAGGGUGCCCCGGUACUGGAGGUACUAGAAUCGGGGGUUUCAUCAAGUAUUGCUUUAGGUCUUCAAAUGCCCGUCGGCAAUCAUCAUCCCAUUUAAUUUGUGCAUCUUUCCUAAGAAGUUUAAAGAAAGGUUUUGCAGUUUCAGAAAGCUGGAAAAUGAAUCGAGCAAUGUAAUUUAAUCUCCCCAUGAGGCUCCGGACUUCUUUUACAGUUGAGGGAGGAGGCAUCUCAAAUAUCGCCUUGGUUUUUGAUGGAUCUACUUCUAUCCCUUUACAGCUUACAAUGAAUCCAAGUAAUUUGCCAGAAGUUGCCCCAAACACACAUUUCGCCGAAUUCAAGCGCAACUUAAACUGGCGAAGUCGCUCAAAUAGUUUCUCCAAGGUCUUCACAUGGUUUUCUCCAUGUCUGGUUUUAGCGAUCAUGUCAACGACAUAUACUUCAAUUUCUUUGUGCAUCAUGUCAUGGAAAAGGGUGACCAUGGCUCGCUGGUAAGUUGCUCCAGCAUUUUUCAGGCCAAAAGGCAUGACCUUAUAAUGGAAAGUGCCCCAUGGAGUAAUGAACGUCGUUUUUUCCUUGUCUUCCUCCUUCAUCUUUAUUUGGUUGUAUCCCGAGAAUCCAUCCAUAAAAGAGAAUAGUUUGAACCCUGCAGUACUGUCUACCAAAACGUCUAUGUGGGGUAAUGGGAAGUCAUCUUUCGGGCUUGCUUUGUUCAAGUCACGAUAGUCGACACAAACACGUAUUCAACCAUCCUUCUUCUUCACUGGCACAAUGUUUGCUACCCAGUUGGGGUAUCGCGAGACUUCGAGGAAACCCACUUCGAGGAGCUUCAUUACCUCUUCUUCAAUCUUUUUUGACAAUUCCGGCUUGGUUCUUCUUAGCCGUUGUUUCUUAGGGGCUAUAUCAGGGUUAGUUGGCAAACUAUGCUCCACGAUCAUUGGAUCAAGGCCUGGCAUAUCCGCAUAUGACCAUGCGAAUACGUCUUGAUACCUCUUUAAAAGAGCAAUCAGGUUCGCAGCUUCUUCUUCAGGAAGGUUGGUGCCAAUCUUUAUCUCUCUUGGACCUUCUGUGCUGCCUAAAUUGACAGUGACGGUGUCUUCAAUGGUAGAGGGCCUUGUUUCCUCAUGCCGCUCCCAGUCUCAUUGAAUUUCAUUGGAAUUAUCAAAGUCAUCAUCUGAGCUAUCAGAAUUGCUAUCAUGGCUAUCCACGAUGCUAGUUUGGACCGCUCCCAUACCCUGGCCUACCGCUAGAUUAUUCCUGUGUCAUAGAGUAGAUAGGCUAAGAGGACAAAUAAGGUUAGUAGUAUGCAUGCUUUUUUUGGAAAUGUGAUAAAUUGUUCUUGAAGAUUUAGGAUAAGGAAACAUGAGGAGACCCGGGCCUCAGAUUUCUUCUUUCAUUUGAUGGCUGGCUAUCAUCAACGGGCCGGUUUGGUGUGUCUCCCCAUGCCCUCAAAAUGUUUUCAACUUUAUUUAUUAGUAGACGGAUUUACAAAGUGAUUUCAAAAAAUGGUUCCCCAAGUGGAACAGGUGUUGAAAACAAAACAAGCCAAACUCUUAAAAAAAUAUGUACAGGUUCCCACGUAGGGGAGUAUGCGAAGGAAAUAAAAAGGAUUCUACACGAGCGAGUCUGCGCCCAUUUCCCCUGGCGGUCCUUCAUUGAUAGUGCCCACGAAGAAGUCUUCAUACCAGCUACCAGCCACAUCUCCCUGUGCUUGCGGCUUUGCAGAUUCCAGAUCAUCCAUGCCUUCCCAUCCAUCAGGGACGAUGCGGCGAUGAUGAUCAUAGAAACUUUGGGGGAUUGAAUAAUUGACAUAGUAGUCAAAUUUACCACUUGGCUGACCCAAAGUGUCCAUGAUCAUCUCUCCUUUACGUGCUUCCUUAGCAUGCUCAGGGAACAUGGUACGAGUGCUGGGUACCACGAGGAGGUGAUUUUGGCCAAAACACAGCCACGGAGAGCGGAACGUGAAUACCCCAGCAUCUAAAAGAUCCUGAACCUUGUCUUUCAGGAUGGUACAACCAUCUAACGAGUAUCCUAAUUCUCCCGAAUGAUAAUCACAUUGCUUGGAUGGAUCAUAAUCAAGGAAGUACUCGGGAGUAGGAUGACUCAGUUCCCUGGCGAUUAGCCCUUGCUCUAGGAGGAUGGGAAAAACGAUGGUCAUCGAUUUAGGAAGAGGCGAAUACUGCCUCAUGCUUUUUUAGGACUGAGAUAGCCAGACCCCUUGCCAGAUCGCAUCAGUAGGGUCUUCUUCAUUUACUACUAAAUCUUCAUUAUGACGAGAGCGAAAUGUGCGGGUAGCUUGAGCAAAGUUUUCCGUCAAGUGGUGUACUGUCUCGCGUAGUUCAUCAACUUGGCGCUGAAGCUGGAUGAAUGAGAAGUUAUCGCCUGCUCCUUCUAACUGUUCUUCCUCAAUAGCACAUAUAGAAAUGUCUCCAAACAUGGUGGUCAUGUCAUCCGGCCCCUCUUUCUUUGAGGGCCAAGUUGUGCCCUCCUGGAUUACGGGCAAGUUUGAGCUCUCGGGGUUGAACCAAUUUGAAGUAUUGAUCACUCCUUCCUCUUCAUGCAUCAUCCGAGCUGGGCCUGGGAAAGUUUCCUCGAGACGGGGGUAUAAAAGGCUGACUUUUUUCUUUGCUUUUCUAUCCGGGAGGUAUCCUAAACCGACAGUGUAGGGUCUCCUCAGGGCUUCAAUAGGUUGACGGAUGCCCUGGCCUUCCUUACCAAGUCCUUGUCUUGGAAUGAAACCGUGUCCAACCAUGAUUUUUCCUACCAUGAUCGCAGCACUUGAUACUUCGAGGAUGAGGGGCAAGGUCCCUCGAUUUUCGUGUACAGUAGACACAAGCUUGAACGAUUGAUAGCUAGCUUCAUUCUUGUCACUAGGCUCAACAUAAGGAAUGGCUGUCUCGUGGUAGAUACGGUGGUCUUCUUCUCCUCGAACUGUGAUUAGCUUCCCUCCAACCACGAACUUCACACUUUGGUGGAGGCUUGAAGGUACUGCUCCUGCGAUGUGGAUCCAUGGGCGCCCUAAGAGGAAAUUGAACGCAGUGGAGAUAUCCAUUACUUGGAACAAAAUUUUGAAUAUAGUUGGGCCAAUUUGAACGUCGAGCUCAAUCUCUCCUACUGUUUCCUUCUUUGUUCCAUCAAAUGCUCGAACAGAAGUCUUGGGUACUUGGAUCCGUGAUUUGUCUAUUUGAAGGCGACAGAGUGUUGCUAGUGGACAUAUGUUAAGAGCAGAUCCAUUGUCAAUCAGCACUCGAGCAACGUGAGACGCGUUGCAUUUGACUGAUAUGUAGAGGCCUUUGGUGUGUCCUCUACCCUCCUCAGGGAUUUCUUCAUCAGAGAAUGCCAUUUGAUCCUUCAAUAGGAUGGUGCUAACAAAUUCCUCGAGUUUGUCAUGUUCAAUUGUUUCAGGGACAUGUACCUCACUUAAUACCUUCAUAAGGGAUUUUUGGUGCUUGACAGAUGUCUGAAGCAAUUCCAGCAGAGAGAUCUGUGCUGGUGAUUUUCGUAAUUGCUCCACCACAUUAUACUCGCUUGCCUUAACUACGGCCAAAAACUCCUUAGCUUCUUCGUCGGUGACGGGCUUAGCAGACUGCGUAUUUGCGUGAGCAUAGGUUCGCCCAAAUCUCAUGACUAAACCCACAUCGAGGUCAUAAGACCAUGGUACCACUUUGUUACAUUCAUAUUUGUAAGGCUGGGGGAUUUCAAUGAUUAUAGCUGCUUCCGCUAUCGAUGCUUCGAUUAUAUCCUCCGGUGGGGUGGAAUCUUUCUUCUUCCUUUCUGCAUUUAGCGCGGCACAUUCCUCAUCCCAGUUGAUGAGGACUUGCGAUAUAGUGGAAACUAUGCCGGUAUGACCAACAUGUAUGAUUACUCCGGCUUCUAUCAUUCUUGAUACCCUUGCUUUCAUUGUCCCAAAAGGUGGUAUUUCGUCAUUCGAAUAAUACCCGGUUUCCACUAGCCCUUGAUAGAUGUCAACAAUAGGGGUACUAACAUUUCUGAUUUGACUAGCUUCAGAACCGAAUAUCGCAUUUACUUUGUCAGCAUGAUCAGGGAGCGGAUUGCUUUGGACAUUUGGCCUCGUCGUCUGGAAUGAGAAGGCUUUGGUAUCCAGCAGGUUCUGGAUCCGAUGUUUAAGGAUGAAGCAAUCAUCAGUUGAAUGGCCUAUUUCUCCCAUGUGGUAAUCGCAUUUUUUGGACGGGUCGUAGCUGGCGAAGCUUUCAGCAUUGGGUCGUCUUGGCUCAAUCGAGAGGAGAUUCUUGUUCCGGAGGAUUGCCAAAACCUGGGAAGGAGAUCCCGGAAGCGGAGUGAAUUGUCUUCGGUUGUUGUAGCGUUGAGGCUGACGGCUAUUGGUUUGUUGUUGGCCUGUGCUUGUCUGAACAGUCGGGAGGUGACCGGUAUUUGCGGUGUAGGUGGCAUUGACAUCGCUCAGGGGCUCUUUAUCCUUUUUCAUGCUGAAUCUUCUGCUGACAGGUGAAGGCUCGGUGAACCAGCCAUCUCUUAACCCUAUCUCUAUCUGCUCUCCCACUGGAAUGAGUUGAUUGAAUGAUUCAGCGAUCGUAGUCACCAUCCGGUUGCGGUAUUCAUAGGGGAGUGUUUUGAUGAACAUUUUUCUUAAUUCAAAGUCAGUCGGUUCGGGACUGAUCUGGGCGGCGAGAUUCCUCCACUUGAUAGCAUAUUCUUUGAAAGAUUCCUGCUUCUUCUUUUCCGCGCGAUCAAGAUCCUCACGAGAAGGGGUAAUGUCCACUAUGAAUUUGUACUGCUUGAGGAAUGCCUCGCUUGCUUCACUCCAUGUUUCGAUGAGGUUUAUGUUUUUCUUGAUGUACCACCUCAAAGCAGGACCUACUAGACUUGACUGGAACAACUGGAUCAUUAAAGGCACAUUAUUAACGUACUGGGUCAUUCGAACCAAGUACAUUUGCAAAUGAGCCCUUGGGCAGGUUGUGCCAUCGUAUUUCUCAAAUUCAGGCAUCUUAAACUUUUCGGGCAUUUUGACUUUGGAGUAGAUGGAGAGGUCUGUUGGAGUAGGAUCCUGUAGGCCUUGCAGUUGCUUUAGCCUUUCUUCAAGCUUCUCCAGACGCUUAUCAUGCUCGGUCUUAGACGAAAUGUUGGGUUUUACUUUCUCAACGAUGAUUUGGUGUGCGUUGUCCUCCAAUUCAGGCAUGCUAUCAUCGAUUUCUCUUCCUUGUUCUCCUCGGGUGGAUGAUUGUGGUAAUACUACUUCGAUUGAGGCUGGGGUAGGAGUCAAUUUGCCCUGAAUGGAAUCUACUUGCUUUGAGAGCUGUUGAAGCACAUUGAAGACCUGCUUCAAUUCUCUUUCCAUAAUCUCGACACGGCUUGGUACAUUUUCUUCAGCCAUCUAAGCUUUUGGAUUUGGUGAAUAUGGCUAUGUUGUGAUUACCUGCUAACACAGGAAAUGGAGAAAACGUAAAUAAAGGAAACACAUGGAACACUAGCUCAUGGCAAGGGUCGAGUCAUUCUUAUUUAUUAACAAGAGAUUUAUACAAUGCCAAAAGGAUUUUUGACAUAAGUCAGGACGACCCUAGACAUUCACAUUAAAACACACAUCAAAAAGCCACAACGUCCAUUUUUAUAUGCGAUGGGAAGUCCCGAUCUUGCGACGCCGUUUGCUCUUUUGAGAUAACUUUGAUAUGCAACUCUUGCUGGUCUCCAAACUUUCUUCAAGAGACUUGAUCAUUUCUUGCUUGGUAAGUUUGCUGCUUACAUCAGGGAUUACCGGCUGCAACUCCUCAAGAAUCCCAUGGUUGAGGAUGUAAAAGGUGGAUGCAUGAUGGGCUUUUUCCUGUCCCUUCAAUCUUCUGGGUACGAUAAUCCUCUCUGGGUGGCAUCUAUCCCAUGCAUUCUGAAUUAUGUUGAUUUCCUCUGAGUAGUCAUAACCGGUGGGGUUGAAAGAAACCCGAAACAAUCCUGUCUUGAGUGGUGGCGGGACUUCUUGAAGGAUCCUUUACUGGCGAGCUACCCUAUAUGGAUAGUAUGAGGUAGCUCCGGAGAGGCCCAGCAGUGGGAUGGGAUCGUAAUAAUCAAGCGCGAAACGUGCCUCGCUCGCAAGGAACCACUUAGUUCGCCAUAUGAAUGUCUCUGGGACUGGGUUUUUUAAUAAUUUAAUCCAUCGAGAAUAUUCUUCAUUGGGAGAAUAUUUCUCCAAGCUUUGGAAUUUUUGCAGUGGUGCUUGAACUCAUUGAUUUCAAAUAUUUGCAUGAGGUGCCCAAAUCUUUUGAUAUGAGAAAAGAACCACAUUUGUAAAAUUUCUGGGGCAGCUCUCAUGAUCUUUUCUUUUCGAUCUUUGAAACGAUUAAGGGAUAAAAAUGUUUCGGCUAAAACCAUGUUUACAUAUCCCGCUCCAAAAGUGAUUUGAUUUAUCCCCACGAUUGAAGGAUUUAUGGCAUUCUUUCUAUGGGGAAAGAUAAUAAAUCCAAAGAACGCCAAAAGGAAGAUCUUGGUUUUUUGGGACAUUGACUGUUUUUCAAAGCAUUCGGUUAAGGAUGAUAGCGGGAAAGCAUUGUUGUUAGUUCUAACAAUUUCUCUUACUGAAUGAUUUUUUAAAAAACGUGAUAGACUGACUAUGGGGUCAAUGCCAAUUUGUGGCUUAGCAAGCUCUGCUCCCAAGGGCAUUCCUAUGGCGAGACUAUAUUCCUCCAAAGUGGGAGUUAGUUCAAAUUUGCCAAACACGAAAGUGGAUGUUUCCGGACACCAGAAAUGUGGCAAGGCUUGCAUGAUCCCAGAGUGAAUAUUGAUUUGGAGCAAUGGGAGGAGAUGACCAAUCCUCAUUUUGACACGCUCUUGGCCGAGCUGAUCUAACUGAUUCCACUACCUGAGGAGCUCUUUCUUUGGGGCAGGAAUGAACUUGAUAUCGAUUCUUCCCAUCGCAUUAAAAAAAGAGGCUACACAACCUGACCCUAUUUUGCCAUGAGCCAUAAAAGAUUAAGUAAAAGUAAAUAAAUUACUUUGCUUCUAAAUAAAAUGGCAAGGGCAAGGACAUACAGAUGGGAUGUGCAGCUCGAUUUCUAACUCAAAAGGCUUGAUGAAAUUAAAAGGGUAUCCGCCCGUCGCAGUCUCGCGUUAGCAGUAUACCCCCUUAACCUCGGCUAAGAAAUUCGGGGAAAAGAAAGGCAACCUUUACAUCGCAGUCUCGCGUUCGAGGUCGUAUCUUUCUUAACACUAUCCUAAAAAUCCUAUGGCGGCCCAGGUCCGGCGGCCGGGUUGUGUGUGCCAUGUGUAGUGCUAAAAUAGUAAAGCAUGCACAAUAAUUUAUAAUCACAAAACAAUAUAUAAAAUUAUGAUAAAUUUCUAAACUUUUGACCUGCAUAAAAAAAAAAAAAAACCUAAGUCAGUAAAGAAUUUAAAUAAGACAAAAAUGGCCUAAGUCCUCACUUCCCCAGCGGAGUCGCCAAGCUGUCGCGACCUCUUUUUUUUUUGCGCCCGUGAUCGGGUACGGGCGCCUAAGGAGGCUAAUGGCUCGGCUGAAAUUAGUUAUGCCUGGACUCUCCCAAGUCCACCAAUUCGCAACUUAAUGGUUCAAGUUUUUAACUUGUAAAUCAAUUUUAAAACGGAGUCGCCACUAAUCAAUUUGGGGUGGGUCGAUUAGAAACCCAAGCAAAGUAUCGGGAGAAAUACUUGCUCCUGCGCAACCAGAGAAAUUAAGAUCGGGGACUUGAUUACACUAAUUAAUCACUAAUGCCCUUUCGGUACCUAAUCUUGUUUAAAUCCUUAGGCUUUUUAGAUGUUCGAGGGAUUUUCCAUGCAUUUUUAGGAGGAAAAACAUGUUUUAGUCUUUUUUCUAAUUUUUGGACACAAAAGGGAUUUUUUGGUAUUUUUGACAUUUUUUGGAAAAUAUGGAAUAUUUUUGAUUUUUUUGAUUUUUCGAAAAAUAAAAUAUUUUUAUCAUUUUUUUAUUAUUUUUCGAUUUUCUGGGAAUUAAAACAUUUUUAAUAUUUUUUGGAAAAUAAAAUAUUUUCUUUGGAUAUUUUUUUUUUAAAUUAAAAAUGCUUUUUUUUAAAUAUAUAUAUUUUGAAAAGAAAAUAUUUUUUGCUUUUUUUGAAAAUAAAUUAUUUAUUUAUUAUUAAAAUAUUAUAUUAAAAUAAAAACCGACCCGGGUCGGAUCCACGGGUUGUGCCCGACCCGGGCUGGCGACCCGAACGAGGACGGGCCCGACUCAGAUUUUUUCAUCUUUUUUCCCCCUUUUUUUUUUUUGAGCGAAGGGACCCAAGCCCACAACGAAAUUGGGCCCUUCCGCGUAAAACAAGCCCGUGCGCAAACGAGCCCAGCUGACCCAGGCCUACGAAAAUACCCGCCCGGCUUGGAAACCGGGCCAGUCCCAGUCCGAGCGACUAAAACCCUAGGGGAACCGGGUCAUCCGCCCGACCCGAUUCCGCUCCACUUCGCGACUUCCUCUCUCUCUCUCUCAACUCGCGGCGCUGAAGGAAGGGCUGGGGCGGCGGCUUGUAGUGAUGACGACGGUGACGCAGAGGACGGCGGUGGCCGGUCGUUCGUCGAACUGGAGAGCGUGACUCAACAACAACAGCCGGGAUCUAUUUGGUCGGUCGGGACUAGGGUUUAGGGCUUCACGAACGGGGGGCCGACGGCAACGACGCGGUAAACAGGGACGGCGAGGGGUGGCGAGUGAAAACGACGACGGCCAAGAGGGGCUUGAUACCUGCUUAUGGAGAGGAUACGGCGCGGCGGCGUGGCUGGUUGGCGAGAUGGAAUCGUUGGUGGUGGAGGCUUCGUCGGUGGCGUCGAGGAGGGAUCACAGCAUGGUGGUGAACAAAUCCGAGCCUCCCCCUUCUGAUUUCCUUUCGCUCACCCCCCUUCUUCGCAGAUCUAACCCCUCGUGCUCGGAUCUCUCUCACUCUCGAUCAGAUCUCUCCCCCUCCGGCCAGAUCCGAGCCUCCACCGGCCGAAUCUGACCUCUUCGGACUCGCUCGCCGGCGGCCUCCCCCGAAGUCUCUCAGUGGGAGGUCGGCCUAGCUCGCGACCCGAUUCCUCUCUCGCUCGCCUUCUUCUCGUUCGUUCUUCAACCUCCUCCGAAGUCUCUCAGGAGGAAGCUUCCAGGCUCACGAUCUUCUGGCCUCUCCCUCCGUCAACGGUGGCCCCCCUCUAUUUAUAGGCGCGAGAGCGGCCGGUCGGCGAGGCCUCGACCCGCCGGUUGGACCGCCGUCCCAUCCACCAUCAUCACCUCCUCCGGUCAUGUCCCGUCGACGCCACCUGCUCCUCUGCUCCGCACGCGACUGCCGUCCGUCCACCCCCUUCCUCUCCAUCGCGCCCUCUGCGUGUGCGCUACAGAGGCACGAGGAAGAAGAAGAUGCGGUGGGGGCCGGGCUUGGCGGAAAUGGGCUGAGAGCCCAUGGAGGGGCUGCCCCUCUUUUGCUUUUUUUUUUUUUUUUGCUUUGUUUUUGUUGUUGGUUUUUUGGUUUAUUAUCCGAAAAUCAAACAAAAUAAUAAUAAAGUCUAAUCUAAUUUUAGGCGUCAACAUCAUCUAAAAUGACUUCAGUUAUGACUCAGAUUCAUAUGGACCCAAUUUCGAUCUUGCCCAUUUGGUGGGUUUAUGUCCCAGAAAUCACAAUGGAAGAUUAAAUAAAGAUUGGUACAAUGCAAGAGAAAGAGAUGGCUUUUUAUAAUGAAAGAUGAUUCUUUCGUGUUUUAUUUUUCCUAUUUGAGGAUUCUUUUUCAAUUUAUUUAAAGGUUCUCAAAGUGAAGAAAUGAUUACACAUGGCAAAGAGUAAAUAAAGAAGCAAAAAAUGAAUAAAUAUGUUGAGAACAACAUAGGUGUAAAUAAAACUAAUGUUUAUAAAGUUUCACCUAAAAAAUCCGACCAAGUGACUAGUCAAGUGGUUCAAGACUUGAUUUAUAAGUCAAAGGUCGCAAGUUUAAUUUCCCAAUCUAUUAUCCAUUUUGGGAUAAUUAUGCGAAUAACUUGGUGGAAUUAAUUUGAACAAUAUCUUAUGGCCAACAAAUUCACCCGUUUGGGGUCAAAGAUUGUUGUGGGUUGGAGAAACUCCAAAUAGAAUUUCUAGCAAAAACAUUUGAGUUGCCGUUGAUGCCCCUCGAUGAAGGGUUGUGACUCCACUUUGACGAAUUUCCACUUCCACCAUGAAGUUGAGACAAUUUCCUUCAUUCGCAAUAGCAUAAUUAACAACAAUCUUUUUCGACAAUAACAAUAAUAAUAGACAAUUUCAUCUCCAUACUGGAAAAAAAGGCAAAUAUAUGGUGGAGUAGUCAGCACUAAGCAUUUGACCCUUGAGAUUUCAUUUGCUUCCAAUUAUAUAAACACAAAAUCCUUUUCUUCUCUCGAAUAAGUAUAAACUUAUUUGGUAUUUCAGCACACGAAGUUACAAUUGAUGCGGAAUUGCAACAAUCAAGUCAUAACGAUGAAUUAAAUGUUGAUGAUAAGCUUUUAUAGAGGAUGAUAGUGUGAGACGGUUGAAUAAAACACAUAUUUUGUAGGUAUUGUGGCUCGAAGGCAAUUUUAGUACAAAGAAAGGUGGUGUGUCCCUUGUUUUUAAUUAGCGGAGUGUAGGAUUUGGGAGACUUUUUUUUGUUCAAAAAAUAAUUUUGGAUUCUUUGAGGUCAAGCAUAAUCAAAGGACGUGUUUAUUUUUAUUUUUUCUAGUGAUUAUGUAGAUGUUGAAGAUGAUCAGAGGACACACUGUACAACCUAUGCGCAUUGAGGAGAGGCCCAGAGAUGCAAACAAUCUAAUAUUGUCUCUAAUAAUCCGUCCAUUAGUAGUGAAGGUGGAUUUUGAUGGUACAAAACGUUUGAUAGAGUGAGCUUGUCAUGUUCCACUGUAGAAAGAACAGGAAAACUACUUUGGCCUUCCAUUACAGUAGAAGGUCGACAUUCUCUUCCUCGAAUUUUUCAAAUGUCGUUCCUAUCAUCCUUGCCGAGAUAUUCAUUCACCUCACCAGCAAUUGGCACCGAAGUGCUUGAGGCCUACCCUUCUUUUUUGGGGCACAUGUGGCCCAAGAGCACGGGUCCGAAGUUGCACGGCCCGUUGGCCAUCCUAGCUAAAAUCUAUCUGGGCUCAUGUAUAGAUAUUAGAACAUUUUCUGAUGGUCGAGGACCCUUCACUAAAAAGAAGUUGUUACCGACACCUUCAUAGAUAUUUUUGUAGCUCCAAUCCAUCUCAUUCGAACAUCAAAUCACAUUUCCCAUCUUGCAUUCACUUUAUGUCCGUCAUCAUUGUCUCCUGUCUUUCACCGAAAGCGUUAUCGAUAGCCUCGCAGAUAAUUUCGGAACCUUAACCUUAGCCCAUCGACAUCCGUAAAAUUUCCCCUCUCGUAGUCACUCUGUGUCCUUUUUAUCCUCCACCGAAAAUUGUUGGUGACAGCUUCGUUGACGUUUUAAGAGCCUCGACCAAUCUUUUUGAGACAUCUAUCCACAAUUCGCAUCUCCCCAUUCAAUCCGUGUCCUCUCUGUCUUCUAUCCUUUCACGGUAAUUCAGAUAUCUGUUACAUGUCCCAUCUCGAAACGAACAAGAGUGCAGAAAAUGCAGUAUGUUAGGGGCCCCACUGAACUUGUCUUUUAUGGGAAGAAGGAGCUCAUUUUGCAUUUCCCCUCUCUUUCCCCUCACUUUCCGGGGGAAAAAAUCUUGCGGGCCCCCACAGGAAAAUCUUUCUCUACGGUUCGCUUCGUAUUCCUUGAAUCUUUGUUUUCCUCGCUUCUUUUCACCCAAUUCCUGAAACCCGCUUCAUUCUACGAAAUGGCUCCAGUCGGAUUUAUAUAUAUGGGUCUUGCUCUCAAAAGAAAAAUCAUGGCAGCAAACAUUUGGAGUGGCUCCUUGUCCUUAAACAACAUCUUUCGCCCGAUGAGAAACUCGAAAUGUAAGAAUUAUCCCACAAGUGUUGAUGUCCUUGUUAAUAAUAAUAUGUAUUGACUUAACUACUAUAAUUGCAUGAGUAGACGGUCCUCAAAGAAACGUCAAUAACAUUGGUAAGCUUCUAAAUUCAAAUUAUGUUUUGCACUCGGCAUUAUAGCCUGUCGUUUUUUUUUUCCUAGCCCAUCAAGCCAUACUAAGAAUGAAGUAAAGAAGAGAUGGAGAUGGUUUGCACAAAGAAAAAAGUAGAUGAACAAGACGACGUCUUCGUCCUCAGCAAUGGUGCAUAGAGAUAUUGUGUAGAGGAGCGAGAGGUUCUUUUAAGUUCUUUCGUUGAUCGAUAUCUUGCAAUUAUUUAUCUUAUAUCAUCUAUUUUUAAAUAUUGAAAUUGAAUAUCAUGGCUACAUAUGGAAUAUGUACCCUUUUAACUAGAGAUUCUUGUUAGGUCCAUAGUUGAUAGAAUAACAACUCCAAUUGUGACACUAAAACAAUUAUACGUGCAUCAUGAUUAUUUGAUUAUGUUGGGUUAUUUAAAUUUUUUGGUCAUAUUUUUAAGUAUGUUUUCCCAUCAUUUAAAGCAGUUUUUGCUUUGGGUUAUCAACUGAAUAUGUUUUUUUUUUUUUGGUAGGAUAAUCAAUCGAAUUGAGAAGUCGUUUUUUUCAGAAUAUUUAUUGUUGUCAUUCGUAAAACAAUUUGUGCAUUGGGACCAAAUAUGUAAUCAUAUAUGGUUAUGCACAUAUUAAGUCGAAGCUAGAUGGGACAAAGUUUAGAGAGAGAGAGGAUAGCACAAUGGAAUUGGGUCCCCUGGCGUGAGGUUGAAAAUGCAAGAAGCUUUAAUAAUUGCAUCCCGUUCCACAAUGUAUAAAGUCAUAUAUGCAUCGCGAGGUUGACCUAACACUAACCUUCAAUAAUUGCAACGUGAUCCACGAUGGCAAAAAAACAACUUAACUCCAAGCCGAUUAAACUCUUAACCUCGCUUUGUUCUGUCUUUCUCCCUCCUCCUCCUCCUCCUCUGCAUUUUAGAGAGAGAGAGAGAGAGAGAGAGAGAGAUAGCAGUAGUAGCAUCAAAGGAACGACUGUGGACACGUGUGGUUGGUACUUGUUAGGGAAGGAGAGAGACGCAAGGAUUUGGAGUUUGUAGAUAAUUGGAAAGACGGUCAUUGAAUUGUUAACGAGGUGUAGUCAAUCAAUGCAAUCGUCCGGUUUUCUUUAAAAAUAUUUAAAGUGAGGUUUUGAGAAAUAAGUGAUGAGUAUAAUUAGUAAUUUCAAUACAAAAAAAGAAACAUGAAAAGGUGUCUGUCAUGGACCUUCAAUUUCUCUCAAUGGAGUUGUGCAUGUAGCUCAAAGCCUAUGCAUGUUCACAAGAUUAACAAAUUGUCGUUUUUUAAAUUUUAAUGAAGUGCCUAGAAGCAUUCAACAUAUCUCCAUCAAACGUGGCACUUCUUCCAUUUCAUACACAUCGGAUAAUUAUCGAAGAUUAAUAGUUUUUAUUACUACAUAAAUUUACCAUUUAUAUUAUUAUCGUUUGAAAAUGGGCAAGUUGCCACGCUCGAUUUUUUCAUCUCGAAUUCUCUUCGAAGUUAAUUUUGGUAGCUUAACGGUCUACACUUGGGAGCUGAGCCCCCCUUCCCUUUUUUUCCCUUUAAUUCUUUGGAAGGUUUGGUGAGUUUUUUUUCUCUACUAUAAACUAUUAGUUAUUUAAAUUAUAACCUUAAUCUCACAUUAUUCAUAUUUUUUCAUGUGAAAAUAGAAUCAAGAUGUCGGGAAUGAGAAACUACUUUAUUAAACUUCACAUACUAAAAUGAUAAGGUAUGAUCAACUAAAAUCUAAUGAUAAAAAGUUUCGGUCACCAGCUUGGAAGAAUUUAUGGUUUGAUGACUGCAGCAUAAUCGGCCUAAAUAUUAAGAUUGAUAGGGAAACUGAGCACGACUCUCGUGGCUCUUAUCUUAUUACGUUUUGUCAAAUAAAUUGGGUGCUAUUAGAGACACAAAUGCCUAUCUUCUCCAUGAUUGAUGUAGGGGGCUGAAUAUUUUCCUAUACUUUUCACAAGUCAAUUGUCGUACAGAGCAUCUAAGCAAAAGAAAGAUGGGACAAUUCGGUGGAGUUGGGUUCCUCGGUGAUUGGCUGAGUAGCCUUCACGUGCAUGAAGCCGUACUGCCCAUGCGCACCACUAGGUUGACAUAACACGCAACUUUAAUAAUUGCCAAGCCACCGAUGAUGACCAGGCAGCAACUUCAUCUCCACCCUGGUUAACUCUUAACAUCACUUUGUUCAAUCUUCCUCCUCCUCUGCGUUUUAGAGAGAGAGAGAGAGACAGUGCACCGUCCGAACUGGCAUUGCCCAUUGGCUAUCCUAAUUAAAAUCCAUUCGGGUUCAUGUACCAUUUUCUGAUGGUCGAGAAUCCUCCACUUAAAAAAAUGUUGCCGACAGCUUCAUAGAUAUGAUAUUUUAGGGACUUCAGCCCAUCCCAUUCGAACAUCCAUCACAUUUCCCAUCUCGUGUUUGACUUUAUGUCCGUCCUUCACAGUCUUCUUUCACCGAAAGUGUUGCCGACAGCUUCGUAGAUAAUUUGGAAAGUCAACCCAUCAAUUCGGACAUCUGUAAAGUUUCCCAUCUGGCAGUCACUCUGCGUCCUUUCUAUCCUUCACCAAAAAUUGUGGGUGACAACUUCGUUGACGUUUUAUGAGCCUCUUCCAAUCUUAUUCAGACAUCUAUCCACAUUUCCCAUCUCCCGAUUCAAUCCGUGUCCAUAUUGUCUUCUAUCCUUCACCAUAACUCGGACAUCUGUCCCCUGUCGCAUCUCCAAAUGACCAAGAGUCCAGAAAAUGCAAACAUGUAAUGGGCCCACUGAGCUCGUCAUUUGAGGAAAAGAAAGAGCCCCAUUUUGCGUUUCCCACUAUUUUCUCCCCACUUUCCGAAGGAAAAUAUGUUGCGGGCCCCCACAGGAAAAUCUUUCUCUACCGUUCUCUUCGUAUUCCUUGAAUCUUUUAUUUUCCUCACUUCUUUUCACCCAAUUCCUGAAACCCGCUUCAUUCUACAGAAUGGCUUCAUUUGAUUAUAUACAUACGGGUCUUGCUCUCAAAAGAAAAAUCAAGGCAGCAAACUUUCGGAGUGGCUCCUCGUCCGUAAACAACAUCUUCCGUUUGAUGGGAAACUCAAGAUGUAAGACUUCUCUCACAAGUGUCGAUAUCCUCAUUAAUAAUAAUAAUAAUAAUAAUAAUAUGUAUAGACUCAGCUAUAAUUACAUUAAUAGAUGUUACUCAACAAAAUGUCAAUAAUAUCAUCAAACUUCUCAACUCAUAUUAUCUUUUGCACUCUGCAUUUAAAAAUGAAGUAAAGAUGAGAUGUAAAUGGUUUACACAAAGAAAAAAAGUGGAUGAACAAGGCGACGUAUUUAUCUCAGCAAUGGUGCAUGCAGAUGUUUUACAUAGGAGACAAAGGUUCUUUUCAUUUCUUUCGUUGAUCAAUAUCUUGUAAUUUUUUUUUUAUCUUUUAUUAUCUGUUUUUCCAUAUAGAAAUUGAAUAUCAUGGCUACACAUGGAAUAUAUAAAUUUUUAACUAGAAAUUUACUUAGGUCCAUAGAAUAACAAAUCCUACUACGAGACUAAAAUAACUUUACAUGCAUGAUGAUUAUUUGAUUAUAUCGGGUUAUUUAAAUUUGUUUGUCAUAUUUAUAAAUAUGUUUUCCCGUUGUUUAAAGCAAUUUUUGUUGUAUAAAGCAGUUUUUGUUUUGGGUGAUCGAUCAAAUGUGUUUUUUUUUUUGGUGAGGAUGAUUGACCCAAUUAAGAGGUUGGUUUCUUUAGAAUAUUUGUCGGUCUUGUCCAUAAAACGAUUUGUACGAAUUUGGGACCAAACGUUUAAUCAUAUAUGGCUUUGCACAAAUUAAGUUGAAGCUAGUGGGACAACGUUUAAAUUGAUAGAGAGAGAGGAUAGUACGGUGGAGUGGGGUCCCUCGGCGUGGGGUUCAAAAAGCAUGAAGCUUUAAUAAUUGCAACACGAUCCACAAUGUAUCAAGACAUACUGUCCAUCUGCAUCACGAGGUUGACAUGACACCCCAGUUAAAUUCUUAACAUCACUUUGCUUUGUCCUCCUCCGUUUUAGAGAGAGAGCGCGCGCGCAAGGAGCAAUGAUCGUGGAGGUGUGUGGUCAGUACAUAUUAGGGAAGGAGAGAGACUCCCAAGGAUUUGGAUUUUACAGAGAACUGGAAAGAGGGUCAUUAAAUUGCUAACGAGGUAUGAUAAAUCAAUGGAAUCGGGUUUUCUUUAGGACUAUUAAAGUGAGAUGUUGAGAAAUAAAUGAUGAGCAUAAUUAGCAAUUUCUAUACAAAAGAAAAAUGAAAAAAGGCAACUUUCAUGGACCUUCAAUUUCUCUUAAUGGAGUCGUGGAUGUAGCUCAAAGCCUAUGCAAGUUCACAAGAUUAAUAGAUUGGUGUUUCUUAGAUAUUAACGGAGUGCUUAGGCCUCUUUGAGCAUCUCACGAAUCUCCAUCAAAUGCGGCGAUCCCUCGAUUUUAUACAUAUCGGAUAAUUACUGAAGACAAACAAUUUUUAUUAAUAGAUUGGUUAUAAAUUAUCUUUUAUAUUACAUUCUUUUGAAAAGGGCAAGUUGCCACAUUUGAUUUUAUCAUCUCAGUUUCUAUUUGAAUGUUGGUUUUGGCAACUUAACGAUCUAAAUUUGGGAGUUGAGCCUCGUUCCUUUUAUAUAACAGUUCCUUGAGUAUCAUAAUUUUUUGUCAAUUAAAUGAGUGUCAUGACUUAAAAAUAUUUUUAUUUAAGUGUCAUGGCCUUCAAUUGCUCAUUUAAAGACUACAACUCCCAUCACUAUUGGGCAACGUCUUUGAAAAGGUUAUAAUGAUCAAGUGAAUAUUUUUUAGAGGUUUUAAAAUAUUUAAAUGAUCGGAAAAAAAAUUUAUAAUACUUAAAUAAGCGUCAUAUCUAGUGACCUUUUUUCAAAAUUAACCUUGUAUAGCUAGGGCAUUAUAGACUUCUACAUGCUAUGACAAUACAAUCGCGAAAGCACUGCAAGAUGCUUUUGCAUGAAAAUGAUACAAACUUUUAUGAAGAAGAAGGGACGGGAAGAGCGUUUUGGUCAAAAUUGGUGGUCUCCACGUGAUACGACAGUAGAAAGCAUUAUUGCACUCAGCGGACUCUAUCGUUGUGCAACUUUAUCAAAGCUGAUACUUAAAACUGCUCAUGAAACGACUGAAAUUGGAGUGCAUCAUCUGAAUCGGAUUCUGGACUCAUAGAGAUUGGGGCCUCGCCGCUGUUGACAGCUGGAGCUGAGCACGUAUGAAAUGAUUGAUGGACAAUGAUAGUCAUAGACAGCUACUUAAUUGUCGCAUUCUUAGAGCGAUGGGGUCCGAAGGCAAUUUUAGUCCAAAAAGAAAUGGUGGAGUGGAUUUUUUUCGAACCGUUAAAUUGAGGUUCUCCAUUGAGGUGCAUCAUCUGAAUCGGAAUCUGGACCAUAGCUCGGUCCCAAAUGGAGAUUGGUGCAUCGCUGCUGCAGUGCUGCUGAUUUCUAGAGCUGAGGUCAGAUGUGUUAAACGAUUAAGCAUUAAUCAAAUGGGAGAAAAUAUUUGGGGGUCCCGACUGCCAAGCCAGCGUGUACCCCGACCAAUGAGGAAGUGACGCGUGGCUCCACGAUGCGCUAGCUGCUCCACUGGUUUUCCUGCACAAAAUAUAUUAUUGUCCCUUUUCUGCUUAAGAAUUUACAGUCAUUAAUAGAUCUGAUGCCGCUUUAAAUUCUCUCCUCUCUAAUGGAGUAGGCCUGAAUGCAUUAAAGGAGCUUUGUCUCUCGUCAUUUCUUUCCUUCUCAAUUCAAAAUUUUGGGUGAGAAUUCUCUGGCCCAAAAGCACGUUGCUCCUCCGCCUUGCUUCGGCGCCGGUUCAUCUUCGCUCUCUGCCCCAAAGCUCGUUGCUUCUUCGGCCUGCGUUGUUGCAUUCCUUCUCCGCCCUCUGCUCCGGUGUUGUUUCCCUGCCCAAGACGGUGAGGAAUGUUCUUGCUGUAAGUCGCAAACUCCAAGCGACAAGAAGUUCCAGCUCUCUCCGAUUCGGCUUUGGAUCUGCUACGUUCGCAGCUCAUAACAGUGAGUUGAUUCUUUCCCUGAUUUUUUUACUCUUCUUUUCUUUUCUUUUUCUUUGCUGUUUUUGCCUCUUUUUAUUUGUUAAGUUUUAGUUUCUUUUGUUGGUGGGUGAUUGCACGAGCUUGGCUAUCGAGUCGGCAAUUUUGCCCGUGAGUGUCCGGUGUUGUGAUUUUUGGGAGGUUGGUUUGUCUAGGCUAGUGUCACGGGUCGAGAGAUUCCUUGGCCUCGGAAACGACCCGCGGGCGCCUAGCGAGCGGAAUUCGCCAGGCCAGCCCUUUCUUUAGCUGUUCCACGAACGAUACGGUGAAUGAUUCUUCGUACGAGAUCCUACCACGCCCAGCUUCGCUCGGGCGUCUAGUCCAUCGAGUAAGACAGCAGUUCUCUUUAGGCACAACAAAUGGUUUCGACCUGCCAUGGCCUCGUCAGGAGAGCGGCAUCAGCUCCCGACCAGUUUGUGCACGGGAGGCCUACCCCGUCUUCAGAGCUCCUAAGUGAUAUAAUCCUUCUAUCCUAGAACUCCUAGCACCAACCGUCCUGACGCCACUCCCACGGACCAGUUGUGUUCUACCCUUCUGCCUCACACUCUUUACCAAAUAACCCCAAGCGCCACUCACAAGUGUCACGAGUACGGGAGGAUUCACGGACCGUGACAUUCUCCCCCACUCAAUUCGCAACGCUCUCGUUGCGAUCUCUACUCUGUCGCUUCCUUGCGUAAAUUAACCAUUGACGUGCCACUUUUGGGAAUUCACAUCGAACGGUCACGCUCGCCCAACAAAACAGGUUUUGCUCCAUUGGUGGCCUCUUUUGAUCUCAGCCGCUCGGCCCUUCGGUCACCUGCGCUUUCCGGCAAGUGUGGCAUCUUUCGCCAACCGCAUCUUUUGGUAGCNNNNNNNNNNNNNNNNNNNNNNNNNNNNNNNNNNNNNNNNNNNNNNNNNNNNNNNNNNNNNNNNNNNNNNNNNNNNNNNNNNNNNNNNNNNNNNNNNNNNNNNNNNNNNNNNNNNNNNNNNNNNNNNNNNNNNNNNNNNNNNNNNNNNNNNNNNNNNNNUUGCCUCUUUUUAUUUGUUAAGUUUUAGUUUCUUUUGUUGGUGGGUGAUUGCACGAGCUUGGCUAUCGAGUCGGCAAUUUUGCCCGUGAGUGUCCGGUGUUGUGAUUUUUGGGAGGUUGGUUUGUCUAGGCUAGUGUCACGGGUCGAGAGAUUCCUUGGCCUCGGAAACGACCCGCGGGCGCCUAGCGAGCGGAAUUCGCCAGGCCAGCCCUUUCUUUAGCUGUUCCACGAACGAUACGGUGAAUGAUUCUUCGUACGAGAUCCUACCACGCCCAGCUUCGCUCGGGCGUCUAGUCCAUCGAGUAAGACAGCAGUUCUCUUUAGGCACAACAAAUGGUUUCGACCUGCCAUGGCCUCGUCAGGAGAGCGGCAUCAGCUCCCGACCAGUUUGUGCACGGGAGGCCUACCCCGUCUUCAGAGCUCCUAAGUGAUAUAAUCCUUCUAUCCUAGAACUCCUAGCACCAACCGUCCUGACGCCACUCCCACGGACCAGUUGUGUUCUACCCUUCUGCCUCACACUCUUUACCAAAUAACCCCAAGCGCCACUCACAAGUGUCACGAGUACGGGAGGAUUCACGGACCGUGACAUUCUCCCCCACUCAAUUCGCAACGCUCUCGUUGCGAUCUCUACUCUGUCGCUUCCUUGCGUAAAUUAACCAUUGACGUGCCACUUUUGGGAAUUCACAUCGAACGGUCACGCUCGCCCAACAAAACAGGUUUUGCUCCAUUGGUGGCCUCUUUUGAUCUCAGCCGCUCGGCCCUUCGGUCACCUGCGCUUUCCGGCAAGUGUGGCAUCUUUCGCCAACCGCAUCUUUUGGCAGCACCAUUUCAGCCUAAUUAGCAUCUUGACCCCAGCAAACCAAUGGAGGUUCUUUUUCUUGUUGAAAACGCGGCAGUAGACCUCUUCUUCGUAUUCACGAUCAAUCCGGGAACGUUAUCCCCAUUCAGCAAGGGUUCGGUUCUUCUCUAACUCGCAUUCCGCUCGACGAGAAGCCGACUCGUCCUAGCACCCAUCCACUAGGACUUAUCUGUUGAACGCAAAUUGCGCAACCCCAAGAUCUCCAUAACCAGAACAAGAACAUGCAUAAUUGAGUAGAAAGAUUAACGCACCUGUUUUAGGAUCCAUCGAACAUAAAGCGGAAACAUAAAAAGGAUUACCCACAUAUAUCAAGGGAAUCCACGCAUCAAGUCCUUCUCCUCUAUUGCCCUCCGUAUCACUGGCUCAAUGAGCCAAGAUCUCCAUAACCAGAACAAGAACAUGCAUAAUUGAGUAGAAAGAUUAACGCACCUGUUUUAGGAUCCAUCGAACAUAAAGCGGAAGCAUAAAAAGGAUUACCCACAUAUAUCAAGGGGAUCCACGCAUCAAGUCCUUCUCCUCUAUUGCCCUCCAUAUCACUGGCUCAAUGAGGCAGCCCCCCUCACGUUUAGCGUUAGGUAAACGCCCCUUAGGUGAGGAUACAUGUGAGAAUUAGGGUUAGAGGAGAGACUUGAGCACUAUUUAUAGAGUUUCCAGCCAGUCCCUCUCAUUACGGGCCAGGCUCAACUCGGCCCACACUAGCCAGCUCAUAUUAAACUAAUUAAGAAACCUUCUAUCUCACCUUAGAUCAACCCUGUUUUACGGUAACCGUAAAAACAGUAAAUUACAAUAUCAAUUAAUUUAGUCCACAUUUGGAAAAACUCUUACAUUCUCCCACUUGGACUAUAUUAAUUGAAAUCGUAUUGUAUGUGCGCACAUUUGGUCCAGAGAUAAUUCUUAAUAGUCAAUCCUAUCCCAUAAAGUCUUAAACACCGAAUCAUGGCGGUAACUGCAUGUAUACACACAAAGCCUUCCAUGGUCACGAAUGUUUUCAACUUUAUUGAUAUGGAUUCAAUAUGGUAGUGUGUCAAAUGGAUAACAUCUCUCAUAGAGAGAUCUCAUUUGUCAGUCACCAUUCUCUUACCUUAGGCGUCACAAAAAAACUUGUGCCACUAGAGAAUGCUUUAUGGUUCCAAUGAACCCACAUAUGUCUUGUCCUUAUGGUUAACCUUUAUUUAUGUAUCACAAGACAUAUGCACAAGGCUAAUAACCGGAUGCCCGGAUGCCCCUAGCCUUCACUCAAGGUCUAUACAAUCCCUUGAGACUUUAUCAAUAUGUAUUCAACAUAAUAACAACACAUUUAAAAUAUUUUAUUGAAUGCAAAAGUUGAUACAUAUCAAACCGUUACUAAGUGUAACGAACCACAGAUGUGAACUUUAUCAGAGUAAAGCUAAAAUAGCUCCCACUAAACAACAGUAUCCGAAGAUACUCCUAGGCCCAUGUUUACAAUAUGUUACUAAAAUAUACAUGGGCGUAGGCCUUUAGUUUGUGGAUCUGCAACCACAUCAUCUGUGAAAAUAUAUUAUAUCAUAAGUCACCUUUCUGUACCGUUUCUUUAUGGUAAAAAAUAUUUGACCACCAUAUAUUUAGACCCCUUGAGACCUCUGUAGUAAAUAAAUAAUACUACAAAUUUGUUAUCUCAAUACAACCGUAUGGGUCUAUCCAUAAAGUUAAAAUAAUUAACUCCUUUCAUGGGGUUCUGGAGCCUAAAAACCCAAGUAACAGCUUAAAAGAAUGUUACUAACACUGCUUACAUAGUAGAAGAUGACAUAAAACUUUAUUUACUGCACUUACUGCUAACAUAAAUAUGUAUUCUGUUAUUGAGCGCAUGUCAUCAGAACAGCCAGCAAAGUUUACAUCUAAAUACUCUACUAACUGCAAGAAUUGAACAUGUCUAUAAAUUAGCAUAUAAUCUCUUGUCUUCUUUAAGUACCUUAAAACCUUCUUGACAGCAACCCAGUGAUCAUGUCCUGGAUUUGACCGAUAUCUGCCUAGAAGUCCCGUCACAAAGACAACAUUUAGUCUAGUCAAAUUCGAGCAUACAUUAUACUUUUAAGUGCACUUACACAAGGUACUCUCUUUAAUUAGAUUUUCUCAAUAUUUAAAUAAGGACAAUGUGAUAGAUUCAGUCCAUCACCCUUAACAACAGGAGCAAUUCCUGGCUUGCAAUGAUGUAUAUUUAAUAUUUUCAAAAUAUGAUAAGCAAAUGUCAUCCAAGAAAAUCUAAUAUAAAAUCCGAUAUCUAUGACAAGAACAAUUCUUAAAGACCUUAGUGUAAAAGAUGCAUCAAGGUCACUACUUGUAAACAAAAAUCAUGUACAUAAAGUAUGAGAAAAAAUAAAUUUCCUCCCACUGACCUUGCAGUAUAUUGAAUUACUUUGUUCCCAAUUGAACAAAAUAACAACACUAUGAAACUUUAAUAAUAUUGUAUGGAAACUUGCUUAAGACCAUGAAUUAGAACUUUUCAGUCUAUACACAAGUUUACUUAAAUCUGCUACAAAAUCAUCCAGUUGCACAAUAUAGAUUUUGUAUCUAUUUGGCGUAACUUUAUAUCAAAAUAAAUUAUUAAUGCCACGUUCACUCUGAAAGAAAAUUUAAAGAAAUAAUUAUUUCUUCACUAUAAACAAUCCACCCCUCUUUCAGAGUUAAAACGUUAGUUACAAAUAUGGCUUUAAAUUCCACAAUCUUUGUUUGAAAUUCUUUUAAUUUUGUACGCCAAUUUGCAACUAAUAAACUUGUGAUCUUUAGACAAGUUAGUAAGUUUCCAAACAUGUUUCAUAGAUUGUAUAUCGCAUUUUAUGGCAUCUAAUCACAUACUUAAUUGAGAAUAAGAAACGACAUUUAUAAAUAUGUCAUUACAUCAACCAUAUAGUGGAUAUUGUAAUCAUGCUCUCACAAAUAGACUAUAUAGUCUGAUGGUAUAACUGAUCGUCUUUCCUUAACAAAUCUCAUUAAUAAAGUUGCAACCACUUCAUUCUGCACUUGAGAGAUUUAAGAAAUUUCAUUAUAAACUAUAUCAAAAAUAGUACCUUGAACCUCCACAAGUUUAGUCUAUGGUACAGGAGAUUCCAUAAUUAUCUGUAUAGGUAAAGACAAAAACAUAGUAACAUCCAUCAUACUAUUAUCUUUUAAUAGUCUGAGAGCAAUUAUCCUCUACAAUUACGUCAAUUUUUAAAAACUUUAGAGUAUGUGAUUCCAUAAUUCUUGUACUUUCUUUAGGGUCAUAAAAUCAAUACCCCUUUUAUAUAUGAAAAAAUUGAUUUCAUAAUAUCAGCCCACAAAAGACCAGAUAAAUUAGUCUUACUAAUCAUACUCAUCACCAUGUUCAAUAUGGUGCAUUUAUGCCUUUUGACCAAAUCUUUUUGUCAGAAUUUUCAGGUAUAGUAAUUAAAUUACCACCCCAGAAUCUACCAAGUAUUUGACAAAUGACCCUUUAAGUUAUUUCGCAUUGUCAUACUUGCCAAAAUACUCAUAGCCACUGUUAAACCUGACAACUUUUUAAGACCUUUACGAGAUGUAUAUGUCAUUAGGACUUAAACACAACUUUUGCAUAUGUGUCCUAAUUUCAAUAUCAGACAAUACAUAAUUUCAAGCAACUAAGGCUUCCAUCAUCUUAUAGCAGUGCAGUCCGUAGGCAAACCUCUUUUCAAGUGUUCAAGAAUGGAACGCUUCAUGGACAGUAAGCAAAUUCAAUCAUAUGUCCACAACUUAAAAUUUGAAGCAGUAAAAACCUUAAUGGUGACGGAAUUACCAUUUACAGAAAAGGUGACUGAAAAACAAGCAGUAUAUAAUUAGCAUCAUGUGAGCAUUGUGUAACUUGACGUACAAGUACACAUCCAGAGAGUUACAUGCAAAAUCAUAUAAUCACCUUUGGGCAGAAUACAUGAUAUGCAAUUGUACACUCCCAACAUGAUAAGGGUUAUGAGAAUAUAUUCCAAUCUUCGUGAAUUCAUCACCUUUGGGCAUAUGAACCAUUAGGAUCAGUCACUCCUCCACCACACUAUCAUGUAUGCCUCCAUGAACUAAUACACAAUCACCUCCUUUGGGAGUAUAACUAUGCAUUAGACCAGGAAACAUCCCAAUCAUCAUACGAGACCGAAAUUUCUCAAACCCAAUCAAGCGUGUCACUUUGGCGGUCACUACUCAAUUGAAUCAUUGAAAUUCUCUCAUACCAAGGAUAUAAACUUUACUCAUCACAUACACCAUAUAUAUGUGAUUUUAACUUUAGUGAUAGGGGCAUCAUAUCACCAAAAUCACAUAUCAUGCUAAUUACAUUGCUUUAUUCAUUAAUAUAUAUAUAGCGAACCUGAAAGUCAGAUUCCAAUGAGAUCAUUGAUCACAGUAAUACAAGAAAUUUCUCAUAACAGAUAAUAAAACACAUCUUAUGCACCCCAAUUACAUAUUACUAGAACAACAUAAAAAGAAUUAUGAUCUAUAAUAUCUCUCACAAAUUAACAUCAAUAGUAAUAUAUGGUACACCAAAUUGACAAGCUUGACAGCCGAUCCAUUAUCACUCAUGAGUUCAUAAGGUAAAAUUGACUCCAAGGCCAACAACUGAUUUAUUAAUCAAUUUUAGGUAACAAAUAUCAUUACUUCACCCAGUGGCCUAUUAAUUGAGUCAAACCAGAGAACCAAAUAUCUAAAAUUUAAUAGUAGAUACUAUUGCUCUGCAUAAAUGUUGUCAUACUCCUUAACCAUAAAAAAUAUUCAACUUGAUAGACAUUAACAAGUGACCAGAUGAGUUCAUGUACAAUAUGCAGUAACUUAAUUGACAUGCAUUACCCACAUUCAGCAGAUGUGUUAAUCAGUACAUCAGUUUGGUCACGAGUCCUUAAGUCGUCUAUCAUUCAAAAAUUACCAGUGUGUAAAGGAGUAUACUUGAGUAACAAAAGUUUCAUAAUCUUUAUUGUUUCUCAUCAGCUCAAUACAUAGCUCAAAUACAAUCUCAUAUGAAUUGUAUCUCAUUAAGCUAGCUUCAGUUCACAAUAAAGUUUGAUUUUUAUUGAUGAAUCACACCUUUUAUUAUGUAAUAACAUACUAGUAACCCAUCACUUGUAUUUCCAAAAUCACAGAAAAUACAAGAAAAAUACGCAAAAAUACACUAAAAAUACACGUAUUUAGGGUUCCAUAUGCAAUUUCACAUCAAUAAAACCAUCAAAAAUAUAAAAUAAAUAUACCACAAGAUAGGAAAUCACCAUACGAGUCCAACGCCACCAACCACGCGCCAAGAUAAGCUUCCACGUGCCUGCACGCGCCGUCUGAGUGCGCGGCGCGUGGGGCUCACGCGCAGCGUGCGUUCGACGCCUAGGCGGCGCGUGGCCGCGCGUGGGGGCGCGUGCGUCAUCCCCCAGCGACGCGCCGCCGACCCUCUUGCUCGUCUCGUCUCCCCCAAUCCAAAUUUGUGAUUUAAUUUAAUUUUCAUUGAACAAAAAAUCUCGAAAAUCACAAAUUAGGGCAAGAUCAAUACCAAUUAGGGCUAAUCCAUACAAAUUAGGGUAGAUCUGUACAAAUUAGGGCAAAACCAAUUGUGUUCGAGUUCUAGGGUUAUGGUUGCUAUGAUACCACAUGUUGAACGCAAAUUGCGCAACCCCAAGAUCUCCAUAACCAGAACAAGAACAUGCAUAAUUGAGUAGAAAGAUUAACGCACCUGUUUUAGGAUCCAUCGAACAUAAAGCGGAAGCAUAAAAAAGAUUACCCACAUAUAUCAAGGGAAUCCACGCAUCAAGUCCUUCUCCUCUAUUGCCCUCCGUAUCACUGGCUCAAUGAGCCAAGAUCUCCAUAACCAGAACAAGAACAUGCAUAAUUGAGUAGAAAGAUUAACGCACCUGUUUUAGGAUCCAUCGAACAUAAAGCGGAAGCAUAAAAAGGAUUACCCACAUAUAUCAAGGGGAUCCACGCAUCAAGUCCUUCUCCUCUAUUGCCCUCCAUAUCACUGGCUCAAUGAGGUGGCCCCCCUCACGUUUAGCGUUAGGUAAACGCCCCUUAGGUGAGGAUACAUGUGAGAAUUAGGGUUAGAGGAGAGACUUGAGCACUAUUUAUAGAGUUUCCAGCCAGUCUCUCUCAUUACGGGCCAGGCUCAACUCGGCCCACACUAGCCAGCCCAUAUUAAACUAAUUAAGAAACCUUCUAUCUCACCUUAGACCAACCAUGUUUUAUGGUAACCGUAAAAACAGUAAAUUACAAUAUCAAUUAAUUUAGUCCAUAUUAGGAAAAACUCUUACAUUAUCUGCUUGACCCGCACUUGAGUGAGGAGUCCGAUUCUCCGACUUGCUCACUCGCCUACUAGAGGGAUUCCUGCUUUGAUACCACUUGUCACGAGUCGAGAGAUUCCUUGGCCUCGGAAACGACCCGUGGGCGCCUAGCGAGCGGAAUUCGCCAGGCCAGCCCUUUCUUUAGCUGUUCCAUGAACGAUACGGUGAAUGAUUCUUCGUACGAGAUCCUACCACGCCCAGCUUCGCUCGGGCGUCUAGUCCAUCGAGUAAGACAGCAGUUCUCUUUAGGCACAACAAUUGGUUUCGACCUGCCAUGGCCUCGUCAGGAGAGCGGCAUCAGCUCCCGACCAGUUUAUGCACGGGAGGCCUACCCCGUCUUCAGAGCUCCUAAGUGAUAUAAUCCUUCUAUCCUAGAACUCCUAGCACCAACCGUCCGGACGCUACUCCUAAGGACCAGUUGUGUUCUACCCUUCUGCCUCACACUCUUCACCAGAUAACCCCAAGCGCCACUCACAAGUGUCACGAGUACGGGAGGAUUCACGGACCGUGACACUAGCACUGAGUUUCAGUCCGAGGCAAAACGAAUGGUUGGAAGUUUCCGGGAAACCGGGGAGAUUAGCAGAAAACGAAUGCUUAGUAAUAUUGAUGACGAUGUGGAAGUAUUUCGUUGAAACGAAUAGUCGGCACUUGUCUGAUUUUUCUAUUGUUGGCUUUUGUCAUCAAGUAUUUCGGUGGAAGUAAUUCGAUUGGGGAGAAUGGCGGAUAUUGUUCCGCCUCCUCGGCAUAUAUACAUUCUUAACUCUUGUUUCUCCGCAGAGAAGGGAAGAAAACCAGAAAGAAUUCAAAAAGGGGGAAAAUGGCGGAAUUCGUUCUGGGCGCAGUUUCCAUAGUGUCAGGGUACCUGGUGGCUCCGGUCAAUCGUCUUUGCGGCUAUGUGAUAUCCUACGAAGGUGACGUUCGCAAACUUAAGGCCAAAGUUGCGGAGUUGGGCAACGCGAGGCAAAACGUGCAGGAUUCCAUCAAGGAUGCUCAAAACAACGUGAAGCCUAUCAAAGCCCAUGUCAAUAAAUGGAUGGAAGAUGUAGAGAAGGACACCGGGGAGGCGCACCGUGUUCUGGAUGACGACGAAAGAGCUAAGAAAACUUGCUUCUACAGGUGGCUUCCCAAGGUGCGAUAUCGUCUUGGCAGGGAGGCGAGGAGGAAAACCGAAGACAUCCAGGGACUCAUUGAUCGGAAACCAUCUGGGGAGGUCUACGACGAUCCUCCUCCAGGACUCGUUGAUGGUACUUCCGACGUGAUUUCAUGGGCCGGUGAUCGAGGCGACACUACCUUUGAUUCUCGAGCUUCCAUCUUAGAGGACAUAAUGAAUACUCUGUAUGACGAGGAGCACAAAGUGAUUGGGGUCUACGGGCCUGGUGGCGUGGGGAAGACUACGCUGUUGAAGGAAGUUGAGAAGAAACUCAGAGAAGCGGGGAGACCGUUCCGCAUGAUCGUCAAAGUGAGAGUUUCGCAGAUUCCAGACUUGAAUAAUAUCAGAGACCAGAUCGCUGACGCCUUGGGUCUGGAUCUGAAAGACAAGCAAAGCCCAGAGGGAAAAGCAGAUGUUCUGUCAGAGAGAUUGAAGAGUAAUCCGAAUGAGAAGGUUCUCAUAAUAUUUGACAACCUAUGGGUAAAACUUGAAUUGGAGGCGGUUGGAGUUCCUUGGGGAGACGUGAGCAGCAAAUGCAAGUUGUUGCUCACGUCAAGAUUUAAAAAUGUGGUGGAGCAACAAAUGGGUGCCGAUCAAACAUUUCUUCUUCAAGGUUUAACGGACGGCGAAGCUUUCAAGCUAUUUGAAAACAAGGUCGGCGACAAGCUCAAAGACAAUGAGGAAUUGAAAUCAAUAGCGAAUCAAGUGGUCAAGAAGCUCGCAGGUUUGCCUCUUUUGAUUAACUCUGUUGCAACCACUUUGAAAUCUGGCGAUGAGUCCGCAUGGAGAAACGCGCUGAUAGAAAUAGAUGACUCAAAUAAAAUAAAAAAAGAAACGAUAGUGAAGUUGAGUUAUGGCCAUUUGAAGAGCGAGGACGCGAAGUACUUAUUCUUGCUCUGUGGUCUUAGUGGCGGCACCAUUCCAGUCGAACUUCUGUUGGUACUAGCCAUGGGGCUGGGCUUGUUUCAAAGAUUUAACAAGACGAUGCCAGAUUUAAGGGAUAGAUUGAAUAAUAUGCUCGAUGAACUCCGUUCCGCUUGUUUGUUGCUGGAGGGUGGCGAUGACAAGGACAAUGUGACCAUACAUGAUCUCUACAGCGAGGUGGUCGUCUCAACUCCAUUUCAAGAUCAGAAUUCCUUAAUGAUGAACAACAGUUAUUGCGCAUUGUCAAAGGAAGAACUUGAGAAAUGUUGGGCAAUAUGCCUAGAUGAUGAUGGUACAGAUAGGCUUGCUAAACUAAUGCCGUGUCAGUUUCCAAGCUUGAAGAUACUUAUGCUGUCUAUGCCAGAAGCUUGGGAAUUGCGAGAAUGUGUAGAAGAUUUAGGAGUUCCAUUUGAUGUGGAUUAUUGCUCGACACUACUAGAUUUCAAGGACAUGAAGGAGCUUCGAGUCCUAUGUCUUCGCUUCAUGCACAUCACCAAUUUUCCUCCCUCAAUCAAAAUCCUCGAGAACCUCCGGUCAUUAUAUUUAUACAAUUGCCAUGUGGAGGAUGUGACGAUUAUUGGCAAACUCAAAGCAUUGCAGAGUCUCAGCUUCACAAGGUCGACAAUUUCUAGGCUACCUAAAGAAAUGGGGGAACUUACAAAUUUGAGAUUGUUGAAUCUAACCAAUUGCAAAAUGCUUUGGAGAAUUGAGCCUGCUGUCCUAGAACGCUUAAUCAAAUUAGAAGAGUUACAUAUGAAGGGAAGCUUUGAUCAAUGGAUGGGCAAAAAUGAAAAACCAUCAGAAUCGUGUAAUGCUAGGCUUGCCGAGUUGAGGAGCAUGACAAAACUAAAUUCUCUGGAAAUAUCGAUUUGUAAUCCCAUCAUACUCUUGGAGGUUGAUGACCUGCCAUUUGAGAACUUGACUAGAUUUUGGAUCAACAUAGGAAAUGUUUACGGAAGGGAAUUUAAAUGCUUGAGGACCAUGAAGAUCAAAUUGGAAGGGCACGAUAGUAUUCUUUCAAAAACAUGGGUCCAGAAAACUCUCCAGAAAACUCAAUACUUGUGUUUGGUCGAAUUGGGAGAGUUCGAGAACGCUAACGGGUUGUGCAUUCAAGGAUUUCUGCAAUUGAAGCAUCUUGACAUUUGGAACAGCCCAUCAAUAAAGUAUAUUGCCAGUUCACCCAAUAGUGCUUUUUCGAUUUUAGAGUCUUUGUUCCUCAAUAAUCUUAUCAAUCUGGAGAAGAUAUGCCAUGGCCACAUCGCGGCAGAGUGCUUCAGCAAACUAAAAGCUAUGAGAGUCAUAGAGUGCAACCGAUUGGAAUACUUGUGGAGUCUUUCACAUACGCAAAAUCUUGUACAGUUAGAAAAGAUUAGAGUAUGGAAUUGUAACUCAAUGCAAGCCAUUGCAAGAAAAGAUGCAGUUCCUGCCGAUUGCGAAGUUGAGUUGCCUUACCUACGUUGUAUGUAUUUGGCUGACUUACCAAAUAUGAGGAGUUUUUGCCUAAGAGUUGAGAUGACUUCAGAAGGUACUCCAAUUCAGGUAAAUUCUUCAUUUUCUCCCCCAUGUUAGUUUGUCUUAUUGAGAGGGUAUAAGUUUAUUCAACAAUAGGUAGAGGGAAGCCUCUUUCUAUGACUGCUUUUUAUUUUAUUUUAUUUUAUUUUAUUCCCAAUUUUAGAUAAUUGCACUAAUUAUUUGAGCUCAAGGGUUUCUACUAUGACUAAUUUAUUACUCAUGUCACAUUUUUAACGAGUAGAAGAAAUAGUGUAUUGAAUGAAUGAACCUUCAAUGAAUGAACGAAAUUGAAUAUUUUCAAAAUGAAUAAAGCAACCUCUGGAGAUUAAAUCAACCGAAGGCAAACGAAGAGUCACAUAGCAAAGAAAGUCCACAUAAUUUGUGUCCCAACUUCAUGCAAGUUGGAACUGAUUCCAACAUAUCAUGCCAUCAUAACUGUGUCAACGUCAACUAGUUUGGGGAUUUUUCCUUCUCCAUUUUCUUAGGCUCAAUGGAAGAUCUUAAGCUUUCGCUCUUCAUUCAAUUGAGUUUUAAAUAUUUUAUAUUGAUCGAUUAAGUUUUCGACGUUUUUAAAAGCAAGAAGCCCAUUCGUACACUUUGGUUCCAUUCAUAUUCUUUCAGGUGGGGGUUGUGGAUGAGGGAGGAGGAGAUGAAGGGACAAAGUUAGUAACCACUACUUCAAAUUUACAGAAUACUUAUUCAGAUUCCUUCUUCGACAGAAAGGUAAACAUCCCUUCUCUUAAGAUUUUACUAAUAAUAGCCAUUGAUAAUUGGCUUGCUAGGGCAGAUAAUAAUAUCUCUUUGAAGAUUCUUAUUUGAUUUUAUUUGUUAAAAUAUGUUCACGGUUUAUAACUACAUUUGUCAGUGAAUAUUAAUUCUUCCACCGCAUUAGAUUGGCGGUUAGGGUUAGGCCAAAUUAUCAAUUUUUUUCACAAUUGUAAUCCGAUGCAUAACCCUUAUGAGCAGGCUAGUUUACCAAACUUGGAGAAGUUAAAGCUUAAGUCGGUGGGAUUGUUCAAAAGGAUAUGGCACGAUGAACUUUCCAGAAGUUCCUUUUGCAAAUUAGCCACCAUCAGUGUCAAGAAUUGCUCCAACAUACUCCACAUCUUCCCUUUGACAAUCAUGGGGAGAUUGCACAACCUGAAAAGUGUCAGGGUUAAUAACUGUCCAUCCUUGAAAACAUUGUUCGAUUGUGGGUCCUUGGAUUCAAAUAUGGAGCAAACAACGGUAUUGCUCCCCGAAUUGGUAAGCAUCGACAUUAGAAGCUGUCCCUCCCUAAAAUCGUUGUUUAAUUGUGGGUCCCUUGAUUCAAAUGUGGAGGACUUAAAGCUUGGCUCGGUGGGAUCGUUCAAAAGGAUAUGGCACGAUGAACUUUCUAGAAGUUCCUUUCGCAAAUUAGCCACCAUCACUGUCAAGAAUUGCUCCGACCUACUCCACAUCUUCCCUUCGACAAUAGUAGGGAGAUUGCACGACCUGAAAAGUGUCAGGGUUAAAUACUGUCCAUCCUUGAAAUCGUUGUUUGAUCUUAGGUCCCUAGAUUCAAAUACAGAACAAAAUGCGGUAUUGCUCCCUAAAUUGGAAUGGAUCGACAUUGAAACCUGUCCCUCCCUGGAAUCGUUGUUUCAUUGUGCGUCCCUCGAUUCAAAUGCGGAGCACAAAAUUAUAUUACUCCCCAAACUGGAGAAAGUGAGGGUGAGUGGAGCAAAAAAGCUAAGACACGUGGUCACGAGCCACUCCCAAAUAGUUUUGGGUUUUCCUAGUCUUGAAACUGUUAGUGUUGAGAAUUGUUCUAACCUGAGAUAUCUCUUCGCCGAAUAUACGGCCACAACUUUGGAGAAACUUGAGCUGCUAGAAAUUACUAAAUGCGAACAAAUGAAGGAAGUGAUUCUCGAGAAAGAGGUUGGUCGAUCAAAGGCAGAAGUGAUGAGUUUCCCUUGCUUAAGUGAAUUAACACUUAAGGAGCUCGAUAACCUGAUUAGUUUUAGUUCAGGAAGUGUCAAGAGGCAGAUAAGCGAGACAGCUGAAGAAAAUGAUGAAUCGCCACGACGAUAUUGCUCCCUGAAUUGUCCAUCCUUGAAAUCAUUGUUUGAUUUUGGGUCCCUAGAUUCAAAUACGGAACAAAACGCGAUAUUGCUCCCUGAAUUGGAAAGGAUCAAAGUUGAAAGCUGCCCCUCCCUGGAAUCGUUGUUUAAUUGUGCGUCCCUCGAUUCAAAUGCGGAGCACAAAAUUAUAUUACUCCCCAAACUGGAGGAAGUGAGGGUGAGUGGAGCAAAAAAGCUGAGACACGUGGUCACGAGCCACUCCCAAAUAGUUUUGGGUUUUCCUAGUCUUGAAACUGUCAGUGUUGAGAAUUGCUCUGACCUGAGAUAUCUCUUCCCCAAAUAUACGGCCACAACUUUGGAGAAACUUGAGUUGCUAGAAAUUACUAAAUGCGAACAAAUGAAGGAAGUGAUUCUCGAGAAAGAGGCUGGUCGAUCAGAGGCAGAAGUGAUGAGUUUUCCUUGCUUAAGUGAAUUAACACUUAAGGAACUCGAUAACCUGAUUAGUUUCGGUUCAGGAAGUGUCAGGAGGCAGCUAGGCCAGACAACCGAAGAAAAUGAUGAAUCGCCACGACCGCUAUUCAAUGAGAUGGUUCGUUCUAUUCUUUACUGUGAUCCUUUGUAUUCUCGCAUUAUCAUGUUUUAUAAUGAAGAAUGUAAUGAAUUUGUCCAACUUAUCCUCAUUUCUCACAUUAUCCUUGUGCAGGUCACAUUUCCCAAUAUGAGAAAUCUAAAAAUUGAAGGCGUUCCAUGCAAAGAGCUGUGGAACAAUCAUGUUCUCGCCGAUUCCAGUGUUUGUUCCCACCAAUUCCUUUCAAAAAAUGUUGAGGUUAAAAACUGUCCAUCCUUGAAAUCAUUGUUUGAUUUUGGGUCCCUAGAUUCAAAUGCGGAACAAAACGCGAUAUUGCUCCCUGAAUUGGAAAGGAUCAAAGUUGAAAGCUGCCCCUCCCUGGAAUCGUUGUUUAAUUGUGCGUCCCUCGAUUCAAAUGCGGAGCACAAAAUUAUAUUACUCCCCAAACUGGAGGAAGUGAGGGUGAGUGGAGCAAAAAAGCUGAGACACGUGGUCACGAGCCACUCCCAAAUAGUUUUGGGUUUUCCUAGUCUUGAAACUGUCAGUGUUGAGAAUUGCUCUGACCUGAGAUAUCUCUUUCCCAAAUAUACGGCCACAACUUUGGAGAAACUUAGGUGGCUAAAAAUUACUAAAUGUGAACAGAUGAAGGAAGUGAUUCUCGAGAAAGAAGCUGGUCGAUCAGAGGCAGAAGUGAUGAGUUUUCCUUGCUUAAGUGAAUUAACACUUAAGGAACUCGAUAACCUGAUUAGUUUCGGUUCAGGAAGUGUCAGGAGGCAGUUAGGCCAGACAACCGAAGAAAAUGAUGAAUCGCCACGACCGCUAUUCAAUGAGAUGGUUCGUUCUAUUCUUUACUGUGAUCCUUUGUAUUCUCGCAUUAUCAUGUUUUAUAAUGAAGAAUGUAAUGAAUUUGUCCAACUUAUCCUCAUUUCUCACAUUAUCCUUGUGCAGGUCACAUUUCCCAAUAUGAGAAAUCUAAAAAUUGAAGGCGUUCCAUGCAAAGAGCUGUGGAGCAAUGAUGUUCCCGCCGAUUCCAUUGUUUGUUCCCACCGAUUCCUUUUAAAAAAAGUCGAGGUUAAAAACUGUCCAUCCUUGAAAUCAUUGUUUGGUUUUGGGUCCCUAGAUUCAAAGAUGGAACAAAACGCGGUAUUGCUCCCUGAAUUGAAAAGGAUCAAAGUUGAAAGCUGUCCCUCCCUGGAAUCGUUGUUUAAUUGUGGGUCCCUUGAUUCAAAUGCGGAGCACAAAAUUAUAUUGCUCCCCAAAUUGAAGGGAGUGAGGGUGAGUGGAGCAAAAAAGCUGAAACACGUGGUCAUGAGCCACUCCCAAAUAGUUUUGGGUUUUCCUAGUCUUGAAACUGUCAGUGUUGAGAAUUGCUCUGACCUGAGAUAUCUCUUUCCCAAAUAUACGGCCACAACUUUGGAGAAACUUGAGUUGCUAGAAAUUACUAAAUGUGAACAAAUGAAGGAAGUGAUUCUCGAGAAAGAGGCUGGUCGAUCAGAGGCAGAAGUGAUGAGUUUUCCUUGCUUAAGUGAAUUAACACUUAAGGAACUCGAUAACCUGAUUAGUUUCGGUUCAGGAAGUGUCAGGAGGCAGCUAGGCCAGACAGCCGAAGAAAAUGAUGAAUCACCACGACCGCUGUUCAAUGAGAUGGUUCGUUCUAUUCUUUACUAUGAUCCUUUGUAUUCUCGCAUUAUCAUGUUUUAUAAUGAAGAAUGUAAUGAAUUUGUCCAACUUAUCCUCCUUUCUCACAUUAUCCUUGUGCAGGUCACAUUUCCCAAUAUGAGAAAUAUAAAAAUUGAAGGCGUUCCAUGCAAAGAGCUGUGGAACAAUCAUGUUCUCGCCGAUUCCAGUGUUUGUUCCCACCAAUUCCUUUCAAAAAAUGUUGAGGUUAAAAACUGUCCAUCCUUGAAAUCAUUGUUUGGUUUUGGGUCCCUAGAUUCAAAGAUGGAACAAAACGCGGUAUUGCUCCCUGAAUUUGAAAGGAUCGACAUUGAAAGCUGUCCCUCCCUGGAAUCGUUGUUUACUUGUGGGUCCCUUGAUUCAAAUGCGGAGCACAAAAUUAUAUUGCUCCCCAAAUUGAAGGGAGUGAGGGUGAGUGGAGCAAAAAAGCUGAAACACGUGGUCAUGAGCCACUCCCAAAUAGUUUUGGGUUUUCCUAGUCUUGAAACUGUCAGUGUUGAGAAUUGCUCUAACCUGAGAUAUCUCUUCCCCAAAUAUACGGCCACAACUUUGGAGAAACUUGAGUUGCUAGAAAUUACUAAAUGCGAACAAAUGAAGGAAGUGAUUCUCGAGAAAGAGGCUGGUCGAUCAAAGGCAGAAGUGAUGAGUUUCCCUUGCUUAAGUGAAUUAACACUUAAGGAACUCGAUAACCUGAUUAGUUUCGGUUCAGGAAGUGUCGGGAGGCAGAUAAGCGAGACAGCUGAAGAAAAUGAUGAAUCGCCACGACCGCUGUUCAAUGAGAUGGUUCGUUCUAUUCUUUACUGUGAUCCUUCGUAUUCUCGCAUUAUUAUGUUUUAUAAUGAAGAAUGUAAUGAAUUUGUCCAACUUAUCCUCAUUUCUCACGUUAUCCUCAUGCAGGUUACAUUUCCUAAUAUAACAUGUCUGGAAAUUAAGGGUCUUUGGUGCAAAGAGCUAUGGAACAAUCAAAUUCCCACCAAUUCCUUUCAAAAGUUGAAAUCUCUUGUAUUGGAGAAUUGUGACAAUCUCCAAUGUAUUGCCAGUUCUUAUAUGUGGAAGAAGCUGCAGCGCUGUCUCGAGAAACUAAAAGUGAUUUCAUGCCAUUCGAUCAAGAUCAUAUACGAAGGUGAUGGGACGAAUACAGAGAGUGGUGAAUUGAGGUGGCUGGUUUUGCUUGAUCUUGAAAACUUGAGGUGCAUUUGGCAGUCCGAUAGUCUCCCAAACAUCCCGUUCCCAAAUUUGAGAGACAUAGAGGCCGUGAGGUGCCCCCGUUUGGAAAUGCUUUUCCCUACCUUCACUGUGAAAUUUCUCAGGAAAAUCAAAGAGCUGGUGGUGGAGUCAUGUGAAGAUCUAGAACUAAUUGCUGGCCAUGAAAAAUGGGAAGAAGUGACCGGCACCACAAUCACCUUCUCCGAGUUAACUGAUCUUAAACUUUUCAAGUUGCCGAAAUUCAAAAGCUUCUUACCUGAGAAAUACUCUCUAAAAUUCUCGUGCUACGAGAACUUCCCAUCCUUGAAAGCCUUGAGUAUAGUAAGCUGUGGAGCAGAGCCAGACCUAAGCUAUGAAGUAGAGUCGAACCAACUCUCUGAUUACUCGGAAGACUCGGACCCGCGCUAUGAAGCAGAGUGGAACUAAGUCCUUGAUUACUCGGAAGACUCCCAAAUAGAAUGAAGACUUCGCAAGCAUUCAUAAGACAUCAGGUAUUCCUUCAAUAUUUCAUUGCUUUGGUUUGGCUUUUUGUUCCUUUGAAUCAAAAAUCGGUUUGUAUAGCUAAGACACAAUUCUUAGUGGGACCCAGACGCACUCUACAUCACGUGGCCCUCUCUCUUCCUUUUUCUCUCUCUCUAGCUCUCUUUCUUACUCUCUUCAACUAACGAUGUAUCGAUUCCCUUCUAUCCAUCCACCCACAGCCGCCACCGAGAGUCCAUCGCUGGCCACCACAUGACAUGGCGCGCUGAGAAGGGACGAAGAACAGAGAGCAUUGAUCGAAGGCUCUCGGUGAUUUCAAUUGAAUCCUUUCCUCUCACUUGGCUGCUUGUCGUCACCGCUUCCCGAUCACCACUUGUUCUGCUACCGCGAAGAAGUUCUGUAAUGUCGGAGUGCUCGAACUUGGGUCACGACUGCCUACUUCGACGAUUCCAUCCCUUGAUGUUGCUUCUAUUAUUUCUUUACUCAUAUCCGAUCUCAAUUGCUAUAGCUAAUCGUUCUCUAGUCAACUAAACCAUAUAUGCUAUGUUUUCUGUUCCUAUUGCUACUGUCUGUGUGCAAAUCAACGACUAUGAUUGAAGGGUUGUAUUAAUGAUUUGAAGCAGUGCUUCUCGGCCUAAAUUAAUGUAUGCAACCUGUUUGAUGAAAUUCCUGAACUAAGUCGGUGUGUAUUUUUUAUUCAAUUCUUGACCGAGAAUUCCCUUGAUUACUAGAUUGUUGAUCUAUACUGGUCAUUUAAGCAUAUUUGAGUUGUGUUUCUUCAUAGAAAAAUCAUAGGUGUUCAAUUUCAAACUUGUUUGGAAUCUGCUGGAACCUUGUCGAUACUUGCUGAUUCGCCAUUGUUGCGGCCCUGAGCUGAUGUCAAUUGGUCCUUGAUUUUAUGCUAUUCCACUCAAGUAAGCAUGUGCAGUGAUAUAAGAUUGUCUUAUGGUGAAUUUCAUGUUUGUUUGGAAAAGAAAUUAUGUCAUGGAUGAAUGAAAUUCUACUGGAAAUUGAUCCAUGUAUGCUGGCCCUGUCUUGAUAUCCCUGAUUGGGUGUGCUUUUGAUUCCAGCUUGAAGCUAGUUUGGUUAUGGGAUCAUAUAUGUUCAUGCUAGGAAAGUAAUAGGGUGAAUUUCAUACCAUUUAGCGAGAAUUGGGUUCAUCUCCGAACUUGAAUAUGCUAGAGCGAAGUAUUGCAUGCUGACCAUGAUUGUUUUGUUUAAAUUUGGCACUAAUUUGGUCUUUGAUUGAUGUCAUUUUGAUCAAGUAGACUCAUAUGCACUUAUAGGAUGAUAUGGCUCCUAUUCAUGUGAAUUAGUCAUCAAAAGAUCACAAUUUGUGGUCUUUAUGCUCUGUUACAAUUUUGAACACGUGCCGGAAUUUUUGUCUUUAUUUGGUUGCCUUCUUUAUUGCCCGUGGAUAAGUGAUAUGCAUGUGCAUGAUUAAAUUGAUGAGACGUGCGCUUGAUAUUGCCAUGAGAGUCUUGGCCUGAUAAAUAAUUUAGAGGACUCUAAUGUUAAUUGAAGUUUAAUUCCAUAAUUCUUGCGAUUCCAAAGGAAACCCUUUACUAGUACACAUAUUUUGAAGGUGAUAUGGUAGACUAAGCCAGAUUUGAGGAAAUCCCUCAACGAAGCUAGUCAAUGAGGCCCCUCGAAAUAUCGCAUGUAUGACACUUGCCAACAAAGUUCAUGUAUUCUCUUCCUCUCCUUUGACGCUCACCGUUCAAGGCUUAUUUACAAGAGCUAUUGCUUAAAUCUAAUUGAUCCUUCAAGUGUGUGUGUUUGUACCAAGACACUGUGCACAACACCAAUUGCAACCUACUCAUUCAUGAUGUCCUUUUUCUAGGAGUGUUCACUGGUCACUAUUGCUCAGAAUGAUGUUUCAAAGAUACAAUUUUUGUUUUCCUCCCUCCCCCAUAGAAUUUGCAAAGGCAUGUCACUAGCACUACUAGUAACCUGCCCUUGAAAUCCAUCAUGACCCUGCCCAUAUGAUCCACCAGGAGUAGGUCCCUAGUUCCGAUUGUCUCUCCUAUAAACUAUUCUGCAAUGGAGGUGCAGAGCUCCAUCUAUCUCCUUGCAUCUAUCUCCUUGCAGCAGGUCUCUCUAUUGAUGAUAGUAAUAAUUUUUUAUGACCCUGCUGAUAGGAGGUCCCCUGAUCUGAAAAAGUUGAAUCUUUUCCCUCUAAGAAGUUUAUGCUAUAAAUCUCGAAUGGAAAACACUUAGCCAAGAAGAACUUGAUGAACCAUAUGAAUUUAUCUUAAUGUCCACACGAUAACAUCAACUCAUCCAAAGCAUUUUAUACAACAAUGGCAUUGUGUGUCCUUUCCACAACUUGCUUUAAUCAAUAGAGAAUAUCCAUCUGAAUCACAACUUUGUCCUGCUCAGCUCAUUCUACUCAUAUUUCUCAAUUUCAGCAACUCAAAACACUGCGAUUUAACCCAAAAUCACUUGAAAAUUUUGUUAUAUAUCAUUGCAUUUGCAUACUAUUAGAAUCGAAUGCCACUAAUUUUACAUAGUCGAUCAUGUCGUGAGAGCAUCGGGAAGAGUGGUGGGCUAUCCGAGGAUUUUGCCACCCACAUCGGGAAACGUUUCGAAACCGGCCAAAGGACCAACUUUACCGUCUCUGCUCACAUGGAUGGGAUACUGUAUCAGGUGGCCUCUCAUUUCCUUGGGAUUAUGUUGGUCCUCAUCCACAUAAGCUUUCCAAUUCUGUUUGGCUAUUUUGUUCACCCUCUUCACGCAUUCAGUGCUUUGAGGUUCCCUAAAGCUGUCCUCUAAAUCUCCAAAGUGCUCUGCCCAAAGCAACAUCCUAUAACCAUAAACCUACGCAGCAUAAGCUAACAUUAUUAGUCACAAGCUUAAGGUUUUGAUAGAUGUCGCUACACUCGCAAGGGUGUCUACCUAGUACCUCUAUUUAGAUAAGAGGCUAAUCCGAUGUACUAACCUGGCCAUGCGGAUGCCUCUUUUUCCCAUCCCAAGUGUGAUGCGGCUGAUAAGCCCCAUUGCGAUUUCGGUGUCUCUUGAGCCAUCUAGAGAUCUUUGGUUGAUAUUUGCCGAUCCCAUGAUCACAUACUCAUCAUCUACUAUCAUCCCUUUGGCAUGCACGUAUAUCAUGAACCUGUGAAACUUUUGAACCGAAGCCUGCAUGGAUAGAAACGACAGCAUGUUUCAAAGCAGAAGUCUUUUUACCACUCAUUCAAAAACCAUAGCUCUUAAAGACUAUUUUUGUUUUGCUUUUUUAACAGAUAAGUCAAAGGAAGAAUCCAUGAAAAGAGUAUAGACAUAUACCAAGGCAUUAUUUUCGGAUUGCUGAUUCGUUGCCUGGGAUGAAGAUUGUGUAGAGGACAAGGGCUCCCGCUUGCCAAGGCAAUAGAAGUUCAAGUAAUCUGACAGAUGGUACUUGUGUGACAACCCGACUUUUUUGAGAGUCUGGGCUAUAAUUUUGUACAUCAUCGUCAUGGUUUGUCCCCGUCCACGUCAUGGUUUGUCCCCAUCCACAUUAUCAAUACAUAAAUAUGAGAGUAGUGAAUGUUUAUCUCUUGGAGAAAAAUACUAAAUGACCUAAACAAGGUCGGGUCUCAUUUUUUCCCCUUUGAGUAGCUAGGUUUCUUCUGCUUGGAUCACUUCCUUUUCUGCUUAACUCUGUUCAAUGUGUUAUUCAGUUUCAAUUUGCUAGGACGUUACUUAUUGAUAUACCGUUAUCGAAAUGCAAGUGUCAUCGCUAUUUGUUUGCAAGAUGAAAGAGUUUAUCCUUGAUCUGACCUGCCAGAAGAGAAUUUCUUGCACUGCAGCACUAGUAAGGACACCCUCGGGCCACAUUGGUAUCACUAUAUACACGUAGAAGCGCUCAUUUUCACUGAUCUUUCUUGCGAUCUUCAACGCCAGCUCCAUCGGCACUAGAUUGUUUGCACCUGCUUGUCAAAACCAAAUCAAGCGUUGUUUCCCAUGAAAACUUGAACUCAAGAAAUUAGGACUGAAACAAAACUAGAAAAUGGGGGAAAAAUCUAAAUUUAAAAAGGUUUGACCUCAGAAAUAUAACAUAUUGAAUCAGAAGUCAAUUUUAAUGUCUUAUAUAGUGAGAUCUAGCUCUUAUUAGCUGAUACACAAUCCCCAGAGGAAGCAAAGUUCGAUACUCUUUACUAGAGGUGCUAUUGCUCACUAAACUCAAGUCAGUUAGAAUGAAUAGAAAUGUGCAUCAUAUACCUGCAUUUUUGUAUGAUGGCCAAUGGUAGGAAGAGCCAAGAAAAUAUUGGUUUUCAAUAUAGAUGAAGUGUUGCGCCGAUCUAAUCGCUUUCACAUAUGCCGUGUGAAUCCUCUUGUCUACUUUCAAGUUCUUUCCGCAUAUAAGAUUCUGCAACCAUGAAGAGAUUGAAAGAAGCAACAUUAUCAUUGUGGGCUUCAAUCUAUAUUAAAAAACACUAAGAGUUGUGCACAAGAAAGAAAAGUGACUUUCUAAUGUGAGGAAAAAUUUUCAAGUUACGCUUAUAUAACGGCCACUUGCCUAUCUACUAGCAUGGAAUUAGCAGCUAAAACUUACUUGCUUUGCAGCUUCUUCAACGCUCUUUGGGAAUCCCUUUACAGAUCCUGAAUCAAUUGAUCUGAAGAUCUAUACCAACGUAAAAUAGAAAUGAAAGACCAUCAUUACACUUCGUUUUGUUUACGAAUGAAGUCCUUAAAAAUGGUCAUUAAUUUUACAUAAAGUUUCCCGACCUGCACGUGCCAAUUUUCCAGGUCAUCUUCGUCCUUAACUUGUACUUUUUGUUGCCAUCGGGGCUUGUCGAGGGACAAAGUAUCCAUGAAAUCCUGUCAAGCCUUAAGAGAGCAUUCUCAUGCCAACGCCUGACGUUUUUUAGCUUGAACACGCGCCACUUCACCGCCUUUUUCCAUCUCUGUUCGAAAUUCUUCAAUAUGUCAUACACAGCUUGUCCCUCAACUUUGCAAUGUAGAUCAUGCCACGGUUGCCUUGGGACAUUGACAGUGGACUACAGUCGUUACCCAAAAAAAAAAAAGCAAUGAUUAAAUGAUCAGAAAAUAACGUUUACUUGUGUUUACAAUGCUGAAGAGAAACAUUAGCUUAAUUACCGUGAAUGUUGGGUUGUGAAUGUCAUUGUUAAACACGGUGUCACGAUCGCUAUAGAGUCUAUGCUUGGGAGUGUUGUGUCGGCCAUCACAUAGGUCCAACCCACCAAUGAAAGCUGUUAUUUUGCGGUUGUUUCCCGAGGCUUGAGUGUCGAGAACCACGCACUUUUGGUGGUGCGUGUACAGGGUCCCCACCACCUGGACUACAAAAGAUCCACACACCAACAAAUUAAACCAAACAUUUUCAUAGAUUUAUGCUGGAUUUCAAUUGAAUGUGCAGUCUCUACAACACUAUCAAAUUCCCUAUUAGAGCUGUCCCAGAUGCAUGUCAUUAGGUCAGAAAACACAUGAUAUGAUAUAAGACAGCAUGAGACAAAUCAAUAAACUUCCACGGAUAGUCUGAUGAAAAGAGAACCUUUCCCAUGAAAUUAUACCCGAUUGGAAUAUCAUGAAAUUAUACCUGAUUGGAAUAAUUAGGUAAUAUAUAUCAAAAGUAAUGCUUUUGAUGCAAUCAGACAAUGAGAUUCUGAUUAAGAAUCGACCUAAACAUCUAAGGAUACAUACAUGUUGCUUGAAAAUGCUGAGUUUGGUGCUUGCAUAACGAGGAGCAAGCACACAGUGGACACCAGAGUGUUGAAAAAACUUCUUUGUCUCUUCAUCAUGAGUUUGCAUCACGCCAUCCUACACAACAACAUGGCACAUGCCGAGUCUCAAUGGUGAGAGAUCUCGAUAAAGAAAUUUUCCUAAGUCGGACAGAUUUUUAGUCACAAAGAGCAUGGAUUUGAGAUUUGGCCAAAUGGUGGGUUGCACCAUAAAUAAGGAUGCUUAUUCAAGAAAGAGCCCUUAUAUAACAUAUUCUCCAUUUGGAUUUUGCAAAGGCUAACUGAAAGGAAGAACUAUUAGAGGUCAAGAUUUUGAUUAGUCCAUCCUUUGUGUCGAAAAACAAAAAACUUCUUGUUUUGUAAACAUUCAUUAAGCCGACAGUAAAAGUGAGAAAAUCCUUUACUGACUAUGCACCAUUGAUAAAAAGGGUGAUCCUUAGAUGCGAUGCCAGUAGAAUGAAAAAUAUGUUCGCAUGGGCUCUCACCACCAUUGAUGCAUUGAUUGUAACUUCAAACCACUCUAUUGCACUGGCCCAACACAUCAGUAGUGAUGGAAGCCGCGGGCGGACAAAUUUUUCUCGACCUGACAGUAUUUCAGUCAUCCCAAAAACCAUAAAGACAUUUUCAUGUUUCAGCAAUGCAUAGUUACAUGUAAGCAUGGUUUAGUAUUACCGUCUUCAAGAGGAACUUGUCGUGUGAAGUUUUGUCAUCCCAAACGAGCACGACCACUCGGACGCCUUCCUCGGACUUGUGCUUCAGGAGCUCCCCUAAAGAGAGCUUUCCUUCAUUCGGCAAUUCCCUUGUUGUUAGGGAAAUCCCUUAUGAUGUUUUGAAGAUGACAAAAUAAAUCAAAGGCUACUAACAUGUUUGAUGGUUGAGUAAUAGACCAUGCAGAUAAUAGAACAUGUAAAGGAUAUUAUCAAAGUCUGAAGACUGCUAGACUCAAGACUCAAAGUCUGAAGACUGCCAGACUCGAGACUCAAAGUCUGAAGGCUACCAGACUUUAGUAUCAAAGUCUGUUCUACCUCAGAAGUCUGUUAACUCUGACUAAUUCCAGAUUGAACGUGAAUGAUGAACCAGAAGACAGACUCUAUGCUGAAGCUGAACUGGGUACAGACCCAGAUUGUAAAGUCUAGAGACUCAGAUUGUAAAGUCUAGAGACUCAGAUUGUAAAGUCUCAAGACUCAUAUCGUAAAGUCUAAAGACUCAGACUUUACAUCCAGAUUCGAUGAAUCGUAACUCAAGCCCAAUCAUACAACGGCUAGUGAUCUGGUUUGAAUUCCACAUCAAGAUUGAUUUGAUUGAUUCAAUCUACUUGAUUGACGAUUGGAUGUUGAAGACAAGAAAUUUCUAUACGAAGAAGCUUUACUUAUGGAAACCAAGAUUUCGUUUGUAUGGGCGAUCGGAAUCAAUUUGGGAUUCUACCUUUGUCACUCAACGGCUACCAAAUCUUCUAGAUACAGAGCUGUCCAAUGGGUAUAUUGGAAGACGAUUCUCCGGGAUACUGUCCAACGGGUAGUUUGGAAGUGGAGGAGUAUUUAAGGAGAUCAUGGACCGAUGAGCAAGUAAGAGACGGAGCGUAGAAUUUAUAAUUCCAAAGUCUAAGCGACUUUAGAUCAUAUACUUGUCUCUUGAGAGCUUAAACGUUUGUAAUCAUGAGAGAAAUACCAAGAGAGUGACUUAGUGAGAUAGUGUGAUCUACUAAGUGUUUGCACUCGGAGUUGUAAUCUCUUGUUGAUUGCAUAGUGGAAUCCAGCCAAGAAGGCUGUUAUCGUGGGAGAGUGGACGUAGGCUUGGAUUAAGCCGAACCACUAUAAAUCUUGUGUUCUUAUUCUCUUCCCUAACUCCUUUAUUUUGUUCAUACUAGCACUCUCAAUUGGUAUCAGAGCCAAGUGCUCGGUUUAUAAAAGUGUUUUUACUUUUGAGCUAAAGAUUCUUUAUGGCUAGUAUGUUGGCACCAGGACUUAUGGAAGGGCAAAGCAACACAAGGCCACCAUAUUUCGAUGGAAGAAAAUACAAGCAGAAUGGCCAGAAAAGAAUCAUGAAAGAAGAUGAUGAGCAAAGAAAUCUAUGCUUAAUGGCACAUUCAGAAUCUGAGUCUGACUCAGACACAGACUCAGAAACAGAGUCUCAUUCAGAACCAGACUCAGAAUCCGAUGAGGAAAUCAAGGGGAGAAAUCAAAUCCAAAAGAAAAGGAAAAGAAUCGUGAUCAUCUCAAAAAGGCAACAAAUUGAGGGGGAGCUUUGAUCAAUUAUGGAAAAAUCUUUUUUGAUUGAUCGUGAUCUUAUUAUGGAUGGAAGGAAAGGUAAUUGUGUCAGAAUUUAUUCUACAAAAUCCGGUUAGUGCAUCUCUUAUUACCUUUUGUCAUUAACAAAUCUCAUAUUGAUAUUAUCAUGACAAAAAUGGUACGUGAAUUUUAUGAUGCAUCAGUGAUUUUUAUUGGAUAUUUGCUGAUAUAAUCGAAGUGAGCUAUAUUGCAUAUCUUUAAUAUUCGAUAAAAGCUGAUUUUUGAAAAUUGUGAUUCAUGCAAGAUAUUUGUUAUCAUUCUCUACGUGAAUCCAUUAUCACUUUUUAAUUAUGACAAAAAGGGGGAGAAGUUAUGAAUAUGCAUAUGUGCUGAUUGGUUAAUAUUAUAUUAUCUAUGGCAUAAUAUUGAGCUGCGAUUAUUUUCUAUAUAUUCUUAUGCUCAAUCUAUUUGUUAUCUUGUGAUAUCCUUUGAUUUAAAAGUAUGUUUACAAAUCUGCAUAUUCAGAGAUUGUUUUGUCAUCAUCAAAAAGGGGGAGAUUGUUAGGGAAAUCCCUUAUGAUGUUUUGAAGAUGACAAAAUAAAUCAAAGGCUACUAACAUGUUUGAUGGUUGAGUAAUAGACCAUGCAGAUAAUAGAACAUGUAAAGGAUAUUAUCAAAGUCUGAAGACUGCUAGACUCAAGACUCAAAGUCUGAAGACUGCCAGACUCGAGACUCAAAGUCUGAAGGCUACCAGACUUUAGUAUCAAAGUCUGUUCUACCUCAGAAGUCUGUUAACUCUGACUAAUUCCAGAUUGAACGUGAAUGAUGAACCAGAAGACAGACUCUAUGCUGAAGCUGAACUGGGUACAGACCCAGAUUGUAAAGUCUAGAGACUCAGAUUGUAAAGUCUAGAGACUCAGAUUGUAAAGUCUAGAGACUCAGAUUGUAAAGUCUAGAGACUCAGAUUGUAAAGUCUCAAGACUCAUAUCGUAAAGUCUAAAGACUCAGACUUUACAUCCAGAUUCGAUGAAUCGUAACUCAAGCCCAAUCAUACAACGGCUAGUGAUCUGGUUUGGAUUCCACAUCAAGAUUGAUUUGAUUGAUUCAAUCUAAUUGAUUGACGAUUGGAUGUUGAAGACAAGAACUUUCUAUACGAAGAAGCUUUACUUAUGGAAACCAAGAUUUCGUUUGUAUGGGCGAUCGGAAUCAAUUUGGGAUUCUACCUUUGUCACUCAACGGCUACCAAAUCUUCUAGAUACAGAGCUGUCCAAUGGGUAUAUUGGAAGACGAUUCUCCGGGAUACUGUCCAACGGGUAGUUUGGAAGUGGAGGAGUAUUUAAGGAGAUCAUGGACCGAUGAGCAAGUAAGAGACGGAGCGUAGAAUUUAUAAUUCCAAAGUCUAAGCGACUUUAGAUCAUAUACUUGUCUCUUGAGAGCUUAAACGUUUGUAAUCAUGAGAGAAAUACCAAGAGAGUGACUUAGUGAGAUAGUGUGAUCUACUAAGUGUUUGCACUCGGAGUUGUAAUCUCUUGUUGAUUGCAUAGUGGAAUCCAGCCAAGAAGGCUGUUAUCGUGGGAGAGUGGACGUAGGCUUGGAUUAAGCCGAACCACUAUAAAUCUUGUGUUCUUAUUCUCUUCCCUAACUCCUUUAUUUUGUUCAUACUAGCACUCUCACUUGUGAGCUCUCUCACAAGCCUCACAUGAUGAUAAAUGGACCAACCAAUGAUGUAGAUCAAGUGGUAGGUCUCCAAAAUGGCAUGGCAUAUAUCCUUUCAGCACCUACCUUGCUCAUAAAUCUUCCCAUCAUCAAGCAAAAUCUAAGGCAGCUUGCGCUUUGGGACAUGAGCAUCUUGCUAAAAUGUCACAUCCCCACCUUUCCUUAAGUGGAAAAUAUGUGUUUGGUACACUCACAUAGUUUGGCCCAACCCCAACACCAUUCUUGCAUAAUAGAUUAUCACUAAUCAGCAUGAAUUGGAUCGAGAUGUGAAGUUUUGGAUAGGACUUGAGGGGGCUUCUGAAGUUGUCAAUUAUUGGGAACUAGCCAUUGAUCGUGUUGCCAAACACAAUCUUGUCCAUUGGUAUAUCCACGACCCUGAUGAGCUCGGCCCCAAAUGCAUCUUUGUUCUUCACAUAAGACUCCACCUUCAUUAUUGGCUGCGCUAAGGAGGAAUAGAAUUGCUUGUCCCAUGGAGGUUUUCACAAUUCAAAAUUAUUAACACCUAAAUUUUGUCAACAAUGCACGGACAAAAUUAUGAACAACAAUAAUGGUAAAAAAUUGUCACACGACUUUACCUAAAAAAAAAAAAAAUUGUCACACGCCAUUGCUGGACUUCGAUUGCGGGUUCCAGUGUCGUCUGGCUGCAGCUCUGAUCGCGUGCUGUUCGACCGCGAGGCGCUCCUUCGGUUUGUUCUUUCACUUCAGUGAUCGGCGGAAGGUUGCCGUAAGUUCAAACCGCAUGGAAAAGGACGCCCCGGCUCAGUCGACUCCCAACCAUCACUUUCGAAUCUUCUCUCCACUGAUUGAGCUCUUCCAUUUCUUACUCUAAAUCAAGCCCUAGUGUCGUCCUCGCGUCAAGCUCUGGGAAUCAGAAUCAAAGUUGCUCUCGCGUCGAAUGAAUGUUUGGAUACUGCUCAGGAGGCGUUCGAUGAAAUGAUAUUUGGUCCUAAAGUGGUGGUGUGAUUAAUUGUCUUCACAUUGCAAGUGGGAUCAUAAAAUUCCAUGAAUUGGACCUUUGAUUGUAUGCGACGACACGAUAUUCUUCCGCAGCUAUGUUCGAGAAAGCUGCGAAUUUAAUUAAUGCGAGACAAAGGGCGUAGCGUUCCGUCGAUGAAGCUCAAAACAACACGAAGCCGAUCAAAGCGGGCGUCCAGAAAUGGGUAGACAGGCGCGGAGAUCCUUGCCGAUGAGGCGCGCGGCGUGCUGGAAAACGACAGAAGAGCCAAGAAAACUUGCUUCCGCAGGUAGUUUCCCAACCUGAAGGGGCACUAUCGUCUUGGCAGGGUGGCGAGGAGGACAGCCGAGGCCAUCCGGGCACUUGAAUCGCAGAGUGAAUUCCGAAAGGUCUACUACGAGAAUCCUCAGCCAUAAAUCAAUAUAUAAGGACUUAAAAGAUAGUUUUGAUCAUUUUAAUGUAAUUAGGGAUUUUUAAUUGACCAUAUUAAAAUAAUAAUCUGUUUCUUUUAAAGAUAGUCUUCUAGCUCACCACCACCCAUGAGUUGAUAUUUUUAAGCUUUGACUAUCAAGCGUGUUUGAUUUGUUAGACCUCAAUGAUUUUCUCGGGCAAAUCUGUUGCUAAUUUCUUUUCUUUUUUCAUGUACUUAGUUAAUAGAAUGUAACUUCAAAUAAAUGAACCAAGUAAUUUCUACUCGACAUCCAUAAAUUUCAUUGUUCGCUUUAAGUUUUCUCUAAGUACGUUGUCCAUUUCAAUACAAGUUUGGAUUUCUUAUUCAAUUUUUCUCUAGUAUUUUCAAUUUGCUUGCGAUUUCAGUUUCCUGCAUUUCAAUUCGAGUUGUUAAUUGUUUUGGAAAAGAUUUCAUGUAUAUUUAACAAAAAAGAGAAAUCGAGUGCAGAAAAUCUCAAUGAUUGAGCCUGACUUUCUCUCAAUAAAGAUCAAACUAAAACUGUUGACUUCAAAUUUUCAAGUCCGAAUCCAAGGGAAGAAGGAACUCUGGAGCCAAUUCUGCUUGUAUAGUUCACCACCUCAUAGGGAUCGAGUCGAAUAAAACCUUCCACUAAGAACGAGAAGACACAAUCAGGACGAUAAUCAUCAAUAUAUGCAGUUAACGAUAAUCAUCUAGAAGCGGUUUUGCCUGGAUAGCAAAACGACCCAACAAGAAGGAAGCAACGGCAAGACAUCAUCACUCGGAGCUUGAAUUCUAGGAAACGGCCGGCGAUGGUAAUGAUCUGCAUCUGGCGUGCCUGAAAGUCUUUCUAGUGGGGACAUCGCUAGCCGAAGACAACGAACGUGAAUUUGGAAUCUCUGUCUACUCCGAGCUCAGCGUCGAGGCAGAGUGAGCGCUCCUUUCUUUGGCGGAGGAGGAGGGGAGAGAAAAGGCCAGGCUAGGGGAAAAAGUUGAAAUGUUGUGGUGAUGGGCUGAUGGGCUGAUGGGUCUGGGCAGGGGAAAAAAGCCCACGGGUUGCUAUUGUGGGCCGCACCAGUUAAACCAAAUUGUCCUUUUCUAUUUGUUAUUUAUUUAUAUUUUCAUUAUUAUUUUUCUUUUGUUCUUUUUACUACCAUUCAUCGUUUUGAUGUUCUUUUUUUUUUCAAUUACAAUAAUGCAUGCUUAAUUUAUCAACUAAAUUUCAGGUGUCAACAGUUACGAAUAUAUUUACUUUAAUAUAUGAAAAAAAAUCACGCUAUCCAAACAAACUAUAAGACGUUGUAUUUACUAUUGUGUCAAAUCUUUGAUUACUAAAGGUCAUAUUUGUUUCUUGAUCGGUGGGAGAAGUGGGCUAAAAAAUAUGGCAGUGGGCUAAAAAAUAUGGCACAAUCCAGUUGAGUAGAACAUGUAUGUGUUGAUGAAAUUACAACUCAUUUAAAAUAACUUGAUUUAUGACCCAUAUUCAUAUUAAGCCCAAAUCCUAUCUCGCCCAUUUGUCAGGUCAAAGUCCCAAAAAUCGCUGUGAAGGAUUAAACAAAAGCAAUACAAGUAAAGAGAGAGAUUGAUAGAAAAAGAGAGAUGGCAAAGAUUCUUUAGUGAAAGAUGAUUCCUUCAUCUUUUUGCUUUCCCUCUUUAGAGGAUUCUUUUUUACUUUACUUAAAACGUUCCAGAUUAAAGAAAUGAUGAAAGGGUUGAGAAUUCGAAUACUGUUUAAAAAAUAUAUGACCACUAGCUUACUUAUGAGGUUACCCUUAAGUAAGUCGUCAUUAUUAUUAGGAUUUUGUCAAUGUCUAAACAAAUUGGUAACUUAUCACCUCUUCUGAAAUUUCACAAGUUAGUAAAUUAUCAUCUCUUCUGAAAUUUCACAAGCGUCUUUUUUAUAUAUCAGUAAUAUAAUAAAGUUAUAUAUAUUUCACUAAUACGGUGAUUGACUAAUUUCUUUGAAAUUUUACAACUUUUUUUGGUAAAAUACCAACUCAAUAAGGAAUCUACCAAUCUCUCAAUAAAUCAGUGAAUUAUCAAGUUUUUUCAAGUUGCUAAUUAUUAAACUAACAAGAUGAGAUCAAAAAGAGGAACAAAUAAAGAUGAGAUAACAUAGGAUAUAGACACGAAAAAGAGUCCAGGAAAAAGCAAAUAUGUGGUGGACCCACACAGUGGUGUCAGGGAAGAAGGAACAGUUUUACGAGGAAUUAUUUUUCUGGGCCCCACAGGAGCAGUUUUCUCUACCACUCUUUCCACUUCCCUCACACUUAUUGUAGCUGGGGUUGUAUAUAAUCCGGGUGAAAAUUAGAAUUGGAAAUCGCAAGUUAGUUGCAUGGAUCCAUCCGGAAUGGGAUCGUUGGUCCAAUCUGAUUCUCAAGUGGGUCCAUAGAACCGAUCUCACUAAAAGCUAUUUAAUUGUUAUACAAAGUGUUUACCAGAAACAUGAAAUUGUUUUAUAUAAUAACCAACUAAAGGCCUAAAAACAAUCGCUUGAGCUCCACAAAAUUGUCUCAAUCUUUGAAUAGUGAUUACUCUGCUGAUAAUUGCUACAUGCCAUUACCGGUUCAUGUUCUUUUUUCCUCUCUUUUUUUUUUUCUUUGAACCUGCUUAUGCCGAUCCACAUCAACACAUUUCGCAUUUGCUAAUUUUUCUCAGUCCUCUCUCUUAAGCAUGGCUUGUCUCUGCAUGGUUUUUACCAUCUCCUUCAUUGUCCUCUCCUCAGCCUCAAGCUGCAUUUUCAUGAUUGCCUCAACCUACUUGUCAAUUGGCAUGAAGUACUCUUCAAUGGUAGAUUCCUGCAUAGGUCAAGUGAGAGUUCAAACUAAAAGACGAGAUGGAGAUUGGAGCCAUAAAUUUCUAGAUUUGCUAAUUUUGAAUUUUUUUAAUAUUAAAAAGUAAUAUAUUAUUAUAAUAUAAUUGGUCCGUCCUGGGUGAACGGGUAUGCGGAUCUGCCCAUGGAACCGGAAACUGGACCAAAUCUGGACGGUUCCGAUCCAAUUCCAAGUGGUCCAAGCGGGUUUUGGUUCCUUUACACACCCCUAAUUCUAGCCAUAAGGCAAGCAUUAUUUCCUUGUUUCUUUAUUUCCUCUCCUUUUAAUCCGAGUCCUAAAACCCGCUUUACUCUAUGAAAUGACUCGAUUCAAUUCCAUGGGUCAUGCCAUUAGAAAAAGGGGGACAAUCACCUGUUGAAUAGAACCGGAUAUGUGUCGAUACAAUAUCAGCCCUUUAAAAAUGAUUUGAUUUAUGACCUGGAUUCAUAUCAAACCCAGAUUUAAUCUUACCCAUUUGGUGAGUCGAAGUUCCAAAUAUCACAAUGGAAGAUUAGACAUAGAGUAGUACAAGAUGGGGGAGAGAGAGAUGGAAGGUGAAGGAUGAUUCUUUAGUAUUUUUCUUUUCUAAUUUGGGGAUUCUUUUUCACUUUUUCAAAGUUUUCCAAAGUGAAGAAAUGAUGAGAUGCUUGAGGAUUACAAUCCUAUAUCUAAAAGGAUUGAGAAAAUUGCCCAAAAAGUCCUAAACUUAUUGUACUUUUGCGAAGUUGAUUCUAAGCCUUUUUAAUUUUAUCAAUAAAGUUCUAAACUUUUGACAAUUUGCCAAUUGAGUCUAUCCGAGUGGUCGGAAAUUGCUAACAUAAACAUCAAGCAUCCUACUUGACACGUUGUCAUUGAAGUGCACAUUUUUAAUAACAUUUUUGAACUUUUCUGGUUUUUUUCUUCUUUUAUGGUUUUCUUUUUCAUUUCUUUACUUUCUUUUUCGCCUAUCCCAGAUCUGACAAAGGUGUCACGACCCUCACUAGAUCUGGGCAAGGGCUCAUGCGCUCUUGCUUAGCGUUGCAACCCUAGCCCAACCCUCAACAACCAUGACAAGGGCCACUAUGGCCAUUGAGGAUUGCAAUGCCCUCACCCCAAAAUAGCAAGGAUCGCCAUCCGUCACUCUAAAAACCAAGAAAAGAGUAAAAGUACAAAAAAGUACAAAAAAAAAUUAGAAAAAAAAAAACUAUUUGUCAUCGUCAACAGCAAUGUGCAUCGACUUGACUAUAGAUGCUAUGCUAAAGAAUGAAUAAAUAGAGAUGAGCUGUAGAUGGUAUGCGUAAAGAAACAAGGUGGAUGCACGCAGCGACGUCUUCAUCCUCUGCAGUGGUGCUAAAGAUAUUUUCUAUGGGAGCAAGAGGUUCUUUGGAUUUCUUUCGUUGAUCAAUAUCUUGUAAUUUUGUAUCUUAUAUUACCUCCUUUUCAGUAUAGAACUUGAAUAUCACAGCUACAUAUGGAACAUAAACCUUUUAAACUAGAAUUUUUUUUAUUAGGUUCACGGUGAGUAGAAAAACAUCUUCUAAUGCAGCAAUAGAAUAAUUAUAUGUGCAUGAUGACUAUUUGAUUAUAUUGGGUGAUGUAAAUGCAUGGAUUAUAUAUUAGUAUGUUUUCUCAUCGAUUAAAACUGUUUUUGUUUGGGCAAUUGACCGAAUAAGUGGUUGCGUUUUUUUAAAAUUUACUGCUGGUAUUCGUAAAACUUGUACAAAUUUGGGACUAAAUAUGUCAUUAGAUAUGGUUGUGCACACAUUAAUGUGAUGCUUUCAAGCUUUUUUCAGCAAUUCCUUUUGAAUUUCUCUUUUACUAGGUGUACAGGUAGAUACAUGUACUUUUUUUUUUUUUUAAUAAAUGUACUAGGAUGAAAGAUAAUCUUUACUCUUAUUUUCCGAUGACUGAGUUUUGACUUCUUUCAGUGCAAUUGAUUAUACAUUUCGAGAUGUAGGGACUAAAUAAUUUCAUAUACUUUUCAUAUGUCAUUAUCAUAAAUUUGCAUCUAAGUAAAAGAAAGAACGAUAUUCACAUAUCAACCAUUCAAUUUAAUUAAAGAAAAUGCACAAAUUAUACAAAGUCCUUAGUAAUUGCCAUCUACAGCGUGAGGUUUACAUAAGACCAAGCUCCACCAUGUGCGACCAUUAACAUCACUCUGUUCUUUUCUUCUGUUUGGUCUAGAGCCGCGUUUGUCUCCCUCCUCCUCCUCUGCGUUUGAGAGAGAGCGAAGAAGGGGAGAGAGAGAGGGAGAGAGAGCAGCAGCAGCAGCAAAAGAACAACGAUGGUGAACCAUAUAAUUAAAUUGGGUUCUUUUUUGGAAAGAGGGGUGGUCCGGCUCAACCAUUGAAUAACGUGACAUCCAUAAAAUCCAUGGAGUUAAUGAACCUGUUAACAUACAUAUAAUUCCCUACAGAUACACUUUAUUUUCACUGGUCCCGUUAAUGAAAUGUAGUUAAUUAAUUAGAUUGGGUUCUUUUUGGAAAAGUGAUGUUCUCAGAAAUAAUAUAUGAUUUUGCUUAGUACUUAAAAAAAAAUGUUAACAUACAUAUAAUUCCCUACAGAUACACUUUAUUUUCACUGGUCCCGUUAAUGAAAUGUAGUUAAUCAAUUAGAUUGGGUUCUUUUUGUAGUUAAAAGCAUCUCCCAUGAACCUUCAGUUUCUUCCAAUGGAAUUACUUACGUUGUUCAAAACGCAUACAUUAUCACAAGAUUAAUAAACAUAGGCAUCUCGUAGAUCUCAUUGGAGAGUACCUCGGGCUUUUUGAACAUCCAACUAAUGUCCAUCAAGUGCAGCUGUCCCUCUGUCUCACACACGUUGGGUAAUUCUCGGAAACACAUAAGUCCCUGCUCCUGUGGGCGACUCCAAGAGACUACACAAAUACAGUGAUUUAGUCAUGUGCCCUGAGCGAGGAGGAUAGACACACUCAUUACUUGAGCAAUUACUUGGGAUUAAAAGAUAGGUGUCGCUAAGUUUUCUUAAAAGAUAACCGAUCUAAUUUAAAGUGAAAACUCUUAAUUUUUCCUUAGAGAACAAUUCUUAAUUUCCCAAAUGAAUUGUCUCCUUGUGAUCAUGGUUUUAUAUCACGUUUUUUAGAAAAUCCUAUAGUUGCCACAAUUGAUUUUUUCAUCAAAAUAAUAUUCGAAGUUGAUUUUGGCAACUUAGGGUGUGUUUGUUUAUAUUUCUUUUUUGUGUUUUUAAACACUUUUUCUGUUUUUUUGUUCUUUUGUUCCCAGGAACAAAAAAGAAACAGAAACAAGAAACACAAAUUUUGUGUUUCUUGUUUCUGAAACACUUUUGAGAAACACUUAUUAUUUUUUUAUUUUUUCUCUUAUUUUCUUGUUCUUUUUUCUUUUGGCCGGUCGCCGGCCUCGGCCAUGGCCGUAUUCCGGCCCACGCGAACCGGCCGCCUCGCCCAGCCACGGAGAGGGCUCGCCGUCCCCCGGCUAUUUGUAACCUUAAUUAAUUUGUAAUAGAGGCAGAUGGAAGAUAGCCUGACUUACGAUGCAUAUAAAAAGUGACUUUAGUGAGGUAGGAUAUACCAUUAUGCUGAUAAAAUAUCUGGAUGGAGGUUUCUGUAUUCCUGAGAGUAUCCUCCUGGGCCCUGGAAUAUAGAUGAGGCCUCACUCAACUUAAAAUAACGUCAUAAAUUAUCUCUCACAAUGANNNNNNNNNNNNNNNNNNNNNNNNNNNNNNNNNNNNNNNNNNNNNNNNNNNNNNNNNNNNNNNNNNNNNNNNNNNNNNNNNNNNNNNNNNNNNNNNNNNNGCCUUGGCCGGCGACCGGCCCAAAAAGAAGAAAAAAAAUGAAAAAGAAAAAAAGGAAAAAUAAGAAAAAAAUAGAAAAAAUAAAAAAAUUAUCCAAAUUUACCAAACAUGUUUCUGUUUAUUUUUUAUUCCCGGCCCGAAGUUAAUUUCAGUGCAAAAGAAAUGACGGAGUGGGUCCUUUUGUUUUCAAUCAAGCGUAAUUAGACAGGCAUUUGCUUUGUUGGAGAUUCCGUAGAUGUUGUGUAAAGAUGAUCAAAUGAAGCCGUACAACACACAUGUAAGCGCCGGAACCUUGCAUGCAUCGACAAAAGUACGAAAUGGAGCCAAGGUUUGCAGGGUCCACGCGAAAAAAAAUACAUGUUAGUUAAGAGUUACCAAGGCUUUGAUGAAAAAAUAACAUCAUAUUGAUAAAAAAUCAUGGGAUCCUCAGUACAAGUACCGGGAUUUUUCAAAUACGAGAGGGAAGUUGAAAGUUUUCUAUAUGAUGAUAGCCGGCUAGCCUUCAUUUUAGUUUGCGAAAAUGGUGGUCUCUUUAGUCCACAACCUCCAUCUAAAAGUUUAAAAUUUCAGAACUAUUGUAGUGUUUCCACAAAAUCUUCCAGACGUCCCAAGUCCGAUAUCAUGUGAGAUUUUGGUAAGAUUACCGCCAAGCGCUCUAAAAAUUUAAGCUGUUAUGUGAAUGUGUGGUUUAUUAUUUAAAUAUUUUAACAUACAAUAUAAUUAAGACAACAAAAUACAAAACAUUUCAUGACAUUGUGGAUGGUGGCAAAAUUCUUGACAACGUAUACCUCUUCAGAUAUAGUAAAUCCUCCACCCCUCAGCAUCGUCAACCCUUCCCUCCACAUCUUCCUCUCCACUCAUAUCUCUCAAAGAUCCCCUCUACAUCGAUCCGGUGGGCCAACACAAUUUGAGACGGUGAGAUUAUUAGUCCUCCCUUAAUUCUGGCUUUUGAGCGAUAACAUUAAGACAUUUUUGACAUUUAAGACAUUUUUAGUUCGUGAAAAAGGUUUUUCAGAGAACUCCGGGUACAAUAAUAAGUCCAUGACCAAACGACUUAUUACUAGUUUCUAUCCAGCCUUCUAUGGCUACUUGAAGAACUGAUCUUAUGUCGUACCAUGUCGAGCCUAAAUGCCGUGCUGUAAUUUUUGCACAAGGUGUCAUACCAUAUAAGCGCUUAGAAAUUUUCAGUAAUAAUCAUUUCUAUGGUAUGACAAUUGUGUAGUAGCUACACAAAAUUGUUUUCUAUAACGGAAAAAAAAAACUUCUAAAGAAAAUUUUUAAACAAUGAAGAAAAUCAGAUUCUCCUAAGGAUGGGUAGAGCUUCAUGUACCCGAUCCCAAUACUCGAAGAAUCGUGGAAAAUUGCACUACACUGCUUGUACAGAAGAUAUCAUUGCACUUUGACUUUCCACAAUUCAAGUCAAGUUCAAAGACAACAUUUUCUUGAAAGUCGUAUUAAAAUGUUAUUUUUUUAAUGCUCCAUUGGACUUGUUUUGGGAAUUCUUCUCCCCGGACGCGGGGAACUCAUCAAAUUGAUCGUUCAAGAGCUCCAAAUUAAGCUGAAGGGUCAAACAUAGGUUCAUUACCGAAUAUGGAGGCUGUAUUGAAUGAUCAAGAAGAAGGCAUAGUGAAAAAUAUCAGAUGCCGAAUCUGCAGGAGCACGUUUUGUUGUGAUAUACAGGUUUGGUGGCGGUGGGAAGAUGACUUUGCCGGUGUAAUCAUUAGCCAGUUAUUAGCUAGCUUCAACUCUUCAACUUGGAGAGUGUAGUUGGCCACCGAAGAGUGCAUAUUUUGAUUCAAACACUUUCCAAUUCUUAUGCAAGUUAUGAUAGAAGCUAGCCAAAAUAAGGACACAACAAAUAAUGUAACUUUCAAAUGACGGUUAUUUGAGUGUUAUGAUUUUUUUUUUCAAUUAAUUGAGUGACGUGGCUUAUAACAAAUUGUUCACUUGAGUUCAUUGACUUCUAAACUUUCAAUGGAUCAUUUAAAUGUUAUGACCUUUCCAAAAAAAAAAAAGUUCACUAUGAGAGUUAUGAUACGUUGAAUUUCUAGCACUUGUAGUGAACGUCUUUGAAAAAACUAUGGCACUCUAUUGAACAUUUAUUAGAAGUCAUGGCAUUCAAGUAACCGAAAAAAAAAAUAACUAUAGCACUUAAGUAAUUGAAAAAAAAAACUUGGGUUCUCAAGUUAAUGCCAUACGAAAAUCAUAAUAUUUGUAAUGUCAUUUCUCCAAUCUAAGAGCAUUGUGGACUUAUUAAAUGCAAGAUGUUUUUACAGGAAAAUAACACAUUUCGACAGAAAAACAUUUCGUCCAAAAUCAGUUGUCUCCACGUGGUAUCACAAGAGAAAGUAUUAUUGCACUUAGGGGACUCUAUUUUUGUGCAACUUUAUUAAAGCUGAUACGUAAAGAGUUCGUGAAGUGACGGGAAUCAGAGUGCAUUAUCUGAAUCGGAAUUUGGACUUGAUUUGCAAGUCUAAGGUUGCAAAAUGGAUUUUGCAGUUUAGGGUGCAUUUGUUUGCGUUUCUGUUUAAAAAUUGUUCCAGGGAACAGAAAUAAAAAAAAGUGUUUCUGUUCCUGGGAACAAUUUCUGAACAAAAAAACGCGUUUGGUAAACUUGUUCCGGGAACAAAAAAUAAAUAGAAACACGUUUGGUAAAUUUGUAUAAUUUUUUUAUUUCUUUUAUUUUUUCUAUUUUUUUCUAUUUUUUCCUUUUUUCUUUUUCCUUUUUUCUUUUUUUUUUUCUUUUGGCCGGUCGCGGAUCGCGGUAAGGUCUUGAACUCUGUUUAAGAAAAGUCCAUUUUGGGAAGCCCAAGUUGAGUCCAAUUUGCAGUUGAACCCCUCUCGAAGCCCAAUUCUGGACAAGAAGGGGCACUCAAAAUUAGUCGGACAGAGAACCUGGUGAGACCGGGCUGAAAAUGGGAAAGGAAGAACGAAGAAGCACUGUUAACCUAAGAGUUCUUAACUUCUAAGUUAUAGCUGAGAUGAUCUGCCUNNNNNNNNNNNNNNNNNNNNNNNNNNNNNNNNNNNNNNNNNNNNNNNNNNNNNNNNNNNNNNNNNNNNNNNNNNNNNNNNNNNNNNNNNNNNNNNNNNNNCGCCCCCUCCCCUUCCUUUCUUUUUUUCCUGUCUUCGUUCUAGUUGCUCCCUAUCCCCGCUUGAUGUUCUUCGCUCUUUUUUAUCCGCUCCUAUGUAGAUAUAUUUCCCCUACUUGCCCCCCCUCGUCGGCCGGUCAUCGGCCAUGGCCGAGGCCGGCGACCGGCGAAAGAAAAAAGAAAGAAAAUAAGAAGAAAAAGAAGAAAAAAUAAAAAAGUGUUUCUCAAUUGUGUUUCAGAAACAAGAAACACAAAUUUUGUGUUUCUUGUUUCUGUUUCUUUUUUGUUCCUGGGAACAAAAGAACAAAAAAGGAACAGAAACGCACCCAAACGCGUUUCUGUUCCUUUUUUGUUCCCAGGAACAAAAAAACACAAAAAGUGUUUAAAAACAGAAAAAAGAAACAUAAACAAACAGGCCCUUAUUCUCAGCUUUGGGAUAACUAAAUUAGUAUGCGAAUAACUUUAGCAAAAUGGAUUCAGACAUCGGACAAUAUUUGGUGGCAAAUGCGUUCACUUGUUUGUUGUUAAAAAUUGUAGUGGCUUGGAGAAACUCCAAACAAAAUCGUCCGGCAAAAAAAAAUUAUGUUCAUUGUUGAUGCCGGUCAAUGCCAGAUUAUGACUCUACUUUGAUGAGUUUUCACUUGACUUUCACAAAGGCUUUGUUAAAUUACUAUAUCGAAUUUGAGCCGUUUACGAAACUCGACUCGAUUUUGAUGAGUCUUUAAUUUUCAUACUGAAGAGCAAUCUCACUAAAAGACAAAACAGAGGCACAAAGUCCACUGUGAGAGAAAGAAACAAAAAGCCUUACCAUGACAUUCCUAAGCAAGGAGGGAAAAUAAGCUGUCGAACUCACGAGAAAUACUUAAUUCAGACCCUAAACAUGUUUUGGCUCGUCUCGGUGCCAAUUUUCAGUCUGCUUGAUUGGCUCUAACAGAUGAAGUUCGUCAGAUGUUUAAUUUUACUUUUCACUUUUAACGUCAAUAUUUUAGCGUCAAUAUUUUAGGGUUAUUUAUUAAUAGUGAAUUCACAUCGUUCAUUCGAUCACGAUGCAUUACGGAGGCAAAGAGAAUUCAAAUUUUCAGUGAACGUUUCCAAUUGAAGAAAAUAUUUUAAUUUCAAUCCAUUUUGACGAAAACUGUUAAAAUCAAAGAGUGAGAAAAAAAAAUUAUGCAUGUGUCUAUCUGCCGACUACAUGGACAUACAUAGCUUCACAUAAAAAAAAAAUGAUGCAUGCGUCUAUCUGCCGACUAUCUGGACAUACAUAGCUUCGCAUUCAAAAUUUCACACUAACCUUCAGCGUUUCUUUGUCCACUUUUUGGGGACUCUAUUUUCAACAGUUCACACGAACUUUCAAAAGCUUUAGAUUUCUCCCUCAACAAAUAUAUAAUAAAGUACAAAUCUCAAGAAAAGAAGCCCAGCUUUUAUGUUGACGAAGACUAGCUGAUCAACUUGGCUUACUUCGAGGGGCGAUAAAGGAUAGCCACGUAAUAAAGGUAUUACUAUUUGGGCAUUGAGGGCGAGUUUAUACUGUUUUUCUUUCUGUGGAGUAGGGGAAAUGUACACUCAUCAAGCCCUCCAGCGCUUUUCGACAGGCUCGUGUUUACAAGAGACUCCCCUCCGAAUGAUCGUUACAGGCUCUCAGAACGUGCAGAACAUGUCAUUUCAACUUUAAAAAAGUUUCUUUUGACUCUUGAGGUCAUUGAUUCCUUCCUUUAUUGUGAAGAUAAAUCAGUGUGGUAGAUAAUGGGAAAAUAUUAAAAAGUCAUGGGUGAUUCCCCUAAGGAAGUCUAGGAAAUGUUGUUGCUAAGUUCCGAUAAGUUAGAAAAUGGGAAAAAGCAAGCAUUGCUCAACAAUAUCGUUUGUCUUUCGCUGGGUGGAUAAUGAUAUUGCAUCUAAUUAUAAAAAACAAAUCAUUUUCGUGCCUUGCAAAUACAAACAGUGUCUGGUAACAAAAUACCACGAUAAGAAAUCGAAAGACUUCAUUUGAUGCCUCACAUGAAGUGCUUUCUUCCAAAAGUUUUAGGAGUGAGGUAAAACAUGUUACAAAUUUCAAACAAAUAUAUUAGCUACUAUGGUAACUAAAUACCGUAAAAAGUAAUGUGUUUGUGGUGGAGUAGACUUGCGAUGUUAAUCUUUAGUUGUUCUCGUGUACAACAUAUAUAUGUAUUUGAAAUUCAAUUGACUCUUCAAUAACUCUACCAAUUUGGAUUUGCGACAAAUACUUCUCAAGUAUGGAAAUGAUUUGGGAAAUUGUGAUAUCAAGAAUAGGCUAAUCUUAGGAAAAUGGUUAUAUUGUUUCAUCAUAGUUCAGCUAUUCAGAAUAGAAUGAAAUCGUGGACUACCAGAAUCAAAACAGCUGCAUAUUUACCAAGGCUCUCAAUCACUAGAGGUCUAUGCUUUGUCCCGUAAAAUUUUACACAUUUUUUUCUUUUCUUUCUUUUUCUUUUUUUGGCACAAAUCAAUUUCAAUACUUGAAAAGAAUUUUUUGCAGUGUAGGGCUGCGUAUGAACUCACUCCCCUCUAAGGAUAAAGCAAUGGUGACAGCUGGACAGCCCGCCGCAUUGGAGGACGAGAUGGCAUCUUCGAGAAGUUAAAAAUUGUUGUCACUAUAAACGGGCCCAGAGGUGGGUUUAUGAGUGUGUAACAAAUAACAGGUAACGCUGCCUCUAUUAAAGCCAGGUGCUGCUCUUUCCGAUCGCUGCAACUCUAAAUGAUCAAUUCCUCCCUCUAGAUCUCCAUCUCCAUUUACGCCUAUUGCUAGAAGUUGUCUCUUCACCCAAUCUUUCGUGGCUGCGGAUUCAUCCUACUGAAUCUUUCCAGUCCGGUCAUUUCCGUUUCAUUACUGGGUUCCAUCAGUUCCGCCUUUCUCAGCAUAUAUAAUUUCUCAACUUCCAUUUCUCCUACUAGAGAACCACAAAAGUCGAAACCGAAAGGGGGGAAAUGGCUGAAAUUGCUACGGCUGUGGCUUCCAAAGCGGCUGCCGAAGUGGCUGCCGAAGCGGCAAAGCCCCUGCUGGCUCGGGCCCGUCGUCGAUGCGGCUAUGUGAUAUUCUCCAAACGCUACGUCGGCCAACUUGACGAAGAACUUAAGAAGCUGAAGAACGCGAUGGACAGGGUACGACAUUCUGUUGAUUAUGCAGAGCAUAACAUGAAGCUGAUCGAAGCCGACGUCGAGAAUUGGGUGAAAGAAGCGGAGACAGUCGCCCAGAAGGCAGGCGACGUGCUUGCCCAUAAGGCAGGCGACGUGCUCGAUGACGAGGGAAGAGCUAAGAAAACUUGCUUCUGCGGGUGGCUUCCCAACCCGAAGGGGCGUUAUUGUCUCGGCAGGGACGCGAGGAAGACAGCCGAGGCCAUCCAGGAACUCAUUCCGCAGGGUAGAUUCGAGAAGGUCUACUACGAGAAUGCUCCUCCGGCUCUUGUUGAACGUGCUGCCGCAGUGAAUUCGUCAGCCUGUGUCGGGGGCGACACUAUCCAGGAACUCAAUGCGCGGGGUCAAUUCGAGAAGGUUGACUUCGAGAAUCCUCCACCGGUGCUUGUUGGCGUUGCUUCUGGCGUGAAUUCGUCGGCCAGUGAUGGGGGCGACUUUAUCACCGGUUCGCGAGCUUCCAUCUUUCAGGACAUGAUGAAAGCUCUGGAUGAUGAGAAGCUAAAGGUGAUUGGAGUCUACGGGCCUGGCGGCGUGGGGAAGACUACGCUGUUGAAGGAAGUUGAGAAGAAACUCAGAGAAGCGGGGAGACCGUUCCGCAUGAUCGUCAAAGUGGAAGUUUCGCAGAAUCCAGACUUGAAUAAGAUCAUAGACCAGAUCGCUGACGCCUUGAGUCUGGAUCUGAAGGACAAGCAAAGCCCACAGGGAAAAGCAGAUGUUCUGUCGAAGAGAUUGAAGCGUGAUCCGAAUGAGACGUUUCUCAUAAUAUUUGACAACCUGUGGGAAAAAGUUGAUUUGGAGGCGGUCGGAAUUCCUCGGGAAGACGUGAGCAGCAAAUGCAAGUUGUUGCUCACGUCAAGAUUUGAAGAUGUGCUGGAGCAAGAGAUGGGUGCUGAUCGAACAUUUCUUCUUCAAGGUUUAAAGGACAACGAAGCUUUCAGGCUAUUUGAAAACAAGGUCGGCGACAAGCUCAAAGGCAAUGAGGGAUUGAAAUCAAUAGCGGAUCAAGUGGUCAAGAAGCUCGCAGGUUUGCCUCUUUUGAUUAUCUCUGUUGCAACCACUUUGAAAUCUAGCGAUGAGUCCGCAUGGAGAAACGCGCUGAUAGAAAUAGAUGAUUCAAAUAAAGAAAAAAAAGAAACGAUAGUGAGGUUGAGUUAUGACCAUUUGAAGAGUAAGGACGCAAAGUACUUAUUCUUGCUCUGUGGUCUUAUUGGUGGGACCAUUCAAGUCGAACUUCUGUUUGUACUAGCCAUGGGGUUGGGCUUGUUUGAAAGAUUUAAUAAGACGAUACAAGCGUCGAGGGAUAGAUUGAAUGAUAUGCUCAGUGAACUCCGUUCUGCUUGUUUGUUGUUGGAUGGUGGCAAUGACACGGAUAGUGUGACCAUACAUGAUCUUUACAGCGAGGCAGUCGUCUCAGAUGCAUUUAGUGGUCCGGAUUCCUUAAUGAUUAACAAAAAUGAUGGCUUAUGGCCAAAGGAAAAGCUUGAGAAAUGUUGGGCAUGCCUGGUUAAUGUUGGCAAUGACAAGCUUGCUGAACUAAUGCUACGUCAGUUUCCCCACGUGAAGAUACUUAUGUUGUCGGAACAAACCGAUAUGAGAGAUCGUAGUAGAAUUGAUUUCACAUACAUGGAGGAGCUUCGAGUCCUCUAUCUUCGCUCCAUGCAUAUCACCAGUUUACCUUCCUCGAUGGAGAUCCUCGGAAAUCUCCAGUCAUUAAGCAUAAAUUGUCAUGUGGAGGAUGUGGCAAAUCUUGGCAAGCUCAAAGCAUUGCAAAUUCUCAGCUUCGCGUGGUCCACAAUUUCUAGGCUACCUAAAGAAAUUGGGGAACUUACAAAUUUGAGAUCGUUGAAUCUUAGCAACUGCGAAGAGCUUCAGAGAAUAGAGCCCGGUGUCCUAAAACGCUUAAUCAAUUUAGAAGAGUUACAUAUGAAGGGAAGCUUUAAUCGAUGGAUGGGCAAAAAUGACAAACCAUUGGAAUUGUGUAAUGUUGGGCUUGCCGAGUUGAAGAGCAUGACAAAGCUAAAUUCUUUGGAAAUAUCGAUUCAUGAUCCCAUCAUACUCUUGGAGGUUGAUAACCUGCCAUUUGAGAACUUGACUAGAUUUUGGAUCAACAUAGGAAAUAUUGGGGGGAGGGAAUAUGAACGUUUGACAACCAUGAAGCUCAAUUUGGAAGGGUGCGGUAGUAUUCUUUCAAGAAAAUGGGUUAAGAAAAAUCUGCAAAAGACUCAAUACUUAUAUUUAAGCAAGUUAAGUGAGUUCAAAGAGAGCCCUCGCGAAUUUUGCACCCAAGGAUUCCAAGAAGUGAAGUAUCUCGACAUUAAAGAUAGCCCCUCAUUCAAGUACAUUGCCUACUCAUCCAAUGACCACCCUCUCAAUGCUUUUGGGAAGUUAGAGUCUUUUUCCCUUGAUAAUCUUAUUAAUUUGGAGAAGAUAUGCCAUGGCCCUAUCGAACCAAAUUGCUUCAGAAAAUUGAAAACUGUGAGUGUCGGACAAUGCAACCGAUUGAAAUACCUGUGGUGUCUUUUAGAUAUGCAAAUACUUGUACAGUUGGAAGAGAUUGAUGUGUUGAAUUGUGACUCAAUGCAAUCCAUUGUCACACAUGACGCAGGAGUAGGUAUAGUUUCUACUGAUAACAGAGUUGAGUUGCCUAAUAUACGCUGUUUGCGAUUGUUUGGGUUGCCAAAUAUGACGAGCUUUUGCACUAAAGCUGAAAUCACAUCAGAGGAUACUCCAAUCCAGGUAUUUUUUCCCCCAUUUUCCCCCCUUGUCAAUUUGUCCUGUUAGGAUGAGAUGAUACUAGCGUUCACUCAACAUCGGUACAUAUUGCAUUUAACUUUGACUAUUUGUACAAUUUGAUUCACGUUUUGAUUUACAAAAAAAAAAAAAAAAAAUCCCCUCAAAUAGAACACAUACCAUAUUAUAGUUAAAUAGAAGCCUCUUUCCAGGACUGAUUUAAAAAAAAAAAUUUAAAAUUUCAACAUUGGAUAAUUACAUUGCGAACUUGGGUUUCUAUUGUGACUAAUUUAUUACUUAUUUAACAUUCUUAAUGAGAUGAAAAAUUCGUGUGCUGAACAAAUGAAAGCAACAAUGAAUCUUGAAUGAAUAAAUAAAAUUCAAUAGUUUCAAAAUGAAGAAAGCGAUGUCCGGAGAUUCAAUAAAUGGAUGGCGAGCAAGAAGACACGUAACAAAGACAGUCCCAAUAAUUCACGUCCUGCCUAACGUGUAAUUUGCAACUGAUUUCAAUAUGUCAUGCCAAGUUGCCAACGUCCUAGUGUCAACAUCAUUGUGCAGUUGAGCUACAUUGAUAGCAUGAUAGUGGUGAGGAUUUCCUCAUGAAAACGAUUUCACUUUUCACGGAAGAGAAAUUCAUUUAUUUUUUAAUUUGGCCCGAGAGUUCCACUUAUUUUCUCGUGAAAAUAGCUUUACUUGUAUCAGACUCACCCUUAAUGAGCUUCAUUGUGAUGCCAUGUCAGGUUUCAUUGCCUCGCUUGGAAUCCCUGGAAAUGGUUGGACUCCUUGGCCUAGAAAAGAUACUUUACAAUGAACCUUCUUCUAAAUACAACAAUCUAAAAGCACUAAUGAUAAAAGAGUCUAAAUCCAUGUCAAAGAGUAUUUUGAAAUUAGAUUGGAUAUUGAAGCUGCCGAAUUUGGAAUCAAUGUCCAUUGAGAGCUCUCCAUCAGCAGAAGUAGUUUUCGACGUGGAGGAGCUACAGAUCAACGGAGAUGUGGAGAUUCUCUCUCAGCUAACUAGAUUGACAUUAGGGCGGUUACCAAACCUGCAGUGCAUGUGGAAACGGGAUGUAAAAUUGCAAGGAAUAUCAAUACUUCGAAACCUGAGGUUGCUAUAUGUCUAUGAAAUGGGGCUAUCAUAUCUCUUUUCAGUGUCUGUGGCUAAAUGUUUUAGAGAAAUUAGAGCCAUUACAGUGAGGAACUGUCCAAGUAUGAAGGCGGUGAUUGUGGAGGAAGGAAGAGAUGAAGGGACAUAUGAUAUUAUAGAGUUCCCAUUAUUGGAGCAACUAUGUAUAAUCCAAUGUCCCAUGGAGAAAUUCUUCCCAUAUCCUCAUGGAAAGCAAGAGCCAAUAACCAGUACUUCAGAUUCACAAGAUGCUAACUCCGAUUCCUUCUUUGAUCCAAAGGUACAAAUCCCUUCUCUUGAGAUUAUAUCCAUAAUAGCCAUAGGCACACGCUUUGUUGGGGGUUAUAAAAAAAUCUCUUUGAAGAAUUGUAUUUGGUUCUAUUAGUUAGAAUGUGUUCAUUAUUUAAAAUUACAUUUGUCAUAGUAAGGCCAUUAGUCAAAAUUCAUUCUUCCAUCGCAUCAAAUAGAUUGUUAAGAUUAAGCCAAAUUGUUAGUUGAUUCAUAGCUAUGAUCUAACGUAUAACUCUCAUGAGUAGGUUAGUUUACCAAGCUUGGAAUUUUUAUGACUUGAUUCAAUAGGAUACUUCAAAAGGACAUGGCAAGAUGAACUUCCCAUAAGUUCUUUAUGUGAAUUAGCCACCCUCAUCCUUGAAAAUUGCUCUAAGCUACUCAACGUCUUCCCUUUGACGAUCAUAGGGAGAUUGCACAAUCUAAAAGAACUCCGAGUUUCAAACUCUCUCCCUUGGAAUUGUUGUUUGACUGUAGGUCCUUUCAUAUUAUCAUGUAUUAGAACGAACAAUGUCAUAAAUUUGUCCUACUUAUCCUCCUUACAUUAUUCUCGUGCAGGUCACAUUUCCCAAUAUACGUAGUCUAAAAGUUGAAGGCCUUCAGUGCAAAGAGCUAUGGAACAAUCAAAUUCCUGACCAUUCCUUUUGGAAAUUGGGAUCUCUUGAAUUGAAGGACUGUAACAACCUCCAACGUAUUGCCCCGUCCUAUGUGUGGAAGAGGUUGCAUCGCUCUCUCCGGAUGCUAAAAGUGAGUUCAUGCCGUUCAAUCGAGAUCAUAUUCGAAGGUGAUGGGACAGAUAUUGAGUGUGGUAAAUUGUGGAGGCUGGUUUUGCAUGAUCUCAGAAAUUUGAGGGACAUUUGGCAAUCCGAUGGUCUUCUAAACGUCCCGUUCCCAAACUUGAGAGAAGUAGAGGCUGUGAGGUGCUCUCGUUUGGAAAUGCUUUUCCCUACCUUCACGGUGAAAUUUCUUGGGCAAAUAAAAGAGCUGAUAAUGGAGUCGUGUGAAAAUAUGGAACUAAUUGCUGGCCAUGAAAUAGGGGAAGAAGCCACCCGCACCACAAUCACCUUCUCCAAGUUAAUUGCUCUUAGACUUUUCAAGUUGCCGAAAUUCAAGGGCAUCUUACUUGAGAGAUACUCUCUGAAACUACUGGAGGCCUUCCCAUCGUUGCAAGUCUUGAGUUUGGCAGACUGUGGAGCAGAGCAGAACCUACGCCGUUUAAGCAGGCAUAGGUACCGGAUUGUAAAGAAUAGGUACCGGGUUGUAAAGAAUUUGCGCUGUUUAAGCUGGCGUGGGUACAUCGACCAGAAAAACAAAAAAACAAAAAACAAAAAACAAAAAGCUGGCGUAGGUACCGGAUUGUAAAGAAUUUGCGCCGUCGUGUCAGGUAAUGCACAAUUCUCAGUGGGACCCACACGCACUUUACAUCACGUGGCUCUCUUCCUUACUCUCUACAUCUAACGGUCUGUUCAUUCCCUUUUAUGCUAAUCAAAUUCUUUCUAGCCCUCUGUUAUUCCGAUUCCUCUGAUCUUCAUUGUUUUCUCUGUCGCCCUCCAUCCACCAACAGCCACCGCCGAACGGAGAGCAUUGAUCGAAGGUACUCGGGUGAUUGUUGAGCAUCCGCAGAUUACUCUCUCGGUGAUUUCAAUUGAAUCCUUUCCUCCCGCUUCGUUGCCAAUCGUCACCGCUUCCCGAUGGCCGCCAAUAGUUCCACCAAGCCGAGAAGGUCUGUGGUGCCGAAGUGCUCGAACUUUGGUCAUGACUGCCUGCUUCAACGAUUCCAUUCCUUGACGAUGCUUCUAUUAUAUCCUUACUCAUGCCCAAUGUCCAUUGCUAUAGCUAAUCAUUCUUCAUUCACCUAAACCACAUGUACUUUGUUUUCCGUUGCUAUUACUAGUGUAUGUGUGCAAAUCGACUGUGAUUGAGUUUGUAUUAAUGAUUUGAACUGGUGUUCCUCCGCCGAAAUGUACACCACCUGUUUGAUGGAAUUCGAACUAAGUCUGUGUGUAUUUUGAUUUAGUUCUUGACUGAGAAUUCCCUUCAUUACUAGAUUGGUAAUCUAUUCUGGUCAUAAAAGCAUAUUUGAGUUCUCUCUCUUCAUAAAUAGUCAUAGGUAUUCAAUUUCGAACUUGUUUUGAAUAUGUUGGAACCUUGUUAAUGCAUGCUGAUUCACGACUGUUGCAGCCCUGCCUUGAUGUCGAUUGGUCCCUGAUUUUAUGCUAUUGUGCUCAAGUAAGCAUGUGCAGUGAUAUAAGAUUGUGUCAUGGUGAAUUUCAUGUUUGCUUGGGAAAGAAAUUAUGUCAUGAAUGAAUGAAAUUCUACUGAUCUGUGGAUGCUGACUCUAUCUUGAUAUCCCUGAUUUGGUGUGCUUUUGAUUCCAGCUUGAGGUUAGUUCAGUUAUGGAUCAUAUAUGUUCAUGCUAGGAGAAAGUAUUAUGUUGAAUCUCAUGCCAAUUUUGCAAGAAUUAUAGUCAUAUGGCUUGUAGGAAGAUAUGGCUUCAAUUUCAUGUCUAUUAAUCAUCAAAAUGAUCACGAUUUGCAGUCUUGUAUGCUUUGUUACAAUUCUGCACAUGUACUGGAAGUUGUGGAAUAAGAAUGAAUUAGAUGGAUUAUGUCUUAGUUUGGUUGCCUUUUUGAUAUCGUGUGUUCUAGUUCCUUGUCAAUUCCACUUGUUCGGAUGGUAAUUGCAUGAUUAAAUUGAUGAGAUGGAUGCUUGAUAUUGCCCUGAGAGUGUUGGCCACUGCUGUUCAGAAUGAUGUUUCAAAGAGACGAUUUUUGUUUUCCUCCCUCCCUCAUAGAGUUCACUUGAGGGUUGCUUUUGUGAAAUCUAGGGGAAAGGGAAGAUUAGUCACCAGCAUUACCAGUACCCUGCCCUUAAAAUCCAUGAGGACCCUACCCAUAUGUUUUACUAGGAGUAGGUGCAUAGUUCCGAUUGUCUCUCCUAUUAACCAUUAUGCACUUGAGGUGCAGAGCUCCAUCUAUCUCCUUGCAGCAGGUCUCUCUGUUGCUGAUAGCAAUUGUUGUUAUAACCUUGUUAACUGUAGUUUCCCUCAUAUGAAUGCGCCAGAUCUCUCCUCUGUCCUUGAUAUGGAUCCCUUCCACCGGGGGCACAAUCCAUAUUGCCCAUUGGCAUGGGAUUUCUUCUUUCACCUUGCCCCUUGUUUAUUUGCCACUCAGCCUCCUUGCCAGUCAUAGUUUCUAUUGCAACCACGCAUUUUGCCCGCCCAACCUCCAUACUAAACUGGAGGUGGUCUGAGUAAUUACUCCAUUUUCAUACUUGUGACCUAAUGACUUAGUAAGCUCAACAAAACAACAAGCGUUGCUAGGUCACAAAUCAUAGACGCAUUGGAAAGUUGAGGUUGUGGAAUUAGAGGAUGAAUGGAUUAAAUGACUGAGAAAAUUUGGCAGAGAUGUAUAGUAGGUGAAAUUCCCAGUGGAGUCGAGUCAUACAUCCGUACUCCUCGAUUUGGGGAUCAAUGUAAGAAUCUGGUAAUACGAAAACAACUCCUGGUAGAUAGGAAACUCAUCAAAGACACUUGCUUUUGAAUUGCUCUGACUCUGUUUCAGUCUAUCAUAGCUUGAUAAGUGGUUGUGCUACAUGCACAAAUUCUCUUUUUUGAUUCCUCAAAUUUAAACACGAGUAUCAAAUGUCAUCUCAACUUUGCAAUGUAGAUCAUGCCACGGUUGCCUUGGGACAUUGAUAGUGGACUACACUCAUCACAAAAAGCACUUAAUUCUCAUGAUCAGGAAAUAACAUAUCCAUGAUGUUAUGGUGCUAAAUGUAAGCAUCAGAUUAACUACUGUCGAUUUUUAAAAAAGGUGUCAAGAGCCUAUGCUCAGGAUAGUCAUAUCGACCAUCGCAUAGGUCCAACCCGCCAAUGAAAGCCGUUAUUUUGUGGUUGUUUAGCAAAACAAUUUGUUUGUCUCGAGAAAAAGUACACAAUAGGAACCCCCUGCUUCAUUGAAUGAUUUUUUAAGGUUACAUUAUGGUUUUGAGUUAUUUUUCAAUAGAGAUAAAUUUUACUAUAAUUAGUCAAUGAAAAUUAGUUAUACACGUUGCCUGACAACACUUGUUAGUGAGGGUAAAUUGCUUUUAGAAUUAUGGAUGCCCAUGCUGAUUCAUUUUGGUAUACUUGUGCCCAAUUUAUGUAUUCUUAUUUAUCAUUACAAAUCCUUGUUUGACCAAAGAUCUCCAUCCGUACUACCUUAACAUCUUGUUUUAAGUCGCUUAAAUAUUUUCAACCUUUCCUCUCUUUUUCCGACGUGGAUAACUUCUUAAAAACAGAAUGUAACUUCAUUUAGUAUUAAGCAGAUAUUGAUAUUUUCAAACUUUCCUAGCAGGAAGGAGGGAGGGAGAAAGAAAUUAUGAAAUUAAAUGAAGGCGUAUAAAUGAGGAAUUAGUGGAAAGGAAGUAGAUAGAGCUGAUAUAAAAAGGGUGCAAAAUCCUUUGAUUAGAGUGAUACUUCACCGUUAUGAUAAUAUUAUAGUAAGAGAACUCGUGAAAUUGAUCUGAAUAAAUUUUCUAUUGAAAAUAUCAAUAUGAUGAUCCAUGAAGUUUCAUAAAAAAAAAAAAAAUUUUGAUUAGUUAAAUCUGACAAUCAAAAAUAAAUUACUAAUGAAAGAGAUUAUUAUCUGUGUUGACUUUAGGGGAGGAUUUUGUUGGCUACAAAAGACUCUCGAGUAUUAUUAUUUUUCUAAUUUAAACAAAGAAGGGCGAUAAUUCAUCCAAAUUACAAAGUUCUAGUCGAAAUCAAUACCAUGAAAUGGAAAAGAAUGCUAUGAGAUAUUAAAUGAAAAUCGAAACUCUAAACUGAAAUUGAAUGUGGCUUGAAAUAAAAGGUACAUUUGACUGUAAUCUGAUAGGGAGGAACUCAUUUUGCAUUUCCUUAUGUUUUCUCCCACUUUUAAGAGGAAAUAUUUUUGUGAGCCCACAAGAAAAUUUUUCUCUGCCAUUCUCUUCUUCACUUCCCUCCCACUCAUUGCAGCCCAACAAGGAAACAAAAUUUCUAAUUCUGUACCAUAACACGGUAGGUUAUAUCUUUGAAAAUCAGAAUGGGUCAACAAAUGUUCAAACAUAGCUUGUAUUUCCGAGCAUGCUUACUAAAUACUAGUUUGACACGCUAAGGUAGCUUAUUAGCAUUGGUGUAUUGUCCUCGAACAUAAUGGUAAGUUCUCCCAUGUUGAAUGUAGAUUAUGACUUUUUGAAAUUACAAAAUUUGGCCAAUUUUCCAUUGCCUUUCUAAUUGCAUUUAUGCAUUAGCAGAUAUGGAUUAAUGAUCCCAUUAACAUACAUAUAGAAACAUACUAAUGCACUUUAUAUUCACUUGUUCCAUUAAUGACAGGUACAUCAUUGCGUAAUGGAAGAAUGCUUGGCAAGCUCAGUGCAAGGCCCACUUCUUUAUUUUUACUACUUACAACUAGAGAACUCUCUCUCUUCCUCCCUCCCGCGCUUGGUCCUCUGUCCAACCCAAAGCAAGCACAACCUUAAUUUUCAUACUCCCAUAAAGAAAAGUCCUUCCCCUUUUGGGUUGAUUGUGGGCAAGGAGGGAUUCAAAGUUUCCCCAGAAAUAGCAAACAGGGAAACCCGAGCAACAUUAUCUUUUCUUUCUACUAUAAAUUCCGAGAAUCUCUAUUUUUUACUAAGACACCUGUUGUUGGAUUGAAUUCUAACGAAUCAUUCGUGAAUCUGUAAAAAACUCUUUAUUUAUUAAAUAAAAUAAAAAUUAGAAUUCAAUUCUAAUUUAAAGACAAUAAUAGAAUAGAUUAUCAUAUAUAUAUUUCUAUAUUUCACAUAGAAAGAUAAAGAAGAAUAAGUCUCAUUUAUUUAAUUAUCCAUUUCUUGCACUUAUUAUUUAAUAUAUAUACUCACUUAGAUAUACUCAAUAUAAAUAUAUACGAAUUAUAAUUAUACUAAGACAUCUUUCUAACAAUAACAGGUACAAAUAUUAAAUCAAGGUACCCGUUCUAUGGUAAUUUUUAACAACUUACCCUCUUUCUUUGUGCCUUUAGUGGGCCUCGGACUCACCGGCUUCCACCCCGGCAGUGGCAAAUGACUUCAACACUUCUUCGCCUGCCCAGACAUCGACUACCGGGGCCUUCUACCUGUGGAAGACCACUCGAGCAACCAACUCCACCUCUCUUUUGAACAAGGGAUUGCCGCGGGGGACGUUGGCGGCAAUGAUAGUGGGGAUUAGGAUGGGGGACUGAUUCUGCUGGUUGGGGGCAGCACCACAGACAGUGGAAAGUAGAUACACCACGAAUGUGGAUAGGGCACGGUGUGCGUCAUGGCGAAGCAAGGCGGCGUGGCCGUGGCCACCGUGGCCUGUUAGUGUUGCAACUGCAAAGGUGCCUCUCUAUUGUUACGAACCACGCCACCGUCUCAGCCGUUGCCCCCCCGAGCCCCACCGUCGCCUGUCGAAGCCCCAUUGACAGCUUCAAUUCGUCCCCUACCACUCUCUCUCUCUCUCUCUCUCCCGGAAAACGAUUCCACUCUACUCUCUCUCGUCCAGCAAACCACGCUUACGUUGCCUCCCAAAUAAUAAUUGUUUUUUUUUUAAAGAUAGUUUUCUAGUUCACCUCAUGCAAGACGACAUUUUAAAGCUUUGAGUUUUAAGGGCAUCCAAUUUGUUAGAUAUCACUGAUUUUCUCAGGCGAAUCUAUUGCUGUUAGUAAUUUUUUUUCAUACAGUUAGUAAAAUUUUAAAUAGAAUGGUAUCUUGUGAUAAAUGAAGUAAGUAACUUAUACUCAGCAUCCAUAAAUUUUAUUGGUCGCCUUUAGUUUUCUGUAAAUACAUUUGUUUAUUUCAGUACAAGUCUAGAUUCCCUAUUCAAAUUUUCACCUUUACUUUUAAUUUGCUUGUAUUUUCAAUUUCCUGCAUUUCGACUCGAGUUGUUUAUUGUUUCGAAAAAAAAAUGAUUUAAUUUUUCCGAAAAGAGAAACCGAGUGUAGAAAAUAGAGGUAAGAGAUACAAAGGAAAUCUCAAUAAUCGAGCCGGUCUUUCUCUCAGUAACGAAUGAAACUCAAACUGCUGACUUCAGAAUUUUCAAGUCUGAAUUUGAGGGAAGAAGGGAACAUUGGAGUCAAUUUCGUUUGCAUAGCUCUUUUGCAACAAAGGGAUUGAGUCGACUAAAGCCUUUUGUUGACACCCAAAUUUUUAUUUCACAAAAAUAAAGAUAAAAAUAAAAAAAUGAAUAAUGAAUAAAAAUGGAUCAAAUAAAAUGAAUGAACGAUGAAAAAUUGAGUCGUGUGGGCCGGAGUGUCUAGCCCACUUGGUUAUUUCCGGUUCACCCCUUAACCGGGCUUCCCAUUUACUUUAUUCUCUUGGGCCUAUUUCCUUCUUUUUCUUCGGCCCACCAGGGCCUACAAAAGAAGCCCAGCCCAUCACUCAUUCUUGCUCUUGCGCGCACGCGCUCGUGUGAAGACCGUCUGUGACUCUGGGACGCAAGGAGGAGAGAAGGUACAGUGACGGUCACCGAACAAAUGCCCGUGAGCGAGGGAUGAGAAAGGAGCCUGUGACGGAAGCAGAUCCGAGAGCGUGAAUCUUAACCGAUACACUCGCGGCUCAACCCUGCGAAAUCGAGAUAUAUUCGUGCGAGAUGAUGAUGUCUAGAGCCUGUCGCGUCGUGUUUUGGUUGGAAAAUGGUGUAAAAGCUGAAUCAAAAACCUGUUCUCGUGGCUGCACAACCUGUGUUCGACAAAAUGCUCGAACGAUGCGCCCAAAUCCAUGUUAUCCGAUCGACGUUAUAAAUUUAGUUCGAGGCUUGAUUGCGCAUAUUUUGUUGACGCUCGUCUGCUUUCUUCGUGUUUUGCUAUGUUUUUGUUUGAUUUCACGGCCCACCUUUUGAUGUUCGUUGACGGCCAUGCAAAACCGAACUUGGUUCGGCCGUCGCCGGCGACGGCGGCCGGAGAUGUAAUCUGGUGAUGGUGUGUGGUGGUAUGAGCGCCGGUGUCCGUAGAUGGCCUCUAGUUGUAUGGGUUCCAAAAAUGGAGAAGCAGAUGAACGUUCGGAGUGAAAAAAUGGCUUCGGGGAAGAAAAGGGGAAAAAGAUUAAGGGCAGCAGAAAAGGACUUGAUAAUGAAAAAGACAAAAGAGGAAAAAAAAUUUAAAACAAAUCAAUAAAAAUUUCAAAAUAUAUUUUUUUGUAAAUCCGACCAGGUCGGAUCUGGGUAGACGGGUUGGAUCGGGCUUAUGAUCCGAACCCAUUCCCCGAAUAUAAUAAUAAUAUAUAAUAAUAAUAAUAAUAAGUAAAAAAAUUUGAAAAAAAUCCAAAAAUAAAAAAUCAAUAAACAUUUAGAAUUUUAGAAAAUCAUUAAAGAUUUAAAAAAAAAUCCGAAAGGUCAUCAAAAAAUAAUAUUUCGAAAAAAAUUUCAAAAAAUUGAAAAUUCAUAAAAAUCAUAAAAAUUCAGAAAAUCCUAGAAAAUCCAAAAAAUUCAAAAAUUGGAAAAUUUCUAUAAAAAGUGAAAUGAAAAAUAGGGUUUUUUUAGGGCUGAUAUUAGAAUGCUUGUAUAGUUUCCUUUACAAUUAUAACUAAUUGUGCAUUUCAAUAUUUUGAGUAUUACUUUUCUAUUCUAGAAUGGUUAAGACGAUUCUUAGAUUUCUUUUGGCUAGGCUGUUAUGGUGUUCGUCAGCACAUAAUCGAGUAGGUACUAAAAGGGCAUUAGUCUUAAUGCUAACGUAAUCAAAUUCUCGAAUGCAGAAUAUCUGAUUACAAAAAGUAAGAUAUCCUUCCAUAUCUUACUUAGCUUCUAGUCGACCGAAAAGGCUAACAGCAACUCCUUUGUCAAAAUUUGCGUAUGCUUAAUUGAUUUAAAAUUUGAACGUUCGAUAUCGUGCGAAGUAUUGGCUUGGGAGAACUUGAGUCAAUGGAAAGUAUGACAACACCCCUAAACAUAACUCUCUUUCCCCCAAGGGGUUAGGUCGCGACACCUUCCAUUAAGAACAAAACGACACAAUCUAGAGCAAUAACCGUAACAAUAAUCAUCGAUGCACCAUUUUGAUACUAGCAAGAUCAUCUAAAAGGAGUUUCGCCUGGAUAUUAAAACGGCCGAAUAAGAAGGAAGCAACUGGAAUGACAUUAGCUGGAGCUUGAAGUCAUGGAAACGAGCAGCGAUGGAAAUGGUCUACAUCUAGUACGCCAGAAGGUCUUUCUGGCAGAGACAUUACUAGCCGAAGACAACGAACGUGACUAGGAAUCUCUGUCUCCUCCAAGCUCGGCGUCAAGGCAGAGCAAGCACUCCUUUCUUUGGUCAAAUCAAUAGCGACAUCCUCGCAGGGCGGAGGAGGAGGAGGAGGGGAAAGAAGGCCAGGUUAGGGGAAAAAGCUUAAAUGUUGCUGUGAUGGGGCUGAUGGGUUUGAGCUGCAGAUCAAAUCAAUGGGUUUGCUCUUGUGGGCCGCACCAAUUGGACCAACUUGGCCUUUUUUUAUUUGUUAUUUAUUUUUAUCUUUUAAUUAUUCUCUUUUUUUGUUCUUUUUACUACCAUUCAUUGUUUUUAUGCUCUUUUUUUAGGAAAAAUGUAUGCUUAAUUUGUCUACUAAAAUUUAGGGCUCGACAGCUUUAAAAAUAUUUACCUAAUAUUCAAAGAAGAAUAUCAUGCUGUCACAAACAAACAACAAGACAUUGUAUGUGUCGUUGUGUCCAAUUUUAACUUACCAAAGGCUAGAGUAGUUUCUUGAUCGAUGGAAGAAAUGGGCCAAAAAUAUGGGACAAUCCAAUCAAAUAGAAUCAGGUAUGUGUUAAUGAAAUAUUGACUCAUCUAAAAUGACUUCAUUUAUGACUCGGAUUCAUAUGGACCUAAUUUCGAUCUCGGCCAUUCGGUGGGUUGAAGUCCCAGAAAUCACAGUGGAAGAUUAAAUAAAGAUUGGUACAAUGCAAGAGAAAGAGAUGGCUUUUUAUAAUGAAAGAUGAUUCUUUCGUGUUUUAUUUUUCCUAUUCAAGGAUUCUUUUUCAAUUUAUUUAAAGGUUCUCAAAGUGAAGAAAUGAUUAAACAUGGCAAAGAGUCGAUAAAGAAGCAAAAGAAAUGAAUAAAUAUGUUAAGAAUAACAUAGGUUUAAAUAAAACUGAUGUUUACAAAGUUUCACCUAAAAAAAGGGACCAGGUGACCGGUCAAGUGGUCCAAGACUUGAUUUGCAAGUCAAAGGUCGCAAGUUUAAUUUCCCAAUCUAUUAUCCAUUUUGGGAUAAUUAUGCGACUAGCUUGGCGGAAUUAAUUUGAACAAUAUCUUGUGGCAAACACAUUCACCCGUUUGGGGUCAAAGAUUGUUGUGGGCCGGAGAAACUCCAAAUAGAAUUUCCAGCAAAAACAUUUGAGUCGCCGUUGAUGCCCCUCGAUGAAGGGCUGUGACUCCACUUCGACGAAUUUCCACUUCCACCAUGAAGUCGAGACAAUUUCCUUCAUGCGCAAUAGCAUAAUCAACAAAAAUCUUUUUUGACAAUAACAAUUAUAAUAGGCAAUUUUGUCUCCAGAAUGGAAAAAAAGUCAAAUAUAUGGUGGAGUAGUCAGCUAUGUAGCACCGACACGGACACGUGACACGUGACACGACACGACACGACACGUCGACACAUCAUUUCUUAAAAAUAGAGAAUUUCGACACGUUCCGACACGUUAUAUAUUAGAUAUAUUUUUAUAUAUAAAUACAUAAAUAAAUAAUAAUAAAAAUAGCCUAGAAUUAAUUUACACAAAAAAUAUUAAAUAAUAUCAUUCAUUAUUUUAAUUUGUUACAAUAAUACACAAAACUUAGAGGAAAAAAACAUUGUUUAAAGAAAAAUGCUGAAAUUAUAUUUUUAAAUUUAUUUAUUUAUCAUAUAUAGCAUUUUUUAUUACUUCUUUCAGAGUAAAAGACUUUUAAAAAAAAUAAAACAAUUCUAAAAAAUAAAACUGAAAAAAAAAAUUGACCCCGUGUGUGUAUAUUUAUAGAAUAUUGCCCAGACAGAGAUUGAAUUAUCGGGUAUAGGGAGUCCAGAAUUCUUCAGGGAGAAUUUUGGUGUCUAGAAUUGAACAACUUGCUCCUGUGUCAAUGAGAGCAAUGACAGUGAUCGGUUUGGCAAACUUUGAGGUGAGGAUUUUAACUGGGAAGUGUGGACAAUGGGUUUGACUUGAAAAUAUGUUAGAGUUUGGUUCUGGGGAUGAAGGUGAUAUAUGGAAAAUAUCCUCAGACUCUGAGUCUGACUCAGUCUCACUGGAAGUUUGGUAGGAGGGAAUAGCACAAAGAGUUUGUUCAGAUGGUUCUUCAUCAACAGAGAAUAAGGAUUCAAUAUCAUCAUUUUCAAGAGAAAUACCUAUUUCGCUUUCAAUAUGAUGGAUGAAAUGAUUCUGACCUUUUCUUGCUUGAGGACAACUUUUGGCGAAAUGUCCUUUCUGAUUGCAAAUGUAGCAACGAUUUGAUUUUUUGUGGCUUGUGCGAUCCUUUCUUUUGCGUAGGUAUCGCCAUUUCUUCUUUUUCCGGAAAUGCUUGGAGCUUUGUUUGGAUUUCUUCAUCCAAAACUUCUUGUAGUGCUUCUUCUUGCGGGAGUGCUUGCCACAUGUUCCAUCACAGUCUUUUUUGGAGCAUUUAAUUUUCAAAUCUUGUCUGGAGCAGGCUGAUUCUAGGCGUCUGUCAUCUGUGAUGUAUGUUUGCACCAUUCUGCGCUUUAAGCAUAAUUCUUCAAGGCAUAUAUGGAUCUCUUGCUGUAUUUCUCCCAAGGGAAUAUCUUGUAUCUGCCUUUGUUUUCCAAAGAAUGAUCUUUCGACCAUCUGGGAUAGUUCUUUUGGAAUGGAAGUAAGGAAAGCAUGCUUCAGAUUUGGUUCUGCUCCAAUCUGAUAAAAGGUUUGAAGCAUUAACUUGAAAUGCUUAUCAAGGUGCUUCUUCUGGAGGGAGCAGCAUCGCCUUUCGAAGAACUCUCUUUUUUUUUUAUCUCUAUGAGAUCGUCGGGUUUUCCCACAAAGACAUGAUAUAAGAGAGUGAUUGCAUGGCUGAACGCGGGUGACAUUAGGAAAUGGAUCUGAUCCUGUUCUGAAAGGGAUUGCCACCAGUGCUUUAGGCUUCCUGUAAAUCUUGUAACAAAGUUGUACAAUACAUCAUUCAUAUCAUGGUUGGUGAUAGACAGUGUAUUCAUCCAAGUGUGAAAUUCUUCAAGUCUUAUCGGCCAUUUUUGAUAAGGAAUAUCAUCAAUGGUGAAGAAUUGUUUUGAUGCAGUGGACACCUGGUGAGUAGGCUUGCUUGUCUGGCCUAUUUCGGGGUCAGAAUAAUCUGAUUCCAUAUCAUCGUCUAGGGAGUCAGCCAUGAAUAUUGAUGAAGUAAUUGGUGCAAUAGGAAGGGUAUCAACUGUAGGAACUGAGAAGGACGAUGAAGAGGAAGUAAGGGAUACUGAAGAUUCUGUUUCAGUUGCUGAAGAUUCUGUUUCAGUAUCAUAAGAAGCUUGCUUUAUUGAGAGCAAAGUCUGCUUUUCCGGAGGAUCAGGUUGUUCAUGCUGUUGGAUAACAGAGUCAGGUUCCUGGGUGCCUAAAUCCUUUAGAAAAAUUUCUAAUGGAUUUGAUAGCAUCAUCUGUUCUGGUCUUUCUCUUAUAAUAAUGGAACUUGAUCCUGUAGGUGGUGUUUUUUCUUUUCCCUUUUCUUUCUGUAGGGUUUUGAGGCGAUUUCGCAAAUCUGCCAUAUCCGGUUCUCUUCUGUAAGGAUCUGUUGGGAUAGUGGCGAAAAUGGAUUUUUUUGGUGGUGGGGGUAAAUAUCCAGUUUUAGCAGGAGGUGCUAAAGGAUCAAAUGGUCUGAACCUUCCUUCUUCAAGAAGUUGGAUUUGGUUCUUGAGUUUUUCUAUUUCUGGCUUUGGAUUUUCAAGAUAAUGGUACCCAAGAUGUUGUCCUGAUUCCAAGGCGUGAAGCCUUUUCUGGAAUUCAGAGAGUAUCUUUUUGGUACUUUCGUCAUACCUUCGGAGAUCUUGUUGCACAUUUCCGAUUUUGGAGUCAACUGCCUUGAAGGCAUUGUUUUGUGCUAACAGAGUCUCUGAUUGCCAGUUUAGAACAGCUUCAGCAGCAGAGGUUUUUUUUUGUCUUCCAUGUUCGUCCACAUCAGUGGGAGUAGAAACUUUAGGAACAUGUCGAUAUCUUCCUUGCGGAUUAAUAAACUCUUCUGCAGCCGGGAAAGAGAGUUUAGAACCUUCCUUGACCAGGGGCGGAAAGUCAGCAUCCUGGAACAUAGCGAUAGAAGAAGUAGGUGGUACUUCUUUUGGAACUUCGAAGGGGUAAGAAUGCUUCUUAGCCCACUUAAGAAUUGGCUUAUAGAAAGGAGAGAGGGUUUGCUUUUUGUGAGGAGGAGAUGGUGGUGGUGUUUUUGGUGGAUCUAGUGAGGUUUGGAAUAUAGUACUGGACUCUGGUGAUGGUGGUGGUGCAUAAGAAACCAGGAAUUGGUAUUUGUCGCUUUCACCAAGAGUAUCGAUGGAUGAAUCUCCAUCUAAGUACCUUUGGUACAUUUUAUCCUUUGGCCUUUUCCGCCGAGGUGGAGGUUUUUCAAACGGGUUUACCUCGUCAGGAGAAUUUAUACAGGAGGAACAUGGGCAGAAAGGAUCCCAAAAACAAUGGCCAUAAUUGUCUUGAUAGUAAUGAACAGGAUGUCCAUCACCAUCAAAGUGUCGAACAUGCUUUUUUGGAUCUGGCUCAGAAAUGGAUGGAGGAACACAUGGUUCAAUCAUGAGUAAGGUUUGGAAAAUGGAAGGACUUUCUUCCUUUUCUUUGCUAAAUUUGAUGGAAACCGUUCCAUCUUUUUUCCUUACGACCUCUGAGUCCGUAGAUUGGAUAGGCUUGUUGUGCUGGUGUAGCUUCUCAUAGUUGGUAAUCCAGGUUUCUGGAAGAAGCUUGGCUAACUUCUCCUUUGGAAUCUGUCUGGGAACAUGGAUGCAGGAUGCCUGGUCAUUUUGCAUGGAGAUGAACAAGGCAUCUUCAUUACCAUUGUUGAGGUUAAGAUCAAGCGCAUGGUUUUGCACUCGGUAAACCGUCUGGUAAUGUAAUGUUGCAGCUACAGAGUCAGCAGUUUGAGGGGCUCCAGUGAGUUGAAGUUGGACUUUCAUAAAAGAAAGUAACUGAGGAUCUGAAAGGGCUAUGUUGAAGUUGGGGUAUAGAGUGACAAAGACGGUUCCUGCAUUCAAAGUAGUCUGAACAGUACCAAUGCAAGCAUGCUGGUAUUGUAAAAACCCGGUGUCUAAUAAUGCUAUUCUUGCCACAACCGGUAGACCUUUACGACCAUGGAACGUGAGAGCAAGACGAACAGCUCCAUAAUGGACAUGAGUGUAUCCCUGUUGAGCCCAUUGUCUGGGGAAUUCUGGAGGGAUCUGAAGAGUAACAAAGUAUUCCUUUUCAGUAGCAGGAAUAGGAUGCUGGUCGAAUUUGGAGGACUGGACGUACUCCUUUACUUGCUUUGGGCUUUGGUGAAUUAGCUGACGGAUGGAGCGAAUCGGUGAGAAUGAUGAGUUUGGUUUUGCAAAAGCAGAAUUUCUUUGUCAGGCUUCCUUUUAAGAAAAAUGAAGAUAUAAACCCAACUAAGGCAAGCCACGUGGGAAUGAAGCCAGAACAUUUGGUUCUAGCCCAAAGGGAAUGCUCGGAACUUUUACAACAAGGACUUAUUGAAGUCUCUGACUCACAAUGGGCCUGUGAAGCUUUUUAUGUCAAUAAACGUGCCGAGCAAAACAGAGGAAAAAUGAGAUUGGUAAUUAACUAUCAGCCUCUCAAUCUUUUCCUUCAAGAUGAUAAAUUCCCUUUACCAUCUAGAGACUCUCUCUUCAGUGGCCUAACCAAGGCCCACAUCUAUUCCAAAUUCGACCUCAAAGCCGGAUUUUGGCAAUUGGGCAUCCAUCCUGAAGACAGAUCCAAAACAGGAUUCUGUAUCCCGAACCAACACUUUCAAUGGAAAGUUCUUCCUUUUGGCUUAAAGGUAGCACCAUCCCUUUUCCAGAAGGCCAUGUGUCGUAUCUUCCAGCCAAUUCUAUCAAGUGCAGUAGUAUACAUUGAUGAUAUCCUGCUCUACAGUCCUGAUGAACAGUCACACUGUCAACUUCUUGAGCAGUUUGCAGAAAUCAUAAAAAAACAUGGUAUUAUGCUUUCCCAAAGGAAGAUGAAUAUUGCCCAGACAGAGAUUGAAUUUCUUGGUAUGCACCUUAACAAAGGUACAUACUACCCAGGGCCGCAUAUAGCCCAAGAAUUAUUGAAGUUUCCUCAGGACAAUUUCACAAUAAAGCAAGUUCAGCAAUUCCUCGGGAUAAUUAAUUAUCUCAGGGUCUUUGUCCCAAAUAUUGCAAAACUCCUGAUCCCUUUGCAAUCCAUGCUGAAGAAGAAUUCCCCACCUUGGGGAAAAACUCAGACCAAAGCAGUAGCAGAACUGAAGGAGAUUAUGCAGAAUCUCCCACAAUUACAAAUACCAUCAACAGGCAAGAGAAUUCUCCAAACUGACGCCAGUGACGAAUACUGGGCAGCUGUUCUCUUUGAAGAAAUCGAUGGUAAGAGACUCCUCUGUGCUCAUAAAAGUGGAAAGUUUUCCCAAGCUGAAAUGCAUUACCAUUCCACUUUCAAAGAAAUCUUAGCAGUCAAAAAUGGAAUCAAAAAAUUUGAGUUCCACCUCAUCGGCCACCAUUUUCUGGUAGAAUUAGACAUGGCAUCUUUCCCUCAGAUGACCAAGUUUAAACAGAAGCAGAUUCCAAAUUCCCAGCUGCUUCGAUGGGCUGAAUGGUUUUCAAAAUACUCCUUUGAAACUAAGCAUAUUCCUGGAAAGAAGAAUGUACUUGCUGAUUUCUUAUCAAGGCCAAAGGCACCAGCCGAGAUCAACAUGUAUAUCAAAAGGCCUGCUUUCCAUAUGCUCAACUAUGGGGUAAAAUACAAAAUUGAGAACAUCAAAGAUUUGCAAAGCUGGAAAUAUCCCCAGGAGAUUAUUCAACAAAUCCAGAACGACAGCCUUGAUGAAAACAUGAAGAACCUCAUGUGGCAGAGCCACACAAACCUAUUCAGGUUCAACAGAGGUUCGAUUCUUUAUCCUUUUGGGUUAAACAUGAAUUAUCCAUUCAUUCAUCCUCUUAUCUGGAAAGAAGAUGAUUUUCCUGAACAGCUCAAAACGUUAUUAUGGUACUUAACCAAUAAGUAUCUAAUAGCCUUUGAAAUCCCAACCAGAAGAUUCAUUGCUAACCUCACAAGGAUAUUCUUGCUCGGAAGAAACAUUGAAAAAGAAUGCGAUAAGAAUCUUUUAGAAUUUCUAAAUUGGUUCUAUCAUCCUACAUGUUGGAAACAAGACUUGGAAAAAGAACUGAGAACCAUGACACCAGAUCCUGAAGUCCAUACCAUCCUAUUUUUCCGACGCCCUUGGAAUUUUUGCAGAAAUAAUGGUAGUAUUCUUGAUGCACCACUGGAAAUAGGAACUACAUCUUAUAAACCUAACUUGAACAGCCGAGAAUCCCGGAUUUACAAAUCUUAUCCUAGAUCUGUUCGAAUCUGUGAAAGUAAAUAUCGAGAACUCCAGAGAAUCCUAUGCCAGGAAAACAAGACCAUUCCCGAAGAUAUUUGGAAUAAUGCACCCACUACGUGGGAUCAUUAUGAUCUAGCACCAGAAGCUAAGGAAGCACUCGGACAAUACAGACAAGCCUCAUCGUCCCAAGAGCCUGAAAUGACAAGCGAAGAUGACGUUGUCCAAUCCACCCAAGACCCCUAUGCACGCUUUGGAGGAGCUCUGUCCCAGGAUCCCUACGAACAGUUCCAAAGCAUGGACACAUCUUUUUAUGCAGAACCAUCCAACUGGCCUCAGCCAAGAAUUAUUGACCUUCAGCAAGAUGAAGAUACAAACUGGGCUGAAGAAGAAGCAUCACAUUGGGCUCAUGAACAAGCAUCCUCAUCACGAAGGCUGAAUCAAAUUCUCUCACCAGAAGACCUUGAAGCCCUUGAACAGAAAUACGAGGCACAUCUCCUAGAAGAAAACUCGGAUGAUUCAACUUGCGGCUACAAUGCUCGAGACGGACGAGACCGUUGAGUCCGUACAAAUUUACUGUAGCAAAUCACUGUUCACUUUUACUGUAGCACUAGGCUAGGGAAUGUACUGUUCACAGUACAGUUACUGUUCAUAGUGUGCGAAUAAUUCCCUUUCGGUGCCCCUGUUUGUCCCCGGACCCGUGAGCUAGGUCCCUGUGUGUGUCCUUGUCACUUCUUAUUGCCUAUAUAAGGCAAGGAAGGUGUAUUGUUUUGGGCAGAGUCCCCUGAAGUAAAGUGUGUGCUUUGUGAAAAUCUCUCCAUGGCUUUCUAAAUCCCUCUUCUUCUUCUCAAAUCUGGUAGGAUCCUUCAAGAAAGGCAGCUUGGAUAGAUUAGAAAUGAUUCCAUCCUGGCAUCUCUGAGUGUCUCUAGGCUCUGAACUAAAGGGCUGAGUGGUUUUUUGCUAACAGGCUGUCCCUGAAGGGCUAGGUUCGCCCAUGUGGGAUGCAUACCUGCAAAAGAUUUACUCUCCUUCCCUGGUUCUAAGUCUAGGUCCAUUCAUGGUAUCAGAGCCAUGGUCCCAUUUUUAAUAAAUCCAUUCCAUGCGCUUGGCAAGAGAAUCCAGAUCUGAGAAGAUCUCCCCUCAUAAUGUCUGCAGAACCAGAAAUCCUUGAAGCAUCAGUUACCCUGGCACCUCCAGCUUCAUCUUCAAUACCUCCAGAAUUUCGUGUUUCUAAUGCUUCUAAGAUAGACUAUCUCUAUGAAGUCUCUCUUAGCGAUGAAACCAAGAUUUCAGAAACCCAACUCCCCCUCAUGAACCCUUAUUCUGCUUUUGCAAAACCAAACUCAUCAUUCUCACCGAUCCGCUCCAUCCGUCAGCUAAUUCACCAAAGCCCAAAGCAAGUAAAGGAGUACGUCCAGUCCUCCAAAUUCGACCAACAUCCUAUUCCUGCUACUGAAAAGGAAUACUUUGUUACUCUUCAGAUCCCUCCAGAAUUCCCCAGACAAUGGGCUCAACAGGGAUACACUCAUGUCCAUUAUGGAGCUGUUCGUCUUGCUCUCACGUUCCAUGGUCGUAAAGGUCUACCGGUUGUGGCAAGAAUAGCAUUAUUAGACACCGGGUUUUUACAAUACCAGCAUGCUUGCAUUGGUACUGUUCAGACUACUUUGAAUGCAGGAACCGUCUUUGUCACUCUAUACCCCAACUUCAACAUAGCCCUUUCAGAUCCUCAGUUACUUUCUUUUAUGAAAGUCCAACUUCAACUCACUGGAGCCCCUCAAACUGCUGACUCUGUAGCUGCAACAUUACAUUACCAGAUGGUUUACCGAGUGCAAAACCAUACGCUUGAUCUUAAACUCAACAAUGGUAAUGAAGAUGCCUUGUUCAUCUCCAUGCAAAAUGACCAGGCAUCCUGCAUCCAUGUUCCCAGACAGAUUCCAAAGGAGAAGUUAGCCAAGCUUCUUCCAGAAACCUGGAUUACCAACUAUGAGAAGCUACACCAGCACAACAAGCCUAUCCAAUCUACGGACUCAGAGGUCGUAAGGAAAAAAGAUGGAACGGUUUCCAUCAAAUUUAGCAAAGAAAAGGAAGAAAGUCCUUCCAUUUUCCAAACCUUACUCAUGAUUGAACCAUGUGUUCCUCCAUCCAUUUCUGAGCCAGAUCCAAAAAAGCAUGUUCGACACUUUGAUGGUGAUGGACAUUCUUUUAUUAUUUCUUUUGUGUAUAUUUAUAUUUUGACCCUUCAAGUAUUAUAAAUUUUUAAAAUUCACCCCGUGCGUGUCGGAAUCGCGUGUCGGAAUUCUGGACUCGCGUGUCGGAAAGAGUUGACCACGUGUCGGAUUUUUCGACACUCGUUGACCGCGUGUCGGAGCGUGUCGGGACGUGUCGGAGCGUGUCGGACACGUGUCGGAGUGUCGGACACGACACGAAGGCUUUCGGAGAGUGUCCGUGCUACAUAGGUAGUCAGCACUAAGCAUUUGACCCUUGACAUUUCAUUUACUUCCAAAUAUAUAAACACAAAAUCCUUUUCUUCUCUCGAAUAAGUAUAUACUUUAUUUGGUAUUUUAGCACAUGAAGUUAGAAUCAAUGCAAAAUUGCAACAAUCAAGUCAUAACGAUGAAUUAAAUGUUGAUGAUAAGCUUUUAUAGAGGAUGAUAAUGUGAGAUAGUCGAAUAAAACACGUAUUUAGUAGUUAUUGUAGCUCGAAGGCAAUUUUAGUACAAAGAAAUGGUGUAGUGCCUCCCUUGUUUUUAAUUAGCGGAGCAUAAAAUUUGGGAGACUUUUUUAAAAAAAAUAAUAAUUUUGGAUUCUUUGAGGUCAAGCAUAAUCAAAGGGCGCAUUUUUAUUUGUAUUUUUUUUAGUGAUUAUGUAGAUGUUGAAGAUGAUCAGAUGACACACUGAACAACCUGAGCGCAUUGCCAAGAGAUGCAAACGAUCUACAUUAUAGUAACUCAACCUUUUGCCUACUGUCUCUAAUAAUUCAUCCUUUGGUAGUGAAUGUGGAUUUUGACGGUACAAUUCACGUUUGAUGUCAUGUUCCACUGUAGAAAGAACAGGAAAACACGAUACUGUGGCCUUCCAUCACCUAGAAGGUCGACAUUGUCUUCCUUGAAUUUUUCAAAUGUAGUUCCUGUCAUCCUUGCUAAAAUAUUCAUUCACCUCACUAGCAAUCAGCACCGGAGUGCUCGAGGCCUGCCGUUCUUUUUUGGGGCACAUGUGGCCCAAGAGCAUGGGUCCGAAGUGGCACGGCCCAUUGGCCAUCCUAGCUAAAAUCUAUCUGGGCUCAUGCACAGAUAUUCGAACAUUUUCUAUAGUCGAGGACCCUUCACUAAAAAAGAGUGUUGCCCACACCUUCAUACAUAUUUUUGGAGCUCCAAUCCAUCUCAUUCGAACAUCAAAUCAUUCCCAUCUUGCAUUCACUUUAUGUCCCUCCUUUGCUAUUUCCUGUCUUUCACCGAAAGUGUUACCGACGGCCUCGCAGAUAAUUUCGGAACCUCAACCCAUCGGACAUCUGUAAAAUUUCCCAUCUCGUAGUCACUCUGUGUCCUUUCUAUCCUUCACCGAAAAUUGUCGGUGACAGCUUCGUUGACGUUUUAGGACCCUCGACCAAUCUGAUUCGGACAUCUAUCCACAAUUCGCAUCUCCCCAUCCAAUCCGUGUCCUCCCUGUCUUCUAUCCUUCACGGUAAUUCAGACAUCUGUCACGUGUCCCAUCUCGAAACGAGCAAGAGUCCAGAAAAUGCAAUAUGUUAUGGCCCCACUGAGCGUGUCUUUUCAAGGGAAGAAGGAACUCAUUUUGCAAUCCCACCUUUCCCCUCACUUUCCGGAUAAAAAUAUCCUGUGGCCCCCACAGGAAAAUCUUUCUGUACCAUCCUCUUUGUAUUACUUGAAUCUUUAUUUCCCUCACUUCUUUCCCCUCAAUUCCUGAAACCCGCUUCAUUCUACGGAAUGGCUCCAUUCGGUUUUAUAUAUACGGGUCUUGCCCUCAUAAGAAAAAUCAAGGUAGCAAACAUUUGGAGCGGCUCCUUGUCUAUAAACAUCUUUCGCUUGAUGUGAAACUCAAAAUGUAAAAAUUCUCCCACAAAUGUCAAUGUCUUCGUCGACAAUAUGUAUCGACUUGACUAUAAUUGCAUUAGUAGACGUUCCUCAAAGAAACAUUAGAGCUUGUUGUUUUUGUCAUGCCCAUCAAGCUAUACCAAGAAUGAAGAAGUACAGACGAGAUGUUAGAUGGUUUACACAAAGAACAAAAGUGGAUGAACAAGAUGAUGUAUUGAUCAUCAGUAAUGGUGCAUGGAGAUGUUUUACAAAAGAGCCAGAGGUUCUUUUAAUUUCUUUCAUUGAUCAAUAUCUUUUCAUUGUUUACGUUACCUAUUUUUCAAUAUAGAAAUUAAACAUCAUACCUUUUUAACUAGAAAUUUUUGUUAGGCCCUAGUUGAUAGAAUAGCAACUCCUAUUACAACACUAAAACAACUAUGCGUGCAUAAUUACUAUUUGAUUAUAUCGAGUUAUUUAAAUUUUUUGGUCAUACUUAUAAGUAUGUUUUCCUAUCGUUUAAAGCAGUUUUUGUUUUGGGUGAUCGACUGAAUAUGUUUUCUUUUUCUUUUGGUUAGGACGAUUGACCGAAUUAAGAGGUUGGUUUUUUUUAGAAUAUUUUUCGCUCUUAUUCGUAAAACAAUUUCUACGAAUUUGGGACCAAACGUAUAAUCAUGUGUGGCGUUGCACAUAUUAAGUCAAAGCUAGCUGCUACAACAUUUAGACAGAUAGAGAGAGAGAGAGAGAGAGAGAGAGAGAGGAUGGUACGGUGGAGUGGGGUCCCUCGACGUGAUGUUGAAAAAGCAAGAAGCUUUAAUAAUUGCAACACGAUAUGUAUAAAGUUAUAUUGUCCGUAUGCAUCAAGAGGUUGACACAACAUGAACCUUCGAUAAUUGCAACUUGAUCCACGAUGGCCAAAAAACAGCUUAACUCCACCCCGGUUAAACUCUUAACCUCACUUUCUUUUGUCCUCCUCCUCCUCCCCUGCAUUUUAGAGAGAGAGAGAGAAGAGAGAGAGAGAGCAGCAUCAGAGAGCAAUGGUCGUGGACGUGUGUGGUGGGUAAAUGUUAGGGAAGGAGAGAGACACUCAAGGAUUUUGAUUUUAUGGAGAACCGGAAAGAGGGUCAUUGAGUUGUUAACGAGGUAUAAUAAAUCAAUGGAAUGGGGUGUUCUUUAGAACUAUUAAAGUGAGGUUUUGAGAAAUAAAUGACGAGCAUAAUUAGCAAUUUCUAUAGAAAAGAAAAAUAAAAAGGCGGCUUUUAUGGACCUUCAAUUUCUCUCGAUGGAGUUGAAUAUGUAGCUCAAAGUCUAUACAUGUUCACAAAAUUAAUAGAUUAGUGUCUCUUAAAUAUUAAUGGAGUGCCUAUGUAUCCCAUGAAUCUCCAUCAAAUGCAGGGGUCCCUCCAUUUCAUACACAUCUGAUAAUUACUAGAGAUAAACAAUUUAUAUUGAUAUACCUAUAAUAAAUUUACAUUUUAUAUUACAUUCUUUUGAAGAUGGGCAAGUUGACAUGCUUGAUUUUAUCAUCUCAAUUUCUAUUCGAAGUUGGUUUUGGUAGCUUAGGGGCUGCAUGGAAACACUUCUGUUCUUUUUUUGUUCCAGGGAACAAAAAUAAAAAAAAGUGUUUCUGUUCCGGGGAACAGUUUUUGAACAAAAGAAUGCGUUUGGCAACGUUUGUUUCGGGAAUAAAAAAUGAAUAGAAACACGUUUGGUAAAUUUUAUUCUUUUUUUGUUUCUUUUAAUUUUUUAAUAUUUUUAUUUUAUUUUUCCUUUCUUUUUUAUUUUUUCUUCUUUCGGCCGAUCGCCGGCCUCAACGAGACCGGCAGCCUCGCCUAGCCAUGGCGAGGCUCGCCGGCCCCCAGCGAGGCCGAGCGUCGGCGAGGCUGAGCCUCGUCUGGGGCCGGCAACGCUCGGCCUCGCCUUGGCUAGGCGAGCUCAGGCUCGCCUAGAUCCAGCGAAGCCGAGCCUCGCCAUGGCUGGGCGAGCUCGAGCUCGCCUAGAUUCGGCGAGGCCGAGCCUCGCCGGGGGCCGGCGAUGCUCCGGCGAGGUCGCCGACCCUCGACGGCGUCACCGGCCCUCGACGGCCCGUCGCCGGCCAUGGCCGAGGCUGGCGACCGGCCAAAAAAAAAAAGAAGAAGAAAAGAAGAAGAAAAGAGAAGAUAGAGAAAAAGAAGUGUUUCUUCAAAAUCAUUUCUGGAAUAAGAAGUAAGUUUUUUUUGUUUCUUUUUUUUUGUUUCAAUUUUGUUCUGGGAACAAAAAAAACAAAAAAAGAACAGAAACGCAAUCAAACACGUUUCUGUUCUUUUUUUGUUCCCAGGAACAGAAAAACAAAAAAAUUGUUCAGAAACAGAAAUAAGAAGUGUUUUCAUGUAGGCUCUUAACAGUCUAAACUUGGGAGCUGAGCCCCCAUUCCUUUUAUACAUAGUUACUUGAGUGUCAUAAUUUUUUGUUGAUUAAUUUGGUGUCAUGAAUUUAAAAAAAAAAAAUCAUUUAAGUGACCUAACUUCGAAUAAGUGUCACGACUUUCAAUUGAUCAUUUAAAUACUACAACUCCCACCACAAGUGUCAUAAUACGUGGCACUUUUGGGGAACGUUUUCAAAAAGAUUAUAGCACUAAAGUGAAUAUUUUUUAGAAGUUUUAUAGCAUUUAAGUUAUAAAAAAAAGUGAUGAUGCUAUAAUUAUUCAAAGUUAGCCUUAUAUAACUAGGGCAUUACAGACGUUAACAUGCUAUGAUAAUACAAUCACGCAAGCACUGCUGCACUGCAAGAUGCAAUUGCAUGAAAAUGAUACAAACUUUUACCGAAAAAAAUGAGACGAGAAAAGCAUUUUAGUCAAAACUGGUGAUCUUCACAUGGUACAACAGUAGAAAGUAUUAUUGCAAUGAGCGGACUCUAAUAUUGUCCAACUUUAUUAAAGCCGAUACUUAAAAGAGCUCAUGAAGUGAUUGAAAUUGGAGUGCAUCAUCUGAAUCGGAUUUUGGACUUAUAAAGAUGAGGACCUCGGGGCUGUUGACAGCCAGAGCUGAGCACGUAUGAAAUGAUUGAUGGACGGUGAUAGUGAUAGAUAGCUGGAUAAUUCCCGCAUUUCACAAGUGGUGGGGUCCGAAGGCGAUUUUAGUUCCAAAAGAAAUGGUGGAGUGGGUUUUUUAGAUCCGUUAAAUUGAGGUUCUCAGAAAUAAAUAAUAAUUAUGCUUAUUAAUUUUUAUAAAAUUAAAUGAAAAGGCGUCUUUCGUGAUCCUUCAGUAUUCCAAUGGAGUCAUGUGCAUAGCUCAAUGCAUAUUUAUAAGAUUAAUAGAUAGGUGUCUUUUAAAUAUCAAUAGAGUGUCUAGAAUUCUUUUAACACUAAUAAUCCUCAUCAAGUAUGACGGUCUUUUUGUCCCACACACAUCAAUGAUCAUCGGAGAUACAUGUCUAUGCUCCCAAAGGUGGCCCUAAGUAAAUGCACAAAUUUGGUGAUUCAUUCACAAUUACCAUUUGAGCAACCUCUUAAAUUUAAAAGAUAGGAGCCGCUUAGUUUUCUUGAAAGAAAGCUGACAUAAUUUAAAGUGAAAACUGUUAAUUUUUCCUUAUAAAAAAUUAUUGAUUUUGUAAAUGAUAUAUAUCAUUGUGAUCAUGGAUUUAUAUCACAUUCUUUUGAUAAUAUUUUAGUUGCCACCCUUGAUUUUUUAAUCUCAAUUUAUAUUCGAAGUCGAUUUUGGUAGCUUAAUGUUCUAAACUUGGGAGCUCAGCCCCACUUUUUUUUUUUUAAACUCAUGGGAAAGGUUUUGAAAAUAUUUCUUCUACACUAGAAAUAUGUCGUUAAAGUUUAUAUUCAAAUGAUGACGUGUGAUGAAUCAAAAUCUAAUUAUAAAAGUUAUGGGUCACGAGGUUCAAAGGUCUUGGAGUUGAUGGUCACUGCAUAAUUAGCUUAAAUAUUAAGAUUUAUAUGGAAAUUGAGUGCAACUGUUGUGGAUCUUAUCUUUCCCGGAGAGGUGUAAGUUGGAGGAACAUUUCUCACCUUGGCAGCACCAUUCUAGUUUGUCGACAUCAAAAUUUCAUGUUGUCGCGGUACUGCCACAUAUUUCAAACAAAUUUGAAAACUUGUCAGCUCUCAUUAUCGAUGAAUGCUCGGCACUUUCCUGUUUUGAAAGGCUUGGUGAAGUUGAGGAAACUACGAAUUACUAGGUGCAAAUGCCUCAUAAGGACACUAAAUCUGUUGGGCUACAAUCCUUGGAGCCUCUCAAUUAGAAAGACUUGUUGAGAUUCAAGGUUUGCGGGCAUCGAGAUCUUUGUUGCACCUAACAGUUUCCUACUGCGAUUCAAUUGAAAGAUCACCUAAGCUAUGCAAGCUGAAGAAGCUUAGGUAUGUUGAACUGAGGGGUUAUGCUAAGCCAAGAGCCAUGGACAGCCGCAGUAGCCUAGGGUCUUCUUGCAAACCAAAGGUUGUAGAUCUCUCGAAAUGUGCCACCCAUGUUGUCGAGAUCGACCAAAAGAGAGACGGAUUAGAUGUCUCUUUAUGAAGAUUGAUUCCUCAUGAGGGACCUCAUCAGUUUGAUGGUUGAUUAUAUUUGAACAUUUAUAAUCAAGCAAGUUUUAUUCAUGGUAUGAACAGAAAGUAUCAGAAGCAGAAGUACAAUAUGGUUAAUGUGUAUGCAACUUAGUGGAAGAGAUUCAUCUAUAGACUUAUCUAUCAAUUCUUGGGAUUAAUAUUUGACAACAUGCUUGUCCUUGAAUUAAAUUAGUGAUCGAUGGUAAGAAAAUUAGGCACCGGUUCUUUGGCGGUGGUUGUUGUUGUUCAUGUUGUCGUCGUCAUUGUUAAUAAUGGGGAUAAUUAAUCAAAAAGUCCAACACCUAUUGUAUGAUGGUCAGUUCAGUCCUAAACAUUUCCUUUAUGUCUAUUUAGUCUAAAAUCUUUUAAUGAUUUCUCAGUGUAGUCAUCUCAGUCAAUUUUAAUUGGAAAUCAAUGACGUGAAUGUCUAACGUCCGACAUAGUCAAUUUUCUAAUAUUUUAUCAAUCUUUUAAAUUGUCUAUGCGUAGAACCAACGUCAAAAUAGGUAAAAAGAAAGAUAUUCUCCUAUUAUGUAGGACGCUGAGCCUAAUGAUUUUAAGCUUCAAACCGAACUCUAUAGAAAUGACUUGACUCGGGAUGAGAUAUAAUUUGGUUCUGAUGAACCGAAGCAGUGGAAAGUGGCCCCAAUCGAGGUGGCCUGUAUAGUGUUAAUUGAUAUUGACUGUUGAGCCACAAGAUUUAAGCUUACUGCAAUAUGGCCUCUUAGUUACCAACUUACCACAUGUCGUAUCCCGGUUCCCUAGUUUCCAGAAAUCUACGAAUAUUUAGUUGAGUGGAUGUCACCCUGUUUUGCAAAACAACGAUCACAUAUUAUAGACAACUCUAGUUAUGAUAACAAGUUAAUUAGCCGAGCAACUUAUUGCACGUUUUAUCCAGCCUUCUAAGGUCACGUGAAGAACCAAUCCCCCGUUGUAUCUUAUCGAGCCCAAAUUCAGUGUCAUGAUUUCUGCACAAUUGCCAUACCGCACAAACAAUUACAAAUUUUCAAUAAUGGUUGUUUGUAUGGUAUGACAAUUUAUGUAGGAGUGAGGGGAAAUUUGGGUUCAAUAACGGAAAAAACUUAUAGAUAAAAUAAUCAGAUUCUUCUAAGAGUGGGUAGAGCUUAAUAUUACCCGACCACAAUACUCGAAGCAGUGUGCAAAAUUGCACUGCACCACAUGUACAGGAGUUAUUAUUGCACAUUGACGUUCCAUAGUUUAAGUUCAAAUACCAUAUUUUCUUGGAAGUUGUAUUAAAAUGUUAUUUUAUAGUUCUUCAUUUGACUUGUUUUGGCAAUUCUUCUCAACAGACAGACGCGGGGAACUCUAUCAAAUUGAUCGUUCGUGAGUUUCCGGUUAAGCUGAAGGUCAAACAUAAGUUCAUGACUGAUCAUUUGGUCAUAUUGAAUGAUCAAGAAGAAGGCAUAAUGAAGACAUCGCUUUGUUGUAAUAUAUAGCAUUGGUGGCAAUUGCAAGAUGAUUUUGGUGGUCCUAUCAUUAUCUGCUAGCUUUAACUCUUGUGCAACUUGAAGAGUGCAGUUGGCCAUUGAAUAGUGCAUAUCUUGAUUCAAAUGCUUUCCAAUUCUAAUAGAAGUUAAUUGAGAUAAGAAUAUAACAAUCGAUGUAACUUUUGUACGGCAAUUAUUCGAAUGUCAUGAUUUUUUUAUUAAUUGAGUAUCACGACUUUUAAAAAUAAUAUUCACUUGAGUGACCUAAUUUUUUAAUUUUUUUUUUAUCUAAGUAUCAUAAUUUUUAAUUGGUUAUUUAAAUUCUAUAACUCCCAUACCACAAGUGCCAUGACAGGUAGUAGGCAGCACUUGUGGGGAAUGGUUGGACAGAACCCGAAUUUUGCAUUUCAAAUCUAAACAGGGAACUCAUUUUGCAUUUCCCUCCUUUCCUCCCACUUUUGGCGGAAGAAUAUCUUUUGCAACGUGACCCACGAUGCAUCGAACUCGUACUGCCCAACUGCAGCAUGAAUGAGAUUGACAUAACAUGAAGCUAUAAUAAUUGUCAAGUGAUCGACGAUGGCCUAAAAGCAAACUUAACUACACCUGGUUAAUUCUUAUCCUCAUUUUGUUCUGUCUUCAUCCUCCUGCGCGUUUUAUAGAGAGAGAGAGAGAGAGAGAGAGAGAGAGAGAGAGGGGGCAGCAUCAGAGCAACGAUGAUGGACGAGUUAGGGAGGGGAAGACACGUAAGGUCUUGGAAUUUGGCAAUGAGAAGCGUCGGCCUGUGAAUUGUUACGUUACUUAUUUUUUUGCAGAGAAUUUGAAAGAACGUCGUUACGUGCAGGUUAUUGGCAAAGAGAGAUUAGACAGAGAGAUCCAUAUAAUCCAUGAAAGAGGCUGACAUUAUCAAGUGCAUGCAACACUGAUAUGGAAUUAACGAUCCCUUAACAUAAACACAUAAUUACAAACAAAUACACUUCGUAUUCUUUGGAUCCAUUGACGAGAUGUGAUCAAUCAAACAAAAUUGGAUUUUUUUAGAACUAUUGAAGUGUGGUUUUGAGAAAUAAAUUAUGAUUAUAAUUUGUAACUUAAUUUGUAACUUCUACACAAAAAAUGAAAAAGUCAUCUCCCAUGAACCUUCAAUUUCUCUUGAUGGAGUUGUGCAUGUAAGUCAUAACCUAUGCAUAUUCCAUUAAUUAAAUUAGAUUAAGAAAUAAAAAAGGGAACUUGUGAUGACAUUUUUCCGAAGUUAGCCUUAGGCCAUUGCAGACUUAUUGCAUGCAAGAUGCUUUUACAAGGAAAAUAAUACAAUCUCUUGAUAAGAAAAGCAUCUUGGCCAACGCUGGUGGUGGCCAUAUAGUACAACAGGAGAAAGCAUUAUUGCACUAAGUGGACUCCAUUAUUGUCCAACUUUAUUAAAGCUAAUGCUUAAAGAGCUCGUGAAGUGACUGAAAUUGGAGAGCAAUUUUCUGAAUCGAAAUUUGGACCGUGGCUGCUGCUGAUUUGCUAGAGCCAAGCAUUGCUCUCGUAAUUUUUAGCUGGCACGGCCUGAAGUCAAUUUCAGUACCAAGGAAACGGUGGAGUGGACCCUUUGUUUUCAAUCAAGCGCGCUCACAUGGAUACAUAUGUUCUUUUGGAAAUUCCAUAGAUGUUGUGUAAAGAUGAUAGGACCAUAUGCUGAAAUAUGAAUGUGAAUACAUCAUAGAGAUACGACUUAAAAAAGAUAUAACUAGAAUCAAGUUAUUCAUUUAUUAGGAUAUUCAAGUGAUUGACAUAUAUAUGGUUCUCAAUUUUUUAUUAUUAUUUACAGACACACAUAUAUUAUCCUUUAGAUUUGUAUUAGUGGUUAACGAUCACGUGUCAAGAUAUGACGGAUUUUGCACUUCAAUCUCGGCUUCUCCUACUUAGAACAACUUUAGAGGCGACGCUGUCUUCUGGUAGAUGAAACCUUACGCGAUACAUGUAAGCACAGGCAGCUUGCAUGCAUCAACAAAAGUACGAAACAAAGCCAAGGUUCGUCGAGUCCAUGCAAAAAAAUACGGGUAAGGUAAGAGUUGCCAAGUUUCUGAUGAAAGAUAACAUCACAUGGACCAAAGAUCACGGGAGCCUCAAUAACAAGUACUGCGAUUUUCACAAGUAUGAGAGGGAAGUUGGGACCAAAUAUGGCUGUGCACAUAUUAUGUCGAAGCUAGACGAGACAACGUUUGGAUGGAGAGAGAGAGAGGGAGGGAGGGAGAGAGGGAGAGAGGAUGGUACGGGGGAGUUGGGCCCCUCAGCGUGAGGUUGAAAAAGCAAGGAGCUUUAAUAAUUGCAACAAGAUCCACAAUGCAUGAAGUCAUAUUGCCUAUAUGGAUCAUGACAUUGGCAUGACACGAAGCUUCAAUAAUUGCAACGUGAUCCACGAUGGUCAAAAAGCAACUAACUCCACCCUAGUUAAACUCUUACCCUCGCUUUGUUUUGUCCUCCUCUUCUACGUUUUAGAGAGAGAGAGAGAGAGAGAGAGAGAGUAGCGACAGCAGCAUCGGCCCAACAAUUGUGGACGUGCAUGGUCGGUACUUGCUAGAGAAGGAGAGAGACACAAGGAUUUGGAGUUUGCAGAGGAUCAGAAAGAGGGUCAUUAAAUUGCUAAGGAGGUGCGGUCAAUCAAUGCUAUUAAAGUGAGGUUUUGAAAAAUAAAUUAUGAGCAUGAUUAGUAAUUUCUAUACAAAAAAAAAAUGAAAAGCCGGCUUUCAUGGACCUCCAAUUUCUCUUUAAUAGAGUUGUGUAUAUAGAUCAAAGUCUACGUAUAUUCACAAGAUUAAUAGAUAGGUUUCUUGAGCAUCUGAAUCUCUAUCAAAUGGGUGGUCCAUUCAUUUCAUGCACAUCAAAUAAUUACUAGAGAUAAAUAGUUUUUCUUUUUAAAUGGGCAAGUUGCCACACUUGAUUUUUUUUCAUCUUAGUUUCUAUUUGAAGUUGGUUUUGGCUACUUAACGGUCUAAACUUGGUCGUUGAGCCCCUGUCUUUUUUUUUUUUUUAAUUCCUUGGAAGGUUUGGUGACUAUUUCUUCUAUAUUAGAAAUUAUUAUUUAUUUAAAUUCUAACCUUAAUCUCACAUUAUUCAUGUUUAUUCAUUUGGAAAAAAAUAAUAAUUAAGAUGUUGGGAAUGAGAAACUAGUUUCAUUAAAAUUUACAUUCAAAUAAUGAGGCAUAGUCAAUUAAAAUCUAACCGUAAAAUUUUGGUUCAUCGGCUUGGAAGAAUUUGUCGUUGAUGGUCAUAGCAUAAUCAGCUUAAGAUUGAUAGGGAAAUUGAGCACGACUCUGAUGGAUCUUAUCUUUAUUACAUUUCGUCAAAUAAAUUGGGCGUUAUCGGAGAUGCAACACCUAUCUCCUGCACAAUUGAUGUGGGGGGCUGAACAUUUUCAUAAUACUUUCCACACGUCAAUUGUCGUACAGAGCAUCUAAGCAAAAGCAAAGAUAGAUGGGAUGGUUCGGUGGAGUUGGGCAGUAGCCUUCACGUGCAUAAAGUCGUACUUCCCAUGCGCACCACCAGGUUGAAUAACACAAGCUUUAAUAAUUGCCAAGCGAGCGACGGUGGCCGAACAACAAACUUUAACUCCACCCUGGUUAACUCUUAACAUCACUUCGUUCGAUCUUCCUCCUCCUUUGGUGUUUUAGAUAGAUAGAGAGAGAGAGAGAGAGAGAGAGAGAGAGCAGCAUUAGAGCAACCAUGGUGGACGUGUUGUUGGCACGUGUUAGGGAGGGAGAUGCACGUACGGAUUUGGAAUUUGCAAUGAGAAGCGUGAAUGAUUUCAUUAUUUUUGCAGAGAAUCGAAAAGAUGGUCACUACGGGGAGGUUAUUAGCAGAGAGAGGUCACAGAGGAGGUGGUCAAGCUCGACCAUUGAUUAGAAUGAGAUCCUUAUAAUCCCUGAAAUAAGCUCACCUUAUCAUGUCCAUGCUAUGCUAAAAUGGAGUCAAUGAUCCCCUUAACAUGCAUAUUUACAUACAAACACACUUUUUAUUAACUAGUACAGUUAAUAAGGUGUAAUUAAUCAAUGAAAUUGGAUUUUUUUAGAAUUGUCAAAGUGAGGUUCUCAAAAAUAAUUGAUUAUGCUUAUUAAUCUUUAUAAAAUUAAGACUCAAUUCAUUUCUCAAAAAAUUCAUUUCUCGGAAAAUAAAUCGAUUGAGGAAAACAUUUCCCUUAAGGGAAAAAAACUUCUAAAAUAAGGGAUUGUCUUCACUCACUCUCUUUUAUCUCACGCUCUUACUAGUCCUCACUUCCUUCUUUUCAUUUCUUUUAAAUUCGAUUUUUUGUUUCGCUUUUCCUCUUUCUUGACUGGUGCAGGGCCCUGGGGCCUCGGAGCUACUGAUAAUUGAUGGACGGCGAUGGUGGCAGAUAGCUUGGACAAUUCUCGCAUUCCGCAAGAUGUGGGGUCUGAUGGUAAUUUUAGUCCAAAUAGAAAUGGUGGAGUGGGGCCCACUUGUUUUAACUCAGCAUCCUUAAGGUCAAGCAAUGGAAGACGCAAGGGGCAUCUUAGGGAACAUCAAUCUGGUAACGCCACAUGUAUGUAUUAACGCUCCGUGCCCCUCUCUCCGACCACCAUUGCAUCGUCUAAAUGAUUUCUUCCUCGCUCUAGAAGCCCUCUCUUUCACCUGAUCUUCUGCGGCUGUUCUUUUUGUUUGAACCGCCGCGUGUGCACCGUAUUGAAUCCUUCCUCUUCUUCAGUCAUUGUCGUUUCCGGGUUCCAUCAGUUUCGCCUUCCUCGGAAUAUAUAAAUUCUUAACUCUCGUUUCUCCGCAAAGAAGAAGGAAAGAAAGCCAGAACGGUAGAAGAAGUCGAAAAGUGGGGAAAAUUGUUAGGGAAAUCCCUAUGAUGUUUUGAAGAUGACAAAAUAAAUCAAAGGCUACUAACAUGUUUGAUGGUUGAGUAAUAGACCAUACAGAUGAUAGAACAUGUAAAGGUUAUUGUCAAAGUGUGAAGACGACCAGAAGACUGAACGUAACUCAUGUCCAAAGUAUAUUAUGAAGAUUUCCAGACUUUUGUGUCAAAGUCUAAAGAUUGCUAGACUCAAGACUCAAAGUCUGAACACUGCCAGACUUUAGUGUCAAAGUAUGUUCUACAUCAGAAGUCUGUCAACUCUGACUAAUUCCAGACUGAACGUGAAUGCUGAACCAGAAGAUAGACUCUAUGCUGAAGCUGAACUGGGUACAGACCUUAAAGCUAAAUCUGUUCAGAAGCAGAAUAUGUUCAGACUCAGAUUGCAAAGUUUAUCGCACUCAGACUCAGAUUGUAAAGUCUAUGGCUAUCAGACUUUACAUCCAGAUUUGACAGAACGUAACUCAAGCCCAAUCAUAUAACGGCUAGUGAUCUGGUUUGGAUUCUACAUCAAGAUUGAUUUGAUUGACUCAAUCUAUUUGAUUGACAAUUGGAUGUUGAAGACAAGAUCUUUCUAUACGAAGAAGCUUUACUUAUGGAAACCAAGAUUUUGUUUGUAUGGGCGAUCGGAAUCAAUUUGGGAUUUUACCUUUGUCACUCAACGGCUACCAAAUCUUCUAGAUACAGAGCUGUCCAAUGGGUAUAUUGGAAGACGAUUCUCCGGGAUACUGUCCAACGGGUAGUUUGGAAGUGGAGGAGUAUUUAAGGAGAUCAUGGACUGAUGAGCAAGUAAGAGACGGAGCGUAGAAUUUAUAAUUCCAAAGUCUGAGCGAUCUUCACUUGUCUCUUGAGAGCUUAAACGUUUGUAAUCGUGAGAGAAAUACCAAGAGAGUGACUUAGUGAGAUAGUGUAAUCUACUACUAAGUGUUUGCACUCGAAGUUGUAACCUCUUGUUGAUUGCAUAUUGGAAUCCAGUCAAGAAGGCUGUUAUCGUGGGAGAGUGGACGUAGGCUUGGAUUAAGCCGAACCACUAUAAAUCUUGUGUUCUUAUUCUCUUCCCUAACUCCUUUAUUUUGUUUAUACUAGCACUCUAAAAAAUGGCGGAUAUUGUUGUGUCUGUAGCUUGCGAAGUGGCAAAGUGCCUAGUGGCUCUGAUCGGUCGGCACUGCGGCUACGUAAUGUCCUCCGACCGCUACGUUCGCCAGCUUAAUGAUGAAGUCAAGAACCUAGGUUACACGAGGGAUGAGGUGCAGCAUUCCAUCGAUGAAGCUUGAAACAACAUGAAGCCGAUCAAACCCAAGGUCGAGAGAUGGGUGAACGACGUGGAGACCGUCGCUAAUGAGGCGCGUGACGUGCUGGAUUACGACGGAAGAGCUAAGAAAACUUGCUUCUAUGGGUGGCUUCCCAACCCAAAGGCGCGAUAUCAUCUCGGCAAAAAGGCGAGCAGGACGGUCAAGGACAUCCAGGCACUUAUUGCAGGGGGUCAAUUCGAGAAGGUUGACUUCGAGAAUCCUCCGCCAGGGCUUGUUGGCGGUGCUUCCGACGUGAAUUUGUCGGCCGGUGAUGGGGGCGACUUUAUCACUGAUUCGCGAGCUUCCAUCUUUCAGGGCAUAAUGAAAGCUCUGAAUGAUGAGAAGGCGAAAGUGGUUGGGGUCUAUGGGCCUGGUGGCGUGGGGAAGACUACGCUGUUGGAGAUAGUCGAGAAGAAACUCAGGAAAGAGGGGAGACCGUUCCGCAUGAUCGUCAAAGCGGAAGUCUCGCAGACUCCGGAUUUAAUUGAUAUUCAAGGCCAGAUUGCUGACACCUUGAGUCUGAAUCUGAAGGUCAAGGAAACCCGACAGGGAAGAAGUGAUAUUCUGUUUCAGAGAUUGCAGAGGGAUCCAAAUGAGAAGGUUCUCAUAAUAUUGGACGACCUAUGGGAGGAACUUGAUUUGAAAGCUGUCGGAAUUCCUUCAGGAGACACAAGCGGAAAAUGCAAAUUGUUGCUUACAUCGAGAUUUAAGGAUGUGCUGGAGCAGAAGAUGCUUUCCGAUCGAACAUUUUUUCUUGAAGGCUUAAACGACGAUGAAGCUUUCAAGCUAUUUGAAACGACAAUUGGCGACAGGCUCAAAGACAAAAAUGAAUUGAAAGUAAUAGCCGCUCAAGUGGUGAAGAAGCUUGCAGGUUUGCCUCUUUUAAUUAUCUCCGUCGCGAGCACCUUGAAAAAUAGCAGCGUGUCUGCAUGGAGAAACGCUUUGACAAAAAUAGAUGUAAAAAAAAUGGAAACCAUAGUGCAGUUGAGUUACCACCAUUUGGAGAGCGAGGAUGCUAGGUCUUUAUUCUUGCUCUGUGGUCUUAUCGGCGGGACCAUUCCGGUUGAACUUCUACUUGUACUAGGCAUGGGGUUGGGCUUGUUUGAGGGAUACAAUAACACGAUACAAAUUUCAAGGGAUAGAUUGAACACUACACUUGAAAGCCUCCAUUCCAUUUGUUUGUUGCAAGAUGGCGGCGAUGACAAGGAAAAUGUGAUCAUACAUGAUCUUUAUAGCGAGGUGGUUGUCUCAACUCCAUUUGGAGGUCAGAAUUCUUUAAUGAUGAACGGCAAUUAUGGCUUAUGGUCAAAGGAAAAGCUUGAGAAAUGUUGGGCUAUAUGCCUAGCUGAUGUUCACAAAAAGAGGCUUGAUGAACUAAUGAAGUGUCAAUUUCUUGACUUGAAGAUACUCAUGUUGUCUCGUCUAAAAGACUGGCGUUGGGCACGAGAAGACUCACACUGGCGUUGGGUGCGAGACUCAGACAAAGAUGAAUUGGUAGAGUGCUUGAGACUACUAGAUUUCACGUCCAUGAAGGGGCUCCAUGUCCUAUAUUUUUGCUCCAUGCAUAUCACCAGUUUACCUCCCUCGAUUGGAAUCCUCGGGAACCUCCGCUCUUUAUUCUUAGACGAUUGCAAUGUGGAUGAUGCGGCAAUUCUUGGCAAGCUCAAAGCAUUGCAGAUUCUUAGCUUCGCACGAUCCACCAUUUCUAGGUUGCCUAAAGGAAUCGGGGAACUUACAAAUCUAAGAUCGUUGAAUCUAAGUGAAUGCAAAAAGCUUAGAACAAUUGAGCCUGGUGUCCUAAAAGGCUUAACCAACUUGGAAGAGUUAUAUAUUUACAGCUUUUCUCAAUGGAUGGGUAAGGAUCAAAUACCAUCAAAAUCAUGUAAUGCUAGGCUUGCUGAGUUGAAUAGCUUAACAAAGCUAUCCUCUCUGGAAAUAAUGAUCCCUGAUCCAACUAUGCUCUUGGAGGAUGAUGACCUGCCAUUUGGGAACCUGGAUAGAUUUCUGAUCAACAUAGGACUUGUGGAGUGGGUGUAGGAAUUUAAAGAUUUGAGAGUCAUGAAACUCAAAUUGAAAGGUUGUGAGAGUAUUCUUUCAAAAGAAUGGGUUCAAAAAACUCUACAGAAGACUCAAUGCUUACAUUUACAUGAGUUGAGAGAGGUCAAAAAGAGCGCUCACGAAUUGUGCACCCAAGGAUUCAAAGAAGUGAAGUACAUCAAGAUUGAACGCAGCCCCUUAAUCAAGUACAUUGCCAAUUCAUCCGACGGCCUCCCACUCACUGCUUUUACAACAUUAGAGUCUUUGAUCCUUGUAGAACUUAUUAAGUUGGAGAAGAUAUGCCAUGGCCCCGUCGCACCAGAGUCCUUUAGCAAAUUGAGAGCCAUUAGGGUCAAAGAUUGCCACCCAUUGAAAUACUUGUGGUCUCUUUCAGAUACGCAAAGACUUGUACAGCUGAAAGAAAUUGACGUGUGGGAAUGUAAGUCAAUGCAAUCCAUUGUCGCACAUGAUGCAGGAGAGGGUAUAGUUUCUACUGAUGACAGAGUUGAGUUGCCUAAUAUAUGUCAUCUGAGCUUGAGUGAGUUACCAAAUAUGAUGAGCUUUUGUGCAAAGUUGAAAUCACAUCAGAGGAUACUCCAAUCCAGGUAAUUUUUAUUUUCAUUUUUUCAUUUUUUCCCUUUGUCAAUUUGUCCUGUUAGGAUGAGAUGAUAUUGGUGUUCACUCAACGUCAGUACAUAUUGCAUUUAACUUUGACUACUUGUACAAUUUGAUUCAUGUUUGAUUUACAGAUAAAAAAAAUCCUCUCAAAUAGAACACAGGCCAUAUUAAAGGGAAGCCUCUUUCCACGACUGAUUUUUAAAUAUAUAUAUAUAUAUAUAUAUAUAUAUAUAUAUAUUUUAAAAAUUGACAUUAGAAAAUUGCACUACUUACUUGGGUUCCUACUGUGACUAAUUUUUUACUUAUUUAACAUUCUUAAUGAGAUGAAAAAAAUAGUGUCCUGAACGAAUGAAAGCGACAAUGAAUCUUGGAUGAAUAAAUAAAAUUCAACAAUUUGAAAAUAAAGAAAGCGACGUCCAUAAAUUUAAUAAAUGGAUGGAGUCACGUAACAAAGAAAGUCCCCAUAAUUCAUGUCCCGUCUAACAUACAAUUUGCAAUUGAUUCCAACAUAUCAUGCAAAGUUAGUUGCCAAUGUCACUAUGUCAACAUCACUGUGCAGUUGAGCUGCAUUAACAGCAUGAUAGCGGUGAGGAUAUCCUCAUGAAAAUGAUUUCGCUUUUCAUGGAAGAGGGUUUUUUUUUUUUUUUCUGUAUUUUAGCCCCGGAGUUCCACUUAUUUUCUCAUGAAAAUAGCUUUACUUGUAACAGACUCACCUUUAAUGAGUUGCAUCGUGACACUUCGUUAGGUUUCAUUGCCUCACUUGGAAUCCCUGAAAAUGAAUGGACUCCUUGGCAUAGAAAAGAUGCUCUACAAUGAACCUUCGUUAAAAUAUAGCAAUUUAAGAUCACUAGUGAUAAACAAGUCUAAAUCCAUGUUGAAGAGUAUUCUGAGCUCUCCAUUGAAGCUGCCGAAUUUGGAAUCAAUGGACACUGUGAGCUCUCCAUCAAUAGAAGUAGUUUUCGACUUGGAGGAGCUAGAGGUUAGAGGAGAUGUUGAGAUCCUAUCUUAGCUAACUGCAUUGACAUUAAAACAAUUAUCAAACUUGCAGUGCAUGUGGAAACGGGAUGUGAAAUUACAAGUAAUAUCGAUACUUCGUAACCUAAGGAAGCUCUAUGUCUAUGAAAUGGGGCUAUCAUCUCUCUUUUCGAUAUCUGUGGCUAAAUGUUUCAGGGAAAUUAGAGACAUUAUAGUGUCGAACUGUCCAAAUAUAAAGGCGGUGAUUGUGGAUGAAGGAAGAAAUGAAGGGACAUAUGAUAUUAUAGAGUUCCCACUACUGGAGUGUCUAUCUAUUAAGGGAUGUCCCAUGGAGAAAUUCUUAUCAUAUCCUUGUGGAAAGAAAGAGCCAGUAAUCAUUUACUGCUUCAGAUCCACAAAACUCCAAUUCCUUCUUUGAUCGAAAGAUACAAAUCCCUUCUCUUGAGGUUAUACCUAUACUACACAUUUUUAUUCACAUUCAACUAUAGGUCGAGGGAAGCCUCUUUCUACGACUACUUUUUUAUUUCUAUUAUUUUUUCAAUUUUAAAUAAUUUCACUAAUUAAUUGGGCUCAAGGGUUUCUAAUAUGACUAAUUUAUUACUCGUAUAACAUUUCUAAUGAGUAGAAGAAGCAGUGUAUUGAACAAAUGAACCUUCAAAGAAUGAACGUUUUAAAAUAAUUUCAAAAUGAAUAAAGCAACCUCUAGAGAUUAAAUAAACAGAAGGUGAACGAAGAGCCACGUAACAAAGGAAGUCCACACAAUUCACGUCCCAACUUCAUGCAAGUUGGAACUGAUUCCAACACAUCAUGCCAACAUUACCGUGUCAACGUCAGCUAUUUUGGGGAUAUUUUGGGGACAUUUCCUUCUCCACUUUUUCAGGCUCGACGAAAGAUCUCAAGUUUUCAUUCUCCAUUCAAUUGAGUUUUAAAUAUUUUAUAUUGAUCGAUUAAGUUUUUGAGGUUUUUAAAAGCAAUAAUCCCAUUCGUACACUAUGGGUCCAUUCAUAUUCUUUCAGGCAAGGGUUGUGGAUGGAGGAGGAGGAGAUGAAGGGACAGAGUCAGUAAUCACUACUUCAGAUUUACAGAAUACUUAUUUAGAUUCCUUCUUCGAUGAUAAGGUAAACAUCCCUUCUCUUGAGAUUUUACCCAUAAUAGCCAUAGACACUCGGUAUGCUAGGGCGGGUAACAAUAUCCCUCUGAAGAUUCUUAUUUGGUUUGUUUGUUAAAAUGUGUUCCCAAUUUAUAACUAUGUUUGUUGGUGAAUAUUAAUUCUUCCACUGCAUUAGAUUGGUGGUUAGGAUUAGGCCAAAUUAUCAAAUAUUUCACAUUCGUAAUCCGACGCAUAACUCUUAUGAGCAGAUCAGUUUACCAAACUUGGAGGACUUAAAGCUUAACUCGGUGGGAUCCUUCAAAAGGAUAUGGCACGAUGAACUUUCCAGAAGUUCCUUUUGCAAAUUGGUCAAAAUCACCAUUAGAAAUUGCUCCGACCUACUCCACAUCUUCCCUUCGACAAUCAUAGGGAGAUUGCACAACCUGCAAAGUAUCGAGGUUAAAAACUAUCCAUCCUUGAAAUCGUUGUUCGAUUUUGGGUUCCUAAAUUCAUACAUAGUACGAAACACGGUAUUGCUCCAUGAAUUGGUAAGGAUCGACGUUGAAAGUUGUCCCUCCCUAGAAUCAUUGUUUAAUUGUGGGUCCCUUAAUUCAAAUGCGGAGCACAAAAUUAUAUUGCUCCCCAAAUUGGAGGAAGUGAGGGUGAGUGGAGCAAAAAAGCUGAGACACGUGAUCAUGACCCACUCCCAAAUGGUUUUGAAAUUUCCCAGUCUUAGAACUGUUAGUGUUGAGAAUUGCUCCCACCUGGGAUAUCUCUUCCCUAAUUAUAUGGCUACAACUUUGGAGAAGCUUAAGAGGCUAGAAAUUGGUCAAUGUGAACGGAUGAAACAAGUGAUUCUCGAGGAAGAAGUUGGUCGAUCAGAGGCAGAAGUGAUGAGUUUCCCUUGCUUAAGUAAAUUAACACUUAAGGAGCUCAAUAACUUGAUUAGUUUCGGUUCAGGAAGUGUCGAGAGGCAGUUAGGCGAGACAGCCGAAGAAAAUGAUGAAUCGCAACAACCGCUGUUCAAUGAGAUGGUUCGUUCUAUUCUUUAUUGUGAUCAUUCGUAUUAUCGCAUUAUCAUGUUUUAUAAUGAAGAAUGUAAUAAAUUUGUCCAACUUAUCCUCCUUUCUCACAUUAUCCUUGUGCAGUUUACAUUUCCAAAUAUGAGAUAUCUAGAAGUUGAAGGCGUUCCAUGCAAAGAGCUAUGGAACAAUCAUGUUCCUGCCGAUUCCAUUGUUUGUUCCCAUAGAUUCCUUUCAAAAAGUGUGAAGGUUAAAAACUGUCCAUCCUUGAUAUCGUUGUUUCAUUUUGGAUCCCUAGAUUCAAAUACGAAACAAAAUGCGGUAUUGCUCCCUGAAUUGGUAAGGAUCAAUGUUGAAAGCUGUCCCUCCCUAGAAUCGUUUUUUUAAUUAUGGGUCCCUUAAUUCAAAUGCGGAGCACAAAAUUAUAUUGCUCCCCAAAUUGGAGGAAGUAAGGGUGAGUGGAGCAAAAAAGCUGAGACACGUGGUCAUGAGCCACUCCCAAAUGGUUUUGAAAUUUCCUAGUCUUAGAAAUGUCUGUGUUGAGAAUUGCUCUGACUUGAGAUAUCUCUUACCCAAAUAUACGGCCACAACUCUAACGAAACUUGAGUGGCUAACAAUUAGUAAAUGCGAACAGAUGAAUGAAGUGAUUCUCGAGGAAGAAGUUGGUCGAUCAGAGGCAGAAGUGAUGAGUUUCCCUUGCUUAAGUAAAUUAACACUUAAGGAGCUCGAUAACCUAAUUAGUUUCGGUUCAGGAAGUGUCAAGAGGCAGCUAGGCGAGACAGCCGAAGAAAAUGAUGAAUCGACACAACCGCUGUUCAAUGAGAUGGUUCGUUUUAUUCUUUACUGUGAUAAUUCGUAUUCUCACAUUAUCAUGUUUUAUAAUGAAGAAUCUAAUAAAUUUGUCCAACUUAUCCUCCUUUCUCACAUUAUCCUUGUGCAGGUCACAUUUCCAAAUAUGAGAUAUCUAGAAGUUGAAGGCGUUCCAUGCAAAGAGCUAUGGAACAAUCAUGUUCCUGCCGAUUCCAUUGUUUGUUCCCAUAGAUUCCUUUCAAAAAGUGUGAAGGUUAAAAACUGUCCAUCCUUGAUUCGUUGUUUCAUUUUGGAUCCCUAGAUUCAAAUACGAAACAAAAUGCGGUAUUGCUCCCUGAAUUGGUAAGGAUCAAUGUUGAAAGCUGUACCUCCCUAGAAUCAUUGUUUAAUUAUGGGUCCCUUGAUUCAAAUGCGGAGCACAAAAUUAUAUUGCUCCCCAAAUUGGAGGAAGUAAGGGUGAGUGGAGCAAAAAAGCUGAGACACGUGGUCAUGAGCCACUCCCAAAUGGUUUUGAAAUUUCCUAGUCUUAGAAAUGUUUAUGUUGAGAAUUGCUCUGACUUGAGAUAUCUCUUCCCCAAAUAUACGGCCACAACUCUGACGAAACUUGAGUGGCUAAUAAUUAGUAAAUGCGAACAGAUGAAUGAAGUGAUUCUCGAGGAAGAAAUUGGUCGAUCAGAGGCAGAAGUGAUGAGUUUCCCUUGCUUAAGUAAAUUAACACUUAAGGAGCUCGAUAACCUGAUUAGUUUCGGUUCAGGAAGUGUCAAGAGGCAGCUAGGUGAGACAGCCGAAGAAAAUGAUGAAUCGACACAACUGCUGUUCAAUGGGAUGGUUCGUUUUAUUCUUUACUGUGAUAAUUCGUAUUCUCACAUUAUCAUGUUUUAUAAUGAAGAAUCUAAUAAAUUUGUCCUACUUAUCCUCCUUUCUCACAUUAUCCUUGUGCAGGUCACAUUUCCAAAUAUGAGAUAUCUAGAAGUUAAAGGCGUUCCAUGCAAAGAGCUAUGGAACAAUCAUGUUCCCGCCGAUUCCAUUGUUUGUUCCCAUAGAUUCUUUUUAGAAAAUGUGAAGGUUAAAAACUGUCAAUCCUUGAAAUCGUUGUUUGAUUUUGGUUCUCUAGAUUAAAAAAUGAAACAAAACGCAGUAUUGCUCCCUAAAUUGGUAAGGAUUGAAGUUGUAAGUUGUCCCUCCCUAGAAUCAUUGUUUAAUUAUAGGUCCCUUGAUUCAAAUGUGGAGCACAAAAUUAUAUUGCUCCCCAAAUUGGAGAAAGUUAGGGUGAGUGGAGCAAAAAAGCUAAGACACGUACUGUUCAUGCUGAAGCUCUCGACUGGGUUUGCGCGAGCACUGUUCAUCGCCUGCGCGUCUCCCAUUUCCGGCCGUUCUGGCCGGCCGAUUGCGCCCAUGCUUGGAGACAACAUUCCUCUACAUCUGAUCUUGUCUUCUACCGAGCGGUUUUCCCUGGUAUGUCUUCCUCAGCUGGAAUCUCGGAUCUGAGUUCUUAGGGCUUGAAAUUUUGAGUUCGCCGUCUCCGAAUGGCGUCUUCCUCUGAGGUAGUGGAAGAUAACCGGGGUAAAGCCCAUGUUGUUGCUCCGGUUGAGCACCCUCACUCCCCCACACCCACUCAUAACCCUGUUAUGCGAUACUCCUCGGCUCUAAGAGGACCUCGCGCCCACUCUGGGCGUUCGCGAAGCAGGGGACAAAGCAGGGCUCGUCCUCUGCUGGGUAUUCCUGCUCGGCUAAAUGCUGUUGGGCGUGAUAACGCCUCUGCUGGUCUAAAUCGAAAGGAUAGGAAGAUCUCCUUCAGCCGUGACACUGCAUCUAUCCCUGUUCUCCACGGUCGUGAGGCCAAAGGGCGUCCGAAUGCCCCGAAUAAGGCGCCGGAGGAGCCAUUUCUGAAUGUACAUGUUCCCCCUGUGAAGGAAACUCCCCCUCCUGCUCGCUCCUGGGCUGCUGUAACCCGUUCGGCAACCAAAGGCUAUGGUUUAUCCUUUGUUCCUCCGGCCACAAUUGAGAACUCUAAGAUUCUGCAGAUGCCGGAGGAGAUUCUCGAAUCUACUCACCCGAAAUGGGAAGAAUGUCUGGUUGGUUACUACAUUGGGAAGCGCCUACCCUUCCACCUCACAGAGGACGCCCUCAAGAAUGCCUGGGGCCAUCACUUGGUCGAAGUUAUUGCUGCUGACCUUGGUUUUUACUUCUUUCACAUUCCGGAUAGUGAAUUCAGGAGGAAAGUCUUGGAUGGAGGCCCGAUUACAGUAGCCAAAAUCCCCUUGAUCCUGCAACAAUGGCACCCUAUGUUGGAGCUCAAGAAAUCAACUCAUAAUACUGUCCCCAUCUGGAUUCGACUCAGGAACGUCCCUGUGGCUCUAUGGUCUGCUGCUGGCAUCAGUUUUCUGGCAAGUAGUAUUGGUAAGCCCUUAUUUGUUGAUAAUCGAACUGAACAGAUGGCAAUGGUAGCUUUUGCUCGAGUCUGUAUAGAAGUUGAUACGUCUAACUCUUUCCCUGAAGUUAUAGAGUUUAUGAUGAAGGGUGAGCUUAGAUCAGUGACAGUCCAAUAUGAGUGGAUCCCGACACUUUGUCCAACCUGCUCUUCAUUUGGCCAUAGAUGUCCUGCCCCCAAUUCCUCAGAUCCUACUAAACCUGGUCCCUCAGUCCCGAAGGCACCUGUCCCUCGUCCAAACGAAUGGCGUGAAGUGCGUGGUAAACGCAAUAAGCGCACCCCGAUGCCUGCAAAUGAUGGCCUGAUGUAUGAUCCGGUCCCGAAUCGUCCCAAGUCCCCCCGUUCUGAAGGAAACCAGAUUGGAGAUCCGAUGCCUCAGAUUUCAAUGGCCCUUCAUAGGCAACCAGAGUUAACCAGGCAGGAGGAUCAUCAUCCUUCCUUUGAUCUGUUCCCUGCCACCUCUAUUGACCCAGAUUCCGCUGCUGUGAUGCAAAGACAGGGUUCCCCUGGCUCGAAUAAGUCUGCACCUUCAGAUGAAAAUCAUGAAGAUAUCAGCUCCGAUGACGGUGAAUCUGUAUCACCUUGUAAGGUGCCCUCGUCCAUACCGGAGGAACGCGAUAAAUUUCCCCCUCCGAAGGUCAAUCAGGAGGCCCCUGUUCGUCAAAAAGGAAUCCUCCGCUCUGAAUCUGCUGAGGCAAGUAUUCCUGCUGGCCCGAAGCUUAUGCCACACUCGGUAAGGAAACGAGGUGGCAAGAGAAGGUAAUCCUAUUAUCUCAUUCCUAUGUUUUUUGGUGUUUGGAAUAUUAGGGGUCUUGGACAAGCCCUCAAACAAGCUGAGAUUAGGAAUUUUGUGAGGACUAACCGCCUCUGCUGUAUUGGUAUUUUGGAGACUAAAAUAUCCCCUGCUGCCCAUUCCCAUGUUUCAGCAUCCCUUCUUCCUAGGUGGUCUUGGUCUACAAAUUACUCUUAUUCCAUCAGGGGUCGUAUUUGGGUGGGUUGGAACCCCUUGGCUGCUUCUUUUUGCAUCUCAGCUUGUUCUGCUCAGGCCAUUCAUGGCCGGUUGGAGUGUUUUAUUUCUGGUGUUGCUUUUAAUCUUUCGGUAGUCUAUGCGGAGCAUUCUUUUGUCUUGAGAAGACCGCUUUGGAAUGAUCUGAUCUCCACUAGUUCCAUUUGUCUGGACAUCCCCUGGAUUGUUGCUGGUGACUUCAAUGCCAUUCGGUAUGCUUCUGACAGAGCAGAUAGAUCCAAUUACUGGAUCCCAGCCUUUGAAGACUUCGGAGAUUGCCUCAUCCAAUCUGGUCUAGAUGAUCUCCGCUUUGUGGGUAACAGGUUUACUUGGUCUACUUCGUCUGGUCCUAAUCGAAGGCAAAGAAAGAUAGACAGAGUUCUUACUAAUGCAGCUUGGAUCUCGGCCUUCUCCUAUUCGGAAGCCAACUUUCUUGCCCCUGGAGUGUCUGAUCACUCUCCUAUGGUGGUCAGGAUUCUCCCUGUUCCUAGCUCGCGUAAACCCUUCAAGUUCUUCAAUUUUUGGAUGUCACACCCCAACUUCUUUGAGUUGGUUCGGCAAAUCUAGGAGCUGCGUAUCUCUGGUACGCCUAUGUUUGUCCUUUGUAGUAAGCUUAGGUCCCUUAAACGCAGACUCAAAUUAUUAAACAGGGAGGCUUACUAUGAUAUUUCGGCUAGAACUUCUGACGCCAGACGUCUUCUCGUGGAAGCUCAAAACGCUAUUCAGUUUGACCCUCAUAAUCAAGCUCUAGCUGAUGCGGAAAAGGACCACCUCCGUGUCUUUUCUGACCUUCGCCUCAAGGAAGAAUCUUUCUACAGACAAAAAUCAAGGGUCAGAUGGCUUAAAGAAGGUGACUUAAACACCAGGUUCUUCCACCACUCGGUGAAGCGAGGCCAUCUCCGGAAUAGAAUUCUCUCGAUUUCUGAUGGUAGUAAUGUAAUUACUGAUGAAGUUGAAGUGCAGCAACUCUUUGUUAAUCACUUUCAAAAUCUGCUGUCAGACGCUACCCCCUCCGCCGUCCCGUCUGUUGAAGAGAUUCGUGCGAAUCUGGCUUCUACGCUCGAUGAUAAUCAGAUCCAAGCCAUCUCUCAGCCAUUCACUGAAGAAGAAAUCCAAACUACUUUGUUUUCAUUGGCCACCGGAAAAGCCCCUGGCCCGGAUGGUUUUAAUGUUGAUUUCUUUAAGCAAUCGUGGGAUAUUGUAGGCCCUUCCGUUCUAUUGGCAAUUCGGGACUUCUUAUCUACAGGCCAGCUGCUUCGUGAGAUCAACACCACUAUUCUGACCUUGGUCCCGAAGUCCCCCAAUGCUUCCACGGUAAAUGACUUCCGUCCUAUUGCUUGUUGCAACACUAUAUACAAGUGUAUCACGAAACUGUUAGCCAAUAGGUUAGCUUCUAUGCUCCCAUCUAUAAUUAGUCCCCCCCAGAACGCUUUUGUUAAAGGGAGGAGGAUAAGUGAUAAUAUCAUGCUUGCUCAAGAAUUAUUUGCUCACUUCCACCAUGAGCCUUACUUUCCAAAGAACAUUAUUAAGGUUGAUUUCUCCAAAGCUUAUGACUCAGUUGACUGGAACUUUAUUGAGUCGACUCUCCAAGCAUUUGGCUUCCCACCCACAUUUAUUGAUCGAAUUAUGACAUGCAUCAGAACCCCCAAGUUCUCUAUAGCUUUAAACGGUGAGUUGCAUGGUUUUUUCCCUAGUGGGAGAGGUAUCCGACAGGGGGACCCUCUGUCCCCAUAUAUCUUUACUCUUGUAAUGGAAGUUUUUGCGGGCAUUAUAAAUGCCCGCACCUGCAAACCCGGAUUUCAGUUCUUUUGGCGUUGUAAACCCUCCAAGUUGUCCCAUCUAUUCUUCGCUGACGAUGUGUUGCUCUUCUCGGAAGCAAACAUGCCGUCUCUAAGCCUUCUAAUGGAUGGAGUAAACACUUUUGCUGCCUGGUCUGGUCUCAUCCCAAAUCUUAAUAAGAGUGAAAUCUUUAUCUCUGGGGGGCAUGAGUCUUUGAAGAGUGCAAUGGUUAAUGCAUCGGGGUUCAACCUUGGAUCAUUGCCCUUUCGAUACCUUGGCGUCCCCGUAAUUUCCUCAAGAUUAGGCAAGGAAGAGUGUGUAUCUCUGGUGGAUGCUAUAAUGAAGAGAGUUCAGUCAUGGACUAACCGCUUCCUUUCAACUGCUGGUAGACUCCAACUUAUUAGAUCUGUUCUCCAUUCCAUUCAGGUGUAUUGGUCUUCGGUUUUUAUCCUCCCCUCCUCAGUUAUUAAUCGAAUUGAGCAGAUCUUCCGCCAAUUUCUUUGGCGUGGCCCGAACCUUGGAUCUGGUGGUGCUAGAGUUUGUUGGGAAGAAGUCUGUCUUCCUAAAGCGGAAGGAGGACUAGGUAUUCGCUCACUUCGAGUUAGUAACAUUGCUGCCAUGACUAAGCAUAUAUGGUUGCUUUUCUCUGAUAAGGAAUCGCUCUGGACCAAAUGGAUACAUUCAGUCUUCUUAAAACACAAGAAUUUUUGGAUUGCGCCUAGACCGACCGUUUGUUCUUGGUCUUGGAAGAAACUCUUUGGCCCGCGUGAAUUGAUUCAGAGGUAUUUUGCCUGGAACAUUGGUAAUGGGUUAUCGACUUCUUUUUGGUUUGAUACCUGGCACCCUCGUGGCCCAUUCAACAAGUUAUUCUCGGAUCGUGACAUAUAUUGCUCUCGUAUCCCUCGGAAUGCUUCUGUUGCUACGGGUAUUGCUGCCCUGUCUAUCCCGUCUAAUGUAGCUGUUGCUAUCCAGACUUGGGUUGAUCCUCUCCCCAGCCUCAACAGUCAGGAUGACCGUCUGGUGUGGCUUGGCCACUCUUCAGGUCAGUUCUCUACUGCUUCUGCAUGGACUAUGCUUCGAGCUAGAGGCUCCUUGGUUAACUGGUCUCGAUUUGUCUGGAGCUCCACUCUUCCCCCGCGUUAUCAGACCCAUCUAUGGCUGAUCACUCGGAAUAGAUUGCCAACCUAGGUCUUGCUUCUGUCGUAUGGGAGGAUCCCGGAUGUUUCCUGUGCCUUCUGCUCAAGUAGGCCAGAUUCAAUCGACCACUUAUACUUUGGUUGCUCAGUUACGGGUAGAUUGGCCUCUUUCUGGGCUUCUAAAUGUAAUUUGAGUUGGCGAAAUGGUCCUUGGAAAGAGAAUCUACAGUGGAUGGUCAGCCAUCUCUCGGACUCGUGCUUCCACCAUUCCAUUGCUCGCUUUGCAUUUGCUACCCUGUGCUACCUUAUAUGGAAGGAGCGAAAUAACAUCAUCUUUCGGAAUCAAAGCCUAUUCCUGCCCGCUCUCAAAGAUCGUCUUCGGAAAGCUGUCAAAGAUAGAGCCUCCACAUUCUCAAGAGUUCCGGAUAACCCGCGUAACCGAAGACUCCAAAUGUGCUGGGGAAUCCACCCUGCAAUCUUUGAGUAAGGUCUCCAUACUGGCCUGUCUUCCUUGCGCUGUGAGAUGUUGCUGCUGUUGAAUAUGCGUCCUGCUCUCCCUUCGCAAGGCUGGUCUGCCUCUGUUUCAGUUGUUGCCGAGAUAUUCCCCUCCGCAGGCUCCUUGGCUUGGCAGUCUGUGGUUCCCGGGUUCUUGGCGUUUGCCUGGUUUUUUUUAUUGGCCGUCGUGUUUGGCCUUUUGCAGCUUUUGCUGCUAUUGUUUCCUUUUGGCUUUUUAGGCCCCGCCUCCCAUCCACUCAGUCUGACGCCUGUGUCAUUUUGAGUGCAUGAUUGGAGUCGCCUGUCUGUCUUGCCUCUUUGUAACUCCUUGUUUCUUUAGCUAUAAUAUUCUUACCUCUUACCAAAAAAAAAAAAAAAAAGCUAAGACACGUGAUCAUGAGCCACUCCCAAAUGGUUUUAAAAUUUCCUAGUCUUAGAAAUGUCUGUGUUGAGAAUUGCUCUGACAUGAGAUAUCUCUUCCCCAAAUGUACGGCCACAACUCUGACGAAACUUGAGUGGCUAACAAUUAGUAAAUGCGAACAGAUGAAUGAAGUGAUUCUCGAGGAAGAAGUUGGUCGAUCAGAGGCAGAAGUGAUGAGUUUCCCUUGCUUAAGUAAAUUAACACUUAAGGAGCUCAAUAAUCUGAUUAGUUUCGGUUCAGGAAGUGUCAAGAGGCAGCUAGACGAGACAGCCGAAGAAAAUGAUGAAUCGACACAACUGCUGUUCAAUGGGAUGGUUCGUUUUAUUCUUUACUGUGAUCAUUCGUAUUCUCACAUUAUCCUGUUUUAUAAUGAAGAAUGUAAUAAAUUUGUCAAACUUAUCCUCUUUUCUCACAUUAUCCUUGUGCAGUUUACAUUUCCAAAUAUGAGAUAUCUAGAAGUUGAAGGCGUUCCAUGCAAAGAGCUAUGGAACAAUCAAAUUCCCACCGAUUCCUUUCAAAAGUUGGAAUAUCUGUUAUUGAGUAACUGUGACAAUCUCCAACAUAUUGCCACUUCUUAUAUGUGGAAGAGGCUGCAACGUUGUCUCGAGAAACGGCAUUUCUCCCUGAAUUGGUAAGGAUCAAUGUUGAAAGUUGUCCUUCCCUAGAAUCGUUGUUUAAUUGUGGGUCCCUUGGUUUUGCAUGGUCUCGAAAACUUGAGGUGCAUUUGGCAGUUCGACAGUCUCCCAAACAUCCCGUUCCCAAACUUGAGAGAUGCAGAGGCUAUGAGGUGCCCCCGUUUGGAAAUGCUUUUUCCUACCUUCACUGCAAAAUUUCUCGGGCAAAUCAAAGAGCUAGUGGUGGAGUCAUGUGAAGAUAUGGAACUAAUUGCUAGCCAUGAAAAAUGGGAAGAAGCGACCGGCACCACAAUCACCUUCUCCAAGUUAACUGCUCUUAGACUUUUUAAGUUGCCGAAAUUCAAGGGCUUCUUACCUGAGAUAUACUCUCUGAAAUUCCCAUGCUCUGAGGACUUCCCAUCCUUGCGAGUCUUGAGUAUAGAAAGCUGUGGAGUAGAGCCGGACCAAGUCCUUGGUGACUGGCGUCACCAACGAAGUUUACGAGAAUUACAAAAAAAGGUACUCCUUCAAUAUUUCAUUGCUUAAGUUUGACUCUCUGUUCCUUUGUAUUAGCUAAGACACAAUUCUCAGUGGGACCCACACGUGCUCUACAUCAUGUGGCCGUCUCUCUUCCUUUCUCUCUCUCUAGCUCUCUUUCUUACUCUCUUCAACUAACGAUCUAUCGAUUCCCUUAUAUCCGUCCACCAACAGUCGAUGUCGAGAGUCCAUUGCUGGCCACCAUAGGACUAGGCCUAAGAAGGGACAAAGAACAGAGAGCAUUGAUCAAAGGCUCUCGGUGAUUUCAAUUGAAUCCUUUCCUCUCACUUCUCUGCUGGUCGUCACCGCUUCCCGAUCACCACCUGUUUUGCUACCGUGAAGAAGUUCUGUAAUGCCGAAGUGCUCGAACUUCGAUCAUAGCUGCCUGCUUCGACGAUUCCAUUCCUUGAUGUUGCUUCUGUUAUCUCCUUACUCAUGUCCGAUGUCAAUCACUAUAGGUAAUCAUUCUUCAUUCAACUAAACCACAUGUGCUCUGUUAGUUACUGUCUGUGUGCAAAUCGUAAGUGAUUGAGGCUGUAUUAAUAAUUUGAACUAGUGCUUCUCAGACGAAAUGUGUACCGCCUGUUUGAUGAAAUCCCUGAACUAAGUCGGUGUGUAUUUUUUAUUCAGUUCUUGACUGAGAAUUCCUUUCAUUACUAGAUUGUCGAUCUAUUCCGGUAAUAUAAGUGUAUUUGAGUUCUGUUUUUUCAUAAAGAAUCAUAUGUAUUCAAUUUUGAACUUGUUUUCAUUCUGCUGGAACCUUGUCAAUACAUGCUGAUUCAUGACUAUUGUGGGCUUGAACUGAUGUCGAUGGGUGCUUGAUUUUAUGCUAUUCCACUCAAGUAAGCAUUGUGUAGUGAUAUAAGAUUGUAUUAUGGUGAAUUUCAUGUUUGCUUGGAAAAGAAAUUAUGUCAUGAAUGAAAGAAAUUCUACUGGAAAUCGAUUUGCGGAUGUUGAUCAUGUCUUGAUAUCCCUGAUUUGUUGUGCAUUUCAUUCCAACUUGAGGCUAGUUUGGUUAUGGGGAUCAUAUAUGUUCAUGCUAGGAAAGUGAUAUGGAGAAUCUCAUGCCAAUUUUGUGAGAAUUAUAGUCAUAACCGAACUAUAAUAUGCUAGAAUCAAAGCAUUGCAUGCUGGUCCUGAUUGCUUUGUUUGAAUUUGGCAUUACUUUGGUCUUGGAUUAAUGCCAUUUUGAUCAAGUAGACUCAUAUGCAUUUGGAGGAAGAUAUGGCUUCAAUUUCAUAUCAUUAGUCAUCAAAACGAUCAUGAUUUGCGGACUUCUAUGCCCUGUCACAAUUCUGAACUUGUGCUGGAAGUUGUGGCUUAAGCAUGAAUUAGAUGGAUUUUGUCUUAGUUUGGUUGUCUUUUUCAUUGCCCGUGGAUAAGUGAUAUGUGUGUGCAUGAUUAAAUUGAUGAGAUGUGCGUUUGAUAUUGCCAUGAGAGUCUUGGCCUAGUUAUUAACUUAGAGAAGUCUGGUGUUAAUUGAAGUUUAAUUCCAUGAUUCUUGUGAUUUCAAAGCUUGGAGCAUCUAUUUUUUGUAAUAUUGAAUAUUUUGAAGAAUACCGACUUCAUCUAAAGGUGAUCUGAUAGACUAACCAGAUUUGAGGAAAUCUCUCGACUUUCUCGGUCAUUGAGGCCCCUUGAAAUAUCGCAUGGACAACACUCACCAAUAAUAUACCAAUAUUCUCUCCCUCUCCUUCGACGUUCAGCAUUCGAGGCUUAUUCAGAAGAGCUUUUGCUUAGAUCUAAUUGAUCUUUCAGGUGCGUGCAUUUGUGCCGACAUACUGUGCACAACACUGUUGACACCGAAAUUUUCGUCGACAUUUUAAUCAUCCAUUUUGCAAAAAUAUAAAAAAAAUAAAGAGCAAAAAAAUAAACAAAUAAAUAAAUAAAAGGAAAAGAAACAAAAAGAAAAAAAAAGAAAACAAAAAGAAAGCAAAAGAAAACAAAAAAAAAUUAAAAUGAAAUGAAAAGAAUGAAAAAAAUAUAUAUAAGGAAAACGAAAAAGAAAAGGGGGAAAAAAAUAAAAGAAAGAAAAAAUAAUAGAAAAAGGGGUUCUCUUUUCUCUCGGGGGGAUUUUUCGGUUCUCUCGGACUCUCUCGCUCUCUGGCUCUCUCUUUGGGGGGGACACUCAGAUACUCUCUCCCGAGAUUCUCUCUCCUUAGGGCCGUCUCCAAAACGGACGAUCUCUGCCUCUGAAUCGGCGGUUAGGGCCCUUCUGCAAUGGCGCCGGCCGCUCCUUGAUUCAGCGACCGCGCACGAUAGCCGCCAUGAUCUAGCCCCGCGCUCUGACAUGGCGCCCGAGAAGAACAACUUCGGUGCUAGCGAUGGCGCCAACGCUCGAUUGGAAGUUCUCUCUCUCUGAUUCUCUCUCUGGUUUGCUCGAUUGCGGCGACAUCCGCGAAGACGGCGGCGGUGACAGCGGCUCCCAAUCUGUGGCGUGAUUCAGCUCUCCACCGGAUACUAUGCUCAACCCCUGUUCGCUUGGCUCUCGGUCCCCUGGUGCAGAAGCUCGCCGGAGGUUGGGCGGAUCGGUGACGAUGAUGCUUAACCGAGUUUGUCUCUGGAUCGAACUCACCGCUUUGGUGAGUUCUCUUUCUCUCUUGAUCCGAUUAAGUUUUUAGAAUCUGGUUCUCUCUCCCAUUCUCUCUCUCUGACCUCGCACAUUUUCUCUCGCACCGGAUCUGAUCCACUGGAACGUCUGGUCGAGGACCUCGGAGUUCAAGGCACAGAUUCGCGCGGCCCGCUAAUCUGCAACUCCCCUGCAGCAUCGGUGACAGCGUUGACGGCAGCGACGGCUUCGAUCUUUCGUCGAUUCAUUCAAGCUGAGCUUCAGAUAGUGCGGUAUUCCUUCCGAGGUAAGUUUCUUGACUGUUCCUUACUUACAGAGAUUAUGUCAUGCAUUCUUGAACUUUGCCAAUCUGCGCCGUUUCUUGGCUCACUUCCAGAGAAUAUGUCAUGAGUCAGAUUUUGUGAAAAAUGACCUUUUCAUUGUUCUUCAAAAAUGAAUAGAUGGAUGGCCAUUUGUACUUAUUUUGUCUGUCCCUGGAUUGUAUGAGAUAGCUUGUCUUUAGUUUGCGAGUCUAGCAACCUAUGCUGAUCAGAACAAAAGGGUUUUGACAAUGACCUCUACGAUCCUUCUAAGCCUUGUAAGCCUUGAAAUCUUUCAAGUGCGAUUCAGAGAAUUUCAGAAAACUCGAUCCCAUCUCUUCCUGCAAUAGUUUGGAAAGCAUUUGUUUCUGCGUUGCAUUGGUUUUUAACAUGCUUCAGAUGUAUAAAUAAUAUAGAGGUAGGUUUUUGUGAGUUGGUAGUGUAAAACAAAAUUUGCAUUACAAUUCAAUGUUCUGCCAAGUCAAUUUGUAUUGCCAUUACAAUUCACUGGCUCAUCACUAUAGUCUCAGUUACCUUUAGAUAAUCUGGAUGUUAUUACUUUUGCUUAUUACAGAAUAAUCACAUCUUUGUAAAUGGGUUUAAUGUCCCUUUCAAGACUUUCUAAGGAUUUCUCCCCAAUGCCUCCAGUCAAGUCUUUCUUCAAGACUGACUUGUAAUGCAUGUGUUUUAUCAUCUUGUAUCUGUGUAACAUACUGUGGCGUGAAUGACCUCACCACAUCUUGUGGAGUUUAAGAAAUGUUCCACCGAACAGACUAUAAUAACUGCAAGUUUCAUGUCUUGAUAUGACUACAUUCUUCUGCUUUGCUUGGUUCAUUGAGUAUUUCAAUGUCAAUGUAUACAGUUUUGUAGCUCUGUUCUAUAUGGGUUAGGUUGUUGUGAGCCAUUUUGUCUACCUCCUCAUGUGGUACAAGGAUGUACACUUUGUAAUGUGUUUCUUUUUUUAUGAAGUUCUGGUAAUUUCAAUGUGUAGACAUUGUGAUUGUGUCAACAUGCGGGCAUGUCUGGAUAGAUUUUGCUUCUUUCUUGAUAUUUUGUAAUUGAUGUCGGCUUUUGGAAUGCAUCAAAGUAGUUGGAUACUGCUCACGUAUACAUCUGGUUGUGGAUCAUGCAGUGUAGCUGUGCCGAUAUCCCUACGUUUAAUGCAUCUGUGUACUGAUGUACACAUGCACAAGUGCUUUAACUUUUGGUCAAUCAAAACUUCUUCCUUUGUUCAGCCUUGCUCUUUGGAUGGCAUGUCACUGCAUUUGUGAGGCUAUAUGUUAAUCUGUUCUAGGAUUUUGGAGGUUAAUGAGUCAAUGUGAUUAAUAGAUUGAUUUGGCAAUUAAACGCAGAAAUUAAUGGAAGAAAUCAGCUAGAAAAAUAAUUCUGAUUUCUUAAAGCUUCGAAUCAGUAGGGUGCCUAUUAAAAUUGAGGUUCAUUUGCUGUGAGAAACAAGCCACUAAAUCUAGGAGCUGAAUCUGGGAAUUUUGACUUCAAUUCUUCAAUGAUAGUUUCUGGCAUGAUCUAUGUUUGUUCUCUAAUCAUACAUUGUCUUGAAUAUAUUGAUAUAAUCUACUGAGGUUAAUGAAUUUCUGUAGAUUGAUGGUCAAUGAUCAUGAACUUGAAGUUGAUUGAACUUGAUUUGCCUUGAUAUGUCACUUUCUGUUUUGGCUUAAAUGAGGUGAUAGAUGAGGCUUUCUGGUCUUGAGCCCUUUUAGACAUAGAAAAUAGACUUCUCAAGCUUUGAUUUGAUAUGUUGCAUGCCCUGAACAGACGUCAUUCGGUCAUUGAAAAACACAUACAAAAUCUGUCAAUUCUGCAGUAGUUUUUUUAGGUUGAUUUGCUGUUUUGACCUACUGCAAUUUUCUGUUUUAACUGGAAUGAGCUGAAAGAUGAUGUUAUUAGGACUUAAUGUCUUCUAGAGAUUCGUAAUAGGCUUUUCAAGUGUUCCAUAGACAUAUAAUACGUGCGAUUUGGCCACCAUUUGCCCUGCCUGAUGCUUCUUGCAAAGAGCACUAAUCUGCUGAUGUGUUCUGCUUGUUAUGAUCUGAUCUGACCAUUUAUACAAAUGGCUUUGCUUGAGCUAGAAAAAGACUUAAAUUGCAAUUGUCACCUAAUAGGAAUUCGUAAAGGACACCUUAAGCUUUCUAACGAUGCUUAGUUUGUCCAAUUUGCCCAUCAUUUGCCCUGCCUUUCUUUUUUUUUAAAUUGAGCUUUGAAAUCUGGAAUUUGUCUUGAACUGCAAAUGUUGUCUUUUCUGUGGCUAGUUGUUGUUAGUCUUAAGAUGAAAUAGUAGAUUUGUCCAAUUGCUUCCAAAUAUGUUGUAGAAUGACGGUGUGACAUGUUACUAUGCUCUAUUCUGGAUUGACUUGUUUUUUUUAGAUUUUUAGAAAUUCAUGUGUUGAUAUGAUGAUAGUGUCUAUGAAAUUUAUUUGGGAUAUCAUCUAGAAUUUGAUUCAGAGACCUUGUGACUUUAGUCACUCUUUUUGAAUAUAAAAAUGUCUUGCUUUUGAUUGUUUUGAUGCGUUUGCUCGUCUCUUUCCAUUGUAUGCAUUUAGCUAGAAGUUUCCUAAGCUAGGUUUAGAUUAGGACCCCGAAGAUGGAGAAGGCGUGAAGAUGGUGAAGGUCGAUGUCCACUCCGACUGUUAUCAUGUAAUGCUCAUUUUCCCGACAUAUGUCUCGGGUUUUAUGCAUUGUAUAAAGCCCGACGAGUUGCGGGUUUCCUUUCUUUCUCGAUUGUUUUCUCUUUUAUAUUCUUUAGAAUUGCAUGAUUAGGUUUACUGUUUUAUCUUGAUUGUUUACUUCAUGUCUUGCAAUUUAAUUUUCAUUUUCAUUGUUUGUUUUCUUUUCAGUUUUUAGAAAUAGAAUAGAAUGAAAGUAAUCCGUCACGCAUGAUCACUUAGUAUAGAAUUGACGAUCCUGAAAAUAUAAAAAGAAAUACAUGGACAUGUAUAGGAAAAACACAACAUACUGUUUAGGUACCGAAAGGGCGCUGAUAGCAAUAUUAGCGUAACCUAAGUCCCCGAACCUAGAUAUCUGGUUGCGUAGGAAUCGAGGGAAUACUCCCGACCCUCGAUUGGGUUUCUAGCCGACCCCCAAAAAAAUGAGGCUAGUGGCGACUCCUGUAUAUUUUUAGGUUGUUAAAUACCUAGACCGUAUAAAUAAAUCCGUUGUCACGCGGGGUAUGAGUUUCGAUGAAACUCACUAUGGUUUAGCAGACUUGAUGUGGGAGUAGCCCAAAGGAUGAAGUGAUGCCAUCCUAAUGGGUGAAGCGUACUAUCGAGAGGGCUACCAUGGUAAAAGUACCCUUAAAUUCGAUAUCCACAUUCGACUCCUUUUUUUAGGUGUGUCGCUUAUGUGGGUAUGGAUCGCGACAUUCCGCUGUCACGCGGGGUACGAGCUUGGGAGAGCUCGCGAUCUCGUAGAGGGAACUCAUGAGAGGCUUGAUCCAAAAGGCGAGGUGAUGACGUCUUUUGGAAUGCGAUCUCGUGAGGAAACUCUCGUGAUCAAGUACCCCUAAAUCCGACAUUUCCCACCUUGGAUACUAUUUCGAGGGGCGGCGAGAUCGGGUCGCGACAAACACCAAUUGCGACCUACUCAUUCAUGAUGUCCUUUCCUUCCUCAGGCCACUGCCAUUCAUAAUGGUAUUUCAAAGAUAUGAUUUUUGUUUCCUCCCUCCCCCAUUGCGAAUUCAACAGGGCAAGGAAGACUAGUCACCAGUGCUACCAGUAUCCUGCCCUUGAAAUCCAUUAGGACCUUGCCCAUAUGUUCCGCUAGAAGUAGGUGCAUAGUUCCAAUUGUCUUUCCUAUGAACUAUUCUGCACUGAAGGUGCAAAGCUCCAUCUAUCUCCUUGCAGCAGGUCCCUCUGUUUGCUGAUGGUAAUUGUUGUUAUGACCCUGUCAACUGUAGUUUCCCUGAUAUGAAGGCAUCGGAUCUCCCCUCUGUCCUUGAUAUGGAGCCCUGCUGCUGGCAGCAUAAUCCAUAUUGCUCAUUGGCAAGGGAUUUCUUCUUUCAUCUUGUCCCGAGGACCAUAACUUUUCUGACGAGAAGAUAACCAUAUUGAGGACUCCCUUGUCUAUUUGUCAUUUGACCACCUUGCCCGUCAUAUCUAGGUUGGUCAUAGUUUCUAUUGCGAUCUCACAUUCUCCUGCCCAGCCUCCCAUAUUGGACUAGUGGUGGUCUCUGAGUAAUUACUCCAUUUUCAUACUUGUCACCUAAUGAUUCAAUAAGUUAAACAAAGCCAGCGGUGCUGCAGGGCCACAAAUCAUAGACAUAUUGGAGAGUUGAACUUAUGGAAUUAGAGGAUGAAUGGACUAAAUGAUUGAAAAAAUUUGGCAAAGAUGUAUAGGAGACGAUCUUAUGUGGAGCCAAGUCAUACCUCCGUAUUCCUUAUUUUGGGGAUCAACGUAGGAAUCAGGUAAUAUAAAGAUAACUCCAGGUAGAUCUGUUUAUAGCUCAAUAAAUCAGUGCACAACAAUGAUGCAAUUAUUAAUCAUUCAUUGAUUGCAAUGCGAGACUUAUCAAAGAUACUUGCCUUUGAAUUGCUUUGAUUCUGCUUCAGUCAUCACAACCUAAAACCCAGAUUGGUGGUCGUGCUACUAGCACAAAUUCUCUUUUUGGCUUCCUCCAAAUUGAAACACGAAUGUCAAAUGUCAUCUCAAAUUUGCAAUGUAGAUCAUGCCAUGGUUGCCUCGGGACAUAGAUCCCAUGAUCAAGAAAUAUAAUAUCCAUGUUAUUACAGUGCUAAAUGUAAACAUUAGCUUAAUUACCGCAAAUGUGGGGUUGUGCAUGUCAAUUUUUAAAGAUGGUGUCAAGAUCGCUAUAGAGCCGGUGCUCAGGAGAGUCGUAUUGACCAUCGCAUUGGUCCAACCCACCAAUGAAAGCCGUUAUUUUGUGGUUGUUUCCCAAAACAAUCUAUUUGUAUCUUAUUCUUACCCUUUACCAAAAAAAAAAAAAAAAUCUAUUUGUAUCCAGAAUAAGUACACAAUAAGAAAUGUUUUUAUGAUGCAAAAAAGUUGAAUCUUUUCCCUCUAAGAAGUUUAUGCCAUAAAUGUCGAAUGGAAAACAAUUAGCCAAUGAUAACUUGAUGAACCAUAUAUAUUUAUCUUAACGUUCACACCAACUCAUCCGAAGGAUUUUAUACAACAAUGACAUCGCAUGUCAUGCCCACAACUUACUUUAAUUAGUAGGGAGUAUCUAUCUAAAUCACAACGAACUUUGUCAUGCCCAUGAAUGCUCAUUCUACUCAUAUUUCUCAAUUUCAGUUGUUUAAAAUAUUUAAAUUUAACUCAAAAUUACUUGAAAAUUUUGGUAUAUAUCAUUGCAUUUGCACACUCUCAAAAUCGAAUGUGACUAAUUUACAUAUUUGAUCAAGUUGUGAGAGCAUUGGGAAGAGUGGUAGGCAACCUAAGGAUUUUGCCACCCACAUCAGGAAAUGUUUCGAAACCGGCGCUCCUUUACAUUGAUCUUGCUUGUAAUGUUCACUGCCAGCUCUAUCGGCACUGAAUUGUUUGCACCUGCUUGUCAGAGCCAAAUCAAGCAUUGGUUGCCAUCAAAACUUGAACUCAAGAAAUUAAAUAAGCCAAAAUGAAACUUGAAAAUGGAGGAAAAAAAAUCAAAAUUUAGAAAGUUCAGAGAGUCAAGUCUCGAAAAUAUAAUAUGUAGGAACUUUGUAAGGUGCUCAUCAUUCCAUAAUAGGGCCCUUUGAAUCAGAAUUCAGUUUUAAUGUCCAAUAUGGUGAGUUCUAGCUAUUAUUAGCUGAUACACAAUUCUCAGAUGGAGCAAAGUCUGAAUACUCCUUACCAGAGGGGUUGUUGCUCUUUCAACUCAGUCAAUCAACUUCUUUUUGUUAGUCGCAAUCGCAAAUCUCUCUCGUCUAUGCGAGUGUUUCUCUACCGCCAUGGUAGUGCUUCCCUUCCCCAAACCCUAAGAUCCACCUACUUUUCCAUAACCUUUUUUCCCUUUUCUUGUGUUUCUCCUUUUAGUAACCCUACUGAAAAACCAAAAAAAAAAGAAAAAGAAAAAUAGAACUCUCUUCUGAUGUUGCUGUGUCGAGCUCCGAGCCGCCAAUCGAACAGUUGGGUUGUGCCGAUCUAGCAAUUGCAGUCUUGUACAAGUUGGAUAUCGCAGCUUUUCCCUCGAAAUCACUCUGGGUCUCUUUGGAUAUUAGUUGAUUAGCUUGGAUCUUCCGUCUCUGGCUGAUUUUCCUUGAGUCUCUGGUCCUGGUUGUGAUGGAGUAGUUGAUGCCUGGAUCUGUUUUUGAGGAAGAUGAGCAUUCUCGAUGCUUCAGUGCUGGCAGAUUGGUAGAUAUUUGUUUGUUUUUCUAAGACAUCAUCCUGUUUUAGUUUUCCGAUGAAUCUCACAAAGGCAGAAGUUCUAAGUAUCGAAAAAGGAGACAUACUUGGUUAGCCACUUCAGUAAUCCACCUUGUUCUCUGUCACAACUACAGAUCUAGUAAUGUCUUAAAUCAGUAUCCAUGGAGAGUAAAGAAGAAAAUGAAAUGCGAGUGGCAGCACUAUGUAAACGCCUGGGUCACCUUUGGUCUGAGAAGGAUGUUGUUGAAGUCUCCACUGAAAUCUCUCCGCAAAAAAAGGGAGGAAUGUAAAUGUAUACUCUUUGGCAAGCUCUAUUCCAAACCCAAUGUCAAUUACCCAGACUUUUUAUCCACAAUGAAAAAAGCAUGGAAAACUAAAACUGUAACCUGUUCACAAAAAGAACCUGGGCUAUUUACCUUUGUCUUUCAAGCGGAGGAGGAAAAAGAGAGGGUCAUGAAGACAUCACCUUGGUCUUAUUCUAGUAACUUGCUAGUUUUAAGACAAUGCGAGCCGGAAGUUCCAAAGCAUUGUUAUGAUUUUACUAAAGCUGCUUUCUGGGUGCGUAUUGGAGGUAUUCCCCCUGGCUGGAGAGUAGAGCAAGUCUUUAAAGAUCUGGGAAGCAGACUCAUACAAGUUAUGGAAGUUCACCUUGAUACAACAGGUAACCAUCAACAGAAAGGAGGAAGAGUGGGAAUAGAAGUUGACCUGAAUGUUCCAUUGAAAUCGAGGGCAAUCUUGGAUAUUGGUUCCAAAUGGCUUUAGGUGGAAUUCAAGUAUGAGCGUCUCCCACAUUAUUGCUAUUCUUGUGGGAGAAUAGGGCAAUAUGCUUCUGACUGUGCUGAAAUUCCUUAUGCGCAAUCACCUUGGGCAAACAACAAAAUAGGACCAUACGGGCCCUAGCUGAAGGUAGAAGCAUGUGAGCACAGCUCUUAUUGGGAAACAUUUUAUGGUAAAAUUGAAGAAGGAAUUAUUGUGGAAGAGACAGUACCUAUUACAUCUUCCCAAUCUAGUGGCAUGGAUAUCAUAGCUCAUGAGGCAGUUCCUGAUAUGCAACUAGGAGCCUGCAACAAAAGAAGACUAGAUAGCGCUCACGACAAAGAGAUAGCCCAAGUUAAUGAAGUGUAUGCUAAUGAAGCCAGAGACUAUGGCAAACAGAUGCAAUGCUCUGAAAACCAUAAACAAGUUCUAUCAAAAGUCGGGAAAUGCAGUAAGAAGAAUAUGAAGGUUCAUAAGGCUAAAAAACAAAAGUGAAUACCUGGAAAAACCCCUCUCUUGAUUGAUGAUACUGAACUCCUGGAUACCCCUGUGAAAUUGAUUGCAGAAGGACAAGAAUGGGCUUUGGUGGCUAGCCCUAAUAAGCCAUCAGUGACACAAUGAAAAUCAUUAGUUGGAAUUGUCAGGGGCUAGGCAACCCCCUGACAAUCCAAGAACUAAAAGCCUUAACGGCUCAAGAAAGGUCUAGUUUACUUUUUCUAAUGGAGACUAAGAAUAAAGAAGCAAUGGUGGAAAAAGUUUGCAAAAAGUUACAUUUCCAUAAUGUUUUUCUAGUGAAUCCAUCAGGCAUAGUGGGGGGUUUAGCUCUUAUGUGGCAUAAGGAAGUAUCUUUGAAGGUGAAAGCCAGCUCAAAGCACUAUAUUAAUGUGGAUUGUACUGAUCCAGACAGCAGGCAACAUAUGCAAAUUACUUUUGUUCAUGCAUCUACCAAUUUCGGAGAGAGACUGACCUUAUGGAAAAUGUUGGAAAACAUUAAACCCCAUAAUUCCUGCCUAUGGAUCUGCAUGGGAGAUUUUAAUGAGAUUUUGUAUGUAUGGGAGAAAGUUGGGAAAAAAGAAGCUGAUAACAGUCGUAUAGCAGCAUUCAGAAACAUGAUCAAUGAACUUUCUUUAAUGGAUAUAGACAGUCAUGGGUGUGCAUAUACAUGGGCAAACAAUAGAGAUGGGGAGGAUCUCGUUAAGAAAUGACUAGAUCGAAUAUUAUGCACCUUGGAGUGGAGAAUUACAUUUCUUGAAGUUAAAGUCCAAGCCCUUCCAACUAUUGGCUCAGACCACAGCCCUCUGGUUCUUCGGCUCUAUCCUGGGAAGAAGAAGACAAAAAGAUCUUUCAAGCUAGAGGUUUUCUGGACAGAGCAUGAGGAGUAUUAUGAAGUUAUCCAACAAACAUGGAAAACUAAAUUUAUCUAGCCACACACUCUUUCAGGAAAAACUACAGGAGACAUCAAAAGUGCUGGCACAAUGGAGCAAAGAGAAGUUUCCCAAUGCAAGGUUGCAGAUAAAAGAGCUAAAUAUGGCCCUAACAAAGCUUACUAAUCAGCUUGACCAGCACACCAGCAGAAAGCAAAAACAGAGCAUUAUCUAUCAGAUAGAGAAACUGCGAAGGCAGGAGGAACAAUUUUGGGGUAUGAGGUCACGCAUUAAGUGGCUGCAAUGGGGUGAUAAGAAUACCAGAUUUUUUCAUGCAUCAACUAUACAGAGGAGGCAAAGAAAUAGAAUCACUAUGCUAUAAUUAGAAGAUAACAACUGGUGUAGAGAUCCUAUAAUGAUCCGCAACCAUAUUCUAUCCUCUUACAUAGAGCUAUAUAAAUCAGAGGGCCCAAGGCAGUACCAACCUAUCCUCAUCCAAUGUCCAUCACCUAUAACACAGCACAUUAAUGAAGAUCUGGCGGAUGUACCUUUGAUGGAGGAAAUUAAGGAUGCUGUUUUUCAGAUGGGAGCACUCAAAGCACCUGGUCCAGAUGGCUUCAGUGACAUUUUUUUUAUCAAUAAUCAUGGGAUACCGUGAAAACUGACCUGUUACAGUUAGCUCAGAAUUUUUUCCAGACAGGUAUUCUUGAUCCCCUCCUCAACUAGACACAUCUUUCCUUAAUCCCUAAAGUGAAAAACCCUGAGAAUAUUAGCCAAUACAGACCUAUCAGUUUAUGCAAUUUCAGUUAUAAAGUAAUUUAAAAACUUCUAGCAAACAGACUAAAGAAGUGGUUGCCAUCUAUUAUUGAACCGGAGCAAUGUGCAUUUGUUCAAGGCAGACAGAUACAAGACAAUAUCUUCAUUGUGUAGGAAGUAUUGCACCAGCUGCGCAUCACAAAAAAGAGGAAAAAACAUCAGGCCAUACUUAAAUUAGAUAUGCAGAAAGCAUACGACAGAAUCGAAUGGGAUUUUUUGCAAGAUUGCAUGUUGUACAUGGGGUUUUGUGAAAAGUGGGUAACACUCAUAAUGCAGUGUGUGUCUACAGUUUCUUUCAGUGUGAAGAUAAAUGGAGAACCUACCCCUUUCUUCCACCCUUCGCGAGGAAUCAGACAAGGCGAUCCCCUGUCACCUUAUUUAUUUAUCUUGAUUUCAAAUGUUCUAACUUGGAUGAUGAACAAAGCUAUCGCAGAUGGCAGCAUCCAAGGCAUACAGAUAAAUAGGUUUUGUCCUAAACUCUCACAUCUGCUGUUUGCGGAUGAUGUUAUGUUUUUUCUGGACGGUACUAUGAUGGAAUGUCAGAACCUAGCACUGAUACUUAAACAGUACUGCUAUGCUUCGAGACAAGCAAUCAACUUAAACAAAUCAGGGGUGUAUUUUAGUGCAAAUUAUCCCUUACCUUUGAAGAGAAAUAUGGCCAUAGAAUUAAGAGUCCCUGUGUUUGAAAAAAUAGGGAAGUAUUUGGGCAUCCCCAUAUAAUGGGGUCAAUCUAAGAAAGAACUGUUUGCAUGGAUAUUAGCCAGGGUCAAUACAAAGCUAGAAGGGUGGAAAGAGAAACUACUUACUAAGGCCGGGAAGGAGGUGUUGAUCAAAAGUGUUGUUCAGUCCAUACCUAUGUAUGCUAUGUCCAUAUUCAAGCUGCCAGUCUCUAUCUUCAGAGCAAUAAAACAACGAAUUGCAUCAUUCUGGUGGCAAAAAGGUGAUCAUAAGAGGGGCAUUCAUUGGAAAAAUUGCGAUGUGAUGAAAACCCGAAAGGACGAAGGAGGAAUGGGUUUCAAAGAUUUGAUUACCUUUAAUUGUGCCAUGCUGGGUAAGCAAGUUUGGAGGCUAUCAAAUUCUCCCUCUGCCCUGUGGAGUAGAGUGUUGAAAGGAGUCUACUUUCCAAAAGGGGAUAUCUGGACAGCAUGCACGGGCCAACGCCCCUCAUGGGGAUGGCAGAGUUUGUUAAUUGGCCGAAAUACAAUCAAAGAGAACAUCAAAUGGUCCGUUGGGGAUGGUCAAUCUAUUCACAUCCGAGAAGAUAAGUGGUUAAUGCAAGGGGUAAUUGGAGGACAUAUUAACCCAACAGAACCUCUGAUGGUAUCUGAGCUAAUACAUGCAGAGUCCCGAGAAUAAAAUGUACAGAAGAUUCAACAGUUCUAUAAUGAAAGUAUCGUAAAUGAAAUUUUAGCUAUCCCAUUGAGCCCACAACCGCAAUCAGAUUACCUAGUCUGGAUAGGUAAUAAUACAGGGAAAUAUUCUAUAAAGAGUGGCUACAACAAAGCAUAUUCAGAAACUACAAGCCAAAACCACAAUAGGGCCUCCUGUUCGUUCCAACCACCACGUACCUUAUGGACCAAGAUCUGGAGCCUCGCUGUGCCACCAAAAAUCAAAACUUUCCUUUGGGUUCUCUGUCAAAACGCCCUUCCCACGAGAGAAAACCUAUAUAAACGAAAAAUUGUUCAUGACCCAUUAUGCCAAGUUUGUCACACGAAGGUAGAAACAACAGAGCAUCUAUUCUUUUUAUGUAAAUGGACAAAAGGCAUAUGGGAAGAUCCAACAUUUAGAGGCCUCAGUCCCACAAGCACAAUCAGAAGGACGGACCAGUGGAUUAUGGAAGCUUUCCGAGUGAACACGAACAUACCUGAACGAGAAUACACUAGCCUGGCUCUCUGGCACAUAUGGAAGGCAAGAAAUGGAUGGAUUUUUCGAGCAAAAGCCCCGAACUCUGCAAAAUCUCCUGAGUAUUGUACAUGAUCAGCACUUCAAUUUCACCCAAGGAAAGAAGACCCAUAAAUGAUUAAACCCUAAUCGAAACAUACCUGGUAGAUGGAAACCACCGGAUCGACAAGAUCUGAAGUUGAACGUUGAUGCUUCUUGGACUCCGGGUGAGUUUCUUUGCUCUAUUGCUGGUAUCGUGCGUGAUUCGUCAAGGCAGGUGCUCGAAGGCUUCGCCUGUACUUCUAGGGUUUCUUCAUCGCAAGAGGCCGAAGUCGAAGCGAUUUUACAUGGACUCUUUUAUAUUAAGGAACUUCAUAUGAGGCACGUGGGAGGCUUCUGGAGUCAACCACUUCGAUGGAUCUGCGAAAAUGACUGUUCCCCUGCCGUUGAACAGGUUUUGGGCUGGGCCGAAAUUCAGUGGAAUCUAAAAGAAACUGUUCUACGGUGCAUAUGCGAAUUGGACCACUGCGAUAAUGUUAAGGUAAGCUAUUGCACCCGAGAAGAGAACUGUGCCGCGGAUUGGAUAGCACAAACCCACCGAGCAAACAAGCUUCCUCUUAAUUGGUGGAAUACUCCUCCUUUGCCUUUAUGGAAUAUAUUAUGUUCGGACUUUAGUCCUUAUUCGUCUUGUAAGACUCCUUUUAAGUAAGAAUAGAACGUGCUUUCUAUUUUGACCAAAAAAAAAACUCAGUCAAUCAAAAUGCAUAGAAAUGGUGCAUCUCAUACCUGCAUUUUUGUAUGAUGGCCAAUGAUAGGAAGAGCCAAGAAAAUACUGGUUUUCAAUGUAAAUGAAAUGUUGUGCUGAUCUAAUCACUUUCACAGAUGCCAUAUGAAUGCUCUUGUCUACUUUCAAGUUCUUUCCGCAUAUAAGAUUCUGCAACCAUGAAGUAAUUGAAAGAAGCAACAUUGUCAAUGUUCCUUUUUAGCUUCUUCAACACCAGAGAUUGUGCAUAAGAAAGAAGAGCAAAAAGAGCAACUUUCUAAUGUAGGGAAAACUUUUCAAGCAUGUAUAACAGCCAAUUGUAAAUCUACUAGCAUGGCAUUAGCAGCUAAAACUUAAUUGCUUUUUAGCUUCUUCAACGCUCUUUAGCAAUUCCUUUACAGAUCCCAAAUCAAUUGAUCUAAAGACCUGUGCCAACAUUAAAUAGAAAUUAAAGGUGAUUGUUACCCUUCAUUUUGUUCCCAAUUGAAGUCCCUCGAAAAAGCCAAUUAAUUUUUAAGUAAAUUCUCUGGACUUGCGCAUGCCAAUUUUCCAUGUUGUCUUCUUCCCUGACUUGUACUUUUGUGUCUCCAUCGGGGCUUGUCGAGGGACAAAGUGUCCACAAAAUCCUAUCAAGCCUUAGCAGAGCAUUCUCAUGCCAACACUUGACGUAACUUGCGCCACUUCACCGCCUCUUUCCAUCUCUGUUCGAAAUUCUUCAAUAUGUCGUACGUAGCUUGUCCCUUAACUUUGCAAUGUAGAUCAUGCCACGGUUGCCUUGGGACAUUGACAGUGGACUACAGUAGUCACAAGAAAAGCAAUAAACACAAGAUUAGAAAAUAACACAAACAUGUGUUUACAGCGAAUGUGAAUGUGGGUUGUGAAUGUCAUUCUUAAAGACGGUGUCAAGAUCGCUACAAAGUUUGUGCUCAGGAGUGUCGUAUUGGCCAUCACUUAUGUCCAACCCACCAAUGAAAGCCAUUAUUUUGCGGUUGUUUCCCGAGGCUUGAGUGUCAAGAACCAUGUGCUUUUGGUGGUGCGUGUAUACGGUCCCCACCACCUGCACUACAAAAGAUCCAUACACCAACAAAUUAAACCAAACAUUUUCGUAGAUUUAUGCUUGAAUUUAAACGAAUGGACAGCCUCUCCAAUACUAUAUAAAAUUCCCUACUAGAACUAUCGUAAAUGCAUGUCAUUAUGCCAGAAACACAUGAUAUGAUCUAGGACAGAAUGAGACAAAUCAAUAAACUUCCGCAAAUUGUCUGCUAAAAGGAAAAACUUUCCUAUGAAAUUAUACCCGAUGGAAAUAAUCAGGUAACAUAUAGCAAAAGCAAUGCUUUUGAUGCAAUCAAACGAAGAGAUUUUGAUUAAGAAUCAACCUAAACGUCUAAGGAUACAGACCCGUUGUUUGAAAAUGCUAAGAUUGGUACUUGCAUAACAAGGACCAAGCACACAGUGGAUGCCAAAGUGUUGAAGAAACUUCUUGGUCUCUACAUCGUGAUCUAGGCCACCGGUAUCUCCACGACCCCAAUGAGCUCGGUCCCAAACACAUCGUUGUCCUCCAUGUGGAACUCCACCUUCAAGAUUGGGCAUGCCAUGGGAAUGUAGAACCAUUAGUCCCAUAGGAUUUUCUCGCAAUUCGGGGUUGUUAGCACUUGAAUUUUGCUGAGAAAGUAUGAAUAAUAAUAAAGGUAAUUUUGUCAUACGCCUAUUGAUACCCGAAUUUUCCUGACCAUUCAACUGUCCAUUUCUUUCAAAAUAUAUAUAAAGAAUAAGAAAGGAGAGAGAUUAAAAAAAAAUGGAAAAAAAUAUAAAAAAAUAAGAGAAAAAAGAAGAAGGAUAUAAUAAUAAAAUCGAGUGGGCUGGUGUUGUCCAGCCCACUUGGCAAUUUUCAGCCUUUUAAUUCCCAACCCCUCUCUUUCAGCCCAUUUAUUUUAGUUCGGUUAUUUUCUUUCGGCCCAUGCGUCCAAGUCACUCUCCUUGGCCCAUCUCUUUUAUCUUUUCUUUGUUCUCAUAAGCCCACCAGAGCCUAAAAAAGAAGCCCAGCCCAUCUUCUCCUUUUCCUUGCACGCUCUCACCCCCGUGAGAAGAAGAGCGUCGGUGACGCAAGGAAGAGAGAAGCAAGAGUGACGCGCGGGUAACGGAGGAGCGUGUGACUGCACGUGUGCGGGAGCGGGGCUGUGAGCGACGAACCGUGACGAGAGCGAAGCCGGCGCCUUUUAAAAUUUUGGAUUAUAUGGGUAGGUAUAUUUUACCAUCAAUUAAAACUAUUUUUCAUUCAGGGUGAUCGACCGAAUUAAUAUUGUUAGUUUUUUUUUUUAAAGAAUAUUUGUUACUGUCAUUUGUAAAAUAAUUGAUAUAAAUUUGGGACUAGAUAUAUAAUCAUUAUAUGGUGCCCACAUUAACAUGAUGAAGUUAAUAUUAGUCUUCAUAUAGAAGGAGUCUGAAUGACGCAUAGGACAGUACGGAAGCCUCAUGUUAGCUUUCAUUUAUGAAGUUGAACUAUCAUUUGGAGUGUGAAGUUGAUAUAACGCAAUUCUUGAUAAUUGCUAUGUUCAGUUAUGAAAAUUGAAUUAAAUCAUGAACUACCGACAUCAAAGCAGAUACAUAUUAAUAAAGGGUCUCUACUACUAGAAGUAAAUAUUUACUUGUGUAUGAAGAACUCGUCAUUCGCUUAGGCCCAUCAAUCCAUAAUAAGAAAGAAGAAGUAGAGAUGAGUUGUGAAUGAUUUGCAUAGACAAACAAAGUGGACGAACAAGACGUCUUUAUCCCAUGCACGGUGCAUUGAGAUGUAUUAUAUAGGGGUAGGAGGUUUUCUAUCUAUCUAAUUUCGAUAAUUAAUAUCUUCUAAUUUAUUCCUAUGCCACCUAUCUUUGGUAUAGCAUUUGAAUAUCACAGCUACAUAUAGAAUAUAUACCUUUUAACUUAGAAAUUUUUUUAUGCCCACCGUCAACAAAAAACAUCUUCCAUUGUGGCACCACACUAUUUAUAAGUGCAUGUUGACUAUUUGAUUGUAUCAAGCUAUUUAAAUUUUGGAUUAUAAGGGCAAGUAUGUUUUACCAUCGAUUGAAACCAUUGUUUGUUAUGGGUGAUCAAAUUGAAUCAGGAGGCUGUUAUCAUUUUUUUUUUAAAGAAUAUAUUAUGCUUUUAUUUGUCAAAUAAUUGGUAAGAAUUUGCAACUCGAUAUAUAAUCAUUAUAUUGCACCCACUUAAUAUGAUGAAGUUAAUAUUAACGUUCAUACGUAUGUGUUGCGACCUCUUUUUUUCGGCGCCCGCAAUUGGGUAUGGGCACCUAAAGAGGCUAAUGGCUCGGCUGAAAUUAGUUAUGCCCGGACUCUCCCAAGUCCACCAAUUCACGACUUUAAUAGUCUGAGUUUUUAACCUGUAAAUCAAUUUUUUAAAAUAAAGUCGCCACUAAUCGAUUUGGGGUGGGUUGAUUAGAAACCCAAGUGAAGUAUCGGGAGAAAUACUCACUCCUGCGCAACCAGAGAAAUUAGGAUCGGGGACUUGAUUACACUAGUUAAUCACUAAUGCCCUUUCGGUACCUAAUCUUGUUUAAACCCUAAGGCUUUUUGGAUUUUUGAGGGAUUUUCCAUGCAUUUUUGGGAGGAAAAACAUUUUUGAGUAUUUUUCUAAUUUUUUGGAUAUAAAAGGGAUUUUUUUGGACCUUUUUUGGUAUUUUUGGAAAAAUACAAGUCUUUUUGGCUUUUUAUGAAUUUUUUGGCUUUUUCAUGAAUUUUUGGCUUUUUUUUGGAUUUUUGGCAUUUUUUGGAAAAUAUGAAAUAUUUUUGAUUUUUUUAUUUUUUCGGAAAAUAGACAUUUUUUGGAAAAUAAAAUAUUUUUUGAUUUUUUGGAAAAUAUUAUUUUUUCUGUUUUUUAAUAUUUUUCGAAAAUAAAAUAUUUUUUUGAUUUUUUUGAAAAUAAAUUAUUUAUUUAUUUAAAAUAUUAUUUUAUAUUAAAAAUAACAAAAUAAAACCGACCCGGGUCGGAUCCGCGGGUUGGGUCCGACUCGGGUCGACGACCCAAAACGCGGACGCGCCCGCAACGCGCGCCCGACUCAAAUUUUUUUUCUUUUUCUUAAAAACUCAGCCCACACACACGGAAUUGGGCCUAUUUAAAAAAAAGGGAUGCCUAGCCCGUGGAGAAGCUGGCCUUGCGUAACCCUAGAGCGCCGGGUCACACGACCGACCCGACGACCCGCUCCCCCCUGCGAAACCCUACCCGACCUGGCUCCAGCACCCGACCCAACUUCUGCUGCCCCUUAAAUCGCGGAAACCCUACCCAUUUUCCAAACCCGGAUCCGCUUCGUGACCCAGAAAUCGCAAACCCUAGGGUUUGCGAAUCCGCGGCGCCAAGGAGGGAGAGGGCCAAGGCACAAUUGCGGGGACGACGGUGACGGCGGCGGCGACAGCGACGGUAGUGAAGAGGGUUGAACUGCGGAGAGGGGGGAGGUUAUGGCGACGGCGAUGGCGAUGGCGGCGGCGGCGGUAGCACUACCUGUUCGUGGCGAUGGCAGCAUCAACGAGGACUGGACGACGGGGGGUUUGCGAUGGCGAUGACGGCGGAGGGUGCCCGAACUCUGCUCCCUCCCUUUGAUCUGGGCUCGCGAGCGUCGAGCCUCCCCUGAAGUCUCUCGGGGGAAGCUUGAAUGCUCGCGGCUUCGAUCUCUCUCCUCUCUCUGCUCUCGAGUUCUCGCAGAUCUGGGUUCGCUCACCGCCGGCCUCCCCCGAAGUCUCUCGGAGGGAGGUCGUUGAGCUCGCGACCCGAUCGCUUCGCCCUUGCUCGCUCUUUGAGUUCCCCGAAGUCUCUCAGGGGAUCUCUCGGAGCUCGCAGGCCUCUCUCUCUCUCGCUUGCUCUUCAACCUCCUCCGAAGUCUCUCAGGAGGAGGUUUCCAAGCUCGCGAUCUUCUCUGGUGUCCCUUUUGACGACGAAAAUGCUUCGCUAUUUAUAGGCGAGGAGGUCCGGUCGACGGAGAGGCUCGGCCGCCGGUCUUUGGCUUGCCAACCGAACCCUCGUGGCCGAACCGGCGUCCCAUCCGCCACCUGUCCUCCAGCUGCCCCCCCCCCUUUGUUGCCGUCCGUCCGCUCAUCCGACGUGGCGCUCUCUGCGCGUGUGUUGCAGAGCGGACGAAGGAGGAAGAAGACCGAAAAGGGCUGGGCCGGAGGAGAAGGAAAGUGGGCCGUAGAGGCCCAUGCGGAGGGGGAAGAGAGGGAGAAAAAUGGGCUGUUUUUUGUUUUAUUUUUGUUUUUUUUGUGUUUUUGGUUUUUUUGGUUCAUUUUUAUUAUUUUGUUUUUAUUAUUUAAAAGAAGGAAAAAUAAAAGAAAUUAAAGCCUAAUUAAUAACCUAAUCGAAAUUUAGGUGUCAACAGUAUGAAGUUUGAAUGACGAAUAGGACAAUACAAUAGAGUUGUGUCCCCCACCAAUUCACCGAGGCAUCAUAUUAGCUUUCAUGUUUAUGAAGAUGUACCGCCAUCUGGAUCGUGAGGUUGACAUAACACCAAGGUUAACAAUUGCUUUGCUCAUAUAUUCAAAAUUGAAUUAAAUUGUGAGUUGCCCACAUCAAAGCAAAUAUAUACUAAUAAGGGGUCUCAAUUGCUAGAGGGUAGCAUUCACUUUUAUAAUCACUCACCUUGGUCGUCCAAGGCGGUCGGGCCCAAAGGCAGUUUUAGUACAAAAGAAAUGGUGGAGUGGGCCUCUUUGUCUUUUACCACGGAGUACAGGACAUUGGAGUUCAAAAAAAAGAAAGAAAAAGAAAAUGGUUUCCUUGUGACUAUUGGCAAUUUUUAGUUGGAAAUGUCCGUGAAUGUUAACCAACAAAUUAAAGUCAAACAACGGUACUAAUUUAAUUAGAUAAUUAAUUUCUAAAUUUUGACUCAAUAUACAAUGUAAUCUAUGAACUUUAAGUUUGUUCAACAUGGUUCCUAAACUUCAACUAAAUAUGCAAUAUUGUCCUUGAAAUUUUAAUUUAUUUGAUAUGAUCCUUAGAAUUUUUUAUACAUGUUCAAUUUAGUCCCUAGAAUGUAUAAAGAUAUUUAAUACUAUCUUUGCAUUAUUUAAGUUCAGUGAAAAUAUUAAACAUUUGCAUUAAAUUAAACUUGCAAUAAAAGUUCUUGCUAUCACUGGCAAAUGCCCUAGAUUUGAUUGGCAAUGACCACGAGCACAUGAAAUUAUAAUUAUUUCCCUCGUGUAACAGGAGGGAAUCAGAUAAGCAAAAAUCAUAAAAUCAGCAAAAACUCUAGAAAUCUUCAAGUGAAAUUAAACGUUACAAAAGAAAUCGAAAGUAAUGGGAGGGGUGGAGUAAUUAGCGGAGAGUAUUCGAGAGGCCACGAAGGAAUUUGCCGUUUCGAUGUAGUGGAUGCCAUCCCAGCUCACAUGGUGUGACGCCUCCUCGCACACAUUGCCAUUGCUGUAGCAUGCCAUUAACGGGUUCUCAAAUCCUACUCAUAUUGCAAUGCAAAAAACACACAAACUUAAGUAAAUCGACUAUCAUUGUAAGUUUGUAACCACUCCUAGGGCACAAAACAAAUGAGCAAGACACUCUCGCUAACUCUUGAGUUUCGACUUGACAAUUGGCCCUAACAUAACUUGAGGGGACUCAGAUUAGAGGCGAUGGAAUCCAUACCAUGUAUUAGGGGUGAGCAGUUCCCGGUUCCGGUUCAGUUCCGUCUGGAACCUGGAACCUACCCUCGGGUACAGGUUCCUCAAUUUUUGGAACCUAGAACCUACCCGUCAAAACCGAGAACCUGGAACCUACCCUAUCACAGGUUCCGGGAUCGGUUCCAGGUUCCAACAGGUUCUUUUUUUUUUUUUUUUGGUUUCAUUUUCGUAGUGAGCGCGAAUAUCCAAAAGCCGAAAUAAUUCAAUAUUGGCCCUCCAUUUUCGGUACCUGCCAAUACACAGCAAUGUAAAUCUUUUACAUUUAGACGGUCAGCUCUACUUCCAAUUUGCUCCACACUCUAAUACAAAAUCAAAGAGAUUCCUCAUAAGGGGAAAAGGUAAACAUACAGGUUGGCCAGAAAAAAAGAUAAGCAACACAUACAACACAUUCCUAUCAGAGAAAAUCUAUAUUCUCAUUUCUAUCAAGACUCCUUGAGUAAAAUUGUCUCGUGGCUAAUUCUUAAGGUACAAGCCAGAGAAAUCCUAAGACAGAAAAUGCACAAGAGCCUAUGUUUACAAACAAGAAAAACUGUCCGAAAGCAAUAACAAAUUUGAUCUGGCAACAAGAAUGAAUAUGCAUGACAGCAAAGACCAGCAGAAGGCUAGCAUGAAAAAUCCAUUUACCUCUGGCUCUUCCCCAGAGACAUACUACUGGAGCUGAUCUCCCAAGAUCAUGCCCUUCAGCAAUCAUUGCAGCCAUCUUCUAGUAUUAAUAUAUGAGAUGGACAAGGUAGGGCACAAUGGUUAGACAGGGAGGUAGAUAUAUACAGAACUUAAAAUAUUUUAUGAAUUUCUAUUGUAUUAUCUAAGUACAUUACCUGCAGCAACAGGGUACUCUUGCCAACACCAGGAUCACCUCCCACCAAAAUUAAGGAACCUUUAGAGCCACAAUGCAGCAAAAUCAAUAGCUUUGAUAAAAUUAAAAUCUUCAAACUUCCAUACAUCUCAAGUGAAAGUUCAAGUAAUGCAGCAGAUUCGUGCGGACCAUACAGCAAAAAAGUAGGUCGAACCUGGCACAAGACCACCGCCUAGCACUCUCGAAACCUCCUCUCCAAAGGGUCCAUACCUAAACAUCAAGCACCCCAAGAGAUCAUUUACUUUAAGGAAUUAGGGCGACAUGCCAUCUGAUUCAUCGAGCCGCGAGCGAGGUUCGCGAAGCUCGGCCACCGGCACUUCGCCAUCGAAUCGUUUGUAGCCAGAUCGAUCUUCGAGGGAGGUCCGGCGACGGCAAGCACGCGGCGACGGCAACAGCGGCGAAGACACGAGUCUCACGGCACCAACGGCGGCACCAACGGCGCAGCGAAGACGGCGGCGAUCACGGCUCAACCCACGGCCAAGGGGGGAAGAGCUCGGUUCUGGCGGAGGCGGUGGCGGUUCGAAGCAACGACGGCCCGGACGGCGGAGCGAGCGGCGGCGGCAAAAGGUGGUGAUGGUGGCUUGGAGACGGCGGCGGCGGCUCACGGCGGCGAGGGGUAACACGGACAGCGCGACAGCUCGUCGGGCUCAACGGCGAGACGACUCGUCGGACGAGCGGUGGGUGGUUGUGGUUCGGUGGCCAAGAGAUGGUGGUGAGUAGGGCGUGGGGCGGCGGUGUGGUGGUGGGUGAAGCAGCAACCAGCAAGAGGAAGAAGAAGACUACGAAGAAGAAGAAGAAGAAGGAGGAGGAGUGGGGUUUCGGCCGAGAGAGGGGGAAAGAGGAGAGAGAGAGAGAGAAGAAAAGAAAAAAGUUGGGGGGGCAAGAAGUGACGUGAUGAGUGAAAAGUGGAGAAAAGAAAGAGAGAGAGAGAAAGAGAGAAAAAGAGGAAGGGGGGAAGAAUCGCAGAGGCGGGAAAUCACGUGGGGGAAGCUAGGUUUUUUUUUUAGAAUUAUGACCGGUUCCGGUUCCCGGUUCCAUUAUUCUAGGAACCGGAACCGGUGUGGGAACGCCGGUUCCUAGAAAAAUGGAACCGGGAACCGGAACCGGUGUCUUUGGAACCGGGAACCGAACCUAACCCUCCGGUUCGGUUCCCCGGUUCCCGGUUCUACCCGGGAACCGUGCUCACCCCUACCAUGUAUAGUGUAAUUGGCGAUGAGAUUGUAUUUGAUCGCGAAGAUGUCGACGUACACGAUCGUGGCAUUCUUCAUCUGACCCCUCAGUUCUUCAAAAAGGGACUGCAAUAGCCGAUUGAAUUCCCGAGCAACAUCAUUGCGAGAUCGGAGGCAUCCGAGCUCAUCAAUGUCGCUCGCAUCAUGGGCGGUGGUGACCAAUAUGCUAGGCAAACAGCCCAAUGGCCCAGUGUUGUACACCCAGAAAUUCUUCCCUCCACUUUGGUAUAUGCUCUACAAAACAUUAGAUAUACUCUACAAAAAAAUUAGUUAUAUAAAUUAAAUUUACAUAGAUGGGAUUAUGUCUAAUCUUUUGGUAAUUGUUGACUGACCCAUAUGGCGAAUCUGAUUUCUUCGAUGAAGAUCGGGAUGUUCCCGACAACCUACAAAUACGGAAGGGUGGUGAACUGAGCUGUGAGAUCGUUUUGGCCAAUGUCAAUGGUGUAAAGAGCGUCGGCGAAACCAUCCUUGCCGACCAAAUUCGCGUGGCCUGAAAUUCGGGACACCAAAUCGAGAUAUCUGGAUUUUGCCUUCUUGUAGAGGUUAAUUUGUCUAGUUAAAGGAUAGAUUACCUCUCGAGAGAAGCAACGGAGAGCGAGAUCGGAAAAGGAGGAACUGGCGGAGUUGGACGCCCAAGUUGAAGGGCUGGUCGCGAGGGAUGGUGGCUGCGCUGGACACAGCAAAAUUGGCACCGUUGCUGAAAUUUGGGCCCAGUGAUUCCAAGUAUGGACUCAAGAAGCUUGUGUUCAGGCAAUCCUAUUUUAAUAGAUGUAGUCCAAAAAAUUCCGGCAUUUACAUGAUUUGGUCCUCUAACUUUUAUUCAAUGAAGUCACCUAACCUUUUGGAUUUAUGCGAUUUGAUCAUUGUUGACACCUAAAUUUUGGCGACCCGUUUAGUCAUUUAUUGCAUUAAAAAAUUAGGGAUUAAUUUUAUCUCUAAAAAAAUAAUUAAUUGCAUAGCAUAUAGUUUUAGGUGCAUUUAUCUUUAAUUUGCAUUUACAUUGAGUCGGUGACGGAUGGGUUCGAAUUGAUGCUUCAUAAACUUUAAUUUGAUAAGUUGGACUAAGCCCACUAAAGGAGUAAAUCGGCCCAAAGCCCAUAUCCUCUAGGAGAUUUUACGAAUUUAUUUAACAAAUAUUGCGUUUCGAAAAGAAAAUAUUGCGUUUGAAAAAAGAAAUCUUCGUGGAUAUUGAUUUGGAAAAAUUAAAAUCCUAAUCCGUGACCUAUAAAUAGGUAAAAGCGCCUAGGGUUUUGAGGGGGCCAAACAUUGACACCUACGGCCAUUGAGAGUAAAACGUGAGUGGGGCUUCACAAUUGAGAGACGCGUGGAGAGAGUGAGUUUUCUUGGCCAAUUCUUGACCAAGACCCACGUCGAUGCUUCUGCCGCGGUGCUUUCGUCGUCCCCGAUACAUUGUCAACGAGCUGCCAUCCUGUUGAGUUAUUACUCGAUCGCUUGACGACGCCACCGCAGCCCCUUCAUCGAUAUGACGUCACUGCAGCUCCGACCCUCGUAGUUGCUGUUCUGACUAUUACCCGAUCGCCGCCGUCGCUGCUGCCACGAGACCACGCGUUGAUCUGUUGUCCAGCUGUUAACUUGUUGACGCCAUCCCUGUCUUGCUGAUCUGUUCCGAACCGAGAAGGCCCUGCACCGUUUACUAGCCCCGACCUUCCAUGACAGAGCAUCACCGUUCGAUCCACUGUCCUUCAAUCACGAGCCACCGCCAUGAUCCCAUGAAUUGCUUCGGAUUCAUGCCUCCAAUUUGAGUUUUUAUUUUAUUUAUUUAUUUUCUCUUGACUACCCACUAACCAGGAAGAAAACUUCUAGGGGAGAAGCCGAAAACACCCUGGGCACGUUACGCUCACAAAUUCUUCGACAACUUUAGCAUCUUCACGGAGAUCCUCAACGCGAGUUCCAGUCUCGGUUUCCGGGCGAGUUUUAGCAAUAAUUCUGCAGUUUUAUUUGUCUCUGCUACAACGACACGUCAGCCUUCGACGACCUUUGCAGCCUCCAAGCAAGACGCCAUAGCAAUUUCAACGAUCUUUCAGUCCAGCGGUCAUCGACGCUUCAAGAAAUUCUGGGCUGAGUUCAAGACCACCUUCGAUUAACAAAGCGGCGGGGGUCAAGUUCACAUAGUCAUGGCAAAAUUCCACUUAAUGCAUGGUCACACAAGAGAAGGGCACACGUCCUUUCAGUAAAGGAGGACGUGUACAUUGAAAGGAGGGACGAUUUCGCACACCUAUUUUAUUGAAAUUUGGAGCAUCUCCCCAUCGUGGUUCUCUAGGUCUCUCGGCAAGCUUUGCUACUGCUGUGACAACAAAAGUUAUCGUUUUGCAUAUUGUUUCUCGAGGUUCAUGCGCAUAUCGUUGAAUCGAGCAAUCAUCAAGGAGCCGCACGCAAAGCCCCCUCCGAGUAGCCAUCCCGUGAACCCCGCUAAGCAGCACCACAUCGGGUCGCGAGUAGCCGUUUGAGGAUUAUAAUUCGAAAGCCAAUAUUCGAAUUAGGUAAAAAUCUUAUCUAUUUUGAUUUUCGAAAAUUCUGUUUCCUUAUGCUCAUGAUGGAAAUUUCCGAUAUGCUAAGAUAUGUGAAAUCUCGAGUAGUCUUCUAAAUUAGGAAUUCUUCCUAAUUUCGCAACGUGCAUAUGAUUGGCGGUCCAAUUUCAUGCUUGAAAUACGACCUGCAAUCACACGAAAAAAUCACCAAUCCGAUCUUACACUCGAAAUACGAUUUGUGAUUUUGUCUAAAAUUGGCCAAUCCGAUCUCAUGAGCAAGAUACGAUUUGUCAAUUUAUUUCCAAAAUUAAAUGGACAUGGAUGAUAUUUUACUGGAUUUGUUGCCGCAUUGUCCUUUAUUUGUUUGCUCCCGUAAAAGAAAAAAAUAAAAAUAAAAAGAACAUUUGAGUUAGAUUAGAUGCAUCUUAGGAUAUUACUUGUUUUAGGGUUAUUUUGCAUGUCUAGAAUAGGAAAUUUAUUUAUUUCGAAUUUCUUAAAUAAAAAAUACCAAAAACAUAAAUUUAGGAUGUUAGAUUUUCGUUUCACUAAUUUAAAUUGCAUGUUAAUUAUUUGCCAAUCUUAAUUUCGAAUUUUUAUCAAAAAAACAAAAAUGAUCAUGCAUAUGUCAUGUAGAAUUAAUACAUUCUUUGCACGUCAUUGCAUAUUAGGAUAAAAUUUCAUGUUUCAUUUUAAGUUUAGAUAUUAGAUAGAUUGCAUUUUAGGAUUAUUUGGGUUAAGAUAAUAUUUUAGUUUAAAUUAGGAUUUGGCUUAACCUAAUUCCUAAUGCAAAUUAAAUAGAAUCUUAAUCUAGUUAGAUAAUUUUCACAUUUUUCCUAAUUUCGAAUUUCAUGAAAAAUACAAAAAAAAUGUCUUAGAAUAAAUUAGUUCCAUUCUUUAGGAUAAAUUGCAUUUUUAGGAAAAAUAAAAAAUGUCAUGUAAAUGUCAUAUAGGAUUAGAUUCAUGAAAUGCACGUCAUUUAGAGAUUGUUAUUAGGUCCAUUUAAUUAGAAAUUGCAUGACAUUAUAAUUAGGUUAUUUAGUUAUAUUGCAUUGCAUAUUGCAUGAUUUUCAUUAAAUAAGUGAAAACAAAACAAAAAAAGAAAAUUGCAUGUUAAUUAAAAAUCAUACUUAGAACUGUUGAUGUUAAUUCUGAUCUAACAACGCAGAUGUUUUCGUUGCUUUGAGGUAAGUCCUACAAUUUAUUUAUUGCUUAAUUUGAAUGUUAAAUUGGUGGUUUGCGCACCCGCAUGAUCGCCUCACAUGUUAGGGAAAUAGAUUUAAAAUCAAUUUUAGCUGCCUGCAAAAGCAUUUUUGAAAAUAAAAGAAUGGUACCGAAAGGGUAUUAGAGAAAUCUAAUGUAACCAAGUUCCCGUACCUAGAGUCUUUGGUUCGUAGGAGUAAAAGAAAUCUCAUGUUACUUUACUUGGGUUUCUAAUCAACCCACCGAAAAUAAAUUAGUGGCGACUUCUGAUUGAAAAUCAUUUGCAUGUUAAAAACUUGAAUCUAAGUCGCGAAUUGGUAUGGGCUUGGAAGAGCCCGAGUUAAGUCUAGGCUUAACAAUCCAUUAACCAAACCCUAGGUGGUUCAAACCCAAAAAUUUGGUCGUGAUAGGCCACGAUUGCUUUCGGUAAUUCCACUUGCGUAGCUCGCUGCAUCAGAGGGAUCGAGUCGACUAAAACCUUCCACGAAGAACAAUAAUCAUCGAUGCAUCACAUGUAACAAAAAUCAUCGAUGCGCCGUUCCGACAUGAGCAAGAUCAUCUAGAAGCAGUUUCCCUUGGAUAGCGAAACGGCCAAAUAAGAAGGAAGCAACGGCAGGACAUCAUCACUUGGAGCUUGAAUUCAUGGAAACGAGCAGCGAUGGCAAUGAUCUACAUCUGGUGCGGCUGAAGGUCUUAUGGCAGAGACAUUGCUAGCCGAAGACAACGAACGUGACUCGGUAUCUCUUUCUACUCCAUGCUUAGCGUUGAGGCAGAACGAGCGUUCCUUUCUUCGGUCAGAUCAACUGUUGCGGUAAUUAGGCUAAUGGGUCUGGGCCGCGGAUCAGAUCAAUGGGUUGCUCCUGUGGGCUGCUCCAGUUGGACCAACUUUGGGCCUUUUUUUAAUUUGUUAUUUAUUUCUAUUUGUUUAUUAUUCAUUUUUUUGUUCUUUUUACUACCAUUCAUUGUUUUUAUUUUUUAUUUUUUACAAAAAUGUAAUUAAGGUGUCGAUAGUUUCGAAUUUAUUUACUCUAAUAUUUGAAGAAGAAUUUCAUGCCAUUGAGAACACAGUACAAGACGUAUGUUUUGUUGCGUCAAAUCUUUACCUACCAAAGGCGAGAGUCAUUUCAAAUCAAUGGGAGAAAUUGACCUAAAACAUGGAAUGAUCCAGUUGAAUAGAAUCAGAUAGGUGUUGAUGAUUUAUCGAACCCAUUUAAAAUGACUUGAUUAACGAUGGAUGUGUUACGAGAUCAAUGGUGGGAGCCCAUCCCCUGGGAAAAGCUACAAGUUGGAGAUACUGUCAAAGUGAGUAGUCUUUAUGCUUUCGGACUGAUUUUUUUUUUUUUUUUUUGGUGAUUUGUCAUGUGACUGUGUUUCUUCCGGUGAAAGAACCUGUAUUUUAUUGAAGUGAAUCAUUUGUGUGUGGAAGGGUGUCAUCUUCGGAGUGUUAUAUUUAUGUUGGAAUUGGCAAUAUCAUGCAACACAGUUUUUACCAUUUUGUGUUAGCUCUCCGAUUUUAUAUGGGGUGAUUAUUACUAAUUGAGCUUCUAUAACCAUACUGCCUUCACUGUUUAUUCCACAAAUUCUAAAUAUAUCUCUCUCCGACAUCCAAGCUUGUCUUCUGCGUUUAAGACUUUACUAUGCUUGUCUUCUGCCUUUGAGAGAUUUUGGUGCUUGGAAGAAGCCAUUUGCUCUUCUAAUUCUGGGAAACGGUGACUGAGCAUCAUGUGGCUCCAAUUAAGGAUAAGGUGAGAGAAGUUCGCCUGAGAUGAUUUGGUCACAUUGAACAAAGGUUUUUGGUGCUUCAAUGAGGAGAGGUAAUCUGAAUACGAAGACUGGGGUUAGAAGUGGGAAGGGAAGACCUAAAAGACGUGGAAAGAGAUGACAAAGAUUUGGACCACAUAGAGGUUAUAUAAGAAAGAAGACACGGUGCAAGUAGCUGGCUUCACCUAGAGGGAUAAGGCUUUUCUUGUUUGCUGCCGUGUCGAUCCUUCACAGAAAGUGCAGGUAGCCUCUGAUGACUGUUAAUGUUGCAUGUCACAAUAGGUCAAAUUAGAUUCAUGCUAAUUGAUUAUGGAUCACAUAAUUUCAGAAAUAUCAGCUCCACCGUAUUGGAAAUUGGUGCUGGCUGACAUUUUUAAUUGUCUUGUCACUGGUUUCAUAUCUUUUGAAUGUAAGUGGUGCUUUUGAUAACAUUUACGCCACGACUCUUUGGGAAAGUGAUCCUGCAACUGGGUCACAAAAACUGUCAUAUGCUAUACGUUCAUAUUUCAUUUUUGAAACUUCAAAUUGGUGCCAAUAUUCGUCAAGGAAGUGCAGGAAGAACUUUCCCUCCGUUAUUUGAUUUACUGAUCAAAGAAGUGUAAAACUUUUAAAAUGGAACGACAAGCAAACUAAGCCUUAUACCACUAACUUUGAGUGAGCUAUGGGGAUCCUUUGGGACCAAGCAUUGUAACUACAUCGAGUCUUCCGUAAGCUGCGAAUACUGCAUGUCUUUAUUUAUCGUCUCCUUCCACGUCUUUCAGGAAAGAUAUCAAGCACUUAGAGCUUACAGGAUUUGAUACAGAAUAGAACGCAAUAGCGUAAUAAGAUGUUGUAUAGCUGAGCCGACUAAUGGCUAUAUGGUAAAGGUUUAAUUUUGUUCCAGUGUCAUGAGUUUCCUUUCUUUAUUUUAAUGCCAACAUAUGUUUACGGGGAUGUUUGGACGGUGGUCAUAUCUCAGAAUAUGCAAGGUCGAGUAUACGUCGUGGGACUUGAUAUAUUAUCGGAUAAGAUAGAUGGCCUGAUAAACAGCAGUUUUCUGUCUCUGCAGGUUAUUACCUACUUCUUCUACAAGAACCUUACAAUCACCUCGACUCAACUUUGGUUCACCCUUCAAGCUGGAUUUUCUGGUCAGAGAUUCUAUAAUGAUUGGUUCGAUUCAUCGGACAACGCCGUGUUUACUUCUCUUCCGGUGAUUGAUUUUGGGCUUUUUGAGCAGGUAAGUUUCAUUUAUUAAAUAUACUGCACCUAAAAUUAGUUUCAUUUAUUAAAUAUACCGCACCUAAAAUUCCUAGAAGGAUAAACUCGAUGCGACUAUUCUUUUUUGACUCAAUGAGUACAUGAGAUCUUGCAUUCCGGAUGAUAAACUCUGUUAGUUGUCCUGCCUAGUUGCAAAUUGCAAAUCUUCUAAAAUCUUCGUGAGAGAGAGAGAGUGGGAGGGAGAGAGAAUAAUUAAAUAUUACAUCCUUACUAAAUACCUAUAUAAAAGAGUACAUGGAUGGCUCUAAUUAUCGAUUACGAGAGAUGCUAACAAAAUCCUAAUUUCCUCAUUUGUAACCGCCCACUAACUAUUGACCCCCCAAAAUUUUGUGCACACAGCUUACAUAUGCAAUGUUCAGCUUUCUCUCAAAGUCUGUGAUCAAAGUGCUAUGUAAGCGGGAUCUUAUGCUAGAUAAUGGAUGUCGAUACAUUGGUUUUAAGACAAAGGACAAUUGCAUAAGCUGGAUCUUACACGAAAAAUUGAAGGUAAUCCAUAUUAACACCAGAUUUGAUAGAGAAGCUGUGAAGAAACACAAAGUUGACACCUCUUUCUCAACAACCGGGUCGAAACUGUUGCGAUAGGGCGAGCAAUCGAACAAAAUAUAGACGGAAGAAGAAAAAUAAAUCGGACACCAGAUUUACGUGGUUCAGUCGUAAAGACCUACGUCUACGGGGAGAGCAGCAGUGAAUUUCACUAUAGAUCAAGCGAUACAAGGAGAUUACACACUCAAGUCACUCAAACACUCUCUCGGUGUUUUCCAAGCUCCAAUUACAUCCAAUACACCAAUUUUUCUUGAAUGUAAAUCACGAAUAAAUUUUGCCGCACAAGAAACACGAAGACCCGCUAUCAAGCACCCAGCGCCUACAGACGUCUCUCGCAAACAGAGAACACCCACGGCACUCAAAUAAACGGCGCUUCAAUAUGUGGCUUCGCUCAACACAUACGUAGGGUUCGGCGGCUUCUUUGAACAGCACCCUCAAAAGAAGACCUCAAUAAUACUUCCUUUUAUACGUGUGCCCAUGAGGUCAAAACUUUGACCAUGGGCCCACCUUCGUUUCCUUUUUUUUUUGGCUUCACACGGCAGACUUCCUCUCUCGGCUUUUACGUGCAGGGACUCCACGUGCGAAGGCUUCAUUCUUUCCACUGUGUGCCCAAAGUCAAAUAUUUGACUUUGGGCCCCACCUUUCGAACGCGUACAGAAAACUUCACCCGUAGCUUUUAUAUUUUAUCUUGGGCCUACGAGGAAACCUUCCUCUUCACGUGCAUGUAGGUUUUCUUCCUUCCGCAUUUCGGAUUCCACAAUAAAGAGGAAACUUUUCUCCAAUUUUAUUUUAUUUAAAAAAAUCAGUAAUUCGUUUCGGGCUUAAACUCGAGACAUAUUUAACAAUCUCCACAUUGGCUUGACGUUUGAGCUAAGUCACAAUCGCUUCGCAAAAAUUCAAACUCUGUUGCUACUUUCCCAUAACCCCUAGUGGGCUUAACCGCCACAGAUAUUAUCCAAGUCCAAGCCUCGCUUGAACUUCGCCAUAACUGAGCACCUCAUUAGAAUACCAACUCCACAUGCACUUUUAACUGCUCUGCAAGGAUUUUCUGACGCAACCUUCUCAACCGCAGAUAAAGCAAAACCAUUAUUGCAGCCAUAUCUAUCAGGAGAUUGAAUAUGUACCUUGUCAAUAUCAGCAGUUACAGCAACCGUUGGCUCUAUAAGCUCCACCUCGCUACAAGCACCAUCUGUGUCGAUUACUUUGCUAGUACUCGUACUCGCUACCUUAGGAGUUUCUGGUUGCAACUCCACCUCAAGCUGAACACCGUUCAGAUCCGUAUUAACAUUGCUAUAAUCACUCCUAGCCAGAAGUAUUGGAGACUCAUCAAGGGUAACUUCUCUGCUGUAAACAGGUAAAUUUAUAUCUGGGCACCACAACAGAUCACCUCGCUCACCUUGUGCAUAGCCAUGGAAUAUGCAUCUUGCCCUCCCAUCGAGCUUACCAUCACUCACUCGAAAAUAACACGGGCAAUUAAACAUUCUAAUAAUAGAAUAGCCAGCAACGUUACCUGACAACACUUCUUUAGGAGUCUGCCAUUCAAUAGCAGUUGAUGGGGAUCUAUUCACCAGGCAGCUUACCGUACUUAGCACAUCAGCUAGGAUUCUCCUAGCAAUACCAGCACUAGAGAUAAUUUUUCGAGCCAUCUCUAGUAAUGUUCUGCUCAUCAAUCCUGCAAAUUGUUGUGAUUUACUGGCACUAGUGCGGUGUUUCACUAUGCCCUCUUUCAUGUAGAAUUUAUUUACCAGCUCUGAGCAAAACUCCAUGCUAUUGUCAGUCUGCACAUGCUUGAUCGACUUACUUGUCUCCAUCUCGAUCAAAGCUUUUGACCGCGAGAUCUUGACACCAGCAUCAAACUUGUGCCUUGGCACAAACACCCAAGUCUUCCUCGAGCAGUCAAAAGACUCUCGAACAGAUGUAUCCGACGUCUCCGCAGCGAAAUUUAUCACUGUCUCACCUUGAAGUUUAUACAGGCCAUUGUGCUUGAUUCCUUUCAUUAUCACCAGGGCACCUCGAACAACAUUCAAAACUCCACCUUUUGAAGAAUACCCGCAACCAGCUGAAUCUACGGUACCCAAGGAAAUUGAGUUCUUUUUCAAUUCUGAAACAUGCCUCACUCUAAUCAAUGUCCUCACGAUACCAUCAUGCAUUUUGAUUUUAACAUCACCAACACCCAUAACAUCGCACUCAACGUUGUUCCCUAACUGGACUUUACCACUACCUGUGUACCGAUAAGUGAUAAACCAGUUUCUAUUUGGUGUGACAUGAAAAGAACAACCAGAAUCCAUAACCCAUCCAUCAAGUGAUGAAUCAUUAGUGACAGACAAGACAUAAUCGGCAUUAUCUACUACAGCUGCAACAUUAUCUGCAUAAUCAACUUUAAUUCCCUUACCCUUCUCAUUCUUCAGCUUAAGGCAAUCUCUUCUAAGAUGUCCCCUCUUGCCACAGCUCCAACAGACAACAUUAGUAGUCCUAGAUUGACUACGUCUGUUCAUAUUAGUAUUACCAUUACCCACACGUGUUACAGAUCUUCCUCUAUUUUCACCUGCUAGAGCAGUAGAUACAGAUUCGCCAGAUUCGCCAGAUUCACUUCUACGAAUAUCCUCGCUCAGAAAUAAAUCUCGAACCCCAUCAAACGUCAAACUUGUUGACCCAGAGGAAUUACUAACAACAGUAACGGUAGUAUUCCAACUAUCAGACAAUAAGGAUAACAAAAUCAAAGCACGUACCUCUUCUUCAAAAUCAAUCUCAACUGAAUUCAAUUGACUAACAAUCACAUUGAAUUCAUUGAUAUGAUCUGCAACUGACGCACAUUCUUUCAUCUUCAAGUUAAACAGACGUCGCAUCAAACAGACUUUGUUGAUCGCAGAGGACUUCUCAUACAUAUCCGACAGGCUUGCAUCAAAUCAGCAGUGGUCUUCUCCUUCAGGAUGUUAAACGCAACGUUACGAGCCAACAUCAGCCGAAUAACACCCAUAGCUCGUCUAUCCAGCAAAUCCCAAUCAGCUUGCUUCAUCGUCUUUGGUUUCUCUCCAAAUAAAGGCAAGUGCAGAUUCAUCUGGUAAAGAUAAUCUUCAAUUUGCAUCUUCCAGAAACUAAAAUCAUUCCCAUCAAAUCUGUUGAUUUUCACUUUUACUUCUUCUGUCGCCAUCGAUUCGCUUCAACUUAGCCAAACCUGGCUCUGAUACCACUUGUUGCAAUGGGGCGAGCGAUCGAACAAAAUAUAGACGGAAGAAGAAAAAUAAAUUGAACACUAGAUUUACGUGGUUCAGUCGUAAAGACCUACGUCCACGGGGAGAGCAGCAGCAAAUUUCACUAUAGAUCAAGCGAUACAAGGAGAUUACACACUCAAGUCACUCAAACACUCUCUCAGUGUUUCCCAAGCCCCAAUUACAUCCAAUACACCAAUUUUUCUUGAAUGUAAAUCACGAAUAAAUUUUGCCGCACAAGAAACACGAAGACCCGCUAUCAAGCACCCAGCGCCUACAGACGUCUCUCGCAAACAGAGAACCCACGGCACUCAAAUAAACGGCGCUUCAAUAUGUGGCUUCGCUCAACACAUACGUAGGGUUCGGCGGCUUCUUUGAACAGCACCCUCAAAAGAAGACCUCAAUAAUACUUCCUUUUAUACGUGUGCCCAUGAGGUCAAAACUUUGACCAUGGGCCCACCUUCGUUUCCUUUUUUUUUUGGCUUCACACGGCAGACUUCCUCUCUCGGCUUUUACGUGCAGGGACUCCACGUGCGAAGGCUUCAUUCUUUCCACUGUGUGCCCAAAGUCAAAUAUUUGACUUUGGGCCCCACCUUUCGAACGCGUACAGAAAACUUCACCCGUAGCUUUUAUAUUUUAUCUUGGGCCUACGAGGAAACCUUCCUCUUCACGCGCAUGCAGGUUUUCUUCCUUCGGCAUUUCGGAUUCCGCAGCAAAGAGGAAACUUUUCUCCAAUUUUAUUUUAUUUAAAAAAAAAUCAGUAAUUCGCUUCGGGCUUAACUCGAGACAUAUUUAACAGAAACAUGUGAGAAUUCGACGUCUGAAUUGUGUUAACUAAACUGCAUCACCCCCAUGUAGCUUUGACUCUUGCUGCCCGAGAGUUGUGCUCGACUCUGGCGCUCAUAGCUGCCUGGAAACUUGACGGCAACUUCGCUCGUCGAUGAUGUUGACCAGUCAAAGAUAGUCUUAUGGAUGACGUCCACUUUAGAAAUGUGGAGAUUUCAGAGAAGUGGAAUUGGGAAUUCGCUGAAGAAAAUGACCUUUGCAGUUGACAGGGAAACAUACUCGGGGUGAACAAGCUGACAUACAUGAAGGACCAGAAAGUAGUAAAGAGCAUAGUUGAACUUGAUGAAGAAUAAGACUUAGCUUGAUGAACACGAACUGGAAAUGAUGGAGAUUGACGUGAAGAAACAAAGACAGUGAGUCGGGCAAGACUCGACGGACCCCUAGAUCAGUGAACAGAGGGACUCGACCGAGAGUGUUAUCCUACCAUGGAGAAAAAGAGACAAGGACAGAGUUGGCUGAGCGAGAGUGAAGUGGACAGGUCCACAGCGGAGAGAGCUCGCUUUUGACAGAUGAAGGUCAACUGGCGAACUGAUGAAGAUGAGCAAUGAAGAUGGCUCGUGACUUACGAUGGAGGAUGAAAGAAGAGGGAGACUGACGAGCAGCAGUGAACAGUGAGACUCCGGUUGACGAUGAGCAACGAUGAGAAGGACAUGUGGCAGAGGUCGCGGCUGGAGAACUCGUUACUAUAUGGAGUCAAUGACAACACUUGCUCGAGUCCCCAAGGCUGAGAAGAACAGAGGGCAAGCUUUAAUUGACACCUAGACUGAUACUAGGAUUAUUACCGUAGACAAAUGAUGUGGACAAACAUGAAGAGAUUGUUCAGAUGGAGUUGACUGAAUAGUGAUGGCUAUGUUCUUUUUACUGAAGGCAACGGGAAAAAUAGAGUUGGAGUUUUGAUUUGGAUCCCUCUUCCUCGGUGGCUCUUAUACCAUGGAAAUAUUUCUAUGAUUUGCAAGCGAGAGGGAGAGAGAGAAUCAACAAAUACUACACCUUUACUCAAUAGCCGAAUAAAAGAGUAUAUAGUAGCUCCACUUAUAAAGCAUGAGAGACAUUAACAAAGCUUCGGUUACCUUAUUUGUGACCACCUGCUGUCGACUACUAUUCAUAGAUAUGCUCCAACACAGAUCACAAUUGGAGCAAAUACUUGACAGUGUUUUUGCACGCUUUUCUAGGAUGUUAGUGCGUCAUUUUCAAAGAAGUAUCCACAACUGUACAAGGAGGGAAUACGGAAUUCAUACUUCAACUGUAGAGUUGUGGCAGCCUGGUCUUUUUCUGCGGUCUACCAGUCUCUCGUCCUUUAUCACUUUGAGACAGCUUCUAGUUCUACUGGUCUAAAUUCAUCGGGAAAAAUGUUCGGCCUCUGGGACGUCAGCACAAUGGCAUUUACCUUUAUUGUUGUCAAGGUCAACUUACGCCUUCUUUUGAUGUGUAAUUCAAUAACGAGAUGCCUUCAUAUCGCUGUCAGUGGAAGCAUCCUUGGGAUGCUUGUUUUUAUUUUCAUAUGUUUACUUAUGAGGAUGAGUCUUCUCCCUUUCUGGGGGUUCUUUUCUUCCCUUCACCUCAUCUAGUCCUCUUUUGGAUAGCAAUUAUUCUGAUAUUCGUCUUAUUACAUGUAUGCGCAAGAAAGUCUCUACCAUGUCAUCCACGUAUCAAUGAGUACAGUCUACUUCUACCUGACAUUUCUUCUGGUUCCAAUUGUCGCACUGCUUGGUGACUUCUUAUGCCAAGGGUAAGGUUUCAGACUCAUAUCUGGCCCAAAAAAAAACAGUCCGGCUUUUUUGUUCUUAGACAAUUUCUCGUUUUAGAAACAGAGAAUAACACUAUAACAUAGUUCUCAAGUAAAUUUGCUCAUGAAUACUGAUUGCGAAUCUGCAAUUUCGCUUUUCUAAAAGUGACAAAUGUAGUUUGUCAUGGAAAAUAUAAUGGAGGACCUCCUUUUUCGUUCAAAUAGCCUUCAUCAUCUUCAUUGUCGAUUUCGUGGGUCCUUUUUUCCCUAUUUGCUCCAACACAAGAUACAGGGCUUGUCAUGUCCGUACUUUUCCAGUUUCUCAGAUGGUCCAUUGGGAAUUGCAUCUGCACUGCUUCUCUCUCUCUCUCUCUCUCUCUCUCUCUCUCUCUCUCUAACCCCUCUUCCUUCUCUCUGGGCUGAAGAUGGCCUUAUGUCUGGAAUGCGGUUACAGGAUAAAUCCAUAUAUCAACCUUAAUUGGUAUAAGUAUUUAUUGGCUUGUGGGAACUUGACAGCUCGCUCAUCUCAAGCGAUCGAUUUCUGGAUUCACCAUAUUCUAUUUUGCGGAUUCUGUUUAUUAGCAACGAGUGUUUUCUUCAGGCAAUUGCAACGGAUACUUCCUCUGCUUAGUUUCUCUCUUUUUUCUUUAUUUUCUUUUUUCACGCACUGAUUUUUCAUGCACUUGGUUAUAGGGUUCAAAGGUGGUUCUUCCCAUAUGAUUAUCAGAUAUUACAGGAAAUUCUAAGGGCACAAGCCACGGGAUGAGGACGAAGCCAAAGACAUUGCCCAGGAGCUCCGAUUUACAGAUGUUUUUUAAUACUGUAAAAUGAAAAUUUUAGACUGUUCGAGUUUCUCUAUUAUUGUCAGAAUCACAAGCAUACGAUCUUUAGGAUUCUCCCUUCCAAAAUUCGUACCCAGCCCUAAGCGGAAGGAAAGGGAGGGAUGUGAUCAUAAUAGACUUCUGGACUCCUUCCAGACGCCAAGAGUAUCGCACGUUUCAGAGCAGUAGGAAAGCAGCUUACGUUAAUUCUGUUCGUGCAUUUAUGGGCUAGCUCUAGCCCAACCGCAAAGUCCUAAAUGCUUUUCUGGAAACGUUUUUUUAUAUCUUUCUGUUCAUUGUUUCUUGACAAAGCUUGCUUCACAAAGGAGGCUCACCUUUUAUUCCCAGCCACGCUGCUCAUUUCUUGCAUUGCGACUGCUUAUAUGGCAGCAAUAAGGAGUUCCUUUGCCUGUUCAUUAAUUCUCUGGUCGCUUUUUCUCUGGCUGAGUGGGAGAUGUGUUAACUGUUAGGUUAUUUUAGAUGCUACUCUGGGAGCCAUCGCUAGCUGCAUCCCGAAGUUGUUUGAGGAUGACAAACUGACCGUGCAUCUGUCGGAAAAAGUCGAUUUAUUUAGGAAUUGCUAAAAGUGUGAUUGUUGAAAGCACCUCAUUAGCUGAAGAAGGAACAUUUUCUCAGAUUUUUAUAACUGAUUCCAACCGUGUCCUAUGAUCCCCUUCCGACAUAGAAGUAAUUAUGGACUCGGCUCAGUCCUUGCAUAAAUACCAGCGGCUCCGUACUUGAUCAUUCCGUCUUAUGCAGGGGAAAGGCAGAGGAUAUCUGUUGGAGCAGUAUCCUAUUCUAUUCUGUAAGCAAAAGACGUUGCAAGAAUCGCAUAUAAUCACCUUAACGAUGGACCAAAUAUCUCGCGAGGAGCUGAUGAACUUGGCCAAGUUUCUGAGACACUUGACUGCUGGGAUUCGUCCAACCGUUCUUCAUUACCAUCAUCAUCAUCAUCAUUCUCAAAAACCAGCUAUAUCCGGCGCUUUUUCAGCGAGAGCCCAGGAAAGUAUGGUGGGUCUCGCAGGACUAUAUCUAUUCUUGUCUCCUUUGAACAUCCGAACCAUUGGCUUGAAUUAUGGAUAUCUAAUCUGGUAAAGCUGGUCUUCGCUUGUGUCAUUUAAUGUCUGACGUGUAUCGGAUCUUCAAGCCUGAGAAGCCAUCCUUUAAUGUCCUCGAUUGCUGGUAGCGGAAUGUUUGCCCAGUUUGCACUGUCCAUAGAGACAACAACAGCGAAAAUCAUUCCCUCUAACCCCGAGGUUCUUCUUCGGAGCAGCAAAAUGAGGAACUUCCUGACAAAACCAUCCAGGAAUGUCACUCCCAGGGACACUCGAGUUGUGCAAAUGCUUUAGAGCAACCUGAAAUUUCUUCUGAAAAGACACAUUUAAGGUCAAACUUUUUGCAUUCAUGAUUGAAGAUACUGAACAAAGGUGGAGAAACGGAACUGAUGAGUAGUUUUCCCAAAAUGGGAGUUAUGAGUGAUCUUUUUCACCUUUUCAAUUCUUCUCUCCCAAGAGUAAAAGCCUCAGAGAUUUUAAUACCCGGAGACCAGUGAUGUCAACUAGAUUGCUGCAAUCAGUAAAGUUUAGCUCCUUCAAAUCAGUAGAAUUCAGAUGAAAGGCGUAAAUUUGAAAUUGAUUAACCUCAACGCGGGAUAGUUCUCGGGGAUGAUGGCCACGACAGCGCCGAGUAGUCGAUCGCCUCCAGAAGGCCCGGCGCUAUCUCCUGCCCUCACUCGAGGCCUUCUUCGUCGAGCUGGAGCCACGGCACGCUGCUGAGCAUGUGCUCGCGGUAGAGGUGAUCCACGAUGCCGUGGCGGGGGGUGUCGGCGCCGUGGGAGCUGAGGAAGACGUCGCAGCGGAAGCGAGAUGAGAACAUAGCGUCGUCCUCUUCGGGAUCGUCCGUCAGCAUCGUCGCUUUUCGGCUUCUUGAUCGACCUCACUUAGGAGUCGCCGGUCUUUUGGCAGAGGCGGUCGUUGCAGAGAUCGAAGCGCCACGUAACGAUGAGCAAUAAGCAACGAGCACCUUGCGGACGGACUCGUGUUCCCUUUGAAAAGAGCGAUUUCCACGGCACGGGAAAUGCGCUGUCUUAAUUUUUAAUUGACAAAUCAUGGCAUUCACAGUAGUAAAGGGAAAAUUAUCCAAAAAAUUUUAAACGACCAAUUCAAUUUUAAAUCUAUAUAUUAAUUUAAUUCUAAAUAGUUAUAAAUAUUUUAAUUAUGUCAAUUUAGUUAUAAUUCUUUUAAAAAUUAUAAAUGUAAGUCUUUCGGGUAAUUUUGACAAAAAUCUCUGACUCGGUGUUCUAAUCAAUGCUAGCCAUCCUACGUGGAAGGUCGGUAUUAAUGUGGACAAUCGUGUUUAAUUUUUUUUAAAACAUUUUUUUUUCUUUCUUUUCUUUUUAUUUUAUGGUUUUCCUCACAAGGCCGGCAAGUCCACCGGUCACUGGCCGAGGGCCAGCAGCCCCGCCACCCCUGUAAAGAAAAAAAAGGAUAGUAAAGAAAAUUAUAUUUUAAAGAAAUUAAAAGAAAAAAUUCUUAGUAAUCAUGAUGAUGGAGAGUUUAUGCCAUGACAUAGCAACAUGUGUCCUCGAUACGUGACCAAAAUUAUCACCGCAAGGAUGUUCAUACCUACUCCGGUUAAAAUGUAGGAAUACAAGUUUUGUCAAUUUAGCCUUGAUUUGGUUUCAAUUUCAAUCCUUUAGACUAAAACUAAUUAGACGAUGAGGCCGCACGCCUUGCACGUGCUGGUGUCGGAGAACGUCAGCACCUCCCUGCACCGACGGUUGCGGCACGCCGACGUCUUCUUCUCCCUUGGGUCGCAGCCCCCGGAACCUCUCUUGCCUCUGCAAGAUGACCUCUCUGGUCUUGAUCUGCACAUGAUUUGCUCGUUUGCAUGUAAAAAAUGUGUGAUUCAGGAUCGAAAAAUUAUUGAACAAAUCUUUCUUUCUGUAUAAAUUUUUAAUGGAUUGGCCACCAAAAUCACAAACUCGAUUGCUUCAUGAUCCGACGGAAGCAAUCGAAGUGAUGAAUUACCUCACGAUAACCGUCACGGGUGGAAGAAGGAGAUCAAGGAGAUUGCAAUCUGGGAAAGCCCAUGUUCCUCCUCCUAUCUCUCUCUCUCUCUUUGACAAUUGAUUGAGGCUGAAACCGUUUUGAGUUUGAGGGAUAGUAUCAUGAUUUCGAGUUUGACGAAGGUUGAAUGUGGGUUGGAAUCGGACAUAACGAGGAUUUCUUUGACUGGGUUGAGUAUUUGAAUCAUCAUGAUUCUUAUCAAGGUAAACUUCGCAUGCUCUGUCUCUGCUGGAGGUGGGGACCGAGUGCUUGAUUCUGCAGGCGUGAAAUCUGGUUGAGUCUGAGAUUGUCCUGAUGAACUCAUACAAGUUUCAAUGAUUCGGUAAUUGUUUGGAUGCACACCUUUUCCUUAUCAUUGCAUUUAGGUGCCCCUACCGAAACGCUUACCCCAUGUUUGAUUGAAUUCCUUAACGGUAUUAGCAUGUGUAUUUCGUAAGCAUUCUUGUAUCGUGAUGAUUAUCUGGCAAUGGCAUGCUUAAACUGAGAGUUCUCCAGUUUGUAUGACAUUAUUUUCCUUGAUGUUGGUUGAACCUCUAAAGUUGUGCUCAAUGCUCCCAUGACUGAGAAUUUGAACAUGCUAUGUUGGCUUAAUUUACUAGGAAUUAUGUUAUCUAUAUCAAUCUACGAUGUUUGUAUGUGGGUAUUCUAACAUUUGAGACAAUUACCAUCCUUGUACUAGAAAUGGUGAAAUCCUUCUUCGAAAUGUGCAUCAUGUGUUGUGUACUUCAGUAAACACCUGUACAAACUUCAUCCUUUGCUUGAUCUCGAAAGUAAUUGGUUUCAUAUGCUUGGAUGAUUAUGCCUUGCAUUUCUGGAUCCGUUCAUUGAUACCUCAAUACCUUCUGUAUGUCAAUAAUAUUUGAUUCAUUUUUUUAGGCGAAUGCACGCCCUAUACCUGUUUGAUUUUCUUCGUUGAUUGAAGAUUCUGAAGUUCAUUCCUUGAUGUCAAAACUAACAUUCGAUGGCUGAGUGCAUAGUGAGCUUUUUAUGCCAUGACCGAAUGCUUUGCUUGAUUCUUUGUCCAUUUUGCAAUUUGUAUACAAGUUCAGUUGUUGCUGAAUGAGUCUCAACUAUGAGUAUUGACUGUAGAACGCGGCUCAAUGCUGUUUUCCUGUGUUUAUGGGUAGACAGGCAUGCAGCAUGCUGGAAAACAACAAAAAGAGCUAAGAAAACUUGCUUCCGCGGGUGGCUUCCCAACUUGAAGGCACAUUAUCGUCUCGGCAGGGAGGGGAGGAGGAGAGCCAAGGCCAUCCGCGCACUCGAAUUGUAGAUUAAAAUAAUAAUCUAUUUCUUCUAAAGAUAAUUUUUUAGUUCACCACAUGCAAGACGACAUUUUAAAGCUUUGGCUUCCAAGGGCGUCCGAUUUGUUAGACCUCAAUGAUUUUCUCUAGCAAAUCUAUUCAUGUUGGUAAUUCUUUUCAUAUAGUUAGUGAAAUCUUAAAUAGAGUGGUAACCUGAGAUAAAUGAAGUAACUUGUACUCGGCAUCUACAAAUUUUAUUGUUCGCCUUUAGUUUUCUCUAAAUACAUUGUCAAUUUCAGUACAAGUCUAGAUUCCCUAUUCAAUUUUUCACCUAUACUUUCAUUUGCUUGGGAUUUCUUUCCUGCAUUUUGACUUGAGUUGUUUAUUGUUUCGGAAAAAAAAAAUUCAUUUAAUUUCCCAAAAACAAAUACCAAGUGUAGAAAACAGGGGUAAAAGAUGCGAAGGAAAUCUCAGUAAUUGAUGCUAGCUUUCUCUCAGUAACGAAUAAGACUCAAAUGGCUAACUUCAAAAUUUUCAAGUUCGAUUCCAAGGGAAGAAGGGAACUCUGGAGUCAAUUUCACUUGCAUAGCUCUUUUGCAUCAAAGGGAUUGAGUCAACUAAAACGUUCUAUUGACAUCCGAAUUUUCAUCAACGUCCUAAAUAUCCAUUUAUCUCGAAAAAAUAUAAAAAUUUAUAAAAAGAUAAAAAAAGGAAAAUAAAAAUAGAAUAAUGAAUAAAAAUGGAUCAAAUAAAAUGAAUGAAUGAUGAAAAAUGAAGUCGUGUGGGCCGGCGUGUCUAGCCCACUUGGUUAUUUUCAGCUCACCCCUUAACCGGGCUUCCAGUUUACUUUAUUCUCUUUGGCCCAUUUGCCUUCUUUUUCUUCAGCCUACCAGAGCCUAAAAAAGAAGCCCAGCCCAUCACUCAUUCUUGCGCGCGCGCGCGCGCUCGUGUGAAGAGCGUCUGUAACGCAAGGAGGAGAGAAGGUACAGUGACGGUCACCGAACAAAUGCCCGUGAGCGAGGGAUGAGAAAGGAUGCUGUGACGGAAGCAGAUCCGAGAGCGUGAAUCUUCAUCGAAAUACUCGCGGCUCAACCCCGCGAAAACGAGAUAUAUUCGUGCGAGAUAAUGAUGUCUAGAACCUGUCGCGUCGUGUUUUGGUUGGAAAAUAGUGUCAAAGCUGAAUCAAAGACCUGUUCUCGUGGCUGCACAACAUGUGUUCGACAAAAUGCUCGAAUGAUGCGCCCAAAUCCAUGUUAUCCGAUCGACGUUAUAAAUUUAGUUCGAGACUUGAUUGCGCAUAUUUUGUUGACGCUCGUCUGCUUUCUUCGUGUUUUGCUAUGUUUUUGUUUGAUUUCACGGCCCAACUUUUGAUGUUCGUCGACGGCCAUGCAGAACCGAACUUGGUUCGGCCAUCGCCGGCGAUAGGCCGACGACGGCCGGAGAUGUAAUCUGGUGAUGGUGUGUGGUGGUGUGAGCGCCGGUGUCCGUACAUGGCCACUAGUUGUAUGGGUUCAAAAAAUGGAGAAGAAGAUGAAGGUUCAGAGUGAAAAAAUGGCUUCCGGGAAGAAAAGGGGAAGAAGAAGAAGAAGUGCAGUAGAAAAGGACUUAAUAAGGAAAAACACAAAAGAGGAAAAAAAAUUUAAAAAUAAUAAAAAAAAUUCAAAAUAUAUUUUUUGUAAAUCCUACCGGGUCGGAUCCAGGUAGACGGGUUGGAUCGGGUUAACUCAUUACCCAAAUAUAAUAAUAAUAAUAAUAAUAAUAAUAAUAAUAAUAAUAAUCAGAAAAAUCAUAAAAAUUCAGAAAAUUGGAAAAUUUCUAAAAAAAGUGAAACAAAAAAGAGGAUUCUUUGUUUUGUAUUGUCUUUUUAUUUUUUUAAGGAUAAUAUUAGGAUGCUUAUAUAGUUUCCUUUAUAAUUAUAAUUGAUUACGCAUUUCAAUAUUUUGAGUGUUACUUUCUUUUUCUAGAAUGGUUAGGACGAAUCUUAAAUUUCAUUUGGAUAAGUUGUUAUGGCGUUCGUCAGCACAUAAUUGAGUAGGUACUAAAAGGGAGUUAGUCUUAAGGCUAACAUAAUCAAAUUCUCAAGUCUAGAAUAUAUGGUUAUAAAAAAUAAGAUAUCCUCCCGUAUUUUACUUGAGUUCUAGUCAACUGAAAAAGGCUAAUGACGACUCUUUUGUCAAAAUUUGCGUAUGCUUAAUUGAUUUAAAAUUUAAACGUUCGAUGUCGUGCGAAGUAUGAGCUUGGCAGAAUCCGAGUCAAUAAAAAGUAUGACAAUACCCCCAAAACAUAACUCUCUUUCCCCCAAGGGGUUAGGUCACGACACCUUCUAUUAAGAACAGAAUAACACAAUCCAAAACAAUAAUCAUUGACACAUUGCACGUAACAAUAAUCAUCAAUGCACCAUUUUGAUACUAGCAAGAUCAUCUAAAAGUAAUUUUGCCUAGAUAUUAAAAUGGCCAAAUAAGAAGGAAGCAAUUGGAAUGACAUCAGCUAGAGCUUGAAUUCUAGAAAUGAGCAGCAAUGGCAAUGGUUUGCAUUUGGUGCGCCUGAAGGUCUUUAUGGUAGAGACAUUGCUAGCCGGAGACAAUGAACGUGACUAGGAAUCUCUAUCUACUCCAAGCUCAGCAUCAAGGCAGAGCAAGCACUCCUAUCUACUCCAAGCUCAGCAUCAAGGCAAAGCAAGCACACCUUUCUUUGGUCAAAGAGAAGACCAGGCCAGGGGAAAAAGCUGAAAUGUUGCGGCGAUGGGGCUAAUGGGUCUGGGCCAUGGAUCAAAUCAAUGGGUUUGCUCUUGUGGGCUGCGCCAAUUGGCUUUUUUAUUUGUAUUUAUUUUUAUCUUUUUAUUAUUCUCUUUUUUUGUUCUUUUUGCUACCAUUCAUUGUUUUUAUGCUCUUUUUUUACAAAAAUGUAUUCUUAAUUUGUCUACUGAAAAUUAGGUAUCGACUGUUUCAAAAAUAUUUACCUAAUAUUCAAAGAAAAAUAUCAUGCCAUCACGAACAAACUACAAGACAUUGUAUGUGCCGUUGCACCAAAUCUUAACUUACUAAAGGUUAUCGUAAUUUCUUGAUCAAUGGAAGAAAUGAGCCAAACAUAUAUGACAAUCCCAUCGAAUAGAAUCAGGUAUGUAUUGAUGAAAUAUUGACUCAUCUCAAAUGACUUCACUUAUGACUCGGAUUAAUAUGGACCCUAAUUCCAAUCUCACCCAUUUGGUGAGUCGAAGUCCUACAAAUUAGAAUGGAAGAUUAAACAAAGAUUGGUACGAGGGAAGAGAAAGAGAUGGCUUUUUAUAGUGGAAGAUGAUUCUUUCGCGUUUUGGUUUUCCUGCUCUAGGAUUCUUUUUCAAUUUAUCUGAAGUUUUCAAAGUGAGAAAUGAUUAAAUAUGGCAAAGAGUCACGGAAAAAGAAAAAGAAAUGAAUACAUAUAUUGAGAAUAACAUAGAUUUUAAUAAAACUAAUGUUUAUAAAGUUUCAGUUGAAAACCCGAUCAGAUGACUAGUCAAGUGGCCCAAGACUUGAUUUGCAAGUCAAAAGUCGCAAGUUUAAUUUCCCAAUCUAUUAUCCAUUUUGGGAUAAUUAUGCGAAUAAGUUGGCAGAAUUAAUUUGAACAAUAUCUUGUGGCGAACACAUUCACCCGUUUGGGACCAAAGAUUAUUGUGGGUUGGAGAAAAUCCAAAUAGAAUGUCCAACAAAAACAUUUGAGUCGCCAUUGAUGCCCCUCGAUGAAGGGCUGUGACUCCACUUCGACGAAUUUCCACUUCCACCAUGAUGUCGAGACAAUUUCCUUCACGCGCAAUAGCAUAAUUAACAAUAACCUUUUUCAACAAUAACAAUAAUAAUAGACAAUUUUGUCUCCAUACCAGAAAAGAGGCGAAUAUAUGGUGGAGUAGUUGGCACUGAGCAUUCGCCCCUUGAAAUUUCAUUUGCUUCCAACUAUAUUUUUCUUGUCUUGAAUAAGUGUAAGCUUUAUUUGGUAUUUCAGCACAUGAAGUUACAAUUGAUGUGAAAUUGCAACAAUCAAGUCAUAACGAUGAAUUAAAUGUUGAUAAUUAGCUUAUGUAGAGGAUGAUGGUGUGAAAUAACUGAAUAAAACGUAUAUUUUGUAGGUAGUGUGGCUCGAAGGUAAUUUUAGUACAAAGAAAUGGUGGAGUGCCUCACUUGUUUUCAAUUAGCGGAGCAUAGGAUUCGGGAUAAUUUUUUUAAAAAAUAAUUUUGGAUUCUUUGAGGUCAAGCAUAAUCAAAGCAAGCAUUUAGUUUUUUUAGUGAUUAUUUGGAUGUUGUAGAUGAUUAAAUAAUGCACUGUACAACCUGUGCGCAUUGAGGACGGGCCAAGAGAUGCAAACAAUCCACAAUCUAGUAACUCAACCUUUUGUCUACUAUCUCUAAUAAUCCAUCCGUUGGUAGUGAAGGUGGAUUUUGAUGAUACAGUUCACGCCGAUAGAGUGAUCAUGUCAUGUUCCACCAUGGAAAGAAUAGGAAAACACAAUACUUUGGCCUUCCAUCAUCAUAGGAGGUCGACAUUGUCUUCCUCGAAUUUUUCAAAUGUAGUUCCCAUCAUCCUUGCAGAGAUAUUCAUUCACCUCACCAGCAAUCGGCCCUGGAGUGCUUGAGGCCCGCUGUUCUUUUUUGGGGCACAUGUGGCCCAAGAGCACGGGUCUGAAGUGGCACGGCCCGUCGGCCAUCCUAACUAAAAUUUAUCUGGGCUCAUAUACAGAUAUUAGAACAUUUUCUGAUAGUCGAGGACCCUUCCCUGAAAAUAAGUGUUGCUGACACCUUCACAGAUAUUUUUGGCGCUCCAAUCCAUCUCAUUCGAACAUCAAAUCACAUUUCCCAUCUUGCAUUCACUUUAUCCCUCAUUCACUGUCUCCUGUCUUUCACCGAAAGUGUUACCGACAGUCUCGCAGAAUAUUUCGGAACCUCAACCCAUCGGACAUCUGUAAAAUUUCCCAUCUCGCAAUCACUCUCUGUCCUUUCUAUCCUUCACCGAAAAUUGAUGGUGACAGCUUCAUUGAGGUUUUAGCAGCCUCGACCAAUCUUAUAUGAGACAUCUAUGCUGGAUGAUUGGAGCCGUGAGAUUGUGUCAGGGCCCAUAAGAAAAUAAGAUAAUUUGUGUAUCAGUCACGUGUCCCAGCUCGAAACGAACAAGAGUCUGGAAAAUGCAAUAUGUUAUGGGCCCACUGAACUUGUCUUUUAAGGAAAGAACUCAUUUUGCAUUUCCCCUCGCUUUCUCCCGACUUUCCGGAGGAAAAUAUCUUGUGGCCCCCCACAGGAAAAUCUUUCUCAACGGUUCUCUUCGUAUUCCUUGAAUCUUUAUUUUCCUCGCUUCUUUUUCCCCCAAUUCCUGAAACCGGCUUCAUUCUACGGAAUGGCUCCAUUCGGAUUUAUAUAUACUGGUCUUGCUCUCAAAAGAAAAAUCACGGUAGCAAACAUUUGGAGUGGCUCCAUAAAUAACAUCUUUCGUUUGAUGAGAAACUCGAGAUAUAAGAAUUCUCCCACAAGUGUUGAUGGUCUCAUUAAUAAUAAUAUGUGUCGACUUGACUACUAUAGUUGCAUGAGUAGACAUUCCUCAAAGAAACGUCAAUAACAUUGGUAAGCUUCUAAAUUCAAAUUAUGUUUUGCACUCGGCAUUAGAGCCUGUCGUUUUUUUCUGGUCCAUCAAGCUAUGCUAAGAAUGAAGUAAAGAUGAGAUGUGAAUGGUUUGGGCAAAGAAAAAAGUGGAUGAACAAGACAACGUCUUUGUCCUCAACAAUGGUGCAUAGAGAUUUUUUGCAGAGGAGCGAGAGGUUCUUUUAAGUUCUUCCGUUGAUCGAUAUCUUGCAAUUAACUAUCUUGUAUUAUCUGUUUUUAAAUAUUGAAAUUGAAUGUCAUGGCUACAUAUGGAUUAUGUACCUUUUUAACUAGAGAUUUUUGUUAGCUCCAUAGUUGAUAGAAUAACAACUCCAAUUGUGACACUAAAACAAUUAUACGUGUAUCAUGAUUAUUUGAUUAUGUCAGGUUAUUUAAAUUUUUUGGUCAUAUUUUUAAGUAUGUUUUCCCAUAGUUUAAAGCAGUUUUUGUUUUGGGUGAUCAACUGAAUAUGUUUUUUUUUUUUUUUCAGAAUUAAGAAGUUGCCUUUUUUAGAAUAUUUGUUGUUGUUAUUCGUAAAACAAUUUGUACAAAGUUGGGACCAAAUAUAUAAUCAUAUAUGGCUACGCACAUAUUAAGUCGAAGCUAGACGGGACAACGUUGAGAGAGAGAGAGAGAGAGAGAGAGAGUAUAGUGGAGUCGGUCUUCCGACGCGAGGUUGAAAAAUGAAAGAAUGCGUAGAGAAGCAAGAAGCGUAGAAGUUUGGGGAGAAAUCUUUUGUGUUUCUUCAGUUGUAUUCAAUGUACAAAACUUAGUAAUUAUAAUACAAGAUGUACAUGAAGAAAAGGUAAUGAAAUAUUCUACAAAUCAAUCUAAUAUCUCAAUCUAAUCCCUAAUUGAUUUAGUGUAUGAUUAUAAUCAAAUCGGAUUCCCGAAAUAUCUUCCGAAUCUUCAACUAUAUCUUCCAACAAAAAAUCAAGAAACUUUAAUAAUUGCAACACGAUCCACAAUGUAUAAAGUCGUACUGUCUAUAUGCAUCACGAGGCUGACAUAACACUAACCUUCAAUAAUUGCAACGUGAUCCACGGCAAAAAAGCAACUUAACUUUAAGCCGUUUAAACUCUUAACCUCGCUUUGUUAAGUCUUUCUCCCUCCUCCUCCUCCUCUGCAUUUUAGAGAGAGAGAGAUAUCAGUAGUAGCAUCAGAGGAACGAUUGUGGACGUGUGUGAUCGGUACUUGUUAGGGAAGGAGAGAGAUGCAAGGAUUUGGAGUUCAUAGAGAAUCGGAAAGAGGAUCAUUGAAUUGUUAACGAGGUGUAGUCAAUCAAUGCAAUUGUCGGGUUUUCUUUAAAAAUAUUAAAAGUGAGGUUUUGAGAAAUAAGUGAUGAGUAUAAUUAGUAAUUUUUAUUAAAAAAAUGAAAAGGCGUUUGUCAUGGACCUUCAAUUUCUCUCAAUGGAGUUGUGUAUGUAGCUCAAAACCUAUGCAUGUUCACAAGAUUGACAAAUUGUUGUCUUUUAAUUAUUAAUGGAGUGCCGGGAAGCAUCCAACAAAUCUCCAUCAAAUGUGGCACUUCCUCCAUUUCAUACAGAUUGGAUAAUUAUCAAAGACAUAUUUUUUUUUUUUUGAUACACAUGUGAUAAAUUUAUUUUUUAUAUUAUUAUCUUUUGAAAAUGGGCAAGUUGCCACACUUGAUUUUUUUCAUCUCGAUUUCUAUUUGAAGUUGAUUUUGGCAGAUUAACAAUCUACACUUGGGAGCUGAGCCCUCCUUCCCUUCUUUUCCUUUUAUUCUUGGGAAGGUUUGGUGAGUAUUUCUUCUAUACUAUAAACUAUUAGUUAUUUAAAUUGCAACCUUAAUAUCAAAUUAUUCAUGUUUUUUUGCACGUGAAAAUAAAAUUAAGAUAUUGAGAAUGAGAAACUACUUCCAUUAAAGUUCACAUAUUUAAAUGAUGAGGCAUGACCAACUAAAAUUUAACGAUAAAAUUUCGGGUCAUCAGCUUGGAAGAAUUUAUGAUUUGAUGGUCGUAGCAUAAUCAGCUUAGAUAUUAAGAUUGAUGGGGAAAUUGAGUGCGACUCUUGUGGAUCUUAUCUUCAAUACGUUUUGUCAAAUAAACUGGGUGCUAUUAGAGACGCAAUGCCUAUCUUCUCGAGAAUUGAUGUAAGGGGCUGAACAUUUUCCUGUACUUUUCACAUGUCAAUUGUCGUACCGAGCAUCUAAGUAAAAGAAAGACGGACAAUUCGGUGGACAAUUCGGUGGAGUUGGGUCCCUCGGUGAUUGGCUGAGUAGCCUUCACGUGCAUGAAGCCGUACUGCCCAUGGGCACCACUAGGUUGACAUAACAUGAAACUUUAAUAAUUGCCAAGCGACUGCUGAUGGCCAAGCAGCAACUUCAUCUCCAUCCUCAUUAACUCUUAACAUCACUUUGUUCAAUCUUCCUCCUCCUCUGCGUUUUAGAGAGAGAGAGGGGGGGAGAGCACCGUCCCAACUGGCACGACCCAUUGGCUAUCCUAAUUAAAAUCCAUUCGAGUUCAUGUACCAUUUUCUGAGAGUGGAGGAUCCUCCAUUAAAAAAAAAAAAAUGUUGCCGACAGCUUCAUAGAUAUUUUUGGAGCUUCAGCCUACCCCUUUGGAACAAUCGUUCACAUUUCCCAUCUCGUGUGCACUUUAUUUCCGUCCUUCAACAGUCUUCUGUCUUUCACCGAAAGUGUUGCCGACAGCUUCGCAGAUAAUUUCGGAACGUCAAUCCAUCAAUUCGGACAUCUGUAAAUUUUCCCAUCUGGCAGUCACUACCAAAAAUGGUGAGUGACAGCUUCGUUAACGUUUUAUGAGCCUCGACCAAUCUUAUUCAGACAUCUAUCCACAUUUCCCGUCUCCCGAUUCAAUUUGUGUCCUCACUGUCUUCUGUCCUUCACCAUAAUUCAGACAUGCGCCCCCGUCGAAUCUCCAAAUGACCAAGAGUCCAGAAAAUGCAAACAUGUUAUGGGCCCACUGAGCUCGUCAUUUGAGGAAAAGAAAGAGCUCCAUUUUGCGUUUCCCGCUAUUUUCUCCCCACUUUCCGAAGGAAAAUAUCUUGAGGGUCCCCACAGGAAAAUCUUUCUCUACCAUUCUCUUCGUAUUCCUUGAAUCUUUUAUUUUCCUCACUUCUUUUCACCCAAUUCCUGAAACCCGCUUCAUUCUACGGAAUGGCUUCAUUCGAUUCUAUACAUACGGGUCUUUCUCUCAAAAGAAAAAUCAAGGUAGCAAACUUUUGAAGUGGCUCCUCAUCCAUAAACAACAUCUUUUGUUUGAUGGAAAACUCAAAAUGUAAGACUUCUCCCAUAAGUGACGAUAACAUUGUUAAUAAUAAUAAUAUGUAUAGACUCAGCUAUAGUUGCAUUAGUAGAUGUUACUCAACAAAAUGUCAAUAGUAUCAGCAAGCUUCUCAACUCAGAUUAUGUUUUGCACUCUGCAUUUAAAAAUGAAGUAAAGACGAGAUGUAGAUGGUUUACACAGAAAAAAAGUGGAUGAACAAGGCGACGUAUUUAUCCUCAGCAAUGGUGCAUGCAAAUGUUUUACAUAGGAGACAGAGGUUCUUUUCAUUUCUUUCGUUGAUCAAUAUCUUGUAAUUUUUAUCUUAUAUUAUCUAUUUUUCCAUAUAGAAAUUGAAUAUCAUGGCUACAUAUGGAAUAUAUACAUUUUUAACUAGAAAUUUACAAUAACUUUACAUGCAUGAUGAUUUCGGGUUAUUUAAAUUUUUUUGUCAUAUUUAUAAAUAUGUUUUCCCGUUGUUUAAAGCAAUUUUUGUUGUAUAAAGCAGUUUUUGUUUUGGGUGAUUGAUCGAAUGUGUUUUUUUUUUUUGGGUGAGGAUGAUUAACCCAAUUAAGAGGUUGGUUUCUUUAGAAUAUUUGUCGGUCUUGUCCAUAAAACGAUUUGUACGAAUUUGGGACCAAACGUUUAAUCAUAUAUGGCUUUGCACAAAUUAAGUCGAAGCUAGUGGGACAACGUUUAAAUUGAUAGAGAGAGAGGAUAGUACGGUGGAGUGGGGUCCCUCGGCAUGGGGUUCAAAAAGCAUGAAGCUUUAAUAAUUGCAACAUGAUCCACAAUGUAUCAAGUCAUACUGUCCAUCUGCAUCACAAGGUUGACAUGACACCUCAGUUAAAUUCUUAACAUCACUUUGCUUUGUCCUCCUCCGUUUUAUAGAGAGAGAGAGAGAGAGAGAGAGAGCAGGGAGCAAUGGUCGUGGAGGUGUGUGCCGUGUGGUCAGUACAUAAAUCAAUAGAAUCAGGUCUUCUUUAGAACUAUUAAAGUGAGAUUUUGAGAAAUAAAUGAUGAGCAUAAUUAGUAGUUUCUAUACAAAAGAAAAAUGAGAAGGCGACUUUCAUGGAUCUUCAAUUUCUCUCAAUGGAGUUGUGUAUGUACCUCAAAGCCUAUGCACAUCCACAAGAUUAAUAGAUUGGUGUUUCUUAGAUAUUAACGGAGUGCCUAGUUCUCUUUGAGCAUCUCGUGAAUCUCCAUCAAAUGCGGCGGUCCCUCGAUUUUAUAACAUCGGAUAAUUACUGAAGACAAACAGUUUUUAUUAAUAUAUUGGUGAUAAAUUUAUCUUUUAUAUUACAUUUUUUUGAAAAGGGCUAGUUGCCACAUUUGAUAAUAUUAUCUCAAUUUCUAUUUGAAUGUUGGUUUUGGCAACUUAACGGUCUUAAUUUGGGAGUUGAGCCCCGUUCCUUUUAUAGGACGGUUGCUUAGGUAUCAUAAUUUUUUGUCAAUUAAGUGGGUGUCAUGACUUAAAAAAAAUUUCAUUUAAGUGUCAUGGCCUUCAGUUGCUCAUUUAAAGACUACAACUCCCAUUAUCACAAGUGUCAUGAUGCUAGCACUAUUGGGCAAUGUUUUUGAAAAGCUUAUAAUGCUCAAGUGAAUAUUUUUUAGAGGUUUUAAAAUAUUUAAAUAAUCAGAAAAAAUAAAUUUAUGAUGCUUAAAUAAGCGUCAUAUGUGGUGACCUUUUUUCAAAAUUAACCUUGUAUAGUUAGGGCAUUGCAAACUUCUACAUGCUAUGACAAUACAAUUACACAAGCACUGUAAGAUGCUUUUGUAUGAAAAUGAUACAAACUUUUAUGAAGAAGAAGGGAUGAGAAAAGUAUUUUGGUCAAAAUUGGUGGUCUCCACAUAAUACAACAUUAGAAAGCCUUAUUGCACUCGGCGGGCUCUAUUGUUGUGCAACUUUAUUAAAGCUGAUACUUAAAAGAGCUCAUGAAGCGACUGAAAUUGGAGUGUAUCAUCUGAAUCGGAUUCUGGACUCAUAGAGAUUGGGGCCUCGCCGCUGUUGAUAGCUGGAGCUGAGCACGUAUGAAAUGAUUGAUAGACAAUGAUAGUCAUAGACAGCUGGAUAAUUCUCGCAUUCUACCCGCGGUGGGGUCCGAAGGCAAUUUUAGUCCAAAAAGAAACGGUGGACUGGAUUUUUUUUGAACCGUUAAAUUGAGGUUCUCCAUUGAGGUGCAUCAUCUGAACCGGAAUCUGGACCAUAGCUCGGUCCCAAGUGGAGAUUGGUGCAUCGCUGCUGCAGUGCUGCUGAUUUCCGGAGCUGAGGUCAGAUGUGUUAAACGAUUAAGCAUUAAUCAAAGGGAAGAAAAUAUUUGAGGGUCCCGACUGCCAAGCCAGCGUGUACGCCUACCAAUGACGAAGUGACGCGUGGCUCCACGAUGCGCUGGUGGUUCCACUGGUUUUUAUGCACAAAAUAAAUUAUUUUCCCUUUUCUGCUUAAAAAUUUACAGUCAUUAAUAAAUCUGUUGCUGCUUUUUUCUCUCUCCUCUCUAAUGGAGGCCUGCACGCAGUAAAGGAGCUUUGCCUCUCGUCCUUUCUUUCCUUCUCACUUGAAAAUUUUAAGUGAGAAUUCGCUCUCUGGCCCAAAGGCACGUUGCUCCUCCGCCUUGCUCCGGCGCCGGGUCAUCUUCGCUCUCUGCCCCAGAGUUCGUUGCUUCUUCGGCCUGCCUCGUUGUGUUCCUUCUCCGCCCUCUGCUCCCGUGUGGUUUCCCUGCGCAAGACGGCGAGGAAUGUUCUUGCUGUAAGUCGCAAACUCCAAGCGACAAGAAGUUCCAGCUCUCUCCGAUUCGGCUUCGGUUCUGCUACGUUCGCGGCUCAUACCAGUGAGUUGAUUCUUUCCCUGAUUUUUGUACUCUUCUUUUCUUUUCUUUUUCUCUGCUGUUUUGCCUCUCUUUUUUUUUUUUUUUUUUUUAAUUUUAGUUUCUUUUGUUGGUGGGUGAGUGUCCGGUGUUGUGAUAUUUGGGAGGUUGGUUUGUCUAGGCUAGCACUGAGUUUCAGUCCGAGGCGAAACGAAUGGUUGGAAGUUUCCGCGAAACCGGGGAUAUUAGUAGAAAACGAAUGCUUAGUAAUAUUGGAGAUGAUGUGGAAGUAUUUCGUUGAAACGAAUAGUCGGCACUUGUCUGAUUUUUCUGUUGCUGGCUUUUGUCUUCAAGUAUUUCGGUGGAAGUAAGUCGAUUGGGCAAAAUGGCGGAUAUUGUUCCGCCUCCCUCGGCAUAUAUACAUUCUUUAACUCUCGUUUCUCCGCAGAGAAGGGAAGAAAACCAGAAAGAAUUCAAAAAGGGGGAAAAUGGCGGAAGUCGUUCUGGGCGCAGUUUCCAUAGUGUCAGGGUGCCUGGUGGCUCCGGUCAAUCGUCUUUGCGGCUAUGUGAUAUCCUACGAAGGUGACGUUCGCAAACUUAAGGCCAAAGUUGCGGAGUUGGGCAACGCGAGGCAAAACGUGCAGGAUUCCAUCAAGGAUGCUCAAAACAACGUGAAGCCUAUCAAAGCCCAUGUCAAUAAAUGGAUGGAAGAUGUAGAGAAGGACACCAAGGAGGCGCACCGUGUUCUGGAUGACGAAGAAAGAACUAAGAAAACUUGCUUCUACAGGUGGCUUCCCAACGUGCGAAAUCGUCUCGGCAGGGAGGCGAGGAGGAAAGCAGAAGACAUCCAGGGACUCAUUGAUCGGAAACCAUUUGGGGAGGUCUACGACGAUCCUCCUCCAGGGCUCGUUGAUGGUACUUCCGACGUGAUUUCCUCGGCCGGUGAUCGAGGCGACACUACCUUCGAUUCUCGAGCUUCCAUCUUAGAGGACAUAAUGAAUGCUCUGUAUGACGAGGAGCACAAAGUGAUUGGGGUCUACGGGCCUGGUGGCGUGGGGAAGACUACGCUGUUGGAGGAAGUCAACAAGAAGCUCAGGAAAGAGGGGAGACCGUUCAACAUGAUCGUCAAAGCAAAAGUCUCACAGACUCCGGACUUGAAUGAUAUCCAAUACCAAAUCGCUGACGACUUGAAUCUGAAUCUGAAGGACAAGCAGAGCCAACAGGGAAGAAGAGAUCUUUUGUUUCAGAGAUUGCAAAAGGAUCCGAAUGAGAAGGUUCUCAUAAUAUUGGACGAUCUAUGGAAAGAAUUUGAUCUGAAGGAGGUUGGAAUUCCUUCAGGAGAUGAGAGCAGAGGAUGCAAGUUGCUGUUAACAUCCAGAUUUAAAAAUGUUCUGGAGCAAAUGAAGUGCGACACUCCCAUAUUUCAUCUUGAAGGUUUAAAGAACGAUGAAGCUUUCAGGCUAUUUGAGAAGAUGGUCGGCGACAGGCUCAAAGACAAUGAGCAAUUGAAAACAAUAGCGGAUCAAGUGGUCAAGAAGCUUGCAGGUUUGCCUCUUUUGAUUAUCUCUGUUGCAAGCUUUUUGAAAGAAAAGGAUGAGUGCGCAUGGAGAAACGCGCAGAUAGAAAUAGAUGAGUCAAAUAAAGAAAAAAAAGAAACGAUAGUGAAGUUGAGUUACAACCAUUUGAAGAGCGAGGAUGCCAAGACUUUAUUCUUGCUCUGUGGUCUUAUUGGUGGGACCAUUCAAGUCGAAACUCUGCUGGUUCUAGGCAUGGGUUUGGGCUUGUUUGGGGAAUUCAGAAGGACGAUGCAAGAUUCGAGGGAUAGAUUGAAUACUAUACUCGAUGAAUUACGUUCCGCUUGUUUGUUGCUGGAUGGUGGUGAUGACAAGAACGAUGUGACCAUACAUGAUCUUUACAGCGAGGUGGUUGUCUCAACUCCAUUUAGGGGUCAAGAUUCUUUGAUAAUGAACAGCAAUUAUGGCUCAUGGUCAAAGGAAAAGCUUGAGAAAUGUUGGGCUAUAUGCUUAGCUGAUGUUGACCAAAAGAGACUUGAUGAACUAAUGAAGUGUCGGUCUCUUCCUGACUUGAAGAUACUCAUGUUGUCUCAACCGGAAGGCUGGCGUUGGAAACAAGUACACGAACGUGAAGUGGGAGAUUGCUCGGGACUAUUAGAUUUCACAUACAUGGAGGAGCUCCCCGUCCUAUAUUUUUGCUCCAUGCAUAUCGCCAGGUUUCCUCGCUCGAUUAAAAUCCUCAAGAACCUCCACUCUUUAUACUUAGACCAUUGCAAUGUGGACGAUGUGGCAAUACUUGGCGAGCUCGAAGCAUUGCAGAUUCUCAGCCUCGUAGGGUGUGCACUUUCUAGGCUGCCUAAAGAAAUCAGAAACCUGACAAGUCUGAGAUCGUUGAAUCUAAGCAAUUGCAAGGAGCUUUGGACAAUUGAGCCUGGUGUGUUGGAAUGCUUAAUCAACUUGGAAGAGUUAUAUUUGCGGGGAAGCUUUGAUCGAUGGAUGGGCAAGGAUGGAAUACCGUCGAAAUCACGUAACGCCAAGCUUGCUGAAUUAAAAAGCUUGACAAAGAUAGUCUCUCUAGAAAUAUCGAUCCGUGAUCCCUCUGUACUUUUGGAGGACGAUGACUUUCCAUUUGGGAAUUUGAUCAAAUUUUGGAUCAACAUAGGAGAUGGAAAAGGGAUUGGAGGUUGGAGAACCAUCGAGCGCAAAUUGGAAGGUUUGAAUACAUUGGAGCUCAAUUUGGAAGAAUGGGAUAUUUUUUUUUCAAAGGAAUGGGUUCAAAAAAUUCUGCAAAAAACUCAAUGCUUAUAUUUGGACGGGUUGAAAAAGUUCAAGAAGAAUGCUCCCGAGUUGUGCACAGAAGGAUUUAGAGAACUAAAGUAUCUUGAUAGUAAUGAGAGCCCCUCAAUUGAGUACCUUGCCAAUUCAUCUAAUGGUCUCCCUCUCACCGCUUUUACAAUUUUAGAGUCUUUGUUCCUCAAAAAUCUAAUUAAUCUAGAGAAGAUAUGUAAUAGCCUUGUCACACCAAAGUGCUUCAGCAUAUUGAAAGUCGUGAAUAUUCAUCAGUGCCACCGAUUGGAAAACUUGUGGUUCCUGUCAGAGAUGCAGAGACUUGUACAUUUGGAAGUGCUUCAAGUCCGUGAAUGUGACUCAAUGCGAGCCAUUAUCACAGAUGGUGCAGGAGAAAUAGAAGUUCUUGCUUAUGACACAGUUGAGUUGCCUAAUUUACGUCGUUUGAAAUUGUGUGAGUUACCAAAAAUGACGAGCUUUCGUACUAGCGCUGAUGGUGCUCCAAUUCAGGUAACUUAUUUGUUUUCUCCCUAUGUCAGUCUAUGUUAUUGAAAAAAUAUAAAUUUCGUUAAUUCUUAAUUUCACAAACGAUACCUAGAUCAUACUAGCACAGGGGGAUGAUAAGAUGAUAUUGGUGUUCACCGAACAUUAAUGCAUGUUGCGUUAAAUUUGAUGCACCUUUUGAUUCACAAAUAAACAAUCCAUUUAAAAAAAACACAGACCUUACACUUUUAUUCACAUUUAACUAUAGCCAGGGGGAAGCCUUUUUAAACGAUCGUUUUUUUUUUUUCAUUUUAUUUUCAAUGUUAGACAAUUGCACUGAUUACCUGGGCUCUAACUUGGGUUUUUACCAUGACUAAUUUGUUACUCAUUUAACAUUUUUAAUGAGAACAAAAAACAUUGUAGUGAACGAGAAUGAAUCUUGAACAAAUGAACGAAAUUCAACAAUUUCAAAAUGAAGAAACUGAGAGAUCAAAUAAAUGGAAGGCGAACGUUGAACCACGUGACAUCACAUAAUUCAUGUUUCACCUACAUGCGAGUUGCAAUUGAUUCCCCAGCAUCACCGUGCUAUUGUCGUUUUACUUCUGACAUUUCUUUCGUCAGCUACUUCAGGGAUAUUUCCUUCUCCAUUCUUUCGGGCACGAUGAAAGAUCUACACAUUUCGCCCUCUGAUCAACUGAGUUUUAAAUAUUUAGUUUUGAUCAAUUGAGUUUUUGACAUUCUUAAGAGAAGUCAAGCCCAUUCAUUUAUUUAGGAUUCGUUUGUUUCAUUGAAUAUUCUUUGUUGCUGAAAAUAUUUUCUUAGUAAAUCGUUUUGCUAGAAAAUGAAUUGUUUUCUUGUAUUUUUUUUUUUUUGGUCGGUUGUUUUCUUGUAUUUGGUUAUGCUGAAAAUGCAAAUCGAGAAAGUGCUUAAUGAUGUUUAUUAAUGAAGCGCAAAACUUUACAAAGCAAAGACAAACAUUGUUCACGGAUCCUCAAUAGAAAAAAAUCCAAAUAAGUCAUAUUUACUUGUUCGUAAUGGAAAGCAAUAAGUUAACAAAAAAAUUAUUUAAAAACUCCAGUAUGUAUUUGUUUUCAAUUUUGAAGGUCGAAAUAGAAAAACAAAAGAAAACAAAAUUAUGGUAGUUGUUUUGAAGAUCGGUCAAUGAUUUCAAAAUAAAAGAGAAAACAAUUAUGAUGAGAGAGAGAGAGAGAGAGGAGAGAGAGAGAGAGAGAGUUGUGCAGUUCUGCAAUUGUGCUGCGUUACUAGCAUGAUAGCGACGAGGAUAUCCUCAUGACAGUGAUUUCGCUUUUAACGGAAGACAAGUUUUUUUAAUUUUUUUUGUUGGUAUUUUAGCCCAAGCAUAUCAUUUUUUUUCUCGUGAAAAUAGCUUUACUUCUAACAAACUCACCUUCAAUGAGUUUCACUGUGGUGCUUUGCUAGGUUUCAUUGCCUCGCUUGGAAUCCCUAGUGAUGGUUGGAUUCCUUGGUCUAGAAGAGAUACUCUCCAGCGAAUCUUCAUUAAAAUACAACAAUCUAAAAUUGCUACACAUAGAGGGGUCUAAAUCCACGUCAAGUAUUCCGAAAGAUUGGAUACUGAAGCUGCCGAAUUUGGAGUCAGUGGAAAUUGUGAGCUGUCGAUCAACAGAAGUAGUUUUUGACUUGGAGGAGCUAAAAGUCACCGGAAAUGCCGAGAUUCUCUCUCGGCUAACGGAAUUGACCUUAUUUUUGUUGCCCAAACUGCAGUGCAUGUGUAAAAAAGAUGUACAGUUACAAGGAAUAUCAAUAUUUCGAAACCUAGAGAAGCUCUAUAUCAACAAUACGGGGCUGUCAUUUCUCUUUCCGGUGUUUGUGGCCAAAUGUCUUAGAGAAAUUAGAGAGAUUAAAGUGAUGGAUUGUCCAAAUAUGAUGGCGAUGAUUGUGGAUGAAGGAGGAAGAGGUGAUGGGAUAGAUGAUAUUAUAAAGUUCCCAUUAUUAAAGCGUCUAUUUAUGCGUGGCUGUCCCAGAGUGAAAUUCUUCUCAUAUCCUCAUGGAAAGAAAAAGUCGGUAACCACUAGUUCAGAUUCACAAGAUGCUAACUCCGAUUCCUUCUUUGUUCAAAAGGUACAAAUGCCUUCUCUUUGAGAUUAUACCUAUAAUUGCCAUAGGCAAGCACUUGGUGGGGGUGAUUAAUAAAAUCUCUUUGAAGAUUUUUGUUUCGUUCAUUAGUUAAAGUGUGUUCAUAAUUUAUACGUACACUUGUCAGAGUAAGGGCACUGGUAAAAAUUCAUUUUUCCAUUUCAUCAAAUAGAUUGGUUAGGAUUAGGCUAAAUUGUCAAUUUUUUCAUUGCUACGAUCUGACGCAUAAAUCUCAUGAGCAGGUGAGUUUACCUAGCUUGGACACAUUAGAUAUUAACGGGUGUUUUGAAAUGAGAGAGUCCUUGAAAUGGAUAUGGCACAGUGAACUUCCUAGAAGUUCAAUCUGCGAAUUAGCCACCGUCAGAAUUAGGAAUUGCUUAAAGCUACUCAACGUCUUCCCUUCCACAAUCAUAGGGAAAUUGCAAAACCUGAAAGAAGUUGUUAUCGAGAAAUGUGACUUCCUAGAAUCAUUGUUUGAUUGUGGGUCCUUUGAUGCAAAUAUUGAGCAACCAACUGUAUCACUCCCCAAAUUGGAAAGAAUGAAGAUUAAGGAUGCAAGCGAGCUGAGAUGCAUAGUGAAGGCUGACUCCCAAAUGAUUUUGGGUUUUCCUAGUCUAAAAGAAGUUUACGUUAACAAUUGCCAGAAGCUGAGGUAUCUCUUCCCCAAUUUCACAGCCACAACGCUAGAGAAACUCGAGAGGAUAAGUAUUGAUAGAUGCGACCAGAUGAAGGAAGUGGUUCUUGAGAAAGGUGGUGGUCAAUCAAAGGCAGAUGUGAUGAGUUUCCCUUCCUUAAGAGAUCUAAGUAUUUGGAACUGCCUUAAUCUUGGAGCAUUCAUCAGGAGUCCUACAAGUGCUAAGAGGCUGUUAGGUGAAACGGCCGAAGAAAAUAAUGAAUGGUCACAACCGUUUUUUAAUGAGAUGGUUUGCUCUAUCCCUUACUUUGAUCAUUCGUAUUCUCAAAUUAUCAUUUUUUAGGAUGAACAAUGUAAUAAUGUGGUCCUCUUUAUCCUCCUUUCUCACAUUAUCUUUGUGUAGGUCACAUUUCCCAAUAUAAGAAGUAUAUGUUUUGGAGGCCUUCAGUGCAAAGAGUUAUGGGACAAUCAAAUUCCCGCCAAUUCUUUUUCGAUAUUGAAAUCUCUUGGAUUGAGGAACUGCAACAACCUCCAACAUGUUGCCCCGUCCAAUAUUUGGAAGAGGUUGCAGCUCUGUCUUGAGGACCUAAAAGUGGUUUCAUGCCAUUCGAUCAAGAUAAUAUAUGAAGGUGAUGGGAUGGAUACAAAAGGUGGUGAAUUAAGGUGGCUAUAUUUGCGUGAUCUGGAAAACUUGAUGCACAUUUGGCAAUCCGACGGUCUCCCAAACAUUAUGUUUCCAAACUUGAGAGAAAUAGAGGUUGUGGGGUGCUCUCGUCUGGAAACGCUUUUCCCUACCUUCACAGCGAAAUUUCUCGGGCAAAUCGAAGAGUUGGUGGUGAAUUCAUGUGAAAAAAUGGAACUAAUUGCUGAGCAUGAAAAAGGGGAAGAAGGGAUCUGUACGACAAUCACCUUCUCCAAGUUAACUCUCCUUGGACUUUUCAAGUUGCCCAAAUUCAGGAGCUUCUUACCUGAGAAAUACUCUUUGAAAUUCCCGUGCUCUGAGGACUUAGAGCACUUCCCAUCCUUGAAAGUCUGGAGUAUAGAAAGCUGUGGAGCAGAGCCGAACCAAGUCAAUGUUGACUGGGAACAACACUAUAGAGAACGACUAUGGCGCAAGUUACCACGGGAUCAGGUAUUCCUUCGAUAUUUCAUUGCUUUUUGGUUUGGCUGUCCCGUCCCUUUGAAUCAAAAAAUCAAUUGGUCUUACCUAAUGCAAAAUUCUCGGUAGGACCCACAUCCACUCUACAUGACGUGGCCCUCUUCCUUUCUAUCUCUAGCUCUCUUCCUUACUCUCUUCUACUAACGAUCUGUCGAUUCCCUUUUAUGCUCAGUAUCCGAGGGAGCAGUGGUGGCGCAUAUGAUCUUCAUUCCUUCGUCAUUCUCCCUCUCUGUCGCCCUCCAUCCACCAACAGCCACCGCCCGACAUGCACGCUGAGAAGGGGCAAAGAACAAAGAGCGGUGAUCGAAGGUACUCGGGUGAUUUUUUAGCAUCCAUGAGUCAACUGUCUCGGUGAUUUCAAUUGAAUCCUUUUCCGCUCGCUUCGUUGCUGGUCGUCACUGCUUCCCGAUUCCUGCCACUAGUUUUGCCGCCGCGGAGAAGGUCUGUAAUGCCGAAGUGCUCGAACUUCAGUCAUGGCUGCCUACUUCGAUGAUUCCAUUCCUUGACGUUGCUUCUGUUAUCUCGUUAGUCAUGUCCGAUGUCAAUUACUAUAGCUAAUCGUUCUUCAUUCAAUUAAACCACAUAUGCUCCGUUUUCCGUUGCUAUAGCUACUGUCUGUAUGCAAAUCGACUGUGAUUUAGGUUGUCUUGAUGAUUUGAACUGGUGCUCAUCGGCCGAAAUGUAUACCACCCAUUUGAUGAAAUUCCUGAACUAAGUCAGUGUGUAUUUUGAUUCAGUUCUUGACUGAGAAUUCCCUUCAUUACUAGAUUGUUGAUCUACUAUUCUGGUCAUAUAAGUGUAUUUGAAUUCCGUUGCUUCAUAAAAAAAUCAUAGGUAUUCAAUUUCAAACUUGUUUUGAAUCUGCUGUAACCUUGUCAAUGCAUGCUGAUUCGCGACUGUUGCAGCCCUGAACUGAUGUCAAUUGGUCCUUGAUUUUAUGCUAUUCCACUCAAGUAAGCAUGUGCAGUGAUAUAAGGUUGUGUUAUGGUGAAUUUCAUGUUCACUUGGGAAAAAAAUUAUGGCAUAUGAAUGAAUGAAAUUCUACUGGAAAUCGAUCUGUGGAUGCUGACUCUGUCUUGAUAUCCUUGAUUGGGUGUGCUUUUGAUUCUAGCUUGAGGCUAGUUUGGUUAUGGGAUCAUUUAUGUUCAUGCUAGGAAAGUAAUAUGGUGAAUCUCAUGCCAAUUUUGCGAGAAUUAUAGUCAUGAACUUGAACAUGCUAGAAUCAAAGCAUUGCAUGCUGAUAGUGAUUGCUUUGUUUGAAUUCAGUAUUAAUUUAGUCUUGGAUUGAUGCCAUUUUGAUCAAGUAGACUCAUAUGCGCCUGUAGGAAGAUGUGGCUAUAGUUCAUGUCAAUUAGUCAUUAAAGGAUCACGAUUUGUGGUCUUGUAUGCUCUAUUACAAUUCUGAUCAUUUGCUGGAAUUUGUGGCAUAAGCAUGGAUUAGAUGGAUUUUGUCUUAGUUUGGUUGCCUUUUUGAUACCUUGUGUUCAAGUUCCUUGUCAAUUUCACAUAAUUGGAUGGCAAUUGCAUGAUUAAAUUGAUGAGAUUGAAGCUUGAUAUUGCAAUGAGAGUCUUGGCUUGGUUAUUGACUUAGAGAAGUCUGAUGUUAGUUGAAGUUUAUUUCCAUGAUUCUUGUGAUUUCAAUGCCCGGGGCAUCUAUUUUUUGUCAUAUUGAACAUUUUGAAGAAUACCAACUUUGUCUAAAGGUGAUCUAAUAAAUUAGCCAGAUUCGAGGAAAUCUCUCGACGAAGCUGGUCAUUGGGGCCCCUCAAAAUAUUGCAUGGAUGACACUUGAAAUACCAAAAUUCUCUCCCUCUCCUUAGAUGCUCACCAUUCAAGGCUUGUUUGAAGAGCUAUUGCUUAGAUUCAAUUGAUCCUUUAAGUGCAUGUGUUUGUGCCAACAUACUGUACAUCUACACAGCACAAAUUGUGGUCUACUCAUUCAUGAUGUCCUUUCCUUCCUUGGAGUGUUCACUGCCCACUGCCAUUUGGAAUGAUGUUUCAAAGAUAUGAUUUUUGUUUUCCUCCCUCCCUCAUAGAAUUCGCAAAAGCAACCCUCAAGCAAGGCGGCCUCAAAGCUUACUGCAACAGCUUAAGAGGGCUGCUUUUGCGAAUUUCUAUGGGGGAGGGAAGAUUAGUCGCCAGCACUACCGGUAUUUUGCCCUUAAAAUCCAUCAGGACCCUGGCCAUAUGUUCCGCUAGAGUAGGUGCAUGGUUCCAAUGGGGUCUCCUAUAAACCAUUCUGCACUGGAGGUGCAGAGCUCCAUCUAUCUCCUUGUAGCAGGUCUCUCUGUUGCUAAUAGGAAUUGUUGUUAUGAACUUGCUGAUUGUAGUUUCCCUAAUAUGAAUGCACCGGGUCUCUCUUCCGUUCUUUAUAUGGAUCCCUUCCACCGAGGGCAUAAUCCAUAUUGCUCAUUAGCAUGGGAUUUCUUCUUUCACCUUGCCCAAGGGUAGCAUGACUUUGCUGGGGAGUAUAAUUUUGCAGAGCGUCCUGCUGCAUAGGUUGUUGAUAAUCGUAUCGAGGGCUCUCUUGUGUAUUUGCCACUUGACCACCUUGCCGGUAUAUUUAGGUUGGCCGUAGUUUCUUUUGUGGUCACACAUUCUACCUCCAGGCCUCCCAUAUUGAACUGGGGGUGGUCUGUGACUAAGUACUCCAUUUUCAUACUUGUCACCUAAUGAUUUAGUAAGUUCAACAAAAGAAGCAGCGGUGCAGGAUCACAAAUCAUAGACAUAUUGGAAAGUUGAGCUUGUGGAAUCAGAGGAUGAAUGGAUUAGAUGACUGAAAAAAUUUGACAGGGAUGUAUAGUAGAUGCUCUUCUGUGGAGCCAAGUCAUACCUCCGUACUCCUUGUUUUGGGGAUCAAUGUAGGAAUCAGGUAAUAUAAAGACAUCUCCAGGGAGUUCUGUUUAUAGCGCAUUAUAUUAGUGCCUAACGAUGAUGAAAUUGCCUCUGGAUUGCUCUUAUAUGCUUCAGUCAUCACAGCCUGAAAAACUUGAUAGGUGGUUGUGCUACAUGCAUAAAUUCUCUUUCUUGCUUCCUCCAAACUGAAACAUGAGGAUCAAAUGUCAUCACAAAAAGCAAUCAAUUCUAAUGACCAGAAAAUUACAUGUCCAUGUUAUUAUGAUGCUAAAUGUAAACAUUAGCUUAAUUACCAUAACGUGGGGUUAUGAAUGUCAAUUUUUAAAGGUGUCAAGAUCGUUAUAGUGUCUGUGCUCAGGAGAGCCAUAUCGGCCAUCGCAUAGGUCUAGCCCGUCAAUGAAAACCGUUAUUUUGUGGUUGUUUCCCAAAACAAUUUAUUUGCAUUGAGAAAAAGUAGACAAUAGAGAUCCCCCAUUUUAUUGAAUGAUUUUUUAAGGUUACAUCAUCCUUUUGAAUUAUUUUUUUAAUAGAGAUAAUUUUAAAUAUGAUUAGUUAAUGAAAAUUAGUCAUACACGUUGCCUAACUACACUUGCUAGCAAGGAUAAUUUGCUUUGAGAAAUUCGGAUGCCCAUAACGAUUCAUUUUGGCAUAAUUAUGCCAAAUUAUUCAUUUAUUCGUAUUUAUCAUUACAAAUCCUUGUUUGACAAAAGAUCCCCAUCCUUACAGAUUUAACGUUUUGCUCUCUAUCGAUUGAUUAUUUUCAAACUGUCCCCUCUAAUUUAGACGUGUGUAACUUCUCAAAAGCAGCAUGUGACUUCAUUUAGGAUUAAAUGUAGAUUAUGACUUUUGAAAAUACGAAAUUUGGUGAAUUUUCCAUUCCCUUCUAAUUGCAUUUUUGCAUUAGCAAUAUUUUAAUACUGUUCCAAGCAACUUUAUUGUAUUUAUUUUCUGAUUUCAAGUUUGGUCUGUUUUUUUUGUUUUUUUGGUCGGUAGUUUGGUCUGUUUUAGGUGCGAUUGAUUAUAAUAACUUUCUUCUUCUUUUUGGUCCAGCACCACCACUGUCUUCCUUCUCUGCAUGAGAGAGAGAAAGAAAGAGAGAGAGAGAGAGAGAGGCAUCAGAGUAGCAAUGGUGGAUGAAUUAGGCAGGGAGAGACACAUAAGGAUUUGGAGUUUGCGAUGAUAAGCAUCGGUUUUGUGAGUUGUUACGUUACUUUUGCAGAGAAUGAAUCUGGGAGAGUGGUCCUGAUAUGACCUCAAAUUGCUUCGCGAGAGAAAGAGAGAGAAGAGAAGAGCCUCCCCCGGGGGGUGGGGGCGGUUGGGUUUGUGUGGUCAGGCUCAACCAUUAAAAAAACGUGAGAUCCAGACAAUCCAUGAAAUAGACUUACACCAAUAUAGAGUUAAUGAUCCAAUUGACAUACAAAUGCAAACAUACUAAUGCACUUUAUAUUCAGUUGUCCAUUCAUGAGAGGUACAUCAUUGCGUAGUGGAAGAAUGCCUGGCAAGGUCAGUGCAAGACCCACUUCUUCUUUUUUUCUUUUUGGCUACUUUCAACUAGAAAGUAUCUCUCCCGCGCUGGGUCCUCGGUCCAAACCAAACCAAACACAACUGUUCUUGGAAAUAGCAAACAGAGAAACCCCAAGCAACAUGUCUAGGACUCGCCGGCCUCCGAUGUUGUCAUCUCUGCUGACUUCCACUUUGGUGGCGAUGAUGGCUCUACCACUACUUUGCCUACCUAGACAUUGACCACCUAGGUAGCAUGGACACUCUUCAAAGACCUCCAUGUCAAUGUUGAACACAUGUUGGAUGUGUCGGACAUCAACGUGCGACCAAUAAAUGUCAAACAUCCAACACUCUAAACACAUUAACGCCACGUGAGUAUAGCAUCUUCACAUGCCAUUUUGACAUGCACAGCUCAAUUUUAAACAUUUUUAAUAAAUUAAGGGUCAAAAUGUAAAUCUAUAAUAUAUAUAUAUAUCCAGCCAUUCCAAAAUUAGGCUAUAUAUUAUUUAUUUUAUUCAUGGAUUUGAAUCAAAUUAAUUUAAUAGAAAUAAUUAUAAAAAUGAUGAUUUAUUAUAUAUAAUAUAUGUUUAAUGUACAAUAUUUCCUAACAUUUUUCAUGAAUUUUGCCAACAAUUCAUGAAUAACCAUAAGAGUAAUUUUGCCAUGCGCCAUAGCUAGUACGAUAGAAUUUGUCAUAUUCCCUGGGCCCAGCGCCGAUUUUCCCUCCUCUCCUGAAUUCGGUUAAAAUAGCAAUAACUAAAAGGAAAUUUUCGUCGUUUUAAAGCAGGGCACUCUCGUCAUUUGACGAGGAAGUUCUCGAUUGUACUUCGCGUCCGUAGCCUCUCCCGUCCUUCCUAGCUUGCCCGCCGGCCGCCGGCUCCACCGGAAGCCACCGCCCGUCUUCCAUCUCCGAUCACGGCAGACGCACGAAGGAAGGCCCACAACACACGCACAGAAGAAACAGAGCUCAAUCCUGGAAUCCGAACUUCAUUUUCGUUGAUUCGAGGUUCGCCAGAGGUGAAUCAACGUCGAUUCCAGUGUUCAUGACUUCGAUUGCAGGUUCCGGUGUCCUCUGGUUGCAGUUCCGAUCGUGUAUUCUGACUGCGAGGCGCUCCUUUGGUUCCUUCUUUCGCUUCAGUGAUCGGUGGAACCGCAUAGAAAAGGACGCCCCGAUUCAGUUGACUCCAACCAUCACUUUGGAAUCUUCUCCUCACCGAUUGAGCUCUUCCACUUCUUGGUCUAAGUCAAGCCCAAGAGUCGUCCUCGUCAAAUGAAUGUACGAAUACUGCUCAGGCAGUGUUCGACGAAAUGACCGAAAGACUAUCCGUUAUUCUGUCCCGUUACUGGCCAUUAGAAUCAAUGCUAUAAUAGUGAGGCUGUGCUCGCUGUCUUGAAAGUCGCUGAGUCGUCAUCUCGAGCUCACGCCGUCCUCGCCACCAAAUCAUCAGGUCGUCUCUUCUCCAAUUAAGCUUUGUUGUUGGUGUCGAUUUGUUCUCCACUGGCCUCUCUUGAUCUCUGCUCUGUUCCUUUUUUUUUUCUUUUUUUUCGUUUUUUUUUUUGGCUCGCCUUUCGCUUGACUGCUUCAUCGUCAGACAUUUGCUGCGUCGUCGUGCGGGGACACUCCUCAUAACCAAAAGGCAGAAGCGGGACUGCGACGGUAGAAGCCAAGGAGAUGCGGUCGCGAUUGCUUUCGAUAAUUCCGCUUGCGUAGCUCACUGCAUCAGAGGGAUCGAGUCGACUAAAACCUUCCACGAAGAACAAUAAUCAUCGAUGCAUCACACGUAACGAUAAUCAUCAAUGUGCCGUUCCGAUACGAGCAAGGUCAUCUAGAAGCAGUUUCGCCUGGAUAGCAAAAUGGCCGAAUAAGAAGGAAGCAACGGCGGGGCAUCAUCAGCUGGAGCUUGAAUUCAUGGAAACGAGCAGUGAUGGCAAUGAUCUGCAUCUGGUGCGGCUGAAGGUCUUUCUGGCAGAGACAUUGCUAGCCGAAGGCAAUGAACGUGACUCGGUAUCUCUGUCUACUCCGAACUCAGCGUCUAGGCGGAGCGAGCGCUCCUUUCUUCGGUCAGAUCAACUGUUGCGGUAAUUGGGCUGAUGGGUCUGGGCCGCAGAUCAGAUCAAUGGGUUGCUCUUGUGGGCCGCUCCAGUUGGACCAACUUUGGUCUUUAUUAUUCAUUUUUUUUGUUCUUUUUACUACCAUCAUUGUUUUUAUUUUUUAGUUUUUACAAAAAUGUAAUUAAGGUGUCGACAGUUUCGAAUUUAUUUACUCUAAUGUUUGAAGAAGAAUUUCAUGCCAUUGAGAACAAAGUAGAAGACAUAUGUUUUGUUGCGUCAAAUCUUUACCUACCAAAAGCGAGAGUUAUUUCAUAUCGAUGGGAGAAAUUAACCAAAAAAAUGGCACAGUCGAGUUGAAUAGAAUGGGGUAGGUGUUGAUGAUAUAGCGACCCAGUUAAAAUGACUUGAUUAACGGUGGAUGUGUUACAAGAUCAACGGUGGGAGCCCAUCCCCUGGGAAAAGCUACAAGUUGGAGAUACUGUGAAAGUGAGUAUUGUUUAUGCUUUCGAACUGAUUUUUAUUUUUUUUGCGUGAUUUGUCAUGUGACUGUGUUUCUUCUGGUGAAAGAAACUGUAUUUUAUUGAAGUGAAUCAUUUGUGUAUGGAAGGGUGUCAUCUUCGGAGUGUUAUCUUUAUGUUGGAAUCGGCAGUAUCAUGCAACACAGUUUUUACCAUUUUGUGUUAGCUCUCCGAUUUUAUAUGGGGUGAUUAUUGCUAAUCGAGCUUGUAACCAUACUGCCUUCACUGUUUAUUCUACAAAUUCUAAAUAUAUCUCUCCGACAUCCAAGCUUGUCUUCUGCGUUUGAGACUUUACUAUGCUUGUCUUCUGCCUUCGAGAGAUAUUGGUGCUCGGAAGAAGCCAUUUGCUCUUCUAAUUCUGGGGAACGGUGACCAAGCAUCAUGUGGCUCCAUUUAAGGAUAAGGUGAUAGAAGUUCGUCUGAGAUGAUUUGAUCACAUUGAACAAAGGUUUUUUAUGCUUCAAUGAGGAGAGUUAAUCUGGGUACGAAGACUCGGGUUAGAAGGGGGAAGGGAAGACCUAAAAGACGAGGAAAGAGAUGACAAAGAUGUGGACCACAUGGAGGUUACAUAAGAAAGAAGACACGGUGCAAGUAGCUGGCUUCACCUGGAGGGAUAAGGCUUUUCUUGUUCUCGUUGUAGACAUCCCCGUAUUGUGAGGGUGUAGCUUUGAAACCGAGAGGAACCUGCUAUGAGAACCCUUUAUUGUAGGAGUGUAGUUUCUCCUAGACGUGCAAUAAUGCUGCAUUUUGUUGGCUGUACUCUUCAAUUAUGCUGCAUUUGGCUGUUUCCCCAUGUAUCAAUAAAUGUCAUUAAUUUUGGCAACGGCUGAUUCAUACUCUGAUUUUCUUUUUACUGUGGUGAAAUUGUUUCUUGCACCCGUUGCAGGUUAAACAGGAUGACUCCCUUCCCGCAGAUUUGCUUUUUCUUGCUAGUACAAAUGCUCAUGGUGUCUGCUACUCUGAGGUUUAAGGUCAAUCAUUCUUGAAUCUCGAUGACCCGGUUGCAUUCCAUUGCUGUUAUAUAUCUUUGUCAUGUUUUUUUUUUGGUAAAAGGUAAGUAGAAUAUCUUUGCCAUGUUUAGCUUUGCUUUUUCAAAUUUUCAGACUGCAAUUUUGUAUGGCGAAACAACUAUAAAAAUCCGGAUGGCUUUGGAGAGGACAUGGGAUUAUAAUACCCAGAGGAAGCGUCGGAAUUCCAAGGUGAAGCUUUCUUUUGAUUUCUCCGUUGAAUUCUCAGUAUUUCUACGGAUUCCAUGCCCAUUCUUUUUUCUUUACUAUUAAUAUUUCCGUAUGACUUCAUUAAAUUUUAUUUGUGACAAAAAGGACAUAUUUGAUUUAUACGCACUAGGAGGGGAAGUGCCGAAAGAUACUCAUGAUUAUUAGCGUAGGUCUAUACUCGGUCCAUGGUGUACAGUGGGAUAUCUAUAAUUACUAUAUUGAAUAAUAUGAAUAGUAAGGGAGACCAACCCCAACCUUCCAAUGAUCCCUCUCUUGGAUAUCAUUUAUACGGUCAUUUAUAUGUUUCCGUGACCAAUUUUCAAGCAAAAUGUUUGUUGUUUUGUGCUAUUAUUACGCUUUUAAACUUUCAAUGAUAAGAUCAUGUUAUUUUGUUAAAAAUACUUUGGAGUCUGAGAUUACUAGGCAAACAUAAAACUUAAGUCAGUUGUUCACCGACCAUUGCCAAAUGCGGACUGGUUGCAAUUGUCAUUUUGCCGUAUAAAUUCUUGCAUACCACACUUUUAAGAGCUCUUAUUAGCACAACUUCAUGCUAUUAAAAAAGGCUUUAAUAUAUUCACGGAAGGAUUCGACAGUUUGCUCUGCUCUUCCUCUCUCUCACACACUGCAAAUUUCGCUUACCUUCUCUCAGAAGUUUCCUAUACCUCCUGCUUUAUUAGAAUGGGGUGGAAUUAUACUCUUUUUACCUUUAAUCAUGUUGGUAAAAGAUACCUUAUCUCUUAUCCGAUGAAUAUUAACAUCACAUGAGGAGAAUAGAGGAGGAAAGCGCUUUGUAUGGAUGAAACAAAGACCCUGGACGCAAAUCAAGGCAACCAGUAGAUAAUCUGAAAAUAGAAAGGAACUUAGUCGCUUUUUUACAAGAGAAUCACUGUUUGGAUAUACAAGAGCCUAAAGGUUGAACUCUUAAAUAAGGGCCGGAAGUUUCUAAUACCCUCCAAUAUGUUUUUUUUUUUUGGAAAGAUUAACUAUGCCACAUGGUGUAGGUUCCAUAUAUUCGUUUGAAUCAAUAAGCUCAUCCCUUUCUUGUGCAAGUCCGUGUGCUCGAAGAUUAAGUGGACAUAGCUUGUUCAUUGUCUUCAACUUUGUAAUAUAGUAGUGGGAAGAUGAGAUUGCUUUAUUCUUUUUGCUGGAAAGUUUCUGGUGGACAUAGCUUCUAGCCUUGACAUAUCUCUCCUUUCCUUUCCUUUGCUUGCUUUUUACAACUUCAUGUUGUUCUGAUUUAUACCUCCAUAUGAUGAGCUCUGGGAACAUUGAUGGCUGUUGAGGAUCUUCCUGAUGGUGGUGUAUAUUUUUGAAUGAAACAUGAAGAUGUGAAUGACCUCUCUAACCCCUCCUUUGAUGUGCUGUACAUGGACAUGUCUCAUUCAUUGUUAUUUGCUGGUCGAUUUUCUUAUGCCAAUAAAUCUCAGAUGAAAAGCCAUUUUAUACGAUCUUUAUUCUUCCCAGAAUCCCUUUUGAAGCCAACAAAUCAGCAUUGAUACUACUUCCAGUUAGCUUUGCUUUUUAAUCCCACGCAAGGAACCGAAUAUGUUGGUGUUCUAGUUGAUGGGUUGGCAUGCCUAGAAUUUCCUUCCAAAAUGACAUGUAUUUUUGUUACUUAUGAGAUGUAAGAUCUGGAACUUUUACCCACAGACCUGCUUGGAGCGCCAAUGCUGGAAUGCCGAUGGAUCAAAUUAUAGAUUUUAUGACCAGUUUCGGAAUAUUUGUGAUGAAGCAUUCUUUUGAUUGCUGUGUAGUAGAUUAAACCACAAGCAUUUGCCCUCCAGUUGGCUUUUUGUGAGGUCUAAGUAGCUAUUGUCUUCUCUGCUUCUGUGAACUAAAAUUAACAUGCGCUCUGUUUACGCACUUGUACCACAAGCAUAAACAAUGGCUUCCUAGCAUGCACUAAACAAUCAUCAUGUUCUCCGUAUCUGCCUUACAGAGCUCACAGAUUUACCUUCCAACAGAAAAAGCAAAAAAAAAUAAAAAAAUCAUGAAAUUCUUUGGCUAAUUGCAGGCGAAGUGCAUUGUGAACAACCAAACAAUUCGUUGUACACGUUCACUGGCAAUCUUACACAUCAAAAGCAAACUGUACCUCUCCCCCAAAUCAAAUUCCGUUGUGGGUAUGGUUGCUUUUCUGCUUGUUUAUUGUCCUUGAUUUAUUUUGUAGGUCUUCAUUUUUUUAUUCAUUGGGUUGUUGUAAAGUUUUUUGACGCAUGAACCUCUUACUCAAGUUCUCUGCAUCUCUUGUAAAUAUGUGCUUUAGAAAUACGUUUGAUCAUUCAAGUAAUGUGGAUUUAAUCUAUUCUUCUGCUUCUAAAUGUUAUUUAUGUUGAUGUGGACUCUUCAUUCACUAAACUGUGUAACCGUGGCAUAACUUGUUCCCAGGGAUGCAGUCUUAGGAACACUGAACAUAUUGUUGGUGCUGUCAAUUUUACUGGUCAUGAGACUAAGGUAUGCUUCCAGAAAUCUCUGUUUUGGUCCUUUGUUACUUUCCUUACUAGUGGAGAUCUCUGAUUAGAUGAAACAGAUUUAAUUCUGCUGAAGUGAAAAUGGUAUCUUUGCAAUACAAAUAUGCCCUGAAUUGUGACAGGCAUUCUCCACCUCUCUUGAGAACAUUGAUUUUAUUAGGUCCAUCUCUUUUUGGCGCUUGCAGGUUAUGAUGAAUGCUGCGAAUGUUCCUUCCAAGAGGAGUACAUUAGAGAGAAAACUGGACAAACUUAUACUCACCCUUAUUGCUACUCUCUUUGUCAGGUGCGCAUUGGAGCCAUUGGCAGGUGUGGCUAUUUCCUGCUACGGAUUUCUCAAAUGUGCUCCCGUUAUUACAUGAAAUUACUUAUUCUUAAAAAGUUCGGAGAGUCGGUCUCAGAAAUAUAACAUAUUGAAUCAGAAUGCACUCUUAAUGUCUUGUACAAUGAAUUCUAGCGAUUAUUAGCUGAUACACAAUCCCCAGGAGGAGCCAAAUCUGUACACUCUUUACUGGAGGCGUUAUUGCUCGCUCAAUUCAGUCAGUCAAAAUGAAUAGAAAUGGGCAUCUUAUACCUGCAUUUUUGUAUGGUGGCCGAGCAAAUAUUGGCUUUCAAUGUAAAUGAAGUGUUGUGCCAAUCUAAUUGCUUUCACAUACGCGGUGUGAAUACUCUUGUCUACUUUCAAGUUCUUUCCACAGAUAAGAUUAUGCAACCAUGAAGAGAUUAGAAGAAGCAACAUUAUCAAUGUGGAAUUCAAUCUCUACUCAAAAACACUAAAGACUCUGCAUAAAAAAGAAGAGUGACUUUCUAAUGUAAGAACACUUUCCAAGUUAUACACAUAUAACAGCCAAUUGCAAAUCUACCAGCAUGGUAUUAGCAGCUAAAACUUACUUGCUUUGCAGCUAAAACAUAUUCUCCAAUUGCAUCUUGUAAAGGCAAGCCAAAAGAAUGAAUCAUUAGAGGUCAAGAAUUUGUGUAAAGAAAAAAAACAGAUAACUUCUUAUAUUGUAAACAUUCAUGAAGCCGAUAGUAAAAGUAGGAAAAUCUUUCACUGACUACGCACCAUUGAUAAAAGGAUGAUCCUUACUCUACUACACAACAGUGAUGGAAGCCACAGGUAGGCAAAUUUUCUCAACCCGAUAGUACUCCGAUCAUCCCGAAAACCAUAAAGACAUUUCCAUGUUUUAGCAAUGCUUAAUUACAUGUGAGUAUGGUCUAGUAUUACUGUCUUCAAAAGGUUGAGCUCAGGCCGAACGCAUUGUGGUCCUUCACACAGAAGUGCUCAUCUUGCAAGGGGUUCUUAUAGGUCGGGAUUAUUGACACCGGAAUUGUACCAACAACGAAACAAUAAAAAGAAGAAUAACAAUAAUAAUAAAAAUUUUGUCAUACGCGACAGCUAGUAUGAUAGAAUUUUUCAUUCCCGAGGGCCCACCGCUGAUUUUCCCUUCUCUCUUGAAUUCGGUUAUGACAGCAAUAACCAAAGUUCUCGAUUGUGCUUCGCGUCCGUAGCCUUUACCGUCCUCCCUAGCUCCACCGGAAGCCGCCGUCGGCCUUCCAUCUCCGAUUACGGCAGAUGCACGAAGGAAGGCACACAACACACACGCAGAAGAAACGAAGCUCAAUCCUGGAAUCCAAAGUUCAUUGUCGUUGAUUCGAGGUUAGCCGGAGGUGAAUCGACGUCGAUUCCACUGUUCAUGACUUCGAUUGCGGUUCCGGUGUCGCCUGGUUGCAGUUCCGAUCGCGUGCUGUGCUGACCACGAGGUGUUCCUGCGAUUCGUUCUUUCGCUUCAGUGAUCGGCGGAAGUUUUCGGUAGAUUCGAAUCGCAUGGAAAAGGACGCCCCGUCUCAGUUGGUUCCAACCAUCGCUUACGAAUCUUCUCUCCACCGACUGAACUCUUCGACUUCUUGCUCUAGUCCAAGCCCAAGAGUCGUCCUCGCGUCGAAUGAAUGUACGGAUACUACUCGGGAAGUGUUCAAUGAAAUGACCGAAGGAAUCCAUCCGUUAUUCUGUCCUGUUGAUGGCCGUUAGAAUCAAUGCUAUAAUAGGGAGGCUGUGCUAGUCGUCAUCUCGAGCUCGCCGUCAUCGCCACCAAAUCAUCAGGUCAUCUCUUCUCCAGUUAAGCUUUGUUGUUGGCGUCGAUUUGUUCUAGACUGGCCUCUCUCGAUCUCUGUUCUGUUCCUUUUUUCUUUUUCUUUUUUUUCCUCCCCUUUCGCUUGACUGCUUCAUCGUCAGACAUUUGCUGCGUCGUCGUGCCGAGACACUCCUCAUCACCAAAAGCCAGAAGCGGGACUGCGACAGCAGAAACCAAGGAGAUGCGGUCGCGAUUGCUUUCGAUAAUUCCGCUUGCGUAGCUCGCUGCAUCAGAGGGAUCGAGUCAACUAAAACCUUCCACAAAGAACAAUAAUCAUUGAUGCACCACACGUAACGGUAAUCAUCGAUGUGCCAUUUUGAUACUAGCAACAUCAUCUAAAAGCAGUUUCGCCUUGACAGCAAACCGACCGAAUAAGAACGAAGCAACUGGAAUGACAUCAGUUGGAGCUUGAAUUCAUGGAAACGAGCGGCAGCGACAAUGAUCUGCAUCUGACGCCCCUGAAGGUCUUCUGGUGGAGACAUUGCUAGCCGAAGACAAUGAAUGUGACUUGGAAUUUCUGUCUACUCCGAGCUCAGCGUCGAGGUAGAGAAGGCCAGGCCAGGCAAGGGGAAAAGUUUGAAAGGUGGGAGUAAUGGGGUAGUGGGUCUAGGCUGCGGAUCAAAUCAAUGGGUUGCUCUUGUGGGCCGUACCAAUUGGACUAACUUGGCCUUUUCUAUUUGUUAUUUAUCUUUUUAUUACUCUUUUUCUUUUGUUCUUUUUUACUUCCAUUCAUUGUCUUAUGCUCAUUUUUUUCAGAAAAACGUAUGCUUAAUUUUUUGACUAAAAUUCAGAUGUCGACAAUUUCGAAUAUGUUUACCCUAAUAUUUAAAGAAGAAUAUCAUGCCAUCGUGAACAAAGUACAAAAUAUCGUAUGUUUUUGUUGUGUCAAUUCUUUACUUCCCAAAAAGCUAGAGUAGUUUAUUGAUCGAUGUAAAAAAUGGGCCAAAAAAAUGGGACAAGCCAAUCGAAUUGAAUCGGAUGUGUUGAUGAAAUAUCAACUCAUUUAAAAUGACUUAAUUGAUGACUUGGAUUCAUAUAGACUCGAUUUCCAAUCUUGCCCAUUUGGCAGGUUGAAGUCCUAGAAUAUCACGAUGGAAGAUUAAACAAAGAUUAGUACAAGGCAAGAGAAAGAGAUGGUUUUCUUUAGUAAAAAUUGAUUCCUUCGUGUUUUAUUUUUCCUGUUUGAGGAUUCUUUUCAAUUUAUUGAAAGUUCUCAAAUCGAAGAAAUGAUUAAACAUGGCAAAGAGUCAAGGAAAAAGCAAAAGAAAUGAAUAAAUAUGUUGAGAAUAAAAUAGGUUUUAAUAAAAUCAAUUUUUAUAAAUUUUCACCCAAAAAACCGGACAUGAUUGGUCAAGUGGUCCAAGACUUGAUUUGCAAGCCGAAGGUCACAAAUUUGAUUUCCCAAUCUAUUAUCCAUUUUGGGAUAAUUAUGUGAAUAACUUGGCAGAAUUAAUUUGAACAAUAUCUGGUGGCGAACAUAUUCACCCAUUGGUGGCCAAAGAUUGUUAUGGGUCGGAGAAACUCCAAAUAGAAUGUCCAGCAUAAACAUUUGGGUUGCCAUUGAUGCCCUUCAAUGAUGGGCUGUGACUGUACUCUGACGAGUUUCCAUUUCCAUGAUGAUCUCGAAAGACUUCCCUUCGCACAUAGAAUCAUAAUUUCAGAAAACCUUUUUUGACAAUAAUGAUGCUGAUAGACAAUUUUGCCUCCAUACGAGAAAAAGGCAAAUCUAUGGCUGAGUAGUUCGCACUGAGCAUUUGAUCCUUCAAAUUUCAUUUGUUCCUUUUGUUUGUUUAGGAGAAUAUAAUGUUCUCUACUUUUUUUUUUUUUUUUUUUUUUUUUUUAAGGUUCCCUCAAAUGCUGAAAAAGAAAAUUUGCUCGACGAGACUGAAAACAUGGUAGUGCAUUAUUCUUCUAGUGUUUUGCACAUGGCAUGAAGAAGCAGUUCAAGAAACUAGCCAGGAACUAGGAUUAUUUUGGAAGUAAGAUAAUAAUUACGAUCCCGGACAAAAGCUUCGUGAUGAUCAAGCAGGAAAUAUUAGACCAGGACAUCGUGAAACAACAAAGGAGGUUUUGGCUUAUGAGGUAGAGUUAAUGUACUUAGAUCAAGCCCUCCAGCCUUUGAGGAGACGUGCCUUCGCAAGAGACUCGCCUCCAAAUGGUUAUAACAUAACAGCCUCUUGGAACAUGUCAUCUCGACGAUCAUCGGUCCAUUUCUUUCUUGUCAUAUAAAUCCGUGUCAAUAGACACGUUGAAGAAGGUGCGGGUAAUUGUCCCAAGGAAGUCCAAGAAACAUUGAUGAUAAGUUCCAAGAAGCUAGACUAUGAGGAAAAACAAUUAUUUCUUGAUUGUGUUGUUUGGCUCUCGCUGGGUGUGCAAUGAUCACUUCCAAUUAUAGUCCUUUUUCCUCUCUUGAAUAAGUAUAAACUUUGUUUGGUAUUCUAGCACAUGAAGUUCCAAUCCAUGCCAAAUUGUAACUAUCAAGUCAUAACGGUGAAUUAAAGGUGGAUGAUAGGCUCCUAUAGAAAAUGAUAGUGUAGAGUGUGGGACAACUGGACAGAACUCAUAUUUUGCAGGCAGUGAGGCCCAAAGGUAAUUUUAGUACAAAGAAAUGGUGGAAUGACCCUUUUUGUUUAAAUCAGUGGAGCAUAGGAUUUUGGGGACUUCUUUAUUUUCAAAAUAUAAUUUUGGGUUCUUUAAGGUCAAGCAUAAUCAAAUGGACAUAUUUAUUUUUUUAGUGAUCACGUAGAUGUUAUAGAUGAUUAGAUGAUGCAUUGUACAACCUGUGCCCGUUUGUUAGUACUGAAGGUGUACUCUAACGAUGCAUACGAUACCAAUGGAGUGAGCAUGUCCUGAUCCACUAUGGAAAGAAAAUGAAAACAAGAUGCUUUGGCCUUCCACCACCGCAAACGGUCACCGUUGUCUUCCUUGAACUUUCCAAACAUGGUACUCGUCAUCCUUGUUGAGAUGUCCAUUCGCCUCAGUAGCAGCCGACAUCGAUGUACUCGAGGCCUGUCCAUUAUAAUUGGGGGGCGCAUGUGGCCCGAGAGCAUGGGUCCGAACUGACCUAGCCCAUUGGCCAUCCCAAAUAAAAUCUAACCAGGAAGAACCUUAUAAUAUUUUCUGAGAGUCGAGAAUCCUUCCUUGCAAGCGUUGCCAACACCUUUGUAGAUAUUUCUGUAGCUACAACCCAUCUCAUUCAAGUAUAUUUCACAUGUCCCAUUUAGAAAUGGCAGUCCAGAAAAUGCAACUAUUUUAUGGGCCCAAUGAACUCGUGGUUUAAGGGAAGAAGGAACUCAUUUUACAUUUCCUGCCCUCUCCUUUUUUUUUUUUGGUAACCGAGGAAACUCGCGCACCGUAUCAACACGGACAAUCCAAAAGAUCCGGAAUAAUGGAAGUAAAUCCUGAAAGCAACAUGUGCUAGCCACCAAACACGUUUCACCGGUCAUCACAUACGUUUCCCCUCUCUUUCCUCCCACUUUUUGGAGCCAAAUAUCUUUACAAUGUGACCCACGAUGCAUCGAAGUCGUACGGCCCAUCUGCUGCAACAUAAAUGAGAUUUUGACAUAACCCAUCUGCUAUAACAUGAAUGAUAUUUGACAUAACUCAUCCCAGUCAAAUAUCUAUCACAUAUCCCAUCUCGAAAUGACAGAGUCCGGAAAAUGUAAAUAUAUUCUGAGCCCAUUGAAGUCGUCAUUUAAGGGAAGAAGGAACUCGUUUUGCCUUUCCCCUCUCUUUCCUCCCGCUUUAUCUUUGCAAUGUGACCCACGAUGCAUCAUAGUCGUACUGCCCAUCUGCGAGAACAUAAAUGAGAUUUUGACAUAUCUGCUACAGCAUGAAUGAGAUUGACAUAACUCAUCUCCGACAAAAAUCCAUCACGUGUCCCACCUCGAAAUGACAAAGUCCAAAAAAUGCAAAUAUAUUCUGGGCCCAUUGAACUAAAGAGGAUCUCAUUUUGCAUUUUUCCUUUUUUUUUUUUUAUGACUUAAGGAAUCCCAUAAGCCAAUUGACAACAGACAAAUCGUAGGGCAACGCUAGCAAAAGACCCACCAUAAAGACAUCGCGCUUAAGGUCUCGUGCGUCUCUCGGGAUUCGAACUUCUCCGUCUUGGAUAGACGUCAUAGAAGCUUUUAUUCAGCUGGACCACUACAGAUGAUGGUGCAUUUCCCCUAUCUUUCCUCCCACUAUUUGGAGGAAAAUAUCUUUGCAAUGUGACCCACGAUGCAUCAAAGUCGUACUACCCAUUUGUUGCAACAUAAAUGAGACUGCUAUAGCAUGAAUGAGAUUGACAUAACUCAUCUCAAGCAAAUAUUUAUCACAAAUAUUUGAUUAAGAAGCAGAAUAAUAAUGAUAGGAUAUGAAGACAAUAUUUAGAAGAAAAUAAAAUUUUCCAAUCAUGCCUUGAAAAGAAUAUAGGUCUCAUUAAUGUAAAGCUGAUCUAAAGCUGAUCUGACCAUUUUGGAUUCUCUUAUUUUCCUUUGUUUCCCCUCACAAGUAAGGGAAUAUUUUGUGGACCCAUAGGAAAUUUUUUCUCUUCAGUUCUCUCCUCUAGAUCAAUCAACAUGGGCAAUGUAAUUAAUGCAUGGUUUUCUCUGAUAUCAUACUCAAAAAGAAGAAAGAAAUGAAUAGUUUCUUUUAAGAGGGAGAUGAAAUUUGGUGAAAAUUGCCAGAAUAAUUUCCAUACAUUCCAAUCUCCAGUCGAAGAGAUUUAUUGAUUAUGUUAAGCCCCAGGUUUAGGUUGCACCAACUUGGAUCCAGAAAAGGACAAAGAUUAUAAAUAUUCAAUAAUGCUCAGAGGAUGUUUAUUAUAUAGAUAAUAAAAUCUAGAUUACUGGGAACAGGUAUGGAAAGGUUGAAAAGUACAAGACGAGCGCAUGCAUGCAUUGGACAAGGACAGGCUAGAGAGCUUGUCCCCUUUCUUGAGACGGGCUUUAGUGUAGUUUUGGUGCUGCCCUUCCUUGGGAUCAGAAAAUCCAACUUGAAUUUUGCUGGACUGGACGACGUGCAAAAAAAGAGAAUAGGACGGACUGGGGUCCCUGACCAUGAGGUUGACAUGACAAGGAGCUUUAGGGCUUGCAUGGAAACACUCAUUGUUUCUAUUUUUGAACAAUUUUUUUGUUUUUUUUUCUUGGAACAAAAUUAAAACAAAAAAAACUUACUUCUUGUUCCAAAAUCAAUUUUGAAGAAACACUUCUUCUUCUCUCUUCUCUUUUCUUCUUCUUUUUUUUUUGCCGAUCGCCGGCCUUGGCCAUGGCCGGCGAUCGUCGGGGCUUCUGGCGCGAGCAAAGGCGGUGGGUCGCGAGCGGAGACGAGCUCGGCUCAGAUCUGCCUGCGUCGGGUAGUUGGCGACGGGCGUUGAGGCAGAGCACGGCAGCGACGGGCGUCGAGCGGCGAGGGUUCGCGCGAGCGACGUCGGUGACUGGCGUCUAGUGGUGGUGGCCUUGAGGGCGAGCGGCGUCCGGCGGCAAGACUCAGAGCGGCGUCCGGCGAGACUCUGAAAAAUGGAAAGUGAGGGGGUCGGUAGUCUCGGGGGAGUGGGGUUCCCUUUGGAACCCUAAGCGGUUCCAAAACCGGUUCCACGACUGGUUCCCAAAAAAAAGGAACCGGAACCGGAACCGGGAACCGAACCGGACCCUCCUUCGGUUCGGUUCCGGUUCCCGGGUAACCCGGGAACCGUGCUCAGCCCUAGGGGAAAUGGACGAUGGUGGGAGGGAAAGAAUAAAAAAUUAAUUUGGGGGUGGGGGGAAUCGACCGCUGUCAGGUGGUGGGGAGGGAAAAAGAAAGCAAAAAAAAUUUGGGGGGAAAAAAUACGAGGGAAGCUUGGGCGCAGAUUGGGGGGUGGGAGGUUUGAAAAUUAAAAGUAAAUUUGGGGAGAGGGGAGGAUUUCGAAAAAUAAAUAUAAAUUUGGGAUAAUGAAAUAAAAAAAAGUGUAAAACUUAUUAAUAUUAUUAGUAUAAAUUCAUUGUAAACUCUUUAUUUAUUUAUUUAUUUGUUUAUGAAUUUGAAUCAAAUUAAUUAAAAAUAAAAAUAUUUAUUUAAUAUUUAACGUGUCGGAACGUGUCAAAAUUCUUUACUUUUUGAGAAAUGACGUAUCGCGUGUCCGUGUCGCCGUGUCUGUGCUACCUAGGUUGGUACGUGUUAUGGAGGGAAGGAUGCGGCAAGGAUUUGGGAGUCUACAGUGAGAAGCGUCGGCUUUGUGAAUUGUUACGUUGUUUUUGCGUAGAAUGAAUCGGAAAGAGAAAGAGGGUCAUUUCGUGGAGGUUUAUAGCAAAGAGUGGUCAGCGAGAGAGGGAGAGAGAGAGAGAGAAGUGGUCCCAUAUAGUCCAUGACAGAGGCUGACAUUAUCGAGUUCAAGGAACACUUCUAUGGAUCUCAUGAUCCCGUUAAACAUACAUAUAAUUACAUACAUAUAUGCUUCGUAUUCACGAGAUCCGUUAACGAAGUGUAAUCGAUCAAUAAAAUUGCAUUUUCUUAUAACUAUUAAAGUGAGGUUUUUGAGAAAAAAUUAUGAUGAUAAAAGAAAAUAACAGGGCAUUUUCCAUGAACUUUCAUUUUUUUUCUCAAUGAAGUGUUUAGGUCUCUUUGAAUAUUUAACUAAUCUUCAUUAUGUGCAGUGGUCCCUCCAUUUCGCACGCGCCGAAUAAUAACCGUUGACACACCGUUUUUAUAUUACAAUCUUUUGAAAAUCUGAUGGUUGCCGCACUUGAAACUUCUUUUUAUCUAGAUUUCUAUUGGAAGUUGAUUUUGGUCGCUUACCAUUUUAAACUUGGGAGCUAAUCCCCCUUCCAUUUUUGAACUCCUGAAAAGGUUUGGUAAAUAUUUUUUGGGUAAAAGUCAACAAUAAUUUUAAAUUAUAUCCAUUGUAACAUAUUUAUCCUGAAAAGUUUUUUACGACACAAAAAAUACUAAAUUUAUAUUUAUGUGAUAUAUUUAUCCCAAGCUUGUAAAGUGUAAUAUAUUUUCCACAAAUUUCUUUUUGAGACACUAAAGAUCCUAAAUUUAUAUUUGUAUGACACAUUUACAUAAAGAAUUGCAUCUUCAUUUUGAUGUGAAACAUGAGAUGUACAAAAUUCUCCCACAAGUGUCGAUGUCCUUGUAUUUAACAAUGCACAUCGACUGGACUAUAGAUGCACAUGUUAUUCAAAGAGACGUCAUUAUUGUCAUUUUAAGUUCUCAACUCGAAUUACGUUUUGCACUUCGCAUUAUAGCUCAUCAUUCACUUAAUUCCAUCAAGCUAUAAUAAGAAUGAAGAAGUAAAAAUGAACUGUAGAUGGUUUGCAUAAAGAAACAAAGUAGAUUAACGAGACAACGUCUUCAUCCUCUGAAAUGUUUCAUGGAGAUGUUUUUGUAUAAGGGUGGUAGCUUCUUUAAUUAAAUUUCGCCAAUUAAUAUUCGCUUAUUUAAUCCUAUAUUACCUGAUUGUGGUUUAGCAAUUGGAUAUUAUAGCUACAUAUGAAAUAUAUACCUUUUUACUAGAAUUUUUAUUAUGCCCGCGGCUUAUAGAAGAAUAGUUUCCAUGCGGCACUACACUAUUUAUAUGACUGUUUGAUUAUGUCAAGUGAUUUAAAUUUUGGAUUAUAUGGGUAAGAAUAUUUUACAAUAGAUUAAAAUCAUUUUCGUUUUGAGUUAUAGACCUAACUAGGAGGGUAGCUUUAUUUGGGGCUAAAUAUUUGUGGCUGUGCAUAUAUUAACAUGAUGCUUUGAGGAUAUUUCAGCAAGUCGUUUUCUAAUUUUUAUUUUUCUAGGUAAAUACGUGUUCUUAAAUAGACGAUAUUCUUUGCUCCUCUUCCGAUUUUGAGAUUUGUCUAUCUUCUGUACAAUUGAAGUGGGCCUGAACAUUUUCCUAUACUGUUCACGCGUCAAUUGUCGUGCAGAGUAUUUAAGUAAAAGAAACACAGAUGGGACGACCCGGUGGAAUUGGAUCCCUCGGUGAUUGACUUGAGUAGCCUUCACGGGCAUGAAGUCGUAUUGCCCAUCUGCACCGCCAGGUUGACAGAACACGAAGCUUUAAUAAUUUCCAUGUGACCGGCGAUGGCCAAACAGCAAAUUUUAACUCCACCUUGGUUAACUCCUGACGUCACUUCGUUCUAUCUUUCUCCUUUUCUGCGUUUUAGAAAGGGAGAGCGCAGCAGCAGCAUCAGAGCAACGAUGGUGGACGUGCUGUUGGCACGUGUUUUUUUUUGGGGGGGGUGGGGGUUGUUGGGGGGGUGCCCGUAAGGAUUUGGAGUCUGCGAUGGCAAGCGUGAAUUGUUGCGUUAUAUUUUGCAGAGAAUCGUAAAGAGCGUCAUUACGUGGGGGUUAAUAACAGAGAGAGGUCACAGCGACAGGUGGUCAGGCUUGACCAUUGAGUAGCGUGAGAUCUGUAUAAUCCCUUUAAUCCCGUUAUCAAGUCCAUGCAACUUUUAACCUGUACAAUUUAAUCCCUUAACUAUUGAUGAUUGUCCGAUUUAAUUACUGAAUUUUCAAUCGGCUUAAUUUAGUCUCUAAACUAUUGAUAAAUGUUCAAUUUUUUCAUAACUGACAGAUCAAGGUUCUCAAAAAUAGAUGUUAUGCUCAUUAAUCCUGAUAAAAUUAAAUGAAAAGUCAGUAUUCCAAUGGGGUUAUAUGUAUAGCUCAAAACUUAUGCAUAUUUAUGAGACUAAUAGAUAGGUGUCUCUUAAAAAUCAAUGGAGUGUCUAGAAUUCUUUUAACGAUCAAAUAAUCUCCAUCAAGUACGGUGAUACUUUUGUUCUACGCACAUCAACAAUUACCGGAGACACGGGCCUGUGUUCCCAGUGGUGGCCCUAAGAUAAGAAAAUGCACAGAUGUGAUAAUUCAAUCACAUGCCACAAGUGAGGAGGAUAGACACAAUCAUGACUUGAGCAACCUCCUAGAUUUAAAAAAUAGGCACCACUUAGUUUUCUUGGAAGAAAGCUUAAUUUUCCCUUAUAAAUAAUUCUUGAUUUUGUAAAUAAUAUCUACAAUUGUGAUCAUGGUUUUAUAUUACAAUCUUCUAAAAAAUUUUAGUCGCCGCCCUUGAUUUUUUUAUUCUCAAUUUCAAUUGGAAGUUGAAUUUGGUAACUUAAUUUUUUAAGGGAUAAAUCUAAUGAAAAUUCUAAAACUUGUCAUGAAAUUGCAAUUAAGUUAUAAAAUUUUCAAAAAGUGCAAUCAAAUUUUAAAACUUGUCGCGAAAGUAUAAUUGAAUCCUAAAACGUUAAAAAAAUAUAAUUUAAUCUUAAAACUUGUCAUAAAAGUAUAAUCAAGUUAUACAAAUUUCAAAAUAUGCAAUCAACGGAAGGACUUGAUUGGACCAAUUUGACAUAUUUUAUGAUUUAAUUGUACUUUUGUAACAAGUUUUAAAACUUAAUUGUAUUUUUUGAAAGUUUUAUGACUCAAUUGUACUUCAUAACAUGUUUUAAUAUUUCCAAUGCACGUAUUCCAUGUUUUGAACUUGGGAGUUGAGCCCCACUUAUUUUCUUUUAACUCAUGGGAAGCUUUGGAGAAUAUUUAUUUUACACUCGAAAUAUUUCAUUAAAGUUUAGAUUCAAAUGAUGAGGCAUGAUCAAUUAAAAUCUACUAGUAAAAGUAAUGGGUCACAAGCUUGGUAAAACUUGGAGUUGAUUAUUGUGGUAUGAUUAGCUUAAAUAUUAAGAUAUACAUGGAAAUAGAGUGUAACUCUCAUGGAUCUUAUCUUUUUAGGAGAGUCAUGGCAAAACCAUUCUAGUUUGUUGGCAUCGAAACUUUAUGUUGUUGCCCUACUACCACAUAUUUCAAAUAGACUUUGAAAACUUGUCAACUCUCCUUAUCAAUAAAUGCGCGGCACUUUCCUGUUUUGAAAGGCUUGGUGAAGUGGAGGGAACUGCAAAUUAUCAGGUGCAAAUGCCUCACGAGGACACCUGGUCUGUCGGGCUACAAUCCUCGGAGACACCUAGUGAGAUUCAAGGUUUGUGGGAAUUAAGAUCUUUGUUGCACUCAGUAGUUUCCUACUGUGAUUCAAUUGAAAGAUUUCCUAAUCUAUCCAAGUUGAAGAAGCUUAGGUGUGUUGAACUGAAAGCUUUUCCUAAGCCAGGAGCCAUGGAAUGCCGCAAUAGACUAGUCUUUAAAGUACCUGGAGACGAAUCGAAUAUCUCUUGGAGCUACCACCUCGAAGGUACACCUUACGAAAAUUGCACUGUGCUGCCUGUGCAGGAGACAUUAUUGCCCAUUGACUUUCAACAAUUCAAGUCAAUAUAUAUAUAGAUAUAAUUUUGCGAACAAUUCCAGUCAAGUUCAAACACUACAUUUUCUUGAAAGCUGUAUGAAAUGUUAUUUUUUAGUUCUUCUUUCGACUUGUUUUAGCAAUUAUUCUCAACAAACAUGAGGAACUCCAUGAUAAAGGAAAAUGCAUUUUCUAAAAACAUGAUAUGUUUUCCUUUAUUUGGUAAUAUAUAAUCGAAAUUGCUUCAUGAUGUUUGGACUUCAUUGGAAAAUGAUUUUAAUCUCAUGAUCUUAUUUCAAGCAAAAAAAUUACAUUUUUAAUUUUUUUUAAAUUAGAAUUUUUAAUUUUUUUUUCUUUUUAAAUUCGAAUUUUGAAUUAUUUUUAUUUUCCUUUUUCUCUUUUCUUUCCUUUACUCUUUCCUAAUUCCCUUGCCAUGACUAGCCGGUGACAACCACAGGCAAGCUCGAGCUCAUUGGGAUCAAGCGAGUUCCAAGCUUGUUGGCUUUGACGAAGCUCAAGCUUGCCUGGAUUUGGCGAGCCGCGAGCUCAAGCUCGUCAAAAUUGAGCGAGCUGUGAAUUGGCCAAGCUCGAGCUCACCUAGAUCGGUCGAGCCUUGAGCUCGCUGGCUUGCAUCAUGGCUAAUUGCCAAGCUACUGACCCUCGCUGAGGCACCCGGCUGGCGGAGGAAGAAGGAGAAAGGAAAAGAAAGAAAAGAGAAAAGAAGAAAAAAAAAAAAGAAGAAAAGAAAAUAAUAUUUGAAAAUUUUGUAAAGAAAUAAUUAAAUAAUCAAUUUUUUAAUAAGAAUAAAAGUUUUAUUAACCAAUGACCCAAAGAGUAGAAUAAUUUUGAGCAAACGUUUUCUAGUUCCUUUAUAAGGGAAAUCAUUUUCUUGAAUUAAAAUUUUAGUACGUAAACCAUUUAUGUGACUCAUUUUCCUAAAUGAACCAAAAGUUGAAAAAUGAGAAAAAUAUUUUUCGCCAUAUAAAAGCACCCUUAAUUUUAUUACCAAGCAUGUGGCAGUAUUGAAUGAUCAAGAAGGCAUAAUGAAACCAUCAGAUGCCGAAUAUGAAGGAGUACAUCUUAUUACAAGACAUCUGAUCGGUGGCAAUGGUAACGUGACUCUUGCCGAUGUUAUCUUAAGCCAGUUAUAGGCUAGCUUCAACUCUACUACAACUUGAAGAGCGGGGUUGGCCAUUGAAGGGUGUAUGAGGACUCAAAACACUUUCCUACACCUAUGUCCUCACAAGUGCCAUUAUAUAUUGAAUUUCCGGCAUUUGUAGUAAACAUUUUCAAAAAUAUUAUGACAUGAAAAGUUUUUAGAAGUCAUGAUAUUUUAAAUAAUAAAAAAUUAUAGAAGUUAAGUGACUGAAAAAAUUAUGAUAUUUAAAUAAAUGUGGUACGAAAAUUACGAUGACUUUUUUUUAAGGUUAGCAAUACAUUUACGCAAGCACUUGCAAGAUGUUUUUGCAUGAAAAUGAGACAGUCUUUUUACGGCAGAGGAAGGAAUGAAAAAAGCAUGUUGUCCAAAACGGGCGGUUGCCACAUAGCACAACAGGAGAAAAUAUUAUUGCGCUUAGUGGGACUCUAUUAUUUGUGCAACUUUAUUGAAGCUGAUACCUAAAAGAGCUCGUGAAGUGAAGUUACUGAUAUUGAGGUGCAUCAUCUAAAUCGGAAUCUGGACCAUAGCUCGGUCCCAUGUGGAGAUUGGUGCAUCGCUGCUGCAGUGCUGCUGAUUUUCAGUGCCGAGGUCAGUUGUGUUAAACGAUUAAGCAUAAUCAAAUGGGAGAAAAUAUUUGGGGUCCCGACUGCCAAGCCAGCAUGCACUCCUACCAAUGAGGAAAUGACGCGUGGCUCCACAAUGCGCUAGUGGUUCCACUGGUUUCAGUUUAAAAAUUUAGAAAAAUGUCACAAACGGUCCCUAUACUAUUAUUUAAUGUGCAAUUUGAUCUCUGAACUUUCGAUCGGCUCAAUUUGGUCUCUGAAUUAUUGAUAAAUGUUCGAUUUGGUCCAUAAACUUUCAAUCGAUUCAAUUUGGUUUCUGAAUUAUUGAUAAAUAUCCGAUUCGGUCCCUGAACUUUCGAUCGACUCAAUUUGGUCCCUAAACUAUUGAUAAAUGUUCGAUUUAGUCAUUCUUUACUGUUUUUUUUCUUUUUUCUCUUUUUUUUCUUCUCUCUUCCCUUCGCCGGAGCUGGUGGAGGGAACCCAGCGUCCGGCGAGGCCAGCUCCGGCGAAGGGAACAGAGAAGAAAAAAAAAAAGAAAAAAAACAGUAAAGAAUGACUAAAUUGAACAUUUAUCAAUAGUUUAGAGACUAAAUUAAGCCGAUUGAAAGUUCAGUAAUUAAAUCGGACAUUUAUCAAUAGUUUAGAGAUUAAAUUGAACCGGUUAAAAGUUCAAGGAUUAAAUUGCAAAUUAAGUAAUAAUAUAUGGGUUAUUUGUGAUAUUUUUCCCAAAAAUUUACAGUCAUUAAUAAAUCUGCUGCCGCUUUUUUCUCCUCUCUAAUGGAGUAGGCCUGCACGCAUUAAAGGAGCUUUGUCUCUCGUCCUUUCUUUCCUUCUUUCCUUCUCACUUGAAAAUUUUGGGUGAGACUCUGGCCCAAAGCACGUUGCUCCUCCGGCGCCGGGUCAUCUUCACUCUCUGCCCCAAAGCUCGUUGCUUCUUCGGCCUGCGUCGUUGUGUUCCUUCUCCGCCCUCUGCUUCGGUGUGUUUUCCUUGCGCAAGACGGCGAGGAAUGUUCUUGCUGUAAGUCGCAAAGUCCAAUCGACAAGAAGUUCCACCUCUCUCCGAUUCGGCUUCGGAUCCACUACGUUCGCGGCUCAUAACAGUGAGUUGAUUCUUCCCCUGAUUUUUGUACUCUUCUUUUCUUUUCUUUUUCUUUGCUGUUUUUGCCUCUCGCUCUCUCUCUCUCUCUCUCUCUUUUUAGUUUAAGUUUCUUUUGUUGGUGGGUGAUUGCACGAGCUUGGCUAUCGAGUCGGCAAUUUUGCCCGUGAGUGUCCGGUGUUGUGAUUUUUGGGAGGUUGGUUUGUCUAGGCUAGCACUGAGUUUCAGUCCGAGGCGAAACGAAUGGUUGGAAGUUUCCGGGAAACCGGGGGAGAUUAGCAGAAAACGAAUGCUUAGUAAUAUUGGAGAUGAUGUGGAAGUAUUUCGUUGAAACGAAUAGUAGGCACUUGUCUGAUUUUUCUGUUGUUGGCUUUUGUCUUGAAGUAUUUCGGUGGAAGUAAUUCGAUUGGGGAAAAUGGCGGAUAUUGUUCCGCCUCCCUUGGCAUAUAUACUUUCUUUAACUCUCGUUUCUCCACAGAGAAGGGAAGAAAACCAGAAAGAAUUCAAAAAGGGGGAAUAUGGCGGAGGUCGUUCUUUGUGCGGCUACCACAGUGGCAGGGUGCCUGGUGGCUCCGGUUGAUCGUCUUUGUGGCUAUGUGAUUUCCUACGACAGGGACGUUCGCGAACUUGACCACGAAGUUGAGAAGUUGGGCAAUGCGAGGAAUGAGGUGCAACGUUCCAUCCGUGAAGCUCGAAACAUCAUGAAGCCGAUCAAAGCCGAGGUCGAGAAAUGGGUGAGAGAAGUGGAGACCGUCACUAACGAGGCGCGUGACGUGCUGGAUUACGACAGAAGAGCUGAGAAAACUUGCUUCUACGGGUGGCUUCCCAACCUGAAGGUGCGAUAUCAUCUCAGCAGGAAGGCGAGGAGGAAAGCCAAAGACAUCCAGGGACUCAUUGGUCGGAUUCCACCCGGGGAGGUCUACGAUGAUCCUCCUCCAGGGCUCGUUGUUGGCGCUUCCGACAUGAUUUCCUCGGCCGGUGAUCGAGGUGACACUAACUUCGAUUCUCGAGCUUCCAUCUUAGAGGACAUAAUGAAUGCUCUGGUUGACGAGAAGAACAAAGUGAUUGGGAUCUACGGGGAGGGUGGUGUGGGGAAGACUACGCUGUUGGAGCAAGUCGAGAAGAAACUCAGGAAUGAGAAGAGAUUGUUCCACAUGAUCGUCAAAGUGAAUGUGUCGCAGAACCCGGACUUUAAGAAAAUCCAAGAGGAUAUCGCUUACGACUUGGGUCUAAAAAGUCUGAAGGAUGUGACGAAUGAAGAGAGAAGAAAAGAACUUCUGUCCAAUAGAUUGCAGAAUCCGAGUGAGAAGGUUCUCAUAAUAAUGGACGAUCUGUGGAAAGAUCUUGAUCUGAGAAAGGUCGGAAUUCCUUCGAGAGACGUGAGCAAGGGAUGCAAGUUGCUGCUAACAUCGAGAUAUAGAAAUGUUCUGGAGCAAACGGAGUGUCACGAUUCCAUAUUUCGUCUUGAACGUUUAAAGGACGAUGAAGCAUUCAGGCUAUUUGAAAAGACGGUUGGCAAGCUCAAAGACGAUGAGACAUUGAAAGCAAUAGCGCCUAAAGUGGUCAAGAAGCUUGCAGGUUUGCCUCUUCUGAUUAUCUCCAUAGCGAGAAGCUUGAAAGAUAGGGAUGUGGCUGCAUGGAGAAUCGCUCUGAAAAAAAUAGACCCGUCAAAUAUAGAAACUAUAGUGAAGUUGAGUUACGACCAUUUGAAGAGUGAGGACACCAAGACCUUAUUCUUGCUCUGCGGUCUUAUUGGCGGGACCAUUGACGUGGAAAUCCUGCUGGUUUUAGGCAUGGGUUUAGGCUUGUUUGAGGAAUUCGGAAGGACGAUACAAGAUUCAAGAGAUGGAUUGAAUACUAUGCUUGAUGAACUCCGUUCUGUUUGUUUGUUGCUGGAUGGUGGUGAUGACAAAAACAAUAAGACCUUAACUGAGCUGUUGUAUAAUGAUGACUACAAGAACGAUGUGACCAUACAUGAUCUUUACAGUGAGGUGGUUGUCUCAACUCCAUUUAGUGGUCAGAAUUCUUUGAUGAUGAACAGCAAUUAUGGCUCAUGGUCAAAGGAAAAGCUUGAGAAAUUUUGGGCUAUAUGCCUAGCUGAUGUUGACAAAAGGAGAUUUGAUGAACUAAUGAAGUGUCAGUUUCCUGACUUGAAGAUACUCAUAUUGUCUCAACCGGAAGGCUGGCGUUGGAAACAACAACACGAACGUGAAGUGGGAGAUUGCUCAAGACUACUAGAUUUCACAUACAUGAAGGAGCUCCGUGGACUAUAUUUUCGCUCCAUGCAUAUGGCCAGUUUACCUCCCUCAAUUGGAAUCCUCGGGAACCUCCACUCUUUAUACUUAGACUGUCGUGAUGUGAAGGAUAUGGCAAUUCUUGGCAAGCUCAAAGCAUUGCAGAUUCUCACCCUCGCAGAGUCCACCAUUUCUAGGUUGCCUAAAGAAAUUGGGGAACUCACAAAUCUAAGAUCGUUGAAUCUAAGCAAAUGCUACGAGCUUAACACAAUUGCGCCCGGUAUCCUAAAUCGCUUAACCAACUUGGAAGAGUUACAUAUUUACCGCUUUUCUCAAUGGAUGGGUAAGGAUCAAAUACCGUCAAAAUCAUGUAAUGCUAGGCUUGCCGAGUUGAAGAGCUUGACAAAGCUAGCAUCUCUGGAAAUAUCGAUUUCUAAUCCCAUCAUACUCUUGGAGGAUGGUGACCUACCAUUUGAGAACCUGGACAAAUUUUGGAUCAACAUAGGAAAUGCUGGGGGGCAGAGACGUGGAGGUUUGCCAACCAUGGGGCUCAAUUUGGAAGGGUGCGAUAGUAUUCUUUCGACAAAAUGGGUUAAGAAAAAUCUGCAGAAGACUCGAUACUUAUAUUUAACCGGGUGUAGGGAGUUCAAAGAGAGCCCUCGCGAAUUGUGCACCCAAGAAUUCCAAGAAGUGAAGUGUCUCCACAUUGGAGACAGCCCCUCAAUCAAGUACAUUGUCGAUUCAUCCAAUGACCUCCCUCUCACUGCUUUUGGGAAGUUAGAGUCUUUUUCCCUUGAUAAUCUUAUUAAUUUGGAGAAGAUAUGCCACGGCCCCAUAGCGCCAAAGUGCUUCAACAAAUUGAAAGAUGUGAGUGUCGUACGAUGCAACCGAUUGAAAUACUUGUGGCGUCUUUCAGAUGUGCAAAGACUUGUACAAUUGGAAGAGAUUGACGUGUUUCAGUGUGGCUCAAUGCAAUCUAUUGUCACACAUGAUGCAGGAGAAGAUAUAGUUUCUACCAAUAACAGAGUUGAGUUGCCUAGCAUACGUCGUCUGCGAUUGCAUGAGUUACCAAAUAUGACAAGCUUUUGUGAUACUUCAAUUCAGGUAACUUUUUUUUAUUUCAUUUUUCCCCGUCAAUUUGUUCUGUUAGGAUGAGAUGAUAUUGGUUUUCACUCAACGUCGGUACAUAUUGCAUUUAACUUUGACUAUUUGUACAAUUUGAUUUAGGUUUUGAUUUACAAAUAAAAAAUCCUCUCAAAUAGAACACAGACCAUAUUAUAGUUAAAAGGGAAGCCUCUUUCCAUGACUGAUUUUUUUAGUUUUUCAAAAAAAAAAAAUGUCAACAUUAGAUAAUUGCACUGUUAACUUGGGUUUCUUCUGUGACUAAUGUAUUACUUAUUUAACAUUCUUAAUGAGACGAAAAAAUAAUCUACUGAACGAAUGAAAGGGAGAAUGAAUCUUGAAUGAAUAAAUAAAAUUCAGUAAUUUCAAAAUGAAGAAAUAACCGUCCAGAGAUUCAAUAAAUGGAUGGAGCCACGUAACAAAGAAAGUCCCCAUAAUUCAAGUCCCACCUAACAUGCAAUUUGCAACUGAUUCCAACAUGUCAUUCCAAGUUGCCAACAUCACCGGAUCAACAUCACUGUUAAUUUGAGCUGCAUUAACGGCAUGAUAGCAGUGAGGAUUUCCUCAUGAGAAUGAUUUCGCUUUUCACGGAAGAGAAAUUAUUUCCCCUUUUUUUUUUUUUUGUAUUUUAGCCCUAGAGUUCCACUUAUUUUCUUGUGAAAAUAGCUUUACUUGUAAUAGACUUACCUUUAAUGAGCUUCAUUGUGGUGCCAGGUUUCAUUGCCUCACUUGGAAUCCCUAAUAAUGGUUGGAUUCCUUGACCCAGAAAAGAUACUCUACAGUGAACCUUUAUUAAAAUAUAGCAAUCUAAGAUGGCUAAAAAUAAGAGCAUCUAUAUCCACAUGGAAGAGUAUUAUGAAAUUAGAUUGGAUUUUGAAGUUGCCGAAUUUGGAAUCAAUGUCACUUGGGAGCUCUCCAUCAGCAGAAGUAGUUUUUGACCUGGAGGAGCUAAAAGUCAUCAAAGAUGUCGAGAUUUGCUCUCGGCUAACGAAAUUGACAUUAGAGCAAUUACCAAACCUGCAACGCAUGUGGAAAUGGGAUGUAAAAUUACAAGGAAUAUCAAUAUUUCGAAACUUGAGGGACCUCUUUGUCUAUAAAACGGGGCUGUCAUUUCUCUUUUCGGUGUCUGUGGCUAAAUGUUUUAGAGAAAUUAGAGUCAUUAGAAUGUGGGACUGUCCAAAUAUGAAGGCGGUGAUUGUGGAUGAAGAAGGAAGAAACAAAGGGACAUAUGAUAUUAUAGAGUUCCCACUACUGGAGCAUCUAUCUAUACGGCAAUGUCCAAUGGAGAAAUUCUUCCUAUAUCCUCAUGGAAAGAAAGAGUCAGUAACCACUACUUCAGAUUUGCAAGAUGCUUACUCCAAUUCCUUCUUUGAUCGAAAGGUACACAUCCCUUCUAUCGAGAUUUUACCCAUAAUAGCCAUAGGCACACGCUUUGUGGGGGGUGUAAUAAAAUCUCUUUGAAGAAUUUUAUUUGGUUUUAUUAGUUAGAAUGUGUUCAUUAUUUAUAAUUACAUUUGUCAUAAUAAGGCCAUUAGUGAAAAUUCAUUCUUCCAUCAUAUCAAAUAUAUUGCUAGGAUUUGGCCAAAUUGCCAGAUGUUUCAUAGCUAUGAUCUAAUGUAUAAUGAGUAGGUUAGUAUGUCAAGCUUGGAAUUUUUAUGGCUUCAUUCAGUAGGAUCCUUCAAAAGGAUAUGGCAAGAUGAACUUCCAAGAAGUUCUUUCUGCGAAUUAGCCACCCUCAUCCUUGAAAAUAGCUCUGAGCUACUCAAAUGUCUUCCCUUGACAAUCAUAGAGAGAUUGCACAAUCUAGAAGUCAGAGUUUCAAAUCGUUGUUUGAUUGUAGGUCCUUUCGCAUUAUCAUGUAUUAGAAUGAACAAUGUAAUAAAUUUAUCCUAUUUUUCCUCCUUUCUCACAUUAUCCUCAUGCAGGUUACAUUUCCUAACAUAACAGAACUGGAAAUUGGUGGCCUUCUGUGCCAAGAGAUAUGGAACAAUCAAAUUCCCACCGAUUCGUUUCAGAAGUUGGAAUCUCUUGUAUUGACGAAGUGUGACAGUCUCCAAAGUAUUGCUACUUCUUAUAUGUGGAAGAGGCCGCAGCGCCAUCCUGAGAUCCUAAAAGUGAUUUCAUGUCGUUCGAUCAAGGUCAUAUACGAAGGUGAUGGGACGGAUAUAGAGAGUGGUAAAUUGAGGAGGCUAGUUUUGCGUGAUCUUGAAAACUUGAGGUGCAUUUGGCAGUCCGACAGGCUCCCAAGCGUCCCGUUCCCAAAUUUGAGAGACGUAGAGGCCGUGAGAUGCCCCCGUUUGGAAAUGCUUUUCCCUACCUUCACUACGAAAUUUCUCGGGCAAAUCGAAGAGCUGAUAGUGGAUUCAUGUGAAGAUAUGGAACUAAUUGCUGGCCAUGAAAAAGGGGAAGGAGCGACCCACACGGCAAUCACCUUCUCCGAAUUAACUCUUCUAAUGCUUGUCGAGUUGCCGAAAUUCAAGAGGUUCUUACCUGAGAAAUACUCUCUGAAAUUCCCGUGCUCCGAGGACUUCCCGUCCUUGCGAAACUUGGGUGUACAAAGCUGUGGAGCAGAGCCGGACCAAGACCUCACUCAACUGGUAAUUAUCCAAUUAAUGCGAUACAUGGCCAACGAUUCACAGUUGGAGAAAGUCCUUUGUGAUCAGGAUUUCGACAAUAUAGAAGGAGAACGUGGCAUGGGAUUUUGGAAGUGAGGUAUUCCUUCAAUAUUUAAUUGCUUUGGUUUGGCUCUCUGUUCCUUUGAAUCGAAAAUCGAUUUGUAUUAGCUAUAAGACACAAUUCUCAGUGGGAGCCACACGCACUCUACAUCACGCGUCCCUCUCUCUUCCUUUCUCUCUCUCUCUCUCUCUCUCUCUCUAGCUCUCUUCUCUCUUCAACUAACCAUCUGUCGAUUCCCUUUUAUGCUCAGGAACCGUGCCUUCUGGAGUUCCCUUGAUCUUCGUUCCUUGUUCAUUCUCCCUCUCCGUCGCCCCUCCAUCCACCAACAGCUGCCGCCGAGAGUCCAUCGCUGGCCACCACACGACGUGGCACGCUGAGAAGGGACAAAGAACAGAGAGCAUUGAUCGAAGGCUGUCGGUGAUUUCGAUUGAAUACUUUCCUCUCACUUUGCUGCUGGUCGUCACCGCUUCCCGAUCACCACCUGUUCCGCUGCCGCGAAGAAGUUCUGUAAUGUUGGAGUGCUCGAACUUCAGUCACGACUGCCUACUUUGACGAUUCCAUCCCUUGAUGUUGCUUCUGUUAUUUCUUUGCUCAUAUCCGAUCUCAAUUGCUAUAACUAAUCGUUCUCUAUUCAACUAAACCAUGUAUCCUCUGUUUUCCGUUGCUAUUGUUACUGUCUAUGUGCAAAUCGACUGUGAUUGAAGGGUUGUAUUAAUGAUUUGAAGCAGUGCUCCUCGGCCGAAAUUAAUGUAUGCAACCUGUUUGAUGAAAUUCCUGAACUAUGUCAGUGUGUAUUUUUUAUUCAGUUCUUCACUGAGAAUUCCCUUGAUUACUAGAUUGUUGAUCUAUUCUGGUUGUAUAAGCAUAUUUGAGUUAUGUUUCUUCAUAGAAAAACCACAGGUGUUCAAUUUCAAACUUGUUUGGAAUCUGCUGGAACCUUGUCAAAACUUGCUGAUUCGCCAUUGUUGCGGCCCUGAGCUGAUGUCGAUUGGUCCUUGAUUUUAUGCUAUUCCACUCAAGUAAGCAUGUGCAGUGAUAUAAGGUUGUCUUAUGGUGAAUUUCAUGUUUGCUUGGAAAAGAAAUUAUGUCAUGAAUGAAUGAAAUUCUACUAGAAAUUGAUCUGUGUAUGCUGACCCUAUCUUGAUAUCCCUGAUUGGGUGUGCUUUUGAUUCUAGCUUGAGGCUAGUUUGGUUAUGAGAUCAUAUAUGUUCAUGCUAGGAAAGUAAUAGGGUGAAUCUCAUACCAUUUAGCGAGAAUUGGGUUCAUCUCCGAACUUGAAUAUGCUAGAAUGAAGUAUUGCAUGCUGACCAUGAUUGUUUUGUUUAAAUUUGGCACUAAUUUGGUCUUGGAUUGAUGUCAUUUUGAUCAAGUAGACUCAUAUGCACUUGUAGGAAGAUAUGGCUUCUAUUCAUGUCGAUUAGUCAUCAAAGAUCACGAUUUGUGGUCUUUAUGCUGUGUCACAAUUUUGAACGUGUGCUGGAAUUUUUGUCUAAGUUUGGUUGCUUCUUUAUUGCCCGUGGAUAAGUGAUAUGCACGUGCAUGAUUAAAUUGAUGAGAUGUGUGCUUGAUAUUGCCAUGAGAAUCUUGGCCUGAUAAAUAAUUUAGAGGACUUUGAUGUUAAUUGAAGUAGAAUUCCAUAAUUCUCGCGAUUUUAAAGGAAACCCUCUACUAGUACACAUAUUUUGAAGGUGAUCUAUUAGACUAAGCCAGAUCUGAGGAAAUCUCUUAAGAAAGCUUGUCAAUGAGGCCCCUCGAAAUAUCACAUGUAUGACACUUGCCACCAAAGUACAUGUAUUAUCUUCCUCUCCUUCGAUGCUCAGCAUUCAAGGCUUAUUUACAAGAGCUAUUGCUUAAAUCUAAUUGAUCCUUCAAGUGUGUGUGUUUGUGCCAACAUACCAAGCACAACACCAAUUGCAACCUAUGUCUUUUUUCUCGAAGCGUUCACUGGUCACUACAGUUCAGAAUGAUGUUUUAAAGAUACGAUUUUUGUUUUCCUCCCUCCCCCAUAGAAUUCGCAAAAGCAUGCCACCAGCACUGCCAGUAAUCUGCCUUUGAAAUCCAUCAAGACCCUGCCCAUAUGUUCCACCAAGAGUAGUUCCCUAGUUCCGAUCGUCUCUCCUAUAAACUAUUCUGCAAUGGAGGUGCAGAGUUCCAUCUAUCUCCUUGCAGCAGGUCUCUCUAUUGAUGAUAGUAACUAUUUUUUAUGAGGCUGCUGAUUGGAGGUCCCCUGAUCAGAAAAAGUUGAAUCUUUUCCCUCUAAGAAGUUUAUGCUAUAAAUCUCGAAUGGAAAACACUUAGCCAAGAAGAACUUGAUAGCCAAGAAGAACUUGAUGAAACAUAUGCAUUUAUCUUAAUGUCCACACGAUAACAUCAACUCAUCCAAAGCAUUUUAUACGACAAUGGCAUCGUGUGUCCUUUCCACAAGUUGCUUUAAUUAGUAGAGAGUAUCCAUCUAAAUCACAAUUUUGUCCUGCUCAUGAAUGCUCAUUCUACUCAUAUUUCUCAAUUUCAGCUGCUCAAAACACUGCGAUUUAACCCAAAAUCACUUGAGAAUUUUGUUAUAUAUCAUUGCAUUUGCACACUCUCAGAAUCGAAUGCCACUAAUUUUACAUAGUCGAUCAUGUCGUAAGAGCAUCGGGAAGAGUGGUGGGUGAUCCGAGGAUUUUGCCACCCACAUCGGGAAAUGUUUCGAAACCGGCCAAAGGACCAACUUUACCGUCUCUGCUCACAUGGAUGGGAUACUGCAUCAAGUGGCCUCUCAUUUCCUUGGGAUUAUGUUGGUCCUCAUCCACAUAAGCUUUCCAAUUCCGUUCGGCUAUUUUGUUCACCUUCUUCACGCAUUCAGUGCUUUGAGGUUCCCUAAAACUGUCCUCUAAAUCUCCCAAGUGCUCCGCCCAAAGCGACAUCCUAUAACCGUAAACCUGCGCAGCAUAAGUUAACAUUAUUAGUCACAAGCUUAAGGUUUUGAUAUAUGUCGCUACCCUCGCAAGGGUGUCUACCUAGUACCUCCAUUUAGAUAAGAGGAUAAUCCGAUGUACUAACCUGGCCAUGCGGAUGGCUCUUUUUCCCAGCCCAAGUGUGAUGCGGCUGAUAGGCCCCCAUCGCGAUUUCGGUGUCUCUUGAGCCAUCUAGAGAUCUUUGGUUGAUAUUUGCCGAUCCCAUGAUCACAUACUCAUCAUCUACUAUCAUCCCUUUGGCAUGCACAUAUAUCAUGAACCUGCGAAACUUUUGAACCGAAGCCUGCAUGGAUGGAAAUGACAGCAUGUUUCAAAGCAGAAGUCUUUCUACCACUCAUUCAAAAACCAUAGCUCUUAAUGACUAUUUUUGUUUUGCUUUUUUAACAGAUAAGUCAAAGGAAGAAUCCAUGAAAAGAGUAUAGACAUAUACCAAGGCAUUAUUUUCGGAUUGUUGAUUCAUUGCUUGGGAUGAAGACUGUGUAGAGGACAAGGGCUCCCGCUUGCCAAGGCAAUAGAAGUUCAAGUAAUCUGACGGAUGGUACUUGUGUGACAACCCGGCUUUUUCGAGAGCCUGGGCUAUAAUUUUGUACAUCAUCGUCAUGGUUUGUCCCUGUCCACAUUAUCAAUACACUAAUAUGAGAGUAGUGAAUGUUUAUCGCUUGGAGAAAAAUACUAAGAUGACCUAAACAAGGUCGGGUCUCAAAUUUUCCCCUUUAAGUAGCUAGGUUUGUUCUGCUUGGAUCACUUCCUUUUCUACUUAACUCUGUUCAUUGUGUCAUUUAGUUUCAAUUUGCUAGGACAUUAUAUUUAUUGAUAUACCGUUAUCGAGAGGCAUGUGUCAUCGCUACUUCUUUGCAAGAUGAAAGAGUUUAUCCUUGAUCUGACCUGCCAGAAGAGAAUUUCCUGCACUGCAGCACUAGUAGGGACACCCUCCGGCCACAUCGGUAUCACUAUAUACACACAGAAGCGCUCGUUUUCACUUAUCUUACUUGCGAUCUUCAAUGCCAGCUCCAUCGGCACUAGAUUGUUUGCACCUGCUUGUCAAAACCAAAUCAAGCGUUGGUUGCCAUCAAAACUUGAACUCAAGAAAUUAGAAAGGCCGAAACAAAACUAGAAAUGGGGGAAAAAAUCUAAAUUUAAAAAGUUUUGAUCUCAGAAAUAUAACAUAUUGAAACAGAAGUCAAUUUUAAUGCCUUACACAGUGAGUUCUAGCUAUUAUGAGCUGAUACACAAUCCCCAGAGGAAGCAAAGUCUGAAUACUCUUUACUAGAGGUGCUAUUGCUCACUAAACUCAAGUCAGUCAGAAUGAAUAGAAAUGUGAAACUUAUACCUGCAUUUUUGUAUGAUGGCCAAUGGUAGGAAGAGCCAAGAAAAUACUGGUUUUCAAUGUAGAUGAAGUGUUGCGCCGAUCUAAUCGCUUUCACGUAAGCUGUGUGAAUGCUCUUGUCAACUUUCAAGUUCUUUCCGCAUAUAAGAUUCUGCAACCAUGAAGAGAUUGAAAGAAGCAACAUUAUCAUUGUGGACUUCAAUCUAUAUUCAAAAACACUAAGGAUUGUGCAUAAGAAAGAAAAGUGACUUUCUAAUGUGAGGAAAACUUUUCGAGUUACGUAUGUAAUGGCCACUUGCCAAUCUACUAGCAUGGUAUUAGCAGCUAAAACUUACUUGCUUUGCAGCCUCUUCAACGCUCUUUGGGAAUCCCUUUACAGAUCCCGAAUCAAUCGAUCUGAAGAUCUAUACCAACGUAAAAUAGAAAUGAAAGACGAUCAUUACACUUUGUUUUGUUUACGAAUGAAGUCCUCAAAAAUGGUCAUUAAUUUUACAUAAAGUUUCCCAACCUGCACGUGCCAAUUUUCCGGGUCAUCUUCGUCCCUAACUUGUACUUUUUUGUCACCAUCGGGACUUGUCGAGGGACAAAGUAUCCAUGAAAUCCUGUCAAGCCUUAAGAGAGCAUUCUCAUGCCAAUGCCUGACGUUUUUCAGCUUGAACUCGCGCCACUUCGCCACCUUUUUCCAUCUCUGUUCGAAAUUCUUCAAUAUGUCAUACGCAGCUUGUCCCUCAACUUUGCAAUGUAGAUCAUGCCACGGUUCCCUUGGGACAUUGACAGUGGACUACAGUUGUCACAAAAGAAAAAAAAAAAAGCAAUGAUCAAAUGAUCGGAAAAUAACAUUUACAUGUCUUUACAGUGCUGAAGGUAAACAUUAGCUUAAUUACCAUGAAUGUUGGGUUGUGAAUGUCAUUCUUAAAGACAGUGUCAAGAUCACUAUAGAGUCUAUGCUCGGGAGUGUCGUAUCGGCCAUCACAUAGGUCCAACCCACCAAUGAAAGCCGUUAUUUUGCGGUUGUUUCCCGAGGCUUGAGUGUCGAGAACCACACACUUUUGGUGGUGCGUGUACAAGGUCCCCACCACCUGGACUACAAAAGAUCCAUACACCAACAAAUUAAACCAAACAUUUUCGUAGAUUUAUGCUGGUUUUCAAUCGAAUGGGCAGCCUCUGCAACACUGUAAAAUUCCCUAUUAGAACUAUCCUAAAUGCAUGUCAUUAGGUUAGAGAACACAUGAUAUGAUCUAGGACAGCAUGAGACAGAUCAAUAACUUCCGUGGAUUGUCUAAUGAAAAGAAAACCUUUCCUAUGAAAUUAUACCCGAAUGGAAUAAUCAGGUAAUAUACAGCAAAAGCAACGCUUUUGAUGCAAUCAAACAAUGAGAUUUUGAUUAAGGAUCGACCUAAACAUCUAAGGAUACAUACCUGUUGCUUGAAAAUGCUGAGUUUGGUGCUUGCAUAACGAGGAGCAAGCACACAGCGGACACCAGAGUGUCGGAAGAACUUCUUCGUCUCUUCAUCAUGAGUUUGCAUCACGCCAUCCUGCACUAACAACAUGGCACAUGCCGAGUCUCAAUGAUGAGAGAUCUCAAUAAAGAACUAUCUUUUCCUAAGUUGAUAAACGUACAGAUUUUCUGUCACAAAGAGCAUGGAUUUGAAAUUUGGCCAAAUGGUGGGUUGCACCAUAAAUAAGGAUACUUAUCCAAGAAAGAGCCAUGAUAUAACAUAUUCUCCAUUUGCAUUUUGUAAAGGCUAACUGAAAGAAAGAACUAUUAAAGGUCAAGAUUUUGAUUAUUCCAGCCUUUGUGUUAAAAAAACAGAAAACUUCUUAUCUGUAAAUAUUCAUUCAGCCAACACUAAAAGUAAGAAAAUCCUUUACUAACUAUGCACCAUUGAUAAAAGGGUGAUCCUUAAAUGCGAUGCUGGUAGAAUAAAAAAUGUGUUCGCAUACAGCUCUCAUCACCAUUGAUGCAUUAGUCAUAACUUGAACCACUCUACUGCACCGGCCCAACAAAUCAAUAGUGUUGGAAGCCGUGGGCGGACAAAUUUUUCUCGACCCAGCAGUAUUCCGAUCAUUUUGCAAACCAUAAAGACAUUUCCAUGUUUCAGCAAUGUAUUACAUGUAAGCGUGGUUUAGUAUUACCGUCUUCAAGAGGAACUUGUCGUGUGAAGUCUUGUCGUCCCAAACAAGCACGACCACUCGGACACCUUCCUCGGACUUGUACUUUAGGAGCUCCCCUAAAGAGAGCUCUCCUCCAUUCGGCAAUUCCCUUGUGGGCUCUCUCACAAGCCUCACAGGAUGAUAAAUGGACCAACCAAUGAUGUAGAUCAAGUGGUGGGCCUCCAAAAUUGCAUGGCAUAUGUCCUCCCAGCACCUGCCUUGCUCAUAAAUCUUCCCAUCAUCAAGCAAAAUCUGAGGCAGCUUGCCCAUUGGGACAUGAGCAUCUUGGUACAGUGUCACAUCCCCACCUUUCCUAAGUGGAAAAUAUGUGUUUGGGACACCAACAUAGUUUGGCCCAACCCCAACACCAUCCUUGUAUAAGGGGUUGUCACUGACUGGCCUGAAUUGGAUUGAGAUGUGAAGUUCCGGGUAGGGCUUGAGAGGGCUCCCGAAGUUGCCAAUUAUCGGGAACCAGUCAUUAAUCAUGUCGCUGGAUACGAUCUUGGCCACUGGUAUCUCCACGACCCCGAUGAGCUCAGCCCCAAACACAUCAUUGUCCUUCACAUGAAACUCCACUUUCACAACCGGAUGCGCCACGGGAACGCAAAACCGCUCGUCCCACAGGGGGUUCUCGCAGUUCUGGAUCACCCGGGUCUGGGCAACCGUGGCUCCCGCCAGGCAGACGGAUACGUAGGGGUCACUCGUGAUCAUUGAGUUCUUCCCUGAGGAGCGGGCAGGGACGGGCCGCUGCCCGUGUAACGCAGGCACGCAGGGUGGCCCGAUCAUGGAGCAGCACUGCCUUAUUCUCUCCGAGGCCAGGUCCAUGUUUGGGAGGGAUUUGGCCUCCACUAUGUACAUGUCCAAUUCGCCGUGCAAGAAGAUUGGCCCUGUUGUGACGUUAAGCCCAUUGAGUUUUCCCGGUUCAGUGUCUGCGUUCCCUGGGAUUUCAUCCUCGUUGCCCACGCUUCUUUGCGCCGGGUGCGAAUCUUCCAUCUUCUCAAGCACUUCUUGAUCACCUCAAUUUAACCCAAAUUUGGGCAGACUUUCGCACCUAAUAAAAGCUGAUGCGGUCUGCUAAAUUGAAACUCAGUUGCUCUAAAGGAAUGUACCGAUUUGUUCGCUUAAUUUCUGAAACCCUCAACGAAUUCGGUCUCUGCAGAAUUAGGAUCCGCAGGCGCUCCUUGCUGAAAAUCACACGGAAUUAGGGUACAUUAUUUUUCUUGCGCAUGAGAGAAAAUGAUCCCAUUCGUAAGUUCAUUAAAAGAGGUACAAGAAAAUCUUUAAUAACUUUUUUCCAAAAAGAACAGAGAUUAACAGAUCUUGUAAUUCAAGGAAAUGACAAUCCUCAAAUCACAAUUGAUCGAUAGGUUAAAACAGUAUGCCCGGAAAUCUGAAGCCUUGGGGAAAUAGCUUGACGAGAAGGAAAAAGAGUGAAAAGGAGAGUUACCUGGUGUUGGAAAGAGCAAGGAGGACCCAGAAUUGGGGAGACGAAAAGACACCAGACAAUGGAAAAAGAGCUUUGCAAGGUUUUCGCUCGUUGGAGAGAGAAAACAGAGGGAAAUGGUCAAAAGACAACACCACAGAGAGAGAAUACAGGAAAAAUCGAAAGCGAAGAUGGUGGGAAGCCUCAGAUGAUGAUGUAUAAACCAUCUUUAUCUCAAGGACUCGACUUGUUGAGUCCCUUUCUUAUGUGACCCGAUGAGGUACACCUUUCAAUUUUAGAUGGUUGAUGGGAAAGUAAUUGCGGGAAAUUAGGGGGUCGAUCGAAUGUCAUUCGAUUCAUCCUCUCUAGUCAUUAGCAAAACUUAAUUAAUUGACUUUGCCAUAGUCCACUGAAAAAGAAGAAAAAAAUCACACAUGUAUGUGUGAGAUCUAGAGGAAAAAGGCAACAAGUUUCGUUGAACCAUAUCCAGGCAUUCAGUAAAGCAGCUUAUUCACCAGUGGUGCAAGAGAGUGACGAUCCAACGAGGUAUAUUUUGAAUAAGUACACAGACUUGGCGACGAAAGUUAAAUCUGACGCAAGAAAUCCAAAUUUUCUGGAAGAAAACAAAUGCAUAAUCCAGCUCACAAUCGCAUUAAUUUUGGUGAAUUAGAUGGGAUAUCCAUUUUGUAGUGAUUAUUAUUGUUUCCAUGCAUGUUUGCUGAACUUGGACUUGCAUGCAUGCACAAAUACCCACACACAGGGGAAUCCAUCUCAAACCUCACAUAAUAAGAGAACCGCCAGCGUAUGUGAAAAAUGACAUGAUCUAAAAAGAGGACUUAGUUCUCAACCUACUAUCCUGACCAUGUGUAAUAUCGUGCGACUCCUGCAGGAACCAUAUCAAAUCCUCUCGAGAGAAGUCAUGUAAAUCGCCAUCUUUGCAAGGCUUGCCAUCCCAAGGACCCCAUUUGAGCUCUCUAAUAUCUCCUCUGCAGAAGACAGCGGUGUUGAGGUAUGUCAGAGGCAGCAAGACAAGAAAAGCUCACACUUUAACAGCUACAAUGUAACAAGUUAAGAUAUCCCCAAAUGAAGCAAUGAAUUGAUGAGAAGAAAAGCAAAUGCAAUACUGGACAACACUAAAAUAAUUUCUCUCUUUUCUAUCAUAUUUCCGGGGCAGAGCAAGAGGUAAAGAAUGCCUGUGAGCCUACCUUGCCCAUAAACUUGGAAAAGCUAACCCCAUAAAAAACAAAAUAACACAUCAGAUAGCAAAAUUCUCAUGUUAAAGACUACAAUGCAGAAGUAUGCUUCUGCCCGAGAGGAAAAGAAAAUACACAAAUAUAAUGAGAUUUGGAUGAGUACGCACAAAAAAUCAUGCGACAGGACAUGUUCAUCUGUAUUUUAAUCACAGAAAAAAGAUGGCUAAUUUCAAGGUCCAGCCCGCAACCAACAUUAAAGCCAAUGUCAUGACAGAUGCAGUGCAAGCAUGCAUCUCCAUCUUAAAACAAGAAAAUGUGCAUUACUUUGGAAGAGCAGCAUGACUAACUUCGCGGCCCUUGUUCACAAAAGCAACCGCCCACUGUAAACUACUUAAGUUUACACACGACAUAGAUCAACCGUCCCCUUAUCCAAGUUCAGUGAAGAAAUCUCGCUAAGCAUCCCACUUAACACCUCUCUUAAGAGUAAAAUAGCAACAAUCAAAACCAAUUCUUCAUAAUCUUAUGGCAGAAGCACAGCAAAGUACUCAUUUGCCUCAACGCAUCACCCAAACUUGGCAUAGUUGAAAUCCCAUACAAUGAUAAUCAUUUUACACAUGGCUAACAAGUAAUGACUACCAUACUCUUUAUUUAUUACUCCACUCAAGGAUCUAUUUCAAUAGACUAUAAAAACUUACUUGCUCAAUUCCCCCUUGUCCUUCUGGUCUGUAGCUCCUCUGGUCUUGCUGCGUGCUGCACUGGUCUUCCUGCACAUUCUUUUGCCCUGGUGGUGUGAACCUUUGACCUUCGCCAUAUCCCAUAUAAUUCUGUCCAUAACUGGGAUUCAUUCCUUGGCCUUGUGCACUACCAGUACCCUGCCCUUGAAAUCCAUCAGAACCCUGCCCAUAUGUUCCACCAGGAGCAGGUCCAUAGUUCCGAUUGUCACUCCUAUAAUCAUUCUGCACUGGAGGUGCAGAGCUCCAUCUAUCUCCUUGUGGCAGGUCUCUCUGCUGCUGAUUGUAACUGUUGUUAUGACCCUGUUGAUUAUAGUUUCCCUGGUAUGAAG
This 463980-nucleotide long non-coding RNA is filed under the name Eucalyptus grandis. RNAcentral's name for it is "long non-coding RNA (EGRA_LNC004023)". Lineage: Eukaryota; Viridiplantae; Streptophyta; Magnoliopsida; Myrtales; Myrtaceae. The record is from RNAcentral.